UAGCCAUCAAACCAUGUAUCAAAAGAAGGCUCUGCUACCAUAAAAUACUUUUGGACUUGGUUCACUACUUUUUGAUGCAUUUGCCUUCUCACUAGAGCCAGAGGUCCCCGAAGUACUAUCCACAUUAUCAGCGCCUGAACUAUCACCAAUGUCCAUGGGAAGCUUCAUCUUUGCAAGAGCCUCUGUAAACUGCUGCAUGCUUUUCAUGUAUAUCUCAACUAUCUCUUGUUGAACCACCUUUUGUUCAGGUUCUAUAGUCACAUUCACAACAGACUGGGUUAUUGUGCUAUCUGGCACUUCAGUUGCAAUGUUAUUAACUGGAGAUGGACCUUUGUCCUUCAACUUGGAAACCUCAUCCUGGUUCGAGGUUCAGGAAUGCUUAAUUCAUGAGAAACAGAUGAAGGGUUGAUUGGAACCAAAACUGAAGGAGGCUCUGCAGUUUUCAAUAUAGUUGGAGGAGUUUCACCCACCGGAACAUCAUUGGCACCUUGACCAUCAAGAGCCACAGCUUCUUGAACACAACCAUUAUUUCUAAUUGUAAGCUGACCAUCACUUGAAGCAGAGGCACACUGCUCUGUGCUUUUGCACUCCAAAUCCGGACAUGGAAUUGCAAAAUACUCUGAAGCCAUCCUCUCAUUUUCAUUCACAAUCUCUGGAUCAGGAAACUCAAUUUUAUCUAGUUCACAGGGUACUGAAUCAUCAACCUCGGAAUCUUUAUUAGCAACAUCUACAACGGUACAAGAGUGUGAAGCAGGGAUUUCAAGAACAUCAGGUGAUGCACCAGUGUAGGUGAGAGUAGUUGUACAAAACCAGCAGGAGAAUGGUAUAAAUCACUUGAAGAGAGUGAAAAUUCUUGUUCCGGUUUACCAUUCUCAAUGAGAACUUCACAAAGAGGCACCGAUGUGAAUCCCAACAACUGGUCUUCUAAAUAAUUCCGCACCCUACUAAGCAUCCAAACCUCACAUCUAACCGAUGAAUCGAUAUUCGGACAUUUAACCGAACAUUUUCAUCAAAAACUGGAUUCCUUCCCCACCAUUAAUAAUUUGAGUUGAAACUACUUGUUCUGGAUCACUAGUCAAGGAAAGUCUGGCAUACACAUCUUGAUUUUGAUAUAUGCAUAUGUUAUGAAUAUCCAUUGCUUGAUGUAUAUAAACAUCAAGAACCCAAUGAAACCCUCUGACUUUCCUUCUGGACAUUUCCCCUUUUCACUAUUUUCAACUAAAUCCCCAGUAUCUGGAGCUAAGAAAUCAGACUGCACUUUGAUGGACUCCAUGUUAACAACACUGGAAAUCGAUAAAACGGCUAAAAUAGUUCUUGAUUCACAAUUUGAUAGAAACAACGAUGCCCCCUGAAGUACAAAUAUCGUAACUGAUAGAAAACAAAGCCUGAAAAACUGAAGUUUGAAGUACACAAAACUUACCAAACAGGAAUGGUACAGUGUUUCCUGCAAAUUCCCAAAAAAAAAAAGAACAAAAUAAAAUCAAAACCACUGCAAAUGAAAGGUGAAACCAAACCGAAUUCAAGAAUUGAACUGAAAUAACUGAACUGAAACUAUUUAGUAAUACUCGAUGCUUUAUGAAUGAAUCUGAGAAAUGAAAGCCAAUGAUUGACCUGAUACUCAAGUAAUUAUUGGGGUUUCGAGUUUCCUUUCUCGAGCCCCAAAAAAGGCAUCAUUCCAAAGCCCACUUACAAAUGCAAAGAGCAAGAAAACCCAUGAAGGACAUAAUCAUAUGCUAAAACUUCAAUAAAAUGAGCCCUUUUCAAGAAUCCAAGGCAGAGAGCUGCACAAGAAACUAGGAGGAAAGCAGAAAAUAGAGAAACAAAAAAUAGUUUUGGAGAAGGAAGAAAACAAGCAACAGACAAAGAUAAGGUGGCUAUGAGCGAUAUAUUUUUAUGUUUCUAGCUUCUGCUAGUGGUUUCUUUUGUGGCCCUUUUGGCCAUUUGCAAAAGAAGUCAAUGUUGAGGUUCUUUUUGUCCUCUGUAGAUUGAAUUGAACAUCUAGAAUCACUUCUCACUCUAGGCUAGUGUUUGAAUGGUCAGAGAAUCAAGAAAUGAAUAGGGGAAUUCCUCCUCAUUGGUGAGAGUUUUCUUUGUUACAGAGGGAGAAAACUAUAUGGCAAUUUACCAAUUACAAUUGUCUAUAUAUAGCUCAAAUUGUAACUGAUGUUCCAAUUUGGAAAAAUGAGAUUAUGAUUAUAAUUUGAGCUAAGUGUUGGAAAUCUCAUUAAUUGCUGCAUCUUUUUUUUCAAGAGGUGUUUGUAUGGAAUUUUUUUUCAACAGAGUUGACGGUCAACUUACGUCAUGUUGACGCAUUGAUCUUUGUUAUUUUAAAGAUCUCAUUCCUUUUUUUUAUUGUUGUAUUAAGUUUUGCAAGAUUAUCGUAAAACUAUCCUAAUCUUUUUUAAAAAAUUAAUAAGCUAUUUUAAAUGAAUUAGAAGGUCAAUUCUAAUUGUUUGGAUAGAAAUUGUAAUCUGAGUAGGAAAUUCAUUAUAGGAUAAUCUCCAUUGUCGUAUAAUCUUAUUUGAAUAUUUCUUAGCUAUAUUUUAAGCGUUGGAGUGUGUUCGAUUAUCUUAAAAUCAUCAUAAAGGAAAUAUUGAGUACCAUCUUUUUCACUUAAUAAAUUCAAAAGAGUCAAAUAAAAAUUUUUAUACUAACUAAAUGGACAUUGUUAUGGAUUUUUUAAAACAUACUUAAUAUUACUGCAGCACUCUUUUUGAUUAAACUUAUGGGCUUAAAAUGGUGUUGUAGAACAUAUUUAGUGUUUUUAUAAAAAAAAAAAUUAAAGUAAAACUCCAUCCAAAGAAUGCCUGUUCUUAUUAUGUUACGCACUCUUAACUUAUUGUUUUUUUUUUUUUCAACAAACGAACUUAUUGUCAUAUACUGGCGAUAUUAUACCUCACAAUUGUUUGGCCAUAUUAGGCACCUCCACUACUUUUAUCAUAUUGACAACAUAUAAGAUGAAAAAAUGACUUGCAUCCUUCAUUUCAACCAACAAAUCCCUAAGAAUUGAGUAAUUAAACGCUUUCUAGUAGAGGCAGUCUGCGUAAUUCUACAUCAGAAAACGUAUUCGUAAAAAAUAAAAGUUUAGGGAAAAUCAGGCUCCAACGGAUGGAAAGUUUAAGUACCAGUCCCUUACUCUGACUAGCUUCUAACUAACUUACCUGGUUCCGCCAGCCCAAUACAGACAAGGAGUCUAAGUAAGGGGCCAGCCCUUUAAGCAAACGAUUGUGGGUUUGGCUCUGAUAAUUGAAGGCUUUAAUCCUCUUGUGACAAACUUGAUUUUAAGUUCUCACUAAUGCAGCUUUUCUUUUGUUCUCAAGCACUUUUUUUCUUGUACAUACAUUUAUCUUCAGAAAACUACGAAGACAGAAUAACAUUAAAACUAAAAAAAAUGCGUUUAGGGUGUUAAUACAUCUACAUGUCUCCUUGGUCAAGCAUUUGAAAUUUAGACCUUCAAAGAUAAUUUUUUUCUAUACUUAAUUUACAUUGAUAAUUGAGGUGUAACAAAUUGUUUCAAGCUAAACUUCUUGAGCUCGAGCUCUUGAAACUUCAGCUUCAGCUCAACCUGGUAAUAGAUUUAGCUUACUUAAGCUCAAGUUUGAACUCAAUCAAGCCCAACAAAUUUGAGCUCAAUCAAGCUUAAGAAACAUAAAUCAAUACAGUAUGGUAAAAUACGAAAAAUGAAAAGUAUAUAUACGUGAGGUCAGUUGAGCACAAUAAGAUCUGCUUUCUUCUUUCAUUCCAAUAGCUCCUCGAAAGCUACUAGCUACUUCGAGUUGUUAGAAGUUGAAUUUUAAUCGAGCAAUCUCAUGAAUAACUCGAUGGAGUUCAAUUUAUUUGCAUCCCUAAUUAAAAGGUUAUGCUUCUCAAAUUUAAUUCUUUCAAUUGUAAGGAAAUAUAGAAUAUCCACUGUAGACAACAAAAUUUUAUUUAAGUUAUUUAAUUAAGAUAAAAAUAAAUCUAACCCGGAAGGGGGGACGGGGGAUGAAUUAGAUUGAUAAAAAUUAAAGUAAGAAAGACCAAAUUUUCACCCAAAAUAGUUUAAGUAAACAAUCGCUCAAGCAAACACAAUAACAAGAGAUAUAAGCAAAUUAAACCACACAAAUAAGUAGAAAAAAGAUGACAAUAAGGAAAAAGGAUUGCAAACCAAAUAAACUCCCAAACUUCUAUAAUGUAUUUGAUGUAAUGAAUCUACUCGUGUGAAAGGCUGUAGGUCUGCCAAAGAAAUCUAGAGCAAACUCAAUGAGAUACAUGAAGGCUAUUUGGUUGAUAGAUAUUAUUUGAAAUAUUAUUUAGAAUAAUUAUUGUAGCACUUUUUGUGAUGUGAUGUAUGUGAGAUAAAAAAGUGGUUGGAAAUAUAAAAAUAGGUUGGAAAAUGUAUUUAUGUGCAAGCGAAAUAUUAUUUGAGAAAUCUGCUAUCCAAACACUCUGUUAAAGAACAUAAGAAGUCACUAUUGGUAACCAACUAUGAAUCAUUUAAGAUGGAAUCUCAUGAAACAAUUGACAAAAUGUAUUGCAAGUUCAAUGAUCUCAUCAAGGACUUGGAAACUCUUGGAAAAGAAUACACUCUUGGAGAAAAGAAUAGAAAAAUACUGAAUAUUCUGUCUAAAGAAUGAGAGACCAAAACUACUGCCAUUGAGGAGGUAAGGAUUUGAUCUUGUCCCUAUUGAAUCUUUAGUAAAUUCUCUUACUUUAUAUGAACUUAAAUUAAAGUCCAAGAUGUAGGAUGAAGAGGAAGCAAGGACAAAACUGAAUAUUGCUCUCAAAAGUACUCAAGAUGAUGAUGAUUUAAUAUCACUUAGAGUAGAAGAUGAAAAAAUGGAUGCUGAAAACAUAGCCCUCAUAACCAAAAGCAUCAAAAGACUAAUAUCCAAUCGAAAAAAUAUGAGAAGAGGUGCUGUUGCAAAUAACAACAAUUCUACCUCAACCUCAUUCAAGAGAAAAGAAAAACAAGGAACUUCAGGAAAGCAGAAUGACAAAUGCUUUGAAUGUGGAAAGAAGGGCAUUACGUAAAUGAACGUCCAAAUAAAAGAAAGAAGGAUAACAAAGGAGGUAGAAGACAACAUUUUACAAAUUAUCAAUUAACUUGGAAUGAAUGCAAUUCUGAUGGAGAGUGAAAGAAGAAACUGAGACAGCUCAAAUGGCUUUUAUGGCUAUAGGUGAUAAUCAAGUAACUUCUAGUUACAAUCUUGUGAUGAAAAUGAUGAUGUUGAUGAUGUUGAAUCUGGUAUGCUCAGAAUGCAUGAAAGCUUGAAAGAAUCAUAUGCCAAGAAUAAGGAGUUUAAAGAAAAAAUUAUGAAUUUGAUAGAUGAAAAUGCUGAUAUGUUUCAGGAAAAUAAAAAAACUAAAAUAAGAAAAUGAUUAUUGAAAAGGCAAAUACUUGAUUUAAACAAAAAGUUUGAUAAUAAAAUUGACUUUUACAAAAAUUUGGCAAAUGAACAAAAAGGUUUGAAAGUCAGAAUGAACAAACUUAGUCUGUUACUUAAACUUAUGAUGUUUGCAAAAGAAAAAUUAUGAUGUGUCACAAAUUAUUAGAAAUUUUUGUUACCCUCAGAAAAAUGGUUUAUACUUUUCAAAUCACAUGUAAAGGAUAAUAGUAAAAUUUGUGAUUUUUGUUGCCAGUUUGGACAUGAGAUAGACAAAUGCUUCGUCAAGAGGAACUUAAAAUUUGGAAUGACCAUUGUAUAGGUUUUGAGAAUAUUACCUAGCCAACAUAGACCCAAAUGACCUUGGGUACCAAAAAUUAUUCUAUAAUUUCUGUGCAAGCAUGUAUGAAAAGCAGCAAUAAAUGUUCAAAAUGGUUCAUAGACAGUGGAUGCUCAAAACUUAUGGUCGAAGAUGCUUCGUUAUUUAUUAAACUAAAGACCAAAGGCAGUGGUAAGGUUACAUUUGGUGAUGACAUAAAAGCAAAAUCAUUUGUAUUUGAGAUAUUGGUAAGGAUGGUGAGACCUUUGUACAAAAUGUUUUAUUAUUUGAUGGUUGAAAUUAUAAUCUACUAAGUGUUAAUCAAUUAUGAGACAAAUCUGUUUGUGUUAUUCAAAAUAUGAAUAUUUGAUUUAAGAUGACAACUUCAAUGUAGUUUUCAAAAGAAUUAGUUUAAUAAUAUCUAUGUUGUGUAUCUUGAAAAUCUUAAUUACAACAAAUUUAAAUGUCUGACUGGUACUUGAACUGAUUCCUGAAUUUGACACAAAAGAUUUUGUCAUUUUAAUAUGGAUGCUAUCAGUGAUGAUACGAAACUCGCCACCUUGUGACGAAACCCAUAGCAAAAAAAGCCCAUCUAGAAUAGAUAUAAAAGUUUUAACACGAACAAUGGAAAUACAAUGGAAGACCUCAACCCGUUAUUCACAUGGACAACAAAUCUUGGUAUAAGUAGGAGACGCCACAAUCAAACGUGGUCCUUGAUUGAUAAGUCAAGUUGAAUACUUAGAUCUACACUCUAAAAUAUUCAAGAAAAUCUCAAAGAAGCCAAAGAGAAUUCUCUCAAUUUGUAUUGAUGAAUAAUUUGUCUUACAAAAGAAAACGUCAAGCCUUUAUAUAGGCAAUGACUAAUUAAGAAGCCUAACCCAACUGGAAAUUAGCUUCUAAUGGCUCGAAUAGUUUAAUUAGCUUGCCAUUUAGUACUAAUAAACUAACAAAUAACUAAACAAUUUUACAACAAAUUGAACGAAAAAAAUAAGAAAAUAAGAAACUUCUAAAAAUGGAUCUGACAGAAAACCGCGGCCAAUUUCUAUGCAGAUUCUUCUACGUUUAUUGCAGAGAGCUGGACAGGCGAGAUGAAACGAAUUCGACAGGUAGCCGCGGGCGUUUACUUCCGCGGUUUAGCGACAGUGAGGUUUUUUGCUCUGUUCAUCACAACAAUCACAUUAACAAUGCUCCCUUCACUGUCCAACCCUUCAAUGGCUUUAGGAACACCAACAUUUGCUUGAACUGCCUUAACCAAUUGCAAGGAAUCAUUAAUUCUCUUAGCUUGUGCAAGCAUCAUUGGAUCCAAUGGAACUUUAACUUGCUCUACUUGCAACGUUGGACCUCCAUCAACCUCAUCAUUCCUCUUCUCUUGCAAGCAAUUUGACCCCAAAUCAACCUCAUCUACAAAAUAAGGGCUCAAGUUAACAACAUUAAAUGUAGCACUUACACCAUACUCACCUAGAAACUCUAGCUUGUAUGCAUUAUCACUAAUACACUCAAAAACUUUAAAAGGUCCAUCUCCACGUGGAUCUAGUUUAUUCGACGUUGCAGAAAACCUUUCUUUAUGCAAAUGGAACUACACCCAAUCGCCUGAUUCAAACACCAUGCGACGUCUUCCUUUAUUAGCAUGACGCAAAUAUUGAGCUGUUCGAGUUUCAAUGGUAGCUCAUACUUUCUCAUGUAUAGCUUUCACAAAAUCGGCUUUCUUGGCACCAUCUAGGUUAGUACGCUCAGGUAAAAGUAAAGGGGUUAAAUCUUAAAACCGUAAAUAACUUCAAAUGGUAAAAACUUAACACGCUAUGAACAGUACAGUUAUAAGCAAAUUCAAUAUGUGGUAAAUAUUCUUCCCAUAACUUUAAAUUCUUUUUAAUUAUGACCCUUAAAAGAGUAGAUAAAGUUCGGUAAGCAACUUUAGUUUAGUCAUCUGUUUGAGGGUGAUUUGAUGUAGAAAAUAACAAUUUAGUACCCAACUUUUCCCACAAUGUCUUCCAAAAUAACUAAGAAAUUUUACAUCUCUAUCUGACACAAUGGUUCUAGGAAUACCAUGUAAAUGGACUACUUCACGAAAGAAUAAAUCAGCAACAUGCAUAGCAUCAUCCGUUUUAUGGCAAGGAAUAAAAUGAGCCAUUUUAGAAAAACGAUCAACAAUAACAAACACACAAUCAUGACCCCUUUUAGACCUAGGUAAACCCAGAACAAAAUCUAUAGAAAUAUCAACCCAAAGCACUAAAGGAAUAGGCAAAAGUGUAUACAAACCAAAUGGUUGAAAUUUGGAUUUAGCUCGACGACACGUAGUGCAUCGUGAUACAAUUCUCUCAACGUCCCUUCUUAAUCUUGGCCAAAAGAAAUGCUCCUGCAAAACAGCCAAUAUUUUAGUGACACCAAAAUGUCCAUCAAACCCCUUCCAUGUGCCUCUGGGGUUAGCAAUUCUUGAAUAGAACAACUUGAAACACACAACUUAUCAAGGCAGAAUAGAAAUCUAUCAUGAAUGAAAAACUUACCAUGACCUAAAGACAUGCACGACUUGUAUAUGCUAGAAAAGUCAUGAUCAGUUUCAUAAACCUCUUUAAGUAGGUCGAAACCAAGCAAUUUGGUGUCAAGUAAAGUAAGUAAAUAAUACCGUCUAGAUAAGGCAUCAACGACGAUAUUAGCCUUACCCGUCUUGUACUUAAUCACAUAAGGAAACGUCUUCACAAAAGUAACCUACCUUGCAUGCCGCUUACUCAAUUUGUGUUGAGUUUUCAGAUGCUUGAGCGACUCAUGAUCCGUGUGUGUGAUGUGUUUCUUAGGCCAAAAAUAGUGUUGCCAAGUCUUUAAUGCUCACACCAAUUUAAAUAACUCUUUGUCGUACAUUGAGUAGUUCAAGGCAUCAUCAUUUAAUUUUUCACUAAAGUAAGCAGUUGGCUUUCUCUCUUGAGUUAGCACAGCUACAAUUCUUAUAUCCAAAGCAUCACACUCAAUUUCAAAAACUUUAUCAAAGUUUGAUAAAGAAAGUAAAGGUGCAUGUGUGAACUUCUAUUUAAGGAGUUGGAACACCUUAUCUUGGGUUUCGCCCUAUUGGAACUUCUCACCCUUCUGGAUGAUGGCUGUUAAAGGUAUAGUAAUAGUGCUAAAAUCCUUAACAAACUUUCGAUAGAAACUUACAAGGUCAUAGAAGCUCCUUGUCUCUCCAACAUUCUUAGGAGGCGGCCGCUCAUUAAUGGCCUUGAUUUUGCUGCUCUCAUCAACUCGAAUUCUUUGUUCACUAACAACAUAUUCAAGGAAUGUGAGUUUUCUAGUGCAAAAGACACUUUUUAAGAUUAGUAUAUAAACGCUCUUUAUUAAGAACAUUAAGUACAACUCGCAAAUGUCCAAGAUGUUCAUUUAAACUCUUGCUGUAGAUUAAAAUAUCAUCGAAAUAAACAACCACAAAUUUUUCUAAAAUUGGUCUAAGCACAUGAUUCAUUAAACGCAUGAAAGUACUAGGAGCAUUAGUUAACCCGAAUAGUAUAACUAACCACUCAUAUAGACCAUACUUAAUUUUAAAAGAAAUUUUCCGUUCAUCACCCUCUUUCAUUCGAAUUUGAUGGUAGACACUUUUAAGAUUAAUCUUUGUAAAAAUUACAGCACCAUGUAGCUCAUUUAACUUGUCAUCUAAACGAGAUAUAGAGUGAUGAUACUUUACCGUUAUGGCAUUUACAGCUUUCCAAUCAACGCAUAUAUGCCACGUUCCUUGUUUCUUUAGGACGAGAAUAACUGGAACUGCACAAGGACUCAUAUUUCUCAAGCCCAUCUCUUGUCCAACAACUCAUCAACUUGCCUUUAUGUCUCCUUUGUUUCUUCAGGCCCCAUGCGAUUAGCUGAUUUGUUAGACAAGGAGUCACCAGGGAUCAAAUUGAUUUGGUGCUCAAUCCUCUGAAUAGGUGGUAACCCGCCAGGUAUCUUCUCGGGGAAAACAUCUUUAAAUUCCUGUAACAAGAAACUAACACUAGAAGGCAAAUGAUCAAGGAGUUUAUUAGUGACUAAGAGUACUUCUUUACAAUAAAGUACAUAGAUAGGUUGUUUAGAAAGUAAGACUCUCCUCACAUCCCUAUUUUUAGCUAACAAAUUCCUCUCUUUUCUUCCUUCAUUGGCCGAAUUUUGUACAACAACCUGUUUAUGUUCUCGGCCUUGUGUGUUAGUUUCUUGCUGUUGACCUUGGUCGAUCAAUCCUUGGUUUUGAUGAUUAACAAACUAAAAUGUAGAUUUGGGCUAAUGUUUUUAUGUGAGCAAUUUGUUAGAACAGAUUCUUGUGGCACAAAAGAAGAAGCAAAAACAGGGCACUCAUGUGGGACGUCCGAAAGGAAGCUAUCGGACGUCCGAAAGGAUGAAGAACAUCAAGAAGGAAACUCUGUCGGACGCUCGUGAGGAAGCAUCGGACGUCCGGAAGGAUCGGACGCACGCAUCGGACGCACAUCGAUCGCAUCGGACGUCCGAGAAAUUUCGCAAAGAUUUGAUGACUCUCUGACGACGUUCGGACGCAUGGUUCGGACGUCCGACAGGUGGUUUGGACGCAGGGUUCGGACGUUCGACAGGUGGUUCGGACGUCCGACAGGCCAACGGCUAGUUUUGACAGCAUUUAAUAUUUGACCGUUGGAGAGCCUUUUGGAGCCAUUUCUCACCUUCUAUAAACACCCCAAAGCACAAGAAGACACAGACUUUUGCCAACACAAAAUACAAGCUUACAAGUGAGAUUUUUGAGUAGAAAGAUUCUUUGUUGGUUGUAUAAGGGGUUGGGGAAGUUGGGUUGUGAGGUUGCUCAAGUGAAGGUUAUUCUCUAGGAGGAGUAAAACCUUGGUGAAGGUGAACCUAUCACUUGAAGUGGUAAAACCUUGGUGAAGGUUGCCUCAUUUGUAUAAAAUAGUUCUUAAUUGGGUGAGUGAUCUUUCAAGUGUAGGUUGUUGAGGGUUAACUAGAAUAGUUGUAAAACUCCUUGGCUCAACCAAAGUGUGUUUGGGGUGAGGAAGGAGUGAGCCUUCACUUGUACAUCUUGGUUAGCAUCGCCAUCUAUUGAAGAGGCUAUUGGAUUGAUAUUUGGUUUGCAUUUCUUAUCUUUUCUCUUUAAUUAAGUUUUCUUUAUUGUGCUUAAAUUUGAUAUAUCUUUGUGCAUCAUUGUGAAAUUGUUUGUACUCAUUGGGUUGCACCAGGCCUUACAAUUGGUAUCAGAGCUUGGUCUCUUUUGAUCAAGCUUAACCGCUUAGAGUAAAGAUCAUGGCAACCAUAAAAGUUUCUUUUUUAGAAGGGCAAUCUAUUGAUAGACCACCUAUGUUUAAUGGUUCUCAUUUUAGCAUGUGGAAACAAAGAAUGAUGAUUUUCUUACAAUCCGUUUAUAUUGAAUUAUGGUAUGUGGUAGAAGAUGGUCCUUAUGAAGCUAGAAUAGUUGACUCUACCAAAUUUGAGUAGAUUAAAGACUAGACAAGAAUUGAAUGAAAAAGACAAGAGAUACCUUUCUUUGAAUGCCAAGGCCAUGUGUAUAUUGUACAAUGCAUUAGAUGUAAAUGAAUCUAGUAGGAUUAAAGGUUGUAAAUCAGCUAAAGAUAUUUGGGAUAAAUUGUGUGUAUUUCAUGAAGGUAACCAAGAUAUUAAAGAACAAAAGAAAUCUUUGCUUGUUUCUCAAUAUGAAUUUUUCAAAAUGCAUCCUCUUGAAAAUGUUGAUGAGAUGUGUAGUAGAUUUUGUGACAUUAUUGAAGAUCUUAAAUUGCUUGGAAAAGAAUAUUCUUUGGGUGAGAAAAAUAGAAAGAUUUUGAAUGCCUUGCCAAAAGAAUGGGAAAACAAAAUAAAUGCUAUAGAAGAGGCAAAGGAUUUAAAUUCUAUGUCCAUUGAAUCUCUUGUGGAUACCCUAACCUCUUAUGAAUUAAAGCUGAAAUUCAAAGUGCAAGAGGAAGAAAAUGCAAGAAUGUAUAAGAGAGGCAUAGCUUUUAAAGCAUCUCAAGUGGGGGAUAACCCAUCCUUCAUGGGUAAUGAAAUCAUGGAAGUGGACAAUGAUAUAACUCCUCACAUCAAAAGUUUCAAGAAGAUCUUCAACAAGAGAUGUUCAAGAGGAGAUUGCAAAAUUACAUGGGAUGAAUGCAAUUCAAAAAGAGAAAAAGAAGAGUUGGCCCAAAUGGCACUAAUGGCCGUUGGAGAAGAUGAGGUAAGUUCUUAUCACUCUUCUUGUGAUGAAGAUAAUGAAGAUGAUGAUGUGAAAAUUCUUAUGAUUAAAAUGCAUAAAAGUUUGAGAAAAUCUUAUGCUAAAAAUAAAGAUUUGAAAACAAAAAUAAAUGAUUUGUUGGAAGAAAACUCCAAACUUUUUCAAGAAAACAAAUGUUUGAGAAUGGAAAAUGAUGAUUUAAAAAAUCAAAAAAGUGUUUUUGAUUGCAAAAAUAAUUUGAAAAGGAAGUUGGAAGAGAAAACAAAGUUUUAUGAAAAAAUGUUGGAGGAACAAAAUGUGUUAAAGAAAAGAAUUAAUGACUUGAACGAGUUUCUCCAAAAUGAAAAACAAACGUUUUCUCAAACAAAAGAAAGCAAAUCUUUUCAAGGUACAAAUAAGUUUGCUAUGAUAAGAAGUAAGAAAAUUAGUUGCAUUAAAUCCACCUAUGUGCAAAAUACUUCUAUCAUGUGUCACUUUUGUUGCCAAUUUGGACAUAUGCAAAAUGAUUGCUAUGUAAAGAAAAAUAUGAGAAAAGGUAUGAAAUCCAUGUGGAUUGCUAGAUCAUGUUACUAACUCCCAAGAACCCUAUAAAAAAUUACAAUUGGUAUCAUGAAAGUUUUGUCAUUCUAUAUGGUCUUGAUUUGGAAAAUAAAGGGGAGUUUGCUUUUUGAUUGAUGUCAAAAGGGGGAGUAGGAUUUAUUGAAAUUUCUUUGUAUGUUGGCAUUUUCUAAGGGGGAGUUUUAUUUGAACUUAUUUGAUCAAAGAAAUCUUCAUUUUGUUUGUCAUCAUCAAAAAGGGGGAGAUUGUUGACCUUGGUCGAUCAAUCCUUGGUUUUGAUGAUUAACAAACUAAAAUGUAGAUUUGGGCUAAUGUUUUUAUGUGAGCAAUUUGUUAGAACAGAUUCUUGUGGCACAAAAGAAGAAGCAAAAACAGGGCACUCAUGUGGGACGUCCGAAAGGAAGCUAUCGGACGUCCGAAAGGAUGAAGAACAUCAAGAAGGAAACUCUGUCGGACGCUCGUGAGGAAGCAUCGGACGUCCGGAAGGAUCGGACGCACGCAUCGGACGCACAUCGAUCGCAUCGGACGUCCGAGAAAUUUCGCAAAGAUUUGAUGACUCUCUGACGACGUUCGGACGCAGGUUCGGACGUCCGACAGGUGGUUUGGACGCAGGGUUCGGACGUUCGACAGGUGGUUCGGACGUCCGACAGGCCAACGGCUAGUUUUGACAGCAUUUAAUAUUUGACCGUUGGAGAGCCUUUUGGAGCCAUUUCUCACCUUCUAUAAACACCCCAAAGCACAAGAAGACAAAGACUUUUGCCAACACAAAAUACAAGCUUACAAGUGAGAUUUUUGAGUAGAAAGAUUCUUUGUUGGUUGUAUAAGGGGUUGGGAAGUUGGGUUGUGAGGUUGCUCAAGUGAAGGUUAUCUCUAGGAGGAGUAAAACGCACGAAAAAGGCGAUACUCGUCGAGUAUGCCGAACGAGAUCUCAAGAGAUCAAGUUUUAAUCUUUAGAACACGCACGAAAAGGGCGAUACUCCAUGAGCAUGCCGAACAAGAUCUCAAAAGAUCAAGUUGUGUUUUGUUAUUCUCUUGGUUUAUCAAGCUUCUCGACCAAACCCAUGCCGGCUCGAGUUGCAAGAUUGGCUAAGAGAAUUGGGCGUCCCCAUAAGUUGAGGAGAUUCACUCCACCCGACAACACGACACGCAUGACAUACACGACAUGUACGACACACACGAUAACAUGCUAUGCACACGAAAGCGAGUAUAUUUUAGUCGACGAGAUUCACUCAAAUCGACUUUGAAAACCAAGUUAAUGCCAGUAAAGUUCAAGUAAAGGAGAGCGAGUGCGAUAAAGUACAUACUCGUCUCAUCAAGUGAUAUUCAUGUAUAUAAGCAGGUAAAUCAAGUAAACACGACAAGUCAUGCACUUGACACUCACCAAUUCAAAAGUAAUUGAGCGAGUAAAAUCUUUAGCUGUCCCCUCCGGGAUUCUUUUCAAGACUCGCUUGAGUACCAAAAGCAAUUAAUAAGCAUUUUUGACUCAUAAUCAUGCAUUAAUCAAGAAAGGAGUUACACUCAUGUAGACUAGUUAAUACCUCAAAUCGAGAACCUUAGCCGCUCAAAAUAAAGGUUCAAAAGUGAGGUUUUAUUAACAUAAGAAAAACUGAUUUCCUUUAUGAAAUUGAGUUUAAAGCGACCAAUUAUCAUCAAGAAAGAAUAACGAGUUUUCAAAAUUUCAUUUUCUAAGAAAUAGGCAAAUUUCAGCUUUGUGCGUCAAAUUUAGAAAAGUCAGAUCUUGCCCUCAGUAGGUCCAAAAUUGGAAAACUUGGUACUGUUGGAAAUUCUUCCGAAGUACUAAAAGUUCCUAGAAGACAUUUUUCCAUGAUUCAAAUAGGAAGACAUUCGAAUUUUGGCUUCAAGUUGCUAUUUUGGAAUACCAAGACAGAUUAGGGUUGAUUUUCGACAAAGUUUGGGAAUUCGGCAUAAUUCACACAAUACGAACUAGCCUCUAAAAUUCAGAACUCGAUUAGAGUUACAUUCAAAGUUUACAACACAACAAGCGGAACAAGAAUUGGAGUUCUGAGCACCAAGAUAUGGCGGCUCAAAGUUGCUGAAAAAUGAGACCAUUGGGCCAAUUUUCCAGAUUUAAAUCGCUAACUUUGGAACGUUGGUUGAACAUUGAAAUGGACUCGGAAUGGCACCAAGUUUGGUAGUAUUAUCCUACCAUAUAAGGAUUAUUCCUCUACCAAAUUUCAUAGGAAAAUUCAUUCGGGAAGUUGGUUAAUAAAACCACCAAAGUUUCCCAAGAAGUUCCAAGGCAAAUCUGCUUCGGACUUCCGUUUUUCCGUUUUCAAGCAUUUAGCCAAGGAAAUUUCCUCAAACAUGGUUCAUUUGUGUAGACAAUGUCUAAUAACAUUCCAAUAUAGGUUUGGUAGGUGAUUAACAUCAAGAAUCUCGAAUUAACAAGUCCCAAUCAAGUUUAGUAACAAUUCUGCCCAAAAGGAGGGUUUUCCUUCAAGAAGUCAGUUUCUAAAUACGGCCACAAAUCACUCAAUUCAACUCAAAAUUGGGCGUGGUUGGCGGAGUUGGAAAUAAAAUUCAUAAAACUAUAAUUUCUCAAAAGAAACCAUUUUCAAAAUCUGUCCACAACUAGUCCACAUUGGAGCCUCAAUUUGUAGUUCAUGUUCUGCCUUCCAGGGAACUAACGAAACAGGGUAGCCAAGUUCAAACGGUUGGUAUGGAUUACUUAUAUGGAAUCAGGAUAUGCAUUUUAUACCUUUGGAAAGCUGGGAAUGUCUAGUUUCCAUUGCCAUAAACGGCACUCAAUUUCGACAUCGGAGUAAAAAGUUAUGGCCGAAAGAAAAGGACUGCCUGGGCAAUCUGGGAAAAUUUUCCAGUUUUGCUAAACCUUUGAAAUCACUACAAUUGACCAACCAACUCAUGUUAUUUUUCAAUGAAACUUUCCACACCAUUCAUAUAACAUGUAUACAUCCCAAACAAGUCAUUAGAACCUCAAAAUUUUGCACCAAAGUGCAUGAACAUGGCAGGGGUAAAAUGGUCACUUUUGUUCAUUGCACCUUCCUUGAAUUUCUACCAACAACCCAACAUUAUUCCACUAAUUUAAGCACUAAACCAACAUUAAUAGCAUCAUCAUUCAUCAAAUCAGUCCAUCCAAUCCAAGUGGGAGUUCAUAGAGCCCAUACAACAAUUUUUCCAACAUAAACAAGCUACCCACAUGAUUAGAUGAACUUAUAGUGUAAUAGAACUUCCAUAAACCAAGAUUUGAAGGCUUGAUCGUUGCUUACUUGUUUAGAUGAACCAAACAGAAAUUUCGGUCCAAAGAUGCUCAAGAAAAACCGUGGAAAACAGCCCCUUUUUGCUAGCUUGAUGCACUCUCCAAGUGAUUAACUAAGUGUAGGUGAAAUUUGAGGUGAAUUGGAGGAAGUUUAAUGAAGAUUUGAUAAAGGAAUUUGAAGAGUUUGAAGUUGUUUUUCUUGUCUUGAUGCACGACUGGAACAAGGAAGAAGAAGAGUGGUGUUGCUGAUGAAGAAGCUUCCUUGUGAAACUUAUAAAUUUGUGGACAAGAAUUGCUCCAAAAGUCAACUCUCCUUUCGCGCACGCGCGCGCACCUUUCGUGCUCGAUUCCUCUCGAGUUUAUUUCACUUGUGCACUAAACCUCUAAUGCACUUGUAUUCAUACUAUUAUUAUUCACUCUUAAUGGUCUAAAAAUAAAGGUUUAAAGUCCCUUAAUUAAUCGCGCGCGUGAAAACGCAUACUUCCGAUUUGUGCGCGAUAAAAUGGAUUUUUCAAGAAAUUCUUAUAACGAUAGUAUAAUUAACUAUCACUUGAGCACUUAAACAUAAAAAUACCUAUUUCAAGGCUAAUGUACUAGUCUCCAAUUUUUCAAGCUCAUUGUACUCUCAAAUCGGCUAUAGUCUCCAAACACGUAUUCACUAUUCUCACUUAACGAGUUUUUAAAAUAAUAACUUUUGGAACCAAGUCAUUUUUAAAUUACAUAUGAGCCAUAAUUCCAUGUAUUUGAGCAAUAAAAGGUUGAAAUAAAAUAUUCGGAGAAAAUGUGUGAGUAAAUAAUUAAUUAAACCAAUAAAAUAAAAUAAAAUAAGAAAAUUUUGGAUCCUCACAACCUCCCCUCCAUAAAAGAAUUUUGUCCUCGAAAUUCACACUUACGAUAAUAUCUUACCCCUUAUUUGCCAGAUCCACUAGCUAUACCAAAAUUCACAGGUUCUAUAAUUUGCUCUAACAAUUAAGCACUGAUUUCUUCAUGGGACCCCUACUCUCCAAACUAUAGGGCAGCAAUCACACUUUAAUUGUAUCACUCACGAAAAUAGGGGUUUCACAAGAAUAGUCAACUCCAGGGUCAAUUAAAGGUCUAGUUAAAUGAUCCCAUCUGGUGGUUCGAAACUCGAACAUGAAGAUAUAUUUUCGACAGAAAACUAACUUUACCAAAAUUUUCGACUCAAUUUGUCCAAAAAUCAUUUACUGGCAUUCGAUCUCCAAAAUUGACAAUUUUAGAAAUAACCGAAUUUCUUUGGUCCCAAAUGACCACUCAAAUUUUUGUUCAAAUCAAGUCAAUCAUAAUAUGCGAGACAAAAACGAGGGUUUUUUUUAUGUAUUUCGGAUAUGUAAUGUGGCAAAAUACGAUUCAUAAUUUCAAAAUUAGAGCUAAAAGAUACAAACCUUUCUUCAUGGUCCGAAACUAAAUUUUCUUAGUAAGAAAUUUCAGGUAAUGUUUUUGCCACCGUCAUUAAUACAUAUUUCAAAUUUCUCAAAUAUAUUUAAGAAGAUUAAUCAUGCGACUCAAUGCAUGGGUAUUAAAGAGCGUAUAUAAUGAAAUAACAUAUAACUGAAGGAUGUUUCAAAAAUUUCAUCAAAGUUUCGAGUUAAGAAUUACGUUUGAAUAAACAUAUAUUCUAGAAAACACUUUUAAGAGAAAGUGUUGUUUUUUUUUUUUUUUUAUGUACAGCAGAUAAGUAAUGAGUUCAAUUCACUUCACAAAUAACCAACGAAAUACUUCGAAAGUUCAAACAUUCAUAAAAGGUUGAAACAUGUCCACAAGGCCAACCAUAAGAUUCAGUAGAACAAUUAUUAAAAUUGCACAGGGGAGAACCUCUCUAGAUACCCAACUAGGUCAAUCUUUUAUAUCACUGGUAGGUCUAAUCUUCUCGUUCAUUUCCGAUUCAUAUCUAUCACUAAGAUCCCAUUGGAUUACAUAAGAUCGGCUAUCAUUCUUUCUCAAGAGUGCGGGUUGCCUAAACCCACACCACAACCCAUUCAUUGUUCUUGCCGAGCCAUACUUAAUAUAAGUCUAUAGGCGUAAGAAAUGGAAUAAUUAGGCAUAGAAGAACUUAAAGCAUAUACAAGUUACAAAUACAUUUAGAAUUAGAAGCUUGAUUCUUUACAUAUAUCAAAAGUCAUAAUAUGAAUCAAGAGGUCACAAACAAGCCAAGUAAAGUACAUACCAAGUCAAAGUCAAUAAACAAAAAUGAACAAGUGAUUAUCAAAAGUGCAUCCGUUUCUAAGGCACAAACUCUUAAGUUCUACUUCCAUCAUUCCACUACGAAAGAUCACAAGUAGUGCUUCACUAGAUUAAUUGGAACUAAAUGAUCCCCAUUCCUUAACAUGUUCAACUUUAACCCCAACACAAGGAUCUUCUAGGCCAUGGUCUUCUUCACCACUCGCUCUUUAUUAUUGUGCCAUCUUAGCCAAACGAUUAUCGGUUUCUUGUAACUAUUCACGUGAAAUAUCGAUUCAUUCUUAUUCCCUGCAAAUGGAGAUCUCAAGUCCUUAGUAUUAUCCUCAACGCUUGAGCACUCGGAUACAAGAAUCCGAAAUAAGAUAAUUCACAUCUCAAGCUGGCCAGUUCCCAAGAGUAAAUCAUCACAUUUGAGAUUCCUACCCAACAUACAUACUAAAUAUUUUUCCCAAAUAUCAAGACAAAGGGGUUUAUACCUAUUACAUUCAUGAUUCACAGCUUAUACUCUAGAAGAGUACUUAAGUUUUUACUCAUUCACAUAAUAAGGACCAUAACACCACUUGGUCCAAGCUCACUCCGCGCACAGACUACGCGAAACGGCUCUGAUUUUCAUCCCUACAAGCGGUCAGUUAACUUUCAAACCAGUCCCACAGUCUGGCAUCCUAAACUUUUAAGCCUAGGAUACACUACAAAGAUCUGAAACCUAAGCUCUGAUACCAACUGUGACGCCCCCACUUCUCCCAAGGGCGAACCCAAGGGUAUCCGCGGAACGCCUGCCCAACUCUCGCCAGGACUCGAGACAAAUCAAUUCUGUCGCGCCCCACUUUUUGAGUUUGUGAAUGUAGUGUGUAUGUGAACGUGUGUAAAAAUGAAAAUAAAGGCCGGGGGAUUGUGAAAUGCGACGGUUUGGCCAAAUAAAGUUCAAAAAGGGUUUUUGAAUGGAAAAUGGAGUCGCCACUUGGUAUAGAGUUAGGGUGUACCAAGUCACCCAAAAAUGAAUUUUUUGAAAAGCAAAGUAAACAAACCCCUUUUUAAGAACUUUUAGGUCUACGUAACCAAAGAAAGGGAUCGGGGGUCACAUUUGAUAAGGGAGAAGGCAAAGGCAAAGCCUAAGGCACUCCCUUACCCUAGCCAAAGCUAGUUGCGCGAUUUAGCCCCACGUUUCCUAAUUCUUUUACCCAAAAUAUGCGUUGCAUGUUGGAUAUGACUAAUGGAUAUGAAAAAGAAAUGCAAUCCUAAAUCUAAAAUGUCUCUUACGAGGCUUUUUGGUCCCAACCACAUGAGUUGUGGUGGCCAAUAAGGAAAGUCCUCAUAGAGGUCGCGAAUGAUGCAAAUGAAGACUCAAAUAUGAGUGCAAGUAUGAAAAUGUAAGAAAACGUGCAUGUGUGCGAAUGUAAGACAAGUGCAUGUGUGCAAAUUGGGAAAAUAAAGGUGUUUGUGUGCAAAUGGAUGAAAAUAUGAUAGUAGAUACAUAUAAGUGCAAUUGGGUGCAAUUUGUGAGGUAGAAAAACAAGUGACAAGAAGAAAAAUGUGUGAACAUGGCAUUUGUAUUGAGAAGGAUAUAAGUAGUGAGAAAAUGUGGAUAAGAGGGUGAGGGAGUGACAUGAUGAGAAUGAAAGUGCAUGAACCUAGGGGUAUGCAUCAAGUCGGGUACGGGAAUGACUCCUAAUUUCACGACUUUAAUUUUUCCUUUGAUUAGAAGGAAGAACUAGCGUGUUAAGGCUAUUUUGUAUCCACACUCGCUCGUUUACCUUACCAAAAGGGGACUCUCAAGCAAAUGUACCCUAUAACUAGCAUGAGGAUGCAAAAACCUAAAAUGAAGGGGAAAGGAUUGGAGGAUCAUGCCAAAUGCUAGAAAACUAAGAAAAAUGUGUGGAAUGUAGUGAAACAUGAAAGUAUGCACUAACGAGAGGGGACGGCCUAUUGGGGUCUAGCAUUGGACUAGCCCUUUUCUAAAAUUCUCUCGCAAGCAUUGGACUUGCGAGAGCUCGAGGGGAAAGACCAUGGCCAGCGUUGGACUAGCCACGGUGACGCAUUCAUCCAUCACCUUCAUCUAUGACUACAGAAAGCAAGUAGACAUGCCAAUCACCUAUAAACACAUAGCACAUAACACUUAGUAUGCUCGACUAAAUGCAAGAGCCUAAUAAAGCAAAUUAACACGUAGCAACAAAAGCAAGCAACCAAGCUAAUGAACCUAUUACAUUUGCUAACUAAAACAAAUGGGGAGGAGGAAAAGUGAAUAAAAAUGCUCUCCAAGCCCUAUCUAUUACAAGCCAAGAGGUGUACACAUACCCCAUAAAAGAAUAACUUAAUAAAAGCAAAAGUAAAUGAAAUGAAUGAAAGGAAUUAAGGAAAAAACCAGGAAAUCAAAGUAUACAUGCAAUUUCUCACUUAGCACGUUGGAUCACAUAGGAGAGAGACAAAAAAGAUAAAAGAAGUUAUACCUCCCUUGAGUUGAUGCCUUAAAUGGAGUGAAAUCACUUAUUUAUCCUCCAAAAUAAAAGAAAUGGUCAAGGUACCAAUUUAUUUGGGAAAAUUAAAGAAAAUAGGCAAACACAAGCUCACUUGGUCAUAAAGCCCAUAAAGUCAUGACUUAAGUGCAAUUGAAACAAAGCAUAGUAAUUAAUUGAAACGAACAAGCAAUGAAGUUGUAGAAUUAAAACUGCCAAGGACCAAAUUGAAGAAAUUAUUCAAUUGGUUGGGUCAUAGUAGAACAAGGGAAGACUUGGGGGGCCAAACUGCAAUUUUGGAAAUUCUUUUCAUGCAAAUUCCAUGCAAUCACGUAGAAGGCUUUCUGCAAUAAAGAAACAAACAAGACUGCUGCAUUUUUUUUGUUUCAUUGGCAAACACCAACUACAGAUUCAAUCACACGCCAUAACCAAAGUUUCCUUGAUCUAGCAUCCCAAAACCUUAAACUAGACAACAAGACAUAAAUUUGACAUCCAAACAAGCAAAAACAUAGGAGGAAAUCAUGCUUAAGCUCAGACCCUGAAAUAAACAAGAUGCCAAACAUGCUAUGAAUCAAACACUCAUCAGAGAAAAACACAUGCCAAGCUGACGUUUUCCUUCCCACAACACUUUGUCUUCGACUUCAGCAUACAGGAAGACAGCCAUGAAUAGCUGGCUGAAGCCUCCAACUUCAACUCUUAAAGACAUCAAAUUCCAAAUCAGAAAAUGAAAACCAAAUGCGUGGGUAACAUUCGAGUCCCUCCCAAUUCAAAAUGUAUUCGCAAGGAAAUAAUCUUCUGCACUGAUUUGCUUUUUUUUAGCUUUGCAGGUGACCUGAUAGCAUGCGAUAAUCUUAGCCAGGAGAAAAAUGAUCCCAAACAUUUAACCAGCUUCCUAAACUCAUCGCAGAACUACAACAUUGAAUGCACAAACAAAGGGAAAAAUCUGAGCAAAGGAGGAAUUCAUCAGACACCAGAUUCAUUCAUUGGUUUCAAAGCAAAUGACUUUCCAAACACAGCUUUAACACAAGAUGUUAUUCACGGUAUUUCACUCCAGUAUAGACAACAAAAAACAAGCAAGAUAAUCGAGUCAUAGCUUCAGCAAAACAAAUACGUGAAAAUGACAACCACUACAACCCAAAGUAAAACGCAUGGAUUGGUCAAACGUUGCUGCAAAUAAGUUGUAGCAGACGCAUACAAUGACAUCUCCAUCCCAACAACAAACAGACCCAAAAGCAUAAUCAAGCCAAACCAGAACCCCAGCUACCCGAAAACCAAUCUAGUGACAUAGCCGAAAACCAGUCAUGUACAUUAUCUCAACCCAACACAAUCUUAAACCAAAAAACCUCAUGCGAUCUACCCCCGGGCCGAAUGGACAAAGCUGCAGCACAGACAUCAUGCACAGGCAAUCAUGGAACAACAAGAACCCCGACAAGAGAGCAGAGCCCACAGAUUGAAUGACCAAGUUCAAUCAAGACUUCGUUUUUCUACCACUCUGACUGGACAAUUCUUAAACUAAGCAACCAAAGCCAUGGCUGUUCAAACAACAACGGAAAAGAAAAGAAAAACAGCAAACAAAAGGGAAAAAUGCAGUCUAGUCGAAUGGGCAAGAUUGUAGCAGAGUUUCUUCCGUGAAUUUCUGCAACCCAAACCAAUCCCAUUAUUCUGUCUCAUACAAUCUUCAAAUCCUAGCAUAGCAACCGAAGAGAGACUCGACCAAGCUACCAAAUUUAAUAGAAGAAGGAACAGCUCUUUGGCCCAAAAAUGAACGGAAGGAAAAGUGUGGGAAACAACAGGGAACAGGCAACCAUAAACAUUCAGUCACGACCAAAUCUUGAAGCGAGCAGGAAGGAAAAAAACGAAGAUUACCUCUUUACUGCCCUCGGACUUGAAACUGCAGCCGGCAUGCUCUCGCUCCCUUGAUUUUUCCCUAUCUCUCAAAACCCCAGCCGUCAACUACAGCUUCUUUGCCCGUCACCUUCCUUUCUGAUUUCUUUCCUUGGCUCUCCAAGCCAGUCCACAGCUUCCUUGGCUUUCUUUCCUUUGUCUCAGCUCUCUCUCUAUCCCCACUCUCACCGAGCUCCCUCUCUCUCUCUCUCCCUCCUGGUUUUUCUUUUGUUUCCGCCGUCACCCCUUCUCUUUCUGUUUUUGCUCUCCCUUUUGUUGCAUCGGCCGUCCCUUUCAGAAUUUUUCCAGCCGUAAGCCGCUCUCUCUUUUUCAUCUGUUUGCUCUCCUGGUUAUGGUUUUCGCCGCCAACCUUCCCCCCUAGAUAUUUCAACCGUCACCGAACCCUCUGCUUUCCUUGCUAUCUCUCUUGGCUUUUAUAUCAAACAAAGGCACUAAACCCUCCUCUAAAGGGUUCUGAUGAAAGCCAAGUCAUUAGUUUUGUGGAUCAUCCGAUGGUGAGUAAAAAAAGAACAAGGAUGCGGUGCCUUCCUGUUAAUUUUCCGUUUUCCCCUUUCUGCUUGCAAUGUGAUAUGAAGAAAAUGGGCACGGAUCCUGUGUAGCCCGGGUGCAUGAGCUUUUUUUUUUUUUUCUUCAGAACCUCUUAAAUGGCCCAAAACCCGCUAUCGGGUUUUCCUUCGUUUUCCUUUUUUUUUUUGUUUGUUGUUUUUUGUUGUUUUUGUUUUUUGUUUUUUUUGUUUUUUUCAAAAAUUCUAUGCUAAAAUGACUUAAAACAAAAAUAAAAGACUAAAAGUAAAUAAAAACUAACAUGAAAAAUAAAAAUAAUAGUAAAUAAAAAUACACUAAAAAUUUGGUGUCUACAGAUUCAAGCUUAACAAUAUAUAAAAAUUAAUACUAGUCUAAUAAGGAAAAAUCGCUUCCAUAAUCGAAUAUCCAAGUCUUACACCACGAGUUCAAAAUACAUCAGUUACCCAAUUCUUACAUCAGGAUCCAAAAAAUACAUCAAUUUCCAAAAUAUACAAUAGCCAAAAUGUCUAGUCGGUUACAUUUGAAACCCUAAUACAAAAGUAUAUCCAAAGGAUUCCACCGAGUUUCACUCCAUCCAUUCCUGUUAAGGAAAACAAAUCUACGGGGUGAGCAAUUGCUCGUGAGGCCAAGAAAACACACAUGCGAGCACGUUGUCCAAGUAACAAUCCCAAUAUUCAAGUAGAACAAUAAUAUUCUAGUAAAUUACAAUUCGAACGAGAAAAGUAAACAGAAACAAUUCAAGGAUAUAGGAGCUCUCAGGAGCUAUUUUCCACUUGCUUCGCCACGGCUCGGUCCAAUACCCCCUCGUGAUGACACUCCGUCAUCCGGAUGGAUAUUAUAUCCGUAGAAACUUCACUUAUUACUUCCUCCGGCCAACAUUCCACCCUCUCGGAUCCGUAACCAAACACGCACGAAAAAGGUGAUACUCGUCGAAUAUGCCAAACGAGAUCUCAAGAGAUCAAGUUUUUGAUGUGAAACCCCGAUCUAGACAACCAAAACACCAUGGCUUAGGCAGCGGAAAUUUGACUCAACUAAUCCCUAGAAGUCACGAACAAUUUUGAUAUUAUCUCAACCCGUAACUACUCGAAUUAACGAACCAAAUUGGAGGUAGUAGAACGCCACAAUCAAGGAGAUACUCGAUUGAUAAGUUCGGGUGAAUAAUUUGAGAAGAUUCUCAAGUAUUCAAAGGAAACUCUCUUGCCAAAGAGAAAGUGAAAACUCACUAAUUGUAUUAAAUAGCCAAAACUGAUCCCAAACAAAGAGGAAGUGGGGCUAUUUAUAGCCCUUACAAGCAUUAACCCUAAUCCAAAAGUUGACCAAACUACCCUACAUACUUAAGAAAGAUUUUGGGCCUUACUUACUAACAAAUGGGCCGUAAUUAAACUAUCUUAAUUACCUAGACUUUUUAAAACGAGAAAUAACCAAAAUCAACGAGGAAAAUCAAAUAAUCCUACUAAACUCAAGCAUUCGUGCAAUCAACUAGUCUUCACUUGAAUCUUCCAAUUCCCCAUGUGCUUGAAUGGGCCUUGGUCUUUAUAUUCUCAUCAUUCCCCUCCUCUUAAAAGCAAUUUGCCCACAAAUUGAAGGACGAAUGGUGACAAGACGAGUUACAUGCCUUCGACUCAAUCUUGUUAUGAUGGCUACAGAUGGCAUCCAAUGCAAAGCCCAUGUGCUAAGUUGGAAAAUAACCCUCGUCGAACCUUGAAUCUCACAAACCAUCUUCAAUGUAUGCUCAACUUUAUUGUUUGUGGUCAUGAGGUAAGGGUCCUCAAAGUGGUAUGAAGUUUAUCCCGUGAAAUCGAACUCCGGCUCGAACACACUUGCAAGGCACCAAGGCGGAUUUGGUGAUGUUGGAGCUGCAUGUGGACUAAGAGCAAGACGAAAAUCAUAAUGGUCAUUGAGGUACUUGUUCUUUAAACGAACCCUUGGUACACAACCAUCCCUAAAAUAUGGAGUGUUCCCUUGAAGAUGAGCUCGAAUCAACUCCCCUUUGGUGUGGACUGAUUUGAGUUGACAUUGUUCCAUGAAUGGAUACCAAGGGGGUUUAACUCUUGGAGUACCAACUCCAUGGAGGCUUGCAACGUCUACAAUUGAUUUUGGAAUGGAACACACCAAGAUCAGCUCAACUUGCCUUUGCUUGAUCUGUAUAAAAGAAGAAACACUAAACAAAGCAAAGGUAAGUUUGUUAAGAAAAUAAUAGGCCUUCACCGGGUUGCUCAAGAUCAGCCCACUUUCUCUUCUUUCUUCCUUUUUACCACCCAUCUCAUUAGAUUUUUCCAUCUCUUUUUCUAGUUCAACAGCUGACCCUUUUAUCUCAUUACUUUCAACUUCCUCGGGUUUUACCUCUGCAGGCACAAUUCCCUCAUCUAGCUUUUUCUCCAUUCUAUAACGCUCAAGCUCACUUUUCAUGCAUGCUAGAUCAAUACAAAGUUGGUCAUAAGUAAGUGAUACAAGUGCAAGACGACGACUAUUAAAUAAGAAGGAAUACUUAUUAGUAUGUCCAUCAAUUUUAACUUCUCGCCUCGACAUCCAUGCUUUGCCCAACAACACAUGUGUCACUUGAAUUGGGACUACAUCACACAACACCUCAUCCACAUAUUUGCGAUUUGAAUAGGUACAAGUGUGUGCUUAGUAACCCAAACAUCCCCAUGAGUGCUCGUCAACUUGUACGGUUGAAGAUGAUCAAUGGUUGGAAGAUUUAAUUUCUCAACCAUGAUAGCACUUGCAAGAUUGACUUCACAACUACCAUCAAUGGCCAAGCUACAAAUUUUAUCUUUGACACCGCAACGAGUAUAAAACCAACCAAGCAACUGAGAUUUGACGAGGUCCAAUUGCUCAUCUACACCACGUAAUGCCACUUCUUUGACUCCCUUAGGAUCAGGAAGACAAUGUUGUGGGCUAGCUUUUAUGCGUCUUAUACUUGCCAUGACGUAUGAGGGAACCUGCAAAAAGUUAGCAACGAAACCGAAGAUAUUGCCUUUCACGCUCCCUUACGUGUAUCCACUCGCACUCGUGUAUAUGGAUGUCACUCUAAUGGACUUACCAAAUACCUUUACCUGUUGGGUUAGGUAGUUGAGAAAUGCUGCUCAAGUCCAACAACCGUUACCAACCUUUCCACAAGUGUAAUCACAAGAAUGUAGGAGAAAAUGUAGGAAAGUGUUUCUAGAAUCUAGGAAGAGAAUAUAGGAGAGUUUCCUAAAGUGGAUGAGAGAAUAUAGGAAAGGUCCUAAAAAUGGAUGAGAGAAUUUUAGGAGAGUUUCCUAAAAAUUGGAUGAGAGAGUUUAGGAAAAUUUCCUAAAAAUGGAUGAGAGAAUAUAGGAAAGUUUCCAAAAAAUGGAUGAGAGAGUUUAGGAAAGUUUCCUAAAAAGGUAGGAGAGAGAGUGUCCAAGUGAGUACAAAGAGUUAUCCAAGUGCUUUACUUAGUUUCCUAAUUGAUUUUGGAAACAAGUUAGUUUUUGGAAACCUUAUGAAAAUCCUCUUCCUCUUGAACAACUUUUGGUAACCUUCUUGAAACAACUUUUGGUAACCUUCUUGAAACAACCUUUGGUAAUCUUCCUGAAACAACUUUUGGUAACUUCCAAAUUCUACUCCAAGAAAGAUUGCACAAAUCAGAUUUGGUUUUCUAUUCAAAACAAUUCGGUUGCCCCUUUCUUUUCUAUCCUUUCCUUUUUUUUUUCUCUUGCCAACCAAUUCCUCUUUUCUUUCUUCUUUUUUUUUUUGUUUUUUUUUUGACUACAACUAUCAACCACGACACAAAACAAGGAAGUCCACAAAUAAUAACAACCAAGAACUCCAAGAUCUUUCAAGAACGUUCAAGGAAGUUGUCAGGAACUUCAGAAAUUUCAAGAUUGUGGUCAAGAAUUCAAGAAGCUCAAGAUUAUUGUAAGUUCUCUUCAAGAUUCACAAAAUUCCAACAAGUUUUGCCAAAAUUCAGAUUUAAAAACCAAGUAAACAAGUUGGAUAACACAAACAACAAGGCUGGAUAGAUUUGUAUUCGGAUAAACAGUAAUUAUGAACAGUGUCGGUGAACAGCGUCGGUGAACAGUACGAUGAACAGUAAUAUAUAUAUAUUUUUUUGGUUCUAAACAAACGAACAGAUUGGGAUAAACAUAUAUGACUCGAAAUAAAUGAAAAAAAAAAGAUAUAACCUGGUGGUUGUCGACUAGCUCUGGUACCAACUGAUGUGAAACCCCGAUCUAGACAACCAAAACACCAUGGCUUAGGCAGCGGAAAUUUGACCCAACUAAUCCCUAGAAGUCACGAACAAUUUUGAUAUUAUCUCAACCCGUAACUACUCGAAUUAAUGAACCAAAUUGGAGGUAGUAGAACGCCACAAUCAAGGAGAUACUCGAUUGAUAAGUUCGGGUGAAUAACUUGAGAAGAUUCUCAAGUAUUCAAAGGAAACUCUCUUGCCAAAGAGAAAGUGAAAACUCACUAAUUGUAUUUAAUAGCCAAAACUGAUCCCAAACAAAGAGGAAGUGGGGCUAUUUAUAGCCCUUACAAGCAUUAACCCUAAUCCAAAAGUUGACCAAACUACCCUACAUACUUAAGAAAGAUUUUGGGCCUUACUUACUAACAAAUGGGCCGCAAUUAAACUAUCUUAAUUACCUAGACUUUUUAAAGCGAGAAAUAACCAAAAUCAACGAGGAAAAUCAAAUAAUCCUACUAAACUCAAGCAUUCGUGCAAUCAACUAGUCUUCACUUGAAUCUUUCAAUUCCCCAUGUGCUUGAAUGGGCCUUGGUCUUUAUAUUCUCAUCAGUUUUGAUCUUUAGAAUGCGCACGAAAAGGGCGAUACUCCACGAGUAUGCCGAACAAGAUCUUAUAAGAUCAAGUUGUGUUUUGUUAUUUUCUUCGUUUAUCAAGCUUCUCGACCAAGCCCAUGCCGGCUCGAGUUGCAAGAUAGGCUAAGAGAAUUGGGCGUCCCCAUAAGUCGAGGAGAUUCUCUCCACCCGACAACACGACACGCACGACACACACGAUAACAUGUUAUGCACACGAAAACAAGUAUAUUUUAGUCGACGAGAUUCCCUCAAAUCGACUUUGAAAAUCAAGUUAAUGCAAGUAAAGUUCAAUUAAAGGAGAGCGAGUGCGAUAAAGUACACACUCGUCUCAUCAAGUGAUAUUCACGUAUGUAAGCAAGUAAAUCAAGUAAACGCGACAAGUCAUGCACUUGACACUCACCAAUUCAAAAGUAAUUGAGCGAGUAAAAUCUUUAGUUGUCCCCUCCGAGAUUCUCUUCAAGAUUUGCUUGAGUACCUGAAACAAUUAAUAAGCAUUUUUCACUCAUAAUCAUGCAUUAAUCAAGAAAGGAGUUACACUCAUCUAGACUAGUUAAUACCUCAAAUCGAGAACCUUAGCCGCUCAAAAUAAAGGUUCAAAAGUGAGAAUUUAUUAACACAAGAAAAACUGAUUUCCUUCAUGAAAUCGAGUUUAAAGCGACCAAUUAUCAUCAAGAAAGAAUAACGAGUUUUCAAAAUUUCAUUUUCUAAGAAAUCGGCAAAUUUCGGCUUUGCGCGUCAAACUUAGAAAAAUCAGAUCUUGCCCUCAAUAGGUCCAAAAUUGGAAAACAUGGUACCGUUGGAAAUUACUUCCGAAGUACUAAAAGUUCCUAGAAGACACUUUUCCAUGUUUCAAAUUGGAAGACAUUCGAAUUUUGGCUUCAAGUUGCUGUUUUGGAAUACCAAGACAGAUUUGGAUUGAUUUUCGGCAAAGUUUGGAAAUUUGGUAUAAUUCAUACAAUACGAACUAGCCUCUGAAAUUCGGAACUCGAUCAGAGUUACAUUCAAAGUUUACAACACAAUAAGAGGAAAAAGAAUUGGAGUUCUGAGCACCAAGAUAUGGUGGCUCAAAGUUGCUGAAAAAUGAGACCAUUGGGCCAAUUUUCCAGAAUUAAAUCGCUAACUUUGGAACGUUGGUUGAACAUUGAAAUGGACUCAGAAUGGCACCAAAUUUGGUAGUAUUAUCCUACCAUAUAAGGGAUAUUCCUCUACCAAAUUUUAUAGGAAAAUUCAUUCGGGAAGUUGGUUAACAAAACCACCACAGUUUCCCAAGAAGUUCCAUGGCAAAUCUGCCUCGGACUUCCGUUUUUCCGUUUUCAAGCAUUUGGCCAAGGAAAUUUCCUCUAACAUGGUUCAUUUGUGUAGACAAGGUCUAAUAACAUUCCAAGAUAGGUUUGGUAGGUGAUUAACACCAAGAAUCUCGAAUUAACAAGUCCCAAUCAAGUUUAGUAACAAUUCUGCCCAAAAGGAGGGUUUUCCUUCAAGAAGUCAGUUUCGAAAUAUGGUCACAAAUCACUCAAUUCAACUCGGAAUUGGGCAUGGUUGGUGGCAUUGGAAAACAAAUUCAUAAAGUUACAAUUUCUCAGAAGAAAUCAUUUUUUCAAAUCUGUCCACAACUAGUCCACAUUGGAGCCUCAAGUUGUAAUUCAUGUUCUGCCUUCCAGGGAACUAAUGAAACAGGGCAGCCAAGUUCAAACGGUUGGUACGGAUUACUCAUGUGGAAUCAGGAUGUGCAUUUUAUACCGUUGGAAAGGUGGGAAUGUUUAGUUUCCAGUGCCACAAACGACGCUCAAUUUUGACAUCGGAGUAAAAAGUUAUGGCAGAAAGAAAAGGACUGCGUGGGCAAUCCGGGAAAAUUUUCCAGUUUUGCUAAACCUUUGAAAUCACUACGAUUGACCAACAAACUCAUGUUAUUUUUUAAUGAAACUUUCUACACCAUUCAUAUAACAUGUAUACAUCCCAAACAAGUAAUUAGAACCUCAAAAUUUUGCCCCAAAGUGCACGAACAUGGCAGGGAUAAAAUGGUCACUUUUGUUCAUUGCACCUUCCUUGAAUUUCUACCAACAACCCAACAUUAUUCCACUAAUUUAAGCACUAAACCAACAUUAAUAGCAUCAUCAUUCAUCAAAUCAGUCCAUCAACAAUUUUUUCAACAUAAACAAGCUACCCACAUGAUUAAAUGAACUUAUAAGUGUAAUAGAACUUCCAUAAACCAAGAUUUGAAGGCUUGAUCGUUGCUUACUUGUUUAGAUGAACCAAACAGAAAUUUCAGUCCAAAGAUGCUCAAGAAAAACCGUGGAAAGCAGCCCAUUUUUCCUAGCUUGAUGCACUCUCCAAGUGAUUAACUAAGUGUAGGUGAAAUUUGAGGUGAAUUGGAGGAAGUUUGAUGAAGAUUUGAUGAAGGAAUUUGAAGAGCUUGGAGUUAUUUUUCUUGUCUUGAUGCACGGCUGGAACAAGGAAGAAGAAGAGAGGCGUUGCUGAUGAAGAAGCUUCCUUGUGAAGCUUAUAAAUUUGUGGACAAGAAUUGCUCCAAAAGUCAACUAAACGCGCGCGAUUCCUCUCGAGUUUGUUUCACUUGUGCACUAAACCUCUAAUGCACUUGUAUUCAUACUAUUAUUAUUCACUCUUAAUGCUCUAAAAAUAAAAGUCUAAAGUCCCUUAAUUAAUCGCGCGCGUGAAAACGCGUACUUCCGAUUUGUGCGCGAUAAAAUGAAUUUUCCAAGAAAUUCUUAUAACGAUAGUAUAACUAACUAUCACUUGAGCACUUAAACAUAAAAAUACCUAUUUCAAGGCUAACGUACAAGUCUCCAAUUUUUCAAAUUCAUUGUACUCUCAAAUCGGCUAUAGUCUCCAGACACGUAUUUACUAUUCUCACUUAACGAGUUUUCAAAAUAAUAACUUUUGGAAUCAAGUCAUUUUUAAAAUACAUGUGAGCCAUAAUUCCAUGUAUUUGAGCAAUAAAAUGUUGAAAUAAAAUAUUCGGAGAAAACGUGUGAGUAAAUAAUUAAUUAAGCCAGUAAAAUAAAAUAAAAUAAGAAAAUUUCGGAUCCUCACAACCUCCCCCCCUUAAAAGAAUUUCGUCCUCGAAAUUCACACUUACGAUAAUAUCGUACCCCUUAUUUGCCAGGUCCACUAGAUCUACCAAAAUUCACAGUUUCUAUAAUUUGCACUAACAAUUAAGCACUGAUUUCUUCAUGGGAAUCCUACCCUCCAAACUAUAGGGCAGCAAUCACACUUUACUUGUAUCACUCACGAAAAUAGGGUUUUCAUAAGAAUAGUCAACUCCAAGGUCAAUUAAAGGUCUAGUUAAAUAAUUCCAUCUGGUGGUUCGAAACUCGAAUAGGAAGAUAUAUUUUCGAUAGAAAACUAACUUUACCAAAAUCUUCGAUUCAAUUUGUCCAAAAAUCAUUUACUGGCAUUCGAUCUCCAAAAUUAACAAUUUUAGAAAUAACCGAAUUUCUUUGGUCCCAAAUGACCACUCAAAUUUUUGUUCAAAUCAAGUCAUUCAUAAUAUGCGAGACAAAAACGAGGGUUUUUUUAUGUAUUUCGGAUAUGUAUGUGGCAAAAUACGAUUCACAAAUUCAAAAUUAAAGCUAAAAGAUACAAACCUUUCUUCAUGGUCUGAAACUAAGUUUUCUUAGUAAGAAACUUCAGGUAAUGUUUUUGCCACCGUCAUUAAUACAUAUUUCAAAUUCCUCAAAUACAUUUAAGAAGAUUAAUCAUACGACUCAAAGCAUGGGUAUUAAAGAGCGUAUAUAAUGAAAUAACAUAUAACUGAAGGAUGUUUCAAAAAUUUCAUCAAAGUUUCGAGUUAAGAAUUACGUUUGAAUAAACAUAUAUUCUAGAAAAUGCUUUUAAGAGAGAAAGUGUUGUUUUUUUUUGAAGUACAGUAGAUAAGUAAUGAGUUCAAAUCAUUCACAAAUAACCAACGAAAUACUUCGAAAGUUCAAACAUUCAUAAAAGGUUGAAACAUGUCCGUAGGACCAACCACAAGAUUCAGUAGAACAAUUAUUAAAAUAGCACAGGGGAGAACCUCUCUGGGUACCCAACUAGGUCAAUCUUUUAUAUCACUGGUAGGUCUAAUCUUCUCCUUCAUUUCUGAUUCAUAUCUAUCACUAAGAUCCCAUUAGAUUACAUAAGACCGGCCAUCAUUCUUUCUCAAGAGUGCGGGUUGCCUAAACCCACACCACAACCCAUUCAUUGUCCUUGCCGAGCCAUACUUAAUAUAAGUCUAUAGACGUAAGAAAAGGAGUAAUUAGGCAUAGAAGAACUUAAAGCAUAUACAAGUUACAAAUACAUUUAGAAUUAGAAGCAUGAUUCUUUACAUAUAUCAAAAGUCAUAAUAUGAAUCAAGAGGUCACAAACAAGCCAAGUAAAGUAUAUACCAAGUCAAAGUCAAUAAACAAAAAUGAACAAAUAAUUAUCAAAAGUGCAUCCAUCUCUAAGGCACAAACUCUUAAGUUCUACUCCUAUCAUCCCACUACGAAAGAUCACAAGUAGUGCUUCACUAGAUUAAUUGGAACUAAAUUAUCCCCAUUCCUUAACAUGUUCAAUUUUAACACCAACACAAGGAUCUUCUAGGCCACGAUCUUUUUCACCUCUCGCUCUUUAUUAUUGUGCCAUCUUAGCCAAACGAUUAUCGGUUUCUUGUAACUAUUCACGUGAAAUAUCGAUUCAAUCUUAUUCCCCGCAAAUGGAGAUUUCAAGUCCUUAGUAUUGUCCUCAAUGCUUGAGUACUCGGAUACAAGAAUCCGAAAUAAGAUAAUUCACAUCUCGAGUUGGCCAGUUCCCAAGAGUAAAUCAUCACAUUUGAGAUUCCUACCCAACAUACAUACCAAAUAUUUUUCCCAAAUAUCAAGACAAAGGGGUUUAUACCUAUCACAUUCAUGAUUCACAGCUUAUACUGGGAGGUACCUCUCGAAUCGUCUCAGACCUAUAAACUGAGCGAUAGUAAGUACCACACCGAUUUGGGUGGGAGGUGCCUCUCGAGUCGUCUCAGGAACAUAAAUGAAAUACGUAAAGUGCUAUGAAUUUAAUUAUCUACCCGGGUGACGGGGUGUCAUCACGAGAAGGUAUUGAAUUGAACUUGGGCAAAGUAAGCAAAGAUUUAGCUCUUGAGAGCUCCUCCAUCCUACUCAUAAAUUGUGAAUUUAUUGAAUGUUAUAGUUUUCACUAUUAUGUAAGUGUUAUUGCUAUUGAAUUACUUAUCUUGCAUGUUUUCGUGGCCUCACGGGUAUCCGCUCACCCCGUUAGAUUUAUUUUCCUUAACAGGAGAUGAAAUGGGAGGAAUUCUAGAGAAGCUUACUUGAUGCUUCAUUUGAUUAGAAUUGUGAAUGUAUUUAUUUAGAAUUUGAUUUUGGAAGCUGUAUAUUUUGGAAAUGUAAAGUAAUUAGGUAGAUUAUGAUGUAAGACUUGAACGUUUAUAAAGGAAUUGACCUUUCUUUAUCUCUUCGAUAUGUAGUAUCGAUUGGUUAUUAUUGAGUUUAAAUUGAAUUAGUACCGAGUCCUGGCGAGAGUUGGGCAGGCGUUCCGCCGAUACCCUUGGAUUCGCUCUUGGGAGAAGUGGGGGCGUCACAAAAUGGCUGUUGAUGUCUUCAUAAGAAAUGUAGCUCUCUAUCUUAGUUUCGAAACACCAUAAAAUGUAACCCAAUCCGAUAAACGUAACUUCAACUGUGACCAAAACGCCGAAAGAUUUCAAACCUGUUACAUAGUUAUUCUUCUUUAAUACUAGUUCCAACUUUGAUUUUGAUAGUUACAUUGCUAGAAUUGUCUUGUAUUGGGAUGACAUUGAGCCUAUUGAAGGGCUAUUGGGUUAAGAUUGUUUAUAUGUGAAUUUGGGCUGAGUUGAGGAAAAUAAUGAAGCCAUAAAUGUCUGGAAAGUAGCUAAAUGCAAAGGGCAUGCCGCCCAAAUUUCACUCGAGGGUUAAGCGUGUGUACUCGCGACUUGAGCGAAGAUUUGAGGUCGAAUUGAACUUGGAUUGUCUAUGGUAUUCGAAUCUUCUUUCGUAGAGGUAUAUAAGCUAAAAUUUGGGUGAAACUUGUACCCUUGAAAAAAUAAAAGUAGUGACCACUCGAAAUAUGCUUUUCUCGUCUUUUAGACUCAAAUGUAAGUUCCAAAGUUUUAGUUGCUUAUUUAGCAACACUAAACGAGCGAGUAUGAAUUUUCUAGAGUUUGAUACGUAACAUGAACUCUAUCUAAAUGAGUUUCAUUCACUUGAUCUUCUUGGAGCGAAAUUCUUAAGUUCGAACCCUAACUGAUUUCAAGCUUUUAAAUGAUAUUGUAUCGCAGAUUUAGAUUCCGACCAAGGAGUUACACCUGAACGUGAUUUUUGACAAGCACUAAAUCUUUGGUGAGUGCUUCCAAAUAUCUGAUUGAACUUGACACUUAUUUUCAAUACUUGACCAAUAUGAUCUAAUGAUAUUUGAUUGGUAUGGUCGGGCAAGGGUGUACUUUAUCGACACUUGCCCUAAUGUGAUAUGUACUUGUUUAUUGUUGCAAUCGACUUGAUAUACUUGUACUUGACUUGUAAGUGCUGAGCGGCAGUAUGUACCACACUCGAUCCGAGUGGGAGGUGCCUCUCAUUCCCGUCUCCGUACUUUUCUCUUGACUAAGUCGAUUGGUCAUCGACUAUAGUGACUAUUUGGGAACCCAAACCCCACUGGCUAGUUAAUCGAGUCGAGCCGGUAAGGGCUUGGUCGAUUAGAUAAUGAACCAUGGGUAUUUAGUGUUGUCGAGUGGAGUGUUAUCUCCUCGACUAACCGAUAUACUCGAGUAUUACCACAAGUGUUUAGUUAGUGUUCGGGCCCAGUAAGGGGGUUGAAUAUUGGACGAAUUGGUGUGAAGCGAAGCACUACUGGAUUGCUUACUUUACUUGAAGGUUGACGGAGUGUCAACUAAUACUUGAUCAAGCCCUAGUGAAGCAAUGCAAAAUUGACUCCUGAGAGCCAUCUGUAUCCUUAUACUUUGACAUGAGUAUUACUUAUCGAGUUAUUGCUUCUUUUGAAAAAUUUUACACUCGCUCAUUUUGAGAUUUGUUACUUGAAGUGUUAUUGCUCACUUUUAUGGACUGGUUAUACUCGCUACUUUGCUACUUUGAUACGUGAGCUUUUCAAUGAUGGUCAACUUGCUAUUUGGAACCUCACUGGACUUUUAGAUCAUUCCAUGCCAUUUUUUUUCCUUACAGGGGAUAUGAGCGAGGCGUGAGACUUGUACAGGCUGGCGUAGUCUAGUUUUUGGAUUUUGCAAUUGUACUCACACUAACACCCGACAAGGGUUGAUUGUACUUGGGUUGUAAAUAGUUUAACGUAUUUGGGUGUGUAUAAGCCUUGUAGUUGGAUUUUGUGACGCCCCUACUUCUUCCAAGGGCGUAUCCAAGGGUAUCGGCGGGGCGCCUGCCUAACUCUCGCCGGACUCAGGUCCAUUCAUACCUAAACUAACGAGCAAUUAAUGGCUAAAUGAGGCAAAUUAAAUAAAAUUCGUUUCCUUCAAUAUAUUCAAACUUACAACACAAGAAUCCGACAUAUACAUUCAGAUUUCCAAAAUACAAGUCCAUAACCAGCCCUUAAAUUUCAUUUCCAAAGUUCUAAAAUAUCACAAAACAAGUCGAUCUCUUCAAAACAUCUCUGAUCCAAAUUACUGUUAAGGAAAACAACUAAUGGGGUGACCAAUCGCUCAGUAAGGCCAAGAAAAAAAAUAAAAUAAAAUAAAACAUACGCAUGUAGUUCAAAUAACAUGAUCAAAUGAUCAAAAGUAAUUGUCAUGUAGUUUCAAGUAUCGGCAAGUACUCAUAAACACAAAUAAUUCAAGGAUACUAGAGCUCUCCGGAGCUCAUUUCCAGAUUAUUUGCCAUAGUCCCGAUCCACGAACCAGGGGUUGACACUCCAUCAACCGAAUAAAUAUCCAAUCUGUAGAUCUCCACUUACUUCCUUCCAUCCAUCAUUUCACCCUCUCGGAUCCGUAACCAACAGGCAUAUAAAGGCGAUACCAUACAAGUAUGCCAAGCAAGAUCUCGACACAUCAAGCUUUCGGUCCCAAGGUUUACCAAGUUUUCCCGACCAAGACCUCACGAUUGGCUGCGAGAUUAUGUGAUGUGAAACCCCGAUCUAGACAACCAAAACACCAUGGCUUAGGCAACGGAAAUUUGACCCAACUAAUCCCUAGAAGUCACGAACAAUUUUGAUAUUAUCUCAACCCGUAACUACUCGAAUUAACGAACCAAAUUGGAGGUAGUAGAACGCCACAAUCAAGGAGAUACUCGAUUGAUAAGUUCGGGUGAAUAACUUGAGAAGAUUCUCAAGUAUUCAAAGGAAACUCUCUUGCCAAAGAGAAAGUGAAAACUCACUAAUUGUAUUUAAUAGCCAAAAACUGAUCCCAAAACAAAGAGGAAGUGGGGCUAUUUAUAGCCCUUACAAGCAUUAACCCUAAUCCAAGAAUUGACCAAACUACCCUACAUACUUAAGGAAGAUUUUGGGUCUCACUUACUAAUAAAUGGGCCGCAAUUAAACUAGCUUAAUUACCUAGACUUUCUAAAGCGAGAAAUAACCAAAAUCAACGAGGAAAAUCAAAUAAUCCUACUAAACUCAAGUAUUCGUGCAAUCAACUGGUCUUUACUUGAAUCUUCCAAUUCUCCAUGUGCUUGAAUGGGCCUUGGUCUUUAUAUUCUCCUCAUUCCCCUCCUCUUAAAGGCGAUUUGUCCCCAAAUCAUGACUCUCUUACAAAACAAAAGUGAUGAGAGCAUGUGUAUAGUCACCAAGCAGCCUGCAUGUCGCCUUCUUAAGCGAAGAAUGAUCAUGACAUCCUUGUGUGGAACAAGGACAACUCGUGGUGGUGGUAGAUACAUGUUGCGGACAGCAAGAUUUCCAUGACAAUGGUCACACAAGCGACGUCUCAACCCUAUGGGUGGAUCUUGAGCGGACGCCCGGUGAACCAAGGUUUGGUUGGGCUGCGAGUUGUACGCAUCAAGACGUGCAAACACUGCAUCAAAGGCCAAUGUAACUCGACUAGUGUUGGUUGGAAUUACUUGACCAGCACUCUCUUCGCAGAUCUCUAUGGUUGCGGGUAUUGCACACUGCAAGAUGAAGGAUAUCUGACCACGAACAACCUGCACAAAUGAAAACACGUUAAACACCACCAAGGUGGAACGAUCCAGCUCCCAGUGCCCGAUGUUGUCCUCAGGCUUAGCGAGCAGGAUCAAUGUUCGCCCUUUCUUUUCCUUGCCUUCUAAUCGAUCCAACUCCCAUUCCCUCUGUAAAACAUUUUGGUCCUCUCGAACUUGUGUAGGUGAGAGUGGAACAAGUAUGAUCCUUAUCCCUUUAAAAUUAUGGGUCCUCACAUCCUCUCCCUCUUAAGAGAAUUUCAUCCUCGAAAUCCAUACCUUAACUCGAAAACUCCAGAUGUCUCUUUUGCAUCCCGCUCUUAUGAAUUGUAAAACUUAUUCCGCCUUAAAUAUCACGUGAGUCUUGUAUUCUUAAUCUGUUUACGACGAGCGAGAUAACAAUUCUUUCAUGCGGUUCACAGAUUCAAUUGCCUCAAGAAAUUUGUCAAUUCAAGAACAAAUGAUGUAAUAGCCUCUUUAAAUUUGUAUACGCAAUGAACUUUAAAUAUCUCGUAGAUCAAAUUCGAUAAGAUCUUAAUAGCACACAAGUUUUGUCCUACUAGACCUUUACCCUAGUAAUCUUUCAAAAUAGGUAGUAAAAGCCCUCAAGAAUCAAUAACUUCAAAAAUCAUAUCCGGUUCCGUAUACAUGUAUGCAAAUAUCGAGGUACUAAAUGAAACCUUAAAUUCAAUAAUAUCUUAUUGUAGUCCCCAAGUCAUUUAUGAGUAUUACCGCCAAUUUUUAACCCAAAUACGACUUAAAGACCCAAAUCCAUUAAUGCUACUGGUGUGUUCAUUACUCCCAAUGGCAUAAUUGAAUUUCAAAGUACUUACUGUUCUGAUGAACUAGCCUUAAUCAUAGCUUCCUCUAAAAUCCUCAAUUAGUUGUAGUCCUGUAUUAAAUCUAACUUGGAAAGUACUACGGUCUCUUGUAGAUACUCAAAUGAUUCAUUUAUGCAAGGUAAAAGAUAUUUAUUCCUAAUACCCACUUGAUUCCAGCCUCGAUAUUAUAGACAUGGCCUUCUCACAAGGCUAUAAGAGUAACAAAAUUUAAAUAUACGAAUAAGUCAUGAAAUUGAUUAAAUGCAAAGUAAACUUUCAUUUGCUAUAAAAGACCAUAAUAGUUUCAUCAAGUUAGGAUAAGUUUAUCAAAUCAUUUCAAAAGAAAAAGGAAAUAAACAAGAUUGUAGCAAAACAUGCUAAGUCAUCCCUUACACAAAAGAUUACAACCUUAAAAUGUCUCAGUCCAGGCUAGGUUAUAAUCAUAAUCCCUGUCUUUAAGCAAAGUCAGAUCCAUCUUCACUUGUAGAGCUUCUAAUACUUUGGUUCUUCUCAUAGCCAUUAGUAUUAACCACUCCCUCUAACACUCGACUGUCUUGCAGUAGACUUAACGAGCUGCUGAGGAGUUCCUCGGGCAGCUUAAAACUUUAUGCUCAGGACUCCCGCAUGGCAAGCAUUUUCCUUGUUUCCUCCAGCACAUAGUCUCAGUGUGAUUAAACUUGCUACAGUAUCUACAAGUUACUCUAGAAGUUAUGGCCCGACUAGCUUGAGAAUUCUCCUUUUUCUUUUCUUCUUUUCUCUCUGCUCCACAACAAAUUCAUGUUCACAUGUCUCUUUACAUUUCCCUCUUUCAUUAUGGAGUUUCCUUCACUACCCUUAACUUGGUUGCUAGAAAUAUACUGAGGUGAAACUUGAAUAGUGGAUUGCAUCCCCUCGGGCUUUUUCUGAAGUUCCUCCAAUACUCCUUCGUAUUUCUUUUUUGUUUCCAAGUUCUUGUUCCAUAAUUCCAUCUUCUCUACAAACUCUUGUUUGCAUUGUUCUUCCCAGAAUUCAACCAAUUUAGUUUGGAAUUCCAACUCCUUGCGAAGAACUUCUAUUUCUAUAUGCAUAUCUUCCAAACUUUUCAUUCAUCCAUUUGCUUAAUCCUGACUGUCAGCCUAUCAACAACUCAAAGCAUCUAAAUGAGUAGCAAAUCAAAAUUUGAAACUUAACUAUCACAACCUAUAAAUUUUCAUGCAUCUAAGUCAUCCAGGUAUAUUUACUCUUACCUCUCCACGAAUUUGAUACUUAAGAAAAUCCACACACACGAAUAAAGUAAUACCCUUUGAUAUAAUGAUAUGUACUUCCAUUCUAAGGUCUUAUUCACGUAUGUAGUGAAACCAUAAAUUACACGCCAUAUGAAACAAGUUUCAAACCCUAACUUAAAACUGUUAUGCACUAGUAGGACCAAAAUCCUUUUCCUCAAAAUUUUGUCUAAAUCAAACCAAUCAUGACUUACAAGAUAAAGUCAAGACUUUUGAUGUAUUUUGAAUGUAUCUGUGCCAAAAUGCGAUUCAAAAUUUUCAAAAUUAGAGUUAAACAUACAAAUUUUCUUCAUGACCCAAAACUAAAUUUUCUUAGUAAGAAAUUUCAAAUAAUGUUUAACCACAAUCAUCAAUACAUAUUUCAAAUCUCUCAAAUAGAUUUAAGAAGAUUAAUCAUGCAACUUAAUGCAUGAAUUUUAAAACAUAUACAUAAUAAUCAUAACAUAUGCAUGGAGGGUGUUCCAACACUUUUCCUCAAAGUUUCGAGUUAAAUCUAUGUUCGGGUAAAGCGUAUGUCUUAGAAAAUACCUUUAAGAAAGAUAGGUAAACAUGUAGGUUCAUAUUCGCAUAACUUGUGAUCCAACACCUUUACCAACCUUUUAUAUCCAAACCAAGAGCUAACUCUACUAGUACAUAAAGCCCGAUCAUUUCUAAUCUCUGAUUCAUAACAAAUAGGCAUUCAUGUUCCUAAGAAAAGAUUCGAACUUGAGCUCUAUCUGAUUUCGAUUCUCAAACGAGUUCAAAAUGUGUAUACAUAUAUAUAUAUAUAUAUAUAUAAAUUUUGUGAAAAAGUAAAACAAGUGAAUCUGGGUAUAGUAAUAGUCAAGUAAAAUUGAAAGCGCUUUUGUUCAAGUAGAACAAAUAGGUAAUGAGUUUAAGUCAUCUCACCAAACCAACGAAAUACUUUUGGAGUUCAAACUUUCACAAAAGUUGAAAUAUGGCCACAGAACCAAUCAUAAUAUACGUAUAAAGCAACUAUUAAAAUUUUGCAUAGGAAAAUCUCACUAAGUUCCCAACUAGGUUAAUCCAUUAUACACUGGUAUAUCUAAUCUUCUGGUUUAUUCUCGAUUCAUAUUCAGUACUAGGGUCUCAUUAAAUUAUAUAAGACUGUCCAUCAAUUUUUCUCACGAGUACGGGGUUGUCUAAGCCCUCGGCCACGACCCCUUUUUCCCAUUCCUGCUGCCAUACUUAAUAGAAGUCUAUAAGCGCAAGAAAAGGAAUAAUUAAGCAUAAAAGAACUUAAUGCAUAUACAAGUUGCAAAAAUAUUUAGAAUCAAGACAUGAUUCUUUACAUGUAUCAAAAGUUAUAGCACGAGUUAAGAAGUCACAAAACAAGCCCAAUAUGUCAAAUACUGUAUAUAGGCAAUGAAGUGCCGCAAAAUGUAGAAGUAUAUGCAAGCAGGAUACAAAAGGCCUCACGGCGUGCAUCACCCUCCCUAAGUCCUUAGUUAAACCAAAGGGUCAAAAUAUCACUAAUUUCAAUCAGAUCACAUGCCUUUACGAAAUUAGAUCCAAUCAAACCAUAACACAAGCUGAAACCAAAGGUUAUCCAUUCGAAGUUCAAAAUCUUUAAUAAGCAAGCCACCAGCCAGAGCACCAUCAUCUCCAAGAAUAACCAGUCUUAGGGUUUUAUAGUUAAAGCUUCAAGCUCCAAGUUCAAACCCAAGAAAUAAGUACAACUUGCUAACUUACGUGUCAAAUGGAAACCAAGUCAAUUCACACUAACUUCGUGCUCUUGAAUGCAGUUACUCUAUAUCUCAAAGUUCCCUCAGUCCGUACACCUAAAGAUAGACUCACUCUUCUUGAAAACCAAGAAUUUUAAAACAUAAGAAGAGUAUUUAAAGUAACAAAAAUCUUAUCAAGUUCAAGAUUUACAUUAUAAAAACAUAAGUUCGCCAUUCUUUCGAAAACUCAAGAUUUUUUUUUUGUGUAAAGUAUAGACAAAUUCAAGUGUGAGAAUACACCAAUAUACAAUCAAGGGGGAAAAACCUAGUUUAGAAAAUUUUAACCUUGUAUCAGCCCAUCAUAUACAAAAUUCAACAAACUCAUCAGUUAUUCACAAAAUUUCAAAUUGAAAUUCAAGUAAAAUUCACAUAUUUACCAAAAUCGAAAAUUUAUACAUACUUAAAGCAUAUAUAUAUUAUUUCCAAUCAUCGUUUGAAAAUAAAACUAGUACAUCCUCAUUUUUCUUUAGAAUUUCAAAGCAGAAAUUCUCUAGGAGGUAAAUGGGCGGGAAAAUGCAUUUUAUUCCUUUGAAACUCUUUUAUCUUGGUUCAGAAUCACCAUACAUGGAGUUUGACCAUCAAAUCUCGUCUCUUAUCCUCUUUAACCAGUACUAAUAAUUGCCUCACUUCUUUCCACACUUACAAGUAUAAUAAUAAUUCAAAUUCGUCCAAUCUUUCAUUACUAAUCUCUCAUCCCAUAUUUUUCAUCAAUAUAACAUCACCUAAUUCCUCAAUUUUUAUUUCUACAAGUCCCAAGUAAGAAACUCUCAAAUAACCAAUUUCUUUAACCCCUAGGAUACAACAGAUUCUCCAGUUCACAUAAUAUUCAAAUUAAUCCCACAGUCAGGCAUUCUAAAUUUUAAGCCUAGGAUACACUACAAGAUCUAGAGCCUAUGCCCUGAUACCAACUGUGAUGCCCCUAUUUCUCCCAAGGGCGUACCCAAGGGUAUCGGCGAGGCGCCUGCCUAACUCUCGCCAGGACUCAGGUCCAUUCAUACCUAAACUAACGAGCAAUUAAUGGCUAAAUGAGGCAAAUUAAAUAAAAUUCGUUUCCUUCAAUAUAUUCAAACUUACAACACAAGAAUCCGACAUAUACAUUCAGAUUUCCAAAAUACAAGUCCAUAAGCAGCCCUUAAAUUUCAUUUUCAAAGUUCUAAAAUAUCAAAAAACAAGUCGAUCUCUUCAAAACAUCUCCGAUCCAGAUUCCUGUUAAGGAAAACAACUAAUGGGGUGAGCAAUAGCUUAGUGAGGCCAAAAAAUAAAAUAAAAUAAAAUAAAACAUACGCACGUAGUUCAAGUAACUGUUGAGUUUUAGGGACACUACGCAGCGGAAAAAUAAAAUUUUUCCCUAAAACCAUCCAGGAAUCACCCUAGAUUUUACUUAUGAUAUACUAAAAGUAGAGUUUUAGGAUUACCUUAAUCCAAGCGGCGUCUCCCUGCAGCGUUGUUUGAGGAUGGUCAACCCUUGAGCAGUCCAGUCGUCCUGCCUCUACUGAUGAUAUCCACGCUGGAGCAACCCUGGGUCGUCUCACGAACUAUGUAUUGAAGAGCCAGAAAAAGUUGCUAGCCCUUCUUGCUCUUAUUCGAAAAUAUGUGACGCUCACAGAUUUUCCCUUUUGCCUUUUUUUUGUUACCUUCACCCUCUCAACCCCCUCCUCUAUCUCCCCCUUAGGAGUUAAAAGGAGAAAGAGAGAUAAUAAGAUAGAAUGAUGAGUCUUUCUGUUUGAUUCAAAAUCAAACGAUAAGACUUCUCAUCACACAAGACUCUAUCAAUCAGUUAUCUGACAUAUAAGAGAUAAUCGUUCAUUCUUAUUUACUCAAAUAGGCCUGGGAUUUAUUUUCUUUUAAAAUUAAACCCCGAUAAUUUACAUAGUUUUAAUCCAGGAUUAAAUCUCUAUUGCGUGUGACCCAAUAGGUCCCGAAUAAAUUGGUAAUAAUUAUGGCUUAAUAAUUAGAUAAAAUAAAUGACUUUAUUUUAUCAUAACUUAUAAUAAAUAAUUAAUCCAUAAUUAUAGAUCACGAGCGGUGUCUAGCAACACAUCGCAACCGCCCAAUUACUCGGAAUUAGUCAAGGGAAUUUGACCUAACCUUUCCGUGAAAAAUUACCGUGUAAUUAUUAUCCUUUCACCAAAGAUAUCCAAUUAGUCAGGAAUAAGGAAUAAGUGCCAAUUCCCUGAUGACUAAUUAAGUUUUCUAGUUCCCGAAAUUUACCCUGAAUUAGGUUAAAUUGAAGACAUUCUUCAAUUUACCUAAUAGUCGACUUUAGGGCCAAUUUCCCACUAGUGGCCAUUCGGAUAUCAACUCCUUCUAUCAGAGUGGUAAAUCCUAUCUCGAUCACCCAUUCUCUUUACAUGUUUCACACUACAUCCAACUUCUAUACUUUAAGGCACUCACGAAGAGUAACAAGUAAUUAGAGUCAAAAUGUAGCGAUUCACACUCAAGAUACUAUGGUGAUCUCAAGUCGUAGGAUCACUUACACAAUUAUUCACUAGAGAUACACCAUUGGCACUAGAUAGAUAUCCUAACGGGAUCUCUAAAUGGAUCAUUCCAAUGCACUUGUACUUUCCAAAUCAUCUACACAUUAGCCUAGGUAUCAUUAUACCAUAGUUGAUGAGAACAACCACUAAUUACAUUAAUUAGAGGCUAACUGUGUACUAGUUUUACCGUACUAAAGAUGUCCUAUUUCAGUAGUACUAUAACUAGGGAAUUUAAAGAAUAUUACUAUAAAUGCGAUUGAUAUCUCAUAGUCAUCAACUCUUGUGACUACCAUCACAUUAGUAAACAUUCUAAGGAUUUUAUCAGUUAUAUCUAAUAUUUAACAGAUAAAUAAGAAAUUAUUAAAAUACAAAACAUAUAAUUUAGGAAUGUAUAAAAUAAAAACAAAUACAUUGUUUUAGGGCAUACAUUCCAACAGUAACAUGAUCAAGUGAUAAAAAAUAAUUGUCAUGUAGUUUCAAGUAUUGGCAAGUACUCAUAAACACAAACAAUUCAAGGAUACGGGAGCUCUCCGGAGCUCAUUUCCAGAUUAUUUGCCAUAGUCCCGAUCCACGAACCAGCGGUUGACACUCCGUCAACCGAAUAAAUAUCCAAUCUAUAGACCUCCACUUACUUCCCUCCAUCCAUCAUUUCACCCUCUCGGAUCCGUAACCAAUAGGAAUGUAAAGGCGAUACCAUACAAGUAUGCCAAGCAAGAUCUCAAAACAUCAAACUUCCGGUCCCAAGGUUUGCCAAGUUUUCCCGACCAAGACCUCACGAUUGGCUGCAAGAUUACGAGGUUUAACCAUUGGGUUUGGGCAUCCCCACAGGUCAGGUUUUCAAAACAAAUCAAGUUUUAGUCGAUGAGAUUUUCUCUGCAUUCGACUUCAGGUCAUGUACAUGUAAAAUCCAGUAAUUUCAUGUAAUUCAUGUAGCAAGUCAUGUAUUGAUCCAAGUAAAGGAGAUGAAGUGCGGUAAAGUACACUCUUCUCUCAACAAGUAUAGUUCAUGCAACAACAAGUUCAAAUAGAGUUCAUGUAGGCAACAAAUCUCAAGUGAAGUGCAAGUAAACAUGCACUUGACACUCACCAAGUAUCAAAAGUCAAAGAUUGAGAAAUUAGCUCUAAGACGCUUCGCCGGGAGUUCCCUCGAAGUCCUCUUGAGAUUGAAAAUGGUUGGUGGUGUUAGAAACUUGGUUCACAAGGAUAUAUUUAUGUAGAAGAAAUCAUUUCCAAAAUCCAGACAUAAGCGAUUCAAAAUCAAGCAACAAAAUGGAUUUUCUGGACAGUCUCGGAUGAACAGUAAUAAACAGGCAGCCAACUUUCAAAACUCGCCACGAAUCGCUCGGGACGAACUAGAAAAUGAGCUUAGUACCAUUUUAAAGCUCUAAGAGUCUACUUUCAAAUGCCACAAAUGGCACUCAAUUUCGAUCAUUGAGAAAAACGUUAUGAUCUCCACAAGAUCACUGGUCAGAAAAUUUCUGGACCUAGUCCAGUUUUGCCUCUUUGCUCAUAACUCAAAAUUUAUCCAAUCAAAUUGGCUAAUUUAAAUUUUUUUUUUUAGACAACCACCACACACAUAACACAACAUAUAUCACUCACAUUUGUAGCCAAAUUAUACAUGAAAAUAUCAAAGCAAAACAGGGCAGCAAGUCCUUGAAAUUUCGGACAGCACCUUCUCCAAAUUUCUAACUUUCUUCCAACUUCAUUCCAUCAAUUAUUCUAUAUACAUGUAACAUAGCACAAUAUCAGCAACCACAACAUGUUAAUUCAUCAAAUCAGCCACCAAUAAGCAUCCUCAAGCCGUCCAGCAUGUCAUGAAAUUGCAAUAAAAUAAUUACUCAACCAAUCAACCAAAAUUCUGCCAUAGGUUGCAAACCCAUGCUACCUUUGCUCCAUUUGAGCUAUAAUUUUGCAAGAUUGAAGUGUGGGUGAGUGAGUUAUCUCAAGAACUUAGUUGAACAGCUUUAGGACAGAAAUUUUGACCUAAAUUCCUCCAAGAAAACCGAUGAACAGCCCCCUCUUCCAAGCUAGGAUCAAAGACCUCUAAUGGAUGAUGAAAUUUGGAAGUGGAUUGAAGUAAUUUUGUAAGGAUUUUGGCUAGAUUUUUCUUCCCUUUUUUUCUUCCUAUUUUUUGCCAAACAGAGAGAGUGAAGAGAGGAGAGAGAGUGCAAUCAGAUUUUGUAAUGAAAGUGGAGAGAAUUGGUGACUCAAUGGUUAAGUCUAAGUGUCAACUCAUGCUAGGUCCGUUUAGGGUCUUCGCGUGUCCAAUUUUCGCGCUCGUUUGCAACUUUUGUGCACUAAACCUCUGAGGUAAUUUCCCUAGUACAUUAAUAGUACAUUACUAGUAGUCUAAAAUUUGAGCAUUAAAAUAAUAUGCGCUUAAAGAACCAAUCGAUAAAAUUUAUUUUCGAGAAAUUCAUGUGCUUUAGUAAUUUUUUGGGUAACUCAAAUACGAAAUAUUUUUAAAAUGACCAAUUUAAUAAUAUUUUGAAAUAAUAAAAUUAUGGGUCCUCACAGAUUUGAGCAUCAAUGUAUAUGUUAAGUUUGAAAUUAUUGUUUCAUUUCUUUUCUAUGGUCGUGAUAUCUUUUCUCGAGUUAAGCGUGAGUGAGUCCUGGCGAGAGUUGGGCAGGUGGUCAGCUAAACCCUGGGGUAAGCCCUAGGGGGAGGUGGUGUCGUCACAGCUAGGUUUAGAGAUCUAUUUGGGAGAUGUUUUAGAGGCCUUACUCUUGAGAAUAGGAAUGAGAUAAUUUAGUCAUGCCGUAAGUUGACGUUUGAGCGAGUUAGUGACUUUAAGUGUCUAAUAUUGAGUUUUGUGGUUAUUUUGUAGGAAUGAAGAACGGUAAUGGAGGUCAUGCAGUUAACGGUAAUGAAGAGGCUAACGGUCAUGUGGAGACUCUUAGGCCUGUUUACUAUCGAGUACUUGGUGGAAGAUCUCGCAUUCGAUUCUCGCCUUCCUCUAGGUUUUCCCGUUGUCCUUGUAGUGAGACACAUGCCUACUCUAAUGAUCUUGUGCUGUCCAUUGAUGAUGAGCACCGAUAGUUGGUGGCUACUAAUGGAGCAUUACUUCAGGUGAUUAAGGACCUGAACGGUAUGGUGGAUGCCCAAGGUACUAGAAUCAUAGAGCUCGAGAGGACAGUGAUAGAUGAGCGGACUAGAGCCAAUGCCGCUAGUGACGAGUUCCAGAGGACUAGGGCUUACUGGCUAGGUAGUCGAGAAGAUCCGGGAUCGACCCGUUGGGAUCUUAGCUGACACCACCAUGUUGAUAGAGGAGGUGAUGGUCACCAUCGAGAGCCCGGUUCAAGAGGGCGCCCUUGAGGAGGAGCCUUUUGAGGAGGAUCCAGAGGAAGAGGUCCAGCCUGACGGUCCUGCUGAGAACUAGGUUAGGAUUGAUUAAUCUUUUGACUUUUGUAAUUGGGAUUAGUCAGGGUGGUACUAGUUCAAAAGCCAUUGUAUUUUUCUUAACUGUGUGGCCUAUCUUUUGAAACACUUGAAUCUUUAUUUGACGUGCUUGACUAAUUGUACUUUUGUGGCACAUGUGUACCAUGUUUUUGUAAAUGCCCCAUGAUUUGCUAAUUGUACGAACCUUGAAAUGUUAAUAUAUGCUAUUUAUUGUUAUUUCAAAUGCUUUUCUUAUUAACUUCUGUCUUUAAAUAUUUCCUCGCAUAAUUGUUUCUGUUCUUGCAUUUAGACAUAAUUAAGAUCAUGAACGGCUGAAGAAGUGGCAGGGGCCGAGAGCGUGGGGUCGGGCAACCCCAAGCUCAAGGGGAUGAUCAAAAGUCGGCUACUGGACCGAGCCAAGGACAAGUAAAUGAAGGAGAUAACCAAGUAGCUACGGCCAUCAAUCGUAUGACGGAUAUUUUAGAACGGUUAGCAGAGCGACAGGGUCCAGGACUUGUUAACCAAUCCGAGACUCAGGAUAGAAGGGAGGAUAGAGCCUUGGAAAGAUUUUUGAAAUUUGCUCCGCCUACGUUUAUUGGAGGACCUGAUCCCGAGUUAGUGGAGAAUUGGCUGGAACGAAUGACCAAUAUAUUCACUACCUUAGAUUAUACCGAUAAGAGGCGAGUGAACUUUGCUGUUUUUCAAUUUAAGGGGGCAACAUGUGCUUGGUGGGAUGUGAUAAGGGGAAAAUGGGAAAGAGCGCAGACCCCUUGGACCUGUGAAAACUUUAUAAGGGAGUUUGAAGAAAAAUUUCUCCCGCAUUUGAUUCAAGAGAAACGGGAGGACGAAUUCAUAAAGUUGAGAUAUAGGGCUUCUAGCGUGGCUGAUUAUGAGGAGCGAUUUACUAAUUUUUCUAAAUACGCUCUAGAAUUGGUGACUAAUGAACGGAGAAGGAUAAGGCACUUUGUACAAAGAUUUAAUGUAGAGAUUCAAGAAGGGUUAGUAGCAGCCCAAAUCACUACAUUCACUAAAGCCCUAGAGAAAGCGCAGAGAGUCGAAAGUGCAAGGCUGCAAGUUUAAGAUUUUCAUGCCAAGAAAAGAGGCGCUCCUAGUCAUCCUCCUGGACAAGUGGAUAAAGGUGCCUCACCUUCUAAAAAGGAAAAAAGAAGGGGAGGAGUGGAGAUAUGUAGUAAACCAAAAGGAACUCAAUCAAGAGGAGGCCACAAUGGACAAGGUCAAUUGAGAGGGACACCUCCAAGUGGUCAGGCUGUAGCUCCUCAAGUUGUUAGUGGUUAUUGUAGUAAGUCCAACCAUACAGAGAAUGAGUAUUGGAGGAAAUCGGAAAACUUUUUGUACUGUGGCAGUACCGAGCAUCAGCUCUCGAGAUGCCCAAGUGUGCUGAAGGGAGGAGGUAGUACUCAAAGGUCAGAGAAGUCAGCAUCUAAGCAGUCUAGUGCUAGAAAGAGUCGACCUAAGGUGCCGGCUAGAAUUUAUGCAUUAGAUUAUUGGUAGGUUUCCGAUUCCACUAAGGUCAUUGAAGGUAUGAUUCUUGUUUUCCAUCGCUUAGUUAAGGUUCAAGUGACACUGGUAUGACACACUCUUUUGCAAACCCUAGAUUAAUGAGUGGGGUAGACGUGAGAUCGAUUAAGUUACCCUAUGAUUCGGAAGUUAAAACGCUCUGGAGAUCAAAGUUUGAUUACUAAUUGGGUAAAUAGAAAUUGUGAGAUAUGGGUUGGAGAGUGUAAGUUGUUGAUCAAUUUGAUAAGCCUAACUAUUAAGAGGUAUGAUGUUAUCCUAGGUGUGAAUUUCAAGAACGAAAUUCUUUUAGCUAGGGAAGGAUGUGAGAACCCAAAUUUUACUUACUUUAAUUCUAUUUUAUUGGCUUAUUUAAUUAUUUAUUCACCUGUUUUCUCCGAAUAAUUUAUUUCAAUCAUUUUGAAUCCGUUUGCAUAGAACAAUGUCUCACUUAUAUUUUUAAAACGUUCCGCUAGCAAAAAUAAUUUUCUGCGAUUCGUUUAAUAAGGAAUAGCGAAUACACAUUUUUCAAGGCAAUAUUCGAUCCGAAGGUGCAAUAAUCUUGGAGAAUUAAGAAUGAUCAAUAGUAGACUAAGAAAAGUUAAUUGAGGGAUUAGAUGUGAGUGAGUUAAAUUAAGCUUUUAUCGCGUUCGCGUCGAAAGUUUCUCGUAAGUCAUGCCGGUACAACUAAGAGGUGAUUUGAGGAUUUGAUACUAGACUAGUAAGUAUGAAUAAUUACAGUGUUAGGGGAAUUACCUUGGAGAAUUAGUGUGUAAUUGUACCAAACAAUAGAGAAAGUGGAAGUACAAAACCCUAUUCCGCAUUAUUAAGAGUUGACUUUCUUACACACUUUAAUUUAGCUUCCUCAACACAUUUCUUCCACAAGAUUUAAAAAAAACCAAGAAACCCUCUCUCUCUCAUGAUUUUCGGCCGAAAUGUGACAGCCCCACCUCCCCCUAAGGCGAACCAGAGGGUUCGGCGGGCCGCCUGUCCAGCUCUCGCCGGGACUCAGUCGUUCACUACAAUUCUCAAAUGAAUUACAAUAUAAAUCUCAAAUAUUACAUCAAAUUCUCCACUAAUUACAUAACAUAAGCGAAGCGGAAACAAUUCCCAACUAUACAUAAAAUGAUUUCCAAAUCCAAACUGUACAAAACAUAGGCCAUCCAGUCACGUGCACAAGUACUACAAGUCCUUCCUUCGCCUUGAGCCCUGUGGAGGGGAAUAAAAUAUUUUUGGGGUGAGCUAGAAGCUCAGCGAGUAACCAGAAAAAUCAGUAAUCAAAUCGGUUUCACAAUAGUUCAUUUCAAUGAUGUCAUAAAUCAAAUGAUAAGUCCAAAAACAAUUUCAACAUUUACAAGACAUUAAAUAUGGAGUAUCAAUAAUUCAAGAAACAUGUACAAUGGAAAGCGAUAGUAACAUUCAUUAAAAGGAUACGGUCCACAUGGAGCUAUUCGUUUGUUCGUUCGUUCCCCUGACUUUUCCCUUUAUUCCUCCAAUUGUUUAAAAAUACAUUUUUGUAAGUAGAAUCCCUCAUUCAUCCUUUUGUUCGUUCAUCCCUUUUCCGGACGUUGACCGGAAUCCACCCAUCCGGACGUUGUCCGGACUCCACCCAUCCGGACGUAGCCGGACUACAAGGUAAUGCUCGAGUAUACCAAAUUCACCCAGGGUCACCAUAUCGCCCGACCGAGUCCGCUUCUGGCUCGAGUCGAUCGGUAACAAAGGGCAAUGGCCAGUUCAGCCAAAAGGCUUACAUUCAUGCACAAGUAACAUUUAAUCCUUAAUCAUUGAAAAUUUCACAUUUAUUUUAGGUCGAGUGCGAUAAAGUACACACUCGCCCAGAAAACUCGUUUUAACCAUCAUUGAAAGCACUUAACACAUUAUCAAUCCAUAAUAACAAGCCAAUAAGUCAAGGAAAUAUAUCAAACAAGGAACACUCUCAUAUAAGCACGCAUGAUAUGCAAGAAAACAGCUCAAAAGUAACUUUGGAAACAGUUCAAAAGUAAAUAUUGCAAGAAACGUUUCACAAGUACUUUGGAAAUAGUUUAGGGUCACUCACCUCCAUGGCUCAGAAACCAUCCAUCAUAUAGCAUUGCCUUGCUUAAAUCCAAGUCUUAAAUCACAAACUCAAUGCAAACAAAUCCCUUCAAAGUUCGGACAGCACUUCCCCUGAAUUUGCUAACUUUUCCAGCCAUCAUGGCUUCAUUAUUUUCUCAGCCAGUCCCAAAGGUACACACACAACAACAAGUUCAUCCAAUAGCCAUUCAGCAAGCUCCAAGUAGUACAAGUACAAGUCAAGCUAGGGAAAAGUCCGGAAAUGAAAGUUAAGCUCAAAACCAGAAAAACAGGUUUUGACGUCAUUUUGCGGUAAUGGCACCAAAGGUACUACGAUGGUCGGAUGAAGGUGAAAGAUACACCGUUUCGAAGCUAAGAGAUAGGGCUACAAUAUUGCAGGAGGUCACUCAACCCGGUAUCGAGUGUAACCAGGUCAAAAAUGCAAGAUGCUAUACCAGAAUCACAAAAACAGAUUCACAGAACGCAUUCUAGCGGAAACAUCAUAAAUCAGGCUAUCCAAGUCCGAAUCCAGAAAUUCCAAAACCAGCUAAAAGCUAAGAAACAUGGAUACAUUUCAUCAGAAGGCCUCAACAACCAAUUCGGAAGCAUUCCUAACCAAAACAAUCAAUUACAGGCGCAAUUCUUACAUUCGGGUAAAACCAGAACAGCAAUAGUAAUUUCGACUUUUCUCAUUCUACACUACUCCGAUUGACCUGAAAUUUUGUAGGCACCUCUAAAAUGUCAUUACCUACAACUUUCAUGUUUUAAUCUAAGGCCAAUUCGGCCUCUAUAUAUGAGCUAAAAAUUCGGACAGAAUGAAGAACAUUGAAACCUAGUUUUCCACUUUUCCUUCCAAAACAGAAAUUGAUUGUAAUUAAUCACUUUUUCCACCUCCUAGAGUCAUUAAACAUCAUUUCCAAUCAUCAUACAUGACCCCAUAAUCAAAAUCCCCAAAAAUUAUAAAACUUCACCAAUUCAACCAAAAUCAAGAUAUAAUCCAUAAAAGUGCAUCUUAUACCACCACCAAUCAUGAAUUGAACAUCAAUUAAGGGAGGAGAGUGGUUCUUCACAACUCACCUUAGCCAUACAAGAGAUAGAGCAACAAAUCACCUUAGCUUUCCAAACAACUCCACAAAACACCUCAAGACCACUUAGCAAAGAGAUUUUAUGGAAUGAUUUGGAGUUUUAUUGGUUGGAUUUGAAGAUUGAGCAAGAAAUAGAAGGAAGAAAUUGAGAGCUUUUCUUUCUUUCUUGAGCAAGAACAUUCGGCCAAGAAGCUUACAAAAUGAAGCUUAUUUUGAUCAAUUUUUUGUAUUUAUUUGGUAAAGGUAAAGGUAAAGUCAAAUGGUCAAAGUCCAAGAUUAAAUCACAAGGUGACACUUGUCACCUUUUGGUUCAGAACUUAUCUUUUUGUCUCUCCAAUACAAAUAUCUUAACACUUUGUAAAAUAAUAUCACUUAAUACAAAAUCCAACAAGUUGUCAAAAAUAUAUUGCGUUUACCGCACUUGCGGGUCCCACGUUCAAAAUACGCUCUUAAUUUCUCAAAAACUAACCGAUACUAGAAAAAUCAUUUUAAAACUAUUUUUGCUCAUAAACUUUAUUUGGAGAAUUUUUCUAAUAAAGAAAAUGUAGAAAAGGCGGGCGAUUAAAUAAAAUAAACCCUAGAAAAUUAGAAAAUUUUCGGGUUCUCACACUUAUAUUUUUCGGGGCGUCACACGAAACCCCAAGGAAGAAAAGGGAAGAAAGAAACUCCAUUCUUUGACUCCAAGUUUGCUCACUUUUCUUCAUCCAACUCACAAACCACUUGGAUUUCACUCUAUCUUGGAGAAAGAAGCCAUCUUGUGGAGAGUAUAUUGGUGAUAUUUUGGUGGAAAAAUCUUGUCUUCAUCUAGGGUUUAAAGGGUCAUCACUUUAUCUCUUUCAUCUUUUCAUUUAUACAAAGAUUGAUGGUUAGUUUUCAUGGGUUUGAAACCCUAAUGAUGUUUAUUGGCUAGCAGACUUGAGGAGACAUUUAUCUUGCCUUAAAUCCUAAGCUAGAUGUCUUGAGGAGGCCUUUAUGUAGUUUACUUGAGGCUAUAUUGCUUGAUUGUCGUUGUUUAUGUGAUGAAUGAGAUGAUUUUGGCUUGAAAAGAUGAGAGAAAGUUGGAAGAUACCGUGGGAGUGAGUUGGCCAAAUUUCUGUUCUAGUUGUCCUGCUUUUAAUUCAAAAUUUUGUUGCUUAUUUGGCUGUUAAAUUGAUUGAUAUAUGUUGUAUGAUGUGUGUAGAAUGUGCCUUUCGAAAAUCUUUUCAAAUGGUUACCUAAAACUUGAGUUUUGGAAAAGUUUGAAAUCUGGAAAUCCGCUAGCAGGGUAGCCAACCGGUGGUUCUUUAUCUAAACAUAACUCUUUGUACAAAAGUCAAAAUUGAGUGCCAUUUGUGGCAUUUGAAACUACAAAUUCAGAGCUUUCAAACGGUAUAAGAAUCCCCUGCUAGUUUCUUUUGAGUAAACUUUAGCGAAUCGGCAAAGAGGACUGACCUGUUUGGUCUGUCUAUCCGAGAGAAACUGGAAAGCUGCAUAUUGUGGCUUGAUUUUGCCCCACUUGUGAAAAGAUUUUGCAAAUAUUCCUUCUGAUGAAAUGUAUAAUUUUGAAUCUAGUUUCUAACGCCAUAAACCAUUCUCAAUUUGGACUUGUGUAGAGUCAGAUUUGGUCUAAUUUCCAAACUAUUUCAAAGCUGAUAACUGAAAAAUUUUCUCUUCCCUGCUGACCGAAUGGUCAAUUCUAUUUUGGGGUAUUUUAUUUCAAAAAUUUUAGUGUCAUUUACUCAUCAAUUGCUCAUUAAAUGUUCUGGAACAUUGGUUUCAAAAAUGGAGAGAAUUGGGGCUGAUUUCGUUGGACAAAACUUUUGGAAAAGAAAGAAAGAUAGGGUUGGUAGAUUAGCUUUGAAGAAUUUCACAAACUUUGGUCAUUUCGUUAACUACUUUCCCGUGGGUGUUUUUCCCUAAAUUUUGAUAGAAAGGUAGUUCACAUAUGGAAGUUUAAGUGUACCAAAUUUGGCAUAAUUUCAAUAUCAUUUCGAGGUGCAAAUAAUGCCCCAAAGAUUGCUCUUCAAAUCUAGAAAUCCACUGAUCAGGUUGCAAAAAUCAGCCGACUUCAAACUGUUAUAUCUUGUUGAUCAAAACUCCGAAUUUAGUUUCGCUUAUUGUGUUUGAAACUUGAUUUAGAAUCUUGUUGUGUAAUAAAUUUUGGAGGCUGAUUCACUUCCUGUGAAUUUUGCCAAAUUUCCAAACAUCGCUGAAAACCAAGACUGGUUCUGUCCUGUCUUCACGAGACUGUAACUUUGAACUGAAAUUUGAGUGCUUUCUGGUUGGAAUCUUGGAAAAGAAUCUUUUGGGAAGUUUUAGUGCUUUGAGUUAAUUUCCAACGGUAUAAAGUUUUCCAUUCUUGGACGUACCGAACUCAAGAUCUAAUUUUCCAAGUUUUAUCGCGCAAAGCUGAAAAUUUCCGAUUUCGUAGGAAACGAGUUUUUAAGAACUUUUCACUUUCUUUCGAUAUUGAUAGACCAUUUUAAACUUGAUUUCAUGGAUGAUACAAGUUUUCCCUUGUGACUUUAAAUCCUUACUUUUGAAUCUCGAUUUACGAGGGAUUAAAGCUCUUCUAAGACAUUGUCUUAAAUUUUAAGCGUGUGUACUUUCGUCGUUGAAUGCUAAGUGGUUGUGAGUAUAUGUGAGUGAUGGUUGAUCACUAUUUCUUCAGGCGCCCGAGAGGAUUUUGAAGAGAAUCUUGGAGCAGACAACUAAAGACUUCAUUUACUCACUUGUUUUGAAUUGGUGAGUGUCAAGUGCAUGAAUUGUUACUAAAUACUUGAAUCGUCCCUUCUUAAUUGAGUAUUUUGGAUUUGUUGAGUCGAGUGUAUACUUUAUCACACUCGUUCUCUUUUACUUGACUAAAUAAUCGAUUUGCUCAUACUUGAAAAUUAUACUUGUGUUUGACUCAAUGUCGAUUGAAGUGAAUCUCAUCGAUUAUUACACUUGUAAUCGUGGGGGAGACCCAAAAACUCAUUGCCUAACUUUGCGACUCGAGUCGGUACGGGCUUGGUCGAGAAGCUUAGUGUACCAUGAGAAAAUCGUAAAGUUUGAUCUUUUGAGAUCUUUCUUGCCAUACUCGAGUAGUAUUGUCUUUUCUAAUCGACGUUCGGGUCUGGUAGGGGGUGUAACGGUGGACGGAAACUUGACGUUAAGUGGAGUUCUACGGACUUGAUACCUAUCCGGUUGAAAGAGUGUCAUCACGUGGAGGUAUUAGAUCGAGUCUAGGCAAAGCAAGUGGAAUCUAGCUCCUGAGAGCUCCAGUAUCCUUAAUUGUUUCUGUUUAUUUUUCCUAUUUGAAAUAUUAAUUACUUGAAACUUCUAGCUUUACUAUUGUCUCGAUUUCUCUUUCAUGCUCUCUUAUACUUGCUCUAUUAUGUGUUUGCAUGCUUUUCUUGGCCUCACUGAGCGUUAGCUCACCCCAUUAGUUUGUUUUCCUUAAUAGGAGUUCGGAAUGGAAAGAUUUUGGAGAAACCGACUUGAUUACCUUUUGAGUAGAAUUUUGGAUGUAAUCGAUUAGUCGACUUAUGGUAGUUGUAUUUUUGGGGAAAGUUGAUGUACAUUUGGUAACUUGUGAUGUAAGAUUUGAAUGUUUAUUUAAGAAAGCGGACUUCUUUUGUAUCUAUUUUUAUUAUGUUUAAUUAUCCUUAAAUUUGAAUUGGAUUCGUAUCGAGUCUUGACGAGAGCUAGACAGGCGUUCCGCUGAUCUAUUUGGGAGAUGUUUUAGAGACCUUACUCUUGAUAAUAGGAAUGAGAUAACUUAGUCAUGCUGUAAGUUGAUAUUUGAGCGAGUUAGUGACAUUAAGUGUCUAACCUUGAGUUUUAUGGUUAUUUUGUAGGAAUGGAGAACGGUAAUGGAGGUCAUGCAGUUAACGGUAACGGAGAGUCUAACGGUCACGUGGAGCCUCUUAGGCCUAUCUGCUACCGAGUACUUGGUGGAGAACCUCGCGUUCGAUUCACGCUUUCCUAUAGGUUUUCCCGUUGUCCUUGUAGUGAGACACAUGCCUACCCUAAUGAUCUUGUGAUGUCCAUUGAUGAUGAGCACCGACAGUUGGUGGCUACUAAUGGGGGCAUUACUUCAGGCGAUUGAGGAACUGAACGCUAUGGUGGAUGCCCAAGGUGCUAGGAUCAUAGAGCUCGAGAGGACAGCGAUAGAUGAGCGGACUAGAGCCGAUGUCGCUAGUGACGAGUUUCAGAGGACUAGGGCUCGACUGGUUAGGGUAGUCGAGAAGGUCCGGGAUCGGCCCGCUGGGAUCUUAGAUGACACCACCAUAUUGACAGAGGAGGUGAUGGUCGCUGUCAAGAGCCCAGUUCAAGAGGGCACCCUUAAAGAGGAGCCUUUUGAGGAGGACCCAGAGGAGGAGAUCCCGCCUGACGGUCCUGCUGAGAACUAGGUUAGGAUUGAUUAAUCUUUUGACUUUUGUAAUUGGGAUUAGUUGGGGUGGUGCCAGUUCAAAAGUCAUUGUAUUUUGCUUAAUUGUGUGGCCUAUCUUUUGAAACACUUGAAUCAACUUUUGACGUGCUUGACUAAUUGUACUUUUGUGACACGUGUGUGCUAUGUUUUUGUAAAUGUCCCAAGACUAACUGAUUGUACGAAUCUUGAAAUGUUAAUAUAUGCUAGUUAUUGAUAUUUCAAAUGCUUUUCUUAUUAACUACUGUCUUUAAGUAUUUCCUCGUAUAAUUGUUUAUGUUCUUGCAUUUAAACAUAAUUAAGAUCAUGGACGGUCGAAAAAGCGGCAGGGGCCGAGAGCGUGGGGUCAGACAACCCCAAGCUCAAGGGGAUGAUCAAGGGUCGGCUACUGAACCGAGCCAAGGACAAGUAAACGAAGGAAAUAACCAAGUAGCUACGGCUAUCAAUCGUAUGACGGAUAUUUUAGAACGGUUAGCAGAGCGACAGGGUCCAGGACUUGUUAACCAACUCGGGACUCAGAAUAGAGGGGAGGAUAGAGCCUUGGAAAGAUUUUUGAAAUUUGCUCCACCUACGUUUAUUGGAGGACUUGAUCCCGAGUUAGCGGAGAAUUGGCUGGAACGAAUGACCAAUAUAUUCACUACCUUUGAUUAUACCGAUAAGAGGCGAGUGAACUUUGCUAUUUUUCAAUUUAAGGAGCAGCAUGUGCUUGGUGGGAUGUGAUAAGGGGAAAAUGGGAAAGAGCGCAGACCUCUUGGACCUGCGAAAACUUUAUAAGGGAGUUUAAUGAAAAGUUUCUCCUGCCUUUGAUUCAAGAGAAAUGGGAGGACGAAUUCAUAUAGUUGAGACUUGGGGCUUCUAGCGUGGCUGAUUAUGAGGAGCGAUUUACUAAGUUUUGAAAAUACGCUCCGGAAUUGGUGACUAAUGAACAGAGAAGGAUAAGGCACUUUGUACAAGGAUUUAAGAUGGAGAUUCAAGAGGGGUUAGCAGCAGCCCAAAUCUCUACGUUCACUAAAGUCCUAGAGAAAGUGCAGAGAGUCGAAAGUGCAAGACUGCAAGUUUAAGAUUUUCAUGCCAAGAAAAGGGGCACUCCUAGUCACCCUCCUAGACAAGGGGAUAAGGGUGCCCCACCUUCUAAAAUGGAAAAAGGAAUGGGACAAGUGGAGAUAUCUAGUACACCAAAAGGAACUCAAUCAAGAGGAGGCCACAAUGGACAAGGUCAAUCGAGAGGGACACCUCCAAGUGGUCAGGCUGUAGCUCCUUAAGUUGUUUGUGGUUAUUGUAGUAAGUCCAACUAUACAGAGAAUGAGUGCUGGAGGAAAUCGGAAAAGUGUUUAUACUGUGGCAGUACCGAGCAUCAGCUCUCAAGAUGCCCAAGUAUGCCGAAGGGAGGAGGUCGUACUCAAAGGUCAGAGAAGUCAACAUCUAAGCAGUCUAGUGCUGGAAGGAGUCGACCUAAGGUGCCGGCUAGGAUUUAUGCAUUAGAUUAUCAGCAGGUUUUCGAUUCCACUAAGGUCGUUGAAGGUAUGAUUCUUGUUUUCUAUCACUUAGUUAAGGUUCAAAUGACCCUGGUACGACACACUCUUUUGCAAACCCUAGAUUCAUGAGUGGGGUAGACGUGAGGCCGAUUAAAUUACCCUUUGACUCGGAAGUUAGAACGCUCUGGAGAUCAAAGUUUGAUUGCUAAUUGGGUGAAUAGAAAUUGUGAGAUAUGGAUUGGAGAGUAUAAGUUGUUGAUCGAUUUUAUAAGCCUAACUAUUAAGAGGUAUGAUGUUAUCCUAAGUGUGAAUUUUGAGGACGAAAGUCUUUUAAGUAGGGAAGGAUGUGAGGACCCGAAUUUUACUUACUUUAAUUCUAUUUUAUUGGCUUAUUUAAUUAUUUAUUCAUCCGUUUUCUCUGAAUAAUUUAUUUCAACCAUUUUGAAUCCGUUUGCAUGGAACAAUGUCUCACUUAUAUUUUUAAAAUGUCCCGCUAGCAAAAAUAAUUUUCUGCGAUUCGUUAAAUAAGGAAUAGCAAAUACACGUUUUUCAAGGCAAUAUUCGAUCCGAGAGUGAAAUAAUCUUAGAGAAUUAAGAAUGAUCAAUAGUAGACUAAGAAAAGUUAAUUGAGGGAUUAGAUGUGAGUGAGUUAAAUUAAGCUUUUAUCGCGUUCGUGUCGAAAGUUUCGCGUAAGUCAUGCCGGUACAACUAAGAGCUGAUUUGAGGAUUUGAUACUAAACUAGUAAGUAUGAAUAAUUACAGUGUUAGGGGAAUUACCUUGGAGAAUUAGUGUGUAAUUGUACCAAACAAGAGAGAAAGUGGUGGUACAAAACCCUAUUUCGCACUAUUAAGAGUUGACUUUCUUACACACUUUAAUUUAGCUUUCUCAACACAUUUCUUCCACAAGAUUUUAAAAAAACCAAGAAACCCUCUCUCUCUCAUGAUUUUCGGCCGAAACCCCAAGGAAGAAAAGGGAAGAAAGAAACUCCAUUCUUUGACUCCAAGUUUGCUCACUUUUCUUCAUCCAACUCACAAACCACUUGGAUUUCACUCUAUCUUGGAGAAAGAAGCCAUCUUGUGGAGAGUAUCUUGGUGAUAUUUUGGUGGAAAAAUCUUGUCUUCAUCUAGGGUUUAAAGGGUAAUCACUUUAUCUCUUUCAUCUUUUCAUUUAUACAAAGAUUGAUGGUUAGUUUUCAUGGGUUUGAAACCCUAAUGAUGUUUAUAGGCUAGAGGACUUGAGGAAACAUUUAUCUUGCUUUAAAUCCUAAGUUAGAUGUCUUGAGGAGGCCUUUAGGCAGUUGACUUGAGGCUAUAUUGCUUGAUUCUCGUUGUUUAUGUGAUGAAUGAGAUGAUUUUCGCUUGAAAAGAUGAGAGAAAGUUGGAAGAUACCAUGAGAGUGAGUUGGCCAAAUUUCUGUUCUAGUUGUCCUACUUUUAAUUUGAAAUUUUGGUACUUAUUUGGCUGUUAAAUUGAUUGAUAUAUAUUGUAUGAUGUGUGUAGAAUGUGCCUUUCAAAAAUCAUUUCAAAUGGUUACCUAAAACUUGAGUUUUGGAAAAGUUCGAUAUCUAGAAAUCCGCUAGCAGGGUAGCCAACCGGUGGUUCUUUGUUUGAACAUAACUCUUUGUACAAAAGUCGAAGUUGAGUGCCGUUUGCGACAUUCGAACUACACAUUCAUAGCUUUCAAAUGGUAUAAGAAUCCCCUGCCAGUUUCUUUUGAGUAAACCUUAGCGAAUUGGCAAAAAGGACUGACCUGUUUGGUCUGUCUGUCCGAGAGAAACUGGGAAGCUGUAUCUUGUGGUUUGAUUUUAUCCCACUUGUGAAAAUAUUUUGUGAAUGAUUCCUUCUGGUGAAAUGUAUAAUUUUGAAUCUAGUUUCUAACCCAUAAACCAUUCUCAAUUUGGACUUUUGUAGAGUCAGAUUUGGUUUGAUUUCCAAACUAUGUCAAAGCUGAUAACUUGAAAAUUUUCUCUUCCCUGCUGACCGAAUGGUCAAUUCUGUUUUGGGGUAUUUUAUUUCAAAAAUUUUAGUGUCAUUUACUCAUUAAUUGGUCAUUAAAUGUUCCAGAACCUUGGUUUCAAAAAUGGAGUGAAUUGGGGCUGAUUUCAUUGGACAAAACUUUUAGAAAGAAAGAUAGGGUUGGUAGAUUAGCUUUGAAGAAUUUCACAAACUUUGAUCGUUUUGCUAACUGCUUUCCCGUGGGUAUUUUUGCCUAAAUUUUGAUAGAGAGGUAGUCUGGAUAUGAAAGUUUAUGUGUACCAAAUUUGGCGUAAUUUCAAUAUCAUUUCAAGGCCCAAAUAGUGCCCCAAAGAUUGCUCUUCAAAUCUGAAAAUCCACUGAUCAGGUUGCAAAAAUAAGCCGACUUCAAACUGUUAUAUCUUGUUGCUCAAAAUUCCGAAUUUAGUUCGGCUUGUUGUGUUUGAAACUUGAUUUGGAACUCUUGUUGUGUUCUAAAUUUUAGAUGCUGAUUCACUUCCUGUGAAUUUUGCCAAAUUUUCAAACAUCGCUGAAAACCAAGACUGGUUCUGUCCUGUCUUCAUGAGACUGUAACUUUGAACUGAAAUUUGAAUGCUUUCUGGUUGGAAUCUUGGAAAAGAGUCUUCUGGGAAGUUUUAGUGCUUUGAGUCUAAUUUUCAAAGGUAUAAAUUUUUCCAUUCUUGGACGUACCGAACUCAAGAUCUAAUUUUCCAAGUUUUAUCGCGCAAAGCUGAAAAUUUCCAAUUUCAUAGGAAAAGAGUUUUUAAGAACUUUUCACUUUCUUUCGAUAUUGAUAGACCGUUUUAAACUUGAUUUCAUGGAUGAUACAAGUUUUUCCUUGUGACUUUAAAUUCUUACUUUUGAAUAUCGAUUUACGAGAGAUUAAAACUCUUCUAAGACAUUGUCUUAAAUUUUAAGCGAGUGUACUUUCGUCAUUGAAUGCUAAGUGGUUGUGAGUAUAUGUGAGUGAUGGUUGAUCACUAUUUCUUCAGGCGCUCGAGAGGAUUUUGAAGGGAAUCUCGGAGCGGACAACUAAAGACUUUAUUCACUCACUUGUUUUGAAUUGGUGAGUAUCAAGUGCAUGAAUUGUUGCUAAAUACUUGAAUCGUCCCUUCUUAAUUGAGUAUUUUGGAUUUGCUGAGUCGAGUGUGUAAUUUACCACACUCGUUCUCUUUUACUUGACUAAAUAAUCAAUUUGUUCAUACUUGAAAAUUAUACUUGUGUUUGACUCAAUGUCGAUUGGGGUGAACCUCAUCGACUAUUAUACUUGUAAUCGUGGGGGACACCCAAAAAUUCAUUGGCUAACUUUACGACUCGAGCCGACAUGUGCUUGGUCGAGAAGCUUAGUGAAACGUGCGAAAAUCGUAAAGGUUGAUCUUUUGAUAUCUUGUUUGGCAUACUGGAGUGGUAUUGCCUUUUCUAAUCGACCUUCGGACUUGGUAGGGGGUGUAACGAUGGACGAAAACUUGACCUUAAGUGGAGUUCUAUGGACUUGAUACCUACCCGGUUGACGGAGUGUCAUCACGUGGAGGUAUUGGAUCGAGUCUCGGCAAAACAAGUGGAAUCUAGCUCCUGAGAGCUCCGGUAUCCUUAAUUGUUCCUGUUUACUUUUUCUACUUUAAAUAUUAAUUACUUGAAACUUCUAGCUUUACUAUUAUCUCGAUUUCUCUUUUAUUCUCUCUUAUACUUGCUCUAUUAUGUGUUUGCAUGUUUUUCUUGGCAUCACCGAGCGUUAGCUCACCCCAUUAGUUUGUUUUCCUUAACUGGAGUUCGGAAUAGAAAGGUUUUGGAGAAGCUGACUUGAUUACCUUUUGAGUAGAAUUUUGGAUGUAAUCGAUUAGUCGACUUAUAGUGGUUGUAUUUUUGGAAAAAGUUGAUGUACAUUUGGUAACUUGUGAUGUAGGAUUUGAAUGUUUAUUUAAGGAAGCGAACUUCCUUUGUAUCUACUUUUAUUUUGGUUAAUUAUCUUUAAGUUUGAAUUGGAUUCGUAUCGAGUCCUGACGAGAGCUAGGCAAGCGUUCCGCGGAUACCCUUGGGUUCACCCUAGGGAGAAGUGGGGGCGUCACACUAAUGAAAUAUUUGAGAGGCACCAUGAAUUAUGAUUUCUUAUAUUGUGGGUUUUCCACCGUAUCAGAAGGGUACAAUGAUGCUAAUUGGAUCUCUAAUUCAAAUGAGACAAAAUUCACUAGCGGUUAUGUGUUUACCCUUGGGAGUGGUGUAGUAGCAUUGAAGUCAGCUAGGCAGACAAUCAUUGUUAGGUCAACUAUGAAAUCAGAGUUUAUAACUCUGGAAUUGACUAGUUCUGAAUCUGGUUGGUUAAGAAAUUUCUUAGUCAAUAUUACUCUAAUUAAGGUUUUGUUGCCUCCUAUGUCCAUACAUUGUGAUUGUCAAGUUGCAAUUGCUAUUGCUACAAGUAAAUCAUAUAAUUGUAAAAGUUGACACAUGAAAUUAAGGGCAGCUAUUUAGAGGUGGAAUAAUUUUCAUAAAUUUUGUGAAGUCAGAAUUGAAUUUGACCAAUCCUCUGACUAAACCUGUAGGAAGAAACUUAAUUCAUCAAACUACAAAGGAAAUGGGAUUGAAGCCAACAAGUUGUCAAUAGAAAAUGUAACCCAGCCUAUGUGAUUCGUAAUCCCAUGAAAUAGGUUCAUAUGGAUAAUAACAAGUCAAUAUUAACUGUAAAGCACUUCAAAUUUAAGUCCCUUCUGACAUAAAUGCUUUGACUGCUAGUAAUUGUGAAGUUGAGUUUAGAAACUCUUAAUGAAUUCAUAUCCCAUUAGGAAGGUGUAUUUAAAGCAGUAUACACUUGAUGAAUUCAUCUAUAUAAGAGUGGAGUGGGGCCGCUCCUAUAAGAUUAUGAAUAAUCAAGGAGGAACACGGCCUAAAAGCGUAAAAUUGUAUUGAACAACAAAUUGCGGGUUACAAUGUGAUUGAUAAAAUCUUUGUCAUACAUCAAGAGUUAUCAGUUCAUAAAAAUUCAUAUUUCACCAAUAAUUCUGUAAGUCAUGUUUUGUCAAUAUAAGUUAGUUCAUAGUUCAAAAGAUACCAAACUAAUUACAUUACACCCAAAUAAAUCCAACAAAUUUUUUUACCUCUGUCCAAAUUUUUUUGAAAUAGGAAGGAGAUUGUUGUAAAUAAUGAAGUAUUUCAAAAGAUUUUAUCUCUUUUCUUGAACUAAAAUUUAUUUUUUCAUUUAUUAGGAUUAAGUUUUAUCUCUUCACAACAAGAUAAUAUUUUACCUCUUAUUUCUUAACAGUCUCCUAAUAGAAUCGUUGCAUAAAAUUAGACACUUCAAUGUUCACAAUCACAAAAUCAGCGCAUGUUUUAUUUUAUUAUAGAAUUAUAUCUUAUCUUUUUCUCCAACGUAACUCUUUUCUAACACCUAUAAAUAUCAGGUGCACUUAUUUGGAAAGUACACUCUCACUGACAGCACCAGUUGAAUUUUCCUGGUAGCUCUCUUCUCCUCCUUCUCUCCAUUUUCUUUUCUCCUCUCUGCUGAUACAAUAUUUGGUGGUUCUAUUCCUUCUUAAAAAGAAGAAGGUUUGUUUAAUCCUGAGAAAAUAUUUUAAAUUUUUGAAAUAAUUUCUUAGGACAAUGCUAUUUACCACAACUCAAUUUUUAUUUUUAUUAGUUUUAGUUAACAUUGUUUUGGCUAUUUUUUCAACAGUUUGCCAAACACAAAAGUUGUGUUUGUAUAGUUUUUAGCUAAUGAGAUCAUGAAAUAAGAAAUGCCAAAGGCAAUUGAUCUGAGAAUAUGAAAUUGUGGAGAUAUAUAGGGGGUGGACAUCAUAGGCAUAGCAAGUAACAAGUGAGUAGCUUCCACAUCUCCUAAGAUGAAGAUGGAUGGAGGGGAAUAGGAUUUGAAUGGCGAUGGAUGGCUAGACAGAUUCCUGUAGUUGACAGUUUCACAUGGCCAUAUAGACUAGACUUUGAUGGAUUAUUAUUCUCCUUCACGAAUUACAUACAAGGCCAUGCAGGCAAGGCCGGAAAUUCCUUUUGAAAUUGACAUUGUCUAACAUAUUGAGACCCCACUUCGUUAGUGUAUUUCCUUGAUAUUUAGGUGACUUAUAUAAUCUUUCCGAUUGAUUUGACCCAAAAAUGAAAAAAACAAAAUAAUACCUCGAUAUUGCUAAAAUUUAGAAAUAGCAUUAAGAAUUUGUGUGAAAUAGUAAAAUGUCUAAAAAUCAUCUGGGAGUAAAGGAUCUAACUACUUCAUUUAAUUAUACAAAAGUUGGCUUCAGAACUUGAAUUUCAUUUUUCUGUGACAAAAUCUAUGAUGUCCAAUUAUUUUUAGUUGGCUUUGUUUAAUUACAUCUUGCUUCCGGGUGAUAAAUAUUCCAAUUAAUAGCAUGUAAAUGGACCAGUUCAUUUCGUGUUUCUUGUCUGUGUUAUAGUGGUUGUUUAUAUUUAACUUUUGGUGAAAACCAUCAUCUAUUAAACUCAAAAUUUAUAUGGCGAUUAUUAAGAAAUAAAUUAACAAUAAAAUUACAGAAAUGUACUUGGAUUUAUAUUGAUAAACUGGUAUUUGAAUCCUUAGAGAUUUUGGGGUAAUCUUCCAAGUCAACACGUAUUUACCAAUCCUUGAGAGAGCCCUUUCAUUUCUCUCUGGUAUCUUUUCUAAUGAUGGGAUAUUAGGAAAGAGUUAUUUUGUGGUACUAGAGAAUACGACAAUAAGAAUACAUGUGAUUUAGGAACCAUAACCUAUUUAUAGAUAACAUUUAUGUUACCUUUUAUAUUCCUAUUUCAACCUAUCAUAGAAAUGGAAAAUACCUUUAUAUCUCUACACAUUAAAGGCCCACACCCUAUUAGAUACAUUAAAUCCAAACCAUAUUUGAUCACUUUAAUUGAAUUUAAUCUUAUUUGACAGUUUGCAAUACAUAAUUAUUUACAUAUAAGUCCAACAUUAGAUUAAGGAUCCAACAAUUUUUCACUUGGACUAUAUGUGUAAUUUUAUAAUUAUGUUUUGCAAUUAAUCAUAUGAGCUCAACUUUAAUGUAUCUGUAAUCAAUUGGGUCCAUCAACCAUACCAACAUAGGAUCAAAGCAACCUUUGUUAUAAUUUCGUAACUCGAUCCAUCAAUGGUCAUAUAUAUUGAUAUAAUUGAAUGACAUGAAUCAUGAUGUAGAUGUGUAGCAUGGAAAUUUCAUGUAAUAUGAUCAUAACAUACCUAUUUCUAACUAGUCCACCUUAAACUUUCAUGAAAUCAAGCCAUACCAAAGUCAGAAUGUAAAUAAAUCCAAACUUUAUUAAUGCAUAAAAUAUCCUCAAAACAUUAAUAACCGAAAAAUAUCGUAAGAACAUUUAAAAUAAUAAACUCCCACUAAAAUUGUACAUCAUUUAAUAACAUGACACCCAUAUGAGCAAUAUGCUCAUGAAAUAUUUUGGGUAGCAAUCUCUUAGUAAACGAAUCCGCAACCAUGGACUUUGUCUCGAUAUGCUCUAUCGAUAACAGUCUACUUUGUACUCUUUGUUUAACAGUUAGGAUCUUGAUAUCUAUAUGUUUAGAUUUUGUUGAGCUCAUGUUGUUAUUGGAAUAUAAAACUGCUGACUUAUUGUUACAAAAUAAUUUAAGUGGUCUUUUAAUACUAUGCACUACAUGUAAUCAUGUGACAAAAUUUCGUAAUCAAAUUCUAUGGUUGGAUGCCUCAUAACAAAUUAUAAAUUUUGCAGUCAGAGUAAAAGAUGUUAUAAGAGACUGUUUAACACUCUUUCAAGAUAUGACACCUCCGACUAGUAAGUAGAUAUAGCCUGAUAUUGAUUUCAUACUAUUUUGGCAUCCAGCAUAAUCGAAAUUAGUAUACCCAAUGAUCUCGAUCUUAUCUGACUUCCGAUACGUGAGUAUGUAAUUUUUUAUUUUCUGUAAAUGCCGCAAGAUUAGAAAACAGAAAAAGGAAAUCGUUGGGUUAAACAAUCAUAUUGGAAUAGAAAUAAUUAGUAGGCCCAAUAGUCCUUAAUUAAAUAAACCCAUAAAUAAAAUCUAGACUAAUAAUGUGGGGUAUACAUGUUAUUAAAGAAUAAACCCAACAUAAAUUAGUUUUGGACCACUAAGGUUGGUCCAAUAAUAAUAAAAUAAAAAACACUUAAUAUAGAUCCAAGUCUUAUCAAUUAAACGGUAUUUAGUAAAUAAAGGAACAAAAAAUAUAAGUUUAAGUGAUCAUAACAAAGACGUAAUCAAUUAACAUAAUAAGAAUAAUAAAUUAAUUAAUUAAAAUAGAAGAAAUAAAUUAAUUCAAUGAUCAGCUAAUCAUUGGAAUAAAUAGAAAACAUUGAUUAAUUGAUUUAAUAAAUAAUUAAUUAAUACUAUAACUCAAAAAUAAUAAUUAACUAAUUAAACUAAGAAGUUAAUUAUUAAAGUAGUACUAAUGAUGAGAAAUAAUUAAUUUAAUUAAUUAAUCAUUAGGAUAAAAAAUAAAUAAAUAAAUAAAUAAAUAAUUUAAUUAAUUAAUUAUGGGAACAAAAUAGAAUAAAUGACUAAUUAAUUAAGCAUCAAAAUAGUGACGAUUGACAAAAAUUAAGAUAACGGUAAUUAGUGGUAAGUAAAGACAAGGUCAUGAAUAAUCACUUUAGAGAAGCUCGCAUACACUAAAAAUUCUCUAAAUUAGGAAACCUACUCAAAGAAAAAGGAACUUUCCAAAUCAAGAAACUUCCAAUUUAGGAAAGUUUUCAAAAUUUUACGUAGAAGAUCCAGACAUGAAUCCCAACAGAUUAAAAUGUCCAUACACUUGUUGUAGGUACAAAACAAGUCUAAGAAGCCUAAGUCUGUUUCAUUGAGUAGUCAGUUAAUGAUAGGUGGUACUUACCCUUCUGUGAUUUCAAAAGUUCAAAAUAAAAUAUUUAUUGCUAAUUCUAUUCUAAUGUGUCAAUUUGGAAUUUGCUUGAUUAAAUGAUUUACGUGGGGAGUUAUGCAAGUUCUAUUUUUGCUAUAUAAAGAUAGGCCAUGUAAUUAUUUGAAAUAUUUUGAUAUGUUAUUAUGUACAAAAGAAGUGGUAUCUUUUCUGAAAUCAAAGAACUAUGUAUAUGACGUGUGAAAUGAAUUUAUAUCAAAUAAAUCUCAAAACAGUCAUGGAAUUAAUGGUAGGGGUUAUAAUCCUGUCUAAUGGUCAUGAUAGUCUAGUAUACAGUCCGGUUGAUUGACAAGGUCAUAGUAAUUCAAUAUAGAGUCCGACCGAUUAACUUAUAUAUGUAAUAAGACCAAUCGAUAGUCGUGAAACCUAUUGGUCGCCUAGCUAGAAGGAAUUUGAUCUCUAAACUGAGUAUUUAAAAACCGGUCAUUGCAUGUACUUAUUAUGAACUAAUAUGAAAUGAUUUAUGACUAUAUGGCUUUCAUGUACGGUUAUGUACAUGAUAUUUACAAGUUGUUGUGCCACUCAUUAUUAUUGACUGUCUUACUAACAAUGUAUUUUCUAUAAUUAUGUAUGUGAGUUGUGUGCAAAUAAUUUGAUUAAUUAUAUAUGUAUAUGUAUGUGUAUGUAAGCUAUGGUUGUAUGGUUCAAUAGAAGGGUAGACACUACCUAUUGAGCGAUUUAUCACUCAACCCAUUUUUACCACUUUUGCAGAUUCUGAAGAGUAUGAGUUGAUUUACAUUGAAAAUCCUGAGGAUGAUUUUUAUUAGCUCUAAGUGGAAAGAAAUUAGCUAUCUAGCUGCUUUUGGCUAUUAGCUUUAUUUAAUACUUUUCACGUUGUUUCAUAUAGAAAAUAAAUACACCAACUUAUUGGAUAUUCGUAGAUUACCUUUCAUUUGAGAUUUGUACCGCACUAUAUUUAGUUAUUCUAUUCAGUACUUUCUAGAUUUUAUUCUAAUUCAAUGUUGUCUUUUAUUCUUGAGUGGGACUUGAGAAUAUGGCGGAUGUCGCGUGAUUGGCACGUGCAAAUUAGGGGCGUGACAUUUUUAAAUGUUAUCAAAGCCCAAGUUAUAUGAUCUAGAAGUAUGUGGAAUGAUGUUUAAGAUGUUAGUGAUUUGGGGAAUUAAAAUGAGAUGGAAAAAAAUCAGUGGAAGUAAGAGAUUUCAUUAAUAUUUAGUGGUAUCACAGUUUGGGUUGUGAGAGUUGGAAGUAGGUAUAAAUAUAUUGGACAUAUUAGUGAUUAAUGUGGUAGAAAAGAAAUGAUUAAGGAAAAUAAGACUCCCAUGACAUUUUUAAGUGGUAUCAGAGCCUAGGUUAGGAUUAAUGCUAUAAGGUAGCACAUGUUGAGAAAAUAAUCAGUAGCAGUUAGAAGAUUAGACUUGAAAAGGUCUGUGUACAUUAAGGAGGAUGAAAUCAUUACUAAUGCUGUUUCUUUUAAUCUUAUAGGAACUGACCGAACCAGUACAGUACACAGGGAGAAUCAGGAUUGCGACUAUCCAGUUCAUGGGACAGGAUGUGAUGUGACCUGCCUUAGGAAGAGGCUAAGGUUUUAUAGUAACUUGUAUCUCAAGGAGUUAGAGUGAGCCACAGAUAGCGCUAAGAUGGCUUAUGCGUUGGCUGAUCAAGUAGCCAAACGUGCGAGAUCUCCACAUUGAUAGUAUCGAGGGAGCACAUGAGGCAGAGUAAGGAAGUCCUGCGUCAGGAAGUUCUCCAUCUAUAGGGAGCAAGUCAAUAAGUUGAAAGCAGAAAAGGAGGAACCGAAGGGACUUGCCGAUAUGUAUUAUAAGGAAUUUGAAGAAGUGACUUCCUUACUUCAGAAUGGGGAUGCGGAGUACCAUACCUUAGUGGUGAAAUAUGAAGAGAGAAGGCAGCAUGUGAUAAAUUGGAUAGAUGAUCACCUACCACUCGCACACCCAGAUGCCUGGGUAGGACCACCUGUGGCCUGAUAGUGACGCCAAACUAAAUGGUGACUCGGAGAAGGAUUCUGAAGAAGAACCCUUAGAGAACAUGUCCAUAGAUGAUCACCGAAUAGACAAUGGAGUUGGGGGUCAAGAUGGCGCGGGGGUGUUGUAGGAGGCGGAGCAGUCGAUGAUGCAGACCCCCCAAUGGAUGAGCAUUAGAGUCGGUCUAGCAGAGACUUUUUAUGUUAUUGAGUAUUAUUCUAAGAAUAUUAGUACGUAGGUUUUGGCGAUUGUUUAUGUUGAUUAUUUCAUCUAUGAAUCGUAGGACAUGAUUAGAAAUUUCGAACACUAGAUUCGUUAGAAAUUUUUAGAAUAAGUUAGGAAGUUGAUUUCUUAUGUGUAAGUAGUUGGUUGUUUCUUUUAUCUUGAAUUGGUGAAUAAAAUUCCUUUACUUUAAAUUUUGUCUUAUGUGAUAGUGUGUGUAAAACAUACAAGCAAAUUACUUUAGUUGUCUCAUUUUAAAAAAAUAUAUAUUUAUAGAUAUAUAUAUAUACACAAUAAUAAAAUACUCACUUUAAUGUGGAACUUAUCUACUUGAUUUAGGAAAUGAUACCAAACACUAGGCAUAGCCGAAAUCAGAAUGGUAGUCCUCAUGGUGAGAACAACUAUGGUAUCUAUAACCAUAGUGUAAGACUUGUGAAGGAUGCAUCGAAGAGAAUGCCAACUUGGGACAGGAGCGUGUUUUGAAUAUGGACAAUAGGGGCAUAGAGCUAUGAAGGUAGGAGGAGAUAGGAGUGGUAACUCAAUUGAUAAUAAGUCAAAGGUUAAAACAAGGGUGAAUGCCAUGAUUGAUGUUAAGGCGGAGACGUCGGGCAACGUAGUCACAGGUACCCUUCUAAUCCAUUAUGUGCCUGCAUAUAUAUUAUUUGAUUGUGAAUCUAGUAACUCUUUUCUUGCUAAGAAAUUUGCAAAGUACUUGUAUAUUUCUCCUGAAUGGACGAACCACCCCUACCGAAUUGCUACUCCAAGAAAUAGAGUACUAGUAUCCAAUACUAAGUUUUCAAACUGUAAUAUGGAAUUGGAAGAUAAAAAAUUAGAAGUGGAUCUUGUGCAAAUAAAUAUGAGUGCUUUUGACGUCGUCCUACGAAUAGAUUAGUUAGUUAGACACUUUGCGCAGAUUGAUUGUAGGGGAAAGAGGGUGUUAUUCAUGAACCCAUACGAGGAGAGUUACUCUUAGCAAGGAAAUACUGAUGUUAGAAAAUUUUGUAAGUUACCACUUCUAUCUGCUAUAUAGGCUUAUACGGCAAUAUGAAAGGAUCUGAGGUAUAUUUGGCUUAUGUAGUAGAUACGAAAUAGGAGGAAACGCCUUUAGAAAAGAUCACGGUGGUGAAGAAUUUUUCUGACGUAUUUUCGGACGACCUUCCUAGUCUAUCUUCGGAUAGAAAAAUAGAGUUUGAGAUUAAUGUUGUUUUAGAAGCAACUCCUAUAUCUAAGGCACUCGAUAGAAUGGCGCCUGUAGAAUUAAAAGAAGUCAAGGAACAAUUACAGGAAUUAUUAGAUAAGAAGUUCAUUAGACCUAGUGUUUCUUCUUAGAGUGCACUAGUACUCUUUGUUAAGAAGAAAGAUGGUAGUCUGAGAUUGUGUAUUGAUUAUAGGAAAUUGAAUCGAAUCACAAUAAAGAACAAAUACUCCCUUCCUAAGAUAGAUGAUCUUUUUGUUCAAGUGAAAGGAGUUAAGGUAUUCUCUACGAUAGAUUUGAGCUCUAGAUACCAUCAAUUGAAGAUUAAAACCAAAGAUAUCCAGAAAAAUGCAUUUUGUACGAGGUACGGACACUUUGAGUUUUUAGUAAUACCUUUCGGAUUAACCAAUGCCCCAAUAGCCUUUAUGGAUUUGGUAAACAGGAUGUUCAAACUACAACUGGACCAUUUUGUUGUGUAUUCAUUAACGAUAUUCUAAUAUAUUCCCUACAUGAAGAAACUCAUGCUGCCCAUCUAAGGAAGUUCUAGAGAUACUCAGAAGAGAAAAAUCGUAUGCUAAAUUUAAUAAAUGUGAAUUUUGGUUGAAGAGCGUGGCAUUCUUAGGACAUGUGAUAUCAACUCUAGUGGUGUCGAUUGAUCCAAAGAAAGUUGAAACAAUCAUAGGUUGGCCACAGCCCACUAAUGUGACUAAAGUAAGAUGUUUCUUAGGAUUAGUUAGCUAUUAUUAGAAAUUUGCACAAGGAUUCUUCACCAUUGCCAUGCCUCUUACUAGUCGACGUAAAAGAGGGCAAAAUUUGAAUGAAUAGAUAAAUGUGAGAUGAGCUUUUAGAAGUUAAAGGAGAAACUAGUAUCAACCCCAGUACUUACCCUACCAUUUGGAACGAAAUGAUUUGUAAUGUAUAGUGAUGCCUUUAAAAAUGGUUUAGGAUGUUUUGAUACAAAAUGGGAGAGUAAUCACAUAUGCUUCUCGCCAAUUGAAACCUUAUGAGUAGAAUUAUCCAACGCAUGAUUUGGACUUGACGGCCAUACUUUUUGCCCUGAAAAUAUGGAUGCUUUACUUCUAUAGAAUGCAAUGUGAAAUUUUUACCGAUCAUAAAAGUCUCAAAUAUCUGUUUACUCAAAAGGAGUUGAAUAUAAGGCAGAGAAGGUGGUUAGAAUUAAUUAAGGAUUAUAAUUUGACAAUCACCUAUCACCUGUGCAAAGCAAAUAAGGUAGCAGAUGCCCUAAGUAGGAAGUCAAGGGCAUUAAAGAACUCACAGUGAAGGAACAAAUGGAGAAUUUUGAAUUAGAAAUGGUGGACUCCACUGUCAAGAUACUAGUUGUGCUAGUGGUGGCACCUACCUUGAUAGUUAGGAUUAAGGAAGCAUAAAAUUUGGAUGACGAGUUUGCUAAGGUCAAGGAAAAGGUUAGAGUUGAACCUUUUGAUGGGUUUGAAUUGAAGGAUGAUGGGAGUUUGUGAAAAAAAUGGUAGAUUAUGUGUGUUGAGAGAUGAAGGAUUGAAAUAGGAAUUACUAAAUGAGGCACACAAUUCGAGAUUCUUAAUUCACCUCGGUGGGACUAAAAUGUACCUAGACUUGAAAAGAAAUUAUUGGUGGAAUGGAAUGAAACGAGAAAUAACGAAAUAUGUCGCUAAGUGUUUGUUGUACCAACAAGUAAAGGUCGAGCACCAGAGACUUGCUGGUUUAUUACAACCCCUAGAAAUCCCACAAUAGAAGUGGGAACAUAUGACAAUGAAUUUUAUGGUAGGUUUGCCUCAAACAAUAAGAAAUAAUGAUAACAUUUGGGUUAUAAUCGAUCGGCUAACCAAGUUUGCCCACUUCCUACCAAUAUCAAAUGGAUUAACAAUGGAAAGGUUAGUAGAGAUGUGUAUGGAGAAAAUUGUGUGUGUUCACGGUGUCCUAGUGAAUAUAGUGUCAGAUCGGGCCCCUAAAUUCGCGUCUUUGGUCAACCUACCAAGAGGUUAUGGAAAAUGCACGUGCAAAAAUGAUUAAUAAAAUGUACUAGGAAAAUGCACGUGCUCCACACAUGUAUAGAAAAUGAUUAAUGAAAUGUACUAUGUUGAUCUUUUACAAUGAAAAUACAAUGAUAGUCAAUUUAAUUAUAAGCAAAAAAGGGGAAAAUUCAAGGAAUGAUUGAAUGCACAUGCUCCACAUGUCGUAUGACUUUGAGGGAACUAUUUAUGUUUGUUAUCCUGAUAUGAUAACAUCAAUUAGUUAUGUUGUAUGUACUUGCUGUCAUUAGGUUUUGUAUUUUUCUUGCAUUUCACUUUUAGCAUUUCCAUGAAUUCAAGCUUUCCUUUGUAGUUGUAGAAUAGUUGAUUUCUACUUAUAAAUUAUUUUUGUUUUUUCUAAUCUUGUAUGAAGGUUCACUCUUAUUUCCAAUAUGUGUUGUCAACUGCUACAAAUCUGAUCAAUUUAGAGCAUAAAGCUAGCUUUUGUGGAGAAGCUAACUCCAUCUAUUUGUGGAAGACCAUAGAAUGAUUACCUGAAAGUUCGCCUAAUCUUGAAGUGCUUGCUUUUGGUAAAAUGAGUUACUGUAACUCUUCUUAUUUUUAAUUCUUUUUUUAUAUAUUUCCCUAUGUAUAAUAGUGUUGAAAAGGGUAGGUAUUUUGGUAUGAAGACAGCAAAAGAUACGAGGAAUAGUGUCCUUUCACUGAGGCUGUUCCAAUAUCCUUCAUUCAAUGUCUUGGGAAACUAGAAAUCCAAAAUCUCUAUGACAACCGAGACUGUGAAUUCAAGUUUGUAGAAUGUCUUUUACAGAAUGGAAAAGAGAAGAUAACUCUUGGCAUGCUAUCGGAAGGUAUACAAAGGGAGAAAUGACAACCUUUCUUUGGUGAAUGUAAUUUACUAGAGGAGUGCCUGAAGUUAUAGUUAAUACUCUUAAUUGUGAAAUUAUGGCAAUAUUGCCUGUUCAAUUUCCCAGGUUAUAGUUGUUGGAAAUCAUGUAUUUUGACAGUAUGUAUAAGAAAAAAGGGAUUGUAUCUGGGGAAAUGUGCCUUCUUUUUGAACUCAAAUGUAGACGGAUAGUUUCCUGGUUUUGAUAGUUUGGAACAUAUCCAUGUCUGUGGAACCAAAAUCUAUUUUUAUACUAGGAAAAUGCAUACUACAAACUUGUCAAGCUAUAUUUGGUUGUAAAGAUUGUUUCACGCAUGCAUGAAACAGACAUGUAGAUACAUCCAUACAAAUACGCCAACACAUAACUCUCCAAAAAUAUUUAGAAGAAAGAAUGGAUUGUUUCCUGCUCUGGAAAUCAUCUUGUAAAUAAAUCUUAUCAAUCAUUCAAGAAGAAAGAUAAUUUGGGGUGGAGGAAAGAGAAAGGCAUGCAAGUUUGAAUACAGCGAAUCUCUAGUGUCCUCUUCAACUAAUUGACCAUGUUCUGUUCUUGAAAUGAAAACCUAAUUGAACUCUACAUUUAAAUUAACAGGACCAUUCAUGGGCAAGAAAAAGAUGGUAAAUUGAUGCAUAUUAUACAAUCAUCAUCAACCAAUCAAAUCAUAGGCCAAAAACAAAUCAACCAUGGUUUGAUGUCGCAAAUCAAUAACAGUCGCAUAACCACCACAUAACGUACCAUUCUACACCAGAAGUAUCAUGAAAUCGAUAACCACCACAUAACAUACCAUUCCAUAUCGCACACAUCAUACACACGCAGAGAAUUCAAGAACAAGUAAAAUAAGUUAACUAUCUUUAUCGACCUAAUUUCAUAUGUCUAAGUUUUAUUUGUCCCUAUUUGGAAUUAUUAAUUAGACAGUAACUUUUAAUAGCAUAUUAAUGAAAAACAAAUAUCUAUUUAGUGAAAAUGGUUUCUUUGAAAAAAAAAGAAGUAGUUGUGUGGUAAACAUUAAUCGUUGACACAACAUUAUAAAGAGUAUUGUUAGUAGUUUCAUAAAUAGUGUGAAAUCUUAGUUAAAUUUUUAAACCCCAAAAGUUUGACUAUUGAGUGCUGAUUUUAUUUCGAUAUUUCCACGCCCUCUCUCCCACUCUUUUUUGUUCCCCUUCCUCCUAUCUUUCCUCCUUCUUCCCCUUUAAUUCCCUCCUUCCCUCCUCCUCCUUUCUCCAUUCCCCCACCAUCCCCUCUCCCCCUUGUCCCUUCACCCCACACCCCUAUCCUUCCCCCUUCCAUGUUGGUUGCACAACCUAUUCAACCAGUAAACCUGUGAGAACCUUGAUUUCCAAGAUAUAAAUAUUAAUUCCAAGAACAUAGCUUUUCGUUGUGUUUACAAAAUCUACAUAUCUAGAUAUCUCUACUAAAUUUGGAACCUCCAGUUCUUUUAUCUUUAGAGUGAACAUGCCUUUUGAACUUACUAUGUACCAGUCAAUUUCACAUAUUAUGGAGAACAGUUGUCCUUUUCAUUUUUUUCACAAUAGCAGUUAUUACAUCCAAUCUAAUCUAGCAAUUUAAUAGGUUAACCUAAUGAGCCUAUCACCUAAUAAAAUCGGUUUAAUAGUUGGAACAAAUUAGGAAGGAAUCUGUUGAUUAACUAAUGCCUGUUAGGUCAAACAAAUCAUAUUAUUUUUAGUAAUUUAACUAUACUGCCUUUUUUAUUACAUAGCCUCUAGUUUUCUUGAUACCACAAGCUCAGUUACAAUCGGGUUACUAACCAAAAGAUCCUUUUGUGUGCUCUCUUUGAGCCACAUGAGAAAGUUUUUUUCCCAGUCUACUUCUCUAACAAGUUUGACAGCAAACUUUGUUAGAUUGUGUGCACAUCCAUUACCUAGUCUAUUAACAAAAGAAAAAGUACAUUUGUCAAACAAACUUUUCAUGUUUUCUAUGUCCUCUAGUAAAACAGCAACUCUAGAAUCAUUGAUGCUUUCUUGUGUUAUCAUUUCCACUACUGCUUUGCAAUCCGAUUGGAACUUCCACUAAGCCUUUAUCAUUCCCAUUCUGAUUGCUGCAACUUUCUCCACUAGUGGUUCACUGGUUUUCCUUGCUGAUUUUGCACAUGCUUUUAGUACCCCUCCUUUCCAGUCCCUUGCUACCCCUCCUAAUCUACAUUUGUCCAUUCCUGUUGAGAAUGCAGCAUCUGUGUUAAUCCUUAUCAAUCUUUUACCCGAUGGUUUCCAAAUUGCUGACCUUGAGCAUCCUGUUUGUUCAAUGUACUCCCCUCCUCCACUAUUCUAGGCAUCCAAGAAUUCUGCCCACUCUCUAUGUGCUUUUUGUAGAAUAAGUCUAGCAUCUAACUCCUUAUUUGAGAAUAUCUUCCUUUCUUGCUUUCUAAAUCUGCCACAUAAUAUUUACAGUUAAAGCAAUGUGUUCCUAUCCCAUGUCCCUCUGUUUUGCAUCUAAUAUCCCUUCCCACCAUUUGACAAAAUUAUUUCUCAUAUCAUUUAAUCCAUCCCAACUUAUUGGGGCAAUUCUCCACGUGAGCUCAGCUUUCUUACAAAGGAAUAGCAUAUGCUCCACUGUUUCCACUUCUUCUUUGCAACAAUCACAAAAUUCAUUUCGUUUCCCCGAUCUUUUUGUAUCUGUUCAUUCACUGGUAAGCUGUUUAACAAGCAUCUCCAUACAAAAUGCUUGAGUUUGUGCUUCAUAUGCAAUGACCACAGGCUUUUCCACCCUCUAGAUCUCUGCUAAAAGUAGACCCUUCAUGUUAUCCAAUUCACCUUGCUGUCAGGUUCCUUCCCUUUCUGCUACAUAUGCAGAUUUGACUGUAAACUAUCCAAAAGUUGUAUACUUCCGAUACACUCUAUCCCUUCCCCCUAUCAAGCUCAGAGGGAUGGCCAGAAUCCUCUGCACAUCUUCUUCUUCAAACAAUUUUUUUAGCAGCUCCUGAUUCCAUUCCCUCUCCUAUAUUAGUUCCUCCACCUUCUUAAUUUUGCACUCUUUCUAUCUUACUAUUUUGAUUUUCCCUUCCACAUCACUUAGGAUCCACUUCUCUAUCCAUACCUGCACAGUUUUUCCAUCCCCCACUCUAUGUCUCGUCCCCUUGUUGAGCAAUUGCUUUCCUCCCAUUAAGCUUUUCCAUACCCAAGAGGCUGCUUUUAGAGGCUCACUAUUCCAGCUUUGCCCCUCUAAGGUAUUUGGACUUCAAAACUUUACUGACUAGUAGGUUUGGAUAAGUGAUAAUUCUCCAAAGCUGCUUUGCUAGUAGAGAUUUAUUGAAACAUUCCAUGUCUCUGAAUCCCAGUCCCCUUUUGCCCUUAACUUGGGUCAUUUUAGUCCAACUGACCUAGUGUAUUUUCUUUGCAUUUUCCUCCUUUCCCUACCAAAAGCUUGCUACCAUCCUACAUAUGUCUUUGCAUAAAUGCUUUAGGAGCUUGAAGCAUGACAUGGUGUAUGUAGGGAGUGCCAUGACCACCCAUUUAAUUAUCACCUCUUUUCCAGCAUGACUGAGCAGGUUCCUCUUCCAGUUCUGCAUUUUGUUUUGUAGGCUAUCCUUAAUGUAUCCAAAGACUUGCUAUUUGGAUCUUCCUAUCAUCAUUAGGAGGUCUAGGUAUUUUCCACUCAAUGCUUCUAUCAUAUUUCCUAGUACUGAGCAGAUUUCUUUCCUUAGGUUCUUGCAGAUGUUAGCACUAAAAAAUACAGUAGAUUUUUCAUCAUUUAUAAGCUGUCCAGAUGCCUUUUCAUAAGUGGCCAGCAUGUCUUUCAUUUGUCUUGCUUCCCCUACACUAGCUAUACAACAGAAUAAAGAAUCAUCACCAAAAAGAAGGUGAGACACCACAGGGCAUCCCCUCCCAACUCUGACUCCUAUAAUUAAUCUAUUGUUCAGAUUCUAUUUCAUCAGGUUUGAUAUUCCUUCAGCACAAAUAAGGAAAAGAUAAGGAGAGAGAGGGUCCCAUUGUCUUAAACCUCUGGUAGGCUUGAUAUAGCCUGUUCUUUGCCCAUCAUUUAUAUUAAAGGAAUAAGAGGCAGUAGGCACACAGCUCAUGAUCCAUCUAACCCAAGUAGGACAAAAGCCUAUUUUCAUCAUCAUUCUCCCUAAGAACUGCCAUUCCACCCUAUCAUAAGCUUUUAACAUGUCAAGCUUAAGGGCUAUUAUACCAUUCUUGCCUUUUCUCUUAUUUUUCAUCAAGUGAAUGAUUUCUUGGACUAAGAUGACAUUAUCAAGAAUUUGUCUACCUGGGACAAAGGCUGAUUGGGCAUGAAUGAUACACCUGGGAAUGACUUUCUUUAACCUAUUAGCCAGAGCAUUAACAAUUAUCCUAUAUAGAACAUUACAAAGAGAGAUAGGUCUAUACUAGGACAUGUUAAGGGGAACUUCUCCUUUUGGAAUAAGGGUUACUAUAGCUUCAUUGAUAGUCUUAAGCAAGUGACUACUGUGUAGGAAAUUUUUGAUAGCAAUCACAAUAUCAUUUUUGAUAACAUGCCAAAAUUUUGAAAAAAAAAAGGGGGGUCAUACUAUCUGGUCCAGGAGCUUUAUCGGGGUGCAUUGAAAAUAAAGCAUUUUCUACCUCCAUCUCUUCAACUGGUUUGAUUAGUGCUGCAUUCAUUUCAUUUGUGAUUGUGCAGGGAACACCUUCAGUGGCAGCUUCAAAUUCUAUUGGUUGAGAUGAUGUAAAAAGCUUUUUGUAGAGUCCACAGAUUUCAUUCUCUACCUUCUGCUCUAAUUCACACCAUUUCCCUUCCUCGUUCUGUAAGGAUGUUAUCCUAGUCCUUCUCCUCCUUCUCAUCACACUUGAAUUAACAGGACCAUUCAUAGGCAAGAAAAAAUGGUAAAUUGAUGCAUAUACUAUCAUCAUCAACCAUUCAAACCGUAGGCAACAAAAAUCAACCGUGGUUUGAUGUCACAAAUCAAUAACAGUCGCGUAACGUACCAUUCUACAUCAGACGAAUCAUGAAAUCGAUAACCACCACAUAACAUACCAUUCCACAUCGCACACACCAUACGUAUGCAGAGAAUUCAAGAACAAGUAAAAUAAGUUAACUAUCUUUAUCGACCUAAUUUCAUAUGUCUAAGUUUUAUUUUUCCCUAUUUGGAAUUAUUAAUUGGACAAUAACUUUUAAUAGCAUAUUAAUGAAAAACAAAUAUCUAUUUAGUGAAAAUGGUUUCAUUGAAAAAAAAAAGUAGUUGUGUGGUAAACAGUAAUUGUUAACGCAACAUUACAAAGAGUAUUGUUGGUAGUUUCAUAAAUAGCGUGAAAUCUUAGUUAAAUUUUUAAACCCCAAAAGUUUGACUAUUGAGUAUUGAUUUUAAUUCGAUUUUUCCACGCCCUCUCUCCCACUCUAUUUGGUUCCCCUUCCUCCUCUCGUUCCUCCUUCUUCCCCUUUUCUUCCCACCUUCCCUCCUCCUUCUCUACUCUCCCCCCUCCUCCUCCCUUCUCCAUUCCCCCACCACUUCCUCUCCCCUUUCUCCCUUCACCCUACACCCUUCUCCUUCCCCGUUCCAUGUUGGUCGCACGACCUGUUCAACUAGUAAACUUGUGAGAACCCUGAUUUCCAAGAUAUAAAUAUUAAUUCCAAGAACAUAGCUUUCUGUUGUGUUUACAAAAUCUACAUAUCUAGGUAUCUCUACUAAAUUUGGAACCUUCUGUUCUUUUAUCUUUAUAGUGAACAUGCUUUCUAAACUUACUAUGUACUAGUCAAUUUCACAUAUUAUGGAGAAAGUUGCCUUUUUUGUUUUUUCACAAUAGCAAUUAUUACAUCCAAUCUAAUCUGGCAAUUUAAUAGGUUAACCCAAUGAGUUUGUCACCUAACAAAAUCGGUUGAAUAGUUGGAACAGAUUAGGAAGAAAUCUGUUGACUAACUAACCCCUAUUAGGUCAAACAAAUCAUAUUAUUUUUAGUAAUUUAACUAUACUAUCUUUUUUAUUACAUACCCUCUAGUUCAUGUGAAUGGAUUAGGUGUUUUUAAGGGGUGUUUUUCAAAAAUUUUACUAUAGCGGUGUAUGUGAAAAAACUUUUAAUGUAGAUGAUUAGGUGCUUUUGGGAGGGUUUUUUAAGGUGUUUUGAAGGUACUUUUGAGGAUAUAUUUUGAGGCAUUUUUAGAAUUUAAAAUUUUUUUGAGAUAUUCUUUAACAAUUAAAAAUACCACCACCUAUCACUGCCACCCACCAUUGCUAUCAUCCCCUCCCUUCCUCCUCUCCACUAUGACCCCCACUAUUGCCUUUACCUUCACACUUGUUCUCCUCUUUCUAGUUGCAAUUUCCCAAGCCUGAGUACUAUCAAAUUUCCCAGAGGAUGAUGUAGUCGAUCAUGAACUUACACACUCCCACAAUGGCUCUAACGUCGGCUCCAUCCUUUAUCUCCCCAACAACAACGUCAACGAUGAUGUAUCUUGCUCUAAUCUGCUCGCCAUUGACAUUCCUGAAUCUGAAUCCAUCUCUACCAGAUCUAUUCUAUUAAAAUAGCCUACAAAAAUUUUAGAAAUUUUAGUAUUGUCCUCCUUUUGUCUCCCUAAAUUUUGAUAGUAUUCUCUUUAAACCCACUAUUGCCCUCCAAAAGUGUUGAAAUUUUUGCAACUGUCCUUGCUAUUUCCACAAUGGUGAAUCUUGAACUAAAAUAUAUUACAUCAUGCUAAUUUUUCCUCUUACCAUUAAACGUAAUUUACCUUAUCUUGCAAGAAAAUAUUAUUUAUUUAAUAUUUAACUUUUCUUACAUAUCUUUUUUUAUAUGAAUUACAAACCAACUAAACAUUCAUUCAGCAAUUUAAUUGUGAGCAAAUUAUAUUGUUAUUAUUUUUUGACCUUCCCAUCCUUCCUCAUACCUUUUCUAUCAUGCACAAGAUUCAAUCUUGAACCUGAUAAUGGGGAAGACCUUAAGGACCCUCCCCUGAAUUGUGUACAAAUCAUUUACCUACUAUAUAUGUGAAUUAGAAUAUACAUCUUAUAUUCUUAUGCAUAAUUUUAUAUCAUUGGAUGACCUAAAAAAUAAUAAAUCUCAAACUAUAGCCUUGGUUUUACUAUAGAAAAUAUUUAAUUGUUCUAGAAAUCUAUAAACGAACACCUUAUAAAUCUAAAUUAAUAUUAUUGCAAUCUUGAAUUGCCACUACUAUCAGUUCAAGUUUUCAAUUCCGCAACUACUGCCAUCGCCACCACCAUGACCACUCUUUUUUCAGACCCAUCAGACAACAACAACAAGAGCACGUGCAAGUUCCGUAUGGAAAUGAUAUGAUAUUGUCCAUUGGUAAAAGGGGAGAAAAAGGGAGAAGGAGGAAAGAGGAGAAGAGAGGUGAUAUGUGGUAGUGGUGAAGGGUGAUAGUGGUGUAUGGUAGGUGAAAGAAGAAAGAGAUAUAAAUAUUUUUAUGUUAUGAAACAACUAAAAGUGUGGAUGUCCAUUUGUAUUCUCAAAAUGAUUAAUUCAUAAUUCAUUGAUCCCAAGAGAAUUAAUUCAUAAUUCAUUACUACAUUAUGUAAAAGAAUUACAUUGGAUGAACGGUUUCAAUCCAUAGACCCAUUCAUGUUUUGGAUGAACCGUUUCAUAAACUAUUCAUAUUCUUGCAGUAAUGAGUGUUUAAUAGAAUUGAUGUACCUUUAAUUUUGUAAUACCUAUAUAUAGAGGUAUCUUGGUACCUCUUGAGAUGACCUUUGAUUAGUUGAAAACAAUAAGAAAAUUAUUCUCUAUUUCUCUACUUCUUUAUCUAAUAUUUCAAUCCUUAUAAUAGUAGUUUAUUUUAUUAGUUUUACAACACGUUAUCAGCACAAGUCUCUACUUUUGAGCAAAAGGUGAAAACGGAGUCUCUACCUUGAGUAAAAGUGAAACACGAGAUUCUGCCAAAAUUCUAUCUGUGUUUUCUCAGCAACUUCUGUUUACUUAUUGAGGUAAAUUUCUAACCCACAAACUUAUUUUAAUUUCUUAUGGCCAACCUUACAAAACAAGAGUCCAUACCUCUUGAUAUUUCUGAAAGAAUUAUUUAUCAUGGGUAGUGGAUGUUAAAAUUCAUCUUGAGACAAUGGGUCUUGGUAAUACUAUUAUUGAAAAGAAUGAAUCUUCAAACCAAGACCAUGCCAAGGCUAUGAUUUUCCUUCAUCAUCAUUUAGAUGAAGGAUUACAAAUAUAGUAUCUUACAGUUAAAGAUCCUCUUGUCCUUUAGAGAGAUUUGAAAGAAAGAUUUGACCACCUGAAAUUGGUCGCUCUUCUAAAAGUCCGCUAUAAUUGGCUUCACUUAUGACUACAAGAUUUUAUAUCUGUUAACAAAAAUAAUUCAGCCAUAUUCAGAAUUACUUCUCAAUCAUCAUUAUGUGGUGAAAAAGUCACUAAUGAAAAUAUGUUAGAGAAAAUAUUUUCUACUUUUCAUGUCUCUAACAUGUUCCUACAGCAACAAUAUCGAGAGAAGAGAUUUAAAAAAUAUUUUAAACUUAUUGCAUGUCUUCUCUUGACUGAAUAAAAUAAUGAAUUAUUGCUGAAAAAUCAUGAGUCCCGACCAAUUGGUGCAAGUCCAUUUCCUGAAGCGAAUAUGACUCAAUUUCAAAAUUCUGGUCAAGGUCAUGGACGUGGCCAUAGAGAUGGCCGUGGAGGAGGCCGUGGACGUGAUCGUAGUAGAUUUAUACCCCGUAAAAAUUAUAACCAUGGGAAACAACAAAAUAUUCCCAAAAAGAGGGAUAAUAACUGCGAUCAAAAAAAUGGAGAAAAGAAAGUUUAUGAAAAAAAAUACAAUCGGUGUGGUAUGGAAAGUCAUUGGUCCCGUACCUGUCGUACGAUUGAUCAUCUUGUUGACCUUUAUCAAGUAUCAUUGAAAAAGAAAGACAAAGGUGUUGAGACAAAUUUCAUUGAUCAAAAGAAUGAUUAUCAUGAUGGUGAUGAUGCUUAUAUGACACACCUCGAUGUAGCUGAUUUCUUUGAGCAUCCUGAAAAUGUCAACAAAUAUCCUAUAAUUGUUUAGAUAUUAUAUGAUGUUUUAUAUCUUUCAUGUAAUUUUCUUUCUAUUCAAUAUUUAUUUUUGUAUCUUUAUUAAUAUUUAUUUUGGUUUGAAAUUUUCUUCCUGAAGAAGAAAUGGAUGCCAAAUGUUUGGGAUUAAAUAAUGGUGAUGAUCACAUUUGUCUCAUUGAUAAUACUACUACACCCAUCAUAUUAAAAAAUAAAAAAUAUUUUUCUUAUUUGAAAAUGGGAAAGACAAAUGUUAAUACUAUCAGUAGUAAUGCAAAAUUGAUUGAAAAUUUCGGAAGAGCCACUCUAUUUCUCCCUGAAGGGACUAAAAUUGUCGUAAAUAAUGCACUACUCUCUCCCAAGUUUUGGAGAAAUUUAUUGAGUUUUAAAGAUAUCCGCGAAAAUGGAUAUCAUAUCGAGACAAUGACUGAGACAAAUGAAGAAUUUUUAUUAAUCACAAGUAUCAUUUCUGGACAGAAAUGCGUAGUAGAAAAAUUACCUUUGUUUCUUCUAGCUUAUGUUAUGUACAAAUUAAUGUAGUUGAAAUUUAUCACCUAAUAGACCAGAAGUCUAUUCAUCCCAAUAAUUUUAUGAUUUAACAUAAUCGUCUCGGACAUCCUGAAACUAUAAUGAUGAGACGAAUAAUCGAGAAUUUACAUGGUCAUUCAUUGAAAAAUCAAAAGAUAUUAAAAUUAAAUGAAUUCUCCUAUGUUGCUUGCUCCCAAGGAAAAUUAAUUAUUAGACCAUCACUAGUUAAAAUUGGAAUUGAAUCCCCUACAUUUCUAGAACGAAUUCAUGGUGAUAUAUGUGGACCUGUAGAUCCACCAUGUGGACUAUUUCGAUAUUUUAUGGUGCUAAUUGAUGUAUCAACUAGAUGGUCAUAUGUAUGUUUAUUAUCUACUCACAACAUGGCGUUUGCGAGAUUGCAUGCUUAAAUAAUUAAGUUGCGAACACAAUUUCCAAAUUAUCCAAUAAAGAAAAUUCGUCUAAAUAAUGCUGGUGAAUAUUCGUUACUUUCUUUUGACGAUUAUUGUAUGUAUUGGAAUAACUGUUGAACAUCCUGUAGCUUAUGUUCACACACAAAAUAGUCUCGCCAAAUCAUUUAUUAAACGGCUACAAUUAAUUGCUAGACCAUUAUUAGUGAGCUCUAAACUUCCUUCAUCUGCUUGAGGACAUGCUAUAUUACAUGCAGCAACACUUGUGAGAAUUAGGCCAACAAAUUAUCCUACUUAUUCUCCCAUACAAUUAACUUUUGGUUAUAAGUCCAAUAUUUUUCAUUUAUGAAUAUUUGAUUGUACGAUUUAUAUUUCAAUUGCGCCAUCCCAACGUCGUAAAUUGGGCCCCCAAAAAAGAUUGGGGAUAUAUGUCGGGUAUGAAUCACCUUCAAUUAUUAAGUAUAUGGAACCAUUGACAAGUGAUUUAUUUACUGCGAGAUUUGCAGAUUGCCAUUUUGAUGAAUCAUAUUUUUCGACAUUAUAGGGAGAUAAAAAUCAACCAAAAAAGGAAAUCACUUGAAAAAAUCAUUAGAUUUCCUUGAUUCUCGUACUGAAGAAUGUGAACUAGAAAUUCAAAAGAUUAUACAUUUGUAAAAAUUUACAAAUCAAUUACCGGAUGCAUUUAAUGACUCGAGAAGAGUUACUGCUGAAAAUGCUUCGAUUAAAAUUAAUAUCCCUGAAUGAAAAAUUACAAAUGCUAAUGAGUCUAAAGCACGCCUGAAGCGUGGGAGAUCUCUUGGUUCCAAAGAUAAAAAUUCUCGAAAGAAAAGAGGAGUAGAUGAAUCAACAAUUAAUGACAAAAUUCAACCUCCUGAACAGGUCGCUCCUAAAGAGCCAAUUCUUUAGGAGAAUGAAAUUAUAGAAAAUUCAAUAAAUUUUGUCACUUCAGGAAAAAGUUGGAACCAAAAAGAAAUAAUUAUUGAUAGUAUUUUUGCAUAUAAUGUAGCACUUGAUAUUAUGGUAGAGGACAAGGAUCAUGAGUCGAGAUCGGUUGAUGAAUGUCGACGUAGAAAUAAUUGGUCAAAGUGGAAAGAUGCGAACCACUCUGAAUUAAAUUCACUGGCUAAAAGAAAAGUUGUUGGACCUGUAGUCCAAACGCUUGAAGGUGUAAAGUCAGUAGGAUAUAAAUGGGUAUUUGUGAGAAAAAAAUGAGAAAAAUAAAAUUGUGAGGUAUAAAGCAAGACUUGUAGCCCAAGGAUUUUCACAAAGGUCUGGAUUUGACUAUGAUGAAACGUAUUCACCUGUAGUGGAUGCUAUCACAUUUAAAUAUCUUGUGAGUUUUGUAGUACAUGAAAAACUAGAUAUGCGUUUAAUGGACGUUGUUACUGUAUAUUUAUAUGAAAAUCUUAAAAAUAAUAUUUAUAUGAGAAUCCCCGAAUGAUUCAACAUGCCUGAAGCAUGGAAAUCAAAUCCUAAAAAUAUUUAUUAUAUUAAAUUACAAAGAUCUUUGUAUGGGCUCAAAUAAUCUGGACGUAUGUGGUAUAAUUGCCUCAAUGAAUGUUUAACUAAAGAAGGUUAUACUAAUGAUUCAAUAUGUCCAUGUUUUUUUAUCAAAAAAAAUGGAUCAAAUUUUGUGAUAAUUGUUGUAUAUGUUAAUGAUCUAAAUCUUAUUGAAACUCCUGAAAAUUCAAAAUAGUGUUAAAUAUUUGAAGAAGGAAUUUGAGAUCAAAAAUUUUGGAAAGACAAAAUUCUGCUUUGGUUUACAAAUUGAGCAUUUGAAAUAUGAAAUUUUUGUCCACCAAAUUCUUUAUAUCCGGAAGGUAUUAAGCGAUUUUAUAUGGAUAAAACAUAUACAUUAAAUACCCCAAUGGUCGUCAGAUCACUAGAUCUUAAUAAGAAUCCUUUUAGAUCAUGAGAGAAAGAUGAAGAGACACUUGGUCCUGAAGUACCAUAUCUCAGUGUAAUUGGUACACUGAUGUAUCUUGCUAAUUGUACAAGACCUGAUAUAACAUGUGCAGUGAAUUUAUUAGCAAGAUUUAGUUCCUCAUCCACACGACGACAUUGGAAUGAUAUUAAACAUAUUUUUUGUUAUCUUCAAGGAACGAUUGAUCUUGGUUUAUUUUAUUUAAAUAAAUCUAAACCUGAUUUGCUUGGUUAUGUUAAUGUUGGAUACUUAUCUAACCCACAUAAAACAAGAUUUCAGAUUGAUUAUCUAUUUACAUAUGGAGGUACAGCCAUUUCUUGGCAUUCUACAAAGCAAUUAUUAGCCGCCACAUCAUCGAAUCAUGCAGAAAUAAUAGCAAUUCAUGAGGCCAGUCAAUAAUGUGUUUGGUUAAAAUCAAUGACCCACUACAUCCGAAAGAGUUGUGGGUUAUCCUCCAAAAAAGAAAAUCCUCCAACUAUAUUAUAUGAAGAUAAUGCAACUUGUAUAGUUCAAUUGAAUGGAGGAUAUAUUAAAGGAAAUAGGACGAAACAUAUUUCACCAAAAUUCUUUUUUACUCAUGAUUUGCAAAAGAAUGGUGAAAUUGAUGUGCAACAAAUCCGAUUAGAUAAUAAUUUGGCAGAUUUAUUUACCAAAGCGUUGCCGACUGCAACAUUUGAGAAAUUGGUAAAGAAUAUUGGAAUGCGACGAUUAAAAGAUCUCAAAUGAUGUUUGCAUCAAGGGUAGAAAUUAAUACACUGGAAUAGUGUACUCUUUUUUCUCACUAGGGUUUUUGUUCCGUUGGAUUUUUCCCUAAUAAGAUUUUAACGAGGCAUAUUCUUUGUGUAAUGGACAUCCAAAGGGGAGUGUUAUAAAACAACUAAAAGUGUAGAUGUUCAUUUGUAUUCUCAAGAGAAUUAAUUCAUAAUUCAUUGAUCCCAAGAGAAUUAAUUCAUAAUUCAUUGCUACAUUAUGUAAAGAAAUUACAUUGGAUGAACGGUUUAAAUCCAUAGACCCAUUCAUGUAUUGGAUGAAUCGUUUCAUAGACUAUUCAUGUUCUUGUAGUAAUGAGUGUUUAAUAGAAUUGAUGUACCUUUAAUUUUGUAAUACCUAUAUAUAGAGAUAUCUUGGUACCUUUUGAAACAGCCUUUGAUUAGUUGAAAACAAUAAGAAAAUUAUUUUCUGUUUCUCUACUUCUUUCUCUAAUAUUUUAAUCCUUAUAAUAGUACUUUAUUUUAUUAGUUUUACAACAUUUUAUUUAUUUAUUUUUGGGUGUAUUUAUUUAUAUUUGAGAUGUGUAUUUUUGGAGUUAUUUUUAGAAUAACUUACUAUAGAUCUCACAAAUAAAAUUAGUUUUUGACAAAAAGUCUCAAUCCAUAUGAAGCCUAUGCAAACAAAGCAUUCUCCAUUUAGUGGCCACAUAAUAUCAUGUUGGUGCCUUACUAGUGUGAAAUUAUGUGGAUUUGAUUUUCAUGUGGAGUACCUCAUUGUAUAUUUGGAUUGUAAUUCGAAUAUAAUAAGAAUUAUAUGCUGAAAAUGGUUUUAUUUAUUCUACUAUCAGUGAUUUCUUGAGAUAUUAAAUUUGCUGUAAACUAUCCAUCCUUUUUGUAUUCUCUUGAAAUAAAAAUGAAACCACGUCACCUCACAACAUUUACGGUUAACAAAGCAUCGGGUGAUGGCCAAACACAUAAUGACCAAAUAAUGUGUUUUUUUUUUGUGAUAAUUGCGACUCUGUUUGGAUCGGUAGUUUUUGUAAAAACUGUUUUUGUAGUCAAACUACAAAAAGUGGUCAACAGCUUUUCACCAAAAAACUACAGUGCCUACUGUAGCAAGACUACACCGUUUUAGGUCCUGAAGAGUAAAAACAGUUUUUCGGUCAUGUGAUGCCACAGUGUAAAGUUUCUUAUCCUUUCUCUGUUGAGCUGAGCUAAGAACGAAGAAGCCUUUGGACAUCAGCUCCUCCUUUUGAAUUUCGAAGAGCGACCAACCGACAAUUUCUGCAAGCGGGGCAGCCCAUCGAUUCCAUACCUCCAGCCCGGCAGCUAAAGGAGUUAAUUGGAACGAAGCUUGAGCUACACAAACAACUGUGCGCUUCACCUGAGCUUGCUGCGGUCAGAUCUGCAAUUGGAGUCACAUGCUGUAGAUUCUUUUCGUUGAGGUGCCCUUACGCGAUUAUCACUCGCUCGGCCCUGCUACAGUAGUUAAUUCGUGAAGAUAUUGGCGGUACGCUGCUGCAUCCCACAAGAAGUUCGGUGAAGCCUCCUCUUUUUCAAGGAACUUGCAGGUGAGUUCGUUGAGUUUUGGGUUUAUUCGUACAGAGUAGGGCUACAGUUGAAAUUUUUUAUUUGGGCAACCAUCUAAAUUGAUGUCUCUUUCUUCGCCUUCAAUCUGUUUCCGACGAUUGGAAAAAAAAUAGUGACUGAACAUCAAGUAUUUAAACUUGUUCAGCGUCUUUAAUUUCAUCCAGCAACUGGUCAGCCGAUGUCAUUUUUUCAUAUUGGUUCUUAAUUGUAAAUUAUUGAAAACAUUUCUUCACAACUUCUUUUGAUUUGGGAUUGCUCAUUGCCGACGAUCAUCUUUGUUAUGCACAUUCAGUGUUAUUGGAAUAGGCGCUUGACUUGUUUGCCGCAUAUUUUUUCAUAUAAUUGACCCUCUUCAGAGCUAUAAAUGUACUCCAACAUUAUUGCCUAAAUUGCACCAAUGUAUAAUUUGUUCCGAACCAAACGGUGGGUAUAGUAGAUUUAAAGUGCUGGCUGUAGUAUAUUUGUGUGUUUUCACAGUCUUGCUGAGUAAUUUGCAUGAGUUUGGGGACCUAAUUUCUUCCAUUUUAUGUAAGUACUGCGGCUGCAGCUACUUCAUUGUCCUUUUAUUGUCUCCUCCUUGGAGCUACAUGCCUCCUGUGACGCGGCGUGCUUGGAAGGGUAAGUUAGACUUGUCAGUUGGUCUAAUUCUGUUGAAGUUUAGUCAAUUAAAUGACCUCUAGGAUUGUAUUUUCUAUAUAUACUUCACAGUCUUGUGAAGGAGUAGGGGAUUUAGCAAUUGUUGUUCGCUGUCAGCUCAGGGAGAAAACGAUUUGCAACUUUGCACAACUAAUUACUUCAAGGUUAGCCAAUUGCAUUUAGCCUUCUACUUACAACCUCAUGUGCGACUGCCUUCUCCAUUGUUAUAUGACAACGAGGACACAUUUGUCUGUUUUUUGACCCUUUUCAUCCAAUUUUCUUGUUUAUGUAUCCUAAAGAGAAAUAAGAUGAAACUGUCAAAAGGGAAGUACUCAAAACGUAACAGUUUCACAUCUGAACAUGAAUUUGCAUUUGCCGAACAUCUGCUGCAUAUGCAUAGGAAUGGAGAGAUAUCGUCUCAAAACAUCGGGAGCCAUGUCAUCCCCGAGGUUACUAACAUGCUUCUUCAGAGGUUCGGAAUUCCAUUUCCCAGCAAUAGUAUUCGGUCUAAGUACUAUGCCCUUCAGAGCCUCACUAAGCUUUACAUUUCAUUCAAGAAACGGGGCACUGGUAUGGGGUGGGACUCAACGAACUACACCUUCAUGAUGGAUGAUGAACGGUGGAGCCAACUGGUUCAGGUAUAGCUUGCUGGUUUCUUACUUUUAAGCCAUUUGGAAUUAUUAAAAACUGCCCCCUCUUUGGAUUUUCUCUUCCCCCUUGGAUAUAACUAUUUCCCUGCUGGAUUUACUUGCUGGUUUCUGUAUUUUAAGCCAAUCUGAACUAUUGAAAACUGUCCCCCCCUUGGAUUUUCUUUUCCCCCUUUCACUAACUGUCCCCCCGUACUAUGCCCUUUACUUGCUGGUUUCUCGUUAGGCCAAUUGAAAUUAUGCAAAUCUGUCUCCCCUUUGGAUUUUAUCUUCACCCCCGCAGUUUAACUGUCCCCCUCCUUGGAUUGACUUGUUGGUUUCUUACUUUUAAGCCAUUCGGAAUCGAUAAAAACAGUCUCCCUGUUGGAUUUUAUCUUCCCCCUUGGAUUUAAUUGCUGGUUUCCUAACUCUAAUGCAAUCAUAUGUUUUUCAGAGUUGCAUUCAUUGUGCUUUUGCUGUCUUCUGCUUUGUUGUAGGUGAACCAAGCAUACGCUAGAUUCUACAACUGCUCAUGCCUACUUUAUCACGUGCUCGAAGAAGUUUUCAUGAAUCGAGGGACGACUGGGGAUUUCAGCGCUGGAUAUGGAGAUUCACCGCCCAACUCGGCCGACAAGCAGCAAAUGGAGAGAGCUGCUAGACGCUGUUCAGGAAAGGGGGUUGUGGACGUGGAUUUCUCCGAGGAAAACAUUCCCUCACAGCCUGUGAGUCGGAAAGGGAAACAAAAAGUUAAGAACAACAAAGGGAAGCGCAGAUCGGGUGACAUGUCUUGCGAUUCCUUCUUCUCACCAUCGUCCCCCCAAUUCCAGCAGUACGUCCGCGUCCUAGACAGCAUUGACACACAUUUGAGCUGUAAAAAGAGCAAGAGCAGGAGUGCAGAGGUCUCUUCACCUUCAAAGAGUCAAAAGGCUGUUGUAGAUGACGAUGCGCAGUUAGAAGCUGCAAUGGUGCCUCUCUGCGCGCUUGGGCUAGACAUAAAUGUUCACCUUAAGAUGGCCGAUCUCCUCCGGUCCAAAGCGGAGCGUAUCAUUUGGUUCUCCUGCACCACAGAUGAUGCCCGGCUUGCGUUUAUGAGACAUCGAGGGCUCCUCCCACCCGCAUAGAUGCUCAUACCAUCCGAGUUUUAGUCGUGGCAGCCCACUUGGAUUGUCUUUGUGUCCCCGAACAUGCAAUUCCACUGUUUCACUUUUUAUUUUCGUUUGAUGUAGUUUGGCCUUGGAAACUUUGACGCUGGAUUUUUCUAUUUGUGUACCCCGAAUGAGUCUAUUUUUUUCUGAAUUUUAAUAAUUCGAUUUAGUGACCUUUUAAUUGCUGUGUGUGCUCGUUCGAAUAGAUUGCUGUAACUUUUGGUUGUGUGUGAUAAUAGGCUUUGUUACAGUGUCAUAAGCAAGGAUAAGAUGAUUUAAUCAUUUGGUAACGUUUGAAAUUGGCAUAGUUAUACUUGAUUUCAAAUGUUCAUUAAACAGCUGGCCAAUUCUUUGCCUUCGGUCGAACCUAGUGAGAAUUUUAGAUUGCACCAGUUGUUCUAUAUCAUGUUGCCUAGGUAUUCACCAUACCUAGGGAUUGUAUAGGAUUUGUGGUACAUUUGUAGCCAAGCUUCGGAACUUGUUAACUUGGAAACUUUUGCUAAGCUUCUUGGCCAGGUAUAAAUUAUACCAGACGAUUAGAAUGUUUUGCGGAUUUAUUGUUCCAUAGGUGUGCAACUUGUUAACUUGGAAACCAGCAAGUAUGCUUCUGUUGGAAACUUGUAUUUGUGAAACUGCAAACUUCUUAUUUUGCUAGGCUUUACAUUUAUAAAAGUAGGUUCAAAUAGCCGGAGCAUUGUUAUCAUAAUAGGAACAAGAUGUGAACUUCAUAAGUUGUUAUCAUGAUUGUUCUAUAUCAAAUAUUUGUGCAUAUAGCCAGAACAUUGUUGGGUUCUAUUUUUAAUCCUUUUGAUUCCUUUCUUUGCAGGGUAUCCCGAAUUUUUAUUGCAUACUUGAUACUGAUAGCAGUGCGAUGGAUAAUCAGGGACAUAUUCAGGGCGGAUACUUGGAUGACGAGACAGACGAUGUUGAUUUCGAUAACAUCCUUUUGGGAGUUGUGCUCCUAGGCUUCAUGUUCUUCGACCCACGCUUUAACCGAGUUCCCAGAAGAAGAAGAGUUAGAGAUAGUGUGCUCUCGGGGAGGGACUAUGUGCUUGAGCUGAUAAACGGACAUGAGGACAGAAUUAUUGAAAACAUGCGCUUGGAUGUUCCUCAAUUCCUGAUGUUGUGUGAUUUGUUGGUUCAGCGUGGUUAUUGGCAUGCAUAUCCUUCACAUCAGGUGGGGGUUCAUGAAUCCGUUGCAUUAACUCUAAUGUGCCUGAGCCAUGAUGAGCGGCACCGUGUUCUAGCCGAGCGGUUCCAGCAUUCCACGGAGACGAUAGAUUGACAUGUUCGUCGUGUGUUACGAGCAUUAGUUCGCCUCGGUCGUGAUCUCGUUAGGCCAACAGACUUCGAUGGGACUCACCCAAGAAUUUUGAACAAUGCAUCACUCAUGCCGUGGUUCCGGGUUUGUGUUUUUUAGCAUUUUAUUUCAACUUUUUCGCAACUCAAAUUUCAAUUUACAAUUUAUUGAAAUAUUUUAUGGGGCUUUGUAUAGGAUUGUGUAGGAGCACUAGACGGGACACACGUCUCCGCUUGGUGCAGCUCAGAGAUACGAGAGAGGUUCAUAAAUCGGCAUGGUGACUUAUCCCAGAAUGUGCUUGCUGCCUGCGAUCAUGAUAUGCGCUUUGUAUAUGUUCGAGUCGGUUGGGAGGGUAGUGCUCAUGAUGCCCGAAUUCUCCAAGAUACCUUGCUAGAUCCGAAUUCGGGUUUUCCUAUGCCACCGCCGGGUAUGUGAUAAACUUUUUAUCCUUCAAGAUAGGCAUUGGCAGAUUGUGCAUAAUUAUGUGGUAGAUAUUUUCAAGACCUUACAUAAACAAAAUCAAGAAGAACCUAUUUCUGUAUUAGUAAUCAAAGCCUUUUAACCAUCAACUUGACAUCAUUGACAGGAAAAAAUUAUGUGGUAGAUGCUGCUUAUAGAAAUAUGCCAGGUUUUGUGGCACCGUUUAGGGGAGCACAGGGCACACAGCAUGAGCGGGCAGCUAAACGUUUGUUCAACAGGCGGCAUGCAUCGGUUAGAAAUAUUAUUGAGCGCACAUUUGGGGUUCUUAAGAAGCGUUUUCCAAUACUCAAGGGUCCAAUGCAGAAUUAUCUAAUAGCAACACAAAAUAAUAUUGUGCUUGCAUGUUGUAUUUUGCACAAUUUUAUGCGUGCAUACUCCCCAGCAGAUGAGUACUUCAACGAAGAAGCAACCCUCGGAGCCAUAGCUGAUGCACAGAUAGCAGGAGAGCAACAGCAGGCGGGCCAACCCAUCGAUAUGUCGGAGCAGGGCAUCUUUAAUUGGAACGAAGAUCGGCGGGCAAUGGCGGCGCAUAUGUAUUGGAAUGCGCAUAACUAGGGGACACUACGAGGCUUUGGACCGAUAGGCCUAGAAAUAAAAAAGUUUAAUACGCUUUGAUUGAAAAACAUGUGAUUUCCGCUUGAUUUCGAAUUUGUGUCAGUGUUAUCGUGUUAUGUCUUUCAGGACUCGAUUGUUUAUCUUAUAUAUGCUAACUCGUGGUUUGCACUACCUCCGUAUGUGCACCUCAAUGCUAAUUGCACCAUGUGUUUGUGGAUGAUAUUGUACAAAAAUCCCAAAAACAAGCUGGCUCCGUUUGAAGUAGCAGUUUUUGGGGGUCAACAUUGAAAAAUUUUGCUGCAGCAGAAUUUUUAGAAUAUAUUUUGAAAUAUUUUUAACGAAUAUUUUGAGAUAUUAAGAGUAGAAGAGUUUUUAAAAUAUAUUUUGAGAUAUUUUUUAAAAUUUUAAAAAAAAAACAAGUUAAGUUCCUCUUGUUACUCCAAAAUUUGUUAAUUGGCCGUAGUGUGCUACUUCUCAUACUACUUGUAUUGGAAAUUUUAACUCCUUUAUAAAAGGUCACUUUUACUUUGUUGCUGAAGUUAUUGGGCAAUUAUCCAAUUCUUUUAUAUUCACUUUUAAUAAGAAGGUGUUUUUGAAAUACUGUUCAAUCCAAACGCAGGCAUUUUUCAAAAACACAGAGUUUUUCAAAAACAAGAAUCCAAACGUUACAUGAAGUUUUUCAAAAAAUGCUACAGUUAAGUUUUUUAAAAACACCUCCAAAAACAGGUGAUCCAAACGGAGCCUGCAUCUUUAGCAAAUACACAUGACUACAAGAUUGCAAAAUCAGCACAUUAAUUAUUUGCACUGUACGUCAAUUAGUAAAACAAAAAUUCAAGUAUGAAACUAUUAAGCAUAUCUUGUUUAACAAUAAGAUAUUGUAAACAAUCACGGUAAUUGCACACUGUUUACCUAGGUGUUAUAUUUAGAUUUUUGACCACUAGUGUGGCAAAAAUGUUUCACAAAAUUUUAAAUACCACAUACAAAUGCAUUACAAAUUAUUUCAACUAUUUAUUACACAUAAAUGGCUUUUCAUUUUGUUAUGUUUAUUUGUUCCCUUCUCGUUAAUUAAGACUACAAAUCUUUGGAGCAACGCUUAGAAAGAGUUAACUUUUUUUUUAGGUGAAGAUUAAGAGUAGAGUAAUCAUAUUUAUCUUUAACACUUCAGUGGCCAUUAGAACUUCACCUAGGAGAGUUAUUACAAGUACUAGACACUUUAAUGAGCAUGUUAUUUCUCAAAAAUCUUGCUUAAACCCAUUAUAAUUUCGUGACCUUAAAUCGUGCAAGUUGUGUGGAAGUGACCCAUCCUUAUUAAUUAAGCCAACUUGUAUUGGCAUAUCUGCCCAUUGAUUAAAGAAAGCCCAAAUCAACUCAUGCUCAGGAUGUGAAGUAAUCAAUUGGAUGUCUUAAUUUAUUAAUAUAUGCAAUUAUUCCGUUUACAAUUAAGUCUUCUUCAUUGAUUAUUGUUAUUCAAUAAUUAUAAUUUCGUUAGUUUUUCCACAUAAUAUUUCAAAUUUUUUAUUUUUUGCUAUUUGUGCUUGUCUUUAUAUUCAUUAACACGUAUUGAUGAAUCCUUUAGUUUCAAUGAAUUCGUUUUUAUCUUAUAUGGCAAAACUAAUUGGUAAGUGGCACACCCAACUAAGUAGCAAACAAGUGUUAUACUUAAUUAAUCAAUUGAAUUUUGUUUGUUUCAACUAACUUGUCUAGUCAAUUUUCUUUAUUUUCUUUACUCUCUUCUAACUACUUCAGGUCAAUCAGUUUUUCAAUUGUAUGAAAUAACUAGGCAUAGUUCAUAAGGUUAUUUUUUUUUUAGUUCAUAAGGUUAUUUGGUUAACUCAUUUUUGUAAUAAAAGUACACCAUUUCUCAAGACAAUAAUGUCUCUUCAGAUACAACACACUGUAUAAAUUUCUCAAGGUAAUUUACAAUUUUAACUUAAAUAAUUUUGUCCAAUUUGUUGUCCAAUAAUUUUUACUGUAGGGCAUUAAAUAUACUCUCUGCAUUAAAGGAACUUUUGGUGCAUGGUUUUAUAUCUACCAUGUGUUGAUGACACACACAACAUGCCAACAAAUGAUUCAUUACUAGAUCUCAAAAAGCAUCUCGCUCUCUCUGGUAAAAUAACAAUUUCAUUCACGAAAUUUGUGCUAGCGGUAAAAGAUAUAUUACUAUAGCUUCAAAGCAGAAGCAAUAGCGGAUUUAAGGUGGGGGCACUGGGACACGGGCCCCCAUUGCUCCCCUUAAAUUCCCAUAGUAUCUAUAUAAUUUUGAUAUAAUUUCAAGUGUGUCUCCAGAGUUUUUUUAUGAAGCAAGUGAAAGAAUUACGUGGUCUUUUAAAUUGGUUCAUGAACUAAUAUUCUAAAAGGAUAUGUGGGUCACAAAAUUUCAUUUGAAAUAAGCUAAAAAAAGCUUUUCAUUUUAACUUAUUGAUGAAUAUUUUUUUGCUUAAAAAACUAGAAAAAAGAGUGAGUAAAAAAUUUUAGUGUUGCUUUUACUCCCACUGAAAAUUUUUUCUAGCUCUGCCAUUGCGCAAAAGGGGCGUUUUUUUUCCUCUGUAGAAACAAAUUAGUGUUCCUAUCCUUAACAGAAGCCAGGAUAGGGCACUGGUCCGAAACAUGAGAGAAUAGGUGCUGCACAGAUGACCACGGGAAUUGGGAACUCCAUGCAUGAUUUGCACGAGCUCUAUCCAGAAAGGCUCUACUUGUGUUAGGAAAAAAAGCAUUGCAAAGCCAGGUAUAUUUGUAACCCUCAAAGCCGAGAUCAUCAAUUUCACAGUGGCUGAGUGCUUCUCGAAAUGAAUCAAUUUGCCAUUGUGGUCGAUUAGUCCGCCUUGAAAUUCGUCAUGAUACAGGACUUCAUUGAAAUCACCGAAACAAAGCCAAGGAAGAUGUAACUGUGUGUAGUUCUGCCCAAAAAACAAAACAAAAAACUGUGAAUAGUUCUUUAAAGCUUUGAAAGUGGUCCAUGCUUCCCGCCGAAGAGAAGUAUUGGACUCACCAUAACUUCCUGUGAUCCUCCAAGGUUGCAUUUCAGUAUCAUUUCUAACAACUGCAUCAAUAUGACGUUGAGAAAAACUCAAGAUAGAAACAUCAAAAAAGAGCUGAACCACCAGAAUUACCAUUAGCAUCAACCGAAAAACUAAAGCAAUUAAACUUAGACUUUAACUGAUCAACUACCCUACCAUUACAUUUAGUUUCGCAAAGAAAGAAAAAUUUUGGGAGCUUUUUGACUGGUUAAAUCAUAGAUUGCACAAACCCUCCGAGGGUUCCCAAGCAAUGACGGAGUCAAGGAGGACUGAUGGGGCCAUGGCCCCUCUCAAUUUUGAAAAUUUUAAUUUAUAGUGUGUAAAUAUAUGUACAAAGAAAGUUGCCCUUCUUAAUUUUUUACAAUUUUAGUUUUUAUUAUGAGAGUUUAUAUAUAUUUAUAAUUAAAGUUAAUAUUUAAUUUUUUUAGAUAUCAUAUAUUUAAAUGAAUGAAAAUUAUUUUGAAAAUAACAUAUUCUCUCUAAAAAAAAAAAUCUUGGCUCCGUCACUGUUCCCAAGUCCUCGACAGUUCCAGCUUAUGAGAUACAUUGGGUUCGGAGGGACUUGCUUUGAGAACCAGUUGUAAGCACAAAUUUCGUUGCCUAAAAUAAAAGACAAGAAAACUUGCACAAAUAUCAAAUUUAUUAUAUUAAAUAAUAAGUAGGUUACAAUCUCUGAAAAUUCUUGAAUCAAAGAAAUUAAUCCCCUGAUUCUUCUCUUCGAAUAGCUUCAAUUGAAGGGCCGAAAAACUUGUUCUCCAAUCGAAAGGGUGUUUCCUACAAUUUCGGCGUAGAAAACGAUUGACUUGAGGAUGACGUCGAACACUUGGAACUCUUAAGUCUUCAACACCAAUGGCAAGAGGAUUUGUUUGACUUGAUUUGGACUUAGAUAGAAGGAAAAGCUCUUGAGAGAAUUUGACAGAGUUUCUCCGAAUGUUAGGAAUUUUUCUAUAUCUUUGCCUUGAGAGAAGACCUUUAUUUAUAGCCAAAAUAUGUAGGCUAAGUCUUCAAGAAAACCCUCCAGAUAUCUUCCUGCAUUUUGGGUAACUUAUAACUCAAGAAACCCAUUUAAUUUGGGCUUAACUAGUGGGCCAACCCAAAUGGUCCAUGGUGAAUUAAUAAAGCAAUCAAUUCACUCUAACUUAAAUGGAUACUAUGAAUUUAAUUUGAUUUAAUAGCCCAUAUAAUAUUGGCCCAAUUUGUCAGUCCAAAGCAUAAUGGACUUCUAUAAUUUAAUUUAAUUUAAUCAAGAUCGAUUUAAUUUAAAUAAAUCUUGACUAAAUAAAUUAAAUAAAUUUUCUUUGUCUAUAAAUGCCCCCACUUCAAGACUCAAUUGGGACUUGCUUGUCAAGGAUGUAAUUGAAACUUGAAGUACUUAAUUUUUUUUUUUUCAAGAGAAGCCAAUUCCUUUGCCGAUUUGGUGGGCAAGCAACAAGAGCCUGGGUUAAUACAUGUGAUCGAAGAUCAUAAAAAAGUCUACACCAUUCACGGAUUACAUGUGGUCUACGGCAAAGUGUGAUGCAUAGGAUUAUUCCCCAUGUCAUUACAAUGCAAUUGUUGCAAUUAGUCUUGAAACUCAAUGGCUUGGCAAUUGCCAAAGCCAAUUGUAUUGCCCGAAUUGCUGCUCUGUUGGUCUUUGGAAUUCCAUUGGACACUAGUCCAAGUGACUACCAUUAACUUAAAGUUGCAAUACAUUAAAGACACCAAACAUUAAAGCUCAAACGUUCCAAUCGAUUUUAUUCCGACAAGAAUGGUCCCAUGUCCCUUGAAGACUUUGCUCCAUAGACAUUCUUCACCUAGAAGUUCCAGUAGGCGCCGUUAAUUUAAUUUCACUUUCAGCAACUUCAAUGUAGCCUUAUUUGCAUUAGGAAUCCUUCUAUGACCAUUGCACCGCCUAAACAUUUAAUAAUCAAAGCAUGGCUACCAAUUUGUUUGGUGGAAACUUCCCAUUCAAUACUUAUCAUGAAACUUCCACUUUAGAGAGCCGAAACGUGGUGCAAAGAUUAGGAAAUGUCUUCACACUUCGACACUCAAAAUUACAUGCGGCAGACUUGCUAAAUCGUAUUGAUAAUUUCCAAUUUGCAUCUCAAGCUGCUGACUACCAAAUCUUGUCCGUGGCACUUGGCAAUAUGGAAUUUGCUAAGUUUCAACACUUCCUAAAUCGCAAAUGUAUUCCCAAAACCAAUGUUGGUAACUUCUGAACGCCGAAUUUCGAGAGCUUCCCAAAUUGACUUCCAGCUUUUGAAAUUAUUCUUGGGAACCAAAUUCAUGUGAUUCCAAAAGUUAAAUGAUAAUCACUGAAUUUAGUAGCUGCCCAAAACUUAAAACUUCCUAAACUGAUUCAGUUGAGCGCCUUGUAGAGCUCCACAAGACAUUCUUUUUCUUUUCUUUUUUUCGUCUUGAAGCUGAGCAAUUUGGAAUUCCUUUGGCAUUGCUUCUUUUGGAAAUUGGAUCCAAGUUGCUAAAAUUCUCGUGGUGUGGCUUUGUACUCAAGUUGAUUUGGGCAUAGAAUAAUGAUUCCCGUGGCUUCAACUUUUAAGGAAUCAUAAGACCACUUCCCUUUUGACUUGCAAUUGAUUCCAAGAGAAUUAGAAAGAUACCACUUUCAAUCAUUUCCAUAUUCCAUGAUGCGGCAAACCAUUAGAUAUCCAAACUUAAUGUUGCUAAGAAAAAGUAAUUGCUAAAAACAAUGCUAGGCAAUUGCCAUUGCCACGCAAUCAGUGUUCAUCAAUUUGGGAAUUGUCCAAACCAAUUAGACAAUGUAGGUUCACAAAUUUCAAUAGCCUUCCAACUCCAAUAUAAAUCCUUUGAAGUGAAUAUGUAACUUCUAAAUUAGCUAUUGGACCCAUAUUUCCAAGUUGCAUGAUUUCUAAAAUAAUCAGAACUUGCCAAAUCUUGAAUGAAGCAUCAGUAGGAAGCUUGCUUAACACUCCAAUUGCUAUAAGCAAUCACAUGCAACUUCCUCAUAUUUUAAGCGUAACCCAUUUUUGGAAAUUAAACCCAAGCUAUUGGAGUUGUAUCAUUGCAGCGCCUUGUUAGGUGCCAAAAACAAAUUUAUUGCCCGGAUGGUAGCCUCAUUGACCUUUCGGAAUUCCACUGGACAAUUUCGGAAAAGGAGAAAAAGAAGUAAUGCUCCACUUUCUCAAUUCACUCAAAUGUUUAAAGUAACCAGCCAUAUUUUGAAAUAAGGAAUGGAAACAUCCAAUUGGGUGUCACUGCAGCAGGUUGGCAAUUGCUAAAGUCAACUUAUAUAUAAUUGGAAAUGACCAAUUAACAACUUCCGAAACCGAAUCCUACUGCCUACCAUCGCUUACAAAAUUAUCAUUUCUUUUUUUCGAAAGUGGAAUCAAUUUCCCUGUUCCUUAGCUCCCAAAACCUUUAUAUACAGAACCUCUGCUUGCCCAAGCUUUUCAAAACUAAUAGUAAUCUCCGGCUUGUCCUCAGAGAGAACGAUCGGCCAGUUCAGGUAAUAAUCAAUCUUGCCUUCACUUUAAUUUGUCCUCAACCUUGCUGAAAUUUGCAUGUUGCCAUGCUACCUUUAGUUGCUUGUCGACUAAAGUCAGUGAAGCCAAGCACAGAGGAUUGCAUGUGUUACGACUAUUCGGCCAGUGGUUUCUUCAUGUUGCAAUUUAUUAAUAAUUGAUCCAAUCCCAAGGCCAUUCAAGCUUUUGUUUGUUGUUUUAUAUGCAAUACAUGUUUCUUUUGUUUCAAGCCACGGCACUUAGAAGCGGGCCAAGUCCAUAGUGUUUUUUUUUCCUCAUGCCAAUUUAAUUGAUAGUUGACACGAAGUGCUCAUCAACCCAUGCCAUGCAUCACGACUUUCUUGAAAAUGCUUCCUUCUUAUGAAAAUUUUUUGUUUUUAGUUGCAGCAUGUAUUGACACCCUUUGAAGCGAGUUGAUGCUCCAAUUGUGUUCGCCAUUUUAGGACCAUAGCUCUUAGCAUUCAAAACGCUAAGGUAACUUUCAUAUUUCAUGGUUUUUACCUCUUGUCAAGAUUUUUUUUUUUUUUUUUUUGUGUGACAUGAAAGGAAGAUCUUUUGACACAUUAUCUGUAUGGUGGACACUCAAUUUGAAGAAGGUGCAACCGCAAACUCCCACGAGAGCCAUAUUAUGGCUCGAGGAGUACAUGAAAAAGGUGCAACCAAGAAAUUUGAAGAAGGCGCAACCGCAAACUUCCACGAGAGCCAUAUUAUGGCUUGAGGAGUACAUGAAGGAGAUGACACAACCAAAAUUUGAAGAAGGUGCAACUGCAAACUCCCACAAGAGCCUAUCAUGGCUUGAGAAGUACAAAGGAGAUGGCGCAGCCAAAAUUUGAAAAAGGUACAACCGCAAACUCCCAUGAGAGCCUAUCAUGGCUUGAGGAGUACAAAGAGGGAGACGCGAUUUCCCACUUUAACAAAAAAAACUCACCCAAAAUUCAAGAAGCCUUUUACUAUCUUCGAUCAUGCCAUUUUAACCAAACUUUCUUUUUCCUUGCUUUUGUUACAGGUUGGUCUUGAUGCAAUGGUGGUGUUCAAGGAAGUCACAUCUUCAAACGAAAAGUAUCUCCUUAUCGCUGACAGCGAUGGUGACUCUGGUGACAAAGCAACGAAAUUAUUGAUGCAUUUUCCUAUACAAGGAACUUACUCUGGUAAGUGGCUUUCUCACCAGUACCCAGAAUUGAAGGACUGGUCACUUGAACUUCCUCAAGAUGAUGGCGCGAAGGUUCACUCCUUGAAAUCCCUUAUUCAUGAUAAGGAGCCAAGGACAACUCCUUUUCAAACCCUUGGCAGGCGGAUCAUAGACGGAGAUGCACACUGGGAUCCUUCCUUGAGACUCAGUGGUGCAUUCACUUACAUCGAGAAUUAUUGGGAGUGGUUGGAGGAUAUCCUCGGUAGGAGCAAACAAGUGCUCCGUGAGAAUUGCUUGUUUGACGCCUUAUAUGCUUCGCUUUUCACAUAUGAUAGGAAUCCCCAUAUACUUAGGGCAUUCUGCGAAGCGUAGUGUCCGGACACUAAUACCUUGCAUACAUCUGUCGGGGAAUUGUCUCUCUCACUUUGGAAUUUGCACAAGUUAGGAGGACUUCCAAUCAUUGUGGGUAUCUAUGAAGAGGUAAUCCCAUGCGCGGAGGAGCUAACUGGAGUUAAUGAAAAGAAAUUAAGGCAUAUCCCACAAAGUUGUUAGUAUUUGUUUGCAGCCUUACAUCAUCUUCAACAUGGGGAAUCCAACAAAGCUGGAGUUUCUGCUGCCCAAUGGAUUAAUUUCUGGUUUAAAGGCACAACCAGGUACUCAAAGCCAAAGCAAAGAAGGAUAAAGAGGGCAUCUCAUGCUCAAGCGAUCCAAAAUCCGGAUGGCGAAAUUGGACAACCACGCAAAUUUUCAAGUCAAGACAAUGGGGUAUUUGAUACCAUCGGAGUUAAACUUCACUUGCGGGAAGAGACCUAUCUUACAGCAUUUAUAUCUUGCUGGCUCUGUGUCUUUGCUUUACCAGAUGAGGACCUCCAUUAUAUUAGACCAUCUACUUUCAAAAUGGCUAGUAUGGUGGCUGCCGGUCGUAAGACUUGCCUUGCUGUUCCUGUCCUGCUAAACAUAUACCAUGGGCUCGAUAAGAUUUCAAACUCAGCUACCCCAGGGUGUGCACGUGCGGCUUUUCUGGUGCACUACGUAUAUGCUUGGUUAGCGACUUAUUUCUCUACCUAUUAUUUUACUCCAAACACCAUGCCUGGACCCACCAUGACCAACUAUUCUGGAGAGGGUGGCGCACGAUACUUUGAUGAAAAUAGUGCUCGCGACCUCAUUCAUCAGGGAGAUAAAACAACUUGGGGAAUCACUUCUCUUGUGAAGAACCGCAAUAAACUUUUUAUUGACAAUGAAAAAUUAGCGAAUCUCGAACUAAGUUAUUUUGUAAGCGUCUGCUCAAAUUACUUAGUUUUGCAUGCUGAAAGGGAUUUUCUUGUUGAGCCAUAUAGUCCAUAUAGAUUCGGGCGGCAAUUCGGAUUUUAUCAAGUUCUUUCACAAGAACUCGGGGCAGAUAUUCGUUCUACAAAUUAUGACUUGAGUCGAAUACUCUGGCGCACUGCCAUUCGCAGUAAAACAGAGUCAAAGGUACUUUUUCUUAGCUAUCCCUUGAAUGCUAGCAAGCACACAUCUUUAGGUUUUCAAACAUGGUGGUCUGUGGUGCAUGAUAAUCAUCUCCUCAAAGGGCGUGAUGCUUUGAUUAAGAGUAUCCAAUCAAAUGGGGAGCAGAAGAAGUCAAAAGGGAAGGAACUUGCAAACCUGAACAAUCCCUCCAAGGUUGUCAAUAGUCUUGAGAUGAAGCAAAUGACUGUGAGAAGUGAGAAGAAAAUUUUGAAGAGUUCAAGCAACAAGAUUGCUACCCCUGAGAACCUUACUCCUAAUGAACAAUUUUCGAAGGGUAUUUCAUUUCAUCUUCCUUCAAAAAUUGUGAAGGCUAUUGAUCAUGAUUCUUGCAAUUCACAUGAGAAGAAGAGGAGCGAGCCUUUUGAUGAGGAGGAUGAGUAAUCCACUGGCACGGACCAGCAUUGGAAGCGCAAGAAGUCCAAGGUAAUGACUCUCCCUUUAGAUGAUAUUGGUUUAGAUCCUAAAGAACUCUUUAAAGACAUUCCGGAUAUAUCUGUGCCUGGUAUAAGUCGUGCCAAUAUUGUAAGGACCCUCCUUGCCUUCUUUAAUUUAGCAUUUGAAAUUUGCUCGUUAAUAACGUUUUCCCUACAGUUGGAUGAUCAAGACUUGAUCUUAAUUGAUGAUGGAGAACCAAGCCAAGCAUCAGUUGAAGGACCUACUGCAUUUGAACUUUUGGCCAAACAAGUGGUCAGUUCUACCCAACAAAAGGGUGCUAGUGAGAAUUCCAAAAAGACAGUAGAUGAUGGAAAUGUGAUUCAGCAAAUCACGUCACAGAAGGCGGAACAUAUGACUCCAUCGGCCAAAAAGAAACUCAAAGUUUUCGAUCCACCAUCGUGGCCAAGGGCACCUCAAAUGUCUGAAUUUUGCCCCCAAAGUGUGAUCUCAACAUGCCAUCGAGACUAUAUCCAAAUGUUGUGGAAUAACUUGAGGGUGAUGAUAUCUCAAACAGUCUUGGAGCGCAUGCCUGCUCUUGAAAUGAAAGCAAGCAAAAUCAUGGAGGAAAUGCAAAGCUUCAAUGCCACGGAUAUCUCAAAUUUGCAAGGCCUUUUAAAGGCUUUCUUUGCAAAUGCAGCUCGUUACGUUGCAGUGAAAUCUUCUCUCUCAAAUAAAAUUUCAGUUGAAUCAGAUAAUGAGUUGCUUUCUACGGCCACCCAACAUCUUAGAGAUGCUCAGAGUAAGGAGAAACAACAAGCGGAAAAGAUCACAAUGCACAUGUUGAAACUUAAGGAGAUUGAUCGCGAGGAAGUAGAGUUGAGGAAGCGACUUGAGUUCUUGGAUACUCACAGGAAGGAGACGCUUUCACUGCUACGAGAAGAGCAAGAUGAACUUACCCGAGUGCAAGACGUGAUGGUCGACUUACGAUAUGAAGUUCGAAAGAUUGAGGAUUCCCCGCCCCUACUUGCUGAGGAGAGUCAAACUUUGGACAAGAUACAAGCAUUACUUGAAAACAACCGAAAGGAGCUGUCGUCGUUUGAAUUCUAGAAAUAGUUGCAAUCUUUUACUUUGUUUCAAAUUUCAUCUUUCGUUAAUUGCUCAAAUCGUGUAGCUCUGAGUACAAGCACUUCAUAAUGAAACUUGAUUUUUUUUUUCCUUUUCAUCAUAUUCUUGCAGACGUCCUCGUCUUUAUUUACUCUUUCAAUAGCAACCAUUUUAGGCUAUCAACCGUAAUACAAACAAUUCCAUCUUUGCAUAAUUUCGAUCACACUUGAAAAGGUAAUUAUCCAAAUAAUUUGGUAAUCUAAAUAAUAUACUUUCAAGUAUAUGUCACAAAAUAAUUCGAACUGUCUUAAAGAGAACCGCUCUUUAUUUUUUUGCAACAAAAGAAUCAUCCGGACAAAGGCUUUAGUUUUAUAGGAUUGUAACUGAACUUAGAAACUAUCCUCUAAGCUGCCUACGUAUCCCCAGGAGGGAAUCAAGUCACACAUAGUUCCUACCGUUCACAGUUUAAACUCUUGUGGGUCAGGAGUAUCCUUUUGUUUACCAAAUCACCUAAAAAUGAAUUUUUCAAAGGAAAAAGUAGAAAAACCCCUUUUAAACGACUCCUAAUCUACGUAAAUCAAAGAAAAAGGUUCGGGAGUCACAUUUGAAGAAAGGGAAGGCAAGAAAAAAAUUUUGAGGCACCCUUUCGACCUAACCAAGGCUAGUUUCGUGAUUUAGUCAAAGAUUUUCUUAUUUUAACCUAAAGAUUUAUCACAUUUGGAUGUACUAUAUGAAUGCAAACCCUAGACCUAGGAGGGUAUCGGGGGGUCAAAAUUUCUCUUCAAAACUCGAAUGGUGCCCAUCACAUUAAUCGUGACACCCAAUAGUGACUCUUUGGAGAAGUUACGAAUAAUGCAAAAAUAUGAGACUCUAAGAAAAGAAAAGGGAUAAAAUAAUUAUAUAAAUAUACAUGUCUUAAAGGAGUGCAUCAUGUCGGGUACGGGGGACUAAUAUUCGUGACCCGAUUUUCCCUUUAAUAGAGGGAAUACGAGCGUGCUAAGGCUAGAAAACCAAACUCGUCCAUAUCCCAUAUUCAAGGGGUAUUCCCUAAUCUAAUCAAGCAAAUUCACUACCCUAAUCCUAAUUUUAAAAUGAAAUGCAAUUCUAAUGUUAUGUAUCAUACAUAGGGGUAUAUAUAUAGGGAAAUUAGGGAUAAGGGCUAUACGUAUAAGGGGAAUAUCAUACAAAAUGAUAAAAGACCCUAGAAAGUGAAAAAUAUGCAUGAGAUGAAAUGAUUUUAUCAUACAAUCAUGAUCAAACGCGCGAAGGGGUCCUAAGGGUCUAGCGUUGGACUAACCCAUAUUCCUACUUUCUCACUAGCGUUGGACUAGUGAGAAAUCGAAUAAGGAAACCACAACUAGCGUUGGAAUAGUGUGGUAUCGAGAAAUGGAUCACAACUAGCGUUGGACUAGUGUGAUAACGUCACACAUUAAUUAUAAUCUCAUAAAAACAUAAUAACGCGAGUAAACAGAUAACAUCACAUAAACACAUAACACAUAGUCAUGAUAUCUAGAUGCAAGACCCUAAGAAAGCGGUAACACAUAGCACGUAAGCAUGCAAAUUACACAAGCGAAAAGAAAACGAAUAAAACCCUAGCUAUUACAUUUGAGGGGGGCCUAUUACAAUCUAACGGGGAAAAAAUGAAAAUAAAUAAAAUAAACCUAACUAUUACAACUUGGCAUUUAAUGCCUUUUAAAUAAUCAAAAUGAACUAAAAUAAAUAUACGAAGUUAAGACGACUAAAGCGAAUAAAUAAAUAAAUAAAAUGAAAACAUCCAAAAGGCAUGCGAUUAAACACAUAAAUCACAUAAGUACACAUAGGGUCAAAUAAAGUAAAAAUAAGAGAUAGAGUGUACCUCCCUUGAGUUGGUGUCCUAAUGAAAUGAAUUUACUUAUUUACCCCCCAAAAACAAAGAAAAUGUCAAGGCAUCACUUUGAUUAAAAAAAUAAUCACACGAAAUGAAAAUAAACAUGAAAUUGAAUCACCCAAACCAUUCAAAUAAACUAAAUAACUCAUAUUCAUCAAGUUGAAACCAACAAGGAGCCAAUUGAAACAAUUAAAGAAGUUAAAGGGGCCAAUUUGAUUGAUUUUUCCAAUUUUCUGGCCAAUAGUAGAAUUAAACACAAAUUAAGGGGUUAAAAUGCAAUUUUUCCUUUUGGUUUUCAUGCAUGCACACAUAGAAAAAGCUCUGUUUCUUCAGCGCUAUUUUCCUUCUGCAAUUUCCUGUUGUAAGCUUAUUAUUCGUGCCUUCUUGCACAACCAAGGAAAAGGAAACUAUAGCAUGGAAUUCCAACAAGAAAAUGAUUCCGAUCCUCCAAUAUAAUGACCAAGAACAUCAGCGAAAUUACUCAAUUCUGUCCAUUGAAGCUUCUAAAACAGAAAGGAAUCGUGCAAUGACAGCAAAGACACCACCGAUAAGAAAAGGAAGGAAAGAAGAAAUAAAACAAACAAUCAACACGUAUGGCCCAAGAUAACUAACGGGAAACUUCCUAUAACCUGAGUUGAUAGGAUCCGGAAACAUAACAAACCCAAAAUAAGAACUAUGAAACAUCAAAAUCUUAAACCCCUUCAAAAAUCUGGAUUUUUCUGGUUAAAAAGAACUUUGGGGAGGAGAAACCAUUUCAACACUCAUCCCUGCCAAACACCGAACCCCAAAAUAACAGAAAGCAGAGAGGCUACACCCUGCUAUGACCAGAACAACUGAUUGUGAGCUUCAACCUCAAUUAGCACAACUGAUGCUUCAAAAAAAAAAAUGCAAGGGACUCUACGGCUGCAACGAAUGGGCUUGCCAUGUUGCAGCCUGCUGUGACACCGCACCUUGCUGCUUUAAAUUGCAGCAAGCAUAUACACAGCAUCACUAACACACAGCAAACAGACCCAAAUGAAAACUCAGGCCAAACCAGAACCUCAAUCACCAAAAAAGAAAUUCAGUUUUGUCUAAUCGCUGCAACAAACCAGAAGCUUCAAGCUUGUUGCUUGUUGCAGCAGAUUUUCGUGCACGAAUCCCAGCCGAAUCAUGCAGCCGAUGCUUUUUAUUUCAAAACUCAUGCCCAAGAUACACAGGACAGAAGAAAAAAGAAAAACAAUGGCAAGAGAGACAUCAAAGAGUAAACAUGAUAAAGCUAUGGAACAAGCUCAAUAAACCAGCGGCAAGAAGGUUUGACAGUUCAUGCAUCUUCUUAGCAGAAACCUAAUUUCCUACACUGCAAUUUCUGGGUUUCAUGCCAAAAAUCCAAACAAGUACCAAACUUCCAACCCAAGCCAACAAUCAAAAUUGAAUCUUGUAGUUUGUACUCCUAAGAAUUCUCAGACCCAACUUGUACACACAAACAAGGACCCAAGGUGCGACCUUUAGUUCAUCGGAUUACAUAUAUGGGAAACAUGAUCGGUUCAUGGAUUCUCGAUUGGCAUUUCUCUAGUUCAGAUUCACUUUAAACGAACCAAGGGGGCGCUACCAGGUUUAUCAAAAUCACAACAACAUCAACAAGUAAAUCCACAAUCAUCGCUAUCAAGCAUUGACAAUCAUAGAAACUUGAAAAAAAAUGAACAUCUUCAUGCAUAGGGGACCCAAAACUCUAUAAAAACCGUAUUAAACCAAGAGUUUACAAUCACCUGAUGAUGAUUCUUUGACGAGGCUGAGGCCAAAGAAGAUGAGCCGGAGUUGACUUCUAUGGAAUUUCUGGAAAAGAAGCCUCCUGGUUUCUUCCUUGCUUCGGUUCUCCUCCUGCAACUUCUUUUCUUCCUUUUGCUUCCACGAAACCCCCUCUCUCUGUUUCACUCUCGGUUCUCUCUAGUUCUUUUCUGUCUCUUCUCUCAUUCUAUCUCCCAACCCUAAAGCUUCCUCAGCCGUCCGUGUUCCUUUUUCAUCUGCCCCCCCUUUCCUUUCUUGCCGUCUCUUUUCUUUUCAUAGAGAAUCACCAGGUCCCUAAAACCCUCAAAGUUCAUCUUGAUAGCUCACAAAAUGAUUUCAACACCCCAGCCCCCCUCCUAGCCAUUGAUCAUGGCUUUGAAUUGGAGCUCCUAGAUGGAGUCAGAUGGCCGGUACUUGUCUAAUCUAACGGAGCCAGAAAACACAGCAAGAAACCGCAGAAGCUAUCUUUUCUUCAUUUUUUUUCUUUUUCAUCAUUCAUUUCAUUUUUCAUUUUUUUUAACAAAUAAAGCAGUAAAAGUCAAAUAAAAAUAAGAUUAAAACAAAUGAAAUGCCCUAAAAAAUUUAAUUUUGAUUGAUGGUUUUUUUUCUUUUUCUUUUUUUUUUCAUGAAUCAUUUAAUUAAACAACAAUAACUAAAAAUAAAAAUUUAAAUAAAAACUUGAAUAAAAUGAACAAAACUAGGAACAAAAGAUAAAACAAAAGGCUAAGAUUUUUUCUGUGUUUGAUUAAUGAUUUUUUUCUCUUUUUUUUCAAUUAAUAAACAGUAAAAAAGAAAUAAAACAUAUUUUAUUUUUAUUUUUUUUGUGAAUAAUUUCUCUUUUAACAAAUUUUAUGCUAAAAGUCUUAAAAAUAAAGAUAAACAGCCAAAAAGGCAAAAACGAAUACAAAAUAAAAACUAAAAACUAAAAUAAAAUAAUAGAUAAUAAUAGUAAUCUAAAAUGCUAUACAAAUGCUAAAAGAAGUCUAAAACCAAAAACAUGAAAUUAACAAAUAAAAAUAGAUAAGAAUUAUCACUAAAAACAAAAAUAAAAUAGAAUAAAAAUUAUUCAAAAAUUUGGUGUCUACAGUUUGCCCCUCUUUGUCUGAGUUUUGGAAAAACUUGAGACAAAGAAAUAGACAUCAAAUACUUACCUGUGGUUAUCCGGCUGCAAACUAGUCAAACGACUGACGCUUUUGGAAUGAGGACUGACCUGAAACAGGAAUUUACAAUCGGGACUGACCUGAGACAGGAAUUUAAAAUCGAGACUGACCCAAGACAGGAAUUUGAAAUCGGGACUGACCCGAGACAGGAAUUUAAAAUCGGGAACUGACCCGAGACAGGAAUUUAAAAUCGGGACUGACCCGAGACAGAAAUUUAAAAUCGGAGAAAUUCCAGUAUACUUACCUGAAAAAAACCCAAAAUUUUUUUUUUUUUUAUUUUCAAGGUUAAGUUUUUGCUUCUGAGCCAAAGGUUGAUUCUACAUUACCGUUUUGUUGUGCCUUUGAUCAAACCUGCUUGCAACUUUUCCGAUCCGCCUUUGUUUGCUGGAAAACUUUCCGAUACCGACUCCAGUGCGAGAUGUGAUUAUUUUCAUCCAUGCAUGAAAUUUUUCUGCAAAAGAGAAAGAAUAAGGAAAUUGCCACCAUCAUUUGAUCCGGUUCCCUUUGAGAAUCGUGUAAACAUGAGUCUUUUGAUGCCUUUGUCAAUCUUUUGCUGUGGUAUCUGAUUUAGUUGGAUUUGUCACUUCCAAACGUUUCUGCUUUUCUCAGACUGACCGGGUAUGCAUUUUGUCAUAUUGUGAAAUCUGCGUAGCCAGCUUUGCUGGAUCUCAACCAUUUUCAAGAGAUGACUGUAUCCAAGUAUGCUUCGAAUAAACCACGGGGAUUGUUAUUCACCCAAAUUCAAUGACCAAAAACGACGUGUGCAAGGUAACUUCACAUGUCAUGCAGGAAUGAAUAUGCAAAAGAAUGAAAACACAACCAACUGUGCCUAAUCCUACAAAAUGCCAUGAAUACAAGCAAUUGAGGAAAAAAUGAGUUUCAUAAGAAUGUAUUUGCAAAAGAAUAUUUUUUUACAAAGUGACACAGUUUUUGGCCAACGGAUGUCAUAUUUGAAACUCUGGAUAUCUUUGUUCCGGAAUUCAAUAUUGACAGAAGUAUUAUAAAACGAAGAGAAAUCCGAAUGAACCAAGUCACCAACUAUUUUUCCUCGUGCUUGCUUGUUGCAACCCUACCUCGGCGCCCUUUCAGGUUUUCACCAAGGUUGCCCCCACCCUUUUUGCUCUUGUUUUGUUUUUCUUUUUUUUUCUUCUUUUUCUCUUUUUCCUUCUUCUUCUUCUUCUUUUUUUUUUCUUUCUUUCUUUCUUUUUCGAGGUGCCCUUUCGGAUUUUCACCUAUAGAACAAAGGAAAAUCUCGACCAUAAUCGACUCAGGAAUAUAAGUUGAAGAUCGCUGGCAUCAGUAAAAUGCGCUUCCCUUAUAAGCUUAGGCGAAGGCAUUAUGGACAUCACUUGCCAGUUGAUUAGCAAUUUCUUAAUAGAAAUACAGCAAAUGACGAAAGCCAGGACUUUGGGCUUUUAUAAUGAGGCCAGGUGGGGUGUUUUCAAAAAAAGUUGAGCCUUGAAAGUAGAUUUGAUGAGGUGUGAAAUAACCUGAGAUUGCAAUCAUUUUGAAAUGAUUUCCACUUUUGAACAAAGCUAAGGAAAAUUUGCCCCAGUUUGAUUGGAUUUUCUCUCUUUGCAUUUUUCAUUGCAUUUUCCUUACUUUUGCAUUUUUCUUUAGAGAACUAAAUUUGCCCCAGUGUGGGGGUUUUCUUUUUUCCUGAUCAUCUCUCUUUCACAAUAAAUUUGCUCCAGUGUGGGGUUUGCAAUCCUCAUGGGUUGCCAAACGAAAAUUAUUAGUCUGAUAGCUCAAAAGGGACGACUAGAGAUUGAAUGUUUCAAGUGAAAAAGAAGAUGGCCUGACUUGCAUUUCAUCAUUUGCACGAAUUUCUAAAAGAAGUUUUGCAUAAUCAAAUGAAGAAUUUCUUGCACAUGUCUGAGUUGAUAGGUUGAGGAAAUGUUUGUCCAUCCAUUUCUGCCAAAAUGAGUGCUCCGCCAGGUAAUACCUUCUGAACAAUGAAUGGCCCUUGCCAAUUCGGAGCAAAUUUGCCUUUGGCCUCAUCUUGCACUAGCAAAAUCCGUUUCAGCACUUUGUCGCCUUCCUCAAACGUACGCUGAUGGACUUUCUUAUUGUAGGCCCGGGCCAUGCGAUUUUGAUAACAUUGACCGUGACAAAUAACAUUAAGCCGUUUUUCAUCAAUCAAAGAUAGUUGUUCAUGACGCUGCUUUAUCCAAUCAGCUUCUUCCAACUUAGUUUCCAUAAGAAUACGCAGUGAGGGUAUUUCAACUUCGGCUGGUAGUAUGGCCUCCAUCCCAUACAUGAGUGAGUACGGGGUUGCCCCAGUCGAUGUUCGGAUAGAAGUCCGAUAUGCCAUUAGUGCAUAAGGGAGCUUUUCAUGCCAAUCACGGUGCCUUUCAGUCAUUUUGCUAAUGAUCUUCUUCAAAUUCUUGUUUGCGGCCUCCACGGCUCCGUUCAUCUGCGGUCUAUAGAUGGCAGAGUUGCGAUGUUUGAUUUUGAACUGUUCGCAUAGCCCGUCCACCAUAUCAUUGUUGAGAUUCUUGGCAUUGUCUGUAAUCAACGUUUCUGGCACCCCAAAUCGGCAUAUGAUGUGAUCUCUUAAGAAAUUCGCCACCACCUUCUUUGUCACGUGCUUGAACGAUUCCGCUUCGACCCAUUUGGUGAAGUACUCAAUUGCCACCAAUAUAAAUCGAUGCCCAUUUGAAGCAGGAGGGUCAAUUGUGCCAAUCACAUCCAUACCCCACAUCGAGCAGGGCCAUGGGGCAAUCAUACUGUGCAAUUCGGUGGGAGGAGCGCGUAUGAUGUCGCCAUGCACUUGACAUCUAAUACAUCUCCGGACAAAAUCUAUGCAAUCGCGUUCCAUUGUAAGCCAAAAAUACCCAGUUCUCAUGAUUUUCUUUGCCAACAAAUGUCCAUUCAUGUGAGGUCCGCAGACACCGCUAUGCACCUCCUUCAUCAUGUAUUGAGCUUCAUCUUCAUCGAUGCACCUUAAGAGGUUCAAAUCUGAGGUCCUUUUGUAUAAUACCUCUCCAUUUAAGAAAAACUUCGAGGCCAUUCUGCGCAGGAAACCCUUGUCAUUUGCACUAGCUUCUGGAGGGUAAGACCCGGUUUUGAUGAAUUCCUUAAUAUCAUUGUACCAAGGGUUUUUGUCAGAUGUUUUGUCUACGACCCAACAAUGAGCAGGCUUGUCUUGGAGUUGAAUUCGGAUAGGCUCGAUUUCUAAUUCGUCCGGAUAUUGUAUCAUAGAAGAUAAGGUGGCUAAAGCAUCGGCAAAUACAUUUCGGGUUCGUGGGAGAUGUCUGAAUUCCAAACUUUGAAAUUGUCUAGCCAAAUUAAGCAAAUUACAAUGGUAUGACAGGAUCUUUGAAUCUUUAGUUAUCCAUUGUUUCAAUGUUUGGUGUACGAGUAAAUCUGAAUCACUGAAGGCUAUUAACUCUUUAACUUCCAUUUUCAAAGCCAUUUUAAGACCAAAAAUACAUGCUUUAUACUCGGCCAUAUUAUUUGUGCAAGCAAAUUGCAAUUUAGGGGCUCCAGGAUAAUGCUUCCCUUCCGGGGAUACAAGAACUGCUCCGAUUCCAACUCCAAAAGAAUUAGCUGCACCAUCGAAAAACAAUCUCCAUUCAGGGCACCGCUCACUCAUAUCUUCUACGGCACCAACAAAUAAAAUCUCCUCAUCAGGGAAAUAGGUAUGGAGCGGUUGAUAAUCAUCGUCCUUUGGAUUUUCUGCCAAAUGAUCGGCUAUCUUGUCCCUUGACGGCCUUUUGCAAAGUGAAAACAAUAUCAAACUCUGAAAGAAUCAUCUGUCAUUUGGCCAGACGCCCAGUUGGCAUCGGCUUCUCCAAGAGGUAUUUCAGAGGAUCGGAGCGGGAGAUGAGAUAGGUGGUGUGAUUUAGCAGGUAGUGUCAAAAUUUUUGAGCUGCCCAAGCCAAUGCACAGCAGUUUUUCUCAAUAAAUGAAUAAUUAGCCUCAUACUGCGUGAAUUUCUUGCUAAGAUAGUAGAUGGCUUACUCUUUCCUUCUAGAGUCAUCGUGCUGCCCCAGAACACACCCUACUGCUCCGUCGAGCACAGAUAAGUAUAUGAUCAAAGGCCGGCCCGGUUUGGGUAGCACUAGAACCGGAGGCUGCAGCAAAUAAUCUUUAAUCUUGUCAAAAGCUUGUUGGCACUCCUCAUUCCAAUGCAACGGCACAUUCUUUUUUAACAACUUGAACAGCGGUUCACACGUCACGGUUAAUUGGGCAAUGAAUCUCCCAAUGAAAUUAAUCUUCCCCAAAAAACUUUUCACAUUUUUCUGCGUCUUUGGCACUGGCAUGUCUCGAAUUGCCUUGAUCUUUACCGGGUCUAUCUCUAUGUCCUUUUUGCUGACAAUGAAGCUUAACAAUUUACCAGCUGGUGCUCCAAAGGCGCACUUUGCGGGAUUUAACUUCAAAUUGUACUUUCGCAACCUUUCAAACAACUUUCUUAAAUCAAUCAAAUGGUCCUCGGCUUUCUUGGAUUUGAUUAUAAUGUCAUCCACGUAGACCUCCAUCUCCUUGUGGAUCAUAUCGUGAAACAAAGUAGUCAUAGUCCUUUGAUAAGUAGCUCCGGCAUUCUUUAAACCAAACGGCAUUACUCGAUAGCAAAAGGUGCCCCAAGGGGUGAUAAAGCAGUCUUUUCUCUAUCCUCCUCAGCCAUUAAAAUCUGAUGAUAUCCAGCAAAAUAAUCACAAAAAGAUUCAAUUUCAUGUCCGGCAGUGUUGUCUAGAAUGAUAUGGAUAUUUGGCAAAGAAAAGUCAUCUUUAGGGCUGGCCUUAUUAAGGUCCCUAUAAUCAACACAGACUCGCACUUCUCCAUUUUUCUUUGGAACAGGGACUGGAUUCGAGAGCCAAACAGGGUAAUGGGAUACAAUGAUAAUAUUAGUCUUAAGCUGCUUUUCAAUUUGCUCUUUUAUUUUGAGGCUCAUAUCUGGUUUGAAUUUACGGGGUUUUUGCUUCACUGGUGGAAAAGCUGGGUUUGUGGGUAAUCUGUGCACCACUACAUCAGUCGAAAUGCCAGUCAUAUCGUCAUAAGACCAUACAAACACAUCUUGAAACAUAGACAAAAAUUCAAUCAUCUCCUCUUUCUGCUUUUUGUUCAAAUGAAUGCUGAUUUGUAUCUCCUUAACCUCAGUCUCAGUGCCAAUGUUAACAACUUCUGUUUCUUCUAGGUUCGGUUUAGAUUUCUCCUCAUAUUGUUCAAAAUCUUUUGAAAAAGAAUCAAAUACUUCCUCACUAUCACUCUCGCUUUGAAAUUCGGAUUCCAUAACUUCCAAGUCGUGAGUGAUAUAGAGAUUGUCAUCAUCAGAUUCCAGAACAGUGAUAUCCAAAGGGUCAAAUAAUUUUAUUUUUGGCCAUCUGAAAGAAUUAAGAAAUUCGAGACAAUAAGCAAAUAAACACAUAAAUGAACAACAUGAUAAAACAAACUAUGUACUUUUCAUAAAAACUUCAAAUCAAAGCGGAAACAAGCUACGAGUAUAAGUGCAAAAAAUGCCUUCAUUGAACUAUUUACAUAUGCAAGAAAAAGUUUUCAUGAACUUUAGUAAACGACAACCCCCUUUAGAUUUACCGAAACUCCUUUCGUACGGGGAGGUACUCGGCAGUCCAAUUGUGUAUAGCUCCUUCGGGAAUGUUUGGAAAUUCCGCAUCAUUUGAUGGACCAUCUUCGGAUAUUGCUCCCACAAACAAUUGAGUCAGGCUUGUCUCCACUUCGUCAAUUGGACUAAACUCAGAUGUAAUCAUUUCAGCUGGCCUUGGAAAGGUAUAGCGUAAUGGCGGAAUGUCUAAAGCACCUUGCUUGCCUUCUUUUUCUGCCCUUUUGCGUGCUUUCAUCUCUUGUAUAUCGCUGGCAGUCGGACGGAAUCCCAAACCAAAUAGGUCCUUCUUUUCGAUGAGUUCCAUGGGCUUCAGAAUGCCUUGUAGAUUACGUCCCAAUCCCUUAUCAAAUUCAUAUCCUCCGCGAAUCAUCUCCUUGGCCAUCAUAACACUGGCCGCCGGCAAAACCAUUUCGUCUUUUGAAUCCUCACUUGUUAUCCAACUCACGGAGACAAUAUCAACUGUACGGUAAGAAGACACUGAAGCAUUUCGGUUACCAUCCUCCUCAGGCUCAGAAUCGGAAAUUACAAUGCAAUCUUCUUCAGCAAAAAUGGUUAUCAGCUGGUCAUUCACUACAAAUUUCAAUACUUGAUGCAAGGAAGAGGGCACAGCGCCAGAGCUAUGAAUCCACGGCCGCCCGAGUAAAACAUUAUAGACACUAGGAAAGUGCAUAACUUGGCAGGCUAUCUGAAAUUGAGCGGGCCCCAUUUUAACCACCAAAUUUACUUCUCCUAUGGACUCCCUCCGGGCUCCAUCGAAUCCUCGUACUACGGUCUCUGAGGGUUUUAAUUUAACAUCUUGCAGCCCUAACUUCACCAGAGUGCUCCAGGGACAAAUAUUGAGAGUAGACCCAUUAUCAAUCAGUACUUUAGGCAACAUUUUCCCAUUGCACCUCGCGGCUACAUAUAAGGCUUUGUUAUGACCAGUUCCUGCCGCAGGCAGCUCUUCAUCGGAAAAAGUGAUUUGCUUAGCAGUCAAUACAUUUCCAACUAUGUGCGAGAAAUUAUUGACCGAAAUAUCUUUGGGAAUCUGAGCCUUAGUCAAAACUUCCAGUAGUGCAUCCCUAUGCAAGUCGGAGGAGAAAAGCAAGUCUAAGAUGGAAAUUUGGGCAAGCAUUUUGUUCAGCUGUUCAACCACAUUGUACUCGCUUCUCUUAAGCCUUUUAAGAAAAUCCCAUGCUUCUUCUUCGGUAACUGCGGGUUUGGUAGUCGGCUCACGAUUGCUUACUUGAGUUGGGGCGCUAGCAGUGGAUGAACUUGCAAUCCUUCCUGACCUCGUAACAACAGACACUUCUUCAUUCAAAACUCGUUUACCCCCAAUUUGCAAAACGGGUUCAUUAUAAUUCCACGGCACUUGCCGUAAAUUUAAAACCGGCACUUGUUCCGGGAAUUCAAUUACCACAGGCUCUAAAGCCGCACUUUCGGAUGGAGUUAGAUCUAAAAUGAAGGGUUUUUUGUCUUCCUCAUACGAUGCUUCCUCCAUCACAAAAUUUUGAUCCAUUAUCCCAAACACUUCUGUCUCAUUUGACAUGCUUCGGACAAGCUCUUCGAUUUCCUCAUCAUCCAUAAUAAUUCCGACAGUAUCAGUAUGCUCCGGCAAGGGGUUCUUGCUCACAUUUGGUCCUUGCUCUUCUCUUUUCCUAAUCACGAUUUCCCCUGCUUCUAACAUGUCUUGAAUCUUAUGUUUGAGGAGUCGACGGCAGUGGAGUGACCAGGUGCUCCUAAAUAAUAAGCACAAGUAGCCUGUGGAUUAUACCCAACCGGCAUGCCAUAAGGGUAAGCUGGAGGGGGAAUCACACCUAUUUUACCGGCAGCCUUUAAUUGCUCAUAUAACUGAUCCAAAGGCCUGCCUAGGUUGGUGAACGUUCAGGUACGAUUUUGAUUGUAGGUUUCAGUAGGUUGGGGAUAGUUGUAGGUGGGUCUGUUUGGUGGGGGAAAUCUUUGGUGGUAAGGAGGUCGAUGACGAGUUUGUUGAAAGUUAAGUUGAGAUAUUUGGAAAGGGGCCGUAGGCGGGUUGGCGUAGUUUGGGCAAGGUCGGGGGUAAGAGAUAUUGGUAUUGUAGACAGGGUGGGGAUUGGAUAGUAGGGAUAAGGUGGCGACUUUAUUGGUUUAUGUUGAAAUCUGAAUCUUGGUGUAGGGUUUUGAUCCCAGAUAAAGGCAGCUUCCCCCUCUUUCUUUUUAAAUUGUGGCUUUUUCCCACUACUCCCUUGUCCCUGCAGAGCAUCCAACUGCAAUUUGAGGGCAGAGACAUUAACGAUCUUCCCAACUCUUACAAAGUCAUCGUACUCUUCAAGCUUAUUGACAAUAGCGGCGAACGAGCAUCCAGUCAUGCGGAAAAUUUCUUCAAAAUACGGCGAAUCAUGUGCUUUAAUGAAAGUGCGUAUGAUUUCGUCCUCAGUCAUUGGUGGCUCGACUUUUGCAGCUAUUUUCCUCCAUCUCUUGGCAUAAGUCUUGUGGUCCUCAGAGGGUUUUCUCUUUGUUCCUUCCAACAUGGUUCGUGUCGGAGCAAGCUCACAGUUAUACUCGUACUGCCUCACAAAAGCAUUGGACAAGUCAAGCCAGGUCUUUACUUCUUCGGGUUUCAAGUUGGAAUACCAAUCGAGUACAUCUCCCUCCAGACUUUCUGGGAACAGCCUUAGAGGUAGAUUCUCGUCAUCUAUGGGCCUUCCCAACUUGUUAGCAAAUAGACGGAGGUGCGUUUUGGGAUUGCCAGUUCCAUCGUACUUGUUAAACUUUGGGGUCUUGAACCCCACAGGCAAUUGCACAUUUGGGAAGAGACAAAGUUCAUCAUAGUCUAGCACUCCUUGCUUGUUUAACCCUUGACUUUUCCUCAUAAAUUCAUCGAAACGGUCUAGGCGCUUGAGCAGCUUCAUAUCAACGGGAGCAGAAGAUUCUCCUAUCUCUGGUUUAGCUUGGACAGUAUGGUCUGGCAGGAAGGGCUCAGCAGCAGUGUGAUAAAUGGUAUGUGGCUCAGGUGGUAUAUUUGAAGUGACUUGGGGUUGUGGAUCUCGCAUGUGAGUAGGAAAAAAUGAAGGAUUGGGAGGGUAAGUGUAUGGCAAAUUUGUAGUGGCAUAGGUGAAAGUUUCUUCAGGUGAAAUAGGGAAUGACGGAGUAAAGGUUGUUUGAGUCGAAGGUAUGACAAAUGGUUCUUGCUCAGGUUGUCUGACGGGUACGGGCUCGGGUUGAACUCCGCUGCUGAUAAGCUCAUCAAUCAAUUUCCUUUGGGCCGCCAUCUCGGUAGCCAUUUCACCAAACUUAGUAAGCAUCUCGGUUAGCUGAACCCCUAAAUUCGUAGUCUCAGGUUGAGCUGUAGUAGCAGACCUAUCCGAUGGUUCCGGUUGUGAACUCAUGUUUACACGACUCCUCUGGGCUUGACUAUGGGAUCGUGUUAUGAUGGGGCUUCGACGAGAAGCUAUGUUUAAAUAUUACCUGAAAAUUUUGAAAGGAAUCGCCUUUAGAUUUAGCCCUUGCUUAGCUUUUCCAACAAAAAAUACCAAGAAAAGGAAAAAGACAAGAGUUAGUAAAUAUCCAAAAAUUCGGAUGCAUGUCCUAUUGGGGGCCCUUUUUACGCCUAGGGUUGUCCUAAUAUGAUGCAACAUCUUCAAAAUGGGACCUGUGACACAAACCUAUUUUUUACAACAAUCCUGUAUGAAUGCAAAGAAAGAUCAAUUUCAUUGAUAAACUUGCCAACAUGUUUACAUCAUGUCAAGAAGACGAUUCCGUACAAGAUUGCCAAAAUUUCUGAGCCUAUCCAAUACAGAAUCCCUAGUUUCUCUAUCAUAUGGAAUUCUAACAUGUUCAGUUUGAUCAUACAAUUCUCCGCAUUUCCUUUUCAGCUCUUGACGCUUUCCUCGCUCAUUUUCGUACAAUUGCUUGUUUUGCUCCGCUAUUCCCUUGUAUGUUUCGACAGACUUACUUAACUGCAGAAUUUCCUUAUCCCUUACUUCGAUGAUGGCUUUCAACUUUUUUACCUCCUCGGCUGGUUCAUCUUGUUUUCCUUGUGCAGCGGAUCUUCUUACCCAGUCUUCGUAUUGUGGAGUCGUCAAACCCUUCUGCUUGAGUUCCGGGGUGUAUUUAAAAUACUCGUCAUCAGAUAGCGUCACCCAUGCCUCAAUAAUUCGAUCUUUCAUAGGGAAUUGGCUCGGGCACGUUUCUUCAUUAAAAAUGAUGGUAAACUCACUUACAUCAAGUGCAGGCGGCACUUCUUGGGUACGUCCUAACUGUCUGAGAAACCUCUUUGGGGUGUAUGCGGUGAUUCCUUAGGUACCCAGUAAGAGAACAAAUUUGGAUGCUUGGGUGCGAAGAACAGGUUUAAUACAAUUGGUCCAAUCCAAUACCCAUCUAAUAUUUUGAUCGGUCACAUUCUUCAAGAAAACCACAAACUCAGAUGUAUUACAUGGUAGACUUUUUCUAUUAACCCUCUUGUGAUGUGUGACUAUCCAGUUGUACGCAAAUAUUGGUAGACUCUCAGGAAUAGACGACCGUCUCAUGAAGUGCUCCAUACCCCAUACAUGUAAAAUCCAAUUUGAACCACAAAAGAACUUUUUUUCUCUCUUAUAGGUAGUGCAGGCUACGAAGAUAUCGGCCAAAAUAGUCGAGAUAAUAGAACACUGCUUAUCUUUCACUCCUAGGAAUAGGUCAUACAAGAUUUUAGUGAGCUUAAAGACUAUCUUUUUGUCUUUUCUAGGGAAAAGAUAGGUUCCAACCAUAACCAACCCAUACACCCAAACUCUCUUUCGUUUCCACAUUUCCUUGAAAGUGAACGAGAAAUCUCCUAGGUGCCUCUCAAACCCAUCCCUUAACGCGAAUCGAUCAAAUAAGAACUUUGCCUCUAUAUUUUGGUCCGAAUCUCGUAUUGCUGAUUCCUUUAACCCGGUGAAACGAUAAAAUUCGGCCUUAUUAGACACUAAUGGAAAUAUCACGGCAGUUCCCUGAAUCGGCAAAUUGAGAAAUCCAGCGACCUCCUCAAUUGUUAUGGUCAUUUCCCUUUACCCCUAGUCUAAAAGCGGAACAAGUGGGGUCCCAUAGAUGCACCAAAUCUUCUACCAAAUAGCCAUCGGACUUAAUGUCCUUGAAAUCCCCGAUGUGUCCUAAUCGAGCGGCCACUUGGUUAAUCUAGCUGGGUGAAAGCAACGUGGGCCAUUUUUGUACCUCAAAUGGUACUACUAACAUCCGUUGGACUCGGCGAGGACUUUCCAUCUAGAAACAAAAAGCUGUUGUCAAGUACCUUACCUACAGGCCCCACUUUUCCGAUUGGCAAGAAUUUAAACAUGCAAUCCCUUGAAGGGUUACGUACCCACGGAAAAAUCAAGGUGGGUUUAAUCCUAACAACGGGAUUCCCUAAAUGGCAUUCCCUUUCUAGGGUUUAUGCAUGAUGCCAUUUUACCAAAGCACGUAAACAUGUAGUAUACAACUGAAAACGUGACCUAAAAGGACCCCUUUUAUAUGUCGGGGUGAGGCUAAAAUGAAAUGUAUUCAUGUUACAAAUGUGAAAUAUUGAAUUUAAACAUGUCACAUCAAACGGGGUAGGCUCCUAGAGAGUACCAUGCCAGGACUCUUAUUUCCUAGGGUUGAUGAAUGCAAUAGAGACGAAAACCAAGAAAAGUCAGCUCAAUCAGAUAAAUACACAUAACACGUUGCAGCAAAGCAAUACAAAGAGAUAAAGCAAUAAGAAGGUUUGGAUCCCUCCCUUCGUGAAUAGUGUCCGUAAUAGGGUAAGGCAGACUCUACCCUAGGUAAACUAUCAUGGAUGCAUGAGGUAUUGGCUCACUAAUGCAUCUAGACUCGAUAGGUUUGAGGUCCCCGAGCCCUCAGACUUGGAAACCAAAGGUCAUCAAUCCCAAGAUUCUUUGUCGGUGGCUCAAGCGAUUCCCCAGACACUGCUACGCACACGUCGUGUCACGGCUACAUGUCUGAGUGAAUCUAUCAAAAAUCCUCAACCUUCGACUAAAAGCUAAAGGCUAUUAACCCAAAGAUUAAAGCGGAAGAUUGAGUUACCCCUCGGAUCAUGCUCCGUACACGUCGUGUCGCGCUCACACGUUCAAGUGGGUCGCCUAAUCCUAAUAGGGUGGAGUGGCGUGACAAGCCACUAAAAGAAAAAUAAAUGCGGAAUAAAUAAUAAAGCGUAUGCACGUAUGCUAGUGCUCAAUUUGGAGGGGAAGGAUCGAGAACCAACGCGAGACUCUAGGGUAAAGUCCCCCUCAUCCCAAAUGCAAUGCAAAUCGUGGGAUCACAUAGAUAAACCAUUCAUCCAUCAAAUCAAUCGUACGCAAAUGUGUGAGGGAGUGAGUUGAUACGCGCGAAAUGCAAAAUCCUAAAAAAGGAAAAAUGCAACCCUAAACAUCCAAAUGCUAAAUAUGAAAAGGUUAAAAGAAGAAAAAAAUUUGACUAAAUCAAAUUUGCUCGGACUCUCUAAAUCCCCAGUGGAGUCGCCAGCAGUCGCGCCCCAUUUUUUGAAAAAGAAAAAAGUAUGAGUUUAGAAAAAUGGCUUUUGAUUCAAUUUUUGAUUAAAAAAUGGAUUUUUGAUUUAAAAAGAAAAUGGAAAAAUGUGGGUCUAAAUGGGACUUGAAAAUGCGACGAUUUGACCCAAAAUAAUAGUUUAAAAAGGGUUUUUAAAAUAAAGUUGGAGUCGCCACUUGGUAUAGAGUUAAGGUGUACCAAAUCACCUAAAAAUGAAUUUUUCAAAGGAAAAAGUAGAAACACCCCUUUUAAACGACUCCUAAUCUACGUAAAUCAAAGAAAAAGGUUCGGGAGUCACAUUUGAAGAAAGGGAAGGCAAGAAAAAAAAUCCGAGGCACCCUUUCGACCUAGCCAAGGCUAGUUGCGUGAUUUAGUCAAAAAUUUUCUUAUUUUAACCUAAAAAUUUAUCACAUUUGGAUAUACUAUAUGAAUGCAAACCCUAGAUUUAGGAGGGUAUUGGGGGGUCAAAAUUUCUCUUCAAAGCUCGAAUGGUGCCCAUCACAUUAAUCGUGGCGCCCAAUAGUGACUCUUUGGAGAAGUUACGAAUAAUGCAAAAAUAUGAGACUCUAAGAAAAGAAAAGGGAUAAAAUAAUUAUAUAAAUAUACAUGUCUUAAAGGGGUGAAUCAUGUCGGGUACGGGGGACUAAUAUUCGUGACUCGAUUUUUUCUUUAAUAGAGGGAAUACGAGCGUGCUAAGGUUAGAAAACCAAACUCGUCUAUAUCCAAUAUUCAAGGGGUAUUUCCUAAUCUAAUCAAGCAAAUUCACUACCCUAAUCUUAAUUUUAAAAUGAAAUGCAAUUCUAAUGUUAUGUAUCAUACAUAGGGGUAUAUAUAUAGGAAAAUUAGGGAUAAGGGUUAUACGUAUAAGGGGAAUAUCAUACAAAAUGAUAAAAGACCCUAGAAAGUGAAAAAUAUGCAUGAGAUGAAGUGAUUUUAUCAUACAAUCAUGAUCUAACGCGCGAAGGGGUCCUAAGGGUCUAGCGCUGGACUAACCCAUAUUCCUACUUUCUCACUAGCGUUGGACUAGUGAGAAAUCGAAUAAGGAAACCACAACUAGCGUUGGACUAGUGUGGUAUCGAGAAAUGGAUCACAACUAGCGUUGGACUAGUGUGAUAACGUCACACAUUAAUUAUAAUCUCAUAAAAACAUAAUAAAGCGAGUAAACACAUAACAUCAAAUAAACACAUAACACAUAGUCAUGAUAUCUAGAUGCAAGGCCCUAAGAAAGCGGUAACACAUAGCACGUAAGCAUGCAAAUCACACAAGCGAAAAGAAAACGAAUAAAACCCUAGUUAUUACAUUUGAGGGGGGCCUACUACAAUCUAACGGAGGAAAAAUGAAAAUAAAUAAAAUAAACCUAACUAUUACAACUUGGCAUUUAAAUGCCUUUUAAAUAAUCAAAAUGAACUAAAAUAAAUAUACGAAGUUAAGACGACUAAAGCGAAUAAAUAAAUAAAUAAAAUGAAAAUAUCCAAAAGGCAUGCGAUUAAACACAUAAAUCACAUAAGUACACAUAGGGUCAAAUAAAGUAAAAAUAAGGGAUAGAGUGUACCUCCCUUGAGUUGGUGUCCUAAUGAAAUGAAUUUACUUAUUUACCCUCCAAAAACAAAGAAAAUGUCAAGGCAUCACUUUGAUUAACAAAAUAAUCACACGAAAUGAAAAUAAACAUGAAAUUGAAUCACCCAAACCAUUCAAAUAAACUAAACAACUCAUAUUCAUCAAGUUGAAACCAACAAGGACCCAAUUGAAACAAUUAAAGAAGUUAAAGGGGCCAAUUUGAUUGAUUUUUCCAAUUUUCUGGCCUAUAGUAGAAUUAAACACAAAUUAAGGGGUUAAAAUGCAAUUUUUCCUUUUGGUUUUCAUGCAUGUGCACGUAGAAGAAGCUCUGUUUCUUCAGCGCUAUUUUCCUUCUGCAAUUUCCUGUUGUAAGCUUAUUAUUCGUGCCUUCUUGCACAACCAAGGAAAAGGAAACUAUAACAUGGAAUUCCAACAAGAAAAUGAUUCCGACCCUCCAAUAUAAUGACCAAGAACAUCAGCGAAAUUACUCAAUUCUGUCCAUUGAAGCUUCUAAAACAAAAAAGAAUCGUGCAAUGACAGCAAAGACACCACCGAUAAGAAAAUGAAGGAAAGAAGAAAUAAAACAAACAAUCAACACGUAUGGCCCAAGAUAACUAACGGGAAACUACCUAUAACCUGAGUUGAUAGAAUCCGGAAACAUAACAAACCCAAAAUAAGAACUAUGAAACAUCAAAAUCUUAAACCCCUUCAAAAAUCUGGAUUUUUCUGGUUAAAAAAAACUUUGGGAAGGAGAAACCAUUUCAACACUCACCCCUGCCAAACAACGAACCCCAAAAUAACAGAAAGCAGAGAGGCUACACCCUGCUAUGACCAGAACAACUGAUUGUGAGCUUCAACCUCAAUUAGCACAACUGAUGCUUCAAAAAAAAAUGCAAGGGACUCUACGGCUGCAACGAAUGGGCUUGCCAUGUUGCAGCCUGCUGUGACACCGCACCUUGCUGCUUUAAAUUGCAGCAAGCAUAUACACAGCAUCACUAACACACAGCAAACAGACCCAAAUGAAAACUCAGGCCAAACCAGAACCUCAAUCACCAAAAAAGAAAUUCAGUUUUGUCUAAUCGCUGGAACAAACCAGAAGCUUCGAGCUUGUUGCUUGUUGCAGCAGAUUUUCGUGCACGAAUCCCAGCCGAAUCAUGCAGCCGAUGCUUUUUAUUUCAAAAAUCAUGCCCAAGAUACACAGGACAGAAGAAAAAAGGAAAACAAUGGCAAGAGAGACAUCAAAGAGUAAACAUGAUAAAGUUAUGGAACAAGCUCAAUAAACCAGCGGCAAAAAGGUUUGACAGUUCAUGCAUCUUCUUAGCAGAAACUUGGUUUCCUACACUGCAAUUUCUGGGUUUCAUGCCAAAAAUCCAAACAAGUACCAAACUUCCAACCCAAGCCAACAAUCAAAAUUGAAUCUUGUAGUUUGUACUCCUAAGAAUUCUCAGACCCAACUUGUACACACAAACAAGGACCCAAGGUGCGACCUUUAGUUCAUCGGAUUACAUAUAUGGGAAACAUGAUCGGUUCAUGGAUUUUCGAAUGGCAUUUCUCUGGUUCAGAUUCACUUUAAACGAACCAAGGGGGCGCUACCAGGUUUAUCAAUAGCACAACAACAUCAACAAGCAAAUCCACAAUCAUCGCUAUCAAGCAUUGACAAUCACAGAAACUUGAAAAAAAUGAACAUCUUCAUGCAUAGGGGACCCAAAACUCUAUAAAAACAGUAUUAAACCAAGAGUUUACAAUCACCUGAUGAUGAUUCUUUGACGAGGCUGAGGCCAAAGAAGAUGAGCCGGAGUUGACUUCUAUGGAAUUUCUGGAAAAGAAGCCUCCUAGUUUCUUCCUUGCUUCGGUUCUCCUCCUGCAACUUCUUUUCUUCCUUUUGCUUCCACAAAACCCCCUCUCUCUGUUUCACUCUCGGUUCUCUCUAGUUCUUUCCUGUCUCUUCUCUCAUUCUAUCUCCCAACCCUAAAGCUUCCUCAGCCGUCCGUGUUCCUUUUUCAUCCGCCCUCCCUUUCCUUUCUUGCCGUCUCUUUUCUUUUUAUAGGGAAUCACUAGGUCCCUAAAACCCUCAAAGUUCAUCUUGAUGGCUCACAAAAUGAUUUCAACACCCCAACCCCCCUCCUAGCCAUUGAUCAUGGCUUUGAAUUGGAGCUCCUAGAUGGAGCCAGAUGGCCGGUACUUGUCUAAUCUAAUGGAGCCAGAAAACACAGCAAGAAACUGCAGAAGCUAUCUUUUCUUCAUUUUUUUUCAUUUUCAUCAUUCAUUUCAUUUUUCAUUUUUUUUAACAAAUAAAGCAGUAAAAGUCAAAUAAAAAUAAGAUUAAAACAAAUGAAAUGCCCUAAAAAAUUUAAUUUUGAUUGAUGGUUUUUUUUUCUUUUUCUUUUUUUUUCAUGAAUCAUUUAAUUAAACAACAAUAACUAAAAAUAACAAUUUAAAUAAAAACUUGAAUAAAAUGAACAAAACUAGGAACAAAAGAUAAAACAAAAGGCUAAGAUUUUUUCUGUGUUUGAUUAAUGAUUUUUUCCUCUUUUUUUUCAAUUAUUAAACAGUAAAAAAGAAAUAAAACAUAUUUUAUUUAUUAUUAUUAUUAUUAUUAUUUUGUGAAUAAUUUCUCUUUUAACAAAUUUUAUGCUAAAAGUCUUAAAAAUAAAGAUAAACAGCCAAAAGGGCAAAAACGAAUACAAAAUAAUUGUUAGGCCUCUAAUCUCUUUUCAUCUAAAGUUUCCAAUUCUUCAAGGCACAAGUGAACAAAGAAGGAAUUUGUUACUCAAGGGGCAAGACAGCUUCUACACCAUAGACUAAGGCAUAUGAUGUGGCUUGCGUUAGAGUUCGAUAUGUGGUGCGAUAAGCCCAAAGAGUUUCGUCUAUUCUUUCGUGCCAAUCCUUCUUUGAUUUAGCCAUCACUUUCUUCAACAAGUUACAUAAAGUUUUGUUGAAUACCUCUGCAAGGCCAUUGGCGGGGGCAUUAUACAUGGAGGACUUACGUUGCUUGAGAUUAAAUUUUUCACACAACUUAUCCAUCAAGCUAUUGGAGAAGGAUUUUUCGUUAUCAGUAAUAAUGUACCGGGAAACUCCAUAACGGUAAAUAAUAUUCACACGAAUAAAAUUCACCACAUCUUCCUUUCUAACUUGCUUGAGCGGUAUGGUUUCAGCCCAUUUAGAAAAGUAGUCGGUCGCAGCCAAUAUAUAUAAAUAUUGACCGAACGACUUUGGUAAUGGUCCCACAACAUCAAGACCCCAAGCAUCGAAAGGCAAAGAAGCAACGGUCAAGUGUAACGGCUCAGGUGGUUGAUGAAUGUAAUUUGCAUGAAACUGGCAAGUUUGACAUUUUUGAACAUAUUCUAUGCAAUCUUUGACCAUAGUAGGUCAAUAGUAGCCCAUCUUUUAAAUCCAAAAAUGUAACUUGGGACCGGAUUGAUGAGCUCCAUAUAUUCCAGAAUGUGCCUCGUGCAUCGUCCAAUAUGCCUCGUCUUCGCUCAGACAGUGCAACAACACACCUUCAAAUGAUUUUCGGUACAGCGUAUCCUUGUACAAGAUAAAACGAGGGGCAUGACGACGGAUGUUAGUUUUCCUACGUUACUCUUCAGGUAAUUUUUGAUACUUGAGAUAAUCAACGAGGGGUUGUCUCCAAUUUUCUUUGUCAAUUUCAUAGGUUGAAACCACAUGAGCAUCGCUUCCUUCAAUAUUUUCAUCAUCAAUUAGUGAUGGAACUAUUCACUUUUGGCAUACAUGAACUUGUAUAUCAUGAUUCGACAUGGUAAGUGAAGAGGCUAGCGCAGCUAAUGCAUCAACUUACUUAUUGUCCCUUCUAGGAACAUGGUUAAUACUUGCACCUCCAAGCCGCUUCAUAAGUCGCGUUGCAUAUUUGUGAUACGGAAUUAAUUUGGACCUUUUGACUUCGUAACUUCCCAAGAGUUGGUUAACCACCAAUUGAGAAUCACCAUAGAUUUGAAGUUUCAAUUGUUCCAUGUCAACAGCUAUUUCAAGUCCGAGUAUAAGACCUUGGUACUCAACGACAUUGUUUGAACAAUGUUGAUUUAGAAUAAAAGAGUAUAACAAUAUCUCUCCAUCAGGAGUCACGAAUACAAUCCCCGCUCCAACUCUAUGACGAUGAGCCGCACCAUCAAAAUACAUCUUUCAUGGUGGGCGAAUCUCAACACGAAGUACAUCCUCAUCUGAUAGGUCAUCAUUUAACUUCCAUUCAGCAAGUAUCGAGUGAUCAGCAAGAAAAUCUGCCAGAACUUGUUCUUUCACAGCCUUUUGAGGCACAUAAAUAAUUUCAAACUGUUGUAGUUGAAGAUACCAUCUAGUUAGAUGGUCGGAUAGUACUGGUCUGCUCAUCACAUAUUUUAUGGAAUUCGCCCUGAAAAUGAGUCUUACGCUAUAUGCUUGAAAGUAGUGUUUUAACUUCUGUAUUGCAAAAAUAAGAGCUAGACACAAAUUUUCAAUCGGUGAAUAGUUUAGUUCGUUGGGGGUCAUCAUUCUGCUUAAAUAAUAAAUGGCAACUUCUUUUCCUUCAUUAUUUUCUUGUGCAAGCAAUGCCCCCACUGAGCGUUCCUGGGCAGCAAUACAAAGAAGUAAUGGCUUUCCAUGUAUAGGUGCAGCCAAAAAAGGUGCUUUCAUAAGAUAAGACUUAAUGCUAUUGAAUGCAUUACUACAUGCCUCAUUCCAUUGAAAUGGCACACCUUUCUUCAUCAAGCGACUAAAUGGUUGACACCUUCCUGCUAAAUUUGAGAUAAAUCUCCGCAGAUAAGCUAAUCGCCCUUGAAUACUUUUCAAUUCAUGAAUGUCACGAGAUUCAGGUAUCCUCAAUAUAGCAUUAAUUUAGGGCUGAUCAAUUUCAAUACCUCGAUGGGGAACCACGAAACCAAGAAAUUUCCUCGACGUGACUCCAAAUGCACACUUGAGAGGGUUCAUUUUGAAUUGAUACCUUCUCAACCGAUCAAAUACUUGUCUCAAGUCCUCCAAGUUAUUACUUCUUUUCUUUGAUUUAACAACUAAAUCAUCCACAUAACACUCGAUAUUUUUAUGAAGCAUGUCAUCAAAGAUGUUUUGCAUUGCUCUUUGAUAUAUGGCUCCAGCAUUUUUGAGACCAAAGGGCAUUAUUUUAUAAUAAUAAAUACCCUUAGGAGUACGAAAUGCAGUGAGCUCUUCAUCCUCAGGUGCCAAUCGAAUUUGAUUUAUCCAAAAGAGCCAUCUAUAAACGACAGAACUUCAUGCCCAGUAGUUGCAUCAAUCAUGAGCUUAGUGAUCGGUAAAGAAAAGUCAUCUUUAGGACAAGCAUUGUUAAGAUCUCUGAAAUCGACACAGAUACGGAUUUUCCUAUUCUUCUUUCGCAUGGGUACGAUACUCGAAAUCCAUGUGGGAUAUUUAAUUUCACGAAUAAAUCUGAUUUCAAUAAGUUUAUUGACUUCAAUUUUGAUCAACGAAAUCAAAUCGGGUCUAAAUCGCCGUUGUGCUUGUUUCACCGGUCGAACUCCCUUUUUAACAGCAAAAUGGUGGACGGCCAGCUUUGGGUCUAAACCCGGCAUUUCUUUAUAAGUCCAAACAAAAACAUCUCGAUACUCUUGUAAGAGGUCAACAUAUGCCUUCUCUUCGUCAGGACUCAGUGAAGCACUUACAUAUAUUGGACGUGAGUCCUCUGAAAUACCAAAAUUGAUCUCCUUUAAAUCAUCCACAGUGAGCUUAACACUUUCUUCCAAUUCAGGUGGAGCGUCUUCAGCAUCUUCUUCUUCUUCAGGAGAGUUAUCGUCAAUUAUGAUUAUACGAUUGCAUGAAACAACACUCUCUUCAUCAUCCUCUUUUGGUCUUGUGUACACUACGGUAUGCUCCCUGACCCUCAAUUCAGUCCCACACUUUAUUACAAGGCCUGUGCAUCUUCUCAUUAUCGAAGGAAUGAUGCUACCAAAUUUAUGAGAAAAAUCAGAAGGUUCUUCAAGAUUUUGCAAUGACAUUGCCAUUUUUCCUUUACUCUUAUGAAAGUUUUGAGGCUUUUGUCUUCUUUGUGGUUCUAAUUUCUUAAAAACAGAUACCCGUGGAGUUUUAUUCUCCUUUUCAUGAAAAGUUUCAAAUUUACCAACUAUUUGAGAAGACUCAUCCUCCACAAUAAUGUAUUGCCUACUAACUCUAUUGAUCUUGAUGCGGAUUGGUGUAGGGGAGGAAUAGCCAAGACCAAAUUUAGGAUUUUCAAUAGCAUAUUCUUUUUCCUUCAACAUAUUUUGGGUAGGAUUCAACCCAUGAAGCAUGUCACUAGUAGAUUGAGAAGGUGAAACAUUUAACACUGCAGAUUCUUUGAAAUCGUAUCCAGUCUUAGCGAGAAGCUUAUACGCAAUAGGAUCAAAACCUUCUUUGGUUCUUGACUUUGGUAUGGUGUUUUGGUUGCCUUCAGAUUCUUUGCUUAAAAGGUUAGACCUUUUAAAUGGAGGAGAUGAUGUCUUCUUUGUAUCAAGAUGAACUACCGGAAGAGUCAAAUCUUUUAGAACUUCAUGCUGAAUUGCAGGUGACUGUCCAUGUUCCAUUCUUGACUUGAUAGGACAGCGAAAGACAACUGAUUCAUUGUUUAGCAAUGAAACAUCAGCUUCUUCAUGAAUUUCCUCUUUUGACUUCGAAAUUAUCACUUUCUCCCCUUUUACACUUGGAGAUUCGGGGUUCUGGAUUUUAUCCGUAGAUAGAGGUUAGUCAGACUUAUCCUUCACAUUGUGCCUUUUGAUAUAAAAUUUGACAUCAGCGAUAUACGCUUCCGCCUCCAUGAAAGGAUUGUCAUCGGCUUUCACACUUCUUGUCACUCUAUUUCCCCAGUAUUUGAAAUAUUGAUGAAGUGUUGAAGGUACAACUCCAUUUUCAUGAAUUCAGGGCCUUCCCAACAAUACAUUGUAUGUUGUUUUAGCAUCUAUCACAUACAACAGUGCUCUGGACGUCAUGUCAUUAAUGACUAUCUCCAAAUUUAGUGAUCCAAGAGCUCUUUGUCCUCAUUGAUUAAAACCUUGAAUCAUCAGUCGGCUGUUGGAGAGUUCAUCAACCGGGAUGCCGAGCUCCUUCAGAGUCUUUAAAGGAAGAAUAUUGACUGCGGAACCUCCAUCUAUCAAAAUUCUAUUCACUUUUUGCUUAUUUGCAUAACCAGUCACAAACAAAGGACGGUUAUGCGGUGUUGAUCCAAGCAACAAAUCUUCACUAGUAAAAGCGAUACUUGUGACGUUUACCUCUUUAUUGCCGGUAGGCACACGACUCUCUUCAUUGCCGGUAGGCACACGGACUAUCUCACAGAGAGAUUCGCGAGUAUUAUCUUUUUGUUCUUCGAUAUGAUCUAUUCGCGUUGUGUGACUUGCGAUCACAUCUUUUAAAGUGACCAGAGUUCGCGACUUUUGCUUGAAGAUUACGACAGUCGUUAUUUUUCUUUACACCUUUCUUUUUUCCCUUCCAGAUCACCAUACUUCUUGUUAACAUCUUGUUAGCCUUACUAAAUGGACAAGAUUUUCGUCUCUUUUUUCGCGUGACUAGAGUCCAUUCUUCAUCUUCACAUCAGGUCGUAACGCCUUCUCAUCUUUAUAUGCAUGUUCUUGAAGAGUUAAAGGAGCACCUUCUUGUUUGAUUUUUAUGGGAUCAAGUGAUCCAAAUUGAAUUAUUGGCAAUGCAAGUACCCUGACCCUUUUAACCUCUACAGACUACAGAAAAUCAAUGGACGUUUGAUUCACACUCGUUUUGUCUUCUUCAAGGAGAAUUUUUCCUUGUCUAGCCAACUCCAUUCUUUGUCUUUGAAGACAAAGCAUUUUUGAAUGGGAUGCCCAACCAAUCGGUGAUACUUACAGUAGUUUGGAUCGUCAGUGUUCCUGGCCUCAUCAGAUCGCUUCAUCUCAGAAAAUGUGAUCAAAUUUAUACUUAACAAAUCGUCAAACAUAUCAGGGACAUCAGAAUCAAGGAAAGGGUACUCUUUGUCUUGCAUCUCCUUGAGAGUCGGUUUCCUCUUUCCUUGCUCUUGAUACGCAUUGAUCUUCCUGUCUUCUCUCCUGACAGUUUUGAAAAUGACCUUAAAAGGUGUUAUACUUGUAGCCAUAACCUCCUUCUUUUCACUUUUGAUCGGUGGCUUGCCCCCUUCCUCAUGUCUUGUCUCUCUUUGGCCUUGUGAGGGUCAGGAACUGGCGGUUCUUGUCCAUCAAGAUUAAUCUCUAACUUAUGAGCUUUUGUGGAUAAUUCAUCAAAUGUUUCUGGUUGCACACCUUGCAAGAUGUAUCUGAAUCCCCAGUGCAUGCCUUGAAUACACAUCUCGAUCGCGAAAGAUUCAGAAAUUUGAUCUUUGCAAUUUAAACUUAGAUUCCUCCAGCGGUCGAUGAAAUCAAUGACAGGUUCAUUCUUUCAUUGACAUGUAUUAGAGAGUUCAGUCAUGCUGACAGUUCUCUUUGUGUUAUAGAAGCGACUGAGAAAUUCAUGCUUUAACUGCUCCCAACUGUCAAUAGUUCCAGACUCUAGAUUUGUAUACCGAUCAAAGGCAUUUCCCUUCAACGAGCGAACAAACUGCUUAACGAGCAAGUCACCAUCAGUGCCCGCAUUGUUACAGGUUUUCACGAAGUGUGCAAUAUGUUGCUUAGGGUUGCCCUUACCAUCAAAUUGUUAAAAUUUUGAAGGUUGAUACCCUACAGGCAUUUUCAAACUUUCCACUCUAGCGGUGUAAGGUUUGGUGUAACCAAUAUAUGACUUGGCAUUUCCACCAAUCUUGUCCUUUAUUGUGCCCUCGAUAAAUUCCUUCAAAUUAUCAACAUGAAUGGUGUCAUCAGGGGAGAUUGAAAAUUCCUUCGCGGCUUGUGACUUCGCAUCCUCUUUCUCCUUCUCCUUUGAUGAUGAGUCCCCUUCAUCUUGCACUUUGAAUUUCUGUUUGGAUAUACUAAGGCUAUUUUCGCCUAUAUUUUUCACCAUAUCCAUUAAUUUAACUAUCUUGACAUCUUGACUUUGCGCAUGCACUACUAGCCCUUCGACAAUUUUGGCUAGAUUCGAGAUCUGGUAUUCCACAGUUGUGGUAUUGGUCAUCAUGACGGGCAUCACCACAGAGGCAGCAGAAUCACUUGGACUAUCAAUGGAUUCAUCAUGGGUUCCUUCCUUGUUGGGAAGCAUCUUGAGGUUUGUUCUUUCAGUCAAAACGUCCGCCUUAACCCUUUCUGCUAACUUCUUGGCCUUGCUCCUUGUCAGCGGUGCGAUAUACUGCGUCUCUUAAAUUGUUGAGACAUCGGCAACUAAGCCUUCAAGAGAAAAGUUCACCUUCUUAAACUCCAUUGAAUUUUGAGACUGGUAAGUUGUUGGAAGAAAAGAGAUGAGAGACAGAGAUUGUCCCACCGGGCGUACCAAAAAUUCGUAAGCACAAAUUUCGUUACCUAAAAUAAAAGACAAGAAAACUUGCACAAAUAUCAAAUUUAUUAUAUUAAAUAAUAAGUAGGUUACAAUCUCUGAAAAUUCUUGAAUCAAAGAAAUUAAUCCCCUGAUUCUUCUCUUCAAAUAACUUCAAUUGAAGGGCCGAAAAGCUUGUUCUCCAAUCGAAAGGGUGUUUCCUACAAUUUCGGCGUAGAAAACGAUUGACUUGAGGAUGACAUCGAACACUUGGAACUCUUAAGUUUUCAACACCAAUGGCAAGAGGAUUUGUUUGACUUGAUUUGGACUUGGAUAGAAGGAAAAGCUUUUGAGAGAAUUUGACAGAAUUUCUCCGAAUGUUAGAGAUUUUUCUAUAUCUUUGCCUUGAGAGAAGACCUCUAUUUAUAGCCAAAAUAUGUAGGCUAAAUCUUCAAGAAAACCCUCCAGAAAUUUUCCUGCAUUUUGGGUAACUUGUAACUCAAGAAACCCAUUUAAUUUGGGCUUAACUAGUGGGCCAACCCAAAUGGUCCAUGGUGAAUUAAUAAAGCAAUCAAUUCACUCUAAUUUAAAUGGACACUAUGAAUUUAAUUUGAUUUAAUAGCCCAUAUAAUAUUGGCCCAAUUUGCCAGUCCAAAACAUAAUGGACUUCUAUAAUUUAAUUUAAUUUAAUCAAGAUCGAUUUAAUUUAAAUAAAUCUUGACUAAAUAAAUUAAAUAAAUUUUCUUUAUCUACACCAGUCUCCGCCGCUUCACGAGUGUUACCAAGAACCAUCUCGUCAGUAGCAAGAGUAGAAGCAGAAGCUGCAUGCAUGCCAUCAAUAGGAUCAUCUUUUCAUCAACCAAUCUAUGCUCUUUGGACUCUAAGCAGUGCUCCUUUGUUUCUGCUGGUUUUCCCUUUUUUCUUGAUCUUUGUGGGCUUAGAGUUAGUGGGACAAACUCGAUUCACAGAGUUUUGUUUUGUGUAGAAGUGCCGUUUUUAGGCCUUCAAUCUGCAAAGGAUGUUGGACUACAACUGGCUUAUUAGGAUGGGCUUAGUCUUGGGCUCGGGCAUGGGCAUCAUUGGGGUCUGCAUUGGUGUCAAUAUCCAAUUGCAUAUCAUUAAAAUCUGUUACUGGAGCCCUUCCUGUGCUGCUGCUUGAGCCAUGAUUUGAGUUAUGAUCAGUUUCCUUUUCAGAAACGAUAUUUCCAAAAAUUUUAGCAUUUCUCUAUCACAUUUCAAUCAUCAUGACAAGUGGAUUAACCUUUUCUCAAAUGUUAACAUGUUUUAUUAGUUUUUUUUUUGUGUCGAAUCGUUAGCUUUUAUGUUUGAUUAGUUAAUGGUUAAUGCUAUCUUCUUCUUCUUUUUUACCUCUAGUCCUCCUGGGAGUCGACACAUGGAUAUCCUAGAAAGCUGAUGAAAUGCAUGUAUCAAACCCAUAAUGAAUACCCGAAAUGGAUAUAUGCAUAUAUUUGUCUAUUUUCUUGAGCACAUAUGUGAUUUAAUAAUCAUUGAUACAUUUCCUCUAUUUUUUUUUUCAUUACUAAAUGAUUACUUUUCUGUUUGAGUCUUAAAUUUAUUCUGCUUGUAAGCUUGAUUAUGAGUGGUUGAGAAACUUGAGUCCUUGUCCAUCGUGUCGUCUGCCUAGACAAAUCAAAUGUCAAGAUCUUCCCAUAUCAUCUCUUAAUUCUAUCCUAGGUCAGUUGUCUUUCCCUAUUAUUCCUAAAAGAUUAAAUAUAGGAGAUUGAACCGGGAAUAGUCUAAUGCUAUGCAUUACAAGUGUGGGAAAAGGGCUUUAAUGGGGUGACAUGCAAAAAUAGUUCGGACUUUAGUUGCUUCAACUCUAGUAUUUGAUUAUCUUUGUUGACCUUGGUCGAUCAAUCCUUGGUUUUGAUGAUUAACAAACCAAAAUGUAGAUUUGGGCUAAUAUUUUUAUGUGAGCAAUUUGUUAGAACAGAUUCUUGUGGCACAAAAAAAGAAGCAAAAACAGGGCACUCAUGUGGGACGUCCGAAAGGCAGCUAUCGGACGUCCGAAAGGAUGAAGAACAUCAGGAAGGAUAUUCUGUCGGACGCUCGUGAGGAAGCAUCGGACGUCCGGAAGGAUCGGACGCACCCCUCGGACGUACAUCAAUCGCAUCGGACGUCCGAGAAAUUUCGCAAAGAUUUGAUGACUCUCUGAUGACGUUUGGACGCAGGGUUCGGACGUCCGACAGGUGGUUUGGACGCAGGGUUCGGACGUCCGACAGGUGGUUCGAACGUCCGACAGGCCAACGGCUAGUUUUGACAGCAUUUAAUAUUUGACCGUUGGAGAGCCUUUUGGAGCCAUUUCUCACCUUCUAUAAACACCCCAAAGCACAAGAAGACAUGGGACUUUUGCCAACACAAUAUACAAGCUUACAAGUGAGAUUUUUGAGUAGAAAGAUUCUUUGUUGGUUGUAUAAGGGGUUGGGGAAGUUGGGUUGUGAGGUUGCUCAAGUGAAGGUUAUUCUCUAGGAGAAGUAAAACCUUGGUGAAGGUGAACCUAUCACUUGAAGUGGUAAAACCUUGGUGAAGGUUGCCUCAUUUGUAUAAAAUAGUUCUUAAUUGGGUGAGUGAUCUUUCAAGUGUAGGUUGUUGAGUGUUAACUAGAAUUGUUGUAAAACUCCUUGGCUCAACCAAAGUGUGUUUGGGGUGAGGAAGGAGUGAGCCUUCACUUGUACAUCUUGGUUAGCAUCGCCAUCAAUUGAAGAGGCUAUUGGUUUGAUAUUUGGUUUGCAUUUCUUAUCCUUUCUCUUUAAUUAAGUUUUCUUUAUUGUGCUUAAAUUUGAUAUAUCUUUGUGCAUCAUUGUGAAUUUGUUUGUACUCAUUGGGUUGCACCGGGCACUUACAAUUGGUAUCAGAGUUUGGUCUCCUUGAGACUAAGCUCAAUCGGCUUGGAGUAAAGAUCAUGGCAACCAUAAAAGUUUCCUUUUUAGAAGGGCAAUCUAUUGAUAGACCACCUAUAUUUAAUGGUUCUCAUUUUAAUAUGUGGAAACAAAGAAUGAUGAUUUUCUUACAAUCCGUUUAUAUUGAAUUAUGGUAUGUGGUAGAAGAUGGUCCUUAUGAAGCUAGAAUAGUUGACUCUACCACCAAUUUGAGUAGAUUAAAGACUAGACAAGAAUUGAAUGAAAAAGACAAGAGAUACCUUUCUUUGAAUGCCAAGGCCAUGUGUAUAUUGUACAAUGCAUUAUAUGUAAAUGAAUCUAGUAGGAUUAAAGGUUGUAAAUCAGCUAAAGAUAUUUGGGAUAAAUUGUGUGUAUUUCAUGAAGGUAACCAAGAUAUUAAAGAACAAAAGAAAUCUUUGCUUGUUUCUCAAUAUGAAUUUUUCAAAAUGCAUCCUCUUGAAAAUGUUGAUAAGAUGUGUAGUAGAUUUUGUGACAUUAUUCAAGAUCUUAAAUUGCUUGGAAGAGAAUAUUCUUUGGGUGAGAAAAAUAGAAAGAUUUUGAAUGUCUUGCCAAAAGAAUGGGAAAACAAAAUAAAUGCUAUAGAAGAGGCAAAGGAUUUAAAUUCUAUGUCCAUUGAAUCUCUUGUGAAUUCCCUAACUUCUUAUGAAUUAAAGCUGCAAUUCAAAGUGCAAGAGGAAGAAAAUGCAAGAAUGUAUAAGAGAGGCAUAUCUUUUAAAGCAUCUCAAGUGGGGGAUAACCCAUCCUUCAUGGGUAAUGAAAACAUGGAAGUGGACAAUGAUAUAACUCCUCACAUCAAAAGUUUCAAGAAGAUCUUCAACAAGAGAAGUUCAAGAGCAGAUUGCAAAAUUACAUGGGAUGAAUACAAUUCAAAAAGAGAAAAAGAAGAGUUGGCACAAAUGGCACUAAUGGCCUUUGGAGAAGAUGAGGUAAAUUCUUAUCAGUCUUCUUGUGAUGAAGAUAAUGAAGAUGAUGAUGUGAAAAUUCUUAUGAUUAAAAUGCAUAAAAGUUUGAGAAAAUCUUAUGCUAAAAAUAAAGAUUUGAAAACAAAAAUAAAUGAUUUGUUGGAAGAAAACUCCAAACUUUUUCAGGAAAACAAAUGUUUGAGAAUGGAAAAUGAUGAUUUAAAAAAUCAAAAAAGUGUUUUUGAUUGCAAAAAUAAUUUGAAAAGGAAGUUGGAAGAGAAAACAAAGUUUUAUGAAAAAAUGUUGGAGGAACAAAAUUUGUUAAAGAAAAGAAUUAAUGACUUGAACGAGUUUCUCCAAAAUGAAAAACAAAAGUUUUCUCAAACAAAAGAAAGUAAAUCUUUUCAAGGCACAAAUAAGUUUGCUAUGAUAAGAAGUAAGAAAAUUAGUUGCAUUAAAUCCACUUAUGUGCAAAAUACUUCUAUCAUGUGUCACUUUUGUUGUCAAUUUGGACAUAUGCAAAAUGAUUGCUAUGUAAAGAAAAAUAUGAGAAAAGGUAUGAAAUCCAUGUGGAUUGCUAGAUCAUGUUGUACUAACUCCCAAGAACCCUAUAAAAACUUACAAUUGGUAUCAUGACAGUUUUGUCAUUCUAUAUGGUCUUGAUUUGGAAAAUAAAGGGGGAGUUUGCUUUUUGAUUGAUGUCAAAAGGGGGAGUAGGAUUUAUUGAAAUUUCUUUGUAUGUUGGCAUUUUCUAAGGGGGAGUUUUAUUUGAACUUAUUUGAUCAAAGAAAUCUUCAUUUUGUUUGUCAUCAUCAAAAAGGGGGAGAUUGUUGACCUUGGUCGAUCAAUCCUUGGUUUUGAUGAUUAACAAACUAAAAUGUAGAUUUGGGCUAAUGUUUUUAUGUGAGCAAUUUGUUAGAACAGAUUCUUGUGGCACAAAAGAAGAAGCAAAAACAGGGCACUCAUGUGGGACGUCCGAAAGGAAGCUAUCGGACGUCCGAAAGGAUGAAGAACAUCAGGAAGGAUAUUCUGUCGGACGCUCGUGAGGAAGCAUCGGACGUCCGGAAGGAUCGGACGCACCCCUCGGAUGUACAUCAAUCGCAUCGGACGUCCGAGAAAUUUCGCAAAGAUUUGAUGACUCUCUGACGACGUUCGGAUGCAGGGUUCGGACGUCCGACAGGUGGUUUGGACGCAGGGUUCGGACGUCCGACAGGUGGUUCGAACGUCCGACAGGCCAACGGCUAGUUUUGACAGCAUUUAAUAUUUGACCGUUGGAGAGCCUUUUGGAGCCAUUUCUCACCUUCUAUAAACACCCCAAAGCACAAGAAGACAUGGGACUUUUGCCAACACAAUAUACAAGCUUACAAGUGAGAUUUUUGAGUAGAAAGAUUCUUUGUUGGUUGUAUAAGGGGUUGGGGAAGUUGGGUUGUGAGGUUGCUCAAGUGAAGGUUAUUCUCUAGGAGAAGUAAAACCUUGGUGAAGGUGAACCUAUCACUUGAAGUGGUAAAACCUUGGUGAAGGUUGCCUCAUUUGUAUAAAAUAGUUCUUAAUUGGGUGAGUGAUCUUUCAAGUGUAGGUUGUUGAGGGUUAACUAGAAUUGUUGUAAAACUCCUUGGCUCAACCAAAGUGUGUUUGGGGUGAGGAAGGAGUGAGCCUUCACUUGUACAUCUUGGUUAGCAUCGCCAUCAAUUGAAGAGGCUAUUGGUUUGAUAUUUGGUUUGCAUUUCUUAUCCUUUCUCUUUAAUUAAGUUUUCUUUAUUGUGCUUAAAUUUGAUAUAUCUGUGUGCAUCAUUGUGAAUUUGUUUGUACUCAUUGGGUUGCACCGGGCACUUACAAUCUUUAUUUUUCGCUUGUCUACCUUUUUUAACUCUACAUUUAAAUCUCUUAAAUUGUUGUUUGUUGGACUGGUAUUUUCGUCUUCGAUUGCUUCAUCGGAUUAGUAUCUAAUAAUUCUAUAUCAGCGUUUUUUGGCAACAGAUAUGCCUAAUGGGUUUGAAUAAAGAGCACUUCUAAUUGAAUGAUUGUGUUAUGUUGUCUAAGAACUGAAUAGAUGUAGGUAUUUAGGUUUUCAAUGACUUGAUAACAAGUCAAUUGCAGAGUUGACACAAGCCUGAGCUGUAAUUCUGAUACUAUUGCAGUGGUAAUUUCCAUUAAAUUAGACUGAUUUUUAAGCAAAAAUCUCGUUAAAGUAUUAGCCGGAAGAAGAUUUGGAUUUCGUAAUCUAUUAUAUUAUUGGGCUCUAAAAGUGAUGAAGCUUCCCUAGUUUAGUUAAUGGUACAGGGACUGGUGAACCUCAUAACAGAGUAAGUGACCAAUAAUUCAGAAUUGCUUAUCAGAAGAUUGACAUUAUUUAUACUUGACAUGGUUUCUUGUAAUUACAUUGUACUUUUCUUGAGAUCGGCAUUACAAAAUAUGACUAAUAAUCCAUACAAGACAAACCUAGCAACACCUUAUUUUAUGCUAAAAUUAUAAAAAAGAUAAAGGGGUAAUUUUAGAAAAACUCUGCCCUGGAUUUCUAAUAAUUUCAUCUAAUACUCUAAAGGAGGUUUCGAUAUUACACUCACCUUCCUUGGCCGAAUAAACUGCCAUAAUAAACUUAACAUAUUUCAUGAAAUUAGACAAUUCGUUUCUUGUGCAUGUGAAUGCUUUUCACACAAUUAGAUGUUUAAUGAAUAACAAAACAAGUUUCACUCUUGAAAUAAUCAAUUAUAUCCUAAACAUAAUUCAAAAAUAUUUACAAAUUAAUUUUGGCUUUCCUUGGAGUAAAGAUGAAUAGAAGAAGGUGCAGGCUAAAGGUUUAAGAAGGAUGAGCCCUGUGUUGUUACUUCAACAUUUGGAGGAUAGGGAGUCUUAAUUGAUUAGUGCAGUCCGUGAAGCUUUUUGGGUUUAAUACUACUUUUUUUUAAGUAGUUUGAGGUUUUAGAAUUUAGGGGCUGAUAGUGGAGAUAAUUUGAGAAAUGGGAAUAUGAACUUUUAGAACGGUAGAGAGGAAGGAUGAAAGUGGAUUUCUGGUUUUGUGAAUGUUCUAAAUUUUUUUUAAUAAUUUUAUAGAAAAGUAAAAUUAACUUCACAAUGAGCCAUUUUGAAAUAUUCAUUCAAACUUUUGACUGUUGAGUAGCUUUUGCUACUAAAAUUAUAACAUUAGAGGAGUUACAUAUAAUUUUGAAAGUCUCAAGAGUUCAAGAUAAGACUGUUGAAAACCACAAGGGAGGUUCAUGAAAUUAUUCCAAAGAAAGAACCGUGUAAAAGUUUGUCUUUUGCUCGGGUUCAAGAAGUUGAUAGAAGAAGAAGACUUUAGAGCUUAAAAGAAGCUCCACGUAGCUCCUCAUCGUGACCCACCGAAUACUACUUAUAUAAUUCUUGAUUCCUCGGCAUUAUAGAUCCUUCUCGUCCUUCAGCUUGUUCAUUGAGUAAAGGUAGAAACAAAACUGGCAAAUCAGAAGCAAUAGUAGCCAUGGGUAGAAGUAAGUGUUCUUCUCUUCCCAAAUUCGCAUGCUUUUUUUUAAGUCUGAACCUUGAAGUUUAAUAUUUUUUGCUCUUUUAUUUAUUUUAUCUGCUCAUUUUUAGCUUUCCUUGUGUUUCCGGUUAUGCAACUUUUUAAUUCAUUUCAGGCAGAAGUUUUUUAACUUCUAAUUUCUGUAAAAUUGAAAAUUUAAAGCUUCAGAAUUUUUAAAUACUUGCGCUGUUUGAAGUAGGAUUCUGAAAAGAGCACAUACGUUGAUUUUUCUGUACGUAAUAUGGGUCCUAUUUGUUUUUUUUUUUUUUUUUUUUGGUUUCAACAAUGAUUAACGGUAUAGAGACAAAAUAUGGUACUCUGAUUGUGGUUUUCUAGUAAUUUCUCAUGUGUUCAGCCUUUGGGAUUAUUUAAGUUUUGAAUACUUUAUUGCAAGAUGCUACCGUUCUGUUUGGUGGAAUCAGAUAAAUGGUAUGAUAUUGGAUAUUGGUAAUGUUAGAUUAUCUUGGAUGUGCUUGUAUUGUUUAACAUAAACAUAAUUACAUUCUCAAGUGACUAAUUCACUUUAUUCUUCGCAUCCAGUUUUAUCUCUUGAAUCAUACUCUUGCCAUUAUGAUAAAUUAGUAACUUUUUAAACAAGGCGAUUGUGAAAAUUAAGAGAUUCUUUUACAUAAUGUUAGGAUGUGGAGUUUACCCUAUCAAAGAUUAUGAGGAAACUGUUAAAAAGUCGAAAUUUCAAUACGGAGUAAUAAAAUAUCAGCAACUAGAAAAAGUUGAAGAAAAUUUGGACAACCAUGCUUCCAUCCAAUGAAUUCAGUUUGUUAACAUUUUGAUCAAACUGAAACUAUGUUUUGGUUCUGGUUUUAUAUUUGGAAUAUGCAGGACCAGCAAGAUGUUAUCGCCAGAUAAAGGGCAAGCCUUAUCCAAAAUCUCGAUUUAAUCGUGGAGUACCGGAUCCAAAAAUCAGGAUUUAUGAUGUUGGAAUGAAGAAAAGAGGGGUUGAUGAGUUUCCCUGUUGUGUGCAUUUGGUCAGCUGGGAAAAGGAGAAUGUUUCUAGCGAGGCACUGGAAGCUGCGCGCAUCGCGUGUAACAAGUACAUGGCAAAAUAUGCUGGAAAGGAUUCUUUCCAUCUCAGGGUCCGAGUGCACCCUUACCAUGUACUCCGCAUCAAUAAAAUGCUGUCCUGUGCUGGAGCUGAUAGGCUUCAAACAGGCAUGAGGGGAGCUUUUGGUAAGCCUUUAGGCACUGCUGCUCGUGUAGCAAUUGGUCAAAUUUUGCUUUCAGUCCGAUGCAAAGAUGCCAAUUGUAAUCAUGCUCAGGAGGCCUUGCGCCGUGCAAAGUUCAAGUUUCCCGGUCGUCAGAAGAUAAUAGUCAGUGGGAAAUGGUAUUUUUCCAAUCCAUCUUUCAAAUCUUGGCACCCCAAUUAGAUUUUCUGUCUUUCUUCCUCCGUAUUCAUUUUUAAAGUUAAUUUGGAAUUACUUUUCGUUAUUGAGUAGUAGUUUCGUUUUGUAAUUUGUUGUAUCGCUGUCUACAUUUGUGGUAAUGGUACACCCGCAAUCUUGGGCAAUUGUCUCUAUUUGGUGUCAAGGCCCGUGAUCCUCAAUUAAAGUUCACUAUAUUGAUGCUUGAUAAAAUCACAGUUUGCUCUCUUCAAUUAAAGUUCAAACGAGGGCUCCUACGCAUAUUUUCAAGUUAAAUAUUUACCAUUUCAUUGUACGCAGGAGUUUUGUUUUGUUUUGUUAGUUACUAUAUAUGCUGUGCUUUUAAGUUCUGUGGAUUGCAAAUUAACUUUUCUUUUUCAAAGAACCAUAGAAAAUGUAUCCUUAGUCAUUUUGCAAUACCGAAUUGCAGGGGUUUCACUAAAUUCAAGCGUGCUGACUACAUUAGAUUCAAGCGGGAGAACCGCAUUCUACCUGAUGGUGUCAAUGCCAAGGUUUGCACCACCACUAUUAGCCGCUUCACUUCACGUUCCCUUCUAUGAAAGUUUCAGUUUUGAUUCCACAUUCUUUGAACAAUAUAAACUCAAAUCUCUUGCAUUUCAAUUUUACCAAUUAUGGCAAUUAUAUUUUUAGUUAAUUAACAGUACAGUCCUCAAUUACUUUCGAGUUUUAACACAUUUUUUUUUAUAAAAUAUUUGUGUUAUUUUAAUAAGGGAUGUGUGAGAUUUACAAAGCGAAUAGCGACAGAGAUUUGGAUAUUAAUUUUAACCACUAAAGUAAAGUAUCCUCAGCUGCACUUGUCAUUAAAAUUUGUAGCAUGCCUGACAUGAAUUUGGAAGCACAUACAAAACACUAAAUAUGUCAAGAUUAAAAUAUGAAUUGAUCAAACUUCAAUAGUUGACCAUAUGAACUUAAGUUGCAUUGUUCAAUUCCUUUUUAUUUGGGCAUGAUGAAAAGUAAUGUGAUUAAUUUCUUGAUGCAGUUGUAAUAAAGUUUGGAUUCCUUCAUGUAAAUUUAUGCAAGGCUUUGCUGUAAAUUAGCUUUUCAUUUCAGUCUGGUUUACCUUGUUCAAUUUAUGAGAGGAUUAAUACAUUGGCCUUUUACAGUUCCUUACUUGCCAUGGACCUCUGUCUGAAAGGGAGCCUGGACGAGCAUUUUUGCCUGCGACUGCUUAAGAAUUCAAUAGAAUAAACGACACGGUAUCACGAGGUUGCAAACUUGAUUAUGUUUGAUUAUAUUUGGGUAGUUGAAGCUUUUGAAAUGGCAUGUAAUCUAAGCUUUUUGCUGGUGUUUUUAGAAAUAUAUAUUUGUGUUUAACUUUUACUGAGUGGGGUGUUAGUGUUAAUUAUUGCAGAAAGCCAAAUAAUGCAAAACUCAACAGUUUGGAUAGCCAAAUGGUUUGGGUUAAUUCUACUUUGUCCCCUCAAACUACAGCUGAAAUUUCACUUCAGUUCCUAAAUUUCAAAAUAGGAGACUUAAAUGCUUAAACUACAAAAUCCAUUUCGGUUAAGUAAAAUCAAUGAUAGAAUCCAAAAAACUAGCGGUGUAUUAGAAGACCUCCUUUAGUGUGACUGAGUAAAUUUUAUAAACCAAAUAGUAGGGGACAUAAAGGUAACUUUGCCAUUUUUCUCCUCAUUCAUCCUUUUUUUCCUUUUUUCUAUUCUUCUUCUUCUGUCAAACACUUUUUCAAGUGAAGUUAUCUUUACACAAAAAUUGCAUCUAAUCACAAAUUGUGGCUAGUACAGCCUAGAGGACCCAAAAUGACAUCCUCCGGUUAGCUAUUCUUCAUUUCUGGAAACGUAUCAUCUUUUUUUCCUUUUUGGCAAGCCAAAAACCUUAGUUGAUUGCCAUAAAAUUGAAUCCCUACAAUUACCAAUAAGAAUAAUAGAUACCAAUGAUUCAGCAAGUUCCCAAAUACUCUGAACCACAAAAUCUUUUAGACCCAACUCUAUGAUGAAAUUUUAAGAGUUCAAUAUAGAGGGAUAUGUUUUAGUUAAAUCCAAAUUAAUAUCAUGGCAGAUCCCUAUGUUUUGUUCUGUCCAUUUAGGUAUUUGUACGGAUCACCAAACCUUAGAAAGGAGAAGACGAGAGAAGGACACUAGGAAUCAUCUUUUAGUUCUGCUCCUCAUUCUCCGGAUAAUCUCUUUACUCUGUUUCACCUACCAUCAAUUCAUCAAACGUAUGCGCCUUGCCCCGCACAAUCUCGAUCUUUGCUUUAGGGAAUGGUUGUGCUACGAACUCAUCCCUCAUAUCCACAAUCAAGGUUCUUAUCUUCUUUUCAGCAGCAAAUCCAUUGUUCUUUAACCACAGUGGCAAUUUCUGGGUGGUUUCAUUCAGACCUUCUUCACUCCUUCCAUUAUCCUUUCCAUCCCUUCUGAUUCUUUUUCCAACAAAGUAUCAAUCUCAAAAACCUUCAAAUGUAAACUUCAAAUUUGAUGGUGUUUUAAUUAAAUUGAAAUUUGAUGAGUUGCAACAAAUUAGAUCUAUGGAUCUCAUGGGGUAUCAGUUUAGAAAGGGGAAUGGCUUUCAUGGGAGAUUGAGCAUACAUGAAAGAAUGGUGAUAUUUGGCCCAAGCUUACUGCCUUUUUCUUUCAACAUCUAGCAGUUUAAUAGAGGGUUUGUUGAGGUGUGUGUGGCUGGAAAAGUUGAGAAACCGGUUGAAAGGAGGAGAAGAAUAGGAAAAAGGGUAGGAACGAAAAAGGACGAGAUGAAGCUGAAGGGGAAAAGGAUCUUUUGGGAAAAAAAUAAAGGGGCCAAAAUUACCUUUAUAUCCCUAUUUUUUGUGGUUCAUAACACUUGCAUAACCGCACAAGCGGGGCGUGUGCUAAUUAAUAUACGUUAAUUUUCUAGAUUUCGUCAUCGAUUGUACGUAAUUGAAAUGGAUUUUGUAGUUUAGGAAUUUAAUUGUCUCAUUUUAAAGUUUAAGAAUUGAAGUGAAUUUUUGAAUAUUGUGUUGAGGGGACAAAGUGGAAUUAACCAAAAUGGUUUUAAAUAGUUCUUGAAAAAUUUUUUAGUUCUCUCCUUUUACAACCAACUUGAAGGAGGAAUUAACAACACAAAAGCCAUGAUAAUGGAACUGAAACUAGAAUAAAAAUUGAUUAUCAUUAUAAGUAGGCUAAAUAUUUCUAUGUAAGCUUAGCGUCAUUGGCGGUUUGGAUGGUUAUAGUUUUUCUUGCACUAACUUCACUUUGCACCCUUCAAUUUGUACCACUUUUUCACUUUGCAUCUUAAACUUUAAUUUUGAUCACUUUGUACUUUAAACUCUUAAUUUUGAACAUUCUGGAUUCUAAACUUUCAAGUUUUUAUCAUUUAAGUCCAAUCAAUAAAUAUAUUUGCAAAAUUAAUGAGAUAAAGGAUGUUAAAAAUUAAUUACAAUGUACUAUUUUGUUCUAAUUGUGAUACCUUUGUUUUUUUUUUUUUUACAACUUUCAGCAUAUUUUUAUUAAUUUGUAUGGUUUCAAUCACUAAUAUUGUCAACAAAAUUAAUGAAAUAAAAGAUUAUGCAAAUUAAUGAAAAAUUAUUAUUUUAUUUUUUCUAUAAUAUCUUGUUACUUUUUGACCACUUUGGGUAUAUUAUCAUUGAUUUAUUGGAUCCUCUAUUUUGUUAAUUUUGUUGAAAUUGUCAUUCAUUGGAUUUAAAUUCAUGAACUUAAUUAGGGUGCAAAGUAUCCAAAAUUGAGCAUUUAGGGUGCAAUGUGUUUAAAAUUGAAAUUUGUAGUGCAAAUUGAGAAAGUAAUACAAGUUUAGAAGUACAAGUGAAGUUAGUCCGCUUUCUUAUAUUCGAUUUUAUAAUGUAAGGGUGCAAUACUUCUUUUUUAGUGUUUUUUUUUCUCAUGUGACGGAGGCUAGGCCUAUGGAUUCCUCUUUUAUGUCAUUUUAUUUUCUUUAUUAAUAAAACUUGGUUUGACAUCCCACUCUUAGAUAAACAAUCUAAAAUUUUGUAAAAGCUUUACAACCUUACAACUCGAUGAAGGUAAUUCGAUAUGUAUUGAAGUAUGGGCAAAUUUUGACAAAGAGCAAAAAAAAAAAAAAAAGGAUGAUUAAAGAAUUGUCAAAUUAAAUUUUUCUUUAAGUUUUAUUUCGGCUGUGAUUUACAAUGGUAAUAAUUUUUACAAUUUCUUUCAUCUGUUUAUCCGGAUAAAUAUGUCUUUUCACCAGAGACAGUUAAGCAAAUAUUGUGCAACUUCUGGGACAUUUGUCUUCUUGUAACCAAAUCAUGCAUUCCUCACAGUAACUUCUUUCCAUUUAGCUGGCACUUGAUGAUUUAUCUAGUUGGUACUAAUGAAUCACUUCUGAUAUUUAUCCCCUAUUGAUGUUAGCUCAUGAUAUUUGUGGAUAAUCUGUAAAGAUGCUGCAAAUGACAUGUGGUUGUAACUAGAGAAAGGUGGGCGGCAAAGAUUCAAAGAGGCAGGUCGGCACGGGCCCCGCCCUUCCCAAGUUCUAGAAAUCUAUAUUCUUCUUUCAAAAAGUUAAAAAUUUUCAAUACUAUCCUUUAUAAAUUAAAAAUUUUGCCACCGCAAAAAUUUGUAGAUAUUCUUAUGUGAUGUGCUGAAUUUUAGACACGUCAAAAUUCAUCCUCUCAAGAUAAAGUUUGUGGUCCACCUAUGCGGUGAAUUGCCCCGUAACAAAGAAACAAACGAGAAAAAUAUUCCUUCGCAUUAAUACCUGCACUACUAAAAUAAGAGUGAACAAGACAAAGGACUAUUAUCAUACUCUGCUUUUCUUUUUCCUUUUUUCUUAUUUUUUUUUCCUCUAAAAGGGCAAUAGACCAAUAGCUUUUUUUUUUUUUAAUAGGAAAAGGGAUAGACAAUAAAUAAAGUUUAAGUGUUUACAAGCCGGACAAGAAUAGAUCCUACAAUCAGCAUUCAAAAGACUAUUUAAGGGCACGGGGGUACAAAACAAAUUCUUCGCAAGCUUCGUGCUCAAUUUUACCAAAUGGUCCGCGCAGUUGUUAGCUUUACGAAAAACAUGGCUAACGAUACAAAGUUUGGAAGCUCUCCAUAAUGAUCCUGAAAUCAGAAAGAAGAGGGGAGGCAUAGAAGAGGGGAACCUCUCCAUGGGCCAAUAGCUGUAACUUUAGUUUUGCACUCAUUCCCCUGGUCAAUAACCAGCAAGUCCAAUCAUUGUUCCCCCACUGCCCCAGGAUCAGGAUGAGACUGCCCAUUUGCUUUUGGGCUUGGACCUGUCUCAAAUCAUCUUGGUACAGGUACAGAGCAGCGUCAACAACAAUGUCCUAAACAGGAAAAAAGAAAAAAAAAAAAGAAAUGAAGGAAAAAAGAUAUUUGCAUACAGACACGCAUAUAUUAUAUAAUAUAUAUGAGCGCGUGGGGUGUGUGUUGUCUCUCUCUAAUGCCGCACUAUUAGGAGCCAUGGUCUCUGGGCAAACGUGGAUGUUCGUUUUCAGUGGGUAAUUUUGCAAAACUACUUGGUUGCAUAGAUUCUUUCCAAUCAUCUCGUAGAAUUUUGCUUAGGCUGGAGUGGCAAAAUUAAACUUACCGCUUCCUUAAUUUUCAAUCAAGCUCCAGCAAAUCAAUGACGAAUUUGACAUACAAAGCAAAAAAGGUAAAAUAUCCGAUAAUUGCACAAAAAGUGUGCAAGGGAAGUUGAAAUAUUUACCAUGGAUGUGAUGACAAAAUAAUUACAACAUCAAAACAAAUGCCUCACAUUUCAAUCUUUAAUUUAGUACAUAGCUCAUAUUAGCUAUUCAUACUAAGUAGUUUUAUGGUACUACUUCUAGAAUGUUACUUUUUUUUAAUAUAUAUCUUUACCACUAUUUAACAUUCUAAACUCCUCGUUUAUUCAUUCUUAUCUCUUAUAUACUAAAUCUAGAGUUAUUUAUUUCUGUGGAGCCUUGUUAAUGAUGUAGUCUUGAAGUUAUCAGUUACAAGACCAAAUGAUUCAUCUUUAUCUAGUUUGCUAAAUGUGUACUUAUUCCAACAAUUCAUCUCAAUUUUAUUGCCUAAUUUAUUGCUUUGCUAUUGACUUUACUUAGUGGAAAUCAAUUACAAAAUGGACUAUUACUUUUCAUCUACUCACGUGAAAAUCACCACCCACUACUAAUUAAUUUAAUUUGCAGUCUUGAAAGGGAAUUUACAACUAGCAAAGUAAAAUUAGCCUCCAAAUUUCAACAAAUUUUAAAUUUAUAUGCUAAGAAUUUAAAAUAAAAAAAAUGUGAGGUGUCACAGCAUAUGUUAAUUUAUUUAUUCUUUUUGUGUGAGACAAAGAUUACAAUGUAGAAUUAUGAUGUUUAGCCAUCUCACCAAAUGUACAUAUUAUUAAUGAGUUUUAUCUUUGGUGUAAGAAAGCUUCAAGGUGGAUUACUAACUUCUUUGGUUUCUAAGAAUAUAUAUUUCUUAGGAAACAGUCAGUCUAUCUUUUUGCAAGAUAUCACUUUGAUGCUAUAAUGAAGCUGUCUCUAAGUCUGUAAACUUUGUAACUGCUUUUAAACAUUUUUACAUCAAAUGUUUGUAACAUUUCUGAAAAAUGUGAUGAUAUGCAUUAAACGGGCAGAAAGCUUGAUUUAUAUAAAGGAGAAUGAAAAACAUAUUGGUAAUUUGCACAAAGAUUUAAUGUAAUGGUACGUAAACUUGAUUAACUGUGGUCUUAUUCAUAUUUGUAAGGCUAAAGAUGACUAUUAAUACAAAGUACGCACAACUACCAUAUUAACUGUUAGAAUAAUUAAACCAAACUAUUUAGAAGUUUAGUAGUUUUAGAAUUGGAUUUAUUAUUUGGUAAUUAUAUUGGAAUUAGCAUCAAUGUUAGUUUAGAAAAUAGAGUUGAGCCAAGUUUUAUACAAUUAGAAUCGAUUGCAUGAUUAUGUUUCUCUAUUUAAGGACUUGAAGUCCGAUGCUUCUAAUAGAGGAAAAAUGGUGUUAAUAGUAUAAUAGUCUUUAAUUCUUUCAGUACCUUCCUUCUCACUUCUGUGAUUAAUCAACUAAUAGUUUUGCUCUUAUACUCUCCUUCUUGUUUCUUGAUUAUUAGAAUUGCAAUGUUGAAAUAACUUCCGUUAUGUGAUUUUGUGUUACCAAGUGAUAUUAGAUCUCUUGAUUCAAGAGUUUGAUUUGGAGUGUUUAUGGUGCUUGGAGUUUGUGAUAGAGUUAGGACUGUUAAUGGAGUUGAGCCAACCCGAACUCAACUUGUUUAACUCGAGAAAAAGCCCGAUAAGUUCAACCAUUUAAUGAGUCGGUCUGAGUUUGGACCUAAAAAUUAUGCUCGAAUUGAAUAUAAGCCAAGCUCAAGCCUCAUUGGGCUCAAACUCAAUAUAGGCCCAGCCCUUUAAUUAUCUCUUAUAUAUAAUAAUAUAUAUAAUAUUUAUAUUUUGAUAUUAUAUAUAAUUAUAUAUCCAAAAAUAUUAUUACUAAAUACUAAAUAUAUACAAAUUACAAAACACAAAAAUAUAUCUUAAAACAUCUCUACUAACUUUCUUGAGAGCCCAUAUUGGUAAUGCAUAAUUGAAGUUCUAAGUUUUCUUAUUGAUUGAGUAGAUUUUUGUAUUUACAUAAUAUUUAUUGAUUUCUUUUUGGCCUAGAAUUUCUAGCAGAAACAAAAAUUAUCAAGCAUGUUUGAAUUCAAGUUACCAGGCUAUGAAGAAAUUCCACCCUCUGAAGAUGUAUUGACUUAUGACCACAUGUUUUAUUACCAUUGUCCAUGUACUUUAAAUGAAUUAAAUAUAAAUAUUGUUGAAAAAUUCUCGGUUUAUGUACUUUUUAAGAACUAUUACUUGUUCAUAUUUAGUUUUAAUGUUGUAGUCCUGUGAAUGUUAAAUUAGUUUUACAACUUCAUAGUUAUAGUAAUUAUAUUAAGAAAAUUGAGGAAUAAGAAGUGAGAUUGAGCUAAACCCGAAUAAGGUUCAAAAUCUGAAUAUUUUGUGAGUUGAGUAUAAUCUUCAUAUUUAUUAACUCGAAUCUCAUGGCUCGAAACCCAAAAGUGUUACAAAUUAAAUGAGUUAAACCUGAAUUUAUGAAAGUCUAGCUUAUAUGGCCCAAUUGAAAGGCCUAGGUAGAGUACUUGUAUAUUGAAGAAUUAGACCAAGAGAAAUUGGUCUUCGGGUACUCGUUCGUUGAUUAAGGGAAAAAUUGACCCUAAUUGGAUAGAAAUCUUGUGAGGACUCGAAAAUCUAUUAUUUUUAAAUCCCUAAUUUUGGCUUAAUUAAUUAUUUAUUUGGAUUUUUGCCACGAAUAAUAUUUUCUAGCCUUAUUAGACCUAAGUACGUGGUAUUAUAGCUUCGUUAUAUUUUUAAAGUGUCUCGUUUCAAAAAUUAUUUUCUUAGAAGCUUGUUUAGUGAAAAAGUGAAAACGCGUUUGGAAAAUUUAACCAAUUGGGAGUACAAUAAGCUCGGAAAUUUGGAGACAUGUACAAUGGUCCUAAAAUAGGUAAUUUUAGGUUUAAGUACUCAAGUGAUGGUUAGUGGUACGAUCGUUACAAGAAUUUCUUGAAGGUUUCACUUUAGUGCGCCUAAAUUAGAAAUACGCGUUUUCACGCGCGCGCUUAAUUGAGGGACUUUAGACCAUUAUUUUGGGACAAUUAAGAGUGAAUAAUAUUUAUAUGAAUAUAAGUGCAUUAGAGGUUUAGUGCACUAGUGAAAUAAACUCGAAAGGAAUCGAGCCCGAAUCGCGCGCGUACGCGCACUAGUGAGGGUUGACUUUUGCACGAUUAUGGGCCACACAAACGAAGCUUCUCUUGGAAGCCAAAUUAGAUCAACACUCUCUCUCUCCUCUCCAAAGAUAGCCGGCCAGCCUCUCUCUCCCUCAACCUCCAAGUUUCAAAAUUUCUUCUCACAAAAACCUCACCAAUCUUCAUCCAAAUUCUACCAAAUUUCAUACACACUUAGAUCUACUCUUGGACACCACUUUGAAUUGCAAAAAGGAGCUAAAACUCACGGUUUUUCUAGAGCAUAGGGGACUGAAAAUCACUGCCUUGGUCAUCAACUAGAGUAGGUAAUGAUCCGACACUUUAAUCUUGGUUUAUGGAGGUUUAUUAACACCUUUAAGCUCUUGUAUUCAUAUGGGUGGUUGUUAUUAUUGGAAAAUUUGGAAGUUGGGCUCUAUGAACUCCCACCCUUUGUCUUGAUGGCUGAUGUGAUGAUUGAUGAUGAAUUUAAUGUUGGUUUAGUGCUCAAAAUGGUAGAUUAAUGGUGUAUUAGUAGUAUGAACUUCAAGAAAUGCAUGAGAGAAAAAGUUCCAAUUCUGCCCCUGCUUUGAACGUAUCUAUUUCUGCGGAAUUUUGGGGUUCUAAUGACUUAUAUAUGAUGUUUAUAUGUUGUAUAGAUGGUGUAAAAAAUUUCAUUGAAAAAUAUUGAGGUUUGGUGGGUCAAAUGAAUCGAUUUCACAAAGCUAGUAAAUCUGGAACUGUUUCCGUAAUGCUCUGACCAGUUUUCGUGUUUCAGCCAUAACUUUGUGCUCCGACGUCGAAAUCGAGUGCCAUCAGCGGCAUUUGAAACUAGACAUUCCAACUUUCCAAUGGUAUAAAAUGCACGUUCUGGUUCCAUGUAUGUGAGCCGAACCAACCAUUUAAAGUCGGCUGUUCUGUUUCUCUGUUUUACUGGAACGAAAUGCUGAGGCUGCAACUUGUGGCUCGAAUUCGAGCUAGUUGUGUGCCAAAUUUCAAAAUGAUUUCUUCUGUGAAAUUAUAGCUCUAUGAAUUUGUUUUCCAACUCCAUAAACCAUGCCCAAUUCCGAGUUAAUUUGAGUGAUUUGUGAUCAAAAUACGGAACCUGCCCUGCUCUUGAAAACCCUGACUUUUGGACAGAUUUGAUGCAAGACUUGGUAUAGACUUGCUAACUGAAUAUUUUGGUGCUAAACACUUACCAAAUAUACCAUGAAUAUUCCUUAGGCUUUUCCUAUGCUAAUGAGCCAUGUUUGAGGAAUUUUUCCUUGACCAAAUGUUUGAAAUGGAAAACAAAAGGUUCAAGGCAGUUUUGUCUUAGUAUUUUCGAAAUUUUGGUUGUUUGAGUGACUACCUUCCCGAAGGUAUUUUUCCAUGAAAUUUGAUAGGGAGAUACUCUUUAUAUAGGAGUAUUAUACUGCCAAAUUUUGUACCAAUCCAAGUCCAUUUCGAUACCUAACUAAAGUACCAAAGUUGGAAGCUCAAAUCUGGAAAUUUGUUCACCAGUUUUGAAUUUUUCCCUAACUUUGAGCUACCGUAUCUCGGUGCUCGAAACUCCGAUUCUUGAUCAACUUUUUCUGUUAAAAACAUUACUUGCAACUCUAAUUGAGUUGUAGAUUUCAGAGGCUAGCUCACAACGUGUGAAUUUUUCCGAAUUUCCAAAGUUAGCGAAAAACCAACCCCAACACAACCUUAAGUACCCUGAAACAGUAACUUUGAGCCCAUUUUUGAAUGUCUUCCAUUUAGAAUCAUGGAAAAGUGUCUUCUAAGAACUUUUAGUACUUUCAAAGAGGUUUCCAACGGUACCAUGUUUUACAAUUUUUGACAAGUAGAAUGUGAGAUACGAUUUUUCAAAAUAUCGUAUCAAAACCGAAAAUUUUCCGAAUUCCAAAGGAAGGGAGUUUUCAAGCACUCCUUAUUCCUUCGAUAUUACUUGAACAUUUUAUACUUGAUUUCCCGAAAUGAAAACUCGAUCGCUCUUGUACUUUAAGAAACUCUAAUUGAAUCUCGAUUUAUGAGUAAUUGAGGUUCGUUUUCAUGAAAUUUUCCUAGAUUGUACUAACAUACAAUCUUCCUUGAUAAUUGGGGCACGUGAAUGAUAAUACAUUAUAUUUUGCUCAGGUGCACUCGAGGACCUUCAAGAGGAUCCUACAGUGAACACUUGAACUUCCAGAAAAUAUUUCUUCUUGAUUUGCUCGGUGAGUGUCAAGUGUAUGGCUACUUGAACUCUAUGGGUUUGAUUCAUACUUGGCUUACCUGAUUACAUGCUUAGCCUACUUGGUUUUGAAAAAUGGAGUCGAGUGUGUACUUUAUCGCACUCGUUCUCAUUUAAAACAAAUGACUCAUGCUUAACAUGUUUUGCCUGAUUUACAUGACCUGAAAUACAUGCUUAAACCUGUCGAAUGCUUUAUUACAUGACAUGGUAUGCUAUGACUGCAUACGUCGUUGGAGUGAAUCUCCUCGAUACUUACAUGAUACAUGGGGGACGCCCAAACUCAUAGGCCGACCUUGGAACUCGAGCCGGCAUGGGCUUGGUCGGGAACCUUGGUGAGCCAUGAGAAUCACAUGAUAAGCUUGAUCUAUUUGAGAGAUCUUGCUUGGCAUACUCGUGGAGUAUAGCCUUAUAAAUGUCGUGCGGGCCCGAAGUGGUGUAGGGUGGACGGAUGAGAAGUAAGUGGUGAUCUACGGUUUGAAAAUAUCAACCCGGUUGACAGAGAGUCAUCGCGGGAAGAUAUACGAAUGAACUGGCAACGCAAGUGGAACUUAGCUCCUGAGAGCUACCAUAUCUUUGAAUUGCUUCUGUUUACAUUUUGUUGGCAUUAUUAAUUACUUGCAAGUUAUCACUUGAACUGUUACUUGGGCUUGUUACCUGAACUAUGUGCCUGCAUGUGUGUUCUUGGCCUCACGAGCGUUUUUGCUCACCCCGUUAGAUUUGUUUUCCUUAACAGGAUUGAACUCGGAGAUGUAUUGGAGAACCCUCCUGAUGUACUUUUGUUUAGGGUUUCUAUUAUGUUUUGGCUAUGCCUUGGUUUUGGAUUGUACUUUUGGAUUUGAAAUGUAACUUUUGGGGCGUGAUGUAUAUUUGGGAUUUAAGAUGUACUUUGAACACCCGAUAUGCGGGUUGGAUAAUGGAUGACGAUUGUUAUGCUUGAACGCUUCCGCAUUUACUGUAUUUAAGUUAUUUACUUGUGUUGUGUAGACUGGUAAUAAGCUUGAAUGGAAUUGCAUGAGUCCUGGUGAGAGUUGGGCAAGCGUCCCGCGGAUACCCUUUGGUUCGCCUUAGGGAGAAGUGGGGGCGUCACAAAUUUAGACUUUGUCGUGAUGUUGUUGGUAUUGGCAGUGAUAAGAAAAUCAUGUCAAAUAAUUGUAUUGUGCAGAGAUCAGAGAAAAAGACCUACCCAAUUAUUGAUUGUGAUUGUUCCCACAAUGAAGUUUGAUCAAGGCUGAAGUCAGGGAAGCCAAGAAAUUCAAGUUGGGAAGAAAAAAUAUUUGUGAAGGUAUGUAAAUCAUUUUGAGUUGCCAUGCAUAGAGAUUUUCUCAAUGAUGGAAAAUGUAAAAUUUUGCACACAUUGAGUAUGUAUGAAGAAAAUUUUGAAUGGUUAAGAGUAAUGCAAAAAUAUCUUAAAAAGUGUGGUUUGGGUGAAUUUCUUGAAAUAAGUUUAUGCUCUAGUUCUUCAAAAGAAACUAAGAAAAGGAAGGCCAAAUUGUUUUUCAAUAUAAUGUGAAAAUCAAUGGUUGAAGAGUUUUACAAGAGGCUUAUUGUUUACUCUCAAUCACUUCAGUAGUUUUGGUCAGAUUUCUUCUAUAUUUUGAUACAAUAUGAAUAUGAGUCUAAUCAUAAAUCAAAAAUUAGUUUCACUUGGAAAGUUAAUUUGAAAGAAGACGUGUUUAUUGAUGGUGGAGAAAGUACAUGUGAAAAUUUUAAUAUAGUUGAAGAUUUUGAUUUGCAUACAUUAUUUGAAGUGAUUGAUGAAGAGAAUUUGUCAAUGAAAGUUUUGACUUGAAUGAAGAUGUGCAUGAAAACAUCCAUAGAGUGGAUGGAUUUAUUGAAAAAUUUUGUGGUGAAAAUUGUUGGCAAAAAGAAAGACAUAAUUUAUUAGUUGAAAAAUGUGUGAAUUUUGGCUCUAAUCAUGAAUGGGUCAAUAAGGAGGAAUUUUUUUUUAUCAAAGAGAAUUAGUAGCAAAAUUGUAUGCAGAUAGUCCACUUUCAUGCAUAAAUAUGAAGAUGGGUACCAAUUAUAAAUUGAAGUUGCAUGUCAACCAUAUUGUUGCAUACAUUGGAGAUAAUAACAUCAAAAGUUUAGUUUAAGGAAGGCAAUAUUGGGAUAAUUAAGCCAAACUAUUUAAAAGUUUAGUAGUCUUAGAAUGGGAUUUAUUAUUUUGGUAACUAUAUUGGAAUCAGUAUCAAAGUUAAUUUUAGAAAAUAGAGUUGAGUUAUGUUUUGGCAUUGCAGUUAGAAUAGGUUUUGUAGUUUUGCUCCUAUAUUCUCCUUACUUCUUAUUUCUUGAUCAUCAUAAUUGCAAAGUUGAAAUAACCUCCUCGAUAUGAUUUUUUGUGCUAGAAUUAACACAUAUAUGUGUAGUAGUGGCAAUUGAACUUUAGAGCCAUGUUUUUCAAUUCAUUUUUAUUUUAUUUAUUUAUUUAUUAUUAUUAUUAUUAUUAUUAUUAUUAUUAUUAUUUUGCUGUUUGGGUAAGUAUGGUUUGCAAUCUUUUGUAGGGUUAAAGUUCAAUUACAUAAGAACUUGAUGUAUUGAAUUUGUAUUCAGGUAGAUCUUGGGAAUGCUUAUGUUAAACUAACUAGUUAUGGAUGUUUAUAUUUAUGGUUGAAAUUAAUUGCUAUAUUUAAUUGUAUUAGUUGCUUUGAUCUUUAGUACUUUUGUGGUUUUAUGGCUGUAUUAUAAGGCAGAUCAAUGUUAUAUUAUGGUUUCAGAGUUUGACGACAUCCCUCCCACACUCCAAACUACCCUACGAUACUACUUAGGGAUGGCAGUGGGUUAAUUACCUUAAAAAAUACAUCUUACCAAAUCCUAACCCUCUUAUUUAAGACUUUUACCAAACCCUAUCAGGUAACAGUACUAGUUUUCAUUCCUAUUAUCAAACCCUCUUGCUAGCGAGUUCAGAUUACCUAUUAGGUAUUCUUUACCCCCCUAUCUGAAUAGUUUAAGAAAAGAGAAUCAGCUUUUAUCAAACUAAAAUCAAUAUGCAUAUCAUGUUAAAUCAACAUAUUACUUUGAGUCUUAAAUUUGGAUAGAGCCAUAGAACCCGAGUGAGAAAAUCUAACAUUUUAUGAAGGGUUGAAUUAACAUUAUUUUAUUUUUAAUCACAAUUGUCUCUAUUUGAAACACUUGAUUAAAUUAUGUCUCUGGAUUUUAGCAAUUUCAGCAAAUGUCCGCAAAAAAAGAUUCAAACAACUGUUUGUGUGUGUGUGUAUGUGUAUUUAUAUACUCGAUUUAGGUGCAUAAUAUAUAACUCUUUAGCUCUUGCUCCUUCAGGCACAACCAAAGCCAACUAUGGAGUUUAUUAAAAUAUAAUUUUUAUUUUGUCAGCGAGUUUAUUUCCAUGUAAGUGUGUGUGUAUAUGUAUAUGUAUAUAGAGUAUUGGGUUUUUAAAAUUCUCUUAUCUAAUCCUUUCGGAUUUUCCAUCGAUAACCCUUCAGUAAUACCAAAUCCUAACGGAUUUAACCCCACAGUCAUCUAAUCGAAUUAACUAUCAGGUUGGGUAACUAGAAGUUUCGAGUUUUACCCUAACUAUUGGCAUUCGUAACGUUGUCUAUGAUUUUUUGUUUUUUAAUUUCCUUUAUUAUGUAACACUGAUAACAACUUUACUAAUUAUUCUUUUUGAAUUAUUAGACAAAAAUGUACAGUGAAAUCAAGUUUAAAAAUACUUUGAUCUUUUGAAUUUGUUUCUCCAUUUCUGAUUCCAUAUUCAACCUAAACCUAUAGGUAUUACUUGUUCAUAAACAACAUGCAAUGUAGUACAUAAAACAUAAAAAUCAAGUAAAUUAAUGUUCCAAUUUCAUACUUUUAUUACAACCAAUUAAAUUUAUGUCAUGUCAUACAAUAUUUAUAUUUACAUUUAAAUAGGCUAGGAUGAGGGACUAGAUUGAGGCAUUAUCCGCCGUUCUCUUGGCCCUAUCUAAAGUGGCAGAGAAAAACUUCUUUGCUUUCGCCUAAGAAAUCUAUAUCAAUAUGUAUUAGAGGCAGCUUUUUCAUGAGAAGCCUCCACAAGUCUCAAAAAUCUAAAUCUCUUUUUCCUACAAUUUAGAUUUAUUGUAAUUUAGUAAUCCUUAUCCCUUCUCACUUUCCAAUUUACGUGACCCACUCAUCAAUAAAAUCACAACUCUAAAAUUUAACUAUUCAAAUCCCUUUUUCCUGCAAUUUCAAAUUUAUUUUAAUUUAGUAAUCCAACCUUAAGCUAACCAAAACCAACCUUCUGCUAAGCUACAGAAUGUUAAGCUGGCCAUUAAGUGUUGGUCCAAGGAGUCAUUUGCGGACAUCUUAAAGGCUAUUAGGUAUGCUGAGAGGUUGGUUUUGGAGGUUGAAAUUUCAUAUGACAAUGAUCCUACAGAACAGUCUCUGUUGAGCUUGCAGUCAGCCCACUCAAAGCUCCGACAUACAUUCACAUUGGAAGAAGGUUUUUGGAAGUAGAAGGCAAGCGUGAAGUGGUUUAGGGAUGGUGACAGGAAUUCGAAGCACUUCCAUACAGUGGUGGCCUAGAAGAGAUGCAAGGCUAUUAUUCAUCACAUUUGAAAAGUCGAUGGCAAUUGGGCAGAGUCGAAACCACAGAUCUGUAAUGAAGCGGUUUCCUUCUUUGAAGAGUUAUUCACGGCAGAGCCUUGUCUGCUUUCGUGGGACUUGUUGAAUGUUAUUCCAAAACUUGUGACUAAACAAGAUAACUCAAGGUUGACGGAGAUCCUAUCGUUAAAAGAAUUAAAAGUUGUUGUCUUUUCCAUGGAUGAGGAGAGUGCGGCGGGUCUCGAUGGUUUCACAAGAAAAUUUUUUACUUUUGCAUGGGAAGUGGUAGCCGAGGAUGUGCUUCGAGCAAUAUCUAGUUUUUUCUGUGGGACGGAGUUGCCGAAAAGUAUUACCGCGAUGUCAAUUGUCUUGAUCCCAAAAGUGCAAUACCCUCAAGAUUUUACACAAUAUCGCCCUAUUAGCUUGUGCAAUUUCAUUAAUAAAGUCAUCAUUUGGCUAUGAUUCUUCCUCGUAUUAUUUCUCUGCAACAGAGUGGUUUUGUUAAGGGAAGGUAGAUUUCUGAUAAUUUCCUACUGGCCCAGGAGUUGCUAACUAGUAUAAAGAAUGCCAAUCAGCGAGGCAAUGUGGUGGUGGAAUUGGAUAUCAUAAAGGUGUAUGACAGAGUGUCGUGGUGUUUUUUUACUUCCAGUCCUGCAUCGUUUUGGGUUUAAUGAGGUUUGAAUUGAUAUGAUUUAAUGGUUAAUUUCUAAUGUGUGGUUCUCAGUGCUUAUAAAUGGUUCACCGCAAGGGUUUUUUAAAUCCACACGGGGGUUGAGACAAGAGGAUCCAAUUUCACCAACUUAUCUAGAUCUUUGAAUGGGGUGGUCAUGCAGAGGCAUUUUAAUCCCUUUAAAGUACCUGAUGGUUGUCUAGCUAUUACACAUUUAGCCUAUGCAAAUGAUGUGAUCAUCUUUUAUAGUGGCUUGAAGUCGUCUCUACAAAUAGUGAUGAGUGUCUUGAGGGAUUAUUGUGCAGUUUCGGGUCAGAAGGUUAAUCACCAAAAGAGCUGCUAUCUGGUGAGCCCUAGUUCACCCCUUCCACAGAAAAUUUUGAUAUUACAGGUGACUGGGUUUCAACAAAAGUCCUUUCCAAUUAAAUACUUUGGGUGCCCAUUAUAUAUUGGCAGAAUGAAAAAGGUAUACUUUGCAGAAAUUUGCAGUGCCGUGGCCAGUAGGAUUUUAUCGUGGUCGCUCGGGGGUAGAAUUGUUCUAAUUAAAAGCACAUUUUCUUCAAUUUCGAUCCACAUAUUAGUAGCUGCCUCAGCUCCUCUGGGGGUACUACGGGAGCUAGAAAACUUAAUUGUAGCAUUGUUAUGGGGACGUCGGAAUUUGGUGCCAAGUUUUAUUGGAUGAAAUGGCUUGACCUUUGUAGGCCUUGCAAUGAGAGGGGAUUAGGUUUUCAGAGCCUUAAGGAUGUUGUCAAUGCCUUUUUGUUGAAGCUUUGGCGGAUAUUUAGGAGAAAACGCUCUCUUUGGGUAGAGUUCAUGUCUUUAAAAUAUUGUGGAGGGAUGCAUCCUUGCCUAGCAGAGGAGGGCUCGGUAUGUUCUUAUACUUGGCGAAGGAUGCGGUCAGUGCAGAAUCUAGCGGAGGAAUACAUUGGCUGGAUUAUUCACGAGGGUUUGAUUAUUGACUUUUGGCAUGAUAAUUGGAUGGGCUCAGGAGCAUUGUGCCAGCUGGUGGAGAUUUUUCAUGAACAUAGUGUGGCUAAUUUUGUAGAGGAGAGUGAGUGGAAUAGCCGAAUGCUAUGUCAGUUUUUGGAACCAGAGGUUGUUGUGCAAGUAAUUGGCAUUGUGCCACCUGCUAUACAUGGGGACGAUAGGAUGGUGUGGACAUUGAUUCUUAGUGGUGAGUUUUUGGUCUCCUUUGCUUACUCCAUUGUUAGGCAGGCCUUGAAUUCUUCUUGGUUGGCUGCAAGUACGUGGCAUAAGGCCCUCCCGAUCAAGAUAUCCUUUUUCAUGCUUAGAUUACUACUUUGUAAGUUUCCGUUUGCGGAACAGUUGAGAAAUUUUGGAGUUCAGGGACCCUCUAGGUGUGUUUGUUACCAAGAGUCUCAAGAAGAGUAUUUGAAUCAUGUAUCCUGCACAGGUGAAGUUGCACGGCAAGUGUUGAAGGCUUUUGAGGUUCAGGCUAGAGAAUUAUCCUCAAUUAGCACUAUUCGACAUAUGGUGCUAUUUUGGUGGAUUUGACCCUCAAAAAAUUCAUACUUAGCAUUUGUUUAUCGAGUUCUCCCUUUGCUGAUUUGUUGGGAGUUGUGGAGGGCAAGGAAUGGUGUGGUCUUUGAAGGGCGAAGUUUGGGAUGGAAUAGGAUUGCUGGUUGGAUUCUCACCCAUGUGCAAGAGCUUUUUCAGGAGCAUUUUCCAGCAUUGUCGUGCUCUUCUAUCUCUUGGGAGGGCUUUCAUUGUUUUUUGGCUGGUCAGCCAAGGGUUAUCUUGAUAAGACCGGUCAAGUGGAUUGCUUCCAUAGUGGGGUACUAGUUGAAUACCGAUGGCUGCUCUAGAGGGAACCUGGGGAUGAGUGGAGGAGGGGGAUUGGUAUGUGAUUGUAAUGGGCAUUUCAUGUUUGGAUAUUCUUGCUUCUUUGGCUCAUUGACAAGCUUACAUCUAGAACUCAAGGCGAUGGUGUUUAGAGUCCAACAGUGUCUCUCUCAGGGCUUCUUGGAUUUGCAUAUUGAGUCGGAUUCUCUUGUUCUAGUUCAGAUGAUUUAGGGUACUUGCACUUGCCCAUGGUGGCUGCAGAGGGAAUUGCAGGAGCUUCUUCGAUUUUGAAAUCAUUUUCAAGGUAUCUCUCAUUGCUUUAGGGAGGUGAAUAGGCUAGCUGAUAGGUUAGCAAAUCAUGGUGUUGCGUCGCAGUAGGAAUGUUUAUUUCAUAGCUUUGCCGAGCUGCUAGGUUUGGUUCGAGGUGAAGUUCGACUUGAUCUAUUGGGACUCCCAAGCUUUCGGAGGAUAGUUCGCUAGGUUUCUCUUGUUUCUUGAAUUUGAAUGUAUUUGAGAUGGGCCUGAAUAGAUAAAUUGGGGCUGGCAUCCCACCCAUGUGUACGAGGUUUGCCGUUAAAAAAAAUUAAUUCAGUAAUCCUUAUUCCUUCUGACUUUUCAAUAUACAUGACCCAUUAACCUACAAAAUCACAAUCCCAAAAUCACAUCUGACAAUUACCACGACUGAUAAUAACUAACUGAUCAUUUAAGGAACUACUACUAAGCAAAAAUCACAUACCCAAAAUUUUAGAAGUCCAUUUGAAUUACAAUUCCCACAUUUCUACAUAUCUUACUCUCAUAAUCAUUCACAAAGCUGAUGACCCCUAAAUCAUUUUAUUUUCAUUUGUCGUCCACACAAACCAAAUACAGUGACAAAAAAAAUAAGAAUAUGUAUCAUACUCUCACCAUGGACGAAUCCCACCUACAAGCAUUUCAACAGCAUCUCAAUUUCAAACUUGCAAGAUUUCAAAGGUAAAAAUAAUUGAUCAUAAAAUGGAGUCUAUGUGAGGACUCGAAAAUUUUCUUAUUUUUAUAGAAUAUACUGGAAUAUUUAAAUGAUUAUUCACUCAUUUUCUCCGAAUUAUUUAUUUCGACCAUUUUAAAUCCAUUUAUAUGGAACGACGCCUCUUUAUAUGUUUAAAGCGUUUUGUUGAAAAAUUAGCUUUUCGAAAGUUUGUUUAGUCCGGAACGACGGGUGCACGUUUUUCUAGGCUAUACUUGAAUCGGGAGUGUAUUAAUAUUGGAGAAUUAAGAACGAUCAAUAAUAGAUUAAGAAAGGUUAAUUGAAGAAUUAAUACUCAAUUCACGUGAGGACUCGUAAAAUUAUUAUUUUUUAAACCCCUAAUUUUGGCUCAAUUAAUUAUCUAUUUGGAUUUUUGCCCCGAAUAUUAUUUUCUAUCCUUAUUAGACCUAAAUAUAUGGAAUUAUAGCUUCAUUAUAUUUUUAAAGUGACUUGUUUCAAAAAUUAAUUUUUUGGAAACUCGUUUAGUGAAAAUAGUAAAUACGCGACUGGAAUAAAUAAUCGAUUCGAGAAUACAAUUAGCUUGGAAAAAUUGGAGACUUGUGCAUUAAUCUCAAAAUAGGUAUUUUUAUAUUUAAGUGUUCAAAGGUUAGUUAGUUAUAUUGCCGUUAUAGGAAUUUCUUAGAAAUUUCAUUAUCUCGCGCUUAAAUUGGAAAUACGCGUUUUACGCACGCGAGUAAUUGAGGAACCUUAGGCCAUUAUUUUGGGACUAUUAAGAAUGAAUAAUAAUAAUAUGAAUGCAAGUGUAUUAGAGGUUUAGUGCACUAGUGAAAUAAACUCGCGAGGAAUCGAACCGAAACGCACGUGGAUGUGCACUAAGUUAGUGGACAGCUUAAGUGCAAUUGAGCCACACGUAUAAGCUUACCAUUAGAAGCUCAUAUCAUCUGCAUUUCAUUCCUCUCCUACGCACAAACAGCCGAGCAGCCAAGGGAAAGCUAAACCAGAAAAUUCCUCCACCCUCUCUCCUCAAUUCCUUGCUCAAUUUCCUCCAAAUUUCACAUGCAACUCUCAAAUCAUUUGGUGAUCAAGAUCAGCUAGGAAUAGAGCUAACUCACACGGUUUUUCUCCAGCUCAAAGUGACAAAAAAUCUCUGUCUUGGCUCUCUAAGAAAGUAAGUAAUGAUCCACUACUUAAUUCUUGGUUUAUGGAAGCUAAAUUACACUCACGAGCUCUUGAAUUCUCAUGGGCAGCAUUAAAUUGUUAAGAAAUUGGUGAGUGGGCUCUAUGAAAUCCCACAAUGACUUGGAUGAUCUGAUUAGCUAGGAUUGGAUGCUGAUUGUGUUGAUUAAGUGCUAAUUUAGUAGAGUUAAGUGGCAAAAAUGAAAAGGAAAUCAAAUGAGGAGCUGCAUGUGAUGUUGCCGAUUCUGCCCUGCUAAUUUCAUGCAUUUUAGUGUAUUUUAUUGAAUUCCAAUUGACUUGAUUCUGAUGAAAACAUGAAAUAUAGGUUAUGUUUAAAGUUUCCUCAAAAUUUUACGUGAUUUGGGUGAGUGCAUGUUGAGUUUUAGAAUCUGCCAAAACUGGGAAAUGAUUCCCGUCACUACUAGACAGCCAGUUUGUUUCGGCUAUAAUUUAUCGCUCCGAUAUCGGAAUCGAGUGCCGUUUGUGGCACUGGAAACUAGACAUUCCCAGCUUUCAUUUGGUAUAAAAUUCAACCCCUGAUUCCACCCGAGUACCCCGUACCAACCGUUUAAAAAUGACAGUCCUGUUUCUCUGUUUUCCUGGAAUGAAGUUCAGAAGUUACAACUUGAGGCUCGAAUUUGAGCUAGUUAUGUGCUGAAUUUCAGAAUGAUUUCUUCUGUGAAAUUAUAGCUUUAUAAAUGUAUUUUCCAAAGCCACCAACCAUGCUCAAUUCCGAGUUGAAUUGAAUGAUUUAUGAUCAAAAUACGAAACCUGCUCUGUCUUUGAAAACCGUUAAUCUUGGGCAGAAUUAAUGUUAGACUUGGUAUGGACUUGCCAAUUGAGUUUUUGGAGUUAAAACACCUACCAAAUGUACCAUGAAUGUUCCUUAGGCUUUUCCUAUACAAAUGAAUCAUGUUUUGAAGGAUUUUUCCUUGGCCAAAUGGUUGGAAUGGAAAACAAAAAGCUCAAGACAGUUUUGCCUUAGGAUUUUCGAAACUUUGGUUGUUUGGUUGACCACCAUUCCGAAGUUAUUUCUCCAUGAAAUUUAGACAACCCUUAUAUGGUAGUAUUAUACUGCUAAUUAUGGUGUUAUUCCGAGGCCGUUUCAUGGCUCAAAUAAAUUACCAAAGUUCAUGACUUGAGUUUGAAAAACCUAUGUUUCACAAGGAAAUUUUGGUAACUUCGAGUUGCCAUAUCUUAGUACUCAAAACUCCGUUUCUCAUUCCGCUUGUUUUGCUGUAAAUUUGGAUUGCGACUCUAAAAGAGUUCCAAAUUUCAAAAGCUAGUUCCAAUCAAGUGAAUUUUGCCGAAUUUUCAAAGUUGGCCAAAAACCAACCUAAAUCUGCCUUAGGAACCAAAACAGAGACUUUGAGCUUGUUUUUGAAUGUUUUUCAUUUGGAAUCUUAGAAAAGUGUAUUCUAGGAACUUUUAGUACCUUGGAAGAGGUUUCCAACGGUACCAAGUUUUCCAAUUUUUGACUUGUAAAACGUGAGAUACGAUUUUCCUAAUGUAUCAUAUCAAAACUGAAAUUUUCCGAAUUUCAAGGAAAUGGAGUUUUCAAGUACUCCUUAUUCCUUCGAUAUUACCUGAAUGAUUUACACUCGAUUUCCAAGAUGAAACUAAAUUUCUCUUGUAUUUUGAAACCCCACUAGAGAGUCUCGAUUUAGGAUAAUUUAGGCUCGUUUCACUAGACUUUCUAAGAUUGUACUAUGGUACGAUCUUCUUUAAUAGUAGGGGUUUGUGAAUGAUAGUCCAUUAUUAUUUGCUCAGGCGCACACGAGAACCUUCAAGAGGAUCCUACAGUGAACGCCUAAAGCUCCGAGGGAUAUUUCUUCCUCAUUACUUGUAUUGGUGAGUGCCAAGUGCAUGUUCACUUGCACUUCGCUUGAGAUUUGUUGCCUACAUGAACUCUACUUGAACCUAUUGUUACUUGAACUGUACUUGUUGGGAAAAGCGUGUACUUUACAGCACUUUAUCUCCUUUACCUGGAUCAAUACAUGACCUGCUACAUGAAUUACAUGAAAUUGAUGGAUUUUACAUGUACAUGACCUAAAGUCGAGUGCAGAGAAAUCUCAUCGACUAAAACUUGAUUUGUUUCUGAAAACCUGACUUGUGGGGACGCCUAAAACCCAAUGGUUAUACCUCGUAAUCUCGCAGCCAAUCGUGAGGUCUUGAUCGGGAGAACUUGGUAAAUCUUGGGACCUGAAGCUUGAUCUUUUGAGAUCUUGCUAGGCAUACUGGUAUAGUAUCGCCUUUACAUGCCUGUUGGUUACGGAUCCGAGGGGGUGAAAUGAUGGAUGGAGGGAAGUAAGUGGAGAACUACGGAUUGGAAAUACCAACCCGGUUGACGGAGAGUCAUCGCGGGAAGGUAUACGAAUAACCCUGGCAAUGCAAGUGGAACUUAGCUCCUGAGAGCUACCAUAUCCUUGAAUUGUUUCUGUUUACAUUUCAUUUGAUUUGGCAAUUACUUGUACUUUAUUAUUUGACCUGUUAAUUAGGCUUGUUGUUUGGACUAUGUGAUUGCAUGUGUGUUCUUGGCCUCACGAGCGUUUUGCUCACCCCGUAGAUUUGUUUUCCUUAACAGGAUUUGGCAUGGAAUGGUACUUGGAGGAACUCUUUUGAUAUACUUCUGGCUUAGGGUUUUAAUAUAUUUUGGGUUAGACCUCUUAUUGGUUGUACUUCGGAAACCUACUAUAUGGUUUGAAUAUUUGAUGUACCCGGUUGUAGUAUAUUUUGGGUAUUGAUGUACUUUUUGAAAAUUUAAUGUAAUGAUUGGAUAAGCGUUAUGUAUAUUGUUAAGUUUGGAAGUUUUCCGCACUUUCUUACUUAUCUAGUGUUAUUGAAUGAUUUUGCUUUAAGCUCGAAUGGAUACUGCUUGAGUCCUGGCGAGAGCUGGGCAGACGUCCCGCAGAUACCCUCUGGUUCGCCUUAGGGGGAAGUGGGGGCAUCACAGUUGGUAUCAGAGCAUAGGCUCUAGAUCUUGUAGUGUAUCCUAGGCUUAAAGUUUAGGAUGCCUGAUUGUGGGAUUAAUUUGAAUAUUAUGUGAACUAGAGGAUCUAUUGUAUCCUACGGGUUAAAGAAAUUGGUUACUUGAGGGUUUCUUACUUGGGACUUGUAGAAACAAAAAUUGAGGAAUUAGGUGAUGUUAUAUUGAAGGAAAAUACGGGAUGAGAGAUUAGUAGUGAAAGAUUGGACGAAUUUGAAUUAUUAUUAUACUUGUAAGUGUGGAAAGAAGGUGAGGCAAUUAUUAGUGCUGGCUAAAGAGGAUAAGAGACCGAGAUUUGAUGGUCAAACUCUAUGUAUCGUGAUUGUGAACCCAGAUAAAAGAGUUUCAAAGGAAUAAAAUGCAUUUUCUUGCUCAUUUACCUCCUAGAGAAUUUAUGCUUUGAAAUUCUAAAGGAAAAAUGGGGAUGUACUAGUUUUAUUUUCAAACGAUGAUUGGAAAUAAUAUAUAUAUGCUUUAAGUAUGUGUAAUUCUUCGAUUUUGGUAAAUAUGUGAAUUUUACUUGAAUUUCAAUUUAAAAAUUUGUGAAUAACUGAUGAGUUUGUUGAAAUUUUGUAUGUGAUGGGCUGAUACAAGGUUAAAAUUUUCUAAACUAGAUUUUCCCCCUUGAUUGUAUACUGGUGUAUUCUCACACUUGAAUUCGUCUAUGCUUUACAAAAAAAAUAAUAAUAAUAAUAAUAAAAAUAUCUUGAGUUUUCGGAAGAACGGCGAACUUAUGUUUUUAUAAUGAAAAUCUUGAACUUGAUAAGAUUUUUGUUACUUUAAAUACUCUUCUUAUGUUUUAAAAUUCUUGGUUUUCAAGAAGGGUGAGCCUAUCUUUAGGUGUAUGAAUUGAGGGAACUUUGAGAUAUAGAGUAACCGCAUUCAAGAACACGCAGUUAGUGUGAAUUGACUUGGUUUCCAUUUGACACGUAAGUUAGCAAGUUGUACUUAUUUCUUGGGUUUGAACUUGGAGCUUGAGGCUUUAACUAUAAAACCCUAAGACUGGUUAUUCUUGGAGAUGAUGGUGCUCUGGUUGGUGGUUUGCUUAUUAAAGAUUUUGAAUUUCGAAUGGAUAACCUUUGGUUUCCGCUUGUGUUAUGGUUUGAUUGGAUCUAAUUUCGUAAAGGCAUGUGAUCUGAUUGGAAUUAGUGAUAUUCGGACCCUUUGGUUUAAUUAAGGACUUAGGAAGGGUGGUGCACGCCGUGAGACCUUUUGUAUUCCGCUUGCAUAUACUUCUACAUUUUGUGACCCUUAAUUGCCUAUAUACAGUAUUUGAUAUAUUGGGCUUGUUUUGUGACUUCUUAACUCGUACUAUAACCUCCGAUACAUGUAAAGAAUCAUGUCUUGAUUCUAAAUAUUUUUGCAACUUGUAUAUGCAUUAAGUUCUUUUAUGAUUAAUUAUUCCUUUUCUUGCGCUUAUAGACUCCUAUUAAGUAUGGUAGCAGGAAUAGGAAAAAGGGGUCGUGGCCGAGGGCUUAGACAACCUUGUACUCGUGAGAAAAAUUGAUGGAUAGUCUUAUAUAAUUUAAUGAGAUCCUAGUACUGAAUAUGAAUCGAGAAUAAACCAGAAGAUUAGAUCUACCAGUGUAUAAUGGAUUAACCUAGUUAGGAACUUAGUGAGAUUUUCCUGUAUGAAAUUUUAAUAGCUGCUUUAUACGUAUAUUAUGAUUGGUCCUGUGGCCAUGUUUCAACUUUUGUGAAAGUCUGAACUCCAAAAGUAUUUCAUGGGUUUGGUGAGAUGACUUGAACUCAUUACCAAUUUGUUCUACUUGAACAAAAGCGCUUUCAAUUUUACUUGACUAAUACUAUACCCAGAUUCACUUGUUUUACUUUUCACAAAAUUUAUAUAUAUAUGUAUACACAUUUUGAACUCGUUUGAGACUCAAAAUCAGAUAGAGUUCAAGUUCGAAUCUUUUUUAGGAACAUGAAUGCCUAUUUGUUAUGAAUCAGAUAUUAGAAAUGAUCGGGUUUUAUGUACCAGUAGAGUUAACUCUUGGUUGGAUAAAAGGGCGGUAAAGGUAUUGGAUCAUAGGUUAUGCGAAUAUGAACCUACAUGUUUACCUAUCUUUCUUAAAGGUAUUUUCUAAAAUAUACGCCUUACUCGAACAUAGAUUUAACUCGAAACUUUGAGGAAAAGUGUUGGAACACCCUCCAUGUAUAUGUUAUGAUUAUUAUGUAUAUGUUUUAAAAAUCAUGCAUUAAGUUGCAUGAUUAAUAUUCUUAAAUCUAUUUGAGAGAUUUUAAAUAUGUAUUGAUGAUUGUGGUUAAACAUUAUUUGAAAUCUCUUACUAAGAAAAUUUAGUUUUGGGUCGUGAAGAAAAUUUGUAUCUUUAACUCUAAUUUUGAAAAUUUUGAAUCACAUUUUACCACAGAUACAUUCAAAAUACAUCAAAAGUCUUGACCUUAUCUUGUAAGUCAUGAUUGGUUUGAUUUAGACAAAAUUUUGAGGAAAGGGAUUUUGGUCCUGCUAGUGCGUAACAGUUUUUUUUUGUUAGGGUUUGGAACUUGUUUCAUAUGGCGUGUAAUUUAUGGUUUCACUACACACGUGAGUAAGACCUUAGAAUGGAAGUACAUAUCAUUAUAUCAAGAGGUAUUACUUUAGUCGUGUAUGUGAAUUUUCUUAAGUAUCAUUCGAGGAGAGGGAAGAGUAAAUAUACCUGGAUGACUUAGAUGCGUGAGAAUUUACAGGUUGUGGAUAGUUGAGCUUCAAAUUCUGAUUUGCUACUUAUUUAGAUGCUUGAGCUGUUGAUAGGCUAACAGUCAGGAUUAAGAAAAUGGAUGAAUGAAAAGUUUGGAAGAGAUGCGUAUAGAAAUAGAAGUUCUUCACAAGAAGUUGGAAUUCCAAACUAAAUUGGCUGAAUUCUGGGAAGAAAAAAAAAAAAAAGUCGAGAGCUUAGGAUUGAAGAUGGGAUCCAAUGUUUGAUCGCCAAUUUGAGAUAUUAAAAGUUGUGAGAUUUGGGUGAGUGAAAGGAAAUAUUUGAUGGCUUGAAUGAGCCUAACGAUUAAGGACCGGAUGUUAUAUUUGGAAUGGACGCUUGAGGCUAUAUAUACAUAGAUUAUUGAGAUUUGAACGAUGAGACUAUUAAGAACAAAUACUCCAUAGCCUCACAUAAACGAGAAUUAUAAUUAAGGGUCAGGAGCAGCGAAUAAGGGAUUUAAAGUAGAGUUACUACCAACCGGGAAUCCUAGAAACUGAUGUGCUUAAAACCACUUUCAAUUCAAGAUGGGGAUGCUUGAAUUUUCAGUUAUGCCAAUUGGGUUGACUAGUGUAUUAGUAGCAAUUAUUGUAUUAAUGCAUUAAGGUUUUAAAUCGUCAUAGAAUUAAUCUGUGAUGGCAUUUAUUGAUGAUGUAUUGAUAUACCCUAAAGUUUGAGAAGAUCAUGAAAAAAUACCUGAUGGUAGUUUUACAAACCCCGAGAGAACGCUAACUUUUGUUAAGUUCAAUAAAUGUGAAUUCGAUGGGAAGAAAUAGCCUUUCUAAGUUAUAUAAUAUCUAAGGAAGAAAUUGUUGUUAACUCAGUUUAAGUGGAAGCUGUUUAAGAGGAAAUAACUAGAAAAUCCUACCGAAAUUUGGAGUUCUUAGAGGUAGUCGAAUAUUACCUUGGUUUGAUCAGGGACUUCUAAGGAUACGAGACUUGGCAAGUUAUUUGAGAUUCUAAAUGUGAGGAAGAAUUUGAAGGUGAAAAUCGUUUAAUCAGUGCACUUGAGUUGGCUUUACCGAGCGGAUGAGGUGAUUUUGUGAUUUAUACAGAUAGUUCAAAGGAUGGUUUAGAAUGUAUAUUAAUAAUAUAUGAUGAGGUGAUUGUAUAUGCCUUCUGAAAGUUAAAAUCUCCCGGAAGAAAGUAAUCAACUCAUGAUUUGGAGUGAGUUGGAAAACGUAAGUCAAUGAUUGAUCCGAUAGGCUUAACCAUGUAGGGAAUGAUAUUGUUCUAAGCAUGAAUUUCGAGGACGAAAUUCCUUUCAAGGAGGGGAGGAUGUGAGGACUCGAAAAUUUUCUUAUUUUUAUAGAAUAUACUGGAAUAUUUAAAUGAUUAUUCACUCAUUUUCUCCGAAUUAUUUAUUUCGACCAUUUUAAAUCCAUUUAUAUGGAACGACGCCUCUUUAUAUGUUUAAAGCGUUUUGUUGAAAAAUUAGCUUUUCGAAAGUUUGUUUAGUCCGGAACGACGGGUGCACGUUUUUCUAGGCUAUACUUGAAUCGGGAGUGUAUUAAUAUUGGAGAAUUAAGAACGAUCAAUAAUAGAUUAAAAAAGGUUAAUUGAAGAAUUAAUACUCAAUUCACGUGAGGACUCGUAAAAUUAUUAUUUUUUAAACCCCUAAUUUUGGCUCAAUUAAUUAUCUAUUUGGAUUUUUGCCCCGAAUAUUAUUUUCUAUCCUUAUUAGACCUAAAUAUAUGGAAUUAUAGCUUCAUUAUAUUUUUAAAGUGACUUGUUUCAAAAAUUAAUUUUUUGGAAACUCGUUUAGUGAAAAUAGUAAAUACGCGACUGGAAUAAAUAAUCGAUUCGAGAAUACAAUUAGCUUGGAAAAAUUGGAGACUUGUGCAUUAAUCUCAAAAUAGGUAUUUUUAUAUUUAAGUGUUCAAAGGUUAGUUAGUUAUAUUGCCGUUAUAGGAAUUUCUUAGAAAUUUCAUUAUCUCGCGCUUAAAUUGGAAAUACGCGUUUUACGCACGCGAGUAAUUGAGGAACCUUAGGCCAUUAUUUUGGGACUAUUAAGAAUGAAUAAUAAUAAUAUGAAUGCAAGUGUAUUAGAGGUUUAGUGCACUAGUGAAAUAAACUCGCGAGGAAUCGAGCCGAAACGCACGUGGAUGUGCACUAAGUUAGUGGACAGCUUAAGUGCAAUUGAGCCACACGUAUAAGCUUACCAUUAGAAGCUCAUAUCAUCUGCAUUUCAUUCCUCUCCUACGCACAAACAGCCGAGCAGCCAAGGGAAAGCUAAACCAGAAAAUUCCUCCACCCUCUCUCCUCAAUUCCUUGCUCAAUUUCCUCCAAAUUUCACAUGCAACUCUCAAAUCAUUUGGUGAUCAAGAUCAGCUAGGAAUAGAGCUAACUCACACGGUUUUUCUCCAGCUCAAAGUGACAAAAAAUCUCUGUCUUGGCUCUCUAAGAAAGUAAGUAAUGAUCCACUACUUAAUUCUUGGUUUAUGGAAGCUAAAUUACACUCACGAGCUCUUGAAUUCUCAUGGGCAGCAUUAAAUUGUUGAGAAAUUGGUGAGUGGGCUCUAUGAAAUCCCACAAUGACUUGGAUGAUCUGAUUAGCUAGGAUUGGAUGCUGAUUGUGUUGAUUAAGUGCUAAUUUAGUAGAGUUAAGUGGCAAAAAUGAAAAGGAAAUCAAAUGAGGAGCUGCAUGUGAUGUUGCCGAUUCUGCCCUGCUAAUUUCAUGCAUUUUAGUGUAUUUUAUUGAAUUCCAAUUGACUUGAUUCUGAUGAAAACAUGAAAUAUAGGUUAUGUUUAAAGUUUUCUCAAAAUUUUACGUGAUUUGGGUGAGUGCAUGUUGAGUUUUAGAAUCUGCCAAAACUGGGAAAUGAUUCCCGUCACUACUAGACAGCCAGUUUGUUUCGGCUAUAAUUUAUCGCUCCGAUAUCGGAAUCGAGUGCCGUUUGCGGCACUGGAAACUAGACAUUCCCAGCUUUCAUUUGGUAUAAAAUUCAACCCCUGAUUCCACCCGAGUACCCCGUACCAACCGUUUAAAAAUGACAGUCCUGUUUCUCUGUUUUCCUGGAAUGAAGUUCAGAAGUUACAACUUGAGGCUCGAAUUUGAGCUAGUUAUGUGCUGAAUUUCAGAAUGAUUUCUUCUGUGAAAUUAUAGCUUUAUAAAUGUAUUUUCCAAAGCCACCAACCAUGCUCAAUUCCGAGUUGAAUUGAAUGAUUUAUGAUCAAAAUACGAAACCUGCUCUGUCUUUGAAAACCGUUAAUCUUGGGCAGAAUUAAUGUUAGACUUGGUAUGGACUUGCCAAUUGAGUUUUUGGAGUUAAAACACCUACCAAAUGUACCAUGAAUGUUCCUUAGGCUUUUCCUAUACAAAUGAAUCAUGUUUUGAAGGAUUUUUCCUUGGCCAAAUGGUUGGAAUGGAAAACAAAAAGCUCAAGACAGUUUUGCCUUAGGAUUUUCGAAACUUUGGUUGUUUGGUUGACCACCAUUCCGAAGUUAUUUCUCCAUGAAAUUUAGACAACCCUUAUAUGGUAGUAUUAUACUGCUAAUUAUGGUGUUAUUCCGAGGCCGUUUCAUGGCUCAAAUAAAUUACCAAAGUUCAUGACUUGAGUUUGAAAAACCUAUGUUUCACAAGGAAAUUUUGGUAACUUCGAGUUGCCAUAUCUUAGUACUCAAAACUCCGUUUCUCAUUCCGCUUGUUUUGCUGUAAAUUUGGAUUGCGACUCUAAAAGAGUUCCAAAUUUCAAAAGCUAGUUCCAAUCAAGUGAAUUUUGCCGAAUUUUCAAAGUUGGCCAAAAACCAACCUAAAUCUGCCUUAGGAACCAAAACAGAGACUUUGAGCUUGUUUUUGAAUGUUUUUCAUUUGGAAUCUUAGAAAAGUGUAUUCUAGGAACUUUUAGUACCUUGGAAGAGGUUUCCAACGGUACCAAGUUUUCCAAUUUUUGACUUGUAAAACGUGAGAUACGAUUUUCCUAAUGUAUCAUAUCAAAACUGAAAUUUUCCGAAUUUCAAGGAAAUGGAGUUUUCAAGUACUCCUUAUUCCUUCGAUAUUACCUGAAUGAUUUACACUCGAUUUCCAAGAUGAAACUAAAUUUCUCUUGUAUUUUGAAACCCCACUAGAGAGUCUCGAUUUAGGAUAAUUUAGGCUCGUUUCACUAGACUUUCUAAGAUUGUACUAUGGUACGAUCUUCUUUAAUAGUAGGGGUUUGUGAAUGAUAGUCCAUUAUUAUUUGCUCAGGCGCACACGAGAACCUUCAAGAGGAUCCUACAGUGAACGCCUAAAGCUCCGAGGGAUAUUUCUUCCUCAUUGCUUGUAUUGGUGAGUGCCAAGUGCAUGUUCACUUGCACUUCGCUUGAGAUUUGUUGCCUACAUGAACUCUACUUGAACCUAUUGUUACUUGAACUGUACUUGUUGGGAAAAGCGUGUACUUUACAGCACUUUAUCUCCUUUACCUGGAUCAAUACAUGACCUGCUACAUGAAUUACAUGAAAUUGAUGGAUUUUACAUGUACAUGACCUAAAGUCGAGUGCAGAGAAAUCUCAUCGACUAAAACUUGAUUUGUUUCUGAAAACCUGACUUGUGGGGACGCCUAAAACCCAAUGGUUAUACCUCGUAAUCUCGCAGCCAAUCGUGAGGUCUUGAUCGGGAGAACUUGGUAAAUCUUGGGACCUGAAGCUUGAUCUUUUGAGAUCUUGCUAGGCAUACUGGUAUAGUAUCGCCUUUACAUGCCUGUUGGUUACGGAUCCGAGGGGGUGAAAUGAUGGAUGGAGGGAAGUAAGUGGAGAACUACGGAUUGGAAAUACCAACCCGGUUGACGGAGAGUCAUCGCGGGAAGGUAUACGAAUAACCCUGGCAAUGCAAGUGGAACUUAGCUCCUGAGAGCUACCAUAUCCUUGAAUUGUUUCUGUUUACAUUUCAUUUGAUUUGGCAAUUACUUGUACUUUAUUAUUUGACCUGUUAAUUAGGCUUGUUGUUUGGACUAUGUGAUUGCAUGUGUGUUCUUGGCCUCACGAGCGUUUUGCUCACCCCGUAGAUUUGUUUUCCUUAACAGGAUUUGGCAUGGAAUGGUACUUGGAGGAACUCUUUUGAUAUACUUCUGGCUUAGGGUUUUAAUAUAUUUUGGGUUAGACCUCUUAUUGGUUGUACUUCGGAAACCUACUAUAUGGUUUGAAUAUUUGAUGUACCCGGUUGUAGUAUAUUUUGGGUAUUGAUGUACUUUUUGAAAAUUUAAUGUAAUGAUUGGAUAAGCGUUAUGUAUAUUGUUAAGUUUGGAAGUUUUCCGCACUUUCUUACUUAUCUAGUGUUAUUGAAUGAUUUUGCUUUAAGCUCGAAUGGAUACUGCUUGAGUCCUGGCGAGAGUUGGGCAGACGUCCCGCAGAUACCCUCUGGUUCGCCUUUGGGAGAAGUGGGGGCGUCACAGUCUAUACCCCAGUGAUUUCACUAAAGUACUCCAAAAGGUUCAAUAAGUUCACUUCCAAGAAAGACAAAUCUCACAUGAAAGGAAAUAAAUUAAAUCGCAAAUACACCUAUUAAAAUGUCGAAGCCAUCAAAUUACCUGUCAUUUUUUUAUUUGUCAAAUAUGAUUGGCAUCUGUGUGCAAAUAUUUUGUAUUCAAUUUUUGGAGUCCUUUAAUUUAACUUAUUUAUUAUUCAUGAUAUGCAUACAUUUAUUUAUUUAUCAUGGAAUCUUAAAAUAUAGUUUAUUUUUAUUGAAUAAAUAUUUUAUGCAUACAUUUAUUUAUUUAUUUCUCAUGAUGUGUCAAAAUAUGUUUUUUCUUCUCUUGGAUACAUGUUUUUCUUUGACCCUUUUUUGUUUGUUGAACUUGCCUAAUUGGAGUGGACUAUAUAAAAGACUUAAAAAAAAUAGAUUGUUUUAACUCUUAUCACAUUUUACUUAGCGAGUUUAGUUUUUGGCAAAAUGAUCUCAAAAUUUUAAAAAUGUAUAUAUUAUAUUGUAAUUCACAAACAAUUCUAAUAGGUAUUUAAAAAUUUGGUCCUUUUUUGUUUGUUAAACUUGCCUGAUUGGACCAUAAAAAAAAAAAAAGGCUUAUAGUCAAUUUCAAAUGAAGUAGUAAAUAUCAAGUAUGAUGCUAACAAACUAGAUCUCUCUAUUUCUUCAUAACUCACAAAGAUGUUAGCAACAGUCACAUUUUCUUGACUUUUCUUCUUCAAAUUAUGGAAUACUCAAAUUUAUAGGUAUCCAACUAUUACACAUUUUUGGUUGAAUAAUAAUAGUACAAAAUACAUAAAAAAGAAUGUUCCUCUCAAAUACAGAAGUACUAAAAUUAAAUAACUUAAAAGACUUGUUAGAAAUACUCCAAAACAACCAUUUAGGCCGUCGUUAAUAGGUGUUCUAAUUUUGGCUAUAAAAUGAGAAUGAACACUUUUAUUGACAUUUCAUGGCAAAAACUAGGAUAUAACCAUCAUUGCAUUUAUUGACAGAGGAUAAUAAAAUCCUCUAAGUUGAACAAUGCCAUGCCAUGAUGACUUCUGUUUGUUAACUGAAUCAUGCAUAUUUGUUCAUAAAACAAAGCUAAAGCAACAACUACAAAACAAAGAUGUGGUCCUCAAUCCGAUGUGUUUAAUUCUUGUUCCGUCCAAUUAAAGACCAAAAUCAUGGGUAAUUAUAAAUCUCAAUCAUAGAGUUUUGCGCAUCUAUCCAUGUGUAUUUUGGAUUAAACAAACACAAGUACUACUGCUCCUUAAAAUGUUCAAUCCACUGAGGACCCAUCCUUCAACCAAGCUUUUUGUCCCCCAUCGUUCAACUUCUUUUCUAUCAAAUAUCAUAGUUGAUGGUACUCUAUUUAAUUUUAUUUUAUAUUUUGGGUCAAAUUUAAAUGUGCUAUAAAUUCAAACUAUGGUUCAUCUUUUAUCAUUCUAAAGAUGGCAUGAUUCAUCCCCUAGAAAAAUUUUUAUUUUCACUCAUGCUCAAUAAGUGGCAAACUCGUAUACAAGUUUAUAUUGACAAAUAAAAAUGAUAGUAUAUAUAUUGUAAGAAAUGACAGAAGGUAAAAAAAAAAAAAUCUUUCCAAAUUCUAAUACCUAUAUAUUAAUUUCAUUUAAAAAAAGCUGCAUAAAAAAUUAACUUUCUCAAUUUAAAUAUUUCAAAUAAUUGAAAGCAAAAUUUGUUUACCUAAUUGACAUGAUCAAUACGUGGCAAACUCAUAUUAUGUAUCAUGUGACAAUAAUGCAAUAAUACUAACUUUUUCUGUCAGACAUAUUAAAUUAAGAUUCACAAUUCUUAUUACUAAAUUCACAUACUAUGCUUCAUCAUGGAAGUAACUAUAUUUUGUCAAUCUAAAAUACUUUCCUUUACUUUUUAAAUAUUUUCAUACACUUUUGCUUUGUAUGAUAACAUCCAUAGCACCUAAGCAAUAAUUUAUCUCACUUUAAUUAUGAUAAAAAAUUUACAAGUGAAUACAUAUGCAACAAAUUUUUGUUUAUUUGAUUGCUUCAAUUAUGCAAACUUUCUCCCAUUUACACUUUAAUUAAUAUAUGUAGCAAAACAUAUUUUUGUAAAUAUAUUUAUAAAUCUUUGCAUACACUUUUGUUUUGUAUGAUAACAUUCACAGUACCUGAACAAUAAUUUAUCUCACUUUAAUUAUGAUACAAAUUCACAAGUGAAUACGUAUGCAACUAAUUAUUGCUUAUUUUAUUGUUUUAAUUAUGUGAAUUUUCUCCCAUUUAUAUUUUAAUUUGUACAUAUAGUAAAAUAUAAUUAUGUGGGGUUACUUUAUAAGUUAUGAAAACUAACAACAACUAUAUUGUUAUGUAAUAUUCAUUUGAUCACGACACAAUUGUAUAUAUAACUACUAAUGCAAUUUUUCUUUAACUAUUGUACUUCUUUGGUUUACAUCUUUAUAGAAUAUAUUACAUCAUCAUACUUUAAAAAUGAUACAACAAUUAUUACUUCUUAGUUUAAUAUAUUUUUUGAUACAUUUCUGGAUCAAAGUAAUGAAUACACUGCCUCUUCUCAAGUUCAACAGCCAUCAACUUCACCAUUGAUUUUGCAUGAUCAUGGUAAAUGCAAACUUAAUUAUAUUUUCGAGGUUAUCCUGCAAUUAUACUUUUUUGUCACAACAUAUUGUUAAAUCACCUAUUUAUACGACAUCAUGUUAGAUGGUAUACAUAAUAUCUCAACAACUAUUGAAGUUCUUCGUAUACCAGUGUCACCAUCUAAUGGCCAUGAUGAUGGUAAAUUCAAGCCUUCUCUUUUAUUUUUAAGACAUAUUAAUUUUGUAUUUCAAAUUCUUUUAAUAUAGCUUAUAUUCUCAUUCUUUUUUUACUAUUAAAAAUUAUUAGUCUUAUUAAGCUCUUAAAUUCAUGGUCCUUAUGUUCUUGGAAUAUAAACUACAUAAUUUAUUCUUCAAUAUGCGAUGCAAAAACCUGAUAACACAAUAUAAUAUCAAAGUACAAAAUCUCAUAUCAGCGCAAAUUAAAUAUAAUCUUUUUCACGAUGAACUUUUGAAUAGAAAUAUGAAGCAUACUUCAAGUAGAGACACUCUUUAUAGAGUGGUUAUUCUCUAGUACUCUCAAGCACCUCUUCAAAAGGUCCAAUAAUUGCGUAAUAUAUUGUACCUGCAAAAAUUGUUUUGAAAUCCUAUUGUGAUAUUUGGUAACAGUCACAAAUGCUCGAUAUUGCUAUAACGUCUAUUAUCAUGAUUUUUGGAGCAUCACCAACAUUUAUCACCAAAACUCUAUUUAUUGGAAAGACAUGUAUCCAUGGAUAACUUUCUGAUUUUCAAACUCAAAAACCUCUUAUCACAUCUUGAGGAAGGAUGGUGAUAGUUAAUAUGUGGGAGUGAUGGUUUAUGUCAAUAGCAAAUUCAGGUUGGGGGACAUUUUGUAUAAUAAUUUAAAUUGACUCUGUCUGUACCCAUAAGCAUUAAGUGUUUUUUUUAUCAAUCUCUUUCGCAUUCAACCGUUUCAGGAGAAUUUUUAGUAGUUUUUUCGACAAAAACUUUGAAUGAUUUUAUAUAUUUGAACACUUUUUUCUUUCAAAUUGGAAGCCAAAACCCCUGGAUCUUUUCAUCAAAACAUAUAUAAAUGUAAGUUUGUCAUUCCACUCAUGAAUCUUUUCAGUUUCUGAGAGAAAACUUAUUCGAAGAGAAAUAUUUCUUCUUGGGGAGUUGAUUUUGAUAUAUUUCAAUUUCUUAGUUGGUGGCAAUUCAAAAAAUUCACGAGCUGCAUUCCUAAAUUUGAAAGUGCCUCAGUAGAAAUCCCAUGAUUAACAAUUUGGAAUAAUCCCCAUUCUUUAGCUACAUCAAACACCAUGUUCUCAAUAUUAUGAUCAUUCCAAUUUUAUAUAUCAAUCACAUGUAUGUAUUCAUCAAUUUUGUAUUUCGAAAUUUUUUAAUGUAACUUUUAUUCUCAUUCUUUUUUUUACUAUUAAAAAUUGUUAGUAUUAUCAAGUUCUUAAAUUCAUGGUUCUUAUGUUCUUGGAUUAUAAACUACAUGAUUUAUUUUUCAAUAUGCGAUGCAAACACCCGAUAACACAAUAUAACAUCAAAGUACAGAAUCUCAUAUCAGCGUAAAUUGAAUAUUGCCUUUUCCACGAUGAACUUUUGAAUAGAAAUGUAUUGCAUACUUCGAGUAGAGAAGCUCUUUAUAGAGUGGUUCUUCUUCAGUGCUCUCAAGCACUUCUUCAAAAGGUCAAAUAAUUGCACAAGGUAUUUUACUUGCAAAAAAUUGCAUUGAGAUCCUAUUGUGAUUUUUGAUAACAGUCACAAAAUGCUCAAUACUCCUAUAGCGUCCAUUAUCAUGAUUUUUCAGCAUCAUCAACAUUUAUCACCAAAACCCCAUUUAUUGGAAAGACAUGUAUCCAUAUUUUCAAAUCCAAAAACCUCUUAUCACACUUUGAGGAAUGAUGGUGAUAGUUGAUAUGUCGGCGUGAUGGUCUAUGUCAAUAGCAAAUUCAAAUUGGCGACAUUUAGGAUAAUAAUUUAAAUUGACUCUUUCUUCACCCAUAAGCAUUAAGUAUUUUUUUUUUAUCAAUCUCUUUCGUAUUCAAUAGUUUCAGGAGAAUUUUUAAUAGUUUUUUUGACAAGUAAUUUCCAUGAUUUUAUAUAUUUCAACACUUCUUUUCUACAAAUUGGAAGCCAAAAUCCCUGGACUUUUUCAUCAAAAACAUACAUAAACGCAAGUUUGUCAGUCCACUCGUGAAUCUUUUCAAUUUCUGGGAUAAAGCUUGUUCAAAGAGAAAUAUUUCUUUUUGCAGAGUUGAUUUUGGUAUAUUUCAAUUUCUUGGUUGGUGGUAAUUCAAAAAAUUCACGAGCUGCACUCCUAAACUUGAAAGUGCAUUAGUUGAAAUCCCAUGAUUAAUAAUUUGGAUCAAUUUCCAUUCUUUAGCUACAUCAAACACCAUAUUCUUAAUAUUAGGAUCAUUCUAAUUUGAUAUAUUGAUCACAUGUAUGUAUUCAUUAAUUUUGUAUUUUGAAUUCUUUUAAUGUAACUUUUAUUCUCAUUCAUUUUUUUACUAUUAAAAAUUGUUAGUCUUAUUAAGUUCUUAAAUUCAUGGUCCUUAUGUUCUUGGAUUAUAAACUACAUGAUUUAUUUUUCGAUAUGGGAUGCAAAUACCCGAUAACACAAUAUAACAACAAAAUACAGAAUCUUAUAUAAGCGAAAAUUGAAUAUUGUCCUUUUCACGAUGACCUUUUGAAUGAAAAUAUGCAGCAUACUUCGAGUAGAGACACUCUUUAUAAAGUGGUUCUUCUCCAGUGCUCUCAAGCACCUCUUCAAAAGGUCCAAUAAUUGCAUAAUAUAUUGUACAUGCAAAAAAUUGCAUUAAAAUCCUAUUGUGAUCUUUGGUAACAGUCACAAAUUAUCGAUAUUGCUAUAGCGUCUAUUAUCAUAAUUUUUGGAACAUCACCAACAUUUAUCAUCAAGACUCCAUUUAUUGGAAAGACAUGUAUCCAUGGAUCAUUUUCUGAUUUUUAAACCCAAAAACCUCUUAUCACAUCUUGAGGAAGGAUGGUGAUAGUUGAUAUGUCAGAAUAAAGGCCUAUAUCAAUAGCAAAUUCAGGUUGGGGACAUUUUGUAUAAUAAUUUAAAUUGACUCUUUCUGUACCCAUAAGCAUUAAGUGUUUUUUUAUCAAUCUCUUUCGCAUUCAACCACUUUAGGAGAAUUUUUAGUAGUUUUUUCGACAAAAACUUUGCAUGAUUUUAUAUAUUUGAACACUUUUUUCUUUCAAAUUGGAAGUCAAAACCCCUGGACCUUUUCAUAAAAAACAUAAAUAAACAUAAGUUUGUCAUGUCACUCAUGAAUCUUUUUAAUGUUUGAGAGAAAGCUUGUUAUAAGAGAAAUAUUUUUCUUGGAGAGUUGAUUUUAGUAUAUUUCAAAUUCUUAGUUGGUGGCAAUUCAAAAAAUUCACGAGCUAUAUUCCUAAAUUUGAAAGUGUCUCAAUAGAAAUCUCAUGAUUAACAAUUUAAAUCAAUCUCCAUUCUUCAAUAACAUCACACACCAUGUUCUCAAUAUUAGAAUCAUUUCAAUUUGAUAUAUCGAUCACAUAUAUGUAUACUUUUAAAGUUUGUCAACAUUAAACCGUUCUUCAGGUGGUAGAAUGAAUUUCUAUGGCAGAAUUUUAAGGUCCAUUUUAGACAAGUUCUUGACACCAUAAUCUUCGUUUAUUAGUGCUUUGAUACUACUUGAAUUCAAAGAAAUUGUUGUCUUUUUCAAAUCGGCCAUUAAAAUUUAUGAAAUUAGAAUGAUACUUGCCACUAGUCUAUCAAGCCGUCAAUAUCUAUUACCUUUUUUUUUUUCACUUGCAAGAGCCUAUUUGGACCAACGUCAACAAAGUGCAGAUAUUGUUGAAAAGUUAGGUCGGUAGCAGAGAUGGUCCGAUAGAGAGAAACAAAACAAAAGACAUAAAAUAUAGUAGAAGUUGGACUUUUGGCAACAAGACGAAUUCAUCAAUCUAUCUGGAUAUAAAGUUGAUAUUUCAUAAGAAACCCUCUAUCUGGACAGUAUAUCUCUCAAUCUAUAUUCAUAACUACUGUCUAUGAUAUGAUGUUAUUUCAUUUGAUCACGAUACAAUUGUAUAUCUAACUACUAAUGCAAUUUUUCUUUAACUAUUGUGUUUCUUUAAUUUAUAUCUUUAUAGAAUAUGUUACUUCUUCACACUUUAAAAAUGAUAUAAUAAUUAUUGUUUCUUAGUUUAAUAUAUAUUUUAAUGCAUUUCUAGAUCAAAGUAAUGAACACACUGUCUCUUCUCAAAUUCAACAGCUAUCAAUUUCACCAAUAAUUUUGCAUGAUCAUGGUAAAUGCAAAUCUAAUUAUAUGUUUGAGAUUAUCAUACAAUUAUACAUUUUUAUGAUAGCAUAUUGUUAAAUCGCCUAUUUAUAUGACAUAAUGUUAGAUGGUAUACACAAUAACUCAACAACUGUUGAAGUUCUCCUUAUACCAACAUUACCAUCUAAUGGUCAUGAUGAUGGUAAAUUCGAGCCUUCUCUUUUAUGUUUAAUACAUAUCAUUAACUUUGUAUUUCGAAUUCUUUUAAUGUAAGUUUUAUUCUCAUUCUUUUUUUUUACUAUAAAAAAUUGUUAGUUUUAUUAAACUCGUAAAUUAACGGUUCUUAUGUUCUUGAAAUAUAAACUACAUGAUUUAUUAUUUAAUAUGCGAUACAACACCCAAUAACACAAUAUAACGUCAAAGUAAAAAAUCUCAUAUCAGAGCAAAUUGAAUAUCGUCUUUUCCACGAUGACCUUUUGAAUAGAAAUGUGUUGCAUACUUCGAGUAGAGACACUCUUUAUAGAAUGAUUUCUUCUCCAAUGUUCUCAGACAUUUCUUCGAAAGGUCCGAUAAUUGUACAAGAUAUUGUACCUACAAAAAAUUGCAUUGAAAUGUUAUUGUGAUCUUUGGUAGCAGUCACAAAUGCUCGAUAUUCCUAUAGCAUCCAUUAUCAUGAUUUUUGGAGUAUCUCCAACAUUUAUCAUCAAAACUUCAUUUAUUGGAAAAACAUGUAUCCAUGGAUCACUUUCUGAUUUUCAAACCCAAAAAUCUCUUAUCAAUCUUUGAGGAAUGAUGGCGAUAGUUGAUAUGUCGGAGUGAUGGCCUAUAUCAAUAACAAAUUCAGGUUGAGGACAUUUAGGAUAAUAAUUUAAAUUGACUCUUUCAGCACCCAUAAGCAUUAAGUGUUUUUUUUUAUCAAUCUCUUUCGUAUUCAACAAUUUCAGGAGAAUUUUUAGUAGUUUUUUAACAAGUACUUUGCAUGAUUUUAUAUAUUUGAAGACUUCUUUCUUUCAAAUUGAAAACCAAAACCCCCGGGCCUUUUCAUGAAAAAUAUACAUAAACAUAAGUUUAUCAUGUCACUCAUAAAUCUUUUCAAUUUUUGAGAGAAAUCUUGUUCGAAGAGAAAUAUUUUUUCUUGAAAAGUUGAUUUUGGUAUAUUUCAAAUUCUUAGUUGGUGGCAAUUCAAAAAAUUCAAGAGCUGCAUUCCUAAAUUUGAAAGUGCCUCAGUAGAAAUCUCAUGAUUAACAAUUUAAAUUAAUCUCCAUUCUUCAAUAACAUCACACACCAUGUUCUCAAUAUUAGGAUCAUUUCAAUUUGAUAUAUCGAUCACAUGUAUAUAUUUUUUUUAAAUAUUGUCAACAUUAAAUCGUUUUUCAGGUGGCAGAAUGAAUUUCUAUGACAAAAUUUUAAAGUCCGUUUCAGACAAGUUAUUGACACCAUGACCUUCGUUUAUUAGUGCUUUGAUACUAUUUGAAUUCAAGGCAAUUGUUGUCCUUUUGAAAUCGGCCAUUGAAAUUUAUGAAACUAGAAUGAUACUUGCCAUUAGUUUAUCAAACCGUCAAUAUCUAUCACCUUUUUCUUUUUCACUUGCAAGAGCCUAUUUGGACCAGCGUCAACAAAGUGCAGAUAUUGUUGAAAAGUUAGGUCGGUAGUAGAGAUGGUCCAAUGGAGAGAAACGAAACGAAAGACAUAAAACAUAUUAGAAGUUGAACUUUUGGCAACAAGACGAAUUCAUCAAUCUAUCUGGAUAUAAAGUUGAUAUUUCAUAAGAAACCCUCUAUCUGGACAGUAUAUCUCUCAAUCUAUAUUCAUAACUACUGUCUAUGAUAUGAUGUUAUUUCAUUUGAUCACGAUACAAUUGUAUAUCUAACUACUAAUGCAAUUUUUCUUUAACUAUUGUGUUUCUUUAAUUUAUAUCUUUAUAGAAUAUGUUACAUCUUCACACUUUAAAAACGUUAUAAUAAUUAUUGUUUCUUAGUUUAAUAUAUAUUUUAAUGCAUUUCUGGAUCAAAGUAAUGAACACGCUGCCUCUUCUCAAAUUCAACAGCUAUCAAUUUCACCAAUGAUUUUGCAUGAUCAUGGUAAAUGCAAAUCUAAUUAUAUGUUUGAGAUUAUCAUACAAUUAUAUAUUUUACGAUAGCAUAUUGUUAAAUCGCCUAUUUAUAUGACAUAAUGUUAGAUGGUAUACACAAUAAUUCAACAACUGUUGAAGUUCUCCUUAUACCAACGUUAUCAUCUAAUAGUCAUGAUGAUGGUAAAUUCGAGCAUUCUCUUUUAUGUUUAAUACAUAUCAUUAAUUUUGUAUUUCGAAUUCUUUUAAUGUAAGUUUUAUUCUCAUUCUUUUUUUUACUAUAAAAAAUUGUUAGUUUUAUUAAACUCGUAAAUUCACGGUUCUUAUGUUCUUGAAAUAUAAACUAGAUGAUUUAUUCUUCAAUAUGCGAUGCAACACCCAAUAACACAAUAUAACAUCAAAGUAAAAAAAUUUCAUAUCAGCGCAAAUUGAAUAUCGUCUUUUCCACGAUAACCUUUUGAAUAGAAAUGUGUUGCAUACUUCGAGUAAAGAUACUCUUUAUAGAGUGAUUCUUCUCCAAUACUCUCAAGCACUUCUUCAAAAGGUACGAUAGUUGUACAAGAUAUUGUAUCUUUAAAAAAUUGCAUUGAAAUGUUAUUAAGAUCUUUAGUAAUAGUUACAAAUGUUCGCUACUCCUACAGUGUCCAUUAUCAUGAUUUUUGGAGCAUCAACAACAUUUAUCAUCAAGACUUCAUUUAUUGGAAAGACAUGUAUCUAUGUAUCAUUUUCUGAUUUUCAAACCCAAAAACUUCUUAUCACACUUUGAGGAAUGAUGGUGACAGUUGAUAUGUCGGAGUGAUGGCCUAUGUCAAUGGCAAAUUCAGAUUGGGGACAUUUAAGAUAAUAAUUUAAAUUAAUUUUUUCUGCGCCCAUAAGCAUUAAGUAUUUUUUUUAUCAAUCUCUUUCGUAUUCAACAAUUUCAGAAUAAUUUUUAGUAGUUUUUUUGACAAGUUCUUCGCAUGAUUUUAUAUAUUUCAACACUUCUUUCCUACAAAUUGGAAAUCAAAACUUUUGAACCUUUUCAUCAAAAACAUACAUAAACAUAAGUUUGUCAUUCCACUCGUAAAUCUUUUCAAUUUCUGAGAGAAAACUUGUUUGAAGAGAAAUAUUUUUUCUUGGAGAAUUGAUUUUGGUGUAUUUCAAUUUCUUAAUUGGUGGCAAUUCAAAGAAUUCACGAGCUGCAUUCCUAAAUUUGAAAGUGCCUCAAUAGAAAUCCCAUGAUUAACAAUUUGGAUUAAUCCCCAUUCUUUAGCUAUAUCAAACACCAUGUUCUCAAUAUUAUGAUCAUUCCAAUUUGAUAUAUCAAUCACAUGUAUGUAUUCUUUUAAAAUAUUGUCAACAUUAAACCGUUUUUCAGGUGGUAAAAUGAAUUUCUAUGACAAAAUUUUAAAGUCUAUUUCAGACAAGUUAUUGAUACCAUGACCUUCGUUUAUUAGUGCUUUGAUAUUAUUUGAAUUCAAAGCAAUUGUUGUCUUUUUCAAAUCGGCAAUUGAAAUUUACAAAACUAGAAUGGUACUUGUCACUAACUUAUCAAGCCGUUAAUAUCUAUCACCUUUUUCUUUUCCUCUUGUAAGAGUCUAUUUGAACAGCGUCAACAAAGUGCAAAUAUUGUUGAGGAAGUUAGGUCAGUAGUAGAGGUGAUUGAAUGGAGAGAAACGAAAUGAAAGACAUAAAACAGAGCAGAAGUUGGACUUUUGGCAACAAGACGAAUUCACCAAUCUAUAUGGAUAUAAAAUUGAUAUUUCAUAAGAAACCCUCUAUCUGGACAGGAUAUCUCUCAAUCUAUAUUCAUAACUACUAUCUAUGAUAUCAUGUUAAUUUUAUAUUCAUUUGAUCACGAUACAAUUGUAUAUCUAAUUACUAAUGCAAUUUUUUCUUUAACUAUUGUAUUUCUUUGAUUUAUAUCUUUGUAGAAUAUGUUACAUCAUCACACUUUAAAAAUGAUACAAUAAUAUUGCUUUUUAGUUUAAUAUACUCCCUCCGUCCCAGAAUUUGUGUCGCUCUUCGAAACUUGUAAUUUUUAUCAAUAGUGCAAGACUUUUAAAUGAUUUGUGUUUAAGUUCCGGCAAUACCCCUUGACUUUCAAUGUUUCCAUACGUGAUUGAAUGAUAAAGGGGUCAUAAGUUGUGAUAAGACAUGUGGGACCCAAAAGAAUAAAAAGUCUCCACACUACUUUAGAGGAAAGUGUCAUGCACGAUUGUUGUUUGCAUUUCAUGUGAGAAUCACGAUCUAUCAAGUGCAGUGUUGGUACUUGGGAAGUGCAUAAUUGGGCCCACUAAAAGAUAAGAAAAGGCUGUCACAUUGAAGGGUAUGGAGCGGAAAUGUGUGAGAGUUUUCAUUGCCAAUUUUAGUAAGUGACAAUCAUUUUGGGACGGAUAAAAAAGGAAAGUAUGACACUAUCAAUGGGACGGAUGGAGUAUAUUUUAAUGCAUUUCUGGAUCAACGUAAUGAUUACAAUGCCUCUUCUCAUGUUCAACAGCCAUCAAUUUCACCAACGAUUUUGAAUGAUCAUGAUAAAUGCAAAUCUAAUUAUAUUUUCGAGGUUAUCCUACAAUUAAACUUUUUUACGACGGCAGAUUUUUAAAUUACCUAUUUAUAUGAUAUAAUGUUAGAUGGUAUAUAUAAUCACUCAACAACUACUGAAGUUCUUCUUAUACCAACGCCACCAUCUAAUGGUCAUGAUGAUGGUAAAUUCGAGUCUUCUCUUUUAUGUUUAAAACAUAUCAUUAAUUUUGUAUUUUGAAUUCUUUUAAUGUAACUUUUAUUCUCAUUCUUUUUUUUACUAUUAAAAAUUGUUAGUCUUAUUAAACUUAUAAAUUCAUGGUCCUUACGUUCUUGGAAUAUAAACUACAUGAUUUGUUCUUGAGUAUGCGAUGUAAACACUCGAUAAUACAAUAUAACAUCAAAAUACAAAAUCUCAUAUCAGCGCAAAUUGAAUAUCAUCUUUUUCAUGAUGAACUUUUGAAUAAAAAUGUGCUGCAUACUUCAAGUAGAAACACUCUUUAUGGGUAGUUCUUCUCCAGUGCUCUUAAGCACUUUUUCAAAAGGUCCGAUAAUUGCACAAGAUAUUGUAUCUAUAAAAAAUUGCAUUAAAAUGCUAUUGUGACCUUUGGUAACAGUCACCAACUCCUAUAGCGUCCAUUAUCAUGAUUUUUAGAGCAUCACCAACAUUUAUUAUCAAGACUCAAUUUAUUGCAAAGACAUGUAUUCAUGGAUCACUUUCUGAUUUUCAAACCUAAAAACCUCUUAUCAUAUUUUGAGGAAUGAUGAUGAUAAUUGAUAUGUUGGAGUGAUGGCCUAUAUCAAUAGCAAAUUCAGGUUGGAAAUAUUUAGGAUAAUAGUUUAAAUUGACGUAUUUUUUUUAUCAAUCUCUUUUGUAUUUAACAGUCUUAGGAGAAUUUUUAGCAAUUUUUUUGACAAGUACUUUGCAUAAUUUUAUAUAUUUCAACACUUCUUUCCUACAAAUUGGAGACCAAAAUCACUGGAUCUUUUCAUCAAAAACAUAUAUAAAUGUAAGUUUGUCAUUCCACUCGUGAAUAUUUUCAAUUUCUGAGGAAAAGCUUGUUCAAAGAGAAAUAUUUCUUCUUGGAGAGUUGAUUUUGGUAUAUUUCAAUUUCUUAGUAGGUGGCAAUUCAAAAAAUUCACGAGCUGCAUUCCUAAAUUUGAAGUGCCUUAGUAGAAAUCCCACAAUUAAAAUUUUUAUUAAUCCCCAUUCUUUAGCUACAUCAAACACCAUGUUCUCAAUAUUAGGAUCAUUCCAAUUUGAUAUAUCGAUCACAUGAAUGUAUUCAUUAAUUUUGCAUUUCGAAUUCUUUUAAUGUAACUUUUAUUCUCAUUUUUUUUUACUAUUAAGAAUUGUUAGUCUUAUUAAACUCUUAAAUUCAUGGUUCUUAUGUUCUUGAAAUAUAAACUAGAGUUGAGGCAUUAGUAGUUGAGAGAUUAUAGAAUAUGCUCGAUGAGAUCAAUCUAUAUGUACAAGUUUUUUUGGAGUGCGAGAAAUAUACUCCGAAACUAAAGUGUUUCCAAUCUGCAAGUAUACUUAAUUUGUACUUGAACCGAUAGACAGUACAUCCAAUCAACUGCAAAUGAAGUUGCUGCUUUGAUUAUAGAUGAGGACAGUGGUCAUGUUACACAUUGUACUAUUGUACUCAUCACUCGAGAUGAAAAUCAGAAAAAGAAUCAAGGAGACAGCCAUCAUACAUGUAACUACAAUAUCCUUUACUAUUUUCCUAUGGAAUAGAUGAAUGACAUUAUGGAAUAAACUUUUCAACUCUUUUUAAAAGGAAAAGAAAAUUUCUCAUUACGUAAAUUCAAUACUUUUUGCAUUCAUAUUUUCGAUAUAAUGAGGGAUAUAUAUUUUUGAAAUGUGCCAAACUAUUCCAACAAUUUGUCUUUGACUAUUAUGUAACAAUUAAAAAUAGGUUAAAUUUUAUGAAAUUCAUCAAUCCGCGUUGAGUGUUGAUAUAUAUCAAGACAUAGAAGAUACUACUAUUGCCGGAGAUAUAGAUGCAUUAGCAAUUGAAAAAGAAAUUAUUCUACCAUUAUUAUUUUUAGGUAGAUUCUGAGAUAUGGUAUGACAUUUUAAUGAUACAAUGACAAUUUGUGUGACAGUAAAAAAUUCAGAUUUUAUCAUCACAUUUACCUACAAUUUGAAUUGGGUAGAAAGUAAAUCAAAGUUAACACGAAUAUUGAGACAAAAUGUUGAAAAUAGACCUGAUACUAUUAUUCGAGUUUUCAAAAUAAGACGAAAAAAUGAUGGAUGUUUUGAAAAUAAAUCAUCUAUUUGAAAAAGUACUUGUAUGUAAAAAUUCUGCUUAAUUUUAAAUUAUGAUUUUUUUCAAUGUUAUCAUAUUUUUAUAUACUAAAAAUCAUAUUUGUUGUUGAGUUUCAAAUAUGUGAUUUGCUAUAUACUCAUAUCCAUCUUACAUUAAUUUUAGAUGAUCAGUCACUAAUUUCAGAAUAAAAUGAUGAUAUCAUUUGUGUCGAAAUACCAGACAAAAAUAUUGAUCCACUUGUUUAUACAAUUAUCAAGUGUAUGUUACAUGGAUCUUAUGAUGAUACUUAUCCAAGUGUUCCGUGUAUGGUGAAUGAAAAAUGUUUUAAAUUACAUCCAAAAAGAUUUUAUAAUAAAACUGCCAUUAAUGAAAAUGAAUUUUUGUCAUACAGGCAUCAAGAUAAUCCAUCUAAGAGGACCAUUAAUGGUUUCACAUUUGACAACCGAUGAGUUGUUCUUAUAAUCGAGAUUUGGUUAUCAUGUUCAAUGGCUAUAUUGAUACAAUAAAGUUGUACGAUCAGAAAUCACUAAAUAUCUGUACAAGUACAUAAAUAAGGAAAAUGAUAGAAUAGAUGUGCAUAUUGAGAAUAACGUUGUACUCCCAAAUGAAGGUGAACAUAGUCAUUAUAAAAGUGUUGACGGGAUUAAACAAUACCUUGAUUGUCGGUAUUUAUUAUCGAUUGAAUCAUACUGAAAGAUAUUUGAUUUCGAAAUAUAAAGAUAGUAUUCUUUUGUGAUUAGAUUGCAGUAUCAUCUUCUUGAUCAUCAAUUUGAUUUUCAAUAUUGAUGAUCAUCUUUAUGAUAUUCUUGAUCAUGAAAAUAUACAUGAAACAAUGUUAACCAAAUGACUUGAGACCAACAAAAAAAUAUUUUAAUUAGAAAUUUGAUCUUUAUGGAGUUCUCAAAUAGGUGGAUUUGAAAACAAAAUAUGCAACAAUGAGAGUCCAAAUUUGACAGCAAGUGAAUUAGAAAGUUGCUAUAUAUAAAUUCACAUUCUAAUGAACGCUAUUAUUUUUUAAUGUUAUUUUAUAAAGUUAGUGGAAUUUAAAGUUUAUAACAUAUUAGAACUAUUUAUGGGGUUAUAUAUCCGAUUUUUAAGACAAUAUGUACUGCAUUUUAUCUUCUAGAUGACAAUAAUAAGUGAAAUAAAACUUUAACUGAAGCAUCUAUAAAAAAAUUGUGAAGCAUGUAAUGUACUAUACUUAUACACGAUGAGAUAAAUAAUUCCUUUAAUAUCUAUAACGCUACAAGAAAAGUAUAACAAAUGAUUUACAAUACUAGAUCAGAAAGAAUAUAGAAAACCUCAAAAUUCGUGUUAACAAUGAAGAAUUAUAAAAUUUAAAAUUAGUUAAAAUGAAGUUAUCUCAAACAAAAAUGAUUUCUUUCUACGAGAUUUUUCACCAAUGCCCAUAUCGUCUUUUAAAAAUGCUCAAUUUUCUGUGAGUAAAUUUAGAGGAGAAGAAUUUGAUUAUGAAUGUAUAUCAGAACUGUAUUUGUUCGAUAAUUUUUAUGUUAAAUUGAAUGAGAACCUACUGAAAGCAUAUGACAUUAUAAUGCAAUCAUACCAACAAAAUUAUAGAGGGUUUUUUUAGUAUGGAAUUAGUGGCACAGAGAAAUCUUUUCACUUAUAAAUAACAUCGAUUGUUUGAAUUAGAUUUAAAUGAAAAAUUAUUCUUUCGUAUGAUACAAUUAUCAAGUGUAUGUUACAUAGAUCUUAUGAUGAUAUUAAUCCAAAUGUUUCGUGUAUGGUGAAUGAGAAGUAUUCUAAAUCAAAUUUAAAAAGAUUAUAUAAUAAAACUAUCAUUGAUGAAAAUAAAUUUUUAUCAUACAGACGUCAAGAUGAUCCAUCUAAGAGGGUGACUAUCAAUGAUUUCACAUUUGACAACUGAUGAGUUGUUUCUUAUAAUCAAAAUUUGGUUAUCAUGUUCGAUGACCAUAUCAAUAUAACAAAAUUAUACGAUCAGAAAUCACUGAUCAUCUAUACAAGUACAUAAAUAAAGGAGAUGUUAGAGUAGAUGUAUAUAUUGAGAAUAAUAUUGUACUCUUAAACAAAGGUGAACAUAGUCAUUAUAAAAGUGCUGAUAAUAUUAAACAAUAUAUCAAUUGUUGAUUUUUAUUACUAAUUGAAUCAUACUGAAGGAUAUUUGUUUUCAAAAUGUAAAGAUAGUAUCCCUUUGUGAUUAGAUUGCGGUAUCAUCUUCUUGAUCAUUAAUUUGAUUUUCAAUGAUGAUGAUCAUCUUUAUAAUGUUUUUGAUCAUAAAAAUAUACAUAAAAUAAUGUUGACCAAAUGGCUCGAAACCGACAGAAAAGAUCUUUUGAGUAGAAAUUUGACCUUUGUGGAGUUGUUAUAUAAGUAGAUCUGAAAAAAAAUAAUACAACAAUGGGGAUCCACAUUUGACAACAAGUGAAUUAGAAGGCUGUUAUAUACAGAUCCGCAUUAUAGUGAACACUAUUAUUUACGAAAGUUAUUUCAUAAAGUUCGUGGAUUUCACAAUUUUUAACAUAUUAGAACUAUUGAUGAGGUUGUAUAAUCGACUUUCAAAGCAGCAUGUACUGCACUUGAUCUUCUAAACGACAAUAAUGAGUGAAACAAAACUUUAAAUGAAAUAUCUAUAAAAAAAAAAAUUGUGAGGUAUGUACUGUACUGUACUUAUGCACUAUGAGAUAAGUAAUUCCUUUGAUAUAUACAACUCCAUAAGAAAAGUAUGACAAAUGAUUUACAAUACCAGAUCAAAAAGGAUAUAGGAAGUCUCUAAAUUCAUGUUGAUGAUGAUGAAUUAUAAAAUUUGAAAUUAGUUGAAAUUGAACCUAUCUUAAACAAAAAUGAUUUUUCUUUAUGAAAUUUUCCAUCAAUGCCAUUACCAUCUUUUAAAAAUAUUCAAUCCUGUGAGGACCUGAGUUUUCAAAUUUUCUUACUUUAUUUUAUUUUACUGGUUUAUUUAAUUAUUUAUUCACUCGUUUACUAUGAAUAAAUUUAUUUCAUUCAUUUUAAAUCCAUUUACAUGGAACAAUGUCUCAUUUAUGUUUUUAAAACGUUUAGUUAGCGAAUUUAAUUUUCUGCGGCUCGUUUAGCGAGAAAUAGCGAUUGCACGUUUUUUGAGGCAAAUUCGAUCUGAAAGUACAUUAAUCUUGGAGAAUUUAGGAUGAUCAAUUGUAGAUUAAGAAAAUUUAAUGGAGGGUUUAGAGGUGAGUGAGUUAUAUUAAACUCGAUUAGGAGCACUAAUUGCUCACUAAUCGGUUAUUGACUUUUGGAGUAUUCAAACACCUUUAUGUCAUUCACCUUGUCACUCCAUCAAAUCACCCAACUACUACCAAACCUUUCUUCCUCUCCACUCCUCUUGGCCGAUCCUCCUUCACCCAUUUUCUCCCCAAAAAAUUCAGCUAGCUUCUUCCAUUGCUGCUCCAAGAAAACUCUCCACACUUACUUCUUUCAUUGGUUCUUCAUACAAGCUGGGAAGAGGACUUGAACAAGGAAGAAACUUUCGUGAUUUGAGGGCUUAUCUCCUAGUGUUUAGUCUUCAUCUUGGCAGCAAGGUAUUCAUCCAAGAAACCCUCAACUUUUCCUCUCAAAUCUUAGUAGUAAGUUAGUUUAGUUAGUUUAGUUGUUGGGUUGUUGAUGGGUUCACAAAAACCUUGACAUUAGGUAGUGGACUUGAGGUGGCUUGAUAGGUAGAGGCCUUGAGAAUUUUAUGUGUUUAAUUGCUUGUUUGUUACUUGCUUUGAUGAGAUAUAGUGUAGUUCUAGUUGAAAGUUGAAAAAGAAAGCUAGAGGAUGAGAAAUGCUUGCUGGCCGAAAUUUGCUGGUUGUUCCUCUCUUGUUAAUUUCAAAAUUUUGAUGUUAUUUUGCUGCAAUAAUGCUUGAUAUAUGUUGGUGGAUAUGUGUAUGAAAUAUCUCCCAAAAGCUUUGUGAGGACCCGAAAAUUUUCUUAUUUUUAUAGAAUAUUACUGGAAUAUUUAAAUGAUUAUUCACUCAUUUUCUUCGAAUUAUUUAUUUCGACCAUUUUAAAUCCAUUUAUAUGGAAUGACGCCUCUUUAUAUUUUUAAAGCGUUUUGUUGAAAAAUUCGCUUUUCGAAAAUUUGUUUAGUCCGGAACGACGGGUGCACGUUUUUUUUCUAGGCUAUACUUGAAUCGGGAGUGUAUUAAUAUUGGAGAAUUAAGAACGAUCAAUAAUAGAUUAAGAAAGGUUAAUGGAGGAAUUAAUACUCAAUUCACGUGAGGACUCGUAAAAUUAUUAUUUUUAAAAACCCCUAAUUUUGGCUCAAUUAAUUAUCUAUUUGGAUUUUUGCCCCGAAUAUUAUUUUCUAUCCUUAUUAGACCUAAGUACAUGGUUUUAUAGUUUCGUUAUAUUUUUAAAGUAUCUCGUUUCAAAAAUUAUUUUCUUAUAAGUUUGUUUAGUGAAAAAGUGAAAACGUGUCUAAACACUUUAGCCAAUUGGGAGUACACUAAGCUCGAAAAUUUGGGGAUAUGUACAAUGGUCCUAAAAUAGGUAAAUUUAGGUUUAAGUACUCAAGUGAUAGUUAGUGGUACGAUCGUUAUAAGAAUUUUCUCGAAGGUUUCAUUUUAUUGCACCUAAAUUGGAAAUACGUGUUUUCACGUGCGCGCUUAAUUGAGGGACUUUCGACCAUUAUUUUGGGACAAUUAAGAAUGAAUAAUAUUUAUAUGAAUGUAAGUGCCCUAGAGGUUUAGUGCACUAGUGCAACAAACUUAAGAGGAAUCGAGCAUAAAACGCGCGCGUAUACGCACCUUUUGCGGUUGAUUUUUGUGCCCUUAAAAUAUUAGACGUCAAACUUCAUUUGUACGCAAAAGAAUCAGAUCAAAACAUCCCUCUUUUCCUCUCAUUCUGGCCGAGCAACAGCUGAAGCAAAACACCUUCAAAUUUUGAAAAUUUCACCUCCAAAUCUUGCUCAAACCUCCACCAAAUUCAACCAAAAUUUAACUACACUUAGCUCAACACUUGGGAAGUCCAUCUAGCUGCAAAAGAAAGGAGCUAUCCACGGUUUUCUUCAAGCUUCAAAGGGCCGAAACUUCUGUCUUGACCAACCAUCAAAGUAGGUAAUGAUCUAAUACCUUAAACUUGUCCUAUGGAAGUUAAAUUACACUUAUAAGCUUGAAUUUGCAUAUGGGUUGUGGUUGAUGUUGGAGAAAUUGGAAAAGUGGGCUCUAUGAAUUCCCACUCUUGUGUUGUUGCUGAUUUUGUGCUUGAUGAUGUUUAUAAUGUCGGAUUAGUGUUUAAGUUAGUGGUUUGUUGAAGGAAAAUUGCUGGAAACUCACGUUGGGUGCAAAGGCCAAAUCUGACCAUUUUGCCCCUGCUUUGUUCGGCCACUUUAAUGCAGAAAUUUGAGGAUUUAAUGGCUUGAUUGUGUUGUUUAUAUGUUGUAGAAGUUGUGUACAAAUUUUCAUUGAAAAAUGUUGAGUUUUGGUUGAUCAAAAGAAUUUAUUUCCCAAAGCUGGUAAUCUGGAAACGGUUGCCGUCGUAACCAGACCAGUGUUCGUAUUUCGUCCAUAACUCCGUACUCCGACAUCGAAAUCAAGUGUCGUUAGCGACAUUUGAAACUAGACAUACCCAUCUUUCCAACGGUAUAUAAUGCACGUUCUGGUUCCAUGUGUGUGAACCGCACCACUCUUCUGAAUUUAGCUGCCCUGUUUCUCCGUUCUGCCGAAAUGAUUUGAUGAUGCUGCAACUCUAGGCUUAAUUUCGAGCCAGUUUCAUGCUGAAACUUAAAACGUUUUCUUCUGUGAAAUUUUAUCCCUAUGAAUGUAUUUUCUAACAGUAUCAACCAUGCCCAAAUCCAAGUUAAAUUGAGUGAGUUAUGAUCAAAAUACGGUGACUGCCUUGUUCUUGAAAACCUUAGAUUUGGACAGAUUAGAUGUGAGACUCGUUGUGGCCUUACCAAAUGAAUUUCUUGGUGCUAAACACCUACCAAAUGUAUCAUGUAUACUCCUUAGACUUUUCUUGCACAAAUGAAUCAUGCUUGGAGGUUUUCCUUAGCCGAAUGUUUGGAAACGGAGAGAAAGAGAGCUAAAGGCAGUUUGGCCUUAGUAAUUUUAAACUUUGGUUGAUUGGUUAACCACUUUCCCGAAAGUAUUUUUCCAAAAAAUUUGAUAGAGAGAUACCCUUCAUAUAGGACUAUUAUACUGCAAAAUUUGGUAUCAAUCCAAGUCCGUUUCGACACUUAACUAAAGGUCCAAAGUCGGAACCAAAUCUGAAAAUUUGUUAACAGUCUUGAAAUUUACCCAACUUUGAGCUACCAUAUCUUGGUACUCGAAACUCCGAUUCUCGAUCCUCUGGUUCUGCCCUAAACCUUACUUGAACCUCUAAUUGAGCUAUAAAUUUCAAGGGCUGGUUUGCAACGAGUGAAUUCUGCCGAAUUUUCAAAGUUGGCGAAAAACCAACCCCGGCUCAAUCCUGGGUGAUUUGGAACAGCAACUUUAAGCUCAUUUUUCAGCACUUUCCACUUCGAUUCAUGGAAAAGUUUCUUCUAAGAACUUGUAGUACUUUCUAAGAGGUUUCCAAUGGUAUAAAGUUUUCCAAUUCUCGACUUAUACCGAGUGAGUUACGAUUUUUCAAAAAUUCAUAACAAAACUGAAAUUUUCCAACUUUCAAGGAAAUAGAGUUUUUCAAGAACUCUUUAUUCUUUUGAUAUUAUCUAAACGUUUUAUCCCCGAUUUCCUAGAUAAAGACUUAAAUACUUUUGAAUGUUAUCAAACCCCUCUCGAACCUCGAUUUACGAGUAAUUGAGGUUCAUUUUCACGGAAUCCCCUAGAUUAAUACUAGUGAACGAAUUAUUUCUCGAUAUUUGGGAUUUGGAUGAUAAUUCACUAUUAUUUGCUCAGGCGCACACGAGGACCUUCAAGAGGAUCCCACGGUGGACGCUUGAACUUUCCUUGACCUUACUUACACCUAAUACUUGGUGAGUGUCAGGUGUAUGUAAACUUGUUACAUGUGUAAUUGUUAUUAAUGAUUAGAAAUCUUGAAAGUGGAGUCGAGUGUGUACUUUACCACACUCGUUCUCAUUAGAAAUGAAAUAUUAAUGGUUGAAAUGUAUUGAAUGAAUGAAUGGAAUGUAAUGGUAUGCUAUAGUUGCCUACGUCGUUGGAGUGAAUCUCCUCGACACACAAGUGCACAUGGGGACGCCCAAAUCUCAUUGACCGACCUUGGACUCGAGCCGGCAUGGGCUUGGUCGGGAACCUUGGCGAGCCAUGAGAUAUAUAAGCUUGACCUAGUGAGAGGUCUUGCUUGGCAUACUCGAGUAGUAUCGUCACAAAUAAAUGACAGGCGGGUCCGAUACAGGGGUAUGUAAGGUGAAAGGGGACAGGUUAAGUGGAGUUCUACGGACUAAACCUACCCGAUUGACGGAGUGUCAAUUCGUGGAGGUUAUUGAAUGUGCAAGUGGAAUAUAGCUCCUGAGGGCUCCAGUAUCCUUGAAUUGUUUCUGGUUAUAUUUCCAGUAAAUUGUUAAUUACUAAAAUAUGAUUGCUUGACUUGUAAAUUGAGAUUGUUAUUUGAGCAAUGUGCUUGUAUGUGUGUUCUUGGCCUCACGAGCGUUUUUGCUCACCCUGUAGAUUUAUUUUCCUUAACAGGAUUGAACUUGGCGAGGUAUUGAAGAAACCUUCCUGCUACGCUUUUGUUUAGGGUUUCUAUUACUUUUGACUUUGUCUUGGCUUUUGGGCUGUAUUUUGGAAUCCGAAUGUAACUUUUGGAGCAUGAUGUAUAUUUGGGAUAUAUGAUGGUUGUUGAACACCCGAUGUGCGGGUUGGAUAUCGGAUGACUUUUAUUAAACUUGAACGCUUCCGCAUUUAUUUUAUCUAAGUUAUUGACUCGUAUGGUGUGGUCCGGCAAAAAGUUUAAAUGGAAUUGCUUGAGUCCUGGCGAGAGCUAGGCAGGCGUCCCGCGGAUACCCUUUGGUUCGCCUUAGGGAGAAGGGGGGCGUCACAGUUGGUAUCAGAGCAUAGGCUUUAGAUCUUGUAGUGUAUCCUAGGUUUAAAGUUUAGGAUGCCUGACUGUGGGAUUAAUUUGAAUAUUAUGUGAACUAGAGGGUCUAUUGUAUCCUACGGGCUAAAGAAAUUGGUUACUUGAGAGUUUCUUACUUGGGACUUGUAGAAAUAAAAAAAAUUGAGGAAUUAGCUGAUGUUAUAUUGAAGAAAAAUAUGGGAUGAGAGAUUAGUAGUGAAAGAUUGGACGAAUUUGAAUUAUUAUUAUACUUGUAAAUGUGGAAAGAAGUGAGACAAUUAUUAGUGCUGGCUAAAGCGGAUAAGAGACCGAGAUUUGAUGGUCAAACUCCAUGUAUCGUGAUUGUGAACCCAGAUGAAAGAGUUUCAAAGGAAUAAAAUGCAUUUUCCUGCUCAUUUACCUCCUAGAGAAUUUAUGCUUUGAAAUUUUAAAGAAAAAAUGAGGAUGUACUAGUUUUAUUUUCAAACGAUGAUUGGAAAUAAUAUAUAUAUGCUUUAAGUAUGUGUAAUUCUUCGAUUUUGGUAAAUAUGUGAAUUUUACUUGAAUUUCAAUUUAAAAAUUUGUGAAUAACUGAUGAGUUUGUUGAAAUUUUGUAUGUGAUGGGCUGAUACAAGGUUAAAAUUUUCUAAACUAGAUUUUCCCCCUUGAUUGUAUACUGGUGUAUUCUCAUACUUGAAUUCAUCUAUGCUUUACAAAAAAAAAAAAAAAAAAUAAUAAUAAUAUCUUGAAUUUUCGGAAGAACGGCGAACUUAUGUUUUUAUAAUGAAAAUCUUGAACUUGAUAAGAUUUUUGUUACUUUAAAUACUCUUCUUAUCUUUUAAAAUUCUUGGUUUUCAAGAAGGGUGAGCCUAUCUUUAGGUGUACGGAUUGAGGAAACUUUGAAAUAUAGAGUAACCGCAUUCAAGAACACGCAGUUAGUGUGAAUUGACUUGGUUUCCAUUUGGCACGUAAGUUAGCAAGUUGUACUUAUUUCUUGGGUUUGAACUUGGAGCUUGAGGCUUUAACUAUAAAACCCUAAAACUAGUUAUUCUUGGAAAUGAUGGUGCUCUGGUUGGUGGCUUGCUUAUUAAAGAUUUUGAACUUCGAAUGGAUAACCUUUGGUUUCCGCUUGUGUUAUGGUUUGAAUGGAUCUAAUUUCGUAAAGGCAUGUGAUCUGAUUGGAAUUAGUGAUAUUCGGACCCAUUGGUUUAAUUAAGAACUUAGGAAGGGUGGUGCACGCCGUGAGACCUUUUGUAUCCCGCUUGCAUAUACUUUUACAUUUUGUGACCCUUAAUUGACUAUAUACAGUAUUUGACAUAUUGGGCUUGUUUUGUGACUUCUUAACUCGUACUAUAACCUUCGAUACAUGUAAAGAAUCAUGUCUUGAUUCUAAAUAUUUUUUGUAACUUGUAUAUGCAUUAAGUUCUUUUAUGAUUAAUUAUUCCUUUUCUUGUGCUUAUAGACUCCUAUUAAGUAUGGUAGCAGGAAUAGGAAAAAGGGGGCGUGGCCGAGGACUUAGACAACCCUGUACUCGUGAGAAAAAUUGAUGGAUAGUCUUAUAUAAUUUAAUGAGAUCCUAGUACUGAAUAUGAAUCGAGAAUAAACCAGAAGAUUAGAUCUACCCGUGUAUAAUGGAUUAACCUAGUUGGGAACUUAGUGAGAUUUUCCUGUGUGAAAUUUUAAUAGCUGCUUUAUACGUAUAUUAUGAUUGGUCCUGUGGCCAUAUUUCAACUUUUGUGAAAGUUUGAACUCCAAAAGUAUUUCGUGGGUUUGGUGAGAUGAUUUGAACUCAUUACCAAUUUGUUCUACUUGAUCAAAAGCGCUUUCAAUUUUACUUGACUAAUACUAUACCCAGAUUCACUUGUUUUACUUUUCACAAUAUAUAUAUAUAUAUAUGUAUACACAUUUUGAACUCGUUUGAGACUCGAAAUCAGAUAGAGUUCAAGUUCGAAUCUUUCUUAGGAACAUGAAUGCCUAUUUGUUAUGAAUCAAAUAUUAGAAAUGAUCGGGUUUUAUGUACCAGUAAAGUUAACUCUUGGUUGGAUAAAAGGGUGGUAAAGGUAUUGGAUCACAGGUUAUGCGAAUAUGAACCUACAUGUUUACCUAUCUUUCUUAAAGGUAUUUUCUAAAAUAUACGCCUUACUCGAACAUAGAUUUAACUCGAAACUUUGAGGAAAUGUGUUGGAACACCCUCCAUGUAUAUGUUAUGAUUAUUAUGUAUAUGUUUUAAAAAUCAUGCAUUAAGUUGCAUGAUUAAUAUUCUUAAAUCUAUUUGAGAGAUUUUAAAUAUGUAUUGAUGAUUGUGGUUAAACAUUAUUUGAAAUCUCUUACUAAGAAAACUUAGUUUUGGGUCGUGAAGAAAAUUUGUAUCUUUAACUCUAAUUUUGAAAAUUUUGAAUCGCAUUUUGCCACAGAUACAUUCAAAAUACAUCAAAAGUCUUGACCUUAUCUUGUAAGUCAUGAUUGGUUUGAUUUAGACAAAAUUUUGAGGAAAAGGAUUUUGGUCCUGCUAGUGCGUAACAGUUUUUUUGCUAGGAUUAGGAACUUGUUUCAUAUGGCGUGUAAUUUAUGGUUUCACUACACACGGGAGUAAGACCUUAGAAGGGAAGUACAUAUCAUUAUAUCAAGAGGUAUUACUUUAGUUGUGUGUGUGGAUUUUCUUAAGUAUCAUUCGAGGAGAGGGAAGAGUAAAUAUACCUGGAUGACUUAGAUGCGUGAGAAUUUACAGGUUGUGGAUAGUUGAGUUUCAAAUUCUGAUUUGCUACUUAUUUAGAUGCUUGAGCAGUUGAUAGGCUAACAGUCAGGAUUAAGAAAAUGGAUGAAUGAAAAGUUUGGAAGAGAUGCGUAUAGAAAUAGAAGUUCUUCACAAGGAGUUGGAAUUCCAAACUAAAUUGGCUGAAUUCUGGGGAGAAAAAAAAAAAAGGUCGAGAACUUAGAGUUGAAGAUGGGAUCCAAUGUUGAUCGCCAACUUGAGAUAUUAAAAGUUGUGAGAUUUGGGUGAGUGAAAGGAAAUAUUUGAUGGCUUGAAUGAGCCUAACGAUUAAAGACCGGAUGUUAUAUUUGGAAUGGACGCUUGAGACUAUAUAUACAUAGAUUAUUGAGAUUUGAACGAUGAGACUAUUAAGAACAAAUACUCCAUAGCCUCACAUAAACGAGAAUUAUAAUCAAGGGUCAAGAGCAGCGAAUAAGGGAUUUAAAGUAGAGUUACUACCAACCGGGAAUCCUAGAAACUGAUGUGCUUAACCACUUCCAAUUCAAGAUGGGGAUACUUGAAUUUUCAGUUAUGCCAAUUGGGUUGACUAAUGUAUUAGCAGCAAUUAUUGCAUUAAUGCAUCAAGGUUUUAAAUCAUAAUAGGAUUAAUCUGUGAUGGCAUUUAUUGAUGAUGUAUUGAUAUACCCUAAAGUUUGAGAAGAUCAUGAAAAAAAUACCUGAUGGUAGUUUUACAAACCCCGAGAGAACGCUAACUUUUGUUAAGUCCAAUAAAUGUGAGUUCGAUGGGAAGAAAUAGCCUUUCUAAGUUAUAUAAUAUCUAAGGAAGAAAUUGUUGUUAACUCAGCUUAAGUGGAAGCUGUUUAAGAGGAAAUGACUAGAAAAUCCUACAGAAAUUUGGAGUUCUUAGAGGUAGUCGAAUAUUACCUUGGUUUGAUCAGGGACUUCUAAGGAUACGAGACUUGACAAGUUAUUUGAGAUUCUAAAUGUGAGAAAGAAUUUGAAGGUGAAAAUCGUUUAACCAGUGCACUUGUGUUGGCUUUACCGAGCGGAUGAGGUGAUUUUGUGAUUUAUACAGAUGGUUCAAAGGAUGGUUUAGAAUGUAUAUUAAUAAUAUAUGAUGAGGUGAUUGUAUAUGCCUUCUGAAAGUUAAAAUUUUCCGGAAGAAAGUAAUCAACUCAUGAUUUGGAAUGAGUUGGAAAAUGUAAGUCAAUGAUUGAUCUGAUAGGCUUAACCAUGAAGGGAAUGAUAUUGUUCUAAGUAUGAAUUUCGAGGACGAAAUUCCUUUCAAGAAGGGGAGGAUGUGAGGACCCGAAAAUUUUCUAAUUUUUAUAGAAUAUUACUGGAAUAUUUAAAUGAUUAUUCACUCAUUUUCUUCGAAUUAUUUAUUUCGACCAUUUUAAAUCCAUUUAUAUGGAAUGACGCCUCUUUAUAUUUUUAAAGCGUUUUGUUGAAAAAUUCGCUUUUCGAAAAUUUGUUUAGUCCGGAACGACGGGUGCACGUUUUUUUUCUAGGCUAUACUUGAAUCGGGAGUGUAUUAAUAUUGGAGAAUUAAGAACGAUCAAUAAUAGAUUAAGAAAGGUUAAUGGAGGAAUUAAUACUCAAUUCACGUGAGGACUCGUAAAAUUAUUAUUUUUAAAAACCCCUAAUUUUGGCUCAAUUAAUUAUCUAUUUGGAUUUUUGCCCCGAAUAUUAUUUUCUAUCCUUAUUAGACCUAAGUACAUGGUUUUAUAGUUUCGUUAUAUUUUUAAAGUAUCUCGUUUCAAAAAUUAUUUUCUUAUAAGUUUGUUUAGUGAAAAAGUGAAAACGUGUCUAAACACUUUAGCCAAUUGGGAGUACACUAAGCUCGAAAAUUUGGGGAUAUGUACAAUGGUCCUAAAAUAGGUAAAUUUAGGUUUAAGUACUCAAGUGAUAGUUAGUGGUACGAUCGUUAUAAGAAUUUUCUCGAAGGUUUCAUUUUAUUGCACCUAAAUUGGAAAUACGUGUUUUCACGUGCGCGCUUAAUUGAGGGACUUUCGACCAUUAUUUUGGGACAAUUAAGAAUGAAUAAUAUUUAUAUGAAUGUAAGUGCCCUAGAGGUUUAGUGCACUAGUGCAACAAACUUAAGAGGAAUCGAGCAUAAAACGCGCGCGUAUACGCACCUUUUGCGGUUGAUUUUUGUGCCCUUAAAAUAUUAGACGUCAAACUUCAUUUGUACGCAAAAGAAUCAGAUCAAAACAUCCCUCUUUUCCUCUCAUUCUGGCCGAGCAACAGCUGAAGCAAAACACCUUCAAAUUUUGAAAAUUUCACCUCCAAAUCUUGCUCAAACCUCCACCAAAUUCAACCAAAAUUUAACUACACUUAGCUCAACACUUGGGAAGUCCAUCUAGCUGCAAAAGAAAGGAGCUAUCCACGGUUUUCUUCAAGCUUCAAAGGGCCGAAACUUCUGUCUUGACCAACCAUCAAAGUAGGUAAUGAUCUAAUACCUUAAACUUGUCCUAUGGAAGUUAAAUUACACUUAUAAGCUUGAAUUUGCAUAUGGAUUGUGGUUCAUGUUGGAGAAAUUGGAAAAGUGGGCUCUAUGAAUUCCCACUCUUGGGUUGUUGCUGAUUUUGUGCUUGAUGAUGUUUAUAAUGUCGGAUUAGUGUUUAAGUUAGUGGUUUGUUGAAGGAAAAUUGCUGGAAACUCACGUUGGGUGCAAAGGCCAAAUCUGACCAUUUUGCCCCUGCUUUGUUCGGCCACUUUAAUGCAGAAAUUUGAGGAUUUAAUGGCUUGAUUGUGUUGUUUACAUGUUGUAGAAGUUGUGUACAAAUUUUCAUUGAAAAAUGUUGAGUUUUGGUUGAUCAAAAGAAUUUAUUUCCCAAAGCUGGUAAUCUGGAAACGGUUGCCGUCGUAACCAGACCAGUGUUCGUAUUUCGUCUAUAACUCCGUACUCCGACGUCGAAAUCAAGUGUCGUUAGCAGCAUUUGAAACUAGACAUACCCAUCUUUCCAACGGUAUAUAAUGCACGUUCUGGUUCCAUGUGUGUGAACCGCACCACUCUUCUGAAUUCAGCUGCCCUAUUUCUCCAACUCUAGGCUUAAUUUCGAGCCAGUUGCAUGCUGAAACUUAGAACGAUUUCUUCUGUGAAAUUUUAUCCCUAUGAAUGUAUUUUCUAACAGUAUCAACCAUGCCCAAAUCCAAGUUAAAUUGAGUGAGUUAUGAUCAAAAUACGGUGACUGCCUUGUUCUUGAAAACCUUAGAUUUGGACAGAUUAGAUGUGAGACUCGUUGUGGCCUUACCAAAUGAAUUUCUUGGUGCUAAACACCUACCAAAUGUAUCAUGUAUACUCCUUAGACUUUUCUUGCACAAAUGAACCAUGCUUGGAGGUUUUCCUUAGCCGAAUGUUUGGAAACGGAGAGAAAGAGAGCUAAAGGCAGUUUGGCCUUAGUAAUUUUAAACUUUGGUUGAUUGGUUAACCACUUUCCCGAAAGUAUUUUUCCUCGAAAUUUUAUAGAGAGAUACCCUUCAUAUAGGACUAUUAUACUGCAAAAUUUGGUAUUAAUCCAAGUCCGUUUCGACACUUAACUAAAGGUCCAAAGUCGGAACCAAAUCUGGAAAUUUGUUAAUAGUCUUGAAAUUUACCCAACUUUGAGCUACCAUAUCUUGGUUCUCGAAACUCCGAUUCUCGAUCCGCUUGUUCUAUCCUAAACCUUACUUGCACCUCUAAUUGAGCUAUAAAUUUCAAGGGCUGGUUUGCAACGAGUGAAUUCUGCCAAAUUUUCAAAGUUAGCGAAAAACCAACCCCGGCUCAAUCCUGGGUGAUUUGGAACAGUACCUUCAAGCUCAUUUUUGAGCACUUUCCACUUCGAUUCAUGGAAAAGUGUCUUCUAGGAACUUGUAGUACUUUUUAAGAGGUUUCCAACGGUAUAAAUUUUUCCAAUUCUCGACUUAUGCCGAGUGAGUUACGAUUUUUCAAAGAUUCAUAACAAAACUGAAAUUUUCCAACUUUCAAGGAAAUAAGUUUUUCAAGAACUCUUUAUUCUUUUGAUAUUAUCUAAACGUUUUAUCCCCGAUUUCCUAGAUAAAGAUUUAAAUACUUUUGAAAGUUAUCAAACCCCUCUCGAACCUCGAUUUACGAGUAAUUGAGGUUCAUUUUCACGGAAUCCCCUAGAUUAAUACUAGUGAACGAAUUAUUCCUCGAUAUUUGGGAUUUGGAUGAUAUUUCACUAUUAUUUGCUCAGGCGCACACGAGGACCUUCAAGAGGAUCCCACGGUGGACGCUUGAACUUUCCUUGACCUUACUUACACCUAAUACUUGGUGAGUGUCAGGUGUAUGUAAACUUGUUACAUGUUUAAUUGUUAUUAAUGAUUGGAAAUCUUGAAAGUGGAGUCGAGUGUGUACUUUACCACACUCGUUCUCAUUAGAAAUGAAAUAUUAAUGGUUGAAAUGUAUUGAAUGAAUGAUUGAAAUGCAUUGAAUGAAUGAUUGAAAUGUAUUGAAUGAAUGAAUGAAAUGUAAUGGUAUGCUAUAGUUGCCUACGUCGUUGGAGUGAAUCUCCUCGACACACAAUUGCACAUGGGGACGCCCAAAUCUCAUUGACCGACCUUGGACUCGAGCCGGCAUGGGCUUGGUCGGGAACCUUGGCGAGUCAUGAGAUAUAUAAGCUUGACCUAGUGAGAGGUCUUGCUUGGCAUACUCGAGUAGUAUCGCCACAAACAAAUGACAGGCGGGCCCGAUACAGGGGUAUGUAAGGUGAAAGGGGACAGGUUAAGUGGAGUUCUACGGACUAAACCUACCCGAUUGACGGAGUGUCAAUUCGUGGAGGUUAUUGAAUGUGCAAGUGGAAUAUAGCUCCUGAGGGCUCCAGUAUCCUUGAAUUGUUUCUGGUUAUAUUUCCAGUAAAUUGUUAAUUACUAAAAUAUGAUUGCUUGACUUGUAAAUUGAGAUUGUUAUUUGAGCAAUGUGCUUGUAUGUGUGUUCUUGGCCUCACGAGCAUUUUUGCUCACCCUGUAGAUUUGUUUUCCUUAACAGGAUUGAACUUGGCGAGGUAUCGAAGAAACUUUCCUGCUACGCUUUUGUUUAGGGUUUCUGUUACUUUUGACUUUGUCUUGGCUUUUGGGUUGUAUUUUAGAAUCCGAAUGUAACUUUUGGAGCAUGAUGUAUAUUUGGGAUAUAUGAUGGUUGUUGAACACCCGAUGUGCGGGUUGGAUAUCAGAUGACUUUUAUUAAACUUGAACGCUUCCGCAUUUAUUUUAUCUAAGUUAUUGACUUGUAUGGUGUGGUCCGGCAAAAAGUUUAAAUGGAAUUGCUUGAGUCCUGGCGAGAGCUAGGCAGGCGUCCCGCGGAUACCCUUUGGUUCGCCUUAGGGAGAAGUAGGGGCGUCACAAGCUUUCCAUUUGGUUAUGUUAAAGUAGGGUUAAAGUAAGGAUGAAUUCUGGAAAUUUUCUGAGCAGGAAACCCCAACCAGUGUUCACGUUUUAGAUCAUAACUUUCUAUCUGGGAGUUGAAAUUGAGUGUUGUUUGUGACAUCCAAAACUAGAUUCCGAGAGCUUUCCGUCGGUAUAAAAUACAUCUCCUAACUCGUUUCCUAUGAGCCGUAGUGAACCGGCAAAGAUGACUGAAUUUCCUCACUGCUUGCAUCCGAGAAACAGUUCUAAUUGCAGUUUGUAGCUCAAUUUUGCCUAUCGUGCAAACUGAAUUUUAAGACAGUUCCUUCUAUUGAAUUGUAGCAUUUUGAAUCUAGUUUUCAACACCAUAAACUAAAUUUCGAGUUCUGUAGCCCUAGUUAUGAUUGAAUUUUGAAACUCUGUCAAGCCUUCAAAACUGGAAAUUUCGAAAAUAGGUUCCAAAAUUCAGUUUUCUUAAAACCAUUGUAUCUUGGUGUAGAAAGAUCCAAAUUGAGUUCCGUUUAUUGUAUUUGAAACUAGGUUUGGAGUUUUAAUUGUGAUAUAAAUUUCAAGGGCUGAUUCUAUUUCUAAAAAUUUUGCUAAAUUUUCAAACUUCAGUGAAUUUGCAAGCCUGUUUUGCUCUGUCUUGUCUAGAACAGUGACUUUGAGCUAAAAUUUGAAUGACUUCUAAUUGGAGUCUGAGAAAAGUGUCUUCUAGAGUUCUUUGAGUCUAGUUUCUAACGGUAUAAAGUUUUCAAAUUUUGGACUUUCGAAACUCGAGAUACAAUUUUUCAAGUAGGGCCGCGCUAAGCUGGAAAUUUUCUGAUUUCAAACAAAUACAUUUUUUAAGAACAUUCCACCUUCCUUUGCGAUUGUUGGACUGUUUCAAGUGUAAUUUUGUGGUUGAAUACAUGCUUUCUUUGGAACUUUAAAUUUUCAUUUUCAAUCUUGGUUUCUAAAGGUUAAACCUCUCUUGAUGCAUUUUCUUGGUCAUAUAACUCCCUUGAUUUAUAGCACCUCUCUUCAUAUUUGAAUUAGGGGCUUCAACCCCUGGUUUUAUGUCCUCGAUUUUCAUGAGUUUGAACUUUUAAAAAGGGAGCGUUUGACUAUAGUAAAUCUUGGAGAAAUUUCACUAGUUUUAUACUCAAAACUUAGUGCCUUAGUCUUGACAUUUACUAUGAAAUGAGCGGAGUUUUGGAUGGAUUUUGACUCCAUUAGUUUGGAAAAUGUGAACGUUCUUUAUAUUUUAACUUUUGGGACAUGAGAUUUGAAGUUUUGGGAGAUAAGCCAUCUACCCCUUUUUUUUCUUGAUUUUCGUGUGAAAAGUGAAAACAGUACUUUCUUUUAGAAUUGAGAUUUCUUACCAUGACUUGAAUCAAAAACGACCUCUGAGCUCUCUUUGAGCAUUAUUCCAAUGUUUGAGCUAGAAAAACUUCUUUAACUUGACUCGAACUUGUGAUUUUGAGAGUGGGUAGCGAGAAAAUGUCUUUCUUUUUAACCUUGGUCAAGCAUCGAGGUAAUUAUGAUUGUACAUGUCUCAAGUGGUCACGAGGACGCCGGAGAGCUCGUCUGACUUCUCGCUUCACUCUGGUUUUUGCCCUUGACUUAUAGUGAGUGUCAAGUGCAUGUUAAAUACUUAUAUGUUUGAAAUGAUAUGUGUACAAAUACUAUAUAUGAUACGUGAACUUGUCGAAACGAGAGUGUACUUUAUCACUCUCGUUCUCUCUCUCCUGAUUACAUAAUACUUGUUAAAUGAAUAUAUAUGACUUGCAUUUGUGCAUGAACAUGUUUAACUCGUGAGCACUGAGUGGAAGCAUGUACCACACCCUGUUCAGGUGGGAGGUGCCUCUCAUAUCGACUCAGUGCUACAAUCGAUUCUCUGAGCGGAAGUAUGUACCAUACCCUGUUCAGGUGGGAUGUGUCUCUCAUACCGACUCAGAGCCAUAAACAAUUCUAAGUCGCUUGGAGUGAUGUCUCAUCGACUACUUAUAUUUCUGGGGGGCACCCCAACCCAUUAGCUAGCCUUGUAACUCAAGCCGGUAAGGGCUUGGUCGAGAAGUUUGGUGAACCUUAGAGAAUAAUAGCUUGAUCUUUUGAGAUCUCGCUUGGCAUACUCGAAUAGUAUCGCCACCCCUUACAUGUUUGGUUCCGAAUUCGAGUGGAUGUUAUGUUGGAUGGAGGAAGUAAAUGAAGCACUAUGGUCGUGUUACUACUUGGGUUGACGGAGGGUCAACCCUCGAAGGCUCAAUUGAUCGAGACGUGGGAAUAGCUCCUGAGAGCUCCUGUAUCCUUCUUGUGUGCUAAAUUCCUACUUGUGCACUUAAGUGAAACGUCGUGUUUAUAGUUGCUUUUAAGCAUGCUAUUUGAUUGAUUGGUGUUACUUGCUUGCCUAUUUAUUUUCUUGGCCUCACUAAGCGUUCGCUCAUCACUUUAAGUUUGUUUUCCUUAACAGACUUUGGAGGUGGAUUAGAAGACCUAGACUAGUGAUUUGGUGGAAGCUAGUAUCUUUGUAUGAACUUUUGGUGACUCUUAAAAUGUAAUUUUGUUACUUCUAGUUGAUGAAUUAUAAUGAUAACUUUUACCUUAGAAGUUGUGACUUGUAGAUUCCAAGUACUCUUUAUUUAGUUGUUGGAUGUCUCGUGGCUCUAUAUUAAGUUUGAACGAAUGCAUGAGUCCUGACAAGAGUUGGGCAGGCGUCCUGCUGAUACCUUAGGGUUCGUGUAGACACCAAAAUUUGGCUUUAGUUUUUUUUAAAAUUUAAUUUAAUUUAAUUUUCUAAUCUUUAUCGAUAUUUAUUGUUUUUGUUAUUUUUGUUUUACUAAUCUCAUUUUUAGACGUUUUAGCAUAAAAUUGAAAAAAAAAAGAAAAGAAGAAAGAAAAGAAAAGAAAAGAAAGAAAAAAAGAGUCAAGUCAUGCAGCAAAAAGAAAAGUCAAUUAAAAGAUACAUGGAACUAUUUUUGGAGGAUGGGAUCUGAGCCUUUCAUAUCAGGUUUAGUUUUGGGGUGCCCUAAAAGAGAAAAGGGCCGCAAGGGGUGCGAAUUAGAGGGAGAGCUACGGGGGGUUUCUUGAAGGGGCUUACGGCUAGAAAAACAGGGAAAAAGGGAGAGAAGGUUUCGGUUGGGCUUAGGGGUAAAGAAAACAGCACAAGAACAGGGGAAUAGAAAGGCAAUAGAGGCGGCAAAGAAAGCAGAGGGAGAACUAGAGAGGGGCGGCUGGAAAAAGGGGAGAGUUUCGUGAGGCAGGGGAGCUUCAUCUGGGGGGCGGCGCAGCAGGGAGGAGGAAGAAAAGACUAUCGGGCGAGAAAACAAGAAAAGGGAGAGGGCAACAAAAUGAAAGGAAGGAAAACGCAAGGGGAAAACAGAGGUGGGGAGGCUUCGGCUUCAAUGAUUGGCGCGGAGAAAAGUUUCCAACCACAGCAACCAUCUCAACUCCAUCCGCUGCCUGCCCAGACUCCUCCUCAAGCUAUCAGCCCAAGUUGCCAUUGACCCGCAUCCGCCGCCUCUGUCUGUGCCAAGCCCAAAGAACUCAUCCUCGGCAACCUUUUUAAUUCUCGGUGAAGAGGACGAGUACAGCCAUGGUGUCGAGAGUCUCAUUAGCUUCUUCUUCACCUGCUUUUCUUCCGUGGACGACUUGAGCAGCAACAGCAGCGAAGAUUGCCAAUUCAACCGUCGACCACCACCAGCACUGCCACCGUCCAGCUUCGAUUCAACUUCAGAAACCGAGAGCCCUGUAAGUUUCCUCUUAAAAUUUCAGUUCUUUUUCAGCCACUGAAAUGGGUCUACCGUGGCACUAUUUAGUGCAGUUUUCCUGUUAAUUGUCUGAAAUUGUCAAACAUACAUGUUUUAUGUAUCGAUUAGAUUGAAUGUUCUUGGGUUGCUGAUAAAGUUUUGGACUGAUUGUCCUUGGUUUUUGACAAAUUUCUGAGCCGAUUUUGACUUCAAUUAAGCAAAGAAUCAUUGAUUUAUCUUUUGCUCAUUUGCUGCUCGAUGAAAUGCCCAACCGGGGGUUCAACUUCAAAGACAAAUUAAUUUCUGUUUUGUAUACAUUCGGCCAAAUCACUUUCUUCACAUUUGAAAAUUUAUGAUGCAUUUGCUGUAUUUCAUUUCUUUCCGUUUCGUAUGAUCCGGUUGAAUGAACUCGAAUUGAUAUUGUAUGAGAGGAGUUUUUGGGUGAUUUUCUUUUUUGAUUGAGAAUGGCUAGAAUUUUGGUUUUGCUCUGGUUCUAAGAACGACAGAAAUGGCGAAUUGAUGUCUAUGUUUGGGAGAGAAGACCGUUGGUCUUAAACGUCCAUUUCAGUUCCUCUGUUGUCGCUUUGUUUUGCAAUUUGCCUGAGAAUUGCUGAACUUCAUAAUUUUAUCCCCCAAACUGUUAUAAUUCAUUCAAUUGGGUCCCUGCUUUUGUUAUAUUUGAACCCCUCAGGCUGCCCUUUGUUCCGUCUCGGCCCAGAAAAUUAGAUACUUUAAUCAAUUCUGUCCCCUUAAAUGUUUUCUUCCAUGAUAUAAGUUAAUGUGUUUUUUGGAUAGAUUAAUUCUGGGGAUUUAAUGCUUAAUCAAAGUUUUAGUAAUUUCUAGUGGGGAUUUCAUCUUGAUUGGGUUUAAUAACAUUUGUUUGGAUUUCUUGUUGGGCCUAAGAAGCUUGAAAUUCAAAGCUUUUGGUUGGGUUUUAGGAUUGGGUUGUUGACUAAUUUGGUUGAGUUUUAUUUGAUAGAAAUGAUAGGUUGGCCCAUCUCAUUUGUUUUGGAUUUUCGGUUGGGCUAGGAAGGGUUUGGCCCAAACGAACAAAUAAAAUGGCCCACACCCUUUUUGUUCUGAAUUUCCGUUGGGCUGGUAAGCUUUGGCCCAAACAAAUAAAGGAAAUGGCCCAAUGGCUUGAUCCAUUAAGAAACCAGAAAACGAUUUUGCAAAUCAGUCCCUGAGUUUCUCCUUAACUGUACUGUGGCCCUGGACAUUUUCAACUUCUUUCAAUUCGGUCCUCAAUUUAAUUGCAAAUAGGUCCCUGAACUUUAUUUUUCUUUAAUUUUGACCUCCAAAUUUUGUCAAUCUUUGCAAUCAGGUCCUUUCUUCUCUUGACUUCUUAAGUGUGGAUUGUUGACAUGAUUUAAUUGAUUCAAAUUCAUGCUUAUUUUUUAUCCUUUAUGAUUAUUUGCCAAAUAAAUUGGUACCUUGACUUUUUUAUUGUUUUGAAGCUAAUAUCUCAUUUACUCGAUUUCCAUUGCAAGGGAGGUAACUUCUAUAUUCUUGAGUUUAUUUUUCCUAUGUGAUCCAACGUGCUAAGUGUGAAUUGCAUGUCUACAUUGCUUUCCUUGCCUUUCUUUAAUUCCUUUCAUUUAUUUCAUUUACUUUUGCCUUUUAUUUAAGUUAUUCAUUAUGGGGUAUGUGUACACCUCUUGGCUUGUAAUAGAUAGGGCUUGGAGGAGCAUUCGAUGAAGACCUGUUGAAGACAUGUGCCUAGCUAGCAAAUGUAAUAGUUAGGGCUUCAAUUGCUUCAUGUGUCUUGCAUGCUUAGUUGCUAUGUGUUAAUUUGCUUUAUUAGGUUCUUGCAUCUAGUCGAGCAUGCUAAUUGUUAUGUGCUAUGUGUUUAUGGGUGUUUGGCAUGUCUAAUCGCUUUCCAUAGCCAUGAAUGAAUGUGAUGGAUGAAUGUACGUCACCACACUAGUCCAAUGCUAGUUGUGGCUCAUUAUUUCAUUAGGAAUUCAUAGAAAGGGCUAGUCCAACGCUAGACCCAAUAGGCCAUCCCCUUUUGUUAGUGCAUAUUUGCAUGUCCACUACAUGUCAUGCAUUUUUCUUAGUUUUAUCAUUUGGCAUGCUCCUCGAGCCCCUUUUCCCCUCAUUUUAGGAUUUUUGCACCUCAUACUAGGUAUAGGGUACAUUUGCCUGAAGAGUCCCCUUAAAUAUGGGAUAUAGACGAGUGUGGCUUUUUCUAAGCCUUAGCACGCUUAUAUUCCCUCUAUCAAAGGAAAAAUCAAGUCACAAAGUUAAGAGUCCCCGUACCCGUUUUGCUUGCAUUCCCAUAGGAUUCAUGCAUUUCAUUCAUUCACUAUCACUUACUUUAUAUUCCAUUCCUCUUUCUACAUUCUCACUUCACACUACUUUCACACUACUUUCUACAUUCUCACUUCACACAUGCACCUUAUGGCAUUUUUUACCUUAUUAUUCUUUACUUACUUUACCUUGCAAAGACAUUUGCACACCUCCACUUAUAUCUUAUUACUUUUAUCAUUUUUCUCACUUCACACAAACUCACACUUUCACAUGGCAUGCAUUCCACUCAUUUUUACGUCAUUUAGGAUUACGUGUGACCUCUCCAAAGGAUCAUUAUUGGGCUUCACAAUUAAUGUGAUUGGCACCCCUCAACCUUUGAAGAGAAAUUUCCCCCAUGUCCCCCUAGGUCUAGGUUUUUGCAUUCAUAUAGACAUAUCCAACACGCGAUACAUACCUUGGGUAGAAAAAUUAGGAAAAAUUGGUUUAAGUCACGCAACUAGCCUUGGCUAGGUCGAAGGGGUGCAUUGGAUUUUUUAUCCUUGCCUUCCCCUUCGUCAAAUGUGACCCCCGAUCCCUCUUUUGGUUACGUAGACCCAAAAGUUCUCUAAAAGGGUUUAUUUACUUUUUUCAUUCAAAAACAAAAAUCAUUUUUGGGUGACUUGGUACACCCUAACUCUAUACCAAGUGGCGACUCCAUUUUUUAAAAAACCCUUUUUGAACUUUAUAUGGCCAAACCGUCGCUUUAUCAAGUCCCAUGGCCUUUAUUUUCAUUUUGCACACGUUCACACCACACAUUCACCAUUCGAAAAGUGGGGCGCGACAGUUCGCCCUAAGGAGAGGUGGGGGCGUCACAAAUUCUUUGUAAGUAGAUUUACAAGAAAAGAAUCUGAUUAUGAUUGUAUAUCAGAACAGCAAUUGUUCGAUAAUUUUUAUAUUGGAUUGAAUGAGGACUUGCUGAAUGCAUACAAUAUUAUAAUAUAAUCAUAUACAUGAAAUCAUAAAGGGUUUUUUUGCGUAUGAGAGUAAUGGGACAAGGAAAAUUUUUUACUUAUGGAGAACAUCGAUUGUUUGAAUUAGAUUAGAAUGAAAAAUUAUUUUUCUGUAUGAUAUUUAUCAAAAUGCUCUGUGUAUGGUGAAUUAGAAGUGUUUUAGAUCACAUCCAAAAAUAUUUUAUAAUAAAAUUGCCAUUGAUAUAGAUGAAAUUUUGUCAUACAAACGUUGAACUGAUCUAUUUAAGAGGGUGACCAUCAAUGAUUUCACAUUUGACAAUCAAUGAGUUAUUUUUAUAAUCAAAAUUUGGUUAUCAUGUUCGAUGGUCAUAUUGAUAUAACAAAAUUGCACGAUCAGAAAUUGCUAAAUAUCUGUAUAAGUAAAUAAAUAAAGGAGAUGAUGGAGUAGAUGUAUAUAUUGAGAAUAACGUUGUACUCCUAAAUGAAGGUGAAUAGAGUCAUUAUAAAAUUGUUGACGAGAUUAAACAAUACCUUGAUUAUUGGUAUUUAUUACUAAUUGAAUCAUACUGAAAGAUAUUUGAUUUCAAAAUGUAAAAAUAGUAUCCCUUUGUGAUUAGAUUGCGAUAUCAUCUUCUUGAUCAUCAAUUUGAUUUUUAAUGAUAAUGAUUAUCGUUAUGAUGUUCUUGAUCAUGAAAAUAUACAUGAAACAAUAUUAACCAAAUGAAUCAAACCAAUAGGAAAAAUAUUUUGAUUAGAAAUUUGACUUUUGUUGAGUUCUCGAGUAAAUGGAUCUAAAAAUAAAAUAUAUAACAAUGGGAGCCCAAAUUUGCCAGCAAGUGAAUUAGAAGGCUGUUAUAUACAAAUCUGCAUUCUAAUGAACGCUAUUAUUUACGAAUGUUACUUUAUAAAAUUUAUGGAAUUCAAUGUUUUUAACAUAUUAGAACUAUUGAUGGGAUUGUAUAUCCGACUUUCAAUGCAGCAUGUGUUGCACUUGGUCUUCUAAAUGGUAUUGAUGAGUGAAAUAAAACUUUAACUAAAACAUCUACAGAAGAAUUGUGAGGUAUGUACUAUACUAUACUUAUAUAUUAUGAGAUAAGUAACUCCUUUGAUAUAUGCAACACUGCAAGAAAAGUAUGACAAAUGAUUUACAAUAUAAGAUCACAAAAGAUAUAGAAAGCCUCUAAAUUCGUAUUGACGAUGAUGAAUUAUAAAAUUUGAAAUUAGUUGAAAUUAUACUCAUUUCAAACAAAAAUGAUUUCUCUCUACGAGAUUUUUCACCGAUGCCAUUACUGUUUUUUAAAAUUCCUCAAUUUUUCGUGAAUAGAUUUGUAAGAGAAGAAUUUAAUUAUGAUCGUAUAUCAAAACAUUAGUUGUUCAAUAAUUUUUAUGUUGGGUUGAAUGAGAAUCAACUUUAAGCAUAUGAAAGUGGUGGGAUAGGGAAGAUUUUUUAUUUUUGGAGAGCAUCGAUUGUUUGAAUUAGAUUUGAAUGAAAAGUUAUUCUUUCAGUUGAAUCAUAAAUACUGUUGCCGGGCAGAAGAACAUGACAUUUGCUUUUCAAAAUUCUCAUUGAGUGUGUUUGGACUGCAAAUUUAUCUCAAAUAAUAUUUCACUUGCAUUAUAAACACAUUUCUCAAUUCAUCUUUUUAUAUUCCCAACUACUUUUUAUCUCACAUACAUCACAUCACAAAAAAGUGCUACAGUAAUUAUUCCAAAUAAUAGUUCAAAUAAUACUUUAUUCAAACACAUUCAUUAAUUUGGAUGACAUAUCGAGUUGUUCAAUUAAUAAAAAUUCUGAUUUAGCCAAAUUAAUUAGAGAGACAUCUCUAAUAAUUUGGGAUAAAACUCUAAUGGCAUACUGAUAUGAAUUUGAAACUAUGGAUAGCAUAUUAAAGGAUAUCCUAUGACGCAGUGAUGAUCAUUCUAAGAAUCAUAUUUUUGGAGGAAAACUAUUCGUUCUUGGCAGUGAUUUUCAGCAAACAUUAUCCAUUAUUCCUAAUGGUAUGAGAGAAGCAACAAUAUCAAUUAUAAUAAAAGGAUCUCUAUUUGGGAUCAGUAGACAGUGUUGUAUCUCAAAAUAAAUAUGCAAGUAAUGGGUUCAAAUGUUUCUUGAAAUACGCUCCAACGAUUGUCAUAUUUUACAAAUUGGCUAUUGUUCAUUGGUGAAAGAAUGUACAAGCAAUUUCACUUAUAGAAUUUAUGAAAGUAAAUUGGAUACAGUUAUCAUCUCAAUUUAUCAUAAAAAAUAACAUCCAAUCUUUAAUGCGGCUAAUAGAUUCUGCUAUCUGAAUUUGGAAAAUUCAAAUAAAGUUAGUACUUAUCUUAGAGAGCUACAAUUUUGAUUCCAAAAAAUAGUGAUAUUGGUAGACUAAAUGACAAGUUGAUGUCAAUGCUUCCCAAUCAAUUCCAUCCAUACAUGAGUGUCAAUAGUUUUUGUACGACCGAAUGAGACAUUGUUUUUGCAGUCGUUGAAUUUUUUUGGACUUCCAAACCAUUGUUUGUAACUUGAAAAAUAAGCACUCAUAAUUCUUUUGAAGAAUCUAAAUCACUCAAAGGGCCUUUGCAAUAGAAUGUGACUAAUCAGUAUCAGAUUGGGAGAUAAAAUCAUUGAAGCAAAAGUUAUAACAAGAUCCAAUGUUGGAGACUUAGUAUUGAUACCUCGAAUCUCUUUAAUACCUCAGAUUAUAUGCACUUCUUUCCCAAUUAAAAGGAGACAGUUUUCGAUGAAAGUAGCAUUUCCAAUGACUAUCAACAAAAGUUAACAUCAAACAUUAUGCAAUGUUGGUGUUUAUCUUACUAAACUCGUGUCUUUUCAUGGUCAACUUAAUGUUGCUCUUUCUUGUGUAAUUUCAUCAUUUGGAUUGAAAGUACUCAUUGUUAAUAGAGAUAGUGAUCCAUGGGAUAAUACAAAAAAUGUUGUAUAUUGAGAGGUUUUUUACAACCUUUUCAUAAAUCAUAGACAUCACUUUGUAAUAAAAAACUGUAGUACAUUGCCUUUAUAUUUUAUAUACUGUAGAUGAAUGACAUUUUCAUGCUCGUUUGUAACUUUUGCAUUUUAUUUUAUUGUUUGUGGCAAUGAUAGUAAUCAAACAAUUAACUAAACAUAUUCCAUAAAAUGCAAGUAAACAUAAAACACCUAAAAUUUACAAAUUAUGCAUUUAAAUGAAGCACAACUAGCAAUUAAAGAAAAGAAACAAUUGUAAUUGAGAAAUUAAAAAACUAAUAGGGACUAAAUUGCAAAAAUAGAAAGUUUUGGGGUCAAAAUAUUAUUCUUCAAAAGAUUAGAGGUCAAAAUUAAAUAAAAAUAAAGUUUAGGGGCCAAAAUUCAAUUAAGUUGAGUGCUUGAAUAAAAGAAAUCCAAAAUUUUAGGGCAACAAUAAAAUCACUCAAACGAUUAGAGGUCAAACAGUAAAAAUCGUUUCUAAUUUAUGAAAAUUGCAUACAAAAUAAAGUUAGGCCAUGUCUUAAGCAUUUGGGCCGUACCACCUUGGCCCAAAGAAACAAAGUAAGUUAUCCUAUUGAAAAGAACAGACCAGUCCAAUUCAUUUAAACUAAUUUAAACGUAAUAAAGAUAUCAGGUUUAAACUCCAAAACUCAAUCACAAACCCAAGCAAAAGAUAAAACAAUAGUCAAUUUCUUUUAACACAAACAAGAUCCAAUAUCAGCUAUAUAAUUUGGGAAGAUCAAAACAAAAAAGGCAAAACAAGGCAAGGAAAAAUUAAGAGGAAAAACUACCGACUAAACCAAGAAAUGUUCCCAGAAGCUGGAAUUUCAAAGAUUUCUAACUUCAAAUUUUUACAUGAAGAUGAUUUUUACAACAUAGUGAAUGUAUCUAUGUGACGACCCCACUUUCCCUUAAGACAAACCAGAGGGAUCGGCAGGUCGCUUACCCAACUCUCACCAGGACUCACUAAUACCUCAAGACAAGAAGUACGAGUAGAACAUUCAAUGACACCAAUAAAUACUAACUAUUACAAGCCGAAAUGUUCAUUUCCAAAAUGUCUUAAUACAUAAUUCAAGAUUCAGCUUACAGCCCAAAAGUACAAAAUACAAAAUAUACCAAGUGUUGGCACGUUCACGACUCUCAGGGUGCUAACACUUUUACUCCUGUUAAGGAAAACAAACAUACAGUGAGCUUUCGCCCAAUGAGGUUCUAAGAAAAUCAUGCAGUCAAACCAACAAGAACAUUUAAUUCAAGACUAAUUCAAGAAAGAAUAAUUCAAUACUUAAAGCGCAAGUUAAGAAGUAACAAUCCAAUUCAAGGAUACAAGGGCUUCCAAAAGCCAGAUCCAUGUAGCUCGGACAUCUCGCAAGUGGUUGACACUCAGUCAACAUUUAUCAAACCAAUAACUGUAGAACAACACUUUACUUCAAUUCCCGUUCACACCCCCUAUACUGGGCCCGCACGCCACAAUAAACAGUGGUGGUAAUACUCGAGUAUACCCAAUUAAUCGAGAAGAUAUCAUUCCAGUAGACAAAACAAUAAACCCAGGAUUCGUUAUCUAAUCGACCAGAUCUUUGCCGAGUCGACUCGAUUAACUAGCCAACAGGGUUUUGGAAUUCAUGUUGAUGUGACAACAGCCCAACCAACCAAUCAAAUAGUCAUAGAAGAAUAGUUCACAAUAAAGAGUCAAAGGGACAACAACCCAAACGACUAACAGGACAAGUACAAGGAAGAAAGAGUGUGAGGAUCCGAAAAUUUUCUUAUUUUCGUCAUAUAUUACUGGUUUAUUUAAAUAGUUAUUCACUCAUUUUCUCCGAAUUAUUUAAUUCGACUACUUAAAAUCUAUUUAUAUGGAAAAACGUCUCUCUUAUGUUUUAAAGCAUUUUGUUAGAAAUUUUACUUUUCGAAAACUCGUUUAAUUCGGAACAACGAGUACAUGUUUUUCGAGACUACAUUUGAAUCGAGAGUGUAUUAAUUUUGGAGAAGUAAGAAUGAUCAAUAGUAGAUUAAGAAAAGUGUGACAGCCCCACCUCACCCUAAGGCGAACCAAAGGGUUCAGCGGACCGCCUGCCCAGCUCUCGCCAGGACUACGGAGUCGAAUCACACAAAUCCGAUAUUACGCGAGAGAACCCAAAAGAAAUGAGCGAUUGAAGACCGCCAAGCUUAAACAUGGAGAAAACGCUUUCAUAUAUACAUGUCACUAGGUUUACAAUUCAAAUGGAACCAGUGAAACGAAAUACAUUUAGGGUUUGCUCAUUCUCGAGGAGCUAUAAAAAAAACAAAAGAUUUUCUAACUAGCUCAACUCGCUUCUCAAAAUCAUGAUUUCCAAAAGAGGUUCCUGUAAGGAAAACAAAGAUAACGAGGAGGGGGCGAGCUUACGCCCAAUGAGGUACCAAACAUGUAGCAGAAAAAUCAGGUAGUUCACGUUAUACAAACCAGAUACACAUGCUCGCUAUAAAGUAAGACAGGUAAACACAAGAACUCAAAUAGGAAGGAUACAGGUGGCUCUCAGGAGCCAGCUUUCCAGCGCAGUACUUGAUCCAAGCCGGUUGACUCUCCGUCAACGUAUAUAGAACCAACACGUCCGUAGACCCCACUUUACACCAAAUUCCGUCCACCAAACACCCCUUUACCGGGCCCGCUCACCUUAACAGAAACAGAAAUGGUAAUACUCGAGUAUACCCGGAAUCAAGGGUCUCAAUACCCAAAGAUCCCAAAACAGACUACCGUGGUUCGUUAUCUAAUCGUCCAGGCCCUUGCCGGCCCGACUCGAAUAACUUAGCCACAGGAUUUGAGCUCAUAGGUCACAGAAAGGUCGUUGGUUACCAGCUUCCAAACGACGUCCGAACAGAUGCAGACACAGAUAACAGAUUCAAAUUUUGCAUAGUAAAUUGGCAUAUGAACAGACAAGAGAACGAGUGUGAUAAAGUACACCCUCGUCUCAAACAAAUUAAACAGAUUGCAGAGCAGAAAUCAAGUUAAACAGCAAUGGAGGGGAGUGGUACACUCACGGGUUCAAGUACAGAUACCUCAAAAGUUUUCACUUCGGAUUGGCUUUAAUCACCAAGAAACCCUAAAAUAAUCAAAAUAAACCAAUUGAAGGUUUCACAUCCAGAUUCGAGUAAACAAAAUACACAUGUGAGGCUCGACUACUAGUCGUAUGCCUCGCCAAAUAAUUACUAAUGCAAGGGUACAGAACAUGAUUUUUGGGAAUAAAAAGGUAACAUGAAGACCUAGGUUCAACAACCCAAAAGCCCUUCAUUUCUAUCACAAGCCAAUUCAAACUUAAAGGAACCAAUUGGCCUAGAAAAAUUGGACAGCACUUCCCCUAAAUUUCUUACUUUUCCAGCCAUCACGGCUUCAUUAUUUUCCUCAAUCAACUCCCAAAGUCAUACUCAAUAUACAUUCAUCACCACAGCCAUUCAAUAGGCUCAAGGUUAUCCAAGUACAAAAGUUAGCUAGGAAAAUGACCGGAAAUAAAAGUCAAGCCCUAGAAUAUUCCAAUAAGCACAAGAAGACUCGAUUACAAGUCAUAAACCGAUGCCAACACGAUCACAAUAGGGUUCCAUAAGCAUAUAUAAGCAUUAGAGGAAACCAGAAAUUUCGGAAAUGUAACUAGCUUUGGCCCUGAAAAAACAGUUUUUGUCCUCAUUUUGCGGUAAUGGCACAAAUUUCACUACGCCUAUUGGAUGAGGGUACAAGACCCACCAUCUCGAAGCUAAAAGACAGGGCUACAACAUCACAGAAGGUAACUCAACCCAGUUUUGAGUGCAAACAGGUCAAAACUGCAAGAUACUACAUCAACAACGUAAAACAGAUUCACCAAAACGUAUUCUAGCGGAAACAUCAUAACUCAGGCUCUACAAGUCCAAAUCCAGAAAUUCCAAAACCAGAUGAAAUCUAAGAAACAGGGAUAAAUUUCAUCAGAAGGCCUCAACAACCAAUUCGGAAGCAAUUCCAGGUAAAACAACCAAUUACAGGCGCAGUUCUCAAUUUCGGGUAAAACCAGAACAGCAAUAGUAAUUUCGACUUAUAUCAUUCUACACUACUCCGAUUAACCUGAAAUUUUGUAGGAACCUCUAAAAUGUCAUUACCUACAACUUUCAUGUUUUGAACUAAGGCCAAUUCGGCCUCUAUAUAGGACCUAAAAAUUCGGACAGAAUGCUUCCUUAAGAACCCUAGGUUUUUCAAUUUUCUUCCAAAACAGAAAUUGGUUGCAAUUAAUCACUUUUCCCACCUCUUUAAGUCAUUAUAGACCAUUUCCAAUCAUCAUAGAUAGCCACACAAUCAUGCUUAUAUUAAAACAGAAAAAUCCCCAAAAAAUAUAAAAGUUCAUCAAUUCAACCACAACUCAAAAUAUAAUCCAUAAAAUGGCAUCUCAUACUACCACUAAGCAUGAUUUAAGCAUCAAUCAAGGAAGGAAAGUGGUUCUUCACAACUUACCUUAGAAACAAGAGAGAGAGAGUUAUUGGUCCUCUUAGCUUUCCAAAUAACUCCACAAAACAACUCACUAUCACUCCCUUAAGUGUUUCUGUGGAACAAAAACAAGUUUAGAUGGUUGAAUUCUUGGAUUUGAGCAAGAGAGAAUCAAGAAGUUGAAGAGGUUUUCUUUCUUCCUUUGCUAGAGAGAAAUUCGGCCAAGCUUGAAGAAAAAUGGAAGAUAUUUGGUCAAUUUUUGGUUUUAUUUAGUAAUUGGUAAAAGGUUGAAUAGUAAGUCAAAACAAGAUUUAAUCAUAUGGUGACACAUGUCCCUCUCAUUAAUUCAUGCCUAACUUGUUUUUGUCUUUCUCACACCUAUGCACUUGGUACCUCUAAAUAUCUCAUAACACCCGGUAAAUUAAAUCCAGUAUCCAAAACUUAACCUAACUGGCCGAAUUUUUCCGAACUUUUCGCGUUAGCGGGUCCCACGUCCGUUAUACGUUCUAAAUUUUUCAAAAACUAUCCGAUACUAGAAAAAUCACCUAAAAACUCUAUUUACUCAUAAAAAUUAUUUUCACAAUUUUUCAAAUCAAUAAAAUGUAGAAAAACGUGCAAUUAAAAGAAAAAUAAAACUUAGUACUUUAAAAACAAAAAUUACGGGCUCUCACAAAAAGUUAAUUUGAGAUUUGAGAAGUUAAAACUCGACUCAUGUGAGGAAUGGCAAAAUUUAUUAUUUUAAAUUCCAUUUCGAGUUUAUUUAAAUAUUUAAUUGCCCAUUUACUCCGAAUAUUAUUUUCUAACCUAUUUAGACCUAAAUACAUGGAAUUAUAGCUUCAAUAUAUUUUUAAAGUGACUUGUUUCAAAAAUUAAUUUUGGAAGCUCGUUUAGUGAAAAUAGUGAAAACGUGUUUGGAAAUUUUAACCAAUUGAGAGUACAAUAAGUUUGAAAAAUUGGAGACUUACACAAGGGUCCUAAAAUAGGUAAUUUUAUGUUUAAGUACUCAAGUGAUAGUUAUUGGUACUAUCGUUAUAAGAAAUUCUUGGAGGUUUCACUUUAUCGCGCUUAAUUUGGAAAUACGGGUUUUACACGCGCGAUUUAAUUGAGGUACUUUAGACCCUUAUUUUGGGACAAUUAAGAGUGAAUAAUAUUAAUAUGAAUACAAGUGCAUUAGAGGUUUAGUGCACAAGUGAAACAAAUCCAAGAGAAAUCGAACACAAAAUGCGCGCGUAUGCGCGCUAGUGAGAGUUGACUUUUGUGCACAAGGCCACUAACUACCAAGCUUCUCUAGGAAGCCUCUUUUGAUCAGCCUUUUCUCCUUUUUCUUCACUCCAUGGUCGGCUGCAACUCUUAGUAAGGAGAAGAACAAAGCUUCAUUUCAUUUCACUUCCAAUCUUUCAUCCAUUUCACCUCAAAUUUUGCACACAAGCUCACAACAACUUGGAGCAUCACCUAAGCUAGGAAAAGAGCUUGCUUUUCACGGUUUUCUUGGCCAAGGAGAGGACCGAAAAUUUCUGUUUUGCACACCAAGUGAAGUAGGUAACGAUCAAACCUUGAAAACUUGGUUUAUGGAAGUUCUAAUGCUCAUAUAUACUUAUGCAUGUUAGUGGGUAGCAUUAUUUUGAGGAAAAUUUGGUUGUGUGGGCUCUAUGAACUCCCACCUUGGAUAUAUGGACUGAUUUGUGAUGUUUUGAUGGUAAUAAUGUUUAUUUAGUGCUUAAACUAGUGGAUUAAUGUUGGGUUGUUGAUAGAAACUCAAGGAUGGUGCAAUGACCAAAAGUGAUCAUUUUGCCCCUGCUUUGCUCGAGCACUUUGGUGCUAAAUUUUGAGGUUCUAAUGUCUUGCUUAUAUUUUUUACAUGUUAUAUUGAGUGUGUAAAAAGUUUCAUUGAAAAAUAACUUGAUUUGGUCACCCAAAUGUUGAGUUUACAAAAGCUUAGAAAUCUGGAAACUAUUCUCGUAUUCACCCAGGUAGUGUUUUUGUUUCGGCUAUAACUCAUCGCUCCGAUGUCGGAAUCGAGUGCUGUUUGCUGCACUGGAAACUAGACAUUCCCAGAUUUCUGUUGGUAUAAAAUGCAUGUCCUGGUUCCACUUGAGCAAGCCAAACCAUUCAUUUGAAAAUUGCUAUCCUGUUUCAUUGUUUCCUGGAAGGCAGCACAUGAGCUGUAACUUGAUGCUCAUGAACGAGCUAGUUAUGGGCAGAUUUUGAAAAUGGUUUCUUCUGAGAAAUUGUAGAUUAAUGAAAUUUUUUUCCAACGCCACCAACCACUCUCAAUUCCAAGUUGAAUUGAGUGAUUUGUGGCCAAAGUUUAAAACUGACUCAGUGAACUAAAACCCUCUUUUGGCUAGUAAAUGCUUAGAUCAUUGUUGGGACAUGUUGUUUUGAAAUUCUUGGUGUUAAUCACCUACGAAACAUACCUUGGAUGUUUAUUAGACAUUUUCUAUACCAAUGAACCAUGUUUGAGAAAAUUUCCUUGGCCACAUGCUUGAAAACGGAAAAACGGAAGUCCAAGGCAGAUUUGCCUUGGAACUUCUUGGGAUUUUAGUGGUUUCGUUAACCAAUUUCUCGUACAUAUUUUUCUAUGAAAUUUGGCAGAGGAAUAGCUCUUAUAUGGUAGUAUAUUAAUAUCAAAUUUGGUGCCAUGCCGAGUCCGUUUUGAUACCUAACCAAAGUCCCAAAGUUUGAAGUUUAAAUCUGGAAUUUUGCUUAACAAUUUUGAUUUUUCACCAAUUUUGAGCUAUCAUAUUUUGGUGCUCAACACUCCGAUUCUUGUUCCACUUGUUUGAUUUUAAACUUUUAUUGUAACUCUAAUUGAUUUUCAAAUUUGAGAGACUAGUUCCAAUUGUGUGAAUUUUGCUAAAUUUCCAAACUUUGCCGAAAAUCAACCCAAAUCUGUCUUGACUUUCUAAAACAACAACUUUGGGCUAAAUUUCGAAUAUCUUUCAAUUGGAAUCAUGAAAAAGUGUCUUCUAAGAACUUUUAGUACUUUCUAAGAGGUUUCUAACGGUACCAAUUUUUCCAAUUUUAGACUUGUAGAGAAUGAGAUACGAUUUUUCAAAGUAUAGGUGACAAAUCUGAAAUUUUCGAACUUAAAGGAAAUUGAGGGUUACGAACCCUCUAUUUUCCUUCGAUAUUAUUAGACCGUUUUACACUUGAUUUAAAAGAUGAAAAUCAGAUUUCUCUUGUGUUUUAAAACCCCAUUUUUGAGUCUCGAUUUACGAGUAAUUAAGGCUCAUUUUCGUGAAAUUUUCUUAGAUUGUACAAGUGUGCAAUCUUCCUCAAUAAUUAGGGGUUUUAAGCGAUAGUGUGUAAUAGACAAUUACUAUUUGUUCAGGUGCUCAAUGAGACCUUCAAGAGGAUCUCGAGGGGAACACCUAAAGGCUCGUUUACGCACUUACUCCCUUGUUUUGAUUGGUGAGUGUCAAGUGCAUGAACUUGUUGUUAAGUGGUUAUCUGUUUCUUAUCCGUUAUGUGAAUUUGAAAUUUUGAGACGAGGGUGUACUUUAUCGCACUCGUUCUCUUUCAUAUGAAAUUAUAUUCAUAUUUUGCUAUGUGAAUGCAUAUCCGACUUGUACAUGGUAAUGUGGAUGUGAUUCGUAAUUGUGAUUCGUAUUUGUAAUUCCUAUUUGGAAUGUCGAUUUGAGCGUUGCUCAUCGACUUAUAUUCGUAUUCGUAUUCGGGGGACGCCCAAACUCGUUGGCUAACUUUGCGAAUCGAGCCAGCAUAGGCUUGGUCGAUAAGUUUAGCAAACCAUGAGAUAUUCGUAGAGCAUGAUCUAUUGGAGAGAUCUUGCUUGGCAUCACUCGUGCAGUAUUGCCAUGAUAUACUCGAGUAUUAUCAAAAAAUUUGAUGAGCGGGCCCGGUAAGGGGGUGUAAUGGUGAUGGAAUUCAAAGAAAAGUGGUGUAUCUAUGGAUUUGAUACUUAUGUGGUUGACGGAGUGUCAUCAUGAUUUGUGAUCAAGAUUUUGACUCGACUACGUGGAAUUUAGCUCUUGAGAGCUACAGUAUCCUUGAACUGUUUCUGUUUAUUUUUCCUAUUCGAAAUGUGAAUUAUUCGAAUUUGAUAGCUUUACUUACAAUGUAAUUGUUGUUACUACUUGGAUUAUGUGUUUGCAUGUGUGUUUCUUGGCCUCACUGAGUAUUGGCUCAUCCCAUUAGUUUGUUUUCCUUAACAGGAACCCGAUUGGAAGGAGUUAAGCAAAUGCCGACUUGAGGCACGUUUGUAUAAGUGUUUUAAUUGUAAUCGACUAGACACUUUUGGACGUUGUGUAUUUUGGGGAAAGUGAUUGUAAAUUUGAAAUUGUGAUAUAAGACUGGAUAUUUGUGUAUGGAAAUGACUUCGUACCUUUAUUCAGACUUUCAUUGUUAGUAUUAGAUUAGGUUUGAAUUAGAUUUGUCUCGAAUCCUGGCGAGAGUUGGGCAGGCGUCCCGUGGAUACCCUUGGGUUCGCCCUUGGGAGAAGUGGGGGCAUCACAAAGAGGGGUUGAGCAAGAUAAAGUACAUGCUCACCCAAGUCAAAUAUCUAUCAAUUCAAUAACAAGCAAUUUCACAAGGCACAUGCAUGUCAAGCAAGUAUGAAGUGCAACAUGCACUUAGAACGCUCACCAUGUAAAGCAAAGCUCAAACGUCCGCCUCGGGUGCAAAUCUUGUGUUCACUUCCAAGUCCUAGAACCAAGUAAUUAGAGUACAAUGAGAUUCACUAAUCCAAACCACCAUUUAAUCAAAACUACUCCCAAGUCCCAACUGAGAAGUCCCAAGAUGUUUCUCAAGAUUUUCAUAGUUUUACGUCCCUAAAAGUCUUUCAAAACAUAUGUUUUCAAGCUCAAUUCAAAGGAAAAAUCCAUGUACAUGUUAGGUCAAUGGUUCAGGUAUAAUAUGGAGUGAAAAAUGUUAAAUUGAACCAAGAAAAGUGAAGGAAAUGAUGCAAAGAAGAAGAAUCAAAGUGACAGCUUUGACACCUUUCGACAUUUUGAUCAUAACUGGAGGUACACUUAUUGGAUUGAAAUGAAUUUUAUGGUGUUUUGAAGCUAAGACAUAGAUCUACAUUUCUUAUGAGAACAUCAAAUUUCAGUUCAUGCAUUUUCGUGGUAAAAAAUAGAAAUCACAGAGGCACAAGAAAGCUGUCGUGUCAUAUCAGGGCAUUUGAGCAAUCUCGGAAAAACGGCUAUAACUCAGUGUAGAAAAAUCAAAAUCGAAUGCCGUUGGUUGUGUUUCAAACUAGACUCAAAGGGCUUUCCAGCGGUAUAAAAGUUAGACUCUAAUUCUGUAAGAAUCGAAGACAACCUAAGAGGAGGGGUGAAUUAGAUAGUUUUAAAAGCUAGCCAAAUAUAAAUCACUUUUUCUGAACUAGCCCUCUUUUUCUAAAGUACCAGACCAAGGAACAAUUUAUGAUAAGGCGGAAGUAAUUUAGAGCAGAAGAAAUAAACAGUUAAUGUUGCAAAACAGUGAAUAAGAAGAUGGAAUAGCAAACCAAAUCUCAAACUCGACUAGAGUUUGAAUAUCCCUUUAUAUUGUAAGCUUCUUCAAGUUGAUUCAACAAACAACCAAUCUCUUGUGUACACGGGAAGGAUCACUUCCUCCUUGCCUCAAGAUACACUUGAUCAAGCAAGGAAGUUUUACAAUCACUCGAAUAACCCUCACAAAGCUACACUAUUGAAGAAAUUGAAUCACACUUGAAAAGCUAAAUGAAGAUCACACAACUAAGAGUACAAAUCUUCUUUUUUGAGUAUUCUUAUGCUUGAAUCACUCAAGAUCUGAUGUAGACUUAAUGUGUAUCAGUUGCUUGUUGGUGGUUGACUUUUAUCCUAUUUAUAAUAGACCAAAAACGUCUUCAAUUAAAGCCACCAACGGACACAAGGCAGUUGAAGAGUCAACUAGCCGUUAGUAGUGUCGGACGUCCGGUAGGCUGGUUUUGUGCGUCCGAACGCAGGUAGUGAGUUCAAGAAAUUUUCUUGAAAUCUUUAGGACGUCCGGCAGCAUCAGAAUAUGCGUCCAACCAUAUGAUGUAAAACUUGGAAUCCUUCAUUGAUUCUUUCGGAUGUCCGGUGCUUCUAAUGUUUGUCGUCCGAAGUGUUGCAACGAUUUUCGGACGUCCGGUGCUCAGGUAUUGUGAGUCCGAUCGAGGUUAGAGAUCUUAGAAGUGCUGACUUAUCAGUUUUGAACGUCCGAGGAUAGGUUCUUUACGCGUCCGAAGAUACUCAACGGUUAUCGGACGGCCGAUAGGAUGUAUUUGUGCGUCCGACAGAUGUUUUAGCAGAUGCUUGGCCUUUGAACCUGUCUUGCUCCAUUUUCUGACCAAAAACAAACUUGGAAAAUAUUAGUUUAAUCCACUUGUUUUGUAAUCAUCAAAAGGUACGAUCAAAGAUAAACAAUCUCCCCCUUUUUUAUGAUGACAAAACAAUGGAUGAAGUGAGGGAAUUUUGAUAUAGUUUCCCUUUACAACUUUCCCUCAGAAUGAUAUCCACAUCCCUUCAGUGACUCCCCCUCAGAAAAUUUUCCAUACCCCACAGAAAAAUUUGCUUGACUCCCCCUCACAUAUAGAUCAGAUUUAUAUCCUGAUUCCAUCCAUGUUUCUCCCCCUUUUUGUCAUCAUAACAGCAAUAUCCAUAUCAGAACCAAAAUUAAUCAGAACUGAGAUCAGAGCAGCAACAAAUGACAGCAAUUUACAAGAACUGACAUAAACAGACAAGAGAGAUAGCUAACAACGGAUUUAAGACAUCCAUUUAAGAUAAGAGAGACAACAUCCAUUUAAGACAUGAGAGACACAACCAUAAUAUAGAAAUAUCUUCCAACAACGGAUAGCUAAAUAUUUUUACAGACUAGUAGAGGAGUAAACUUCUUAAAAUUAACAAACACACCAGAUAUCUUUUAAGAGCAAAAUAUGCAAAAGAGAAUUAUUGAGAACUACUCAUGAAGUGCAGUGGCCUAGUAGUGCCUAUAUGGUGAUCUUGGAUGAUCCAGGCCUUCUCCUAGUCAGAUGAAAUUGCUCAGGAUCCACAUGAUCUUCCUCUUCAGUAUCUAGAGCAUCAAUUUCAUUCGCCUCUUCAGAGAUGGGAGCUUUUCCUUUAUUCUUGGGCUGAGAACUGGAGGCAUGAGCUUCUGGAGUAUCUUCAGUACCAGGAGUAUGCUCAGUAGACUCAGUUCUGGGCUCUUUUUGAUAAGCAUGUUCAUUGUUCACAGGAGUAGAAGGCACAAGAAGAUUUCAUUUUUCAAUGAAGGAAGCCUGCUGGUCAGGUGUCAUGGUCGACAUUAGACCAUCUUCAAUGAGCAUAACAUGUUGCUUGAGGUCUUCAAGCAAAGUGAUAACCUCGGAGUUGUAUACAAAGGACUUGUUGGCUGAUUUCCUAGGGUGAAUGGUGAAAGGAGAAAUAUAUAUGGAUUGAUCCCGAGAGGUCCUAGAAGUGACUGGAGUUUCGUGAAGGUUUUUUCUUCUGAACUCUGACAGAGGUUCCUUGUGACACCAGUGACCCUCAAAAAAUUUCAAAUUUUUUCGUUCAAAAUAGGCCUUUGAGAAAACAGUUGAGGCACUAUCUCUAGGAGACUUUCCAGUGAAGGGAAUUUCAAGGUGAGCAAAGAUAGGAAUCAGAAAUUUUUCAUAGGAAAGCUUCCUACGACUGUCGGUACUAAUCUUAAGCAGGAAUUUGCACAUCACAAAACUAAAAUCGAUUCUAAUCUUUUCCACAAAACAGUAAAACAGAUUCAAUUCCAUUUUGUUUGCAUCGGUUCUGUAACCAUCAGUGGGUACCAACAGAUUGGAAACAAUGGUGAAGAUAAUCAAGUUCUGAGGACUGAGAUCCUCUAAUCUCGCCUCAACAGGAGUGUUGAAGUGAGUGCGAAAGUAAGUCAUUAACUUGGAGAUGUGAAAAUGAUGGUAAGCAGAGGGGAAUUCUUCAUAUGAAAAGAAAUUUGUAAUUUUUCCUUUGAAACCAUCUUCAAUCUUAGUUUUCAAAACAGAGUUAAUGACAUCAGGAGUUAAAGUGAUAUCAACAGAAUUGACUCUAGAGAUAAGCUCGGUGUGUGAGUUUCCUUUCUUAAGAUUUACAAAAAACUGGUAAAGCAUGUCAGGGUAGAAGGUGUGUGGGAUAGUCAGGAGGUGAGUCCAUUUUUGGAACUCAAAAAGCUUAAGCAUAGGUUCUAAAUCAAUCUUACGAAAUUUAUAUGGGAUGACAGACCUCUGAAUGAUGAAUCCUUUUUGAGAGAUUAACUCAAAUCUAUCUCUAGCCUCGUCAUCAAUGAACUUUGGCAGGGGUGUAGGUUCUUUGAUAGGCAGAGCCUCUGGUUCCUUUGAAGUGCGUUUCCUUUUUACACUUUGUUUGGCAGAUGACCCAGUAGUCUGAGCACCAGACCUUGUCCUAGGUGACUUUCUAGUAGGGGGUUCAAAUGUUUGCUGUUCCUCAGCAAUUUGUUCCUCAGUUUGAUGUUCUUCCACUAGUACAGGAGAUGGAUCAGCAGUUGGAGCAUCCUGUAUCUUCUUUACAGGUUGCUUUGCCUUUCCACCACGAGUCCCUGUCCUCUUUUUGGAUACCCUGGUGGAAGGUUCUACGAUCUCAACAUCUUCAUUCUUGAGUCUAAAUGUGCGUCCGGCACUUGCUGAACCGCCUCUAACUCUCACCAUGAUGUAAUGCAGUUGAUUUUUGAGAUGCAGUAUAGUGCAGAUGCGUGUCAAAUUGAUUACUAGUGCGUUAAGAUCUGCAGAGGAUGUUUGAGAUGAUUACAGGUAGUGGAUUUGGAAAAGUUAGGGUUUCUAGUAUGAAUUGGGAAUUAUGAGGCAGUUGGGAGUUAUAGGGUGUUAUGAGUAAAGUAAAACGGUCAAUGGAGGUGUAAUGAAGUUGGUUGGAUCGAUUUCUUGGAACUUGAAUGUGGGAGAGACUAAUUUGAAUUUUGAAUUUGAAGGAGAACCGAAGGGUUGUGUCCGAGUCUAAGAAGGUAACUGAACUGAAUGAAGUGGAUGGCUUCUUUAUAAGACACAAUAAAUUGAGUGUCGGACGGCCGAACGAAGUGAAGCGUCCGACACAAUCGUCCGAACAAAAAUUUCCUGGGGAACUGAUGAAGAACACUGUCAGACGUCCGUUCUAACACAUCGGACGUCCGAUGGAAGUUUUUAGAGAACUUUUUCACAGAUGCCCAGUUUUGUUCUAAGAUACACAAACUGGUCCAGUGGAAGGGAUUUUGUGAAAAUAUCAGCAAUUUGAUUUUUCAAACACACAUACUGAAUGCAAAUUUCUCUCUUUUGAACAAGAUCACGAAUGAAGUGAUGCUUUAUGUCUAUGUGCUUUGUUCUAGAGUGCUGAAUGUGAUUUUUUGUCAAAUUUAUGGCACUAGUGUUAUCACAAUACAUAGGCACACAUUUAUAUGUUAGUCCGAAAUCAUUCAAUGUAUUUUUCAUCCAUAACAAUUGAGCACAACAAGCACUAGCAGCAAUAUAUUCUGCUUCAGUUGUAGAAAGAGAAAUAGCAUUUUGUUUCUUUCUGAACCAAGAUACUAAGCAGUUUCCAAGAAAGCUACAUAUUCCUGAUGUACUUUUUCUAUCAACUCUACAACCACCGAAAUCAACAUCAGAGAAUCCACUCAAAUGGAGUUCAUUACACUUAGGAUACCAAAGACCAAAAUUCAAGGUUCCUUUUAGAUAUCUAAGAAUUCUUUUUACUGCAUUCAAAUGUGAUUCCUUUGGACAGGACUGAAAACGAGCACACAGGCAUACAACAAACAUGAUAUCUGGUCUACUAACAGUUAAGUAAAGCAGACUACCAAUCAUACCUCUAUAUUUCUUUUCAUCAACUUUUGUACCUUCUUCGUCUUUGUCGAGCUUGGUAGAUGUGCACAUAGGUGUUCCAACCUGCUUUGAGUUCGCCAUUCCAAAUCUUUUGAGCAGCUCUUUGGUGUAUUUUGUUUGAUUCAUAAACGUUCCUUCUCUGGUUUGAACCACUUGGAGUCCAAGGAAGAAAUUUAAUUCUCCCAUCAUGCUCAUUUCAAACUCUUUUUGCAUAAUUUUGGAGAAUUCCUUGCACAAAUUCUCAUUAGUAGCACCAAAAAUAAUAUCAUCCACAUAUAUUUGAACAAUUAGUAGAUCACGUGAACUUUGUUUAGUAAAAAUAGUAGUAUCUACUAUGCCUCUUUUGAACCCAUUUUCAAUCAAAAAAUCACUCAAGCGUUCAUACCAUUCUCUUGGAUCUUGUUUUAAUCCAUAUAAAGCUUUUGAGAGUUUAAAAACAUGAUUUGGAUAAUUCUCAUUUUCAAAACCAGGGGGCUGAUCAACAUAAACUUCUUGAUCUAUAAAAUCAUUUAGGAAAGCACUUUUAACAUCCAUUUGAAAUAAUUUAAAAAUUUUGAAACAUGCAAAAGUUAAAAACAUUCUAAUAGAUUCUAGCCUAGCUACAGGUGCAAAUGAUUCAUCAAAAUCUAUUCCUUCUUCUUGAGUGUAACCCUUAACUACCAAUCUGGCCUUGUUUCUAACUAUCUCACCUUUGUCAUUCAUUUUGUUUCUAAAAACCCAUUUAGUGCCAAUAAUAGGAUGAUCUUAUGGUCUAGCAACUAAUGUCCAAACCUUAUUUUUUUCAAAUUGAUUUACCUCCUCUUCCAUGGCCAAAAUUCAGCUAUCAUCAUUCAAUGCAUCAACAAUAUUUUUGGGCUCAAAAUGUGAGAUCAAUGCAAAGUUAUCUAUUAAUUGUCUAGAGGAGGAACGUGUUCUGACCUUUUCAGAUGGAUCCCCAAUGAUAAGUUCCUUAUGAUGAUUUUGGACGAAUUUUCAGACUCUAGGUAGAUCAUUAGGAAUCGCAGUGUCACUGUCAUUGUCUUCUCUAGCAGGACUGUCUUGAUUUUCAUCUUCCUUUGAAUCAUUUUCUGAUGGAGCUGUGCCUUGAUUGCUGAUUGUUAGCUUUUUUAAUUCUUCUCGAACACCUGCAUCAUCAUCUUCACCACAACUCAUGGAAGUGUCACCAUUAGAUUCAUCAAAGGUGAUAUGUAUAGCUUCUUCUAUAACCAGAGUUCUACGAUCAUAAACUCUAAAACCUCUCUUAUUUUCACAAUAUCCCAAGAAGAUCCCCUCGUCAGAUUUUUUAUCAAACUUACCAAGAUGCUUCUUGAUGUUCAGAAUGAAGCAUUUACAACCAAAUACUUUAAAAUAACCAACUACAGGUUUUUUAUCAAACAACAGCUCAUAUGAAAUUUUGUUCAAAAUUGGUCUUAAUAGAACUCUAUUCAUGGUAUAGCAUGCAGUGUUUAUAGUUUCAGCCCAAAAGUACUUUGGUAAAUUGCACUCACUAAGUAUGGUUCUAGCAGCUUCUUGAAGAGUUCUAUUUUUCCUCUCAACCACUCCAUUUUGCUGAGGUACUCUAGCAAUAGAAAACUCAUGUGUAAUACCAUUGUUGUCACAAAAUUCUGAAAAUCCACAAAAAUUAAAUUCUAUGCCAUUGUCACUUCUUAUUUUUAUGAUUUUCAAACCAAUCAGAUUUUGAACCUUGGCAAACAGGGAAACAAAGUUUCUGAAAGCAUCAUCUUUAUGUGCAAGAAACAUCACCCAAGUGUAUCUAGAAUAGUCAUCAACAACAACGAAACAGAAUCUCUUGCCACCAAGGCUUGUGGUUUGAGUUGGACCAAAAAGAUCAAGGUGUAGGAGUUCUAAAGGCUUUGAGGUAGAAACACAUUUUUUUGGUUUAAAAGAUACUUUGACUUGUUUUCCAAAUUGGCAAGCAUCACAGAUGUGAUCUUUACAAAAAUUGAGUUUUGGGAGCCCUUUAACCAGGUCCUUUUUGGAGAUUUCUUUUAGCAAAUCCAUAUUGAAGUGACAAAACCUUCUGUGCCACAAGCAGGGAUCCUCAUUUGCUAAUUUGAGACAACUAAGGCUGGAAGCAUCAACUUUUUCAAGAAUCACCACAUAAAUGUCAUUAACUCUUUUUCCUUUGAAAACAAUGUUAAAUUUUGAGUCAAGAACAGGGCAUUCAUGUUUCUUAAAUAACACGAGCAGGUUCCUAUCACAUAAUUGACUAACACUCAGCAAAUUGUAACUCAGGUUGUCGACUAAAAGAACAUUAUGAACAAAAGUCUGACCAUUCUUACCAACAUCACCAAUUCCAACAGUUUUGGCUUUAUUGUCGUCUCCAAAAGUAACAUUUCCACUUGUUUUUGGCGUGAGCUUGAUGAACUGUGAUGCAUCAUCAGUCAUAUGCCUUGAGCAUUCACUAUCUAUGAACCAUUUUGAUUCUUUAACAAUGUUCACCAGGUUCACCUACACAGUAGUCCACAAUAUAAUGUUUGGUACCCAUUACUUUUUGGGUCCUUCAUGGUUAGCAUUAUGUCUAACAACCCACAUGCAUCUCAUUCCAUUUCUCAUGUUUUUCUUAACAUAAUAAUUGCUAUUCAUGUGACCAAAUUGACAACAAAAGUUGCAUUCAGUCAUUGGAUCAAUCAAAUGAACAGGUUUAAUGAAUCUGACUUGCCUUCUCUUAUGGACAGUAAAUUCAUUUUUACUAUAAUUCAAUCUUUUCUGAUGAGUGUUAAGGUGAGGUUCAGUGUCAUUCUUUUGAAGGCGGUUCUGUUUCAUAUGUUGUAAUAAUUGACAUAAAUCAUCCAUCCUUUUUUUUAGGCUGCAUUGUUCACUUCUGAGCAUGUCACAGAGAUUUAUCUUUUUGUUAAGUUCAGCAAGCACAUCAGUUUCAAUCCUUUUCAGGUUCUCAUUUUUAUACUUAAGACACUUGUUUUGUCGAAAAAGAUUUGCAUUAUCUUGUAUUAGAAAGCUAAUUUUCUGUUUUAGUUCCUUAUUUCUAACAUAGGAUUCUUUUAAGCUGUUAUGUAUUUUUUCUAGGAAAGAAUUAAUAUCAACAUCAGACUCACUAUCACUAUCAGUUUGAGAGUUACAUUGGAUUACCUCUUCAUCUCCAAUGGCCAUGAAAGCCACUUGAGCGGAUUCCUCUUCUUCCUCUACUUCUCCUUCUGAAUUGCAGUCAUUCCAGGUGAUCUGAAAAUUGUUGAAUUUUGGUUUUCGUUCACUCUUGUUCUCCUUCUUUUUUUUCAUUGGACAUUCAUUUGCAUAAUGACCAGGUUGGCCGCAUUCAAAGCACUUAUCAGUUUACUUUUUGUUGAAUUCCAGUUUUCCUUUAUUUCUGAAGUUGUUGGGCUGAUUUGGAAAGGAAUUGCUAUGUCCUCCUUUUUUGAAUUUUCUCUUAUUGAGUAUUCUUUUGAAGUCUCGUGUGAUGAGUGCAAUGUCACUAUCAUCACCUUCCAUGUCAUCUCCAUCCAGAGAGAUUGUAUCAUCUUCUUCUUGUGAAGUCUUCAGAGCAAUGCUCUUUCUAACUCUUGUGUCUUCUUCUUCCUGCACCUUAGACUUGAAUUUUAGCUCAUAAGAGGUUAGUGAAUUUAUAAGGGAUUCAAUAGAUAAAGUGUUCAGAUCUUUGGCUUUCUCAAUGGCAGUCACUUUGCUCUCCCAAUUCUUUGAUAGAGCAUUCAGAAUUUUUUUGUUUUUCUCAUAUAGAGAUUAGUUUUUCUCAAGAACUUCUAGAUCCUUAAUAAGAUCAUUGAAUCUGCAAUACAUCUUGUCGAUGUUUUCGUGAGGUUCCAUCUUAAAGGAUUCAUACUUCGUGACCAGAAUGGACUUUUUUUGUUCUCUCACAUUUUCACUUCCUUCGUGUAUUUCUCGAAAUUUAUCCCAGAUUUCUUUUGCAGAUUUGCAGCCCUUGACUCUAACAGAUUCAUUUGAGUCUAAAGCACUGUACAGUACAUUCAUCGCCUUGGCAUUCAGAAUGAGAUGAGCUCUAUCUUUAACAGUUAGUUCCCUUCUUGUUUUUGGUCUCGGCCUGUUUGUAUUUGCAUCAAUAGUGGCGGCAUCAAACGGACCUUCAUUAACAAUAAACCAUAGCUCAAUAUCAAUAGAUUGUAAGAAAAUAAUCAUCCUUUCCUUCCAACUCACAUAGUUUGAACCAUUGAACAUAGGAGGUCUAGUUACUGAUUGUCCCUCAAAGAACAUGGCAUUGUUGGUUGUCAUAUUUUCUCCUAAGCCGAUUGAGCUUAAUCUCAAGGAGACCAAGCUCUGAUACCAAUUGUAAGGAUCGAAAAUAACCUAAGAGGGAGGUGAAUUAGGUAGUUUUAAAAGUUAGCCAAAAUAUAAACCACUUUUUCUGAACUAGCCCUCUUUUUCUAAAGUACCAGACCAAGGAACAAUUUAUGAUAAGGCGGAAGUAAUUUAGAGCAGAAGAAAUAAACAGUUAAUGUUGCAAAACAGUGAAUAAGAAGAUGGAAUAGCAAACCAAAUCUCAAACUCGACUAGAGUUUGAAUAUCCCUUUAUAUUGUAAGCUUCUUCAAGUUGAUUCAACAAACAACCAAUCUCUUGUGUACACGGGAAGGAUCACUUCCUCCUUGCCUCAAGAUACACUUGAUCAAGCAAGGAAGUUUUACAAUCACUCGAAUAACCCUCACAAAACUACACUAUUGAAGAAAUUGAAUCACAUUUGAAAAGCUAAAUGAAGAUCACACAACUAAGAGUACAAAUCUUCUUUUUGGAGUAUUCUUAUGCUUGAAUCACUCAAGAUCUGAUGUAGACUUAAUGUGUAUCAGUUGCUUUUAGUGGUUGACUUUUAUCCUAUUUAUAAUAGACCAAAAACGUCUUCAAUUAAAGCCACCAACGGACACAAGGCAGUUGAAGAGUCAACUAGCCGUUAGUAGUGUCGGACGUCCGGUAGGCUGGUUUUGUGCGUCCGAACGCAGGUAGUGAGUUCAAGAAAUUUUCUUGAAAUCUUUAGGACGUCCGGCAGCAUCAGAAUAUGCGUCCGACCAUAUGAUGUAAAACUUGGAAUCCUUCAUUGAUUCUUUCGGAUGUCCGGUGCUUCUAAUGUUUGUCGUCCGAAGUGUUGCAACGAUUUUCGGACGUCCGGUGCUCAGGUAUUGUGCGUCCGAUCGAGGUUAGAGAUCUUAGAAGUGCUGACUUAUCAGCUUCGGAUGUCCGAGGAUAGGUUCUUUGCGCGUCCGAAGAUACUCAACGGUUUUCGGACGGCCGAUAGGAUGUAUUUGUGCGUCCGAUAGAUGUUUUAGCAUAUGCUUGGCCUUUGAACCUGUCUUGCUCCAUUUUCUGACCAAAAACAAACUUGAAAAACAUUAGUUUAAUCCACUUGUUUUGUAAUCAUCAAAAGGUACGAUCAAAGAUAAACAAAUUCAUUUUCAAUUAAUACCAAAAAAUCUGUCAAGUUGACUGAAAAUGCUCUCUGAGUUUCAGUCCAUUUUGCAAACUUUCCAAUAAGAAAACAAGGAAGAAGUUAAUAGUUUUGGUUCAAAUUCAACAUACAAGUAAAGAGUGAUAUGUUAACAAGUUUCUUGAACAAGAACUUGCCCAAAAUUAUUAAGAAAAAGUGGAAAUCAAGGCUGGAAUAUCUUCCCCUGUUUUGGACAGCAAAGGCAGAAUUUUCCCACAAGAAUUUUCCAAACAUUUCUCCAUCAAAUCUUCCCAAUUUUCCCAUAACAAAUCCAUGAACAUAUCAAACAAUAUAUAGCCAAGAUUGUUAGCAAGAAAAAUCAUGAAAAUUUGCACAUAAACAACCCUUAACAAAAGAUCAAACACUUGGUGGACAUAGAGAUUUCUUCCAUUUUCACCAAAAUAUCACUAGAAAUGUAACUCAAAUCCUCAAGGGUUUCAUCAAUCAUUAACCCUUGGAUAUCAAGAAACAACAAUCUACAAAUUCUUGGCCAAAAUUUUCAAGAUUCAAACAUACAAGAGACUAUCAAGCUUCUAGUACCAAAUCUACCAUAAAAAUUUCAAAUCCACCAUGGAUCUUCCAAGAUUUAACCUAAAUCCACUUGAAAUGUAAAGAUUUGAAUAGCUCAUCCACUUACCUCUCUCAAAGCUUCAACCCUAGCAAGAUUGGUCCAAGAAGAAACCAAGAAUCUUCUCCUAGAAGCUCUAACCUUCAAGCUUACUCAAGAAUGUAAAUGGGUGGUGAAGAUCUUGGCUUGGAAGUGAAAAUUUUGACUGAAAAUCAAGCUUUUCUUUCCGCUCUUUUGCUCUCUAACUGCCGGCCCUCUUUCUCUCUAUUUCUCUCUCUUGUGGUUCAAAAUGGAAGAAAGAAAUGAAAGGCAAGAAAGCCUUUUUUUUGUUUAGACAAGAUUGAAGAGUUGACUUCUUGAAUACUAGUGCCACUAAAUAAAAUCUUGUGGUGUUUUGCUCCAAUUAUCUUCUCACCAAAUAAUCUUAAUAAUCUUCUUCCUCAAUCCCUUUUUCACUAAAUGCCCUCAAAUAACUCGCUAAAAAUCGCGUUCGCGCCACUCGCGCACUUCACAUGCAAUAGUUCUAAAAUUUAUGCAGGUGCAAAAAUCAUUCAAAUCAUUAAUUAAUCAAAUAAAAGAGGUGCAACUAGGUUAAAAUGAAGUAAAAUAGCAAGAAUUUUGGGUCCUCACAAUCUAAGACCUAGAGAUAACAUAAAACGUGCAAAAUAGCAUAUAAAGUUCCAAACCAUAACAUUGAUUCCAACCCCAUAUUAUUUCUUAAAACCCAAGCAAAGGUCAAAGAAACUACACGGUUGGGUUACUAAGAUGGUAGGAGCAAAACUUGUCAUUGUUUGGAUCCACAACAUUCAUAUGAGAGGAACCUAGAAACAUGAACUCAAACCCAAUGUUGAAAAGAAAAUCCUUGGUUUAUUGUUCUAGGAGUCAAUUUCCUAAUCUUGGCAUUUUCUUAGUUCAAACAUGAUUCAUCAGACCACUAAAAUAGUCCAUUACCAAGCCAACAUAAUCAUGAAACUGGCGUAAAAAGAAGCAACAUGGAUCAUCAAGCCAAGUCAAAUGACAAGGACGGCAAGAAUGGCAAGUCUAAUGGGCUUGAAUCUUCGUGCAAGUUGGAACCAAAAGAGAAGAGUGAGUAAGAGUUACCUCUGAUGCUUAUGGAAUCAGAUUGGACAUGGAAAAUCUUGGGAAACUCACAAAUUUCGAAGCAGAGCGAAACCCAAAUGAAUGAUAUGGGCACCAAGAGCUGCGAGGAUGGUGAUUUCAAGCUCUGAUUUGAAGGUCUUGAAGCUGUUUUCCUUGAAACCUCUCAACACAAAAAACACUCUACUAUGGUCCUAGAAAGUGUAGAAAAAGAAAUAUCACUCAAAAGACCUAAAACGAGAUAGAAAAAUGGUAAUGAACAUGGCUGGUCGACCAGCCUGUUCUUAGUUUUGCACAAAAAUUUUUUGAGGGUCAAUUCAUGCUUCGAUUUGAAGGGGUUUUAAUGAUUAUCAUCAAAAGGUUUCAACAAAAAAGUUUUUCCUAUAUGUCCCUAGAGAAAACAGAAAAAAGAAUCACCCAAAUGGAUCUAUAACGAAGCAGAAAAAUGAAUUUGAACCGGACUGGUUCACUAGCCUGUUCACCUUUUGUUGCAGAAAAAAAUUUCUUUUUCUUGCUUUUCUCUCUCCCUACCCAAAAUCUUGUGCAGCCAUUUUUCUAACUUGUUUCUUCCCUGUUCUCAACCCUAAAAGUUGCAUUGUUUCUUAUUUAUAUGAAAUAAAAAACCCUAAAACUAGCAAUGAAGGGUUGGGAUGAAAAAAUGGCGAUGUGGCUCCUUCCCUCCCUUUGAUCAAUUGUAGUUAAGUGUUAGAAGAUAAGAUUUGGAGGAUGAUGAGUUAUAUAUGUACUAACCAAGUUUUGGGAAAAAGAAAGAGAAAAGAAAGAAAAAAAAAGGAAAAAGAAAGGAAAAUAAAAUGAAGCCAUGAAGCUUCUUGUAACAGUCUUGCCUCAAAUUUUUUGAGAAGAAACGCGUGCGUGAAGGAUCAGGUUUUUUUUUUUUUUUUUUAUUAAAGAGAAGAAAGGAAUAGGGCCAAACAGGCCUUGCUUCUUCAGGCCUACUUUCCAAGCUUAAUUUUCUUUUUGCAUCGAUUUUUCUUUGGGUUUCAUUUGGGUUUUCGAGGAGUUUUUGGUAGGUUUUAUUGUGGGGUUUGUUUUUUUAUUAUUUAAGGAUUGGGUAUGGAUUUUUUUCCUUGGGUUUGAAACAAAAGAAAAAUCUCUAUUAUUUUCUCUAAUUUUGAACAUCCAUUUUCUUUUCUUUUCCUUUUCUUUCUUUUCUUGAACAAACUUACAAAACAAAAUUAAAAUGAUUAAUUAAACAAUUUAUAGGUAAAAAUAAUAAAAUAGACUUGAAAUUGGGAAAAAUUUGGUGUCUAUACUACUAAUAUUAUUUCAUACUCGUAUCAACAUGUAUUUCAAAAGUUCGUAGGUUUGAAAAUAAUACGUGUGCCCGAAAAUUAGUUACGUGAUUGAGAUCAAGUAAUUUUACAACAUCCCAAGCGUUGUGGAUAGCAAAUUCAAAGAGAAUAUGCAUAUCAAAUACGCAAUCAUGACUGUGGUAAAAUUACUCUGUUUUAAUUACUUAGUGAAUGAAAUUUUCAAUUCAUAAUAGUUAUCAUUGUCUUCUUUCAUUCUUUCUAAGUUAAAUAUUUUUGAAUAUCUUCUUACAUUCAGAGCAUUAACAAAGACAAUAUGUUCUAUGAGUUGUGCAAAAAUUAUGGACAACCAUGUGAAACUCAUUUCGAAAAAGUAGCGUGUACACAUUGAAAUGACGUAAUUGACACUAUUGUCAGGUAAUUAAUUUAAGGGAAAAUCGUUCAAAACGUCCCUCACAUUUUUCAAAAUGACUUUUUUUGUUCCUCACUUUUAAAAGUAUAAUUUUACGUCCCUUACAAAUUCAUAUUGACCAAAUUUGGUCCCUAUUUAGGUUUCCGACUAGUUUUUGGCCAGAAUCCACAACGUGACUUGCAUGUGAUUAUUUUAUAAGGGUAAAAUUGUCAAAUUAAAUUUUUAUAUAAUCCGAUUCAUAGUCCCUCACAUUUCACAAAAUAGAUUUUUCGUCUCUAACAUUUUACAAAAUGAAUUGUAUCGUUUCUUACAUUUCAAAAAAUAAAUUUUUCCAUCUCUCGCAUUUUUCAAAAUAAAUUUUUUCAUCCCUCAUUGAUCAUGUGUAUGAAUAGUUUUUUUCUAUAAACCCACGUAUAUGUCUAUUUGAUUUUACUUAAACAGUACGAAUAGCAUGUAAUAUAUCUCUAUUUGAUUUCACCUAAAUAGGCUAAUCGUAAUUGUACACAUGCUAUUCAAUAGAUAUAUACAGGGGGCUUAAAACUAAUAAUUUUGUUUGAAACCAAUGUAUAUAUUUAUAUGAUUUCACCAUUUGAACCUAUUCAAUAUUUGUGACUGUUCUCUUUUGGUAAUAAUUUAUUUAUUGAAUUGUAUAAAAAGGUUAUCUAAUUAACGGGUCCUAACUCGAAUUCUAUAAUUGUGUUAACAAAUUUUAGUUUAAAUUUGAAAUUUCUACUCGCCACUUUUGAAACCAACAAUUGAAUUACUUGACUUGUGAUUGUCUUAAAAUUUGAAAGUGCCAAUUACUUAUUUCUUUUUGUCAUCUUUUCUUUUGUUUAUUUUUUCUGUCCAAAUUUAAUUCGAUAUAAAUACUCGAUAAUAUUUAGGAUUAAAUGUCUUCUUUAUUUUCAAAUUUCGAGUAAAAUAAAAUGAAUAUGAGUGAAAAAUUAACAAUUUGUUUAAACCCAUGUAUAUAUCUAUUUGAUUUCAUUUGAGCAGUACAAAUAGUAUGUAAUAUAUUCCUAUUUGAUUUCACAUGCUAUUCGUACUGCUCAGGUGAAAUCAAAUAGAUAUAUACAUGGAUUUAAAAAAAAUUAUUCACACACAUGAUCAAUAAAAAAUGAAAAAAAUUCAUUUUGAAAAAUGUGAAGGAUGAAAAAAUUCAUUUUGUGAAAUGUAAGGGACAAAAAAUUCAUUUUGUGAAAUGUGAGGGAUUAUGAAUUGAAUUAUAUGAAAUUUGAUUUGACAAUUUUGCCCUUAAAAUAUGAUCAUGUGCAAGGCACGUGGUGGAUUCCGACUAAAAACUAGUCGAAAACCUAAGUAGGGAUCAAAAUUGACCAAUGUGAAUUUGUAAGGGAUGUAAAAUUACAUUUUUAAAAGUGAGGGACGAAAAAAGUUAUUUGAUAAAAUGUGGGGGACGUUUUGAAUGAUUUUUCCUUUAUUUAAAAUGCCUUUAACUUCAAUAUAUUUUUCUAUAAUGUAUAUCGCAUUUUCUACUCAAACAGAUACAAUAUUAACAUACAAAUCAGAAAUUUCUAUGAUUACCUGGAUUUUAAUCUACAAGACGGACAUGCACAAUUCGUAUUUUGUUAUGAUGUUUCUUAUCUUAGAGAAUUGCAAAGGAAAUUAGAAUUUCUUUAUACAUAUUUAUUUUUAUAUAAUACCAUUUAUAAACUAUGUAAAAAAUACACUAAUUUUGAAUUCUAUAUGCUCUUAAUUUUCAAGAAAAUAGAUAUAGUCUGUUCAACCAACAAAUCAACUCAUGCAAAGAUCGUGCCUUCUCAUUUGUUGUACAAAAUCCAUAAAAUUCAACAAAGUUAAUUAAUCCACAAAUAUUGACUUUCGUAGUAAAAGUUGAUUGAUGUGAAGAAUGUUCGCACCUUUGUAUAAAAUUAUCAAAUCGAAUGCAUAAUAUUUGUAAGUAUAUUAUUUUGAAAUCAAAUAAAACACACUAUUACAUUCAUGUAUAUCCAUGUAUCUUUCAUUUUCUAAUAUACAUUUCUAUUGUUAUUUCAGAAUCCAUCUUCCACAAAAAGAUGGUUCAUGAAUGAUAUACAUAUUUUAUCAUAUUUUGAACUAUUGCUAGACAAAUUUUAGAUUUUAGUUAUUUUGGUACAAUUUUUUUUACUUUUUUUUAAUUCACCCUCCCUUUUAAUAAUGAGUUUUGUGCUAGUUCAAAACAACUAUUUGGCAUACCUUCUACCAAUAGGAUAGUUGCACGUGACUAUAUAAAUAUCCCACUUGCUCAUUCACAUAUUAAGUGGGGUUUCUAUAUAUUCACUUAAAACUCUUUUAUUCAUCUUGGAACAAAAUUGCUGGAUUUGUCAAAUAGUUGUUUCGGACCAAUGUAAAAUUUUUUCUUCCGCCUCGAAUGUUAUCUCUACCUUGUUUCUCCUUACAGGGAAGACAGUCAAGGGCACCCGCUCCAUUGCCAUUCUUUGCUUUCAUCCUCACAACGGAGUCGAGUUACUUUAAAAAAAUAAUAAUAAUAAAUACAUAAAUGGAGAUGAAACUGCAGCACAUGCUACUGCUAGCAUUAUACUACAGACGAAGACUUUGUAGGCAGUUUGCUGGGAGCCGAGGACCAAGAGGAAUUUCCAAGUUUUUCGAAGCCGUGCCGUCUCGGGUGUUGUUGGGCUGUAAGCCUGUGACUCAACAAAGUUGCUUCAUCCGUACUUCAACUCCUCGUAUUCCCAAUUGUUUAUUUAAAAAUACCGUUUCCAAAAAUUAUUGGUUUCUUCAUUCCUCAGAAUUGAGAAUACUACACAUGAAAUAGAAUGUGCUUUGUGUACGAAGUUAAGAUAGAUUGAUAUUAAGGCAUUUAUUUGACCAAGAAAACCUUCCACUUAUUUAUGUGUGUGUGCGUAAGUCUUUCCCAGAACGGAGAAAAAAACUAAGAAUCAGGAAAUUGGAUUGGGAACUGGAUUUUGAAUAUGAUAAGGAGAUAAAGUUAAAAAAAAAUAUGAAGUUAUUCUGCUUUAAGAGAAUAUUGAAAAAAAUAUUGCCAGGGUAUACAAAAACAAAAUGCUUUAAUCUGGUUAUCAAGUGACUUUAUCUUAAUUUUCAACUAGAUUUAAGAACUCUUCUAUUGUCCAACAAUUUUAAUACAAGAGAAAUAAAACCUGAGCUCAUUUUCUUUAUAUUUCCUUCUCAUUUUAUAUCAUUCUUUUUAAUUUUAUUUUGACAAAUAUAUUUGCACUUUUAGGAUUUGAGCGCAACUGUCGACCAUGAUUCGUAGAAUUGUGAAUGAAUGCUUCUUCUGGACUUCUAAUAAAUACACAUUUUAAAAGUACAAAUUUGCCGUAACAAAUAUCCCAACCCCACACACAAAGACACCUUUAAUAAUUGUUGGAUCCAGGAUCUUUGCAAUUGUCAGUCUUAAUUAGGGUGUUCACACUUCGGGAAAAACCAAGUAAUGGACCGAUCCAAUUUAAAUUGGAAAUUGAAUAUCGGUAAAACGAUUAAGAUCCAAUAUUAAAUUUUAGUAAAACAAUUUGGGAAUGGAUAUUAAAAUUCGAUUCCCGAAAUCCCGAUUACCGACAAAAUUACUGAAUUUUGAUAUUUUAAUUAAAUAUUUUAUACAUUUCAUGCUUACUAAUAUAUCAUAUUAUAUAUUAUUGUAUUAGUCAAUAGUAUUAUAAGUUAUCAUUUAUGCUUAUAAACAAAUAUGUGACCAUAAAGUGUACUGAUUAACAUAUUAAUAACUUUUAUAAUGUUAAUUACAUAUUAAAUAUACUUCACUGAUAUAUAUUAAAAAGCUAAUAUAAAAUUCUAAAUAUUUUAUCAAAAUACCGACUAUCUGGCUGAAAUCCAAUUACCAAUAACCAAAAAUCAAAUAAAACUGUAAUUAGAUGUUGGCCUUGUUGAAAAAUGGACCAAUACCAGUUGAUGAACACCUUUAGUCUUAAUUGUAUCAUACACCAUUACAAUGUAUGCACUAACCCAUAUAGACAUAGACACUACACUAACAAAUAUAGAGGUUAACAUAAAGUUUUUUUUUAAUAAAAAAGUAAAUUUUGUUCACAGAUUGCUAGAAAAAUCAUUGCCCUAAUAGCAGGUUAAAAAUAUACUAGAAAUAAAUAUAUGCAAUUUGAUAGACACAAUAGAUAUAAAAAUUAUGAACAAAUUUAAAAUAUAUAAGAUAAAUUAAAUUAUUUUUUAAUAAGAUAAAUCGCUACAAGUCUUCCUCUACAUGUUGCAAUCGUCAAUCUGCUAAUCAACUAUUUUAAACUCUAAUCAUGAUGAUGAGAUCUAUCAAGAUAAACUCAACAUCCAAAAAAAAAAGAAAAGAAAAAUCAGAUCUAUCCAUCAGAUCUAAAAUAAAUUUAGAUAUAACAACAAACAAGAAAAAAAUAAUAAAAAAAUCUUACUAACAACUCUUAGGAGAACAGAAAAUUCUCAUUAUGAACCUCUAGGAGAAACAGAAAAUUUUUAUUAAGAAAUCUUAAGAGAGCCUCUAUAAAAUAAAAUAAAACAAAAUCCCUGGGAUGGAAAUAUCUCCGUCCCAGAGAGGAAAGCAAAGAUAAGUAGGAGAAGUGGUGACGUAGGAAGAGUUCUUUUUUAAUAUGAUAACAUAUAAAAUAUAGCAAAUUUCGUUAAUUAUGAAAAGCUGUAUCUGACAAUGAAUCACAUCUGUGUAGCUUGAAAUCAAUUCAACCUGAACCAUCAAUCCAUUUUUUUCUCUCUCUUUUUUUUUUUAUUAUUUUGGUUAAGUACCAUCAAUUGAAUUGUUAGUCUACCAAUUGCAGAGAGUUUCAUCCCAUAAUGGUAUUGCACUAAUCAUUGACAAUUCUAGGGUCAUAUAGAAAUCUCUCUGCUUCCCAGUGCCAAGAAACUGAGAAAGAAGGCUCCCUAUACCAAGAUUUCAACUACCCAACAUUCAAGAACGUUUUUGAAGCCUUAAAAUUAGGAUUGUGAACCCACUCGUGUGCACAAGACUUUGACUAAGGUAUACUAAGAUAUAAUAACAUAACAUCAGUUAGUGUGUAAAAGUGACUAAGCCACCUCUUUCUUCGGAUUCAUUCUCAUUCUCUUCACAGAUUUUCUGGAUUCUAGAAGUUGUAACAAUUUAUUAUUCUACGGAUUCUAGAGAUCGGGUUCAAGCCAUUUUUCCAUGGAGAUAUAGAAGCAUAGAGAUGUAUCAUAAUUCUUCCACGUAAUGAGUAUAGUCUCCACUUCCAAUUUGUCUACUAGCUAAUUUUUUCGAUUCUGUUUACAUGAGCAGAACUGAUGGAAAACAUUGCAAGUCCAAAAGGUAGUUUAGUCCUUUCCAGUCCUCUGUCAUCUCCAAAUGUCAGUGCUUUGCUGAAGAUCAAAAUUAUGUCAUGGUAAGAUAUAAUCAGUAGAUAAGCUGAUUGUUUUCAUCUAUAAAGAGUCUCAACUGAUUUUUUUGUUUGUCAUCUUAGGAGCCAAGAGACUGGUUUACCUCUUUCUGUUCGUGUUCGUGUUGCUAACAGAACCUUUAACCUGCACAAGGUAAGCAGAAAAAAACUCCGGUUCCAUGAGGAAACAAUCAGUGAACCCCAGAAAAAAUUUCAUUGAAUUCUUAGUAGGAUACUCCAUUUUUUAUUCUCGUGGUGAUUUGAUGACUUUUCUAUCUAGUGUAUAUGUUUACAAUAUGUUUACAAUAUGUAGCCAUCGGAAUUUGGAACUCAUUUCUUGUAUUCCCUUUGGCAUGGCAGCGUCCUCUUUUCUCAAAGAGUGGAUACUUCAAGGGAAGAUUGAAUGAAUCAAAUGAGAUUGAGCUGCCACAAAAUUUUCCCGGUGGAGCAGAUACCUUCGAGAUGAUAGCCCUCUUCAUCUAUGGAUCCUCUACUAUGGUUGACCCUUUCAAUGUGGCAGGCCUGCGUUGUGCAGCUGAGUUUCUUGAAAUGACUGAGGAGUACAGUUCUGGCAACCUUUGUGAGCGUUUUGACAUAUACUUGAACCAGGUUGUCUUGCAAAGCUGGGAUGAUACUUUAAUUGUUCUCCAGAAGUGCCAAAAGUUGUUACCUUGGGCUGAAGAGUUGCUGAUUGUGAGCCGUUGCAUCGAGUCUCUUGCAUUCAUGGCUUGCAUGGAGAUUCUUGACCCUGAGAGGAAGCGAGAGAAACCAAUUGUGACAUUGGAGGCUUUGGCUAGUCAACCAUGGAGCUGUGAAACUGUUAAGGAGAUAGUAAGGCAAGAUUUGUGGAUUAAUGACCUUAUUGCGCUGCCAUUUUCUUUCUUCAAGAGGAUAAUAGGAUCAUUGAGAAGGCAAGGAAUGAAAGAAAAAUAUGUCUGCCCUAUAAUACUUUUCUAUGCUAACAAAUGGAUCCUCUGUGCAAAGAUGAAGAGGCAUGAAAGUCAUGAUGAUGAUGUAGAUGAUGAUUUCAAGAGCAAACUCUCACAUAUCCUACAAGGAAUUGUUGACAUGCUACCAAUCGAAGAGAAGGCUAGUAAAGGAAUUCCUGUUGGAUUUUACUUCUCUUUGCUAUCGCAAGCUCUCCAACUUGAAUUGAGGGAUGACAGUAGGGAAAAACUGCAGCAGCAAAUUGUAUGUAUGUUACACUUUGCUCAGGUGGAGUAUUUUCUCCGACCCAAGAGUAAGACAGAUUCCAUUUCUUGCUCCAAAGAGUUGGCUGUUAUGGAACAGAUAUUUUCAACAUAUGUUUCAUCUUACAUGGGGCCAUGCCAUACUCCUUCAAGCAAUGUCAUUGUUGCAGAAUUAUGGGAUAUGUAUCUGUCACAGGUAGCUACUGAUUUACGACUGGAUUCCAAAAGAUUCAUGGAUCUCAUUGAAACCUUGCCGAUGUACAGCAGGCAAAACCAUGAUCAUCUGUACAGAGCUCUGAAAACCUUCCUCGAGGUGAGCACUAAAUUAUUUAUUCCAAGUCUCGUACUUUGAUGCUAAAGAGACUGCAACCGCAACUAAUAAUUAGAUCACUUGAAUGGUAAACACUAUGAAAUUCUUCAACUAUGAGAUCACAUUUGUCCUAAUUGUGUGUUUGUCUUUGCAGGCACAUCCAGAUUUAUCACAAGAAGAGAGAGGUUUUGUCUGCAAAUACCUGAAUUGCCAGAAACUGUCACAGGAAAUGUGCAUUGAAGCAGUUCAAAAUGAACUGAUGCCACUGCGACUUAUUGUUCAGGCACUAUUUGUUCAGCAACUAAAUACACAGCAAGCUUUUAAAGAAUGUUCAGAUUCAUUCAGGUACACCCAUUGUAAUGAAUUAUCAGGAAGCAUCUCAAGCUCGAGGUAUGCUAAUUCCAAAAGCCAGAACUUAGGAGAAAGCCCAGACAUGGAUGGACGUGAGGGAGGCUGCAAACUGAGCUUCUUAUUGCAGAAAGACAAAGCAAUGCAAAGGCCAGACAUAGAGAAUGAAAUCUCAUGGAAGGAUUAUGAAUCUACAAGCUUCAGAAUCCAAAAUCUUGAGCAAGAACUAAUCUCUUUGAAGAGAGCGCUUAAAGUGCAAAAUAUUUCAAAGAAAAGGGAACCACCUCAAGCGCACACAGAACCACUUUCAGGACGGCUCCGGACUGCAAGACCAUAUGGAUUCGAGGGAAGAUCAAUGAGCAAGAAGAAAAAUGCCGUUGGGCAGGUGACUGCUUGCAUUGGAAAUGUGAAUCUUGCAUCCCAGAGAAAAUAUGCUAGUAAGUUGCUUAAAAUUUUCCACAGGAUUAGUAUGUUUGGAAGGGGAAAAGCAAAACGAAAGCCUAGUACGACUAAAGGCAAAUCUAGUGUAGUUACCAGCACUGUAGUAUGUACUAUCAAUUAAAAAUGUGAAAAAUCAUCCAAAAGGGAUUUCUCAUACAUAAUAGGGUGCGCAUGAUGUCUAUCAAAAUGGAUGUUUUGGACUAAGCAUAUCAAGAACUGAGUCAAGUCAGUAUACAGAUACGGCCAACUACUUCCUGCAGGCAUUUGCACUGAUAAAAUAUUUGAUGCGGCUGAUAGUGUACCUACAAAAUGCAAUAGGAAAUUGAGAAGCCAACAAUUUGAUCAGAGCUUUCAGAGACUUAACUCAAACACAAGGCAAUAGGAAAUUGAAGGGCUAUUAUUGAAAGGCCUUUAAUUACCUGCAGACGCUUGUUGUACUUGUGAUAAUAUCUUGUUUCGAACUUUAUGAAAGAAAAAAAGAAAAAGAACUUGAGACCAUUGAAGAAAGAAGAUAAACUUCCUUACAUUAAAGUGUAGGCUAGAAAUGAUUUACAUGAUUCUUUUUAUGCAUUUGCCUCUAAUUCUGAGUUCUGUCCCUUAUCUUAUUUAUUUAGACCUUUCACAAGCAAAGAUGGUAUGAAGGAAAUAUUGCUCUUUACUUGUCAGAGCUCUCCAAUUUGUUCCCCAGUGAAUCAAGCCUGGAAAGAUGGCAUGAUUGUGUUACUAUCUUGUUAAAUCUUUUACACAGUCAGUAUUAAGGAUAUAUGUCUCUCUUUAGUUGUCAGACCUCUCCAUUUCAUUUCCUAUUGAAUCAAGCCUGAAAGGAUAGCAUGAUAUUACUAUCUUGUUUCUUCUCAAGUUCAGCAUCAGAGCUCCAGAUAAGGGUGUAUUAUCGUAGCAACAACUGGAAAGAAGAGGGGCAAUAAGGCACAAAGAGAUCCCUUCUAAGGUAACACAGAAAAGAAACCAGUCUGGAACAAAUUUUCAAAGAUGUAAUCAUUAGAACUACAAUAAUAUUCAUUCUGCAGCAAUUAAGCAAAUUCAGAUAAGCAUGGAGAUAUUAACAGAUGGUAGCAGACCAGUUUCCAUUCUACAGAGUAAACUGAAAAAGCAUACAUCUGCUUUUGACAUUCUUGUUGGCAUAGAAAAGAGUUACUAGUACUCCUGUUACAAGCAAGCUUGUAUAUACAUAAUUCAAAAGGGCUCCAAAAGUAGGAAGUCUCAAGUGUCAAACUUAGCCAUACAGAAUUGAUUGAAAUAGACAGAAAGCCCAAACAAUCAGUCACAAUAUCAUCCACAGAUGGAACUAAACAACCACAGCUUUAUCAAGGCUCUCAUUGGCUUGAACAUUGUGAGGUUUCAAGACUGAUCUUACAGCUUCCACGUGUAAAUUUACAUAGUGUUGGCGGCAAACAGGCAUAUAAACAUCUGCACCGCCUAUUAGCUCUGUCUUGGUCUCCUCAGUCUUCCUCAAUGUAAAGAAAGCCCUUUUCCUGCAGAGCUCACAUCGUGCAGUCAACUUGGUUAUCGUGUCAGCAAGUGGUACCACUUCAAGAACUGAGCCAAAACUCCUCCUAUGAGAAAGUACAAAUUCCAACAUUACCAAUACAGAAUAUCUUUUUGAAUCAUACAAAACUACUUGAUCAAACAACAGACCAGAUCAAUCACGAACUGAAAAAUACCUCAAAUAGUCUCCAUCCAGGCCAGCAACUACUACAAUUUUCCCAUCAAGAUCAGCAGCCUCACAGCAGAAAUCAUACAGGUCAUCAAAGAAUUGAGCUUCAUCGAUGCCAAUCACAUCCAACUAUCAACAUACGAAACUAAUUAGUAUCAACAAAUAUAUUAAAUUAAACACAGAUAACCAUUACCCUUUUACAUCAUGAUCAAAAACGAAGUGCCUGUUUCUAUGGUUGACAUACAACUCUUAAGAUUUUACAAGAUUAGUCAGCAAAUCAAUCCAAACGCACAAGGGAUUACAAUUGAAAUACCUUUUCGUAGGCAUCAACUCCAAUUUUCUGCUUAAAGGAUGAAAGAUCUGGCAUUGACCAACAGGGGAACUUCACCCCAUCAUGGGUCACCACUGCAUCUGUGGCAUAUCUUGUGUCCUUGCUUGACUUUAUCAUGGCAACACUUCUGCUCACGAAUAUUCCAUUAAUUAAUCAACGAAAUUCAUUUAGUCAGAGCACAAAAAGUGAAACUCGUGGAGUGCAGGGCAUGUAACAGUUGUACAUUUUGAAUCAGAUGUUGUAUCCAAGUAACUUCAAUUUUUUUUCUCAAAAUUCUUGAAGUUCCAGAAAAACCGGGAUUCCAUGUCCAAUCUUUAUGCUCAAAAAUUAAGAAAAAGAAAAGAAUAGAAAAGAAAAGCAUCAUAACAGCUUUUUACUGCACGGCCAUGGAUAUGGCAAUUAAUACUUGUACCUAGUUCAGCGUAUGUUGUACCUGGCUAUGUAAAAUCGUCAUAUUGGAUGAAUUAUUCAUAAAAUUUCGUAGUUUUAAAGAAACUGAGAUGAUAUUUCCAAUCUUACGAGCUAAAAAAUAAAAUAAAUUAAAAAUCAACAACAUCACAAUCAGCCAGAAAUUAUAAAGAAAAAUCAUGGAUGAAAACAUGGAAAAAAAUUUGUUUCUAACAAAUUACCUGCCACUGUCGGAUUCCAAUUUGACACGGCGAAGUAAAGAGGUGGUCUUGCCUGCAAACAUGGGCCCGAUGAUGACGUGGAUCUCCCCGGAGGGCUGAUUAGCGGAUCCCAUCUGAUCGGCGGCAUCAGUAGACAUCGAGCUCAAGUUCAAAGAAACUGAGCUUUUAACAAAGGAAGAAGACAUCAUUUUCAACGGGACAAAAAGAAAAAGGAUAAUAAGAAAACUUUAAAAUGGGAGAGUUGGUGGAUAGAUGGGGUAGAAGGGAAGAGAAACGUCAGAGGAUUUAUACAGAGAAGGAGAAAAGCGUACGAGGGACGUUUGUUUGGGGUUUGAAUUUUUCAGAGUUUGAAUUUAUGGAGGGAAGAGAAGGCAGUUUGUUUGUUUGUUUUUGCCUUUUGGGGAUUUGGCGCUUCGGCAGUUUGGACUUUGGAGGGAAAAGCACAGGCAAAGGGAGGGGUCUCUUUUGGACACAUGGCCACUGUUUGAUUAAUUCCUGUGAUAAUUCUGGUGUUGCCCUGGUUUGCUCCGAAUUUGCAGUUAAGUCCAUAAGCAAGGAAAGACCUGUUUGGGAUUGCAUUUUCUUGGGAUAAUUUGAAAAACCUUCCUUGAGAUUUCUGAUAAUUUCGCUUAACACUCUUGAUAUUUCAAAAUUUACGCCUACCUAUAUUGUCCAUUUAAAACGAUAAUUUUGUUUGGAUAGAAUAUUAUUUGAAAUAAUUACUGUAGCACUUUUUGUGAUAUAAUGUAUGUGAGAUAAAAAGGUGGUUGAAAAUAUAAAAAGGUAGGUUGGAAAAUGUGUUUAUGAUGCAAGCGAAAUAUUAUUUGGAAUAAUUUGCUAUCCAAACAAACCCAUUAAAAGUAACCUAUCCUAAUGAGAUUUGUCAUUGUAAUUGAUUAUCAAACAAGAAGUGGGCAUAAAAAUCUUGACACUCAUUCCUUUGUAAUUGUACAAAAUUACUAUACAAUUGUUUAGAAAAAUAAAUUAAACUUUAUUAGAUGAGGAAAUUUUAGGGUAUUCAUUAAAAUUUUGACCCUAUUUUAAGGUUUGGUUACUAAAAGUGUCAAAUCAAGGAUGGUAAGUGUAAUUUUUAAUAUCUCGAGGGAGCUUAGUGAAAUUGCUUGUUAAAAAUCUUAGGGGAGGUUUCUGAAAUUAUUUUGGAGAGUUUUUGAGGAAAAAUUACUAUAGCAGUUUUUUAAGAUAUGAAAAUCAUAUAGAAGGAAUAUUCAUGAAAAACAUAAAAUUUUUUCUCCAAAAAAUCACAAUCUAAACAAGGAAUUUCUAGCAAAAGCAAAACAAUAAAAUUGAUAACCAAAGGCGUAAAAUUUAACUUGAGUUAAUUUUCCUGAUUUAAAAUUUAAGCUUAAACAUGAACUACCCACUAUAACUAGGCUACAUUUCACAAAAUAUACUUAAUAACAACGGAAGGCUAAAACCAUUAGUUCUACUAGCGGUUUGGCCAGAAUACUUUCUCAUGAAAACAACAUUAACCUCAUAUAAAACUACUGUUUUUUACUCUAUAAACUCCUCAUCCACUAUUACUACUAUUUUGCUAUGCAAAACAUCGAAUUAUCGGCCCUCUAGAACUGUACAACAACAUUAAAAUACAACAAAAAAUUUCCUUGCUAAUCCAAUUAUCGGUAAACUAUCCACAAAAUUGCUUAUAGAAGAGAAUCAUGCAGGGAAAAAAAGAGAAAACAAUGCAUCUAGCAGGUGCAGUGUUACUGGUGUUACUGGUGAUAUAUUUGAGAAAAAAGAUUUUUCGUUAAACAAGUACACGUAAAUAAGCAGAAAAAUAAGACAAAAAAACUUGACAACAAAAGAAGAGGAAUAUGAGAACGUCCAACCAAUGACCUUUUGCAAAUUGAAGAAUAUGGAACCAUGACACUUCAAAAUAGCACAAAGAAGAGAUAAAACAAGUAUAUAUGUGUGUGUACACGCACAUGCAUUUUUUACUGAAAAACAUGGAAUAUAUAUAGGGCUAACAAUAACAAAAUUCUAAUAUGCAUUAAGUACUAAAAAACAAAUUAUAUGAAAUAGCAUUUGUUUCCCAUCACCCGAUGGCUUUCUAUGACCCCCCAAAAAAUUUUUUUUCCUUAUUUUAUAUCUAUUCUAUUUCUUUUCAUGCAUUUUCUUUAUAUUACUUUAUUACCUUAAUUUUCUAGAUAUUUUUAUAAGUGAGUCAAGCUUUUAAAUCAUUUUCUUGAAGUGUAUUAUGGACGUGGGACCCGCUAGUGCGGUAAGUGCGGAAAAUUUUGACGAUUAGAUGGAGUUUUGCAUAAAGGGAUAUUAUUUUACAAGGUGCUAGGGGAUAAUUAGAAGUUAGCUAGAUAAAUUAGCUUUGGAAGACAAGAAGAUGAGGACAAAACCCUAAAGAGCCAAGUGUCGCGAAACCGUUGGAAGUUGGACUUUGACCAAAUCUUUCUUAACUUUACUAAAACCAAACAUUGACCAAAAUUUGCUCAUUUCUUCCCAUUUUUCUUAGUCUUGGCCGAAAUUCUUGAGAGGAAAAACAAGGGAGAGAAACUUCAUCUUCAAUCCCAACUUUCUUGCUCGAAUCUUGAGCUCUAACCAUAGUUUGUGCAAACUACUCCAUAAAAGUGCUAAUUAAGGUAGAUUUCAAGGUGUUGGUGGAGUGAUUUUGGAGGAAGAAGCAUUAAGUUGCCGUCUUUCUUGAGGUUACAAGGUAAGUUUACCAAGAAAUCUCUCUUUGCUUCUAAUACAACCAUACUAGUGGUUUAGGGUUGCUAAAGUGGUAGUUUUAUGGGAAAUUUCAUGAGUUGAAGUGGUGUUAUGAAAAUUUUCAGUUUUUAUUGGUAAAUUUCUGCCUACAUAUGAUGCUUAGGUGUUGGCCAUGGUUUGAUAGUUUUGCUAUGUGAAAUAUUGAGGUUUUAUAGGCUAGUUUAACUUAGCUAAAGAAAUUUCCAGCUUAUGUGCAUAAAUUUCAGUUUAGGGUUUCCAAUUUGGGCUUGAUUGUGGUUGGUUUUGGAGUCAUCAAUUGGCUAAUUAUAGGGUGUUGUGACCCUAAUUAAGUGUGUUUAAUAGAUUAUGAUUUGUAUGUGCAAUUGAGGCUGUUUUGGGUGAACUUUGGUGUUGAUUGUAGGAUGGAAAAGUAAAGAAAUUAAGAGGAGGUGCUGCUGAAAAUUUGUCUGCAGGAACCUUUGGGCAGCCUUAGGAAAUCUGCUAUAUCUUGUUGUAGAAAAGUCAGACUUUAGUUUCGUUUGUUGUGCUUGAAACUAGAGUCAGAGUACUAUCAACUGUGAAAAUUCAGCCUUUUUCUCAAUUCCCAUGAAUAUCUGUGAUUUUUCAAAGUUGACUGAAAUUGCAUACCUGUUCUGUCUUUUACUAGAUGAAGUAGCAACUUGUGACUCGAAUUUGACUGACUUAUGGACUGAAUCAGAUUUUGGACAAAACAUGAAAUUAUAGGGAUUUGAGUUAACUUUAUACCUGCAAAAUUUUAGAUCCGUUGGAUCAUUUUAGCUUAUGAUUUGGCCAGAGCAUUCCUGACUGCACAAAAACUCUAAUUUUCCUGACCUGUUUUUCAUGUGCUUCCGACCGUCCAAUUUUGACCCUGAAAAUGUGAGAACUGGGUGUCGAUGUCUCAUAGGAAAUGUAGGUCUAUGUCUUAGCUUCAAAACACCAUUAAAUUUGCCUCAAUCUGAUACGUAUAGCUUCAGUUGUGAUCAAAACACCAAAGGAUGGCAAAGCUGCCAUCUUCAUUGUUUCUCGUUACCUUUCUCUUGUUUUCUGUUUCCUUGGUCCGACUUAACAUGUACUUCUCAAGUGUUCUAAACCUGAUUUCUAACAUUAUAAACAAAUAUUCCAAACAUGAUGGUUUUUAGUUGCACAUAUUGGCUUUGAACUUAACCGUUUUAGAUCAUUUUCUUUUACAAAUUAUGCGUGCACCUUGCCUAUAUGACUUACUAUAUUUUCAUGCCUUUUUCUUUUGAUAUAAAAAUAUAAGUUAUGCAGCUUGCACUUGUAUAUGAUUGGCUCUUUAUGGACAAUAUUUGACUGCAGAUUUCGAGAGUGGCCAAGGUGCCGGCCCUGAACUGAAUUUUGAUAAAACGUGACUUGUUUAGGGUUAGUGUUCCUUGCAUGUUUGUGCAAUAAGUGACUAUGUGAAUAUCUGUGAGUGAUUAUUUGAAUGUUAAAUGUUUUCCAAUGAUUGCUAAAUAGAUUUUCGAUGGGCGAGCGUGUACUUUAUCGCACUCAACCCAAGCUAAAGUGAAUUUUCAAUGAUUGAAUGCUAUUUGUGCAUGAAUGUAAGCCUUUUGGCUGAACUGGACCCUUGCCCUUCGUUGCCAGUCGACUCGAGCCAGAAAUGGACUCCGUCGGGCGACUAGUGAUCUUAGGACAGUGUUUUGGUAUACUCGAGUAUGACCACGAAAGUUGGUGGAGAACUGGCCAGUGAAUUGGCUAGUGGCGGGAAAUGAAAUGAAUGAAUUGAAAUGUUGAAGUAAAGGGAAGAGAUGAAUGAUUGAAUGAAGGAGAUUGACUGGCGGAAUGAACGAAUGGCUCCACGUGAGCAUGUAUCCUUUUAUUGAAUGUGUUCUCAUUGCUUUUAUAUUGUGAAUGUUUUCUCAAUUGAUUGUUGUUAAAUGACUAAUGUCCUUGUUUCAAUUGCUUGAUUAUGUGUAUGGGAACCUCACUGAGCUUUAGCUCACCCCUCUAUUCCGUUAAAUUUGUUUUCCUUAUAGGGUUUGAGAGCAAGGACGGGUGAUCAGUGGAAAACUAAACUUUUGACUAGAACUUUUGUUGUGUAAUAGUGAUAGUAUUAGUAAUUGGUUGGUCCUAAACUUUUGUACUAAUCUUGAGGAUUGUAUAUCCGUGUUAAUGUUUGUAUAUAUGUUAAGUUUGAUUGGCACAUCUUUACUUGCUCUUGAGAGUUGAUUGAGUGAGUUAGUGAGUCCUGACGAGAGCUGGGCAGGCGAUCUACCGAACCCUUUGAUUCGCCUUAGGGGAAGGUGGGGUCGUCACACUUUCCUUCCAAUGGAAGGGCAAAUUUAGAAUGAGAUUUCUAUCCUUUGGUAGGGUGAGCAACUUUAGAAAUUAUUUUUUACCGAAUUCGAGUUGAAUUUGGUGAUUUGAAAUUAGUAAAUCAGAGUUUUGUUGGUACAAUGAGAUUUCAAAUCAGGGAUGUUAGAAUUGGAGUGAAUAUGGUUUAUGGUUUUAUAUACCAUUUGAAUUAAAUAUAGUAAAGCAGUAAUUUACCAUUUUCACUUUCAAAUUAUUGCCUAUGCAAUACAUAACCAUAUACAAACGUAUACACACAUAUAUACAUGCAUACAAGACUCAGACUCUUCAAUCCAGCCUCCCCUCACUUCAUUUUCUCCUUUUGUUUCAUCAAACAAAUCGCAAGGCUUUAGAUAGUAGAGUUGAAAGCAAGAAUCCAAGAAGACAAGAAUGCAUCUCACUCGCAAUCCAGUCACUCCAAAUAGACAAAGACUCACCAGUCCCUAAUCGACUUGUCACAUUAGUUGUAAACUAAAUGGGUUAAGGUAAUGAAUUUAGCACCAAGGCCCUAAGUCCUGUACGAUUUUAGAUUCAUUGUAUUUUACCAUAAUUGAUAUGAUUUUAUUCAAUUUUAGCCUAUUUAGCUGUAAUUUACUCUUAAAUUGGUAAUUGUUGUCAUAAUCUGAUUUUACUCUAAUUUUUGGUCAUGACUUGUGCCCUAACUUUGAUACAUCUGUAAUUUUCUUCAACUUUCUUCCUAAUUAAUCACGAUUUGGCUGAAAUUUAGUUGUGCAACAAUUGAAUUGCGCCCUAAUGUUAACGUAGGCCCUUAAAUGUAAAUAUAAUUGACUAAUUUAUCGACCUCAGUAAUUUGACUUAUAUGUCUAUUUGAUUGUAGCUCAAUUGGUUGUUCUAAAUUUUGUAAAUUGCACUCUAUGUUGCUGUUUGUGCAUGAGUACAUGAAGCAUGUUGUUGUCUAUGGUUUAUGUUCAAGUUCUACCUUGGUCUUAGUAUAUUAAUUGUAAUUUUAUCUCUUGUAGACUUAUAGCAAGUUGUUGGAAAGAAAAUUUUUCUAUAUGAUUAAUUGGAGAUUUCUAAACAUGAAACUAAGUAUGUUAAUUUUGCUUAAGAACAUUAAGCUGAAAACAGGAAACUUAAUUGAAAAAAUUCAAGAAGUGUGCUGAAAUUGAAAAAAUUGAAUGUAAAAAGUUGUUUGGUUUAGAUGUUUCUAUUUGGUGGAAUUCUACUUAUUUGGUGGAACUCAAGAGAGCUUUUGAGAGGUUUGAAGAGUAGGAUCCUUAUAUGAUUUAAGAGCUAGACUAUUUUCUAAUAAAAUCUAAUUUUGCAAAGAGUGGAUUCUUGGUCAUGAUUUUGGAAAACUUUUUUAAGCUGAUUGUAAAAGGGUUCUUAUACCAAACAUGUGACUUCUAAUAAGUUUGUCAAUAAUAUUAUCACAGUCAUGACGUUUUAAAGGAAAUGGCAACAAGUGAUAAUGAUUAAUUGAGUUCUAUAGCAAGAAUAAUUAAGAAGUAUGGCAAGUACCAAGGAAGGAUUGAAACGAUGGACAAGCAUGCUAUUUUUUCCAUUCUUGAUUCUCAAACUAAACUUGAAUGCCUUGAAUUCAUUCUUUGCCAAAUAUAUGGUGAAUUUGAUGAUGCAAAUCUGUAUAAGCUUGCAAUAGAUGCAACUUUUGGAGUUGCUUAAUGAAAAUGAGAGACUCAACACCCUUGCCUCAUCUUCUGCCUCUCAUGUUUCUUCGUGUUUAGUUCUAGUGCUACUGAAAUAGGUAAAAUUGCAUUUGAUGGAAAUGCCUCUAGAAAGAUCAAUAGUAGGUACAAGUUGAAGUUUAAGAAGAGAAAAAUGGCAUUUGGAGGUAGGGAUACAAAAUCUAAAUUAAACAAAUAUGUAAAUGAGGAUUGUGAAGAUGAUAGUGAGAAAUUUGAAAAUUUUGUUGUUGUAGAAGGCCAACAGACUUGGGUUCCCAAUCCUCUCUAUAGUGGCUCAUGAUGGAUUAGUUGUCCAAUUUCUACUGCAACUUCUAAAUUUGCUUUUAGUAUUGAAGGCUACGUUCUUGAUAAAUAAAAAUUUUUAACUCCUAGAAUUGUGUAAGGUUUAAUAUGUGCUCAAGAUUGACUUCGAUUUUCAAUGACAGAAUUGAAUAUGGAAAAAAAUUUAGAAGAUUUUGAAAUCUUCAAAUCUGGUAAAUUAUCAAAUUUCUUAUUACCAAAUUUGAAGUAUUCUUUUAUUUCUAAUAAUUUAUUUUAAAAUACUUAACAAUUUCUCUUUGUUCUUGUAGAUUUGCUCAAGGGGAGAGCUAAAGCAACUAUUGUUGAUCUUUGAGUUUAAUAAUUGUGAACUAGAAGCCCAAAAAGGGCAGAUGAAGAAUUGAAUAGUGAAGAAUGCAACAUAAUUUUUAAAUUUGAUUUUUGGACUGUUAUUUAGUUUUAGAAACUAUUGCUUAUUAUCUAAUAUUUAAACAAUUUACUUUUAUUCAUGAGUGAUGGUUCAUGUACUAAUUUCAAGAUUAUUUACUUUUUGGGCUAUGGCUAUGUAAUCAGUAAUGAACUACUGCUUGAAUUGGCCUUAUAUUCUAAAUUGCUGAUUAUCUUUUGCUUCUUCUACUUGUUGUAUUGAAUGCUUCAAUGCUUGAUAAUUAGCAUGCUUCGGUAGGGCUACUUGAUGUGAAUCACGUACUUAUUCAACCAGCAGUUGAAGAGGAUUACACGAGAAUCUUCGUUAGAUUUAUCAAUAAAUCACCGAUGUCAAUUUCUAAAUUGACAUUGGACUUCAAGUCUAACCAUGAAUCAUCCAUUGCCCUAUUCGGGUGAAUUUCCCUGAUUUACCUCUUCCUCUUUUCGAUAUGAAAUAUCUAUUAAAAUUGGGAUCGUUGUUGGGUCGUCCCUUGCAGGCUGAUUCUGCAACUUUUGCCUUUAAGUGUCCUUGGGUGGCCUGAGUGUUAAUUGAGAUUAAUGUUGCCAAAGUGCCGGUUAAUCACGUUUAGAUUGGGGAUGAGAGCUUUGGGCACUGGCAAAAGGUGGAGUAUGAGAAUUGGCCUAAGUAUUGCUUGUUUUUGUGAGGGAAUAGGCCAUACGGACACAAAAUGCUUCAAAAAAGACCCAUCACAGAAGGCUGUGAAGCUCGCUUCUCCAAAAGUGCAGUAGGUUUAUGUCGUUAAGGACAAUAAGGGCGAAGAAUAUGGCCAUCUCUCAUAAGCAGGACAUGUCUAUUAGACUGGGUGGAGCAGUAGGGUCAUGCUAUGAUGAGUCACUGGGGAGACAGACAGGUAUGACUUCAGCACCACUUCAGUCAUUGCGUGAAGUGCCUCCAGUAGAGGCGGAAGUUACAAUAGCUAAGGUUGCAGCUCCAGGGCUUGUUUCACAGAAGAGGGAUCCCAGUUAAUACUGGCUGAUAAUCUAGAGUUCAGUCGGGAGGUGCAAUUGGGUAACUAGUUGCAGCAAGCUAGAGAAGUAUUCUAGCAAUGUGAAAUCGAGAAGGAAAAUCUGAGAGAGGAUGUCAGAGGGCCAGAAUCUUCUCCAGGUUUCUCACUUCAAAUCCCUUCGAGAUCCUAAGCUCGUUAGAUGAUAAUCAGCCGUUUUGGAUGUCUCGCUCCUUGUCUCCGCCACGCUCGUGUCAACCUUUUUCAUUAGCUCAUCGUAAGUCUGCUUCUAAUCUACUUCAACAUGUGGUGUCAACAUAGCAGCUAGUGGAGUUUCGAACACAGAUUGAUGCGCACCUACGCAAUAGGGAGUUGUUAUCCCUGGGUUUCCCUUGGGCAGCUGUUGUGGAUGAAAAAGACAUUUGUCUUUUGAAUCAGAUUGCAAAAAAGCUUGGUAGACCUUUAAAUUAUCUGAAGAAAAUGGCGGCCUAUCAUUCUCAAGCUAUGUCCUCUUUGGUUUUUAAUGAUAAAUCCAAUUAACUUGUUAGCUUGGAACAUAAAAGGUAUCUCCCGACGUGAUUCACAACGGUAUCUACAACAUUUAUAUAGAAGCAAUAAUGUUCAUUUAUUAAUUCUUCUUGAGCCUAUGUCUGAUGUUUCUCUAUUAGACAGCAUUAAGUCUUUGUUACGAUUUGAUAAUGCUCAAUCAUUCAUUGAUGGAAAGAUUUGGGUGAUGUGGUUUGAUGAGUUCUCUAUUAAGUCUAUGGAAUUGGCAGAGUAGAUGGUUCACAUGCAUGUAAAAGUGGUGUUUGGGUAUUCUUUUUGGCUCUCAGCAGUCUACGCCAAGUGCACUCGUGUAGGUAGGAGAUCUUUAUGGCAUGCAUUGGAGAAUGUCGGAGUUAGGUCCCAAACUCCAUGGCUAAUUGGUGGAGGUUUUAAUGUGGUAUCGUCGGCAGUAGAAAAAAAGGGGGUGCAGCGGCGAAUGAUAGGAACAUGAAGGAAUUCAACUCAUGCACCUUUAAUUGCAAUAUUUCACCAGUGGAUUUUGAUGGUCAACUAUACACUUGGACGAAUGGGUUGAUGUAGCAGCAGUUGGACAGGAUGCUGGUCAAUGGUGCUUGGGCUGACCUUUUUGACACAACUCGGGUCUCGCACUUGCCUCAAGCAAGGUCUGAUCACUGUCCAUUGCUAGUUAAGUGUAGUUCUAUCAGGGUUCGGAAGCGCGCUUUUAAAUUCUUGAAUGUCUGGCAAAGCAUCCAACUUUUCAUCAAAUAGUGAGAGAAGCUUGGGGAGCUCCCGUAUCCGGGGUAGGGAUGCGGUGCUUUUUUCAAAAAUUGAUUCGAGUAUGACAUUGCAUUAAACAAUGGAAUUCACAGAUUUUGGGAACAUUUUCUCUAGGGUCAAAGAGGCAGAAAAGAGUAUGAAACAAUGUGAGCUUGAGUAUGACUUCAUUCGGGAUAACGUGACAAGGGCAUACCUGGGAGAAGCAAAGGCAGUUUAUACUCAAGAGUUGAUAGUGGAAUAUGAAUUUUGGCCCCAAAAAUCUGUAAUUAAAUGAAUUUAGAUAGGGGAUGCUAACACUAAGUUUUUCCACUCGUGUGUUAGACAGAGAAGAAAUUCCAAUUUCAUUUCUAGAAUUAAAAAUGAAGAUGGAGUUUGAUUGGAUCAACUAAAGAAAGUAAAGGAGUCAACGGUAGAGUUUGAUGAUCUUGAUCCCUGUCUUUUGAUAUUUACAAAAUAAUUGGAUAAUACUAAUAUCUUUUCAAUAAGAAAGCUUUUCAGCUCUGAAGCAAUUUGAUUCAAAGAACAAUUGAAAGAAGAUAAAGGAAGAUGAAAGCUGUCGGAUGCUCACAAAGACAAUACCGAACGUCCGAUAGACAGUGCAAAUCAUAUCGGACGAAGAAUAUCUUCGCCGGACAUCCGAUAGAAUUCAGAUGAUCCUUCAAACUCUCUGUCUGCUAUCGGACGCAAGUUUCGGAAGUACCGGACGUCUGAUAGAAUUGAGAUGAUCCUUCAAGCAACGGUAGUACCAGACGUCCGAUACUCCCAACGGCUAGUUAACUCUUCAGUUACCUUCUAUCCAUUGGAAGCAUUAAUGAAGCACUUUUUUGGUCUCAUAUAAAUAGAGCAUGGUCAGAAAUUUCAAACAACUUUUGCACACUGAGAAUACAAAAGAUCAAGAGUAGUUUUAGUGAGAAAAUACUCUCCAAGGAAAAUUUGUAGUCUUUGUGGUGUAAGGUUCUUUGUAAGCUUUUCAUUUGUUAGUAAAUACUUUAAUAGUGUAACUCUGUGAGGGUUAUCUUGAGGGAUUGUAAAACUUCCUAACUUGACCGAGUAAAACAUGGGGCAAGGAGGAAAUGAGCCUUCCUUUGUACACAAGAUUGGUUGUAUUUCAUCAACUUGAAGAAGCUUGUUUUAUGAGUUGAUCUUUGAGCUUAAGAGGAGUUUGGUAGUCAAUUGAUUUGCAAUUCUUCUCUUUUUAUUUAUCAUUUUGUGAACCUUAAUUGCUUAUCUCUUCUACUCUCAAGUGAUAUUAUCCUUUAUUGAUUGAUUCAUUGUGUGAUCACUUAAAAAAGAGGGUAAAUUUCAUAUUGAGUAAAAAGUGCCCAUAAUUUGAUUAGUUUCUUUAAUCAACCUAAUUCAUCCCCUCUUAGGUUGUCUUCGGGCCUAACAGAGUUCUUUUCCUCACUUUUCUCGUCUGAGAGGGAGGGACGGAUGACUCUCCAGUUGUUCAUUCAAUUGCCGCGGGUGGACCACUCUGAUAAUGAUAUACUGUGUGCACUUCAGUCGAUGGAGGAGAUUAGGUCUGUGGUUCUAUCUAUGAGCCCGGAUAGUGCCCCGAGUCCUGAUGGAUUUAGUGCUGGCUUUUAUCAGAGAUGUUGGGAGAUCAUUAAAAAGGAUCUUCUACAAGCUGUUCAAGAUUUCUUUACGGGCGGGCAGCAACCCCAUGGUUUCACAAGCUCCCUCAUUGUCCUCAUCCCAAAGGUGCAAGGGGCUUCUCAGUGACGGGAGUUUCCGCCUAUUAGCCUAUGCAAUGUCAGCUCCAAGAGUAUCUCAAAAAUUUUGGCGGUGAGGUUGAAUAGGGUGUUGCCUAAAAUUAUUUCUACAUGGCAGAUAGGGUUCAUCCCUGGUAGAGGUAUUAUAGACAAUAUUAGUUGGUUCACGAGUUAGCAUGGGAUUUGGAUAGGCAAUUGUCGGACCCUAAUUUGAUGCUUAAGUUGGAUAUGAAAAAAGCCUAUGAUCGAGUCAAAUGGCCAUUCUUGCUUUUUAUGUUACACAAGUUUGGAUUUCAAGAUAGGGCUAUCGAUUUGUUUUCGAUCCCUAUGCAAUAGUUGGUUCUCAGUUCUAGUCAAUGACGAGCCAGCUGGUUUUUUUAAGUCAUCGAGGGAGGUCCGCCAGGGAGAUCCACUCUCUUCAGCAUUGUUUGUGAUUGUGGCAAAAUUCUUGAGAAGGGGUCUAUUUCAGUUGUUCUAGGAAAAUGAGAGGAGAUUUUACGCAUCGCCAGGGUGUCUAGUACCUUACUUGACAUUUGCAGAUGACAUUCUUAUUUUCACCAAGUGCUCCGAGAGUUGCCUAGGGCCAAUUCAAGGCUUUCUAGAGUCGUAUCAAGCUUAUUCUGGCCAAAAGGUCAAUUCAUCUAAGAGCUCAUUUAUUAUUUCUAAUAGGGUCACUGUUGAGCAAGUUGAUAUGAUUACCUCCAUCCUUGGUUUCUCUCGACAGCAUUUUCGCUUCAAUUAUUUGGGAGCUCCUAUUACGUGAGGUAGAGACCAUUGUCGUCUUUUUGAUGGAAUUUUAGAUAAGAUUCGGCAUAGACUUCAGCAUUGGAGUUCUUGCAUGUUGUGAACCGGUGGAAAAAUUAUUCUUCUUCGUUAUGUUCUUGCUUCUAUCCCUAUGUAUCUUCUAUAGGUCCUCCAACCACCUCAAGUGGUGCUCACUAAACUUGGUAGGAUUUGCAAUAGCUUUUUAUGGGAUCACAACACGGAAUCGUCAAGAGUCCAUUGGGCUUCAUGGGAGAAGCUUUGUUUUCCUGUGGAAGAAAGGAGCUUGGGGUUUCAUAGCUUUGCGGAUGUUUCCAAAGCAUUUGCGUAUUAGCUUUGGCGGCAACUUCAUCUUGGAGAUUUCAAUUGGUCACAAUUUAUGCAUGCCAAAUGUGUUAAAGGCUAUCACCCCUCUAAAGUGCAUGUAUCUCGGCUCACACCAGUUUGACGAUGGUUGGAGGAAGUAUGAGGAUUUACGGAGUCAAAAAUUAGGUGGUGUUUAGGGAGAGGGUUUGUUGAUUUUUGGUUUGACUGUUGGUACUUUGAUCAACCAUUGUCGGUGGUGAUGGGGGUACCUAAUCUGCCACACAUGUUGCCGGUGGAAUUUUAUGAGGAUAUUGGAUGGAGUGUUGACAAGCUACAACAGUGGGUCCCAGAGUCUAUAGUGCAACAAAUCUUGCAAAUUCAGCUUCCUUGAGUUGGAUGAUGUCAUGGUGUGGAUACCAUCUUCCUCUGAUUCUUUCACUGUCUCAUCAGCUUGGAAGUGUCUUCGACCAAGGAGGAACAAGUCAAUGGUUGAUCGUAUUAUUUGGGACAAGGUGUUACCUUUCAAGAUCUCUUUUUUGAAUGGAGGAUGUUACAUGGUUUUCUCCCAUUGGAUGACAAUUUAAAGAGAAGGGGCAUUGUCCUCUCUUCGCAAUGUAUGUGUUGUGAGAAGAAUGAAGAAUUAUUGAAUCAUUUAUUUCUCUAUGGCCCGGUAGCUACUCAGGUUUGGAGGCAUUUUGUUGGGCAAUUUAGUUUCCUAAAUUUGGAUCUCUUGCAGUCUACUGUCUCUGCAAUGUUCACGUCUUGGGUUUUGUUUUCACUGUGAUAGCCCCACCUCUCCUCAGGACAAACCCAAAGGAUUAGCAAACUGCUUGUCCAGCUCGCGUCGGCACUCAGUCUACUAAUGAACUAGCAACCCAAGAAAACUAAUGAAAUAUCUUUGAAGUAAAGGGUACAAGCCAUAAUGAAAAUAUAAUCGUCACGCCACCUUCCCAAACUUAGAAUAUAGAACUAAAAGUUAAACUUAUAACUCCAAACUUAAUUUACAUAGUAUGCGGCAAACUUACAAAUUCAAGCUUAUAAGAGUCAAAGGUAGAAUCUUCUAAAUAAAAGAUUACAAUCCAAAGUAGAAGUUUAAGAUAAGAAUUGAGGCUAUGAAAGUUCUUGACCACAAUUCCAUCCCAAAUCUGUUAAGAAAAAUAAAAAGAGUGGGGUGAGCUAAAACUCAGUGAGGUUCCAAAUAAUCAUGUAACCACAUAAUCAAUUAGAGACAUAAUAUAAAUGAGUGAUCGCAGUACAAUACUAGAACAAGUUAAUCACAAUUCAAUUCAAGGAUACGGGUGGCUUCCAAAAGCCAAAUCCACUUAAGUUUGAUCGUAUCGAAAAUCCGUUGACUCUCCGUCAACGUUUGCAUCCAAGGAUGUAAUGUCCGUAGAAUACCACUUACUCCAAUUUCCGUCCACCAGUCAAUCCCCUUACCAGGCCCAAACACCUCAAACAGUAUAAUUAGGUAACACUCGAGUAUACCAGUUUCCAAAUUUCAGUAAACAGUCCUCAGGGUUCAUCUGCCUUCUCGACCAAGUCCUUGCUGGUUCGAUACAACCGACUCACCUAUGAGGUUGGGCAUCCAAACAGUCACAAUAGUUGAUGGGAUGUUACCCAAACAACUCACAUCUUAUAGUAGCAGUAUACAGAGUCUCAGUGGAAUCGAAGGAGGUCGAGUGUGAUAAAGUACACGCUCGCCUCAAAUUUGUCAAGACAAGGUUUAGAUCAACCAGUCACAGAUUAAGUAUUCAGAUAUUUCACAUAAACAGGUAACAGGCAAUAGAACACUCACCUGUCAAGAAAUGCAGAGUUCAAUCGUCAAGUUCCAUGGUUACCCUCACCUGCGUUUCCCAAUUCUAGGGCAACGAGUGAAAUCGUUAACAAUCUAGGUUCAUUUUUCAACCCAAAUAUAAGUUCAUUAGGUGACCAAGUGGGUUGUUAAUCGACUCAAUUUACCAUGCAAGUUAGGUCCAAAUGUAAGAAAAGGUCAUAAGAAAAGGAGUUUGACAAGUGCAAGAAAGUUGAGCAAAAGAAAAGUCUCAUUCAAGUUCAAAAGUGUCUUCGCGGGUAAAAUAGUCGUGCACGCGCAGUCUCGGGAAAACGGUCAUAGCUCACUGUAGAAAAGUCGGAAUCACAUGACGUUGGUGGCAUUGGAAACUAAACUCGAAGGGUUUUCUAAUGGUACAAAAUGUAAACUUUAGUUCCUCUCCUAUCAAUACCAGUGGUUCGGGGAAGUUGGCUGAUUUUCCUGUUUUGAUCAGCUCAAUACCCUAACAAAGUUACCCUAUUUCUUCUUGCCAACUUCGUUCAUUUUGGCUCAAAUACAUCCAAUUCAAUCUCCUAGAAUUCAUAUACAGGGGGUCAAGUUAUCUAGCACCAUUGAAGCUUAAAAUGCAACACACAAAAUGAUUAAAUGAACCCAAAACAGUCUAGCCAACAAGGAAGAACCAAAACAGUCCACUAACUUGCCUAAAACAACCACUUUACUUGCUUCAUUUUCAUUUCAACUCACUCCUAAGCUUAAACCAAUGUUUAGCCAAGUUUCUUAGGCUUAAUUAAGGUGCAAUACGUCACAAAAAUCAAGGAGAAACCUCCACUUCAAGGCCAGUCAGCAAAGAGAAAAGAAAAUAGUCCACAAGUUCACAUUCAACACCAACCCCUAUCCUUUCAUUAUAGUUAACUUAAACAACAUUCCAAGAGUUAUCCCUAACUUUAAAAGGAUCCAUAACAUGUUAAUACAUCAAAAAAACCAUGAACAAAGCAUAGGCAAAUAUUCAAACACAUGGCAUGCUAAACAUCCAACUCUACUUCCACUUACUUAGCUUAAGAAAUUUCACCACAAACAACCUCAACUCAACCUCUAGUUGUCAUCAAAACCUCAAACACUUGAUAUAACACAAUAAAGCUAAGAUUUAAGGAUCAUUUACCUUUCUUAAGUGAAGUUUGAAUCACCAAAAAGUCCACCAAACAAGAGCUCCAAGCUUGAAUUACACACUAGCCUUGAAGGUAGUUUACUCAACUAACUAAAGUUCUUUCUCUUAUUGCUCAAAGAUCAAGCUAGGGUUUAUAAGCAAGAAAAUGGAGUUUUUUUUAUCUUCUCUUGGAAGCUUAAGAUGGCUGGCCAAGGAGGAGAAAAUGGAGCCAACAAGGUUUAAAUUCUUCUAAUUUUCUUGGUCAAAUAAGUUGAAUGGUUAGGGUCUUGCCACUUGUCUCAAUCUUGGCCAUUCUUCCUUUAAACUUUGCCAAAUAAGGUUGCUACCCUCCAAAUGUAUCAAAUGUCUAAUAUAACACCCUUAAACUAUCACAUGAAGUCUCAAACACAAUUAAAAGGGUAUUUGGUCAUAGUGUAUAUAGUGAAAUAAAAUAAUGCCAAUUUAAGGAGAUGUUUCAAUUCUUGUAAAAUGCAAUGAAAUGCAAUGCAAGGAAAUGUCAUAAUUGAUUUAGUGUUAGGGUAAUGCAAGUGAUUUAGGAGAAUUUAUAUUUUUUAAGUGAGAGUUCUCACAUUUACCCUUGAUUGGAUCAUCUCACAUUAAGUCUUGGUUACCGGUAGUGAUUUGCUAGUUUUUGUGAAAAGUACGUAAUCAAGCGCAUUUUCAAAGGAGUGCCAUUUAUGUGCAGCAUGUGAUCUGGCUGAUAGACUCAUUCCUGCAGCAGCUCAUGCGGGCUAACGUAUUGGAAGCGUCUCAUUUUAGUGGAGACACGAAUUAUUAUUUAUUUUCGCAAGUAGUACAAGCCCCCAAAGUGGUUCGGCACAGUAUGAUUCAUGGGUAAGACCUCCGAUGGGCUUUUUUGAAUUGAAUUCAGAUGCGAGUUUAGUGGAGUGUAUAGCUUUGGGAGGUUGGUUCCUCCAUGAUCGUAACGGCAAAUUGGUCUUAGCAUACUUUAAGAAGUUUGGAGAUGUGGAUGUAUUGGUGGUGGAAGGUCUUUCAUUGUUGCAUGGUCUUCGUCUUUGCAAAGACAAAGGUUAUUCUUUGAUACAUGCCCAGGUGGAUUCACAGGCUCUAGUUGCCUUGGUAAAGUCUGCCCAUACCUCAAAGUGGCCGCUUUGCAAUGUUCUAAGAGAGAUUCAAUUUCUUCUUGAUAUCAUGAAUGCGGAGGUUCAACUUAUAGUUAGAGAAGCUAAUUUAGCAGCGGACAGGUUGGCUGCUUUACGAGUCGGUUCAGACACCCUUUUUACUUCACCUACCUUUUUGCCAGCUUCUAUACGGUUGGUCCUGGCAUUAGACUCUAGGUCAUUUCCCUAUGUUCGCUCUUAGACUGUAAGGGAGUAGUACUCCUAGUUUAACUUAAUCAGUCAGUUCUCGAGGUCAGGCUUGGCUGCCCUUCAGCUUUUGUUUGUUUCCUCUCGCUUGAAUAAAAUCCUGGUUUCAUUAAAAAAAAAGCAAAUUUGAAUUAGGAGUUUUCUAAUUUGAGUGCAAAAAAUAUCAAAAUUUUCCAUAUGCAAAUUAGCGGAAUUACUGAUUUCAAACACCUAAAUUAUCAAAUUGAAAUUUGAUGCUCACCUCCACCCUUUGGCACUAAAAGAGUAAAUUACCAACACAUAAAUUAUCAAAUGGCAUAUGGUCUUUUUGUUGGUUGCACAAAUAAAAAAAGUUAAAGUUGGUGUUUGAUCAUUAACCUUUUAAGGGAUAAUCAAUGUAUUUCAUGAAUAAUAGGGAUGCUUUGCUACUUGCCCCUAAUUACAAGGACCAUUUUGUGUGUAAACCUAAUAAAUACUAUUUUAAAUUGCUAAGAUGGAUACUCAAGUGUUGAUUCAAAUAUGUAAAUUUCAAUUAAUCCAUCAGUUCAUAUGGAUAAAUCAUUCAACAUAUAGUAAACUGAUCAUUAAUUGGAUAAAUUGAAUAGUGAGAUUAUCUACACGUAAAUACAAAAUAAUCUACAAGUGUAAAAUUUGAAUGUUUUUGUAACGAUAAUUCGGUAUAAAUAGAUGAGAUUUUAACUCCAACAGACACCAUAGGCACUCAUCCCUAUUACUAUCUUUUCAUUGAGAAAAAAGAUCACAUAGCCAAUCAACAUCUUUCUUACUUUCAUUCUAGUACAACUGCCCUUAGAGUUUCUAGAAUAUUGGUAAUCAGUCACUAUUGAUUUUUCUCUUUUGAGUUUCAAAAAGAUUUCCCAUAUAUUUUUUAGUAUAAUGAAAACCCAUGAUUUACUUCACUUCAUGUAUGAUAAGUUGUAAUGGCAAAAAGUUACACUCAUGAGAACAUACUAAGGUAUCAUGGAAUUAGAAAAUUUUUUGAGCUUGUGAACGAAACUAGGUUAGAGGAACUUUUUGGACAUUAUCAAUCACUUGAAUCUUUCAUCAAUAAUCUCUUAAAAUAUUAUUUUAAAGUUGUGUUGAUUAAAAAUAAUUAUGUUGUUUGCAAUUUAUUCCUACAAGUUUCACAUAAUAAUGGAAUGUUUUUAUUAUGAUUUUUUCUUUGGGAUUAUUAAAAAUUAAAAAUUAAAUGAGAAUCAAAAUUACAUACUAAGAGUAGAUUUGUUAAAGUAUAGUGAUUGAUUAAUAUAUCAUCAUAAAUUGAAGAAUUUUUUUUAUAGUGUCUAUAAAUAGUGACCUAGUUUUGUGUGCUUGAUAAUGGUCACAUAGCUAUAUGGAUCAUGGAGAUUAUACUCUGCAAGGAUUUUAUCAUGACUUGGAGGUCAUAAACUUAAGGACUUUUAGUGCUACCAAAGUUAGCAACUUAGCCUAACUCAAACUGAUCAUAAGAGUGAAAGCAAAUGCCCUAUCCUACCAUGGAUUGGCAUCAGUAGGGCUCCCACAUUGUAUUGAGAUUUUGAGUUAUUUUAUGCUUAUAAUCAUGUAUUUACUUUGAUAAUGUAUACUAAGUUUGAUUUUAGUAGAAAAUUAAGAUUUCCAAAGUAUAAAUUUUAAGCUUUUAUUUUAGAAUUAUGUGAGAAUUUGACAAGUGGCCAAAUCAUUCCUUAUUUAUGAGGGUCAAGUUGGGUCAUUACAUCAAAAUUGGAACUUUUUCACAAUUAAUACUGUAUCUAACAUGCUCAUAACUGUACUAUAUAUUAUGCCUCAAUUUACCUCAUUUUAACUGAUUAUUAACAUAAUUUAUCUUGUAGUCAUAUGUGUAUAUUUUAGCUUGUAGGUUCUUACUAAAAUUUUGAAGUUUUCAUCUUAAAAUUGUGGAAGUAUUGGCACAUUUGUUGAGCUACUAUUUUUAGACCUAAUAUUGACUUUAUGGAAUCUAUUAAGAUGUUAAUAUAAGAGAUUUUAGUGCUGAAAGAGGUUUAGGGAGUUUGCUUAAAGAAAAAGUUUAGGAUGGGACCAACUUACAAGAGUUGAGUAACUUAUUUAUGUUGUCCUAAAUCUAGCAAUGGCAAUACGCCAAAAAUUUUCUCUUCCUAAACCCUAACGACAUAUUUAAAUUCUUUACCAAAUCCUAUCGGGUAACCCUACAGAUUUUAACUUCCAUAACCAAACCCUCUUAUUCUUAGGUUCGGAUUAUUCGUCGAGUACCUUUACCCGCUAAUUUGAAUAAUUCAGAAAAAGGUAAUUAACUAUUAUCAAACUAAAAUUAAUACAUACAUAAUGUUAAAUCAACACAUUAUGUUAAAUUUUAAACUUUGGUAGAGUCAUACAACCGACAUGAGAGGAAUUUAGCAUUUUAUGAAGGGUAAAAUGCUUGUGUUAUACGUACAUAUAUAUAUAUAUGUGUGUGUGUGUGUGUGUGUAUGUAUAUGUAUAAAUAUGUAUGUGUAUAUAUGUAUGUCAGAUUUCAAAUUUUUAGGAUUCUCUUACCAAACCCUAACGGAUUGCCCAUUGAUCGUCUAAUCGGAUUAACCAUUGAAUUGAGUACCCAUGGGGAUCGGAUUUUACCCUACCUAUUGCCAUCCCUACUUGAAUAGGACAACCUAGAUAAGGGUGAAUUAGUUGAUAUGUGAUUUCAACUAAUUUUAGAUGUUUCUGUACUUGGUAAAAAAAUAUCUAGCAAGUUAUCGUAUUAAAACAGUCUCAAAACUUCAAGUUAUACUUUGUAAAAACAAGCACUUACAAUAUAUCAAGUACAAUACAUAUAUGUGAUUAGACUAAGAAAAAUACAAUUAAUAAUAAUUUAAAUACAAACAAAAAUUGAAAUAAAUAAAAUGCAAGUAAAAGUAAGUAAGAGAGGAAUAAUUUGUAGUGAUUCAGCAUUAAUGGUCUAACAUCAACUACCAAAGGAAUUUUUCUCCUUUGGAUUUUAAAACUGAUAACUAGUGUUUUGAAAGCUGGGUUGAAUUGGCCAAUUUGAUUGAUUAGAUCGUGAAUCAAUCAUGGCUCUGGUUCGGUUCAUCUUUGGAUUCAUUGGACUUAAGAACCAGUGAAAACCAUGUGAAUCGGAAUGAACUAUUGAACCGGCGAUUUUUUUUAUUUUUUUCUAUUAAAUUGGAAAAAAAGAAUAGGUUCUUAAUAACUCUAAAGACUAGUCAUGAAGUGUCACGCCCACUCACUUUCUUCUCAUCUUCCAUCUCUUAUCAAGUUUUCAUCUCUACUUUCUAGUUUCCUGAUUUCAUUUAGGCUCAAAGUUUUUUUUUUUUAAACAACGUUGCAAUCUUUAAUUCCCAAAAACAUGGUUUAAAGUUUAAAUUUACAAUGUCUAAUUUCUAAAGACAUAAAUUUUAUUUAAUUUCAGAAUAUUUUAGUAUUCUUGGGUAGGAUUUAAAAUUAUAUUUUGGUAGAUACAAUUGAGAUGAAAUUUAUUUGUUUGAACUUAUAAUUUAAAACAUUUAUUUGUGAAAGUCCAACUUCUUUGAAAAUAUUAAACUUUUUAUCAGAUAAAAUCUUAAAUUAGUCCAUUAAAUAUCUUAUUAUGUGCAUAUGUAUUUAUAUAAAUUAUUUUAAAAAAAAAUUCAUUGAACUAGGGUUAAACCAAUCCAACUGAUUGAAUCGCAAUCUAAAUACCUCGUCGGUUCAAUUAGCGGUCCGAGUUUCAAAAUAUUACUAAUAACCGGUACAUUGAUAACAUGUUGUUUUGUUUUUAUAGUGGCAAUAAUACAAAACACCAUAGUACAAAGCACAUUUUCUUUAUAGCUGUUCAAGCAAAACUACUUCACCGAGAUAGUCUUUCUUUUCAGUUCUAAUCUCACUCCACUAUGCCUUUGAAAUUAUAAUGGCUCAAACACAACUAGUUUACUUCUUGGAUCUUUUUCUUAGAUGCUCUAGACAAAGGAUUUAUAAGAAUCACACACACAAAAGCCUAGUCUAUUGCAAAGUAAAAUUCGAUUAUGCCCGUCAUAGUUGCUCAUAAAACAAAGCAAUUAUAAUGGCUCAAACACAACUAGUUCACUUGAAAAGACUUUUUAAGAAAAGACAUGGCUAAGAUAUUUAAAGAUUUGAAUAGAAGACACAAGAAGGUAAGUGUACAUAAACCAAGUCAUUCAAUCUUUGAUGUUCCAAUCUGUUUCUUUUCUUUGAGUGAAUAUCUUCAAAGAUACUCCAAUUUUUUUAACAUCCAAAAGCACUGCAAGUUUGGCUUAAAACACAUAUAGCUAAUUUUUGCAAAUGAGGCGGACUACUACCAUAACAUGUCCACCAUUCAUCUAUUAAAAUACGUAAAAAAAAUCAGAAAGUAAAACUAGAAUCUAAUAAUCAAAAAUGAAAUUCUUGUUUGUAAUUUGUAUACCUGGAAGCAUGGCAUUACGAUAUCUUGUUGUAGAAACUCUUCCAAAUCAUCUUCAACUUUACGAAACAGUUUCAUUUCUCUUGUUAAAUGACUCAAUAAAUCAGGAUUUCCAUAAGAGUAUUUCUCAAUCACAUCCAAAAGUCUUGACGUAGCAUGCCUAUGCUUCUUCAGUAGAAUCAUAUUGGAAAGCAGGAUUCAACCAAAAACCAGUAGCAUGGAUAUUUUUCUGAAGUUGGUUAUCCCAUCUUAAGUCAAUUAUCUUCAAAUAAGUUUCAACUCUUUUCUUUCUUUUAGCAACUCUUUUCAAAAGCUCUUCUCUUGCCUUAUGCAUAGCAGCAUACAAAUACCCCAUAGAAGGCCUUUCAUCACUAUCAACAAGCCUUAAAACCCAUACAAGUGGCUCUGUUAAUUGGACUAUUGUAGCACAUUUUUUUUCCAAAACAUAGAAUCCAAUACUAGAUCCACAAACUUUUUCCCUUUACUUUCCUUAGCAUAUGCAGAAAUAGUCCAUUCUUUUGAAGUGAUCAUGGCUCUCACAGCAUCUUUUGGUAGCAAAAUGCUUUGCAAGGCAAUGAAAUUAGUAGCAAAGUGUGGAGGAGCAAGACGAAUUAUUUCUCUCCCUCUAGUGUGUUUUCUCAUCAAAUUCAAUGGAUAACAGUGAUUAUAUAUAUUGUUAUCUUAGAAGCUUGUCUAACCAUCUUACUUACCUCAUCUAGCUUACCAACAUCUUGCAACAUCAAGUUUAGGCAGUGAGCAGCAGCACUUGAAAACCAAUAAAGUGUUGGAAAUUCCCUUUUUAACAAUCCCCCGACAGCAGCAUAAUUUGCAGCAUUAUCAAUGACAAUAUGCACCACUUGUUCCACACCCACAAAUAACACAAAUUUUCUAAAUAAUUUGUACAACAUGUCUACAGUUUUUGAAGCAUCUGAGGCAUCAACAGACUUCAAAAAUAUUGUUCCUCUUGGACAAUAUGCUAAAAAGUUUAUGAGAGUCCUUCUUUUCUGGUCAGUCCAUCCAUUGGCAAUCGUAGUACAUCUUGUUUCCAAGUUGACUGAAAGCUAUCAAUAAAGUUCUUAACCUGGUCAGCAUUUUUUGUUAAUAAGUAACCAUGCAAAUCAUAGGAAUUAGGAGCUUUCUAACCUGCCCCACAAGAACAAGCUGCAUCAAACAUGGACUGAUAAUAUGCUGAAUUAGUUGCAUUAAAUGUGAUUGAAGCAUCAAUCAUCCAUUUUGAAAUAGCCAAAUCAACCUUUUCCUUUGCCUCUUUUAAUGCAAAGUGCACGGCUGAUCAUGGUAGCUCAAAUAGUGUUCAAGUUGUUUCAAGUGGUCCUAUGACUAAAGCUCGUGCCAAAAAACUUAAAGAGUCAAUGCAAGCUCUAGUUCGUGAUGUGCAAGAUCAAGUUGGUCAUGCAAAUGACAUUCCAGGGCUUGAAAAUGAAGAUUAUACUCUUUACAGUCUUAUUCAAGUCUUGGAUGCAAAAGAUGAAGUUUGAAGAUUUUUCUCGGUUCAUGAGUUAGUCAAGUCAUUUGCUGUUGGUUCAUGCUCCAACAAGUAGUUGUCAUUCUUUGAGUUCUAAUCAUUGUGUUGAGCUUGAUUAGUUUAAGUGUCAUUGUCUUGUUAACUAAUUCAGCCAGCUUGGAUUCUCAAAGAGCCGAAUUGGAUUUCCUGAUUUCAUUAGGUUGUUUUAGUUGUUUUAGUUAACAAGAUCGGUCCUAGGUCAUGUUGAGCAAGUCAAGAGGCUGACUCAGGGUUUUAUUAAUCACAUUAAGUGAUUCCAAGUUAGUUUAGGUUUUAAAGUCUUGUAAAGGCUAUAAAUAGCCUUCCUUCUUUAAUGUUUCUCCUUUGUGACAAAAUAAAAUUGGAAUUUCCAGCAAAACCUUGUGUGUGCAACCUCGAAUAUUUAAGAGAUCCUUUCUUGAAUACUUGAGAGAUUACUUGAGUGUUCACUCUACUUAUCAAUCAAGAAUCGCACUUGAUUGUGGCGUCAUCUAUUUACAUUCUUGGUUUGCUAAUUCAUUUAGUUGUGGGUUGAGAUUAAAUUCAAUAGGUUUGCAACUACGCAGAUUAGAAGGGUCAAGGGUAUUCCGCAACCUUCAACUUGAUUCUUCGUCUAGAUCUGAGGCUUUGUGGGAUACGAGUUCAGGCCUUCUAGGUGGGUUCAUAUCAUAUUUGCUUUGCAAAACACUCUUGAUGGUAGGUUGUCCUCUAUGAGUUGUUCUUGGCAUGAACAUGGUCCCAAUUAUCUUUCCUCUUUUAUGAUCUUGAGCAACUCUUUUUCCUUUUACAGCUAUAGAUGUGUUGGUUGAACCUCUUGAACUUCAUCUUCAUCUUGCAUGUACAAUUGCUCCUCAUAUUGUCUCAAAGGCUGGUCGUACAUGUCACUUGCUUUUAAACGAUUUUGCAAGCUUCUUUUCUUAUUAGCCAUAGCUUGUAAGUUAUUUUGCAUUUCAUAUCUUAAUUGUGGUUCCACUUUUGGACACAGAUAGGUCUAUCCUUUUACACCUGCAAGGUGUUGCUUGAAUCGACUGAUACCACCACCCUGUAUCUUUUUCCUGCAGUAACAACAUAUCAAACACUUGACCUUCUUAUUAGAUACUAAGCCUUCUAAACAAUGAGACCAACCUAGAUCCGUUUUUCCCCUUAUUACAGGUUGAGAUUGUGAACUUGAAGUAUUUGGUGUUGCACUUGUAGGCAUUUCUCCAACAGAAUCCAUCUAAAAAAAUGCAAAUGCAAGCAUGUAUUCAUUGGAUAAAAAUGAUGGAUCAUUGAAUACAGAGUGGCUAAAGUAUUGGCAAAGGCAUUGUGAGUGCCAGAGAUACGCCUGAACUCCAAAUUCCUAACUUUAGUGGCCAAACUAAGGAAGUUACAAUGAUAAAACAUAAUUUUCAAUCUCAAGUUACCCACUGCUUGAGCGUCUAGUGCACAACUAAAUUGGAAUCACUGAAUGCUAUCAGGUCCUUAAUCUCCAUGUCCAGUACCAUUUUCAUAAAAAAAUACAAGCUUCAUACUCGGCCAUAUUGUUGGUACAAGGAAACCAUAACUUGGUAGUAGCAGGAUAGUUUUCCCUUUAGUCAACACCAAAACUGCUCUAAUUCUAACCCUAAAAGAAUUUGAAGCACCAUCAAAGAAUAGCCUCUAUCCAAGAUAUUACUCAUUCAUGUCCUCAACUGUUCCAAUGAACAGAAUUUCUUCAUCAGGAAGUAGCUAUGUAGUGGCUGGUAAUCAUCCUCCCUCAGGUUUUCUGCCAAAUGAUCUGCUAUGGCUUGUCCUUUGACUGCUUUUUACAUUGUGAAGACAAUAUCUCACUUGGAAAGGACCAUCUGCCACUUAGCCAUUCGUUCCAUGGGCAUUGGCUUUUCUAACAAGUAUUUUUGAGGAUCAGAACGAGAAAUCAAGUAAGUGGUAUGACCAAGGAAGUAAUGCCUCAACUUCUAACCUGCCAAUGCUAAAGCACAACAACUUCUUUCAAGGAAAGAUUAGUUGGCCUGAUAUGCUGUAAAUUUAUUUCUGAGAUAGUAGAUGACUUAUUCUCUCCUCCCAGAUUCAUCAUGCUACCUCAGAAUGCAUCCAACAACCUCAUUAAGUAUAGACAAAUACACAAUCAAAGGUCUUUCCGAUUGAGGUGGCACUAAGAUCGGAGGGUUUAGCAAGUAAUUCUUGAUCUUAUCAAAAACUUACUGACAAUCUUCAUUCCAAUCCAUUGAUGCAUUCUUUUUUAACAAUUUGAACAAAGGUUCACAGGUGGAAGUCAAUUGUGCAAUGAAUAGACCAAUGAAAUUAAUCUUUCCAAAAGAACUCUUCACAUCCUUCUAAACUUUUGGAAUUGGCACAUCUCGAAUUGUUUUAAUUUUCGUAGAAUCUAUCUCUAUACCCAUUUUACUGACAAUAAAACCUAAUAAUUUGCCAGUUGGGGCUCCAAAAGCAUACUUCACAGGGUUCAACUUCAAAUUAUACUUCCUCAAUCUUUUGAGUAGCUUCUUUAAAUCAACUAAAUGAUCUUCAACUUUCUUAUAGUUAAUUAUGAUGUCAUUCACAUAAACCUCAAUCUCCUUAUAGAUCAUGUCAUGGAAUAUGAUAAUCAUGGUCUUCUGAUAAGUAACUCUAUCAUUUUUCAAUUCAAAAGGCAUCACUCGGUGUCACACACCAUUUUUGAAAAAAAAAGAGAAAGGUGUUAGAAAAAUGAUUUUUUUAUUUUAGAAAAUAAAGAAAAAUGGCCUAAAAUGGGACUUCAAAUAAUGCGAUGGUUUGCACCCAAGAUAUUAGUCUAAAAAGUGUUUUUAGAAAGAGAGUUGUCACUUGAUAUCGACUUUAGGUGUAUGAAGUUACCCAAAAUAUAUUUUAAAUAAAAAAAAUAAAAUAAAAUUCUUUUAGAAGACUCCAGAUCUUUGAAAAUAAGAGAAAAGAAUUCGGAAGUCACGGUUUAAGAAAAGGGAGGCAAAGAUUUUGAUCUAAGGCACCCUUUCAAUCUAACCAAAAUUAGUUGUAAGAUUUAGUAAAAAAUUUUCCUAAUCUAACCUAUAAAUCUUAUCACAUUUGGAUGCUUCUAUAUGGAUGCAAACUUAAACCUAGGGGGUAACGAGAGGGACGAAAUGUCUCUUCGAAAUUUAAUUGGUGCAAAUCACAUUAAUUGUAAAACCCAAGAAUGAUCCCUUGAAAAGAUCACGAAUAUGCAAAAAUGAGAUUCAAAAAGGAAAUUAUGAUAUAUACAUGAUCUAGAAGAGAGAAAAGCAACAUAACGGUUAUGGAAGACUAAAAUUCGUGAUGCAAUUUUCCUUUUUAUAGAGGAGUAAUAGCGUACUAAGGUUAAAAAAUCACGUUUGCCCAUUUCCUAUAUUGGAAGAGUGAUUCUUCUAACCUAAUUAAUCAAAUGAACUAGUUUACUUUUAAUUUUUUAAAAUGAGAUACAAUUCUAAAUGAUAUGGUCCAAAUAUAUAGAGGGUAAGGAAAUAAUAGUAGGAAAAAUAUCAUACAAAUGAAAAUAACCUAAAAAUAGAAAAAAUGCAUAAGAUGCAAUAAAUGUCACACCAAAGCAUGAAUCUAGCGUAUCGAUGAUCUAAAGAGUCUAGUAUUGGACUAACCCAUUUUUACAAGUUCUUACUAACGUUGAACUAGUGAGAAAUCGGGGAGAAAAGCCACAACUAGCGUAGUGAUAUCAUGCACUUAUUAUAAAUAAAUAAAACAUAUAAAGUAUAAUUAAAAUAGAUAAACACAGAGAGUACAUAGAUCAUAUAGCACAUAGACAUGAUAUCUAGAUGCAAAACCCUAGAAAAAAACAAGUAUACAAGCAAGUACAUAAACACACAAACAUGCAAGCAAAUAAGAUCUAACUAUUGCAUUGACAACUCUAACUACAAUCUAAAAGGGGAAUUUUGAAAAUAAUAAACAUAUCUAUUAUGUUUAUCUAACUAAUUAUAUUUUUGGUAAAAAAUAAAAUUUAUCUAUUACAUCCCCUAUCUAAAUACAUUUCUUGGAUAAGAAGAUACAACCUAUCUAUUACAAUUUGGCAUUUAAAUGCUUUCCAAACAAACAUUCAAAUUAAAUAAAAUAAAUAAAGGCUUAAAAUGAAUAAAAUGAGUAAAUAAAAAAAUACAUAAAAUUAUGCAAUCACACAUGAAAAUGCAUAGGAACACAUAAAAGAGUUUAAAGAAUAAUAGAGGGUACCUCCCUUGAAUUAGCGGCUACGUGGGAAGGAUGAAAAGUUGUAACUUUUUCCAAAAAUUAACAAAUAGGUCAAUGCACCAAUUUAAUUGACAAUUUUCAAAGGGAAUAUAAACAUAUACUAAAUUUCCCUUUUAUUGUGAAAAAUUGUAAAUAAACAUGAAGCAACUAAAACUUAACAAUUAAAUGCAUUUAAAUGAAACACAAUUAACAAUUAAAGAAAAGAUGCAAUUGUAAUUGAGAAAUAAUAAAAAUAAGGACCUAAUUGCAAAAAUUAAGAAGUUUUUGGGGUUAAAUUGUAAUUUUUUAAAAGUAUUAGGGGUCAAAAUUAAAUAAAAAAAGUUGAGGGACCAAAAUACAAUUAAAUUAAGGACCUCAAUGAAAACAUUCAAAAUUUAAGAGUUACAAUAAAAUUACUCAAAAGAUUACGGAUCAAAUUGCAAAAUUCGUUUCUGAUUACAUACCAAACCAUGCAGGGCCAUUUUUAAGCAGUUGGGCCACACAAUUCUAACCCAAAAGAAAAACACAAGUUAAUCCAUAAAAAACAAGCAAGCCCAAAGAAAAUUUAGAAAAACUAAAUUAGAAUGGGAACUUUGGUGUUAACUCUAAAAGUCCAGCCACAAACCCAACGAAAGAUAAAUACAAAUCCACCAGAAAUAAUGAAACCAACCCAAUGUUUUUUUCCCUUCUUUUUCCUUUUUUUUUCUUUCUUUCCCUCUUUUCCUUCUUCUUCUUCCCUCUCCAUUUCCUUCUUCUCUGGUAGAUUGAAGUUUUAGCAGUUGGCGGUGCUGCCACCAGCGACCUCUCCAGUCACAAAAUUUCACAAAAAUACACCCCUACUUGAUUUUUUGCCUUGAAUCCGUUUCCGACCUUAGUUUUUACAAAAAAAUGAACGAAAAGUGCUCAAAAGAGCCAUUUACAGCUAGGUUUUAUUUUUUAAAAAUCCCUCAAAUUUUCACUAAAACUCAUGAAAAAUAUAGCAAAACAACCCUUACGAAAUGUACAACGCUACUGCACACUCUAUUUUACAACAAAUAAUAAGGAAAAUGAUAAUCAAAGCAAAACAGUCCCAUCUUUAAACAAACUUUUUUCUUGCUUUCUAGGCUAAAAACUCAAAAAUUUUGAAGAAUAGAAUAUUUUCCAGGCCUUAUUCCAGCUAUAACCAACUAUUUUAGCAAAAUAUGUACAUCAAAUUUAUUCUUUUAAUUUGGUUCUUCAUUUAGACAUUUUCUCAAACAUUUAAGAUGCAUACACAAAACUCAUUUUUCUUUCCUUAAUCUUGUUUUACAAUUUGCCUGAUGUCCCAGCAGCACAACAACAAAAACCAGCAAGAGCAAGAGAAAAAUAAAGCAACAAAACAUGCACUUAAUGUGAUUUAAAAAGAUGGAAAAUACCACAAUGAAAGUUGUAGUCCCUUGGUUAAAAUUUUUGGAGAAAUCCUCAAGCUUUAACCGUCUAUUCACUUGCUAUCUUUGCUUCCUUAUUUCACCUUUCUUUGCUCCAAGGAUGGAUGUGUGUGAGAGCCAAGAGAGAAAAAGAAUUGCGUGAUGUGCGUGUUUGUGUUGGCGUGUUAUGCUGUGUGAGUAAGAAUAGAGGGAGAGUCGAGAGAGUUUUUCUUUUCUCUUGGUGAGUUUUGUGUAGUCUUGAAAAAAUUCAGAGAAGUCAAGAGAGAUUUCAUGGGUUAAGUGUGACGACCCCACCUCCCUCUAAGGCGUACCUAAGGGUUUGGCAGACCGUCUGCCCAACUCUCGCCAGGACUCACUCAUACUGUCACGAAAUUUAUAGAGUAACAACUCCAACAAUAAAGCCAAUAUCAAUUAUAACCCUAGAAUAUACAAUCGUGGGUUUCAAAUGCUCAUACAAUCGCUAAAUAUCGCCACAGAAUCAAACUUACAAAAAUAAAACUAAGCAAGCCCGCUAGCAAUCUAAGGAGUGCUCAUACGAGCAACUAACAAAAUUUAGACAAAAUCGAUGCCUUCUCCAACUUCCACUCUAAUGUUCUCACCCCUGUAAGGAAAACAAAAUUCAAAAAAUGAGCUAAAAGCCCAGUGAGGUUCCAAGUAAACAGAAAGGUAAAUUAGCAAGUAUGAUACCAUUCACAGGAGAUCAAGAAACAAGUCAAACUCAAAUAGAUCAUGACCUAGUGUAUCAUUAAGCAGGUAGCCAGAUAGAUCAUGCAAUAGUGUACGGUAAAGAACACGUUCAUGUCAACGGAUAUAGUCUGCUCUCAGGAGCAGGUUCCACAAUAGCUUGUCUGGGGUCCGUUGACUCUCUGUCAACCAUGGAAUUAUAAGGUCCGUAGAUCCCCGCUAAACGUCAAUUUCCGUCCACCGAUCAUCCCCCUAUUGGGCCUGAACGCCAAUCAAAUACCUAAGGUUCGUCAAUAUUCUCGACCAAACCCUUGCCGACUCGAUUCAACCAACUAGCUAUGGGUUGGGCCUAUAGCCCUAAGUAUUCAAGUAUUCAAGAUCUUGGCUUAAAGCCCCAAGUAUUCAAGUAUUCAAGAGUGGAGUCGUUGGCUGUCAUCCAACGCUCACGCAAGUAAUAAUUGGAGACGUUAGCUAUCACCUAACGCUCCGUAUUCAAGCAUGUCACGAGUUCAAGUCAUGAAUUCAAGUCAUAAGUAAAUAGGUUAGGAACUUCGUCUUUUACCUAAGGUUGCCCAACUUACCGGACUGCUCUAAGGCUGGUCUCAAGCAAGAGGUCCAACGAGGUCUCAGUUCAAUCGUUACCGACCUACAUUCAUGUAUAAGUAUGAGUAACCCAAGUUUCCACUUACUCGACGUCUCGGAUAAGGGUCCAAGGGCCCAGUUCAACCGCUGCAAGAAGAUAUAUAGUCGGUCUACAAUCAUGCACAUAUACAUGCAAGUCCGCACGCAAGAUCAAGUAUUUCAAGUUCAUGGAGGUCGAGCACACAUAGGGACAUACUCGCCUAGCCAUGAUCAAGUCACAAGUAACCUUAGCAUAUCACGUUUUCAAGCAUUUCAAGUAUUUCAAGUCAAAAUACAGGUCACAAGUAAAUCAAAUUGGUUGUACAUGCAUGAACAAGAUAUCAAAAAUUUAGUCGAGUUAGGUCGAGUGCGAUAAAGUAUAUACUCGCCUAAGAAAUGACAAAUCAAGUGCCUAGCAAUUUUAGCAACAAGUAGCAUGGAAGAUGCAAUUGGAACACUCACCACAACAACAAAGCUUAAGUGCUCGCCUCGGGAGGAACUUCGACUUCUCUUCCAAGCCCUAGAAUCAAGUAUAUGGAGUGCAUUAGGAUUUACUACUCCAAGCCACAAGAUUUAAACGAAACUAUACCCAAGUUCCAACUAAGAAAUCUCACCCAAAUCACAUGAUUUCUAAAUCAAUUCAAGGAGAACAUCUGUGUAUACUUUAGGUCAAAGAUUUAAGCAAAUGAUAGUACAAACAUUUUCUCAUUUUCAUCCACCAAAAUGAGUUUAAAAUUACCCAAAUCAAUUUUCUCCUAGACUGGAAAUUUAUUACUUGAAACUUGAAACAUGUAAGAUUGAGGUUUUCACCUUUUAAAACCUUCCAUUUUCCACUCCAAUUCACUACUCAUACUAGGGUUAAUGUCUAAUCAUGGUUUAGGGCAUUAAUGUGACAAGUUCACCACACAAAACGAAGAACAAAGCUAUAUAAGGUCACUUUCUCUUUUGGUCAGCUUUGAACACAUUUUUCAGCCAUGAAAACAAUGAAAGAAAUGGUGUUCUUACCACUUAAAACUCAAGGUUUUAAUUCAAUUCCAACACAUACUUAUAGCCUAAAGUCUUGUAGAGUUUCUUGAGCAAAAUUAAGCUUUAAAUCAUCAUGAAAAUGUAGAAUUCCAAGCUGAAAUUUCAGCCCUUAAGUUCGGCCAUCAAGCAGAAUUUUUCUUCCAAUUUUUCCAACAUUUCUCCAACUAAUUUACCAAAUCCAACCAACCAUACUUAGUAAAUCCAUAAAGUUUCAUCUCCAACAUAACAUUAGAUAUAUGUAAAGCCACAAUCUCAACAAGAAACCACCAUAAUCAUAUAUAUAUAUACAUAUAUAUAUAUACAUAUAUCCAAACCCUAAACUCAAACAUGAAGUACAAGAAUCAUCAACUUAAGAAACUUCCAAAAUUCGCCACAAAUCUUUACUUUAAUCCAACAAUCAACCUUAUUUUCAACAUAAGGCAAAGAAAGAAGGUUAAUCUAGCAUUUUACCUCUUUUGCUUUCCAACCAAGAUGUACUUCAACCCACCAAAUCUUCUCCUUUCCAAGCUUAAGCCAAGAUGGAUGAAAACCCCAAGUUAUCUCCUUCCUUUUCUCUCAAAAUCCAAGCAAGAUUAAAGUUAGAGUAGUUGAAGCUUUUCUCUCUUUUUUCUCCCCAAAAUUUCAGCCCGCUCUCUCUCUCCUUCUCUUGUGGUUUGUUUGUUAUGUUUUAAGGCAAGAAAUGGAAGAAAACAUGGUAAGAAAGCUUGGUCAAAAAAUCUUAAAGGAUUAUAACUUGGUUCCUAUGGUGCCAAGUGUCACAUUCUUGUAAUUUCCUACCCCAAUAUCCCAAUUCUUUCUUAUUGCACUAAACUUCCUCUUCUUUUUUUCCCAAAAGUUCCUUUCAUAUUCCACUAAAAAGGACAAAUCUCAUUUUAUCCCACACACUAACUUCCUCAUGUAAAAUUUAAUAAAAGCAUUAAGACAAAAUUAUUAUCAAAUCAAUAAAUAAACAAAUAGAUAAGUAAAUAAAUAAAAUACCAUGUAGGUAAACUAGGUAAAUUGACAAAAUUUCUAAGUCCUCAAAUUAAGAGUUUAUAGGACAAAAAUUUCUAAAAUCUAGAAUUGAUGGUUAGGAUAAAGUAGGAUUAUGUGUCCCAUUUCCCUUCCUUUGAUCCAUUUUUGGUAAGUGUUAAAGGAUAGAAUUUGGAUGAUGAGUUGUCUUGUACCAACCAAACCUUGGAGAGAAAGAAAGAGUGAAAAAAAUGUACAUGGCGUUUAGUUCACACCUUAGAAUUUGAUUUGGGUUCGGGAUCAUUCAUCCUGGAUUUGGAAUGAGAUCAACCAUUCCAAUAUAUCGUGCUUGGUACAAAAUCCAUUGGAAUGGGACUCAAAAUUAAAUUUUUUUCCUUGAGCCCUUUUUUGGUUUUUCAUUCCCCAAUCACCAAUCAACAACAUAAACUCCCAAAUAGAAGAUUUGGGAAGUUCGUAUUUACCUUUCUCCUCGCCAAUAGUUGGCACUUGGAACACGAGUAGAAAAAUCGAAAAAUUAUCCAAGGAACCAAAUAGCAAUUUCUGUCCUCCAUCAAGAUUCAAUCUCCAGCAGCCUCAAUAUUGUCCACCUAAUGCCACAACUCAUUGUUGCUAAGAGCCAUCACUUUGAUUUCACUAGGAAAAGGAGGAAGUCGACUAGGGUAAGGAUUGGGGAUGGCUUGACAGUAAGUGAGGAGAAGUGGUGUGUUGAAGGAAAGACUGGUCAAUACUAAAGGUGGUUGGAGGAUGAGAAAUCAGAGAGAGAAGGGGCCUACUGGAGUUGAGACGAGAGGGGAAUUUUUGGAGGAGAGAAGGAAUAGGUUUACUAGGGGUGAAGGAGGGGAGUUUUGCCUACCAUGGAAGAGAAAAGUAGGGGAGAAGAGGAAAGGGAGGAGAAAGGAGACAGUCAGAGGUGAGAGAAGGGAAGGUGAUUGAUUGAAAAUAAGGUUUAAUAAAACUUAUUUUGGAAUCAAAUGGAGGAUUUGACAAAACCUUCCAAACUUGCUCAGGAUUGAGAGUUACCAAAUUUUUAGAAAUCAUUCCAAAAUUUCAAACCCCAUACCCAUUAGCCAAACAUAAAAAUUGGACAUGAUUCCAAAUCCUGAUUCUCAUACCCUUAAAUCAAAUGCCACCCUAGUUUGGGUUUUUGUUUGGGUUUUGUAUAGAUUUUUGGGUAGGUUUUGUGGUUGGGUUUGGAUUUUUUUCUAUUGGGUAUGAAACAUAAAAAAAAAUCUACCAAAAAUUUUCAAUUUUAAGCAUCCAUUUUUCUUUUGAUUUUUUUUGCACAAACCUACAAAACAAAAAUUUAAAUAAUUACUCAAGCAAUUUAAGUGAAAAAUAGUACACUUGAAAUUAAGAAAAUUUAGUGUUUACAACUUGUCCCUCUUUAUUUGACUCAGGACAAAAACGUAGACACCAAAUUAUUUACAUGUCGCUUUCGGCUACAAUUGUAUCAAAACAAACAAAAGUGAAUAUUUUAAACAAGAUCGAAAUAUGCAUGAAUUUAUUUACGUCUCGUCGCAUGAAACGUAGUCUAAAUAUGAUGUUGAACGAAAUUCGUGCCGAAAACAAAAUAAAAUAAAGAAAAUCAAAAAGCAAAUAAGUAGAAUAAAUAAUAUGAGGAUACAUGUAUUAAAUUGUGAGUUGAUAUUCAUUGGCGGGAUUAAAUCCAUACUCAAAUAACUAAUAAGGAGACUGAAAUAUGCUUCCAAAUGCCAAUUAUCGGUGAAAUUAAAUCCAAAUCCAAACAACUAGUGGAAGAGUGAAAAGUUAUCUUAAAAACUAAAUCGAUUGGUGGGAUUUAACCCAAAUCCAAACAACUAGUGAAAAUCUGAAAAAUUAUUUAAAACUAGAUUGAUUGGUUGGAUCCGAACCAAAUAUUUUAAAACUAGAUUGAUCGAUGGGAUUCAAUCCAAACCCAAACAACCGGUGGAAGAGUGAAAAUGUACCUCAGGCCUAGAUAGCUAGUGGGAUUAGACUCAAAUCCAAACAACUAACGGAAUAAUUUGAAAAUAUACCUCAGGUCUAAAUUGCUGAUGGGAUUAGAUUCAAACUCAAACAACUAGCUGGAUAAUUUAGAAAUACAUCUCAAGCCUAGAUGGCUAUUGGGAUUAGACCUAAAUCCAGAUAACUAGUGAAAUAAAUAAAAAUACACCUCAGACCUAGAUAGUUGGUGGAAUUAGACCUAAAUCCAAAUAACUAGUAGAUUAGUGGGAUAAAAUUCGAAUCCAAUUAAAUAACGAAUUGGUGGGAUAGAACCCGAACCCAGUGAAAUAACAGAUUGAUGGAAUAAAAUUCAAAUCCAAUUAAAUAACAGAUUGGUGAGAUAAAACUUGAGUCUAAUUAAAUAAUAGAUUGGUAGGAUAAAAUUCGAAUCCAAUUAAAUAACAAAUUGGUGGAAUAAAAUUCGAUUCCAAUUAAAGAACAGAUUGGUGAGAUGAAAUCCGAAUCCAAUUAAAUAAUAGAUUGGUGAGAUAAAAGUUGAACCCAAUAAAAUAAUAGAUUGGUGGGAAAAAAUCCGAUCCUAAUUAAAUAACACAUUGAUGGGAUAAAAUCUGAAUCCAAUUAAAUAACGGAUUGGUGGGAUAAAAGCCGAAUCCAAUUAAAUAACAGAUUAGAUAACAGAUUAGUGGGAUAAAAUCUAAUCCCAAAUGAAUAACAGACUGGUGGGAUAAAAUCUGAAUCCAAAUAAAUAACAGAUUGGUGGGAUAAAAUUCGAACUCAAUUAAAUAACAGAUUGGCGGGAUAAAAUUUGAAUUCAAAUAAAUAACAGAUUAGUGGGAUAAAACACGAGUCCAAUUAAAUAACAAAUUGGUGGGAUAAAAUUCGAACCCAAAUAAAUAACGAGAAAAAUAAAAAUGCAUCCCAAACCUAGAUUGCUGGUGGGAUCAGACCCAAACUCAGAUGUCUAGUGGGGGGAAAUAAAAAUGCAAAUUACUAAUUUUGAGAAAGUAAAAUUGUAACGUCCAUGUCACUAGAGUAGAAAACACAAAAAAGAAUAAAAAAUAGUUCUGAAAGUGUACAAAACGUAGAUUAUUAUAAAGAAAUGAAAUCCAAGGCCCAGAAUGUUGUUUGCAAAAGAUUCUCUUUUUUUGUUUUUUGUUUUUUUAAAAGGCACCCUUUUGGGUUUUCACCUAAUGAACAAUUUUAAUGAAAGCCUCUAUCAAUUCAAAAAUUUAUUUCAAAAUUGAUGACAUCAGUGUGACAAUCCUUCCUUUGCAAAACUAGUGAAGGUGUGUUUAUAUUAUUUGUCAUUUGAUUAAGAAAUUUUUUUUCAAAAUAUUACAAAAGAUGGAGGUCAUAAUAAGAAAAGUUAAUGCUGGAAAGCAGAUUAUAUAAUGGAUUUGAAGUAGUUUUGAAAUCACAUUUUUCAAUAUUUGUCCCAGUGUUGGGCUAAUGAAAACUAAAAAAAUUGCCCCAAUUUAAUUUUAACUGGAUUUCUCUGUUUUUCCCUUUUUUUGAAGUAUGUACUCAUUCUGAAUGGAUAAGCCAAUCCUCCACUUUGCAAUGUAGUAUUAUUGUCCCUUUUUAUUUGUGGUUGACCUUCAAAUUUGUAAGAUUUUAACCUGCGUUUUUUUCUCGAUUUUAACCAUAAAUAUCUGCACAGAGUGGAUGUGCUAAAGGACGAUGUGUACUUGAAUUUUCACAAAAAAAAUUCUUACUUUAUUCUGAAAAAUGAUGCAAUUACUACUCAUAAAAGGAACGGUCUUAUCAAAGUCAAAUUUUGAACAAUAGAUUCGAAGGUAUAUUACUUAAUUUUUAGGUGAAAUCCCUUAAAUGUAUUACAAAAAUUUGCCCCAAUUUGAGCCUUUUAUUUGGAAAAAUUUUUGUUUGGAUGACCUUCUAUUUAUUUGACAAAAACAAGAAAACUGAGCUUCCUAAAAUUUGAAAAAUAAUCACAUGUUAACAUGCAAUGUGCAUUGGUGUACAAUAGAAAUUACAUUCUUCAAAUGAAAAAGAAACUAAGCUAAGAAAAAUGUCAUGCCUAAACUCAUGUAGAAGACUCCAUGAUGAACCUUUCAAAAGAGGAUCUAAUUGCAAUAGAUUCCUUCCUCACUUAGGAUCAGCCACGGAUUUAAGGGGGGGCUGGUGGGGGCUUAAGCCCCCCCCCCAAGCCGCCGGAAAAACCCCUAUAUAUAGGGGAUUCCGGCGGCCAGCCCAGCCAUUCCGCAGAGGGCAAGCUCAGGCUCUUGCUUGAUGAUUUUUUCUUUGUCUGAUGAGGUCAGACAUUCCGCAGAGGGUUGCACGUAUCCAUACCCAAACCCUAUGGCAGAGUUGCAAUAAGUCUCUACGGUACCAUCCCUAGAUUCUAGGUUGAUGUUGUUCAGCACAAUGUGGCUGCAAGGAACCGUGUCGCUGCAUGCAAAUUUCAUGGCGUUUUUGCUUUUGGAAGUCCCGCUAAUGUUCUUGUACAUGAUUUCACUUAUUUCAACUGUAGAACUCUGGAUAUAAAAAGUCGUUGUCAGGAUAUUUUAAGGAUGAGUAGAUAAACAAUUGCCUGCACUUUUUUUUUUUUUGGUCGAAUUUUAGUAUCAUUCAGAGUUUAUUCACCAAAGAGAGCAGAAAAUACAAAGUCCGUCUGGUUCCCAAUUAACCAGCUAUUCUGGAAAACCAUGAAGCUAGAGGGUGAAUCAUACCUGGUUCUGGCAAGGCGUCGGCGAAUCACAGUAGAAUUGGUCAAUGAUAAUGGGAUUUGAAACGUCAUCUACUCUCACAUUCUGAUAUCGUACCCCUCGAACAUACCCAGAUCCUCCCUGCAGAGCUACCAUUUUUAAUCAUUCUCCAUAUAAUUAUAUGUUUUUAUUAUUUUUAUAAUUAUUGAUUCUAAAUUUUACUUAUUAAAUAUAUUUAUUUCGUCACAAAAAAAAAUUUUUAAUACACUUCGGCCCCCCCAAAAAUAAAUUUCUGGCUCCGUCCCUGCUUAGGAUCAAUGUUUAGGGAAAAAGAUCACCGUUUCUCGUUAGCUUAUCUCUCAGGACCAAUCAAGUGGGUAUUAUUCUUGAUUUUCAGGUGGUUAAGAGAAAUGAUAUUUAAAAAUGGUAUGUCAGGAUCUAUCUUACUUUUGUGCCCAGAUUGCAUCUAACCCAUUCAAUAUCGCAUCUUGGUGAAAACAAAUAGUUUCCCACACUUAUUUCUUAUAAAAACUAAGUCAACAUAUAAGGUCGUAAACUUGUAAUAUAUGGGUAGAAGAGAUAGUUAAAUAUAUGAAAAUAGAUUAUAACCUCAUGAUCACGAGUGAUUGGUAGAUACCUUAGAGGCAUGAUCCUUAUUUCAAGUUGUUAUAAAAGAUAAGUCAGCAAUCGACUUUAUGAGAUUGUAUUGUGGCUUGAAAAUGAUAGUUAAAAAAAUAAGAUUUUUAAAAAUGCGGCACUUAAGAUCACAUUCUUUCCAAAAUUGCCCCAAUUUUGGGCUCAAAGACCUUGGACUCCACUUCUACUUUUAUCAUUAAUCACUAGAGGGAUUUUGAUAUUGAAUUUUUCUCUUUUUUUUCUUUUCUACUUUUUUUUUUGCUUUUUGCUUUUUCUCUUUUUUCUCUUUGCUUUUUUCUUUUUUUUUCACCAAUACUAAAGCCUAAAUAUCAAUAAUAGAAUAAAAAAAUCCCCUAACUUUAAGAGAUAGAUGCACUUUUCUUUUUUUUUUUUAAUACUUCAUGUCUCUUCUAAAAAAUUUAACAUCUUUGCUAUUAUUGAAAAUUCUCAGAUCUCCUUCCCCAGUGUGGGGUGCGAUCGUAAGUGCUUUUGAAACGAACCACCAAUUUAAGUUCAAAUCAGAAUGCAAAGGAUAAACAGUGUUUAGAUAGUAGAAAAGAUGGCUAAAGCAUCAUUCUCACGUUACAUGACAUCCAAAAUAAAGUAUAACUCAUUAAGAGAAUCCAUUCCCUUUGGACAUUUGAAAAUUUUUUCAAUUGUAGGUUGUAAUCAUUAAUACUCUUAUUUGAAAUGAAAAUUGUACUUUUAAUAGCACAAAUAGGAGAACAAAUGAUAAAAUUUGUACAGAUAGAGAAAUGAACGCAUAUAGUAUCAUCCCAAAUUCUCAAAAUAAAUAAGAGUAAUGAACAUUUUUGCAUUCAACUAAAUGUAGAUUGAAUUUGGUUAGACAUAUUAGGCCUUUCCAAAGUAAAAAUUGCCUCAUUUUAAAGUGUGUCAAUCAAAGUGACUGAUUCUGGAGGUUUGAUAGAAUUGGACAAAAUAUGAACAACAAAAAUGAAAGAGAAAAAGUGUCGUGGUUGGUCUUUUAAGACAAACUAACAAGUUUGAGUAAUCUCUUUUGAUUUCGAGCAUUCUCAUUGAAUAGUCUGAACCACAAAUUUAGUGCAUGCAAAGAUUUUAGAAAGCUAAACACACACUUAUAAAUUUCUUGCAAGAGAUUGAGAAUCUCAACUUAGUUUUAUUACUUAAAGUCCAUCACGAAAUCUCCUAACGAGCAAAUAAAGAAUGAAAUGUACAUGAAUAUAUACAAAACAAUAAUUUUUUAAAUGAAAAACUUUAUUAUUGCAAAUAUUUGAAAUAAAAUUUUUGCUCAACUAUAAUACGAAUGAGAAAAGAAAAAUCUCUAAAGAACACACUUUCACACAUACACACACACAAACACACUUUCUCUCUCCUUUCUUUUAAGAUAAAAUAUGUUAGAAACAACAAAUGAAGAUUUUUUUUUACGAACAACUAUAUCAUUAAAUCUCUUAGAUGCUUUAGACUAAGGCUUCCAGAUGUAUUCUCCAUAUUUUUAUAUUAUAGGAUCUGCCUAAGAAUCAAGUAAACUUCUAAAAUUUUUUAAAAACUUUAUCAGACUAACAUUGUUGUCAAAUAUGAGAAAAUCAUUUUUGCUGUACUAAAAUAUCUUUUAUGAAUAUAGGGGAGGGGGAGAAAAGAAAAAGAAAAAUACCUAGAGUUAACAAACAAAACUGCAAACUCAGUAUGCAUGUUCUAUGGGGGAGCUCUUUUAUACCAAGAGUUGACAUAGUAUGAAAAAUGCUAUUCUCUAGGGUAGGCAUCAUACAAUAUCUGAUGGAUCUGAUCAUUUUACUGACAUUCAACUGAAAAAUAAUUUGAAAAUGUGACUAAUUGGAAUGACAUGAAACAUCUGACCUAAUAAGAUGAGGACAAAAUUCGAAUGGAUUGAUUACUUUGAUUGAUACAUAAAGAGAUGUCAAAAGACAAUUUAGUAUGAAAGAACUUACUUUUGAAAGGAUUGCGAUAUCUCAACUAGUUUCUUCAAUGAAGCAUGUAUCAAAACCCUAAAAGGACAAACUAGUCAAAUGGAUUGAAUGGAAUUGAUGGUUUAUUCAAAAAUCGACUUGAUUGUCCGUCCAUUUGUAGUUUCAAAUUUCACAAAAUUUGUUGCAAUGCAUUAGUCUAUAAGCCUUCUAAAAUCAAGAUUUUGGUCUCGAUAUAUUUAUUAUCUCAACAAUGAGGAAUCAUUUGUGAAUUUCUUCAACUUAGUGUCCUUUACGCAAGGGAUUUACCAACUUUGACAAAUGGCCAAAAAGUGAAUAUUAGAGAUUUAUAUUCUAAUGUGCAAAAAUUGCUUUAUAAUUUUCAAUGCCAUCAUUAUGAAAGGAUCGAAUCCUAUCUUAUCUUGUACACUACUCCUUUAGAUGGUACAAAAAAUAUAAACAUGCAAGUCUCAUUAGAUUAUAUCCGACACAAAAGGAUAAUUUAUUCCUAACAUAGAAUCCCUUAUGUAGCAUUCCCUCUAUGGUUCAUGCAUGAUGCCAGUUUAUUAAAAUGAGUAAAUAUGCAAUAAUAGAAAUUAAACAUGAUCUAAAAGAACCCCUUUGAUAUGCCGGGCUAGAGCUGAAAAUGAUGUGUAAUCAUUGGAAUACGAAUGCAAUAAACUAUAAUUUAAAUGUAUAAUAACCUAUCUAAUAAGAUAGGCACUUAAAAGAGUACCAUGCCACAUUUAUUGUGAAACCCAAAAAUGAUCCAUUGAAGAGAUCACGAAUAUGCAAAAAUGAGAUUCAAAAAGGAAAUUAUGAUAUAUACAUGAUUUGGAAGAGGGGAAUACAAUAUAACGGGUACGAAAGACUAAGAUUCGUGACGCAAUUUUUCUUCUUAUAGAUGGGUAAUAACGUGAUAAGAUUGAAAAGUCAUACUUAUCUAUUUUUCAUAUUCGAAGAGUGACUCUUCUAACUUAGUUAAACAAAUGAACUAACUUAUUUCUAAUUUCCUAAAAUGAGAUACAAUUCUAAAUGAUAUGGUCCAAACAUAUAGAAGGUAAGAGAAUAAUAGUAGGAAAAAUAUCAUGUAAAUAAAAAUAACUUAAAAAUAGAAAAAAAUACAUGAGAUGCAAUAAAUGUCACACCUCUCUGGCGACCUUUCCGGUCACAAAAUUUUACGAAAAUACUCCUCCACUUGAUUUUUCGCAUAGAAUUCAUUUUUGACCUUAGUUUUUACAAAAAACGAACGAAAAAGUGCUCAAAAGAGCCAUUUACAGCCGAGUUUUAUUUUUUUUUAAAAAUCUAUCGAAUCUUCACUAAAACUCAUAAAAAUAUAGCAAAACAACCCUUAUGAAAGUACAACACUACUACAUGUUCAAUUUAACAACAAAUAGUAAGGAAAAUGAUGAAUCAAAGCAAAACAGUAGCCCCAACUUAAAAAAAAAACUUGUUUCUUGCUUUCUAAGCUAAACACUCAAAAAUUUUGAAGAACAGAAUAUUUUCCAGGCCUUAUUCUAGCUAUAACCGGCUAUUUUAGCAAAAUAUGUACAUCGAAUUUACUCUUUUAAUUCAGUUCUUCAUUUAGACAUUUUUUCCAAAACUUAACAUGCAUACACAAAACUUAUUUUUCUUUUCUUAAUCUUGUUCUAUGAUUUGCCCGAUGUCCCAACAGCACAACAACAACAACAAAAACCAGUAAGAGCAAGAGAAAAAAAAGCAACAAAAUAUGCACUUAAUGUGAUUUAAAAAGCUGAAAAAUACCUUAAUGAAAGUUGCAGUCCCUUGAUUAAAAUUUUGGGAGAAAUCCUCAAGCUUCAACCUUCUAUUCGCUUGCUAUCUUUACUUCCUUCUUUCACCUUUCUUUGCUCUGAGGAUGGGUGUGUGUGACAGCCAAGAGAGAAAGAGAAUUGAGUGAUGUAUGUGUUUGUGUUGGCAUGUUGUGUUGUGUGAGUAAGAAUAGAGGGAGAGCCGAGAGAGUUUUUUUUUUCUCUUGGUGAGUUGUGUGUGUGGUCUUGAAAAAAUUCAAAGAAGUCAAGAGAGGUUUCAGGGGUUAAGAGUUUGUGGGACAAAAAAUUCUAAAACCUUGAAUUGGUGGUUAGGAUAAAGUAGGAUUGUGUGUCCCAUUCCCCUCCCUUUGAUCCAUUUUUAGUAGAUGUUAACGAAUAGAAUUUGGUUGAUGAGUUGUCCUUGUACCAACCAAACCUUGAGGAGAAAGAAAGAAUGAAAAAAAUUUAGCUUAGGCUUUUGGUUGGGUUUUGUUUGGAUUUUGUGUAGAUUUUUGAGUAGGUUUUGUGGUUGGGUUUGGAUUUUCUUCUAUUGGAUUUGAAACACACAAAAAAAACUCUACAAAAAAUUUUAAAUUUUGAGCAUCGAUUUUUCUUUUGAUUUUUUUUUGCACAAACUUACGAAACAAAUAUUAAAAUAAUUAUUCAAGCAAUUUAAGUGAAAAAUAGUACACUUAAAAUUAAAAAAAAUUUAGUGUCUACAAUCGGUAUUGAGUUGUUUCAGAAUCUAAUCCUUUAUCUUGAGGCUCAUUUUUUGUUUGAAUUUACGUGGCUUUUAUUUUACAGGUGAAAAUUUUGGAUCAUUUGGUAAUUUAUAAAUCACUAUAUCAGUGGAGAUUCCUGAUAUAUCAUCACAUGACCAUGCAAACACAUCUUGAAACAAAGUUAAGAACUCAACCAUUUCCUCAUUUUGCUUCUUCUUCAAAUGAAUGUUGAUUUUGAUUUCUUUAACCUCCGUUUUAGUGCCAAUAUUUAUGAUUUCUGUUUCUUCUAAGUUCGAUUUGAAUUUUUCUUCGUAUUAUUCUAAAUUCCUUGUAACCGAUUUAUAUUCUUUCUUAGUAUCGCUCUCAUUUUGAAUUUCUGAUUGCAUGAUUUCAAGUUUGCAAGAGAUAUCAAGGUUGCGGUCAUAAAAUUUCAAAAUGGCAACAUUUAAAGGGUCAAAAGAUUUUAUUUGUGGCCAUCUGAAAAUAAAAUAAAACACACAUAAUAAAUAAAUAAAUAAAUAAAUAUUUAAAAUACAAGAAAAAUCUUUCAUUCCAUUGAGUUCAAGAAUUGAUUGAAACUUAAUAAAACAGCAAAUCUACAGAUAGUAGACACCAAAAUUUUUAUUUUAUUUUAUUUUAUUUUACAAAAAUGAUAGUUAGUUUAUUAUUAUUAUUUAUUUUAUUAAAUUAGAUUCAUCAUUUUUCUUUUUAAAAAAUAUUUUUUUUGCAUUAAAUUUUUGAAAAAAGAAAAUUCUCAAAAAAAUUAAUUUUUUAAUCUUUGCAAAUUCAUUUUUUUAACACUUUAUUUACUUUAACUUUUACCUUGAAGAGUAAAAAGUAAGUAAAAAAAAGUAAAGUAAGUAAAAAAAAAAGUAAAAGUAAAAAAGAUAACUAGGUGGAAUGCAUGCAAAUGAGCCAUGUGAUUUUGACAUUUUGCACACCACAACAUUUAGGGGGAGAUGGCAAGGACAGGUGGAAGAUAGGGGGAAAAAUCUGGAGCAAAAGGGAAAAAAUCUAGAAUAAAAAGAAGGAAAAAAGGCUAGAGGGGCAGCGGACAAGGGGGCAAGAAAAAAAAAAGAAACCGAGAGAAGAGAGGAGAGAUUGAGAGAGAGUGGCGGCUGAAGAACCAAAAAAGGGAGGAACAAGAGAGAGGGGGCGGGGAGAGAUCAAAAAAGGAAAAACAACAAAAGAGGACAAGAAAAGAGAGCUGCCAGGGGAGGAAAAGGGAAAAACCGAAAAGAAAAGAAGAACAGAAAAGUACCAAAAGAAAACCAAGGAAUAGAGGAGAAGCCGGAGCUGCUGUCGCUCGCCGAAAUCAUCCACCAUCACCGCCGUCAGAACUUCAAAAAGCACUGUAAAACCUUGUUCCUUCCUUUCCUACGUUUGAUUUCUGCUAUUCUUUCUUUAAUUGCCUUCUAUUUUUCAUAUUAUUUUUGUUUACUCCAAUGUGUUAUGUGUCAUAUAUCAAUUGAACUAACCUUUGUUUGUUCUAUUGCAUUCAUGAGCCUUAGAAAUAAGAGUUCCGGCAUGAAACUCUUUUAGAACCUACCUUCUUAGAUAGGUUAUUGCACGUUUAAAGUCCGAUGUAUUGCAUUCGUAGGUUAAUAAUUGCAUAUCAUUUUAGGCCUAACCUGGCAUACAAAGGGUCCCUUGAAGUCAUGUUUUCAUUUCAAAUUGCAUAUUUAAUUAUUUUGAUAAAUUGUCAUCAUGCAUAAACUUUAGAGGGAAUGCCAUUUAGGGAAUCCUAUAUUAAGAAUAAGUCAACCCUAUAUUUCCAUGGGUAUUUAACCCUAUUUUGGAAUUUUUCACGUUUAAAUUCCAAUUUAACCGAAAAAGUGGGACCUGUAGGUAAGGUAUUUGACACCAAUUUCUUGUCUCUAGAUGGAACGCCCUUGACAAGUCUAACAAAUAUUAGUUGUACCGAUUGAGGUACAGAGGUGGCUCGCAUUGCUUUCACCUAGUGAAAUUAACCAAGUAGCCUCUCACCUAGGACCAAUAAGGGAUUUUAAAGAUAUCAAAUCAGACGGCUACUUAGUAGAGGCUUUGGUACAUUUGUGGGACCCUAUUUGUUCCGCAUUUAGACUAGGCAAGAAGGAAAUGACCGUGACAAUUGAGAAGGUAUCUGGCCUCCUUAAUUUACCAAUUCAUGGUACCGUUGUAAUAUUUCCGUUUAUGUCUAACAAGGCCGAGUUCUGCCAUUUCACUGGGUUUAAGGAAUCUUUAAUACAAGGGUUUGACCAAAGCAUAGAUGUGAAGUUCUUAUUCGAUCGAUUUGCAUUGAGAGAUGGGUUCGAGAGACACUUAGGAGAUUUUUCAUUUACGUCCAAAGCAAUGUGGGAACGUAAAAGACUGUGGGUGUAUGGAUUGGUUAUGGCUGAAACUUAUCUUUUCCCCAGAAAACACAAAAGAUAGCUUUUAAACUUACCAAAGUCAUGUUUGAUCUGUUUCCAGGGAUAAAAGAUAGGCAAUGCUCUAUUGUUCCGACUAUCUUAGCUGAUAGCUUUGUAGCUUGCACUACCUGCCAAAGGAUUGAAAAAUUCUUUCAUGGAUCAAAUUUAGUUCUGCACAUGUGGGCCAUGGAGCACUUUAUAAGACGAUCACCUAUUCCUGAUAGUUUGCCGAUGUCUGGGUAUAAUUGGAUAAUCACACAUCACAAGAGAAUUAAUGAAAAUGGUUUGCCGAGUAAUGCAUCUGAGUAUGUGGAUUUCUUAAGAAACUUGCCUGAUCAGAAUGUUAUAUGGGUUUUAGAUUGGACUAAUUGUGUUAAACCUGUACUUCGCACUAAAGUAUUAGAGUUCAUUCCAUUGCUAGGCACCCAGGGUAUCAUGGCUUAUACUUCAAAGAGGUUUCUCCGACAAUUGGGCCGUAUUCAAGAAUUGCCGUAUACACUUGAUUUAAUCAAAUUCACCGUUAUUUUUGACAAAGAGAUGUGUCCAAGUGAAAUUCCAAUGAAGAUUCCUAUCAUUAAGGCCUGGGAGACAUUGUCCGAUGACGAGCACGUCAAGUACAUUUCGGAACUCAAGCAAAAGGGUUUAGUAACUCCACAGUAUGAAGAUUGGUUUAAGGGUUUUGAUAUGCAAGAAUCGCAAGGCGAACCAUCUGAGGAGGUCAAGAGAUUGAUGGCCAUUAUUGAAGCCAAAGACAGAGAAAAUUUGCAACUAAAAAAGUCCGUCAAAAUUAGCAAGGAGAUGGCAGAGAAACAUAAGGAGGCAUGUGAAAAGAUGCGAGAGAAACACCAAGAAUUGAAAAGAAAAUGUGGGAAAUUGUACGAUCAAGUGGAACACAUAAGAAAUCCCUAUGCCAGAGAAUCCAAAGAUGUUGUAAUAGAUAGCUUGAAAAGGUUCAAUGACUUUGUACGAGACCGUCUCCGAGGAAUGAUAUAAAUAAUGUUUAUAAAAAUGGAAAUUUGGAAAUUUGAAUGACCUUUUCUUUUGUGCAAAAUGGUGGUCAAAAACAGGUUUGAUAAAUGGGUCCCACUUCGAAGAUGUUGCAUCAUGUUAGACCUACCCUUGGCACAAAAAAGACUCCCUAAUAGGACAUGCAUCCGAAUUACUUUAAUUUUUAAUAACUCUUGUCUUUUUCUUUUUCUUAUUUUUGCCAGCAGUUAAUCAAGAAGGGAAUCUAAAUAGGAUUUUUCCUAAAGUUUCAGGUAAUUGCAAACAUAGCUACAUGAAAAAGCCCCAUCAUUACACGAUCACGUAGCCGAGUUUUGAGAAAUAGUGUAAACAUGAGUACACACCCUGAAUCAUCUGAUAGAUCUGCAACAACGCCAUCAGUCGACCUCGCAAAUCUGGGAGCUCAACUGAGCAAAGUGUUAAACAGAUUGAAUGAGUUAAAGCAUGAAAAUGACCGCACAACGGCUUGUGAUUGAUCAGUUGGUUGCUGGAAGUAGCAGCGAUGUCCAACAUGAUCCCUUGCCUGCUAGCCAACCUGAACCUCAACUGUGAGGACUCGAAAAUUCCUUUAGAAUUUCCUCUCAUUUUUGAAAAAAUUAAUUUAUAUUUCCUUCUAUGUGUCUUUACUUGAUUAUUUAACUAUUUACUAGUUCUAAAUUUCAUGGUGAUUUCAUUAGUUGAGCCAAGAGUUUUACUUUUACUUUUCAAGUUAGAGUAAGUUAGGAUUUUGGUGUAGUUUGGUAGUGUGAUCACUUGGUGAGGUGUGUACUAAAUUUGGUGGAUAAAAUCGAGUAUUAGGUAAGAAAAAGUGUGUGAUUAGAAGUGUUAAUACUAAGUUAGUGAAUCAUAAGUUAAAACACUAGUACGCACGAGUUAAGGAAAUCGGCUUGAACCGACGUGCACCGUUUGCAACCGAUUGAGUGCACCACUUGAGCACUGCUUUAUUACUUUAAUCUCCUUACUUUUAUUUCAGCAAAAUUAGCCCUAAAAUAUCCUCCAUUCAGCUGAAAUUCUUGACCAAAUGAAGAGGGGGAAAAGGAAAAAAAUAAGGAACCAUCUUGUAGCGACACUUGGCGGAAAUCAAACCAACUUUGACCAAGCAAAUUUUCUUUCCUUCUUAUCUCUAAUUUGGCUCAUCUUCCUCCUUUAUUUCUUCAUGUUGGCCGAAAAUAAGAGAGAGAAAAAGAGAGAAAAACAACUUCAACUCCAACUUUGAUUCUUCUUUGUUGAGCUGAAAUCACACAAACCAAACCGAUUAAACUUACCUCUUGGUGAUUGGAAAGCUUGGUGCGGUGAAAUUUUUGGAAGAUAGUGGUUUUUUUUUUAUUUGCAAGAAGCUUUUGGAAGGUUUAAGGCUCGAACUUGCUUUUCUCUUGUUUAAUCUUGCUAAAGUUGGUAUAGAAGUUCUUAAUCUUGGCUUGUUAUAGUUGAUUUCUUAGUUUUGAUGGUGUAGUGGAAUGUUUAGCUAGGGUUUAUAUUUUUUCAGCUUUGAUUAUUAUUGUUUACCUAGUAAGUGAUGUUAUUGAGUUAGGAUAUGGAUUUGGUGAAGGGAUUAAUGGCUUGGUUGUGACUUUUUAGAGUAAAAGUUGAAUUUUCAGCAUUUGGUAGUGAUUCUGCCAUGUUUUUGGAAGCAAACUGACCUGCAUAUUCGUCCAUGAUACAGGCGAAAUCAAUUCUUGCUCAAAACAUGAAAGUUUUAGGGAUUUGAGUUAUCUUUCUACUCAAAACAUUUCAACUCAAUCGGACCACUGUAGCUUAUGAAAUGACUAAAAUACCCUUGACUACCCAAAUGCCCUAUUUAACUGACAGUUUUCUGUUUUCUCUGAGAUUUCAAUUUUUGACCCUGAAAAUGUGAGAACUAGGUGUUGAUGUCUUCACAGAAAAUGUAGAUCUAUGUCUUAGCUUCGAAAUUCCAUAAACUUUACCUCGAUCCGAUAUACCUAGCUAUAGUUAUGACCAAAACACCAAAGGAUGACAAAUCUGCCAUUUAUCAGUUCUUCUUUUAACUAGUUUCCAGCUUUGGUCCAUGGUGAUAAGUUAUUAUUUGGUUUGUUUGGUUGGUUUUAAGGCCUUGAAUAGAUGAAUGUGGUUGGUUAUCACUUGUGGUUGGUUUGGAGGGUUGUUGGCUUGUGAAUUCAAGUUGCACUUGGAUGGACAAAGUAAGAAAAUAGGGGAAAUGCUGCCCAAAUUUCUAUUACUUGCUCUUAUGACUAUUAGUGAGAUGUAAGGUUUGAUUUUAGGGUUAGUUGGAUCUUAAGUUACAUAUGCAUCCUUGAAUGCACUUCAAUAGUAGUAUAUGAGUUGUUUUUUUUAUCAAGAUUUGGUAUCAACUAAGAUGAAAAGUAUUAGUUUUAUCUCAAAAAUUUUGAAUUACAUUUGCUCACUUCAAUUUGGGAUUGGUUAUUCUUAGGGUUUGCCGGUGAUCAAGGGCAUAAUCCGGAAGGAAAUUUUUGACGUUAUUUUGUUUAAACUGGUGAGUGUUCUUUGUAUGUUGUGCUUUCAAUUACUAUGUGAAUUGUUGUGAAUGUUUGCUUGAAUGUUAAAUACUUUUCAAUGAUCAUUUGCGAUAGGCGAGUGUGUACUUUAUUGCACUUGACCUAAGUAAACGUGAAAUUUUUAAUGAUUAAAUGAUUGAAUAUUACUUGUGCAUGAAUGUAAGCCUUUUAGUUGAACUGGGCUCUUGCCCUUCUUUGCUAGCCGACUCGAGCCAGAAGCGGACUCGGUCGGGCGACUGGUGACUCUGGUAUAGUGUUUUGGUAUACUCGAGCAAGAUCACGAAGGUUGGUAGAGAACUGGCCAGUGAAUUGGCUAGUGGCGGGAAAUGAAAUCAAUGAAUGAAUGUCAAGAACCCUGGAGGAGUUUUCACUUGCAAAUAUUUUCUUUUUCUAAUAAAUUGGAGGGAUAAGGAAAAUGGUAGGUGAAUGAAUGAAUAAAUGGCUCCACGUGAGCACGUAUCCUUUUAAUGAGUGUGUUCUCAUUACUUUUAUAUUGUGAAUGUUUUCUCUUCAAUGGAUCAUGUCCUUGUUUAAAUUGCUUGAUUACUUGUUUAGGAAACUUAUUGGGUUUUUAACUCAUUCUUAUAGUUUUGUUUUCCUUACAGGGGAUACGAGCGAGGGCGUAAGACUGGUACAAGCUAGUUUUAAAAUUUUUGCAAUUGUACUCGCGCUAGUGCUCUGUUAGGGUUGAAUGUAUAUGGAAUUUAUAACUUUUGUUAUAUUUGGGAUGUAUGAAUGUUUGAGAUAGAAAUGAAUGUAAGUAUACGUUCCAAAUUUAGGAGUUGUUAUUUCACUUAUUCUUGAGGUUAUACUUAUUUUAUUUGAAGAGAGUGGUCGAGUCCUGGCGAGAGUUAGGCAGGCAGUCCGUCAAAUCCUAGGGAACGUCCUAGGGGGAGGUGGGGUCGUCACAGGUGGUAUCAGAGCUGCUUCGCGUGGUCUCUACGCGGGGUGAGUUUGGGCCAAGUGGUGUUAUGUGAAUGAGUAAAGGCUUAAGUACUCUCCUAGAGCGUAAGCUGUGAAUCAUGCAUCGAAUAGGUAUAAACCCUUUAUCUUGAUAUUUGGAAAAAUUAGAUUUGUAUGUUGGGUAGGAAUCUCAAAUGUUGUGAUUUACUCUUGGGACCGGCCAGCUCGAGUUGUACCCGAGUACUUAAGAGUUGAGGGCAAUGCUAAGGACUUGAGAUCUCCAUUGCGAGGAAUAAGAACGAGCUAAUGUUUUGCGAGAGCAAAUGCAGGAGGUCAACGAACGUCUAGUAGAGAAGUGAGAGAUCGGACGGAGAAUAUUUUAACUGAGUGUGGGACAAUAUCAGCCAGAGAGAAGUAGAAUGUAGUUGAGCUUGAGAGAGAAGUGAAAUCAGCUGGUUCAAUGGUGACCUAAGCUAGAAACGUAAGACCUUGAGGUUGUAGGAAAUAAGUUAGGGUGGCUGGGACGACAUGUCGUGUUUUUCUUCUUGUUUUGCCACUGUAUUGCCACUGCAUGUAUUUUGCUCGUGACAUGUCAAUGCUUACAUGUAUAGUACUUGUUGCACUUGAUUUUGUUUAGCUUGAUAUGUAUCUUUGUGAACUUGGUGUGUUAUAGAUAUGCUAAGCAUGUUUCCUUAUCCUUGAUUUUAUGGUUUAAAAUUAUUUUUAUCUUGCAACUUUAGCCAAUUUAUUUUGUUUACAUACUAUAUCAUUUUUUAAAUAAAAAAAAAAAGAGAAAAGGAUAUGGAGGGGAGACGUAGUCGCGGACGUGGAGCUAAUCGUGGCCGUGGGGUUAGGCAAUCACAAGAACCAAGGAAUGAAAGAGAAACAGCAGCCGAGCAAGAUCGUGAACCCAGAGUUGAAGCAGAGGACCAAGUGGUGACAGCGAUACAGCAAAUGACCAAUAUCUUAGCGCGAUUGGUAGAACAACAAGAGCAAACUCCAGUGAAUCAACCUCGGAACCCUGAGAUAGGAGAGGAUAGGGCCCUGGAGUGGUUUCAAAAGUUUGUUCCUCCUAAAUUCCUUGGAGGGCUUGAUCCAGAGACAGCUAAGCAGUGGUUAGAUGCGAUGAUUAAUAUCUUUGCAACUUUGAACUACACGGAGCAAAAAUAGGUAAACUUUGCUGUAUUUCAAUUCAAAGGACCGGCCCGGGCAUAUGGUGGAAUGUUAUUAGGGUAAAGUGGGAGAGAGAACAGACUGGCUGGACGUGGGUAAACUUUAUAAGAGAGUUUAAUGAGAAAUACCUUCCACCUUUGGUCCAAGAAAAGAAAGAGGAUGAGUUUAUUAGGUUGCGGCAGGGAACCCAAAGUUUGGCCGAAUAUGAAACGCAAUUCACUAAACUGUUUAAAUUUGCUCCUGAAUUAGUGGUUACAGAGCGAAGGAGAGUGAGACAGUUUAUACAAGGAUUGAAUUUGGAGAUCCAGGAAGCUUUGGCGACGGUUCAAGUUAAUACUUUUAUGGAAACUCUUGAGAAAGCUCAAAGAAUUGAGAAUGCGAAGGUCCAGAUAAAAGUUUUCCAAACACGAAAAAAGGGUGCAUCUAGUAGUACAUUAGAGGAACCUAGAGAAAAGAUAAUGCCUUCCAAAGUACAAAAAGUGAACCAUUCACCUUACCCACCAUGAAUACUAAGAAUACUAGAUGAAGGGUCUACAAAAAAAAGUCAAAUAGGAUAAGAGGAAAUUUCUCGAGAAGGCCAAAAAAUGGCUUCUCGCUUAGCCUGUGGAUAUUGUGGGAAGACAAAUUACACUGAGGAUGAUUGUUAGAGGAAGGAGCGAAAGUGUUUGAUUUGUGGGAGUAGCGACCAUCAAAUUAGCCACUGUCCGAAGAAACAACCACGAGGGAAUAGUGUUCAACAAGUGGAUAGGACCAAAUCGAAACAAGCUAAUGAAAGAGGGAACCGACCAAAAGUACCAGCACAGGUAUAUGCCUUAGACAAGCAACAAGCUCCGGAGCCAUUUGAGGCCAUAGAAGGUAAAAAUUUCAAGAACGAAAUUUUCUUAAGGGGGAAAGAGUGUGAGGACUCGAAAAUUCCUUUAGAAUUUCCUCCCAUUUUUGAAAAAAAUAAUUUAUAUUUCCUUCUAUGUGUCUUUACUUGAUUAUUUAACUAUUUACUAGCUCUAAAUUUCAUGGUGAUUUCAUUAGUUGAGCCAAGAGUUUUACUUUUACUUUUCAAGUUAGAGUAAGUUAGGGUUUUGGUGUAGUUUGGUAGUAUAAUCACUUGGUGAGGUGUGUGUACUAAAUUUGGUGGAUAAAAUCGAGUAUUAGGUAAGAGAAAGUGUAUGAUUAGAAGUGUUAAUACUAAAUUAGUGAAUCAUAAGUUAAAACACUAGUACGCACGAGUUAAGGAAAUCGGCUUGAACCUACGUGCACCGUUUGCUACCGAUUGAGUGCACCACUUGAGCACUGCUUUAUUACCUUAAUCUCCUUACUUUUAUUUCAGCAAAAUUAGCCUUAAAAUAUCCUCCAUUCAGCUGAAAUUCUUAACCAAAUGAAGAGGAGGAAAAGGAAAAACAUAAGGAGCCAACUUGUAGCGACACUUGGCAGAAAUCAAACCAACUUUGACCAAGCAGAUUUUCUUUCCUUCUUAUUCCUAAUUUGGCUCAUCUUCCUCCUUUAUUUCUUCAUGUUGGCCGAAAAUAAGAGAGGGAAAAAGAGAGAAAAAUAACUUCAAUUCCAACCUUGAUUCUUUUUUGUUGAACUGAAAUCACACAAACCAAACCGAUUAAACUUACCUCUUGGUGAUUGGAAAGCUUGGUGUGGUGAAAUUUUUGGAAGAUAGUGGUUUGUUUUUCACUUGCAAGAAGCUUUUGGAAGGUAUAAGGUUUGAACUUGCUUUUCUCUUGUUUAAUCUUGCUAAAGUUAGUAUAGAAGUUCUUAAUCUUGACUUGUUAUAAUUGAUUUCGUAGUUUUGAUGGUGUAGUGGAAUGUUUAGCUAGGGUUUGCAUUUUUUCAGCUUUGAUUAUUGUUGUUUACCUAGUAAGUGAUGUUAUUGAUGUAGGAUAUGGAUUUGGUGAAAGGAUUAAUGGUUUGGUUGUGACUUUUUAGAAUAAAAGUUGAAUUUCCAGCAUUUGGUAGCGAUUCUGCCCUGUUUUUGGAACCAACCUAACCUGCAUAUUCGUCCAUGAUGCAGGCCAAAUCAGUUCUUGUUGAAAACAUAAAAGUUGUAGGGAUUUGAGUUAGAUUUCUUACCAGAAAAUUUUAGCUCAAUCGGAGUACUGUAACAUGUGAAAUGACUAAAAUACCCCUAACUGCCCAAAUGCCCUGUUUAACCGACAACUUUCUAUUUUCUCUGAGAUUUCAAUUUUUCACCUUGGAAAUGUGAGAACGGGGUGUUGAUGUCUUCAUAGGAAAUGUAAGUCUGUGUCUUAGUUUCGAAACGCCAUAAAAUUUAUCUCAAUCCGAUAUACCUAGCUACAAUUACGACCAAAACACCGAAGAAUGACAAAACUACCAUUUAUCAGUUCUUCUUUAAACUGGUUUUAGCUUUGGUCCAUGGUGAUUAGUUAUUAUUUGGUUUGUUUGGUUGGUUUUGAGGCCUUGAAUAGAUGAAUAUGGUUGGUUAUCGCCUAUGGUUGGUUUGGAGGGUUGUUGGCUUGUGAAUCCAAGUUGUACUUGGAUGGAAAAAGUAAGAAAAUAGGGGAAAUGCUGCCUAAAUUUCUAUUACUUGCUCUUAUAACUAUUAGAGAGAUGUAAGGUUGGAUUUUAGGGUUAGUUGGAUCUUAAGUUACAUAUGUAUCAUUGAAUGCACUUCAAUAGUAGUAUAUGAGUUGAUGUUAACCAAGAUUUAGUAUCAACUAAGAUGAAAAAUGUUAGUUUUAUCUCAAAAAUUUUGAAUUACAUUUGCUCACUUCAAUUUGGGAUUGGUUAUUCUUAGGGUUUGUUGGUGAUCAAUGGCAUAAUCUGGAAGGAAACUUUUGACGUUAUUUUGCUUAAACUGCUGAGUGUUCUUUAUAUGUUGUGCUUCCAAUGACUAUGUGGAUUGUUGUGAAUAUUUGCUUGAAUGUUAAAUGUUUUUCAAUGAUUAUGAAAUGAAUUUUCGAUAGGCGAGUGUGUACUUUAUCGCACUAGACCUAAGUUAAUGUUAAAUUUUCAAUGAUUAAAUGAUUGAAUGCUACUUGUGCAUGAAUGUAAGCCUUUUGGCUAAAUUGGGCCCUUGCCCUUCGUUGUCAGUCGACUCGGGCCAGAAGCGGACUCGGUCGGUCGAUUGGUGACCCUGGGACAGUGUUUUGGUAUACUCGAGUAUGACCACGAAGGUUGGUAGAGAACUAGCCAGUGAAUUGGCUAGUGGAGGGAAAUGAAAUCAAUGAAUGAAUGUCAAGAACCCUGGAGGAGUUUUCACUUGCAAAUAUUUUUCUAAUAAAUGGGAGGGAUAAGGAAAAUGGUAGGCGAAUGAAUGAACGAAUGAUUCCAUAUGAGCACGUAUCCUUUUAAUGAGUGUGUUCUCAUUGCUUUUAUAUUGUGAAUGUUUUCUCUUCAAUGAAGCAUGUUCUUGUUUAAAUUGCUUAAUUAAUUGUUUGGAAACCUCACUGGAUUUUUAGCUCAUUCCUUUUUUUUUUAUUUUUCUUACAGGGGAUACGAGCAAGGCGUGAGAUUGGUACAAACUAGCAUAGUCUAGUUUUUAAAUUUUUGCGAUUGUACUCGCGCUAGUGCUUUGUUAGGGUUGAAUAUAUCUGAAAUUUACAACUUUUGUUAUAUUUGGGAUGUAUGAAUGUUUGAGAUAGAAAUGAAUGUAAGUAUACCUUCCAAGUUUGGGAACUGUUAUUUCACUUAUUCUUGAGGUUAUACCUUAUUUUAUUUGAAGAGAGUGAACGAGUCCUGGCGAGAGUUGGGCAGGCGGUCUGCCAAACCCUGGGGUACGCCCUAGGGGGGGUGGGGUCGUCACAUCAACCACUACCCCUACCAUAUACUCAAACCUCUUUUACUCCACAUUUCGUAAAUGCACCUGAGGAAGCUUUCACCUAUCCUACUAUUGGCUUUCCACAUACCUAUACAUCCAAUAUUCAAACCAAUCCUCCUCACCCUCAAGUUCCUCCAAAUUAUCUACCUGUUAGUCUGAACAUGCCACUUGAACCUCAAGGACCGUAUUAUUAUUCCACUGCUGAACCAUUCACGCUAGACACCGCCGCACAAGAAAAAGUUGAAUUAGGAGAAUCCUCCGCGCCAAUUGACAAGAAUUUGUUAAAGAGGUUGGACCGGUUUGACGAAUUCAUGAGGAAGAGCCAAGUCUUGAGCAAAUAAGGAGGUUUGGACUAUAACGAAUUGUGCCUAUUUCCUGAUAUGCAACUGUCUGUGAGUUUUAAAGCACCCAAAUUUAGCAAAUAUGACGGAACGGACAAUUCUAAGACACAUCUCCGAAUAUUUGCAAGCGAAUUAGGAAGGCCAGUAGAUGACGAGAAUUUGCCAGUUCGAUUGUUUCCUAAGAGUUUAGAAGGUGAUGCACUGGAUUGGUACUCCAAUUUGAAACCUGAUGAGACGAGGACAUGGUUGGAUUUGUCAACUGCUUUUGUAAGACAAUAUAAGUAUAAUUGUGAGCUUGCUCUAAUGAGGACCACACUUGAGGGGACUAAAAGGAAGCCAUCUGAGGAUUACAAGACAUAUGCAAAGCGAUGGAGGAAAUUGACUACCAAGGUGGAAAUUUUUCAUACGUUUAUCAAAACUCAUGAUUCACCAUAUUUUGAGGAAAUUUUUCGCAUGACUGGAUGCCCAUUUGCAGAAAUUAUUAACAAAUUGGAGGAGUAUGAUGAGUUCAUAAGAGCGAAAAAGAUUAUUAAUUUGUCAGCUUUAAAAUCGCACUUAGAAGCUGUGCAAAGUCAAAACAAGAAGCCUCAGUUCAAAAAGAAAGAGGGGGAAGCUGCAUUUGUCUGGAAUCAAGGCUUUUCUUCCCAACCUAGAUACCAACAAUAUCCUACCUAUCCAUCCCGUUACCCAUACUAUCCACACCCUCGACCUGUUUAUCAUACCACCAUUAAUCAUCGUCGACCCCGACCAAAUUACCCAAACCCACCCACAACACCAUUUCAUAUUUCUCCGCCUAAUUCUCAAACUAGAUCUCGCCAUUCUUAUAAUCCAAGACCUGCUUCACCAGCCGACCAGAACUACAACUAUCAACAAAUCAAUGACACCCAAAACCCAACCCCAUACAAAACUUUCACCAAUCUAGGUUGGUCCAUUGAUCAGUUAUAUGAACAGUUCAAAGCCGCAGGAAAAAUUGGUACGAUACCUCCUAAAGUCUAUCCUAGAGGAUUUCCCCUUAGUUAUGAUCCUCAAUCUUUUUGUGCUUAUCAUUCUAGAGCUCCUGAUCAUUCUACUGUCAAUUGUUGGGCACUUAAGCAUAAAAUUCAAGACAUGAUUGAUGUCAAAAACAUAAUUUAAAAAAGAGAGAUGAACAAGGACCGAGUGUUAGUAAGAACCCUCCUCCUGCGCACAAGGAUACUGUUGGAGUUAUAACCAUUGAUGAGGAGAUCGAGAAACCUACUCAAUACAUUAUAGAUGAAGCUGAGGUUAUAGGUAUUUUUGGAGAACCAUUUAUAUUGGAAGAAGAAACCUCCGAGGUCAAGCAAAAUGCUGAUCCUUUUAUUUUAGAUGUGAUACCUUUUGAAUGUGAGUCUUCAGAGCUUGUGGUACUCGAAUUGCCUGAACAAGCGCCUAUUCUUAAUCUAUAAGAAGUCCCAUGGAAUUAUAGUAAGCCUCUUUUAUUGAUUGGAGGAGAAGAAAUGCCAAAGGAGGUGGCCGCCGUCACUAGAUCUGGAAGAAUCAUAAGUGUACCUGCAGUUAGCGAGCCAUCAAAAGCAAAGGAAAAUGUCGCGCCAACAACACCAGCUGUGAUUGAAGAAGAGGCAUUCAAUUUCCCUAGGAUAUUGAAGAAAAGUGAGUAUAAAGUGAUUGAGCAAUUGGAUAAAAUGCUCGCUCAAAUUUCUAUGUUGAAUCUGCUCUUAACUUCGGAACUUCAUAGAGAAGCUCUACUCAAGGUGUUAACUGAGGCUCAAGUGCCUAAGAAUAUUUCGGUAGACAAAUUCACUCAUGUAGUUGAGCAUAUUUUGGCUUCAAAUCAGAUUUCUUUUUCUGAUGAGGAUUUAACGUCUGAGGGAAUUAGACAUAACAAGGCAUUGUAUAUCUCAGUCCAUUGUAAUGGGAAGUUAUUGUUGAGAGUUUUGAUAGACAACGGAUCUGCUUUGAAUAUUUGUUUAUGGAAUACUUUGAUUAAAUUGGGAUUUCAAGUAACUAAACUUUGGCCGUGUGCAACUGUGGUGAGGGGAUUUGAUGGUGCAAAAAGAGAAUCGAUGGGGGAAGUGGAUUUAGUACUUGAAAUAGGACCUACUCAAUUCCAAAUCAUGUGCCAAGUUAUGAAUUUCUCAAGUGUUUAUAAUAUUCUGUUGGGAAAGCCUUGGAUUCAAGUUUCGGGUGCUAUACCCUCUUCGCUCCAUCAAAUAUUGAGGUUUGUAGUGAAUGAUCAAUUAAUCAUCGUACUUGCAAAGGAUGAUUGUGCUAUGAUCGUAAAUCCCGGACCAAAAGAGGAAAGUGAUAGAAAAGUUAUGGUUUCUCCUCACCAUGUGCCUGAUAUCAUUUCAAUAGGUUGGGUAUGUAAAGACAAGGCAGUGAUGGAAAUGAAUUUACCAGAAGCCAACAUUAUAAUGGCUAAAGAAAUGAUUCGAGGAGGAUACGAGAUAGGCAAGGGUCUCGAGCGUAGCUUGCAGGGAAUUCUAGAACCAAUAGAGUUUCAAGGAAAGAAGAACACCUUUGGACUAGGGUUUCAACCCACUUCCAGGGACAUGAAAGAAAUGCUGAAUCACAAGAGAGUAGAAAAGGAAAGAAAUCAAAUUGUCAGGAGUAUCCUACCAUUGCAUUACACUUUUCCCUAUCCAUCGGAAGUAAUCAACUCUGAAUUGGACUCAAUCGAUAAGGUGGAUGUCAGUUUGUCUAAGCUGUUCAUGGGGGUUACUUAUGAGGGUGAGCCGUUAGAGAAUCCAGAAUUUCCAGAGGUCUCCAGGGAAGUAAUGAAAAAUUGGACCAUUGAUUUUCUUUCCUCCUGAAGAAAAUUUUGGUAAAUCUGAGGGAUUAUCUUUGGUUGAGAGCUAUGAAAGAAAUCAUUCGCAUUGUUCAUCUUUUGCCUUUCAGUUUUGUAAAUAGUUUUGAAUCAAAUAUUUUUUCAAUACAAAUCUUAUGUUAAGUAGCGUAUCUUUUGUUAAGUAGCAUAUUAUGACGUUUUAUCCUUUAUUUGAAAUUUAAUGAAAUGCACAGUGUUCAUUUUCAAAUUGUUUUACUUACGUGUUUUUGUAUCUAUCUCAUUAUUUUUCAGAUGGCCAAAAAUAAAACACAUUGACCCUUUGGAUAUCACUAUUCCGGAAUUUGAUGACUGCAAUCUCAAUAUCUCUCACGAAUUCAAAAUUAUGGAAUCAGAAAUUCAAGAUGAGAGCGAUAGCGAGGAAGAAUCUGAAUCUUUGUUAAAGAAUCUUGAACAAUAUGAAGAAAAAUUCAAACUGAACUUAGAAGAAAUAGAAAUCAUUAAUAUUGGCACUGAGACCGAGGUUAAGGAGAUAAAAAUUAGCAUUCAUUUGAAUAAGAAGCAGAGAAAAAAUAUGAUUGAAUUCUUGACCAUAUUUCAAGAUGUGUUUGCUUGGUUCUAUGAUGACAUGACGGCCAUUUUAACAGAUAUAGUGGUUCACAAAUUGCCAACGGAUCCAAAUUUUUCACCGGUGAAAUAGAAGUCUUACAAAUUUAAACCGGACAUAAGUCUUAAAAUCAAAGAGCAAAUUGAGAAGCAACUCAAUGCCAGAAUUAUCAUGAUUUCUCAUUAUCCUAUUUGACUUUCAAAUCCAGUCCCUGUCCCAAAGAAAAGUGGAGAGGUGAGGAUGUGUGUUGACUACCGAGAUUUGAACAAGGUUAGUCCGAAAGAUAAUUUUUCCUUGCCAAACAUACAUAUCUUUUUGGACAACACCGCUAGGCAUGAGAUAGAGUCUUUUGGUGAUUGCUUCGCCGGAUACCAUCAAAUUCUAAUGGCAGAAGAGAAUAAAGAGAAAACUGCUUUUAUCACUCCGUGGGGAACAUUUUGCUACCGAGUAAUGCUAUUCAGAUUGAAAAAUAGUGGAACUACGUAUCAAAGGACCAUGAUCACCUUGUUCUACGAUAUGAUUUAUAAGGAGAUGGAAGUGUAUGUGGAUGACAUCAUAAUCAAAUCCAAGAAAGUGAAGGAUCGUUUAGUUGAUUUGAAAAAGUUAUUUGAAAGAUUGAGAAGAUAUAAUUUGAAAUCAAAUCCUGCGAAAUGCGCUUUUGAAACUCCUACCGGCAAAUUAUUGGGGUUUAUUAUGAGUAAAAAGGGUAUAGAAAUAGAUCCAACAAAGAUUAAAACAAUUCGUGAGAUGCCAGUGCCAAAAACACAAAGGGAUGUGAAGAGUUUCUUGGAAAAUAUUAAUUUCAUUGGCCGAUUCAUUGCUCAAUUGACUUCUACAUGUGAGCCUUUGUUUAAAUUAUUGAAGAAGAAUGUGCCGUUGUAUUGGAGUGAAGAAUGCCAGCAAGCUUUUGAUAAGAUCAACGAUUACCUGUUGCACCCUCCAGUUUUAGUGCCACCCAAGUCGGGUCGACCUUUGAUUAUGUAUUUGUCCGUGCUCGACGAGGCUGUGGGAUGUGUUUUGGUGCAGCAUGAUGAUUCUGAGAAAAGAGAGCAAGCCAUUUAUUAUCUUAGCAAGAAGUUCACACCUUACGAGACAAAAUACUCAUUUCUUAAAAGGAGUUGCUGUACAUUGGCUUGGGCAGCUCAGAAAUUGAGGCAUUAUUUGCUUAGUCACACCACAUAUCUUAUCUCUCGUUCAGAUCCUUUGAAGUACAUAUUGGAGAAACAAAUGCCGACUGGACGCAUGACUAAAUGGCAGAUGAUCAUUUCUGAAUUUGAUAUCAUCUUCACCACGCAAAAGGCAAUCAAGGGGCAAGCUAUAGCAGAUCAUUUGGCUGAAAAUUCAAGAGAAGAUGAUUAUCAUCCGCUUCACACUUAUUUUUCGGAUGAUGAGGUCCUGUUUGUUGGUACAGCAGAAGAUAUGAAUGAGCAAUGCUCUGAGUGGAGACUAUUCUUUGGCGGUAUUUCAAAUUCUUUCGGAGUUGGUAUCGGAGUUGUUCUAGUAUCGUCUGAAGGAAAACAUUAUCCCGGUUCCGCUAAACUGCGAUUUUUCUACACUAACAAUAUGGCUGAUAUAUGAAGCUUGUAUUUUUGGACUUAAAAUGGCAUUGGAGAUGGAGAUCAAGGGUUUAAUAGUGUUCAGUGAUUUCGAUCUGCUCGUGCAUCAAACGCUCAAAGAAUGGAUAACUCGAGAUUCGAAAUUUUUGCCAUAUCAUUGCAAUUUAUUGGAUUUGGCAAAUAAAUUCAGAAGUUUGGAGUUCAGGCAUAUUCCACAUGCUCGAAAUAUUUUUGCUGAUAUGCUGGCCACUUUAUCUUCAAUGAUUGAACAACCAGAUGAGUUGGUGAUUGAGCCUAUCCAGAUUCAAUUACAAGAAAAGCCUGCACAUUGUCUGAUUAUGAAAAAAUCUUUUGAUGAUCGUCCCUGGUACAGUGAUAUUAAGGAAUUUCUCAAAAUCGAGUCCUAUCCUGCAGGUGCUGGUACGACUGCUAAAAGUUUAUUGCGCAGAUUAUCAUCCAAGUUUUUCUUAAAUAGAGAGGUGGUAUAUAAAAGGACAUCAGACUUGGGCCUUCUAAGAUGCGUUGAUGAAGAUGAAGCAGAUUAUUUGAUGAAAGAAGUACACACUGAUGUAUGUGGAUCACAUAUGAACGGGCAUUUAUUAGCAAAGAAGAUUAUGAGGACAGGAUAUUUUGGUUUACUAUGGAGCAUGAUUGUGUAGUUUUUGUUAGAAAAUGCAUUAAAUGUCAAUUACAUGGAGAUGUUAUGCGCACUCCUCCCACAGAAUUACACAGUAUGACUGCUCCCUGGCCAUGUUCGAUGUGGGGUAUGGAUGUAAUUGGAAUCAUUGACCCUUCUGCUUCAAACGGGCAUCGAUUUAUUUUGGUGGCAAUUGAAUAUUUUACCAAAUGGGUCGAAGUUGAGUCUUACAAGCACGUGACUAAGAAGGUGAUGACAGAUUUUCUAAGGAAGCACAUCAUUUUGUCGUUUUGGUGUGCCAGAGACAUUAAUCACCGACAAUGCAAAGAAUCUCAACAAUGGCAUGGUGGAUGGGUUAUGCGAACAGUUCAAAAUCAGGCAUCGAAAUUCUACUAUUUAUAGACCACAGAUGAAUAGAGUUGUGGAGGCAGCGAACAAGAAUUUGAAAAAGAUAAUUCGUAAAAUGACCGAAAAACAUCGUGAUUGGUACGAAAAACCCUCCUAUGCAUUAAUGGCAUAUAGAACUUCUAUUCGGACUUCUAUUGGAGCAACGCCUUACAACCACAUGUAUGGAAUGGAAGCAGUUUUGUCAGCCGAGGUUGAAAUUCCUUCAUUGCGCAUACUAAUGGAGACCAAACUGGAUGAAACUGAUUGGAUUAAACAACGUCACGAGCAAUUGUCUUUGAUUGAUGAGAAAAGGUUAAAUGCCAUUUGUCAUGGUUAGUACUAUCAAAAGAGAAUGGCCCAUGCUUACAACAAGAAGGUCAAACAGCAACUAUUCGAAGAAGGAGACAGUGUUGAAACGAAUUUUGCCAGUGCAAUAGGAGACCAAAGGCAAGUUUGCACCAAAUUGGCAGGGCCCUUUUAUCGUCAAGAAGGUAUUGCCUGGUGGAGCACUUGUUCUCGCAGAAAUGGAUGGACAAGUUUUUCUUCAACCGAUCAAUUUGGCUGUGUAAGAAAUUUUUCAUCUGAUAAAUGGAAGGAAGGGUUAAUGCAAAGAAUGGAAUGAAAGUCGGGCCUUCUUUCUUUCCAAUUAAACAUUCUAUCCUUAGUUUUCUCUUUUAAACCUUUAUAAUAAAUUAUUUCGUUUGACAACCCCUGAGGAUCGCAAACUUCACACUGGGGCAAGUUUGAGUUGAAAGAAAAGGAAAGAAAAGUCUCAAGAGGUAAAAAAUGAUGGAAAAACAAAAGAAAAAGAAAAUUAAAGAAAAAAAUCUGGGUUGGAAAUAAAUUGGGGCAAUUUUAGUUUAAUCCUAAAUAGGGUUAAUAUGAAGAUGCGAUCUCAAGUGAUUUAAACACUUAUAAAAUCUGCAUUCAACUUUUAAACCUUUCUUAGCACCUCACCUGACCACAUUACAAAAAACUGAAAGUCCUAACUUCCGUUCUUUGCAUCACCUUUUUAAGGAAAUUUUCUAAUUACUUAGCAAAUGAUGUCAAUAUACCUUCACUAAAUGUGCAAGGGAAAGAUUGUCGCAUUGAUGCCAUCAUUUCUUAAAAUAAAUUUUUGAGUUGAUAAAAGCUAUCAGUAAGAUUUGUUCAUUAGGUGAAAAUCUGAAAGGGUGCCUUUUCGAAAAAGAAGAAAAAAGAAGAAAAAAAAGAAAAAAAAGAAAAAAAAAAGAAAAAGAAAAAAACAACAAAAAAAAAAGAAAAUAAAAAAGGUGGGGGUAGCCUUAGUGAAAACCCGAAAGGGCGCUAAGGCAGGAUUUUAUGAAAAAAGUGAGCAUGGAAUUGAAUGGCUUGUGACUCAGCUCAUUUGAGUUUCUCUUCACGGUUGUGGUUCUGUUGCCAGCGUUGAACUCCGGAGGGACGAUAUCCAAAGGGUCAAAUGUAGUAUUUUGUUUGAGAUCAGAGUGCUUUCGUUCGUCAAGCAUAAUCUUUUGUUUACAGGUUCAUUUCUCUAAAAAUCAAUUUUCUUCCAAUAAAGGUAAAUAGUUAUUUUUAUGUUACUGAAAUUUUCACCAUUUUGUGUAAGUAGAAUAUUUUUUCUUGUGUUUCAUAGUCUCAUUUAUCUCUUUGGAUUUAUCAAAUGACAAUCCUUGUGAUUUAUUGAAAGUGUCUGGAUACUAAAUAUCAUAUUUCAUCAACGUUGGAAGUUAUGAAAACUUGAUGCCAUAUCGCAAAGCAAAGUUGAGUUUUCGCUACAUCGGGGAAGAACGUUCAAAUACUCAUAUUUACACAUUUCUCGAAAGUGGGAUUGAUCAGCGAAUGGUGGUGGUAUUAUUUGUCGUUAUGAUUAUUUCUUUUUUGCAGGUCCAAAUGUUCAAAAACAUCACACUGGGGCAAAUAUUUUAGAAGAGUUGUCUUUUUCCAUCAGAAUUUUCGAAGUUUUACAAAAAGCAUUCUGAAAUAAUUUUUCAAAUUUUCGGCAGGCUCGGGUUUUAUCCCACUGAUCAAUUUUCGGCAGGUUCGGGUUUUAUUCCACUGACCAAUUUUAGGCAGGUUCGGCUUUUAUCCCACUGAUCAAUUUUCGGUAGACUCGAGUUUUAUCCCACUGAUCAAUUAUUACGGCAGGUUUUGGUUUCAUUCCCACUGAAGACCUUUAAAUGUUUGCUUGUUUCAGUCCGCAAUAGAAUAACUACAGGUAAGUAUUUUGUGUCUACAUCUUUGUCUCGAAUUUCUUCGAAAUUCAGACAAAGAGAAGCAAGCUGUAGACACCAAAAUUUUAAGUUUAUUUUAUUUUAUUCUAUUUCACAAAAAUGAUAUUCAGUUUUUUAUUAUUAUUUAUUUUAUUAAAUUAGGUUCAUCAUUUUUCUUUUAAAAAACAUAUUUUGCAUUAAAUUUCCAAAAAAAGAAAUUUCUCAAAAAAAUUAAUUUUUUAAUCUUUGCAAAUUCAUUUUUUUAACACUUUAUUUACUUUAAAUUUUACCUUGAAGAGUAAAAAAAAAAAGUAAAAGUACAAAAGAUAGUUAGGUGGAAUGAAUGCAAAUGAGCCAUGUGAUUUUGGCCUUUUGCAUACCCCAAUAUUUAGGGGGAGGUGGCAAGGACAUGUGGAAGAUGGGGGGAAAAAUCUGGAGCAAAAGGGAAAAAAUCUAGAGCAAAAAGAAGGAAAAAAGGCUAGAGGGACAGCGGACAAGGGGCAAGAAAAAAAAGAAAUCGAGAGAAGAGAGGAGAGAUUGAGAGAGGGUGGCGGCUGAAGAACCAAAAAAGGGAGAAACAAGAGAGAGGGGGGCGGGGAGAGAUCAAAAAAGGAAAAACAACAAAAGAGGAACAAGAAAAGAGAGCUGCGGGGGGAGGAAAAGGGAAAAAUCGAAAAGAAAAGAAGAACAGGAAAGUAGCAAAAGAAAACCAAGGAACAGAGGAGAAGCCAGAGCUACCGUCGCCCGCCGAAAUCAUCCACCAUCACCGCCGUCAAAAAAAAGCACCGUAAAACUUUGUUCCUUCCUUUCCUACGUUUGAUUUCUGCUAAUGAAUAUGUGGAACUAUGGGAAUUAUGUGACUUGUUUGUUUCUCUUCCUGUUUUGAUUAAGAUUUUACUGUCUUUAUGAGGUUUCUGUGUUGAUUUUGAUUGUGAUUUCUGUCACUGUAUGAUGGAUUUGGUUGGGUUGGUGCAAAUUUUGGGGUUGGCUAUAAUGGAAUUUUAGUAUGUGUGUUAAACAUUUGUUAAUGCAACUAACCUGUUUGAAGAAGUGCCCAAACGAAAACCUUGAACCAAAGGAAUAAAUCUCAUGAAUUUCUGUAUGCAUGUGACGAGAACUUUGGCCAGUCCAAAGCUAGCCAGAGCCUGUGAGUUCGCCAGUGGGGGGGAGAAGCCAAGAAAUUUUGAAGUUGAUUUUUCCAUUUUGCUGUUUUUUGUAUCUUACAAUGGUUUAGUGUGUAUUUGUGCGUGUGGGGUGAAGAGAGAUAACUCGAGCCAAUCCAAAGCUAGCUUGAGCCUGUGAGUUCGCCAGUGGGAUGGGGAGAAGCCAAGAAAUUUUGGAGUUGAUUUUUCCAUUUUGCUGUUUUUUGUAUCUUACAAUGGUUUAGUGUGUAUUUGUGCGUGUGGGGUGAAGAAAGAUAACUCUAGCCAAUCCAAUGCUGGCCGGAUUGACAAUUUCCAGUUUUCGGUGAAGCCUCGGUAGAGAAGAAAAUAGCAACAACAAUAUUGAAGCUCUAAUCGCUUGAAGAAGAUGACAAGUUUUAUGGGAUUGCAGCAUAACUCCCUUACUUUUCCCUUGUUUUGUAAUAUGACCCUUAAGUUCCAGUGGUUUUCAGAUUGACAUAAAAACUUUAGAUUUCUUUCAAUUAGGUCCCUAAUUUAAUUGCAAAUAGGUCCCUGAACUUUAUUUUUAUUUGAUUUUGAAUCCUGACUUUUGUAAUAAUUAUAAUUGGGCCUCAAAAACUUUCUUAAUUUUUGUAAUUAAGUCAUUGUUUGUUUGAUUUCUCAAAUAGAAGUUGCUUUUAUUUUUUAAUUAUUCAUUAUAUUCCAUUUGAAUGCCUAAAUUGAUAGAUUUCAUAUUUAUUUCCAUUUCCUUAUGGUUAUUUGUUAAUUAAAUUGGUGCCUUGAUCAUUUUUGGUUAAUUUUGGAGUUAAAUAGGGCAAAUCCAAACCCAAUUAGCUACUACUUCAAGGGGAGGUAUUUUCUUUUAUUAUUUAAAAUAUUUUAUGUGCUCCUACGUGUUUUAUGUGUAAUUGCAUGGCUUGAAUAUUUUAUUUAUUUAUUUAUUUACUUGUUUUAUUUUAAGUUUUAUAAAUUUAAUUUUGAUGAUUAUUUGAGAGGCAUUUAAAUACCAAAUUGUAAUAGAUAGGAAUUCAAGAUAUGUAUUUAGAUAGAUUAUGUAAUAGAUAGGUUUAACUCUUACCAAAAGUGUAAUAGUUAGGUUAUUAUUUUAUUCUUUCCCUCCUUUUAGAUUGUAAUUAGGCCCCGAAUGUAAUAGUUAGAUCUCUAUUUACUUUUAUUUGUUUGUGUGUUUGCAUACUUGUGUGCUUAUGUGUUAUUCGCUUUCUUAGGAUCUUUACAUCUAGAUAUUAUGUUUAUGUGUUAUGUGUUCUAUGUGCAUUAUGUGUUUGUUUGUUUUAAUUGUACUUUAUAUGAUCUAUUUAGUUAUAAUAAAAGCAUGACGUCACUGCACUAGUCCAAUACUAGUUGUAGUCUUUCUUCCCCGAUUUCUCACUAGUCCAACGCUAGUGAGAACUUAUAGACAUGAGCUAGUCCAAUGCUAGACCCUUAGGGACCGCCUACGUGCUAGAUCAUGUUUGUGUGACAAUCACUACAUUUCAUACACAUUUUCUACUUUUUAGGAUCUUUACCAUUUUUGCAUGAUAUUUCCUCUAUAUGUACAUCCAUUAUCCCUAUGUGUGCAACAUGACAAGUAGACUUGCAUUCCAUUUAAGAAAAUUAGAACUAGAUUAGAUCAUUUGCUUGAUUAGAUAAGAGAGUCAUCCUUUAAAAUAUGGGAUAUGGACAAGUAUGGCUCCUUAGCCUUAGCACGCUCGUAUCUCCUCUAUAAAAAGGAAAAUCUAGUCAUGAAUCUUAGUUUCCCACACCCAUUAUGUUGCAUUCCUCUUUUUUAGGUCACAUAUACUUAUAUAUUAUAAUUUUUUUUUCUUCAAGUCGCACUCUUUGCAUAUUCGUGACCUCUUCUAAGAGUCAUUUUUGUGGCGACCCCACUUCCCCCUAAGGCGAACCAAAGGGUUGGCGGGCCGUCUGCCCAACUCUCGCCAGGACUCACGCAAGCAUUCUAGCUUAAAAUCCUCCAGGGAUUAACCUAAACUACUACAAAAAUAAUUCUUCCGAAAUAAAUCAAUUUCUAUCACCUCAUUAGCUUCAAAGAUAACGGCAUACAACUUAGCCAAACGACGGCUCUUAACCACUUCACACGUUACUCGCAAGGUUAAAGACAUACUAUACUAAUAAAAACAUACAAACCGAAUAUUAGAAUUUGGGAUUACAUUUUUCCAGCUUCAAGUGGCAACCAAAAUAAAAGGUACAGUACUUAACGUAGAAUUCAUUACAAACCGAAAUCUAAAUUCAAGUUAUUCAAAUACAUUCAUAGGAAAUAUAAGCAGCUCAAAUUCUUUCAACUUCCAGACCUGUAAGGAAAACAAAUAAACGUGGGGUGAGCUAAAGCUCAGUGGUGCCCCAAAACAUGCAUUCACGUAAAUCAAACAGCGAGAAAUAACUUAAACAAAUUGAACAGUUAGGAAAGCGUAUAACAACACAAGGUAGGAUACAGGGGCUCUCAGGAGCCAUUUUCCUCGCUUGAUCGCCGUUCAUCGUAGUUGACCCUCCGUCAACUCUCACUACUUAUAGUCCAUGUAGAUCCACUCAUUUUAAUCCUAACCCGUCACCAUUCAUACCCCGGUCCCGGGCCCGAACGUCGACUAAGGACGCAGUAUACUCGAGAUAUACCCGUAGAUAAUUUGUCGAGGGAUUCACCCAACGACGUUAUUGUAGUUAGAUUCACGUGCCGAGGGAUUCACCCAACGACGUAACUACAUUUGGAUUCAAGGAUUCAUGAGAAAAAUGAUUCACGCAAGUCACCACUCGAACGGCUAGUGCGAUAAAGUACACACUGCUCACUUCGAUGGAUCAAAAACUAGUUUUACAAAUUAUCACAUAUCGAGUCAAGAAAGCACUUUAACCAAGUAAGCAUAGAACAGGCAGAGACACUCACCAAGAGUGGAGUUCAGAUAUCAAGUUGAGAAUCGAAUUCCGCGUCCUCGCAAAAUCCUAAAAACCAAAUUUUGAAACUAUAAGUUUCUAUUCAGUUUUUCAGCUUAUACACGCAGAGGUAUACUUAAUAUAUUACUAGUUUACUACCCUUAGAAAAAUUAGGAAUCUACUUAGGUUGAAAUUUGACAAACUUAGAAGAAAUGUUUCUUAUAGUUUUCCGUAAGAUACUCUUCCUUAUAAAGGGUAACUAGUAUCAUUUUCUUGAAAUAAGUCGGCAAAACUCUUAACAACAAUGUUAGAAAGUUACUUUGAACAUUUCUCUAAAGUUACGGCUUUUGCAAAAAUUAUCCUUAAAAACUAUUUUUCUUAAAAUAGGGUUUCUUGCCGAGCAAGUCUCCCAAGCUUUUCACUAAAAUUAGUAAAGCUCGUAUUUUGGAACUUUUCCUAUAGUUAACUAUCCAAGUGCAAAGCUUAAAGAAAGAAAAAGAAUUAAAAUAAGACUUAGAGUUUUCAAAAGCUAUAGAACUUAUUUACUAUAGCUAUCAAGGCUAGAUUGAGCUAAAGAAAAUUAUCGAGUUGGAAAGUUUUAGGCAAAACACUAGAUAUGGAGUUUUAUAAUAUAAUACUAGCUGGAAAAUAUUUUUGAUUAAUUUUUUAUCGCAGCUACUCGAGUUCGCAAGAUCGAUACAACUUCCACAGCUCCGAUUCCGUUUCGAAAUCAUAUUAUGGAUCAAAAUAUGGCAAAAAUUCACAUAGCAAAUUACUAGGGCUUCGUCAAUCAUUAGCCCUAGAUUUCAACAAGUGCAUCUCUGAAUAAAAUAAAAUGAUCAACCAAGGCUUCAUCAAUCAUUAGCACUUGGUCUCAGCAAGCCCAUCAUGAGCAAAUAAAAAUAAAGGUAAAGCCUCCAAGACAUUCCAGCAAUUAACUUUCAUCACCCUGUAGUACUUAUAAAAUUAUUCAAAUGGCCAAGGGCUUCGUCAAUCAUUAGCCCCUAGCACCCAUCCAGUAAUUCUUGUAGCAACAAGGCUAACAAUUCAAAUGUUUAAAUUUACUAACAGGUAUUUAAAGUCAAGAACCAAAUUUUCAACGACUUCAUACUCAAGAAAUUGUUCCACAGCCACACUUCACUAUCUCCGAUUUAUUCUCCCAAGAUAGCGAGAGUUUCACAUCCAUAUAUCUUAUAAACUUUAAAACAACUUGUUCCAGAUAUUGCAACCAUUAUGAUUUCAAAGAAUAAUUUCACUUUCAAGCUGGAAAUUCUUACUCAAGCUUUGGCAACUACAAGGAAAAUUUCCAGCAUUCGUAUACCCACGUUUUUGGUUAAAUCAUUCGCGAUAUCAAAUGUUUCAUUGCUAAACAACAUGUAUAUCUUAAAAUACACCCUUUUUCUGUGUUUCGAAACCAUUUUAUGCCAAGGAAAAUAUUCAAACAUCAACUAGUGAAAUUCGGAAACAAUUCAAUAUUUUCUGCUCAAACGUUUGGUUAGCUAAAUUUUCCAGCAACCAUUUAUCUUGUAUAAAAUUCUUCCUUGGCUUAUUCAGGGAUUUAAAUACUCAAAUUCAACAUACAACUACUUAACUAACUGACUAACAUUUUUGGUUCAAGAAUUAAAUUCGAACAACAACAAGAGUCUUCAAAUUAAAUUCCAGCUAGCCUCGGUUGAAAUCUGCACAGAAACUGAUUGCAUUUUUCUUUUUGUUUUCUGUUCUAACUCAACCAAUUAACUACAUGCGUAGCUUAAUCAUCUUGUCAUUUACUAGUUAGUCAUGGUUAGAGGCUUAAAACAGCAAGAUUAUUCCACAUGAAACUAUAUUAUUCAAAACAACUCUCGGCAGAAAUUUUCUACAUCAAAACAGAAUUUUUCCUUGUACAUUAAAACCACAUUAAAACCUUGUAUUUUGCCCUUAAUUCUCACAUGCAUAAUUACUAAGUUAAUUAACUAUCAUUCCAGACCAGAAAUCAGUUCGGCAACAGCAAUAUACAUUCAUAACUCCAGAAUUUUGUGCAACUUCUACUCGGUGAGCUUGCAUGUGAAGAAUUCUGUUUCAUAUCUUAUUUUCCAGAGUAAUCCAGGCUAAUUAAUUUCAUGCAUGACUUUAUCAUCUUGUUUUCAGGUGAUUAAACACAAUUCCACCUCUGAUCAUCCCACAAUUUACGAAUUACAGUUACAACAUUCAAGCUCAAGCUCACGGCAGUCCCAUUCUUUUUCCCAACCAAUUUCUGGUAGCUUAUCAUCAAAUUAACACAUAGCUAGAUACAUCAUCCGAGCUUAAAGACCUCACAUGCAAGUCCAAAGCUUGCUUAUACUACCUCUGAUUAACCAUUUUACAGUCCAGAAAUUUACCUCACUGGAUGCUCACUCACUCGACAAGAUGCUGAAGUCUGACCCUCUCUCUCGGCUCUUGUCCUCACGCACAGGUAGGUUGGUUCUGGUUGGGUUGUAGGGGUUGCAGCUGGUGAUGGUGGAAGCUGGUUAGCAACCGGCUGAGUUUGGAGAAUGCAGAGGAAAGUUUGCUCACAGUUUCUCCUCCUCUCCUCCCUCUUCGAUACUUGCGGACAGAACCAGAAAUGGAAAUGCAGCUCUCAGCUUCCUCCCUCACUCUCGGCUAUAUGGUGCAGCUCACCUUCCUUCACUCUCGGUCGAUGAUAACAAUGUGGAGGUGGAGUGUUUGUGAGGUUUAAGUGUGCAGGUGGUAAAGAUGAGCAUUGGCCGGAUGGAGAGGUGCAAGAUCAUUGUGUUCGAGGGAGUGUUUGGCGUUGCGUGGAAUGGUUAUGGCCGUGGGGUGUUUUUGUGAAAUUGCGAGGGUAGUUUAGUCUUUUCACUUCUCCUCCUAUUAUCCACUUAAGUCCUUAGCUCUAACUUAACUCCAAAAAUUAUCCCCAAGUGUGAUUUGAACGCCUAAUGAUUCGCUAAUCUUGCAAGGCUUUGAUUAUCGGAAUUUUUUUUUACGACUUAAGUAUGGUUAGAAUACUUGUAUUGUUUUUAUCUAGAAUUUAUCGGUUGCAAAAUAAUAUUAAGGUUUCUAUCUGCACUUAACCUUAUUCGAAAAUAAAAUUAGCUAUUGAAAAUUAAAGAAUUAUUUUUAAGGAGUAAACUUAAUAUAACUCAAGAAUUAUUAACUUAGUGAAGCAAAGCUAAGUGCUUUAAUAGCUAACACCGUUAUAAUAUUUUGCACAUAAAAGUUAUUUUUAAUUUACUUAUUUAAAACAAAUGAAAUAAUGUUAUAGAUUAGAAUAAGAACUACGGAUGAAAUAUGCACUAGUAUAUAAAAGCGAGUGAAAGUAAUACUAGAAAAGAUUAAGAAAUACGAAUGCUAAAUAAAAGUGAAAUUGAAGUAUGCAUUGAUAUUUAUCUGCAAAAUUCAAGGUUCUCACAUCCUCCCCUCCUUACAAUGAAUUUUGUCCUCAAAAUUCACACAUUCUGGAUAAAUAAAUCGGGGUACUUUUUCUGCAUUUUUUCUUCUAACUCCCACGUUGCUUCCUCGAGUCCAUGAUUCUUCCAUAGAAUCUUCACCAGAGGAAUUUCCUUAUUUCUCAGUUCAUUCAUUUCUCUCUCCAAAAUCCUGACCGGUCCUUCUUCAUACGUUAACGUUUCAUGCACCUCAAUUCCUUCUAGUGGCAACACGUGACUUGGAUCAGGAUAAUAUUUCCUAAGCAUGGAAACAUAAAAUACAUCGUGAAUCUUAGCCAUGCUUGCAGGCAACUUCAAUUGAUACGCUACUAACCCAACUCUCUUCAAAAUUUCGAAAGGUCCGAUAUACCUUGGUUUCAGCUUCUUACCUUUCUUAGACACUACUCCGCCCUUCAAGGGUUUAAUUCUGAGGAAAACCUUGUCUCCUACUUCGAAUUCCAAAUCUUUCCUCCUUGUGUCGGCGUAGCUCUUUUGUCUACUCUGAGCAACUUGAAGCCUUUCUCUAAUUAGUUUUACUUUCUCCUGGGCUUCUUCUAUCCAAGGUAUAGCUGUAGGAUCUACGAUUUUCUUUUCUCCAACUUCAUCCAAAUGAAUCGGAGAUCGACACCUUCUUCCAUACAAAGUCUCAUAAGGUGCCAUUUGAAUCGAAGCCUGAUAGCUGUUAUUAUAUGCAAAUUCCACUAAGGUCAUAUAUUGGCUCCACUUACCUCCAAAAUCCAGUAUACACGACCUCAGUAGAUCCUCCAGAGUUUGAAUUGUCCUUUCCGACUGCCCGUCGGUUUGGGGAUGGUACGCAGUACUAAACUUCAACUUGGUCCCCAAAGAGUCCUGAAAUUUCUGCCAAAAACGCGAGACGAAUCUUGGGUCUCGAUCAGACACAAUACUCACUGGAAUACCAUGUAACCUUAGGAUCUCUUCUGUGUACAACUUGACCAAUUUCUCCAAUGAAAAACUCAUGCUUACAGGUAAGAAGUGUGCAGAUUUAGUGAGUCGAUCGACUAUUACCCAAAUUGCAUCAAAACCUUUUUGACUUUUAGGUAGUCCCGUUACAAAAUCCAUUGUUAUGUGUUCCCAUUUCCAUUCAGGGAUUUCUAACGGUUGCAAUAAACCAGAGGGCUUUUGAUGUUCAGCUUUUACUUGUUGGCAGAUCAAGCAUCUUUGUACAAACGCUGCCACGUCCUUUUUCAAACCUUCCCACCAGUAUAAUCCCUUCACAUCGUGGUACAUCUUGAUCACACCUGGGUGUAUAGUAUACUUCGACCGAUGUGAUUCUUCUAGAAUUCCUUUCCUUAGCUCCUCAUCUGCCGGAAUCACAAUUCGAUCUCGAAACCUCAAUACCCCUUCAGGCCCUAAUUUGAAGUCUAGGGUUUCCCCUUUUUGCACUUUUUCCAGAUUCUUCCGAAUCAUAGGGUCUAUUUUCUGGGCCUCCUUAAUACGCUCUAGUAACGGUGACUUCAAUGAUAAGUUCCCAAAUAAAACCUUCAAUUUCUCCAAGCGAGGGUUCCAACCACUUAAUUCCUCUAACAUAUCCCACUCUUUUACCAUUAACCCUGCUACUUGGGCCUUCCUACUAAGAGCGUCAGCCACCACAUUGGCUUUUCCUGGAUGGUAAUUAAUCGAGCAGUCAUAAUCUUCCAGAAAUUCUACCCAUCGCCUUUGUCUCAAAUUCAGUUCCUUUUGGGAGAACAAGUACUUGAGGCUCUUAUGGUCCGUAUAAACUUCAAAAGUCACGCCGUACAAGUAGUGUCUCCAUUUCUUCAAGGCGAAAAUUACUGCGGCUAGUUCUAGGUCAUGAGUUGGGUAGUUUUGUUCGUGGGGUUUCAAUCUCCUAGAAGCAUAGGCAACUACCUUACCCAUUUGCAUUAAGACACAUCCCAGACCUUCUCUGGAAGCAUCAGAAUAUACAGCAUAACCUUCACCUCCAUCGGGUAAAACCAAAAUGGGAGCGGAUGUUAACCGCUUCUUUAGUUCCUGAAAACUUGACUCGCACUUCGGAGUCCAGACAAAGUUAGCCCCUUUCUUGGUUAGCUCAGUCAUAGGUCCUGCAAUUUUCGAGAAAUCCUGAAUAAAUCGCCUAUAAUAACCUGCUAAACCCAAGAAACUUCUAACUUCAGUUGGAGUUUCUGGUUGUUUCCAAUUCAUAACGGCCUCAACCUUUGCCGGAUCCACGGCAAUUCCACCUUCAGAAACUCUGUGCCCUAGAAAAGAUAUUUCAGUCAACCAAAACUCACACUUACUGAAUUUGGCAUACAGCUUAUGUUCUCUUAGUAUCUGCAAAACCACCUCUAAAUGCUUAGCAUGCUCCUCUCGAGUCUUAGAGUAAAUCAGGAUAUCAUCUAUGAAAACCACUACAAACUGAUCUAGAUACUUCUUAAAAAUUCUCUGCAUCAGGUCCAUGAAAGCAGCUGGUGCGUUGGUUAAUCCAAAAGGCAUGACUGCGAACUCAAAAUGUCCAUAUCUCGUACUAAAAGCAGUCUUAGGUAUAUCUUCCUUCUUGAUCUUCAACUGAUAGUACCCUUGCUUUAAAUCCAGCUUAGAGAAGACCACUGACCCUUGCAGUUGGUCGAAUAAGCUAUCAAUCAACGGUAGAGGGUAUUUAUUCUUAAUUGUAACCUCAUUUAACCCUCGGUAAUCGAUACAUAACCUCAAGCUUCCAUCGUUUUUCUUAACGAAUAGGACGGGUGCUCCCCAAGGUGAAUCACUCUCCUUCACAAAACCCUUCUCCAACAGAUCCUGUAAUUGAAUUUUCAAUUCUUUUAGCUCGGCAGGAGCCAUUCGAUAUGGGGUCUUAGAAAUUGGAGCCGUUCCAGGUAUCAAGUCAAACUUAAAUUCCACUUCCCUUUCCGGGGGUAGAGUCCUUAGCUCUUCGGGAAAAACAUCCGGAAAUUCCCGUACCACUGGUACAUCCUCCAGCUUCACUUGAUCACUGGGAGCGUUUAUCAAGAAAGCUAGGAAACCUUGCGCUCCUUUAGACAACAUUUUCCUUGCUCGGAUUCCUGAGAUCAUAGCAGAUGAUGCUAACCUACCCUUGACAUCUAACCUCAGGGUUACUUCACCAGGUAUACAAAAUUCCACCACUUUCGCUCGGCAGUCAAGUUUAGCAUGGUGAUGGCCUAGAAAAUCCAUUCCUAUUAUAACAUCGUAACCUUUUUAUGUCCAGACUGAUCAAAUCCACUAGCAUUUUACGCUCUCCAAUCCAGAAUUCACAAUUCUUAUAAGCCAGACUAGUGAUUACAUUCUUAUUACCCAUGGGUGCCCUAACUUCAAGAUCGAAGGGUAAUCUAAUAGGUUGCACAUCUAUUCCAGACAUAAAAGAUGGAUUUACGAAUGAAUGGGUUGCACCAGGGUCAAUUAACACUUUAACUAAUCGAUGAAAAAUCGGAAGUGUACCUUCCACCACUUCCGAGGAAUCAGGUACAGGUUGGUCACCUAUAGCAUACACUCUGGCAGGAACUGUCGGCCGGCUCCCUCCAGAAGUGUUUGGUCUAGCGUUCGAAGUAGUCCCUUCCUGCAUUUUUGGACAUCCAGAAAUUUGGUGCUCGCUACUUCCACAUUUCAAGCACUUUCCUUGCCUCUUCCAGCAGUCAUCCAUAGUAUGACCAGGUUUCUUACAAUAUGCACAAGUCAUUUGGGGAAUUAUGGCUCGGCCUCCUUGCGAGGUAUUCCUAGGUUGUGCUCUUCCAAUCGGUCCCCCUCUAGUUCCAUUGUUUCUUCCCCCUGCAUUCCUUGCCCCGGUUCCCCUUGCUAAUGCACCUCGCGGUGCUCCGGGACUAGUCACUCCGCCUGUACGUCGGCCCACUUUAGCCGGUGGAGUAUUUCCAUACGUCGGCUCUCGACUACUGCUGGGGGCAAAUUUUUUCUUAGCUUGAAAAGAUUUCACUUGAGCUCUAGCUACUUCAACUCUCUGAGCUCUUUCGACAGCAUCUGCGAAAGUAUCUAUCCUUACGGCGGCUAAACUUUCCUGUAGUUCCACAUUCAAACCCUGCACAAACCUCCGAACACGCCUUUGCUCGGUGGCUAUCAACUCAGGUGCAAAGCGGGAUAGCUUUGUGAACUGGAUUUCAUAUUCGGCGACACUCAUCGCCCCUUGCUUGCAUCUAAUGAAAUCAUCCUCUCUCUUCUCUUGAAUGAGAGGUGGAAGGAAUUUGGCAUUGAACUCCCUUGUGAAGUUCACCCAAGUCCUUGGUGUAUGAUUAGUCUCCCAAUGAACCCUCAUUAGGUUCCACCAGGAGCGAGCAGCUCCCUCAAACUGGAAGGUGGCAAAAGUCACCUUUCGCUCCUCCGUAUAGUUUAAGGCGGUGAAGAUCUCAGUGAUCCUCUCCCACCAGCCUUCAGCCACUUCCGGCUCGGGUCCUCCGUAGAACUUGGGAGAUCCAAACUUCAGGAACCUCUCCACUGCCCGAUCAUCGGAACCAACUGGGCCCCCUGAUGACGCACUGGUCCAGUGGCUUGGUUUUCAGUCAAGCGCUCUAGAACGUCAGUGAUACGGUUAAUAGCGGUGGCCACUCCAUCUCCGGCCCCGCCCUCUUGCCCUUGGUCUGGAUUGACCUCGGGUUCCCUAUCUCUACCCGCUUCCGGGUGUUGUCUAGUGGGUCUCCCGCGGUCCCUUCCUAUCACUUGGCGAUCCAUAGUCUAAAUUAUGCCUAUUAUGGAAGGAUAAGGCGAUUAGGCGAAGUAUUAUUUAUUUAUAAUUAUUAUUAUUUCCUUAGUAAAUAAAAUCAAUAUGGAAAUGGAGGAAAAAGUAAGUAAAACACUUAACAUGUAUUUCUAAGUGAAAGUCAUACAAAUAAUAAGUUGGGACAUUUCCAAAAGUAAGGCACAUGACUAGCAAAAAUACAUACAAAUAGUCCCUUAAACAAAAAUUAGGGAUAUGGUGCCUCCGAAGCAAGUCAUCCACCUAGACAAAACUUGAUGACCUAGCUAAUGUCCCCCUAUUCUAAACCUACAUAUCCAAUAUGGUCGAAUCGAUCCAAGCCUAACCCUCAGCAGGGCUAUCGGGAGCUAUGUCCUCCUCCGGAUCCUCCUCCGGGUCCUCCUCCGGGUCCUCCUGCUCAACACUCUGAAGGAUACCCGUGGCCUCAUCUAUCAUCAUCACGGCAUCAGCCCUGAUACCGACACUCCUAUCACGUAUCCUCUCGGCCAAUCGAGUCACCCUCGCUCUCUGACGCGCUAUCUCUACGCGAGCAGCCUCCAGCCUAGCAUGCUCCGCUGCUACCCUCUGCUCUAACUCCGCUAUGCGGUCGAACUGAGUGUCCACCAUGAUACUCAGCUCCUCUACGUCCUGAGACAAAGUGAAGUUAGCGUCCCUCAGCUGGCGACGCUCAUCAUCCAGGGAUAGUACUAGCUCAUUGGGGUAGGCAUAAGUGGCCCUACACUGACACCGAGGAUGCCUAUCAGCUGGGGUGUAACGUAUAUGAGCUCCUCCGCCACGUGGCCUAUAAGAGAUGGACCUAAGAGGCUCUAUAUGUCCGUUAGACGCUCCAUUACCAUAAGCAUGCCCAUUACCGUUCUCCAUACCUGCAAAAUAAUUAAAGCUUAGAGGUUAGAACUUAAAUAGCUAAUCGAAUCGGUAUUACUUAAGAUGUAUCUAAUGGUCUCGAUUCUUACUUCUAGAAGGAUCAGGAUUUCUAGCUCGUAUAGUAUAUCUCUCAAAUAACUUUUCUAACCUAGGCUCUGAUACCACCUGUGGCGACCCCACUUCCCCCUAAGGCGAACUAAAGGGUUAGCGGGCCGUCUGCCCAGCUCUCGCCAGGACUCACGCAAGCAUUCUAGCUUAAAAUCCUCCAGGGAUUAACCUAAACUACUACAAAAAUAAUUCUUCCGAAAUAAAUCAAUUUCUAUCACCUCAUUAGCUUCAAAGAUAACGGCAUACAACUUAGCCAAACGACGGCUCUUAACCACUUCACACGUUACUCGCAAGGUUAAAGACAUACUAUACUAAUAAAAACAUACAAACCGAAUAUUAGAAUUUGGGAUUACAUUUUUCCAGCUUCAAGUGGCAACCAAAAUAAAAGGUACAGUACUUAACGUAGAAUUCAUUACAAACCGAAAUCUAAAUUCAAGCUAUUCAAAUACAUUCAUAGGAAAUAUAAGCAGCUCAAAUUCUUUCAACUUCCAGACCUGUAAGGAAAACAAAUAAACGUGGGGUGAGCUAAAGCUCAGUGAUGCCCCAAAACAUGCAUUCACGUAAAUCAAACAGCGAGAAAUAACUUAAACAAAUUGAACAGUUAGGAAAGCGUAUAACAACACAAGGUAGGAUACAGGGGCUCUCAGGAGCCAUUUUCCUCGCUUGAUCGCCGUUCAUCGUAGUUGACCUUCCGUCAACUCUCACUACUUAUAGUCCAUGUAGAUCCACUCAUUUUAAUCCUAACCCGUCACCAUUCAUACCCCGGUCCCGGGCCCGAACGUCGACUAAGGACGCAGUAUACUCGAGAUAUACCCGUAGAUAAUUUGUCGAGGGAUUCACCCAACGACGUUAUUGUAGUUAGAUUCACGUGCCGAGGGAUUCACCCAACGACGUAACUACAUUUGGAUUCAAGGAUUCAUGAGAAAAAUGAUUCACGCAGGUCACCACUCGAACGGCUAGUGCGAUAAAGUACACACUGCUCACUUCGAUGGAUCAAAAACUAGUUUUGCAAAUUAUCACAUAUCGAGUCAAGAAAGCACUUUAACCAAGUAAGCAUAGAACAGGCAGAGACACUCACCAAGAGUGGAGUUCAGAUAUCAAGUUGAGAAUCGAAUUCCGCGUCCUCGCAAAAUCCUAAAAACCAAAUUUUGAAACUAUAAGUUUCUAUUCAGUUUUUAAGCUUAUACACGCAGAGGUAUACUUAAUAUAUUACUAGUUUACUACCCUUAGAAAAAUUAGGAAUCUACUUAGGUUGAAAUUUGACAAACUUAGAAGAAAUGUUUCUUAUAGUUUUCCGUAAGAUACUCUUCCUUAUAAAGGGUAACUAGUAUCAUUUUCUUGAAAUAAGUCGGCAAAACUCUUAACAACAAUGUUAGAAAGUUACUUUGAACAUUUCUCUAAAGUUACGGCUUUUGCAAAAAUUAUCCUUAAAAACUAUUUUUCUUAAAAUAGGGUUUCUUGCCGAGCAAGUCUCCCAAGCUUUUCACUAAAAUUAGUAAAACUCGUAUUUUGGAACUUUUCCUAUAGUUAACUAUCCAAGUGCAAAGCUUAAAGAAAGAAAAAGAAUUAAAAUAAGACUUAGAGUUUUCAAAAGCUAUAGAACUUAUUUACUAUAGCUAUCAAGGCUAGAUUGAGCUAAAGAAAAUUAUCGAGUUGGAAAGUUUUAGGCAAAACACUAGAUAUGGAGUUUUAUAAUAUAAUACUAGCUGGAAAAUAUUUUUGAUUAAUUUUUUAUCGCAGCUACUCGAGUUCGCAAGAUCGAUACAACUUCCACAGCUCCGAUUCCGUUUCGAAAUCAUAUUAUGGAUCAAAAUAUGGCAAAAAUUCACAUAGCAAAUUACUAGGGCUUCGUCAAUCAUUAGCCCUAGAUUUCAACAAGUGCAUCUCUGAAUAAAAUAAAAUGAUCAACCAAGGUUUCAUCAAUCAUUAGCACUUGGUCUCAGCAAGCCCAUCAUGAGCAAAUAAAAAUAAAGGUAAAGCCUCCAAGACAUUCCAGCAAUUAACUUUCAUCACCCUGUAGUACUUAUAAAAUUAUUCAAAUGGCCAAGGGCUUCGUCAAUCAUUAGCCCCUAGCACCCAUCCAGUAAUUCUUGUAGCAACAAGGCUAACAAUUCAAAUGUUUAAAUUUACUAACAGGUAUUUAAAGUCAAGAACCAAAUUUUCAACGACUUCAUACUCAAGAAAUUGUUCCACAGCCACACUUCACUAUCUCCGAUUUAUUCUCCCAAGAUAGCGAGAGUUUCACAUCCAUAUAUCUUAUAAACUUUAAAACAACUUGUUCCAGAUAUUGCAACCAUUAUGAUUUCAAAGAAUAAUUUCACUUUCAAGCUGGAAAUUCUUACUCAAGCUUUGGCAACUACAAGGAAAAUUUCCAGCAUUCGUAUACCCACGUUUUUGGUUAAAUCAUUCGCGAUAUCAAAUGUUUCAUUGCUAAACAACAUGUAUAUCUUAAAAUACACCCUUUUUCUGUGUUUCGAAACCAUUUUAUGCCAAGGAAAAUAUUCAAACAUCAACUAGUGAAAUUCGGAAACAAUUCAAUAUUUUCUGCUCAAACGUUUGGUUAGCUAAAUUUUCCAGCAACCAUUUAUCUUGUAUAAAAUUCUUCCUUGGCUUAUUCAGGGAUUUAAAUACUCAAAUUCAACAUACAACUACUUAACUAACUGACUAACAUUUUUGGUUCAAGAAUUAAAUUCGAACAACAACAAGAGUCUUCAAAUUAAAUUCCAGCUAGCCUCGGUUGAAAUCUGCACAGAAACUGAUUGCAUUUUUCUUUUUGUUUUCUGUUCUAACUCAACCAAUUAACUACAUGCGUAGCUUAAUCAUCUUGUCAUUUACUAGUUAGUCAUGGUUAGAGGCUUAAAACAGCAAGAUUAUUCCACAUGAAACUAUAUUAUUCAAAACAACUCUCGGCAGAAAUUUUCUACAUCAAAACAGAAUUUUUCCUUGUACAUUAAAACCACAUUAAAACCUUGUAUUUUGCCCUUAAUUCUCACAUGCAUAAUUACUAAGUUAAUUAACUAUCAUUCCAGACCAGAAAUCAGUUCGGCAACAGCAAUAUACAUUCAUAACUCCAGAAUUUUGUGCAACUUCUACUCGGUGAGCUUGCAUGUGAAGAAUUCUGUUUCAUAUCUUAUUUUCCAGAGUAAUCCAGGCUAAUUAAUUUCAUGCAUGACUUUAUCAUCUUGUUUUCAGGUGAUUAAACACAAUUCCACCUCUGAUCAUCCCACAAUUUACGAAUUACAGCUACAACAUUCAAGCUCAAGCUCACGGCAGUCCCAUUCUUUUUCCCAACCAAUUUCUGGUAGCUUAUCAUCAAAUUAACACAUAGCUAGAUACAUCAUCCGAGCUUAAAGACCUCACAUGCAAGUCCAAAGCUUGCUUAUACUACCUCUGAUUAACCAUUUUACAGUCCAGAAAUUUACCUCACUGGAUGCUCACUCACUCGACAAGAUGCUGAAGUCUGACCCUCUCUCUCGGCUCUUGUCCUCACGCACAGGUAGGUUGGUUCUGGUUGGGUUGUAGGGGUUGCAGCUGGUGAUGGUGGAAGCUGGUUAGCAACCGGCUGAGCUUGGAGAAUGCAGAGGAAAGUUUGCUCACAGUUUCUCCUCCUCUCCUCCCUCUUCGAUACUUGCGGACAGAACCAGAAAUGGAAAUGCAGCUCUCAGCUUCCUCCCUCACUCUCGGCUAUAUGGUGCAGCUCACCUUCCUUCACUCUCGGUCGAUGAUAACAAUGUGGAGGUGGAGUGUUUGUGAGGUUUAAGUGUGCAGGUGGUAAAGAUGAGCAUUGGCCGGAUGGAGAGGUGCAAGAUCAUUGUGUUCGAGGGAGUGUUUGGCGUUGCGUGGAAUGGUUAUGGCCGUGGGGUGUUUUUGUGAAAUUGCGAGGGUAGUUUAGUCUUUUCACUUCUCCUCCUAUUAUCCACUUAAGUCCUUAGCUCUAACUUAACUCCAAAAAUUAUCCCCAAGUGUGAUUUGAACGCCUAAUGAUUCGCUAAUCUUGCAAGGCUUUGAUUAUCGGAAUUUUUUUUUACGACUUAAGUAUGGUUAGAAUACUUGUAUUGUUUUUAUCUAGAAUUUAUCGGUUGCAAAAUAAUAUUAAGGUUUCUAUCUGCACUUAACCUUAUUCGAAAAUAAAAUUAGCUAUUGAAAAUUAAAGAAUUAUUUUUAAGGAGUAAACUUAAUAUAACUCAAGAAUUAUUAACUUAGUGAAGCAAAGCUAAGUGCUUUAAUAGCUAACACCGUUAUAAUAUUUUGCACAUAAAAGUUAUUUUUAAUUUACUUAUUUAAAACAAAUGAAAUAAUGUUAUAGAUUAGAAUAAGAACUACGGAUGAAAUAUGCACUAGUAUAUAAAAGCGAGUGAAAGUAAUACUAGAAAAGAUUAAGAAAUACGAAUGCUAAAUAAAAGUGAAAUUGAAGUAUGCAUUGAUAUUUAUCUGCAAAAUUCAAGGUUCUCACAUCCUCCCCUCCUUACAAUGAAUUUUGUCCUCAAAAUUCACACAUUCUGGAUAAAUAAAUCGGGGUACUUUUUCUGCAUUUUUUCUUCUAACUCCCACGUUGCUUCCUCGAGUCCAUGAUUCUUCCAUAGAAUCUUCACCAGAGGAAUUUCCUUAUUUCUCAGUUCAUUCAUUUCUCUCUCCAAAAUCCUGACCGGUCCUUCUUCAUACGUUAACGUUUCAUGCACCUCAAUUCCUUCUAGUGGCAACACGUGACUUGGAUCAGGAUAAUAUUUCCUAAGCAUGGAAACAUAAAAUACAUCGUGAAUCUUAGCCAUGCUUGCAGGCAACUUCAAUUGAUACGCUACUAACCCAACUCUCUUCAAAAUUUCGAAAGGUCCGAUAUACCUUGGUUUCAGCUUCUUACCUUUCUUAGACACUACUCCGCCCUUCAAGGGUUUAAUUCUGAGGAAAACCUUGUCUCCUACUUCGAAUUCCAAAUCUUUCCUCCUUGUGUCGGCGUAGCUCUUUUGUCUACUCUGAGCAACUUGAAGCCUUUCUCUAAUUAGUUUUACUUUCUCCUGGGCUUCUUCUAUCCAAGGUAUAGCUGUAGGAUCUACGAUUUUCUUUUCUCCAACUUCAUCCAAAUGAAUCGGAGAUCGACACCUUCUUCCAUACAAAGUCUCAUAAGGUGCCAUUUGAAUCGAAGCCUGAUAGCUGUUAUUAUAUGCAAAUUCCACUAAGGUCAUAUAUUGGCUCCACUUACCUCCAAAAUCCAGUAUACACGACCUCAGUAGAUCCUCCAGAGUUUGAAUUGUCCUUUCCGACUGCCCGUCAGUUUGGGGAUGGUACGCAGUACUAAACUUCAACUUGGUCCCCAAAGAGUCCUGAAAUUUCUGCCAAAAACGCGAGACGAAUCUUGGGUCUCGAUCAGACACAAUACUCACUGGAAUACCAUGUAACCUUAGGAUCUCUUCUGUGUACAACUUGACCAAUUUCUCCAAUGAAAAACUCAUGCUUACAGGUAAGAAGUGUGCAGAUUUAGUGAGUCGAUCGACUAUUACCCAAAUUGCAUCAAAACCUUUUGACUUUUAGGUAGUCCCGUUACAAAAUCCAUUGUUAUGUGUUCCCAUUUCCAUUCAGGGAUUUCUAACGGUUGCAAUAAACCAGAGGGCUUUUGAUGUUCAGCUUUUACUUGUUGGCAGAUCAAGCAUCUUUGUACAAACGCUGCCACGUCCUUUUUCAAACCUUCCCACCAGUAUAAUCCCUUCACAUCGUGGUACAUCUUGGUCACACCUGGGUGUAUAGUAUACUUCGACCGAUGUGAUUCUUCUAGAAUUCCUUUCCUUAGCUCCUCAUCUGCCGGAAUCACAAUUCGAUCUCGAAACCUCAAUACCCCUUCAGGCCCUAAUUUGAAGUCUAGGGUUUCCCCUUUUUGCACUUUUUCCAGAUUCUUCCGAAUCAUAGGGUCUAUUUUCUGGGCCUCCUUAAUACGCUCUAGUAACGGUGACUUCAAUGAUAAGUUCCCAAAUAAAACCUUCAAUUUCUCCAAGCGAGGGUUCCAACCACUUAAUUCCUCUAACAUAUCCCACUCUUUUACCAUUAACCCUGCUACUUGGGCCUUCCUACUAAGAGCGUCAGCCACCACAUUGGCUUUUCCUGGAUGGUAAUUAAUCGAGCAGUCAUAAUCUUCCAGAAACUCUACCCAUCGCCUUUGUCUCAAAUUCAGUUCCUUUUGGGAGAACAAGUACUUGAGGCUCUUAUGGUCCGUAUAAACUUCAAAAGUCACGCCGUACAAGUAGUGUCUCCAUUUCUUCAAGGCGAAAAUUACUGCGGCUAGUUCUAGGUCAUGAGUUGGGUAGUUUUGUUCGUGGGGUUUCAAUCUCCUAGAAGCAUAGGCAACUACCUUACCCAUUUGCAUUAAGACACAUCCCAGACCUUCUCUGGAAGCAUCAGAAUAUACAGCAUAACCUUCACCUCCAUCGGGUAAAACCAAAAUGGGAGCGGAUGUUAACCGCUUCUUUAGUUCCUGAAAACUUGACUCGCACUUCGGAGUCCAGACAAAGUUAGCCCCUUUCUUGGUUAGCUCAGUCAUAGGUCCUGCAAUUUUCGAGAAAUCCUGAAUAAAUCGCCUAUAAUAACCUGCUAAACCCAAGAAACUUCUAACUUCAGUUGGAGUUUCUGGUUGUUUCCAAUUCAUAACGGCCUCAACCUUUGCCGGAUCCACGGCAAUUCCACCUUCAGAAACUCUGUGCCCUAGAAAAGAUAUUUCAGUCAACCAAAACUCACACUUACUGAAUUUGGCAUACAGCUUAUGUUCUCUUAGUAUCUGCAAAACCACCUCUAAAUGCUUAGCAUGCUCCUCUCGAGUCUUAGAGUAAAUCAGGAUAUCAUCUAUGAAAACCACUACAAACUGAUCUAGAUACUUCUUAAAAAUUCUCUGCAUCAGGUCCAUGAAAGCAGCUGGUGCGUUGGUUAAUCCAAAAGGCAUGACUGCGAACUCAAAAUGUCCAUAUCUCGUACUAAAAGCAGUCUUAGGUAUAUCUUCCUUCUUGAUCUUCAACUGAUAGUACCCUUGCUUUAAAUCCAGCUUAGAGAAGACCACUGACCCUUGCAGUUGGUCGAAUAAGCUAUCAAUCAACGGUAGAGGGUAUUUAUUCUUAAUUGUAACCUCAUUUAACCCUCGGUAAUCGAUACAUAACCUCAAGCUUCCAUCGUUUUUCUUAACGAAUAGGACGGGUGCUCCCCAAGGUGAAUCACUCUCCUUCACAAAACCCUUCUCCAACAGAUCCUGUAAUUGAAUUUUCAAUUCUUUUAGCUCGGCAGGAGCCAUUCGAUAUGGGGUCUUAGAAAUUGGAGCCGUUCCAGGUAUCAAGUCAAACUUAAAUUCCACUUCCCUUUCCGGGGGUAGAGUCCUUAGCUCUUCGGGAAAAACAUCCGGAAAUUCCCGUACCACUGGUACAUCCUCCAGCUUCACUUGAUCACUGGGAGCGUUUAUCAAGAAAGCUAGGAAACCUUGCGCUCCUUUAGACAACAUUUUCCUUGCUCGGAUUCCUGAGAUCAUAGCAGAUGAUGCUAACCUACCCUUGACAUCUAACCUCAGGGUUACUUCACCAGGUAUACAAAAUUCCACCACUUUCGCUCGGCAGUCAAGUUUAGCAUGGUGAUGGCCUAGAAAAUCCAUUCCUAUUAUAACAUCGUAACCUUUUUAUGUCCAGACUGAUCAAAUCCACUAGCAUUUUACUCUCUCCAAUCCAGAAUUCACAAUUCUUAUAAGCCAGACUAGUGAUUACAUUCUUAUUACCCAUGGGUGCCCUAACUUCAAGAUCGAAGGGUAAUCUAAUAGGUUGCACAUCUAUUCCAGACAUAAAAGAUGGAUUUACGAAUGAAUGGGUUGCACCAGGGUCAAUUAACACUUUAGCUAAUCGAUGAAAAAUCGGAAGUGUACCUUCCACCACUUCCGAGGAAUCAGGUACAGGUUGGUCACCUAUAGCAUACACUCUGGCAGGAACUGUCGGCCGGCUCCCUCCAGAAGUGUUUGGUCUAGCGUUCGAAGUAGUCCCUUCCUGCAUUUUUGGACAUCCAGAAAUUUGGUGCUCGCUACUUCCACAUUUCAAGCACUUUCCUUGCCUCUUCCAGCAGUCAUCCAUAGUAUGACCAGGUUUCUUACAAUAUGCACAAGUCAUUUGGGGAAUUAUGGCUCGGCCUCCUUGCGAGGUAUUCCUAGGUUGUGCUCUUCCAAUCGGUCCCCCUCUAGUUCCAUUGUUUCUUCCCCCUGCAUUCCUUGCCCCGGUUCCCCUUGCUAAUGCACCUCGCGGUGCUCCGGGACUAGUCACUCCGCCUGUACGUCGGCCCACUUUAGCCGGUGGAGUAUUUCCAUACGUCGGCUCUCGACUACUGCUGGGGGCAAAUUUUUUCUUAGCUUGAAAAGAUUUCACUUGAGCUCUAGCUACUUCAACUCUCUGAGCUCUUUCGACAGCAUCUGCGAAAGUAUCUAUCCUUACGGCGGCUAAACUUUCCUGUAGUUCCACAUUCAAACCCUGCACAAACCUCCGAACACGCCUUUGCUCGGUGGCUAUCAACUCAGGUGCAAAGCGGGAUAGCUUUGUGAACUGGAUUUCAUAUUCGGCGACACUCAUCGCCCCUUGCUUGCAUCUAAUGAAAUCAUCCUCUCUCUUCUCUUGAAUGAGAGGUGGAAGGAAUUUGGCAUUGAACUCCCUUGUGAAGUUCACCCAAGUCCUUGGUGUAUGAUUAGUCUCCCAAUGAACCCUCAUUAGGUUCCACCAGGAGCGAGCAGCUCCCUCAAACUGGAAGGUGGCAAAAGUCACCUUUCGCUCCUCCGUAUAGUUUAAGGCGGUGAAGAUCUCAGUGAUCCUCUCCCACCAGCCUUCAGCCACUUCCGGCUCGGGUCCUCCGUAGAACUUGGGAGAUCCAAACUUCAGGAACCUCUCCACUGCCCGAUCAUCGGAACCAACUGGGCCCCCUGAUGACGCACUGGUCCAGUGGCUUGGUUUUCAGUCAAGCGCUCUAGAACGUCAGUGAUACGGUUAAUAGCGGUGGCCACUCCAUCUCCGGCCCCGCCCUCUUGCCCUUGGUCUGGAUUGACCUCGGGUUCCCUAUCUCUACCCGCUUCCGGGUGUUGUCUAGUGGGUCUCCCGCGGUCCCUUCCUAUCACUUGGCGAUCCAUAGUCUAAAUUAUGCCUAUUAUGGAAGGAUAAGGCGAUUAGGCGAAGUAUUAUUUAUUUAUAAUUAUUAUUAUUUCCUUAGUAAAUAAAAUCAAUAUGGAAAUGGAGGAAAAAGUAAGUAAAACACUUAACAUGUAUUUCUAAGUGAAAGUCAUACAAAUAAUAAGUUGGGACAUUUCCAAAAGUAAGGCACAUGACUAGCAAAAAUACAUACAAAUAGUCCCUUAAACAAAAAUUAGGGAUAUGGUGCCUCCGAAGCAAGUCAUCCACCUAGACAAAACUUGAUGACCUAGCUAAUGUCCCCCUAUUCUAAACCUACAUAUCCAAUAUGGUCGAAUCGAUCCAAGCCUAACCCUCAGCAGGGCUAUCGGGAGCUAUGUCCUCCUCCGGAUCCUCCUCCGGGUCCUCCUCCGGGUCCUCCUGCUCAACACUCUGAAGGAUACCCGUGGCCUCAUCUAUCAUCAUCACGGCAUCAGCCCUGAUACCGACACUCCUAUCACGUAUCCUCUCGGCCAAUCGAGUCACCCUCGCUCUCUGACGCGCUAUCUCUACGCGAGCAGCCUCCAGCCUAGCAUGCUCCGCUGCUACCCUCUGCUCUAACUCCGCUAUGCGGUCGAACUGAGUGUCCACCAUGAUACUCAGCUCCUCUACGUCCUGAGACAAAGUGAAGUUAGCGUCCCUCAGCUGGCGACGCUCAUCAUCCAGGGAUAGUACUAGCUCAUUGGGGUAGGCAUAAGUGGCCCUACACUGACACCGAGGAUGCCUAUCAGCUGGGGUGUAACGUAUAUGAGCUCCUCCGCCACGUGGCCUAUAAGAGAUGGACCUAAGAGGCUCUAUAUGUCCGUUAGACGCUCCAUUACCAUAAGCAUGCCCAUUACCGUUCUCCAUACCUGCAAAAUAAUUAAAGCUUAGAGGUUAGAACUUAAAUAGCUAAUCGAAUCGGUAUUACUUAAGAUGUAUCUAAUGGUCUCGAUUCUUACUUCUAGAAGGAUCAGGAUUUCUAGCUCGUAUAGUAUAUCUCUCAAAUAACUUUUCUAACCUAGGCUCUGAUACCACCUGUGGCGACCCCACUUCCCCCUAAGGCGAACUAAAGGGUUAGCGGGCCGUCUGCCCAGCUCUUGCCAGGACUCACGCAAGCAUUCUAGCUUAAAAUCCUCCAGGGAUUAACCUAAACUACUACAAAAAUAAUUCUUCCGAAAUAAAUCAAUUUCUAUCACCUCAUUAGCUUCAAAGAUAACGGCAUACAACUUAGCCAAACGACGGCUCUUAACCACUUCACACGUUACUCGCAAGGUUAAAGACAUACUAUACUAAUAAAAACAUACAAACCGAAUAUUAGAAUUUGGGAUUACAUUUUUCCAGCUUCAAGUGGCAACCAAAAUAAAAGGUACAGUACUUAACGUAGAAUUCAUUACAAACCGAAAUCUAAAUUCAAGCUAUUCAAAUACAUUCAUAGGAAAUAUAAGCAGCUCAAAUUCUUUCAACUUCCAGACCUGUAAGGAAAACAAAUAAAUGUGGGGUGAGCUAAAGCUCAGUGAUGCCCCAAAACAUGCAUUCACGUAAAUCAAACAGCGAGAAAUAACUUAAACAAAUUGAACAGUUAGGAAAGCGUAUAACAACACAAGGUAGGAUACAGGGGCUCUCAGGAGCCAUUUUCCUCGCUUGAUCGCCGUUCAUCGUAGUUGACCUUCCGUCAACUCUCACUACUUAUAGUCCAUGUAGAUCCACUCAUUUUAAUCCUAACCCGUCACCAUUCAUACCCCGGUCCCGGGCCCGAACGUCGACUAAGGACGCAGUAUACUCGAGAUAUACCCGUAGAUAAUUUGUCGAGGGAUUCACCCAACGACGUUAUUGUAGUUAGAUUCACGUGCCGAGGGAUUCACCCAACGACGUAACUACAUUUGGAUUCAAGGAUUCAUGAGAAAAAUGAUUCACGCAGGUCACCACUCGAACGGCUAGUGCGAUAAAGUACACACUGCUCACUUCGAUGGAUCAAAAACUAGUUUUGCAAAUUAUCACAUAUCGAGUCAAGAAAGCACUUUAACCAAGUAAGCAUAGAACAGGCAGAGACACUCACCAAGAGUGGAGUUCAGAUAUCAAGUUGAGAAUCGAAUUCCGCGUCCUCGCAAAAUCCUAAAAACCAAAUUUUGAAACUAUAAGUUUCUAUUCAGUUUUUAAGCUUAUACACGCAGAGGUAUACUUAAUAUAUUACUAGUUUACUACCCUUAGAAAAAUUAGGAAUCUACUUAGGUUGAAAUUUGACAAACUUAGAAGAAAUGUUUCUUAUAGUUUUCCGUAAGAUACUCUUCCUUAUAAAGGGUAACUAGUAUCAUUUUCUUGAAAUAAGUCGGCAAAACUCUUAACAACAAUGUUAGAAAGUUACUUUGAACAUUUCUCUAAAGUUACGGCUUUUGCAAAAAUUAUCCUUAAAAACUAUUUUUCUUAAAAUAGGGUUUCUUGCCGAGCAAGUCUCCCAAGCUUUUCACUAAAAUUAGUAAAACUCGUAUUUUGGAACUUUUCCUAUAGUUAACUAUCCAAGUGCAAAGCUUAAAGAAAGAAAAAGAAUUAAAAUAAGACUUAGAGUUUUCAAAAGCUAUAGAACUUAUUUACUAUAGCUAUCAAGGCUAGAUUGAGCUAAAGAAAAUUAUCGAGUUGGAAAGUUUUAGGCAAAACACUAGAUAUGGAGUUUUAUAAUAUAAUACUAGCUGGAAAAUAUUUUUGAUUAAUUUUUUAUCGCAGCUACUCGAGUUCGCAAGAUCGAUACAACUUCCACAGCUCCGAUUCCGUUUCGAAAUCAUAUUAUGGAUCAAAAUAUGGCAAAAAUUCACAUAGCAAAUUACUAGGGCUUCGUCAAUCAUUAGCCCUAGAUUUCAACAAGUGCAUCUCUGAAUAAAAUAAAAUGAUCAACCAAGGUUUCAUCAAUCAUUAGCACUUGGUCUCAGCAAGCCCAUCAUGAGCAAAUAAAAAUAAAGGUAAAGCCUCCAAGACAUUCCAGCAAUUAACUUUCAUCACCCUGUAGUACUUAUAAAAUUAUUCAAAUGGCCAAGGGCUUCGUCAAUCAUUAGCCCCUAGCACCCAUCCAGUAAUUCUUGUAGCAACAAGGCUAACAAUUCAAAUGUUUAAAUUUACUAACAGGUAUUUAAAGUCAAGAACCAAAUUUUCAACGACUUCAUACUCAAGAAAUUGUUCCACAGCCACACUUCACUAUCUCCGAUUUAUUCUCCCAAGAUAGCGAGAGUUUCACAUCCAUAUAUCUUAUAAACUUUAAAACAACUUGUUCCAGAUAUUGCAACCAUUAUGAUUUCAAAGAAUAAUUUCACUUUCAAGCUGGAAAUUCUUACUCAAGCUUUGGCAACUACAAGGAAAAUUUCCAGCAUUCGUAUACCCACGUUUUUGGUUAAAUCAUUCGCGAUAUCAAAUGUUUCAUUGCUAAACAACAUGUAUAUCUUAAAAUACACCCUUUUUCUGUGUUUCGAAACCAUUUUAUGCCAAGGAAAAUAUUCAAACAUCAACUAGUGAAAUUCGGAAACAAUUCAAUAUUUUCUGCUCAAACGUUUGGUUAGCUAAAUUUUCCAGCAACCAUUUAUCUUGUAUAAAAUUCUUCCUUGGCUUAUUCAGGGAUUUAAAUACUCAAAUUCAACAUACAACUACUUAACUAACUGACUAACAUUUUUGGUUCAAGAAUUAAAUUCGAACAACAACAAGAGUCUUCAAAUUAAAUUCCAGCUAGCCUCGGUUGAAAUCUGCACAGAAACUGAUUGCAUUUUUCUUUUUGUUUUCUGUUCUAACUCAACCAAUUAACUACAUGCGUAGCUUAAUCAUCUUGUCAUUUACUAGUUAGUCAUGGUUAGAGGCUUAAAACAGCAAGAUUAUUCCACAUGAAACUAUAUUAUUCAAAACAACUCUCGGCAGAAAUUUUCUACAUCAAAACAGAAUUUUUCCUUGUACAUUAAAACCACAUUAAAACCUUGUAUUUUGCCCUUAAUUCUCACAUGCAUAAUUACUAAGUUAAUUAACUAUCAUUCCAGACCAGAAAUCAGUUCGGCAACAGCAAUAUACAUUCAUAACUCCAGAAUUUUGUGCAACUUCUACUCGGUGAGCUUGCAUGUGAAGAAUUCUGUUUCAUAUCUUAUUUUCCAGAGUAAUCCAGGCUAAUUAAUUUCAUGCAUGACUUUAUCAUCUUGUUUUCAGGUGAUUAAACACAAUUCCACCUCUGAUCAUCCCACAAUUUACGAAUUACAGCUACAACAUUCAAGCUCAAGCUCACGGCAGUCCCAUUCUUUUUCCCAACCAAUUUCUGGUAGCUUAUCAUCAAAUUAACACAUAGCUAGAUACAUCAUCCGAGCUUAAAGACCUCACAUGCAAGUCCAAAGCUUGCUUAUACUACCUCUGAUUAACCAUUUUACAGUCCAGAAAUUUACCUCACUGGAUGCUCACUCACUCGACAAGAUGCUGAAGUCUGACCCUCUCUCUCGGCUCUUGUCCUCACGCACAGGUAGGUUGGUUCUGGUUGGGUUGUAGGGGUUGCAGCUGGUGAUGGUGGAAGCUGGUUAGCAACCGGCUGAGCUUGGAGAAUGCAGAGGAAAGUUUGCUCACAGUUUCUCCUCCUCUCCUCCCUCUUCGAUACUUGCGGACAGAACCAGAAAUGGAAAUGCAGCUCUCAGCUUCCUCCCUCACUCUCGGCUAUAUGGUGCAGCUCACCUUCCUUCACUCUCGGUCGAUGAUAACAAUGUGGAGGUGGAGUGUUUGUGAGGUUUAAGUGUGCAGGUGGUAAAGAUGAGCAUUGGCCGGAUGGAGAGGUGCAAGAUCAUUGUGUUCGAGGGAGUGUUUGGCGUUGCGUGGAAUGGUUAUGGCCGUGGGGUGUUUUUGUGAAAUUGCGAGGGUAGUUUAGUCUUUUCACUUCUCCUCCUAUUAUCCACUUAAGUCCUUAGCUCUAACUUAACUCCAAAAAUUAUCCCCAAGUGUGAUUUGAACGCCUAAUGAUUCGCUAAUCUUGCAAGGCUUUGAUUAUCGGAAUUUUUUUUUACGACUUAAGUAUGGUUAGAAUACUUGUAUUGUUUUUAUCUAGAAUUUAUCGGUUGCAAAAUAAUAUUAAGGUUUCUAUCUGCACUUAACCUUAUUCGAAAAUAAAAUUAGCUAUUGAAAAUUAAAGAAUUAUUUUUAAGGAGUAAACUUAAUAUAACUCAAGAAUUAUUAACUUAGUGAAGCAAAGCUAAGUGCUUUAAUAGCUAACACCGUUAUAAUAUUUUGCACAUAAAAGUUAUUUUUAAUUUACUUAUUUAAAACAAAUGAAAUAAUGUUAUAGAUUAGAAUAAGAACUACGGAUGAAAUAUGCACUAGUAUAUAAAAGCGAGUGAAAGUAAUACUAGAAAAGAUUAAGAAAUACGAAUGCUAAAUAAAAGUGAAAUUGAAGUAUGCAUUGAUAUUUAUCUGCAAAAUUCAAGGUUCUCACAUCCUCCCCUCCUUACAAUGAAUUUUGUCCUCAAAAUUCACACAUUCUGGAUAAAUAAAUCGGGGUACUUUUUCUGCAUUUUUUCUUCUAACUCCCACGUUGCUUCCUCGAGUCCAUGAUUCUUCCAUAGAAUCUUCACCAGAGGAAUUUCCUUAUUUCUCAGUUCAUUCAUUUCUCUCUCCAAAAUCCUGACCGGUCCUUCUUCAUACGUUAACGUUUCAUGCACCUCAAUUCCUUCUAGUGGCAACACGUGACUUGGAUCAGGAUAAUAUUUCCUAAGCAUGGAAACAUAAAAUACAUCGUGAAUCUUAGCCAUGCUUGCAGGCAACUUCAAUUGAUACGCUACUAACCCAACUCUCUUCAAAAUUUCGAAAGGUCCGAUAUACCUUGGUUUCAGCUUCUUACCUUUCUUAGACACUACUCCGCCCUUCAAGGGUUUAAUUCUGAGGAAAACCUUGUCUCCUACUUCGAAUUCCAAAUCUUUCCUCCUUGUGUCGGCGUAGCUCUUUUGUCUACUCUGAGCAACUUGAAGCCUUUCUCUAAUUAGUUUUACUUUCUCCUGGGCUUCUUCUAUCCAAGGUAUAGCUGUAGGAUCUACGAUUUUCUUUUCUCCAACUUCAUCCAAAUGAAUCGGAGAUCGACACCUUCUUCCAUACAAAGUCUCAUAAGGUGCCAUUUGAAUCGAAGCCUGAUAGCUGUUAUUAUAUGCAAAUUCCACUAAGGUCAUAUAUUGGCUCCACUUACCUCCAAAAUCCAGUAUACACGACCUCAGUAGAUCCUCCAGAGUUUGAAUUGUCCUUUCCGACUGCCCGUCAGUUUGGGGAUGGUACGCAGUACUAAACUUCAACUUGGUCCCCAAAGAGUCCUGAAAUUUCUGCCAAAAACGCGAGACGAAUCUUGGGUCUCGAUCAGACACAAUACUCACUGGAAUACCAUGUAACCUUAGGAUCUCUUCUGUGUACAACUUGACCAAUUUCUCCAAUGAAAAACUCAUGCUUACAGGUAAGAAGUGUGCAGAUUUAGUGAGUCGAUCGACUAUUACCCAAAUUGCAUCAAAACCUUUUGACUUUUAGGUAGUCCCGUUACAAAAUCCAUUGUUAUGUGUUCCCAUUUCCAUUCAGGGAUUUCUAACGGUUGCAAUAAACCAGAGGGCUUUUGAUGUUCAGCUUUUACUUGUUGGCAGAUCAAGCAUCUUUGUACAAACGCUGCCACGUCCUUUUUCAAACCUUCCCACCAGUAUAAUCCCUUCACAUCGUGGUACAUCUUGAUCACACCUGGGUGUAUAGUAUACUUCGACCGAUGUGAUUCUUCUAGAAUUCCUUUCCUUAGCUCCUCAUCUGCCGGAAUCACAAUUCGAUCUCGAAACCUCAAUACCCCUUCAGGCCCUAAUUUGAAGUCUAGGGUUUCCCCUUUUUGCACUUUUUCCAGAUUCUUCCGAAUCAUAGGGUCCAUUUUCUGGGCCUCCUUAAUACGCUCUAGUAACGGUGACUUCAAUGAUAAGUUCCCAAAUAAAACCUUCAAUUUCUCCAAGCGAGGGUUCCAACCACUUAAUUCCUCUAACAUAUCCCACUCUUUUACCAUUAACCCUGCUACUUGGGCCUUCCUACUAAGAGCGUCAGCCACCACAUUGGCUUUUCCUGGAUGGUAAUUAAUCGAGCAGUCAUAAUCUUCCAGAAACUCUACCCAUCGCCUUUGUCUCAAAUUCAGUUCCUUUUGGGAGAACAAGUACUUGAGGCUCUUAUGGUCCGUAUAAACUUCAAAAGUCACGCCGUACAAGUAGUGUCUCCAUUUCUUCAAGGCGAAAAUUACUGCGGCUAGUUCUAGGUCAUGAGUUGGGUAGUUUUGUUCGUGGGGUUUCAAUCUCCUAGAAGCAUAGGCAACUACCUUACCCAUUUGCAUUAAGACACAUCCCAGACCUUCUCUGGAAGCAUCAGAAUAUACAGCAUAACCUUCACCUCCAUCGGGUAAAACCAAAAUGGGAGCGGAUGUUAACCGCUUCUUUAGUUCCUGAAAACUUGACUCGCACUUCGGAGUCCAGACAAAGUUAGCCCCUUUCUUGGUUAGCUCAGUCAUAGGUCCUGCAAUUUUCGAGAAAUCCUGAAUAAAUCGCCUAUAAUAACCUGCUAAACCCAAGAAACUUCUAACUUCAGUUGGAGUUUCUGGUUGUUUCCAAUUCAUAACGGCCUCAACCUUUGCCGGAUCCACGGCAAUUCCACCUUCAGAAACUCUGUGCCCUAGAAAAGAUAUUUCAGUCAACCAAAACUCACACUUACUGAAUUUGGCAUACAGCUUAUGUUCUCUUAGUAUCUGCAAAACCACCUCUAAAUGCUUAGCAUGCUCCUCUCGAGUCUUAGAGUAAAUCAGGAUAUCAUCUAUGAAAACCACUACAAACUGAUCUAGAUACUUCUUAAAAAUUCUCUGCAUCAGGUCCAUGAAAGCAGCUGGUGCGUUGGUUAAUCCAAAAGGCAUGACUGCGAACUCAAAAUGUCCAUAUCUCGUACUAAAAGCAGUCUUAGGUAUAUCUUCCUUCUUGAUCUUCAACUGAUAGUACCCUUGCCUUAAAUCCAGCUUAGAGAAGACCACUGACCCUUGCAGUUGGUCGAAUAAGCUAUCAAUCAACGGUAGAGGGUAUUUAUUCUUAAUUGUAACCUCAUUUAACCCUCGGUAAUCGAUACAUAACCUCAAGCUUCCAUCGUUUUUCUUAACGAAUAGGACGGGUGCUCCCCAAGGUGAAUCACUCUCCUUCACAAAACCCUUCUCCAACAGAUCCUGUAAUUGAAUUUUCAAUUCUUUUAGCUCGGCAGGAGCCAUUCGAUAUGGGGUCUUAGAAAUUGGAGCCGUUCCAGGUAUCAAGUCAAACUUAAAUUCCACUUCCCUUUCCGGGGGUAGAGUCCUUAGCUCUUCGGGAAAAACAUCCGGAAAUUCCCGUACCACUGGUACAUCCUCCAGCUUCACUUGAUCACUGGGAGCGUUUAUCAAGAAAGCUAGGAAACCUUGCGCUCCUUUAGACAACAUUUUCCUUGCUCGGAUUCCUGAGAUCAUAGCAGAUGAUGCUAACCUACCCUUGACAUCUAACCUCAGGGUUACUUCACCAGGUAUACAAAAUUCCACCACUUUCGCUCGGCAGUCAAGUUUAGCAUGGUGAUGGCCUAGAAAAUCCAUUCCUAUUAUAACAUCGUAACCUUUUUAUGUCCAGACUGAUCAAAUCCACUAGCAUUUUACUCUCUCCAAUCCAGAAUUCACAAUUCUUAUAAGCCAGACUAGUGAUUACAUUCUUAUUACCCAUGGGUGCCCUAACUUCAAGAUCGAAGGGUAAUCUAAUAGGUUGCACAUCUAUUCCAGACAUAAAAGAUGGAUUUACGAAUGAAUGGGUUGCACCAGGGUCAAUUAACACUUUAGCUAAUCGAUGAAAAAUCGGAAGUGUACCUUCCACCACUUCCGAGGAAUCAGGUACAGGUUGGUCACCUAUAGCAUACACUCUGGCAGGAACUGUCGGCCGGCUCCCUCCAGAAGUGUUUGGUCUAGCGUUCGAAGUAGUCCCUUCCUGCAUUUUUGGACAUCCAGAAAUUUGGUGCUCGCUACUUCCACAUUUCAAGCACUUUCCUUGCCUCUUCCAGCAGUCAUCCAUAGUAUGACCAGGUUUCUUACAAUAUGCACAAGUCAUUUGGGGAAUUAUGGCUCGGCCUCCUUGCGAGGUAUUCCUAGGUUGUGCUCUUCCAAUCGGUCCCCCUCUAGUUCCAUUGUUUCUUCCCCCUGCAUUCCUUGCCCCGGUUCCCCUUGCUAAUGCACCUCGCGGUGCUCCGGGACUAGUCACUCCGCCUGUACGUCGGCCCACUUUAGCCGGUGGAGUAUUUCCAUACGUCGGCUCUCGACUACUGCUGGGGGCAAAUUUUUUCUUAGCUUGAAAAGAUUUCACUUGAGCUCUAGCUACUUCAACUCUCUGAGCUCUUUCGACAGCAUCUGCGAAAGUAUCUAUCCUUACGGCGGCUAAACUUUCCUGUAGUUCCACAUUCAAACCCUGCACAAACCUCCGAACACGCCUUUGCUCGGUGGCUAUCAACUCAGGUGCAAAGCGGGAUAGCUUUGUGAACUGGAUUUCAUAUUCGGCGACACUCAUCGCCCCUUGCUUGCAUCUAAUGAAAUCAUCCUCUCUCUUCUCUUGAAUGAGAGGUGGAAGGAAUUUGGCAUUGAACUCCCUUGUGAAGUUCACCCAAGUCCUUGGUGUAUGAUUAGUCUCCCAAUGAACCCUCAUUAGGUUCCACCAGGAGCGAGCAGCUCCCUCAAACUGGAAGGUGGCAAAAGUCACCUUUCGCUCCUCCGUAUAGUUUAAGGCGGUGAAGAUCUCAGUGAUCCUCUCCCACCAGCCUUCAGCCACUUCCGGCUCGGGUCCUCCGUAGAACUUGGGAGAUCCAAACUUCAGGAACCUCUCCACUGCCCGAUCAUCGGAACCAACUGGGCCCCCUGAUGACGCACUGGUCCAGUGGCUUGGUUUUCAGUCAAGCGCUCUAGAACGUCAGUGAUACGGUUAAUAGCGGUGGCCACUCCAUCUCCGGCCCCGCCCUCUUGCCCUUGGUCUGGAUUGACCUCGGGUUCCCUAUCUCUACCCGCUUCCGGGUGUUGUCUAGUGGGUCUCCCGCGGUCCCUUCCUAUCACUUGGCGAUCCAUAGUCUAAAUUAUGCCUAUUAUGGAAGGAUAAGGCGAUUAGGCGAAGUAUUAUUUAUUUAUAAUUAUUAUUAUUUCCUUAGUAAAUAAAAUCAAUAUGGAAAUGGAGGAAAAAGUAAGUAAAACACUUAACAUGUAUUUCUAAGUGAAAGUCAUACAAAUAAUAAGUUGGGACAUUUCCAAAAGUAAGGCACAUGACUAGCAAAAAUACAUACAAAUAGUCCCUUAAACAAAAAUUAGGGAUAUGGUGCCUCCGAAGCAAGUCAUCCACCUAGACAAAACUUGAUGACCUAGCUAAUGUCCCCCUAUUCUAAACCUACAUAUCCAAUAUGGUCGAAUCGAUCCAAGCCUAACCCUCAGCAGGGCUAUCGGGAGCUAUGUCCUCCUCCGGAUCCUCCUCCGGGUCCUCCUGCUCAACACUCUGAAGGAUACCCGUGGCCUCAUCUAUCAUCAUCACGGCAUCAGCCCUGAUACCGACACUCCUAUCACGUAUCCUCUCGGCCAAUCGAGUCACCCUCGCUCUCUGACGCGCUAUCUCUACGCGAGCAGCCUCCAGCCUAGCAUGCUCCGCUGCUACCCUCUGCUCUAACUCCGCUAUGCGGUCGAACUGAGUGUCCACCAUGAUACUCAGCUCCUCUACGUCCUGAGACAAAGUGAAGUUAGCGUCCCUCAGCUGGCGACGCUCAUCAUCCAGGGAUAGUACUAGCUCAUUGGGGUAGGCAUAAGUGGCCCUACACUGACACCGAGGAUGCCUAUCAGCUGGGGUGUAACGUAUAUGAGCUCCUCCGCCACGUGGCCUAUAAGAGAUGGACCUAAGAGGCUCUAUAUGUCCGUUAGACGCUCCAUUACCAUAAGCAUGCCCAUUACCGUUCUCCAUACCUGCAAAAUAAUUAAAGCUUAGAGGUUAGAACUUAAAUAGCUAAUCGAAUCGGUAUUACUUAAGAUGUAUCUAAUGGUCUCGAUUCUUACUUCUAGAAGGAUCAGGAUUUCUAGCUCGUAUAGUAUAUCUCUCAAAUAACUUUUCUAACCUAGGCUCUGAUACCACCUGUGGCGACCCCACUUCCCCCUAAGGCGAACUAAAGGGUUAGCGGGCCGUCUGCCCAGCUCUUGCCAGGACUCACGCAAGCAUUCUAGCUUAAAAUCCUCCAGGGAUUAACCUAAACUACUACAAAAAUAAUUCUUCCGAAAUAAAUCAAUUUCUAUCACCUCAUUAGCUUCAAAGAUAACGGCAUACAACUUAGCCAAACGACGGCUCUUAACCACUUCACACGUUACUCGCAAGGUUAAAGACAUACUAUACUAAUAAAAACAUACAAACCGAAUAUUAGAAUUUGGGAUUACAUUUUUCCAGCUUCAAGUGGCAACCAAAAUAAAAGGUACAGUACUUAACGUAGAAUUCAUUACAAACCGAAAUCUAAAUUCAAGCUAUUCAAAUACAUUCAUAGGAAAUAUAAGCAGCUCAAAUUCUUUCAACUUCCAGACCUGUAAGGAAAACAAAUAAACGUGGGGUGAGCUAAAGCUCAGUGAUGCCCCAAAACAUGCAUUCACGUAAAUCAAACAGCGAGAAAUAACUUAAACAAAUUGAACAGUUAGGAAAGCGUAUAACAACACAAGGUAGGAUACAGGGGCUCUCAGGAGCCAUUUUCCUCGCUUGAUCGCCGUUCAUCGUAGUUGACCUUCCGUCAACUCUCACUACUUAUAGUCCAUGUAGAUCCACUCAUUUUAAUCCUAACCCGUCACCAUUCAUACCCCGGUCCCGGGCCCGAACGUCGACUAAGGACGCAGUAUACUCGAGAUAUACCCGUAGAUAAUUUGUCGAGGGAUUCACCCAACGACGUUAUUGUAGUUAGAUUCACGUGCCGAGGGAUUCACCCAACGACGUAACUACAUUUGGAUUCAAGGAUUCAUGAGAAAAAUGAUUCACGCAGGUCACCACUCGAACGGCUAGUGCGAUAAAGUACACACUGCUCACUUCGAUGGAUCAAAAACUAGUUUUGCAAAUUAUCACAUAUCGAGUCAAGAAAGCACUUUAACCAAGUAAGCAUAGAACAGGCAGAGACACUCACCAAGAGUGGAGUUCAGAUAUCAAGUUGAGAAUCGAAUUCCGCGUCCUCGCAAAAUCCUAAAAACCAAAUUUUGAAACUAUAAGUUUCUAUUCAGUUUUUAAGCUUAUACACGCAGAGGUAUACUUAAUAUAUUACUAGUUUACUACCCUUAGAAAAAUUAGGAAUCUACUUAGGUUGAAAUUUGACAAACUUAGAAGAAAUGUUUCUUAUAGUUUUCCGUAAGAUACUCUUCCUUAUAAAGGGUAACUAGUAUCAUUUUCUUGAAAUAAGUCGGCAAAACUCUUAACAACAAUGUUAGAAAGUUACUUUGAACAUUUCUCUAAAGUUACGGCUUUUGCAAAAAUUAUCCUUAAAAACUAUUUUUCUUAAAAUAGGGUUUCUUGCCGAGCAAGUCUCCCAAGCUUUUCACUAAAAUUAGUAAAGCUCGUAUUUUGGAACUUUUCCUAUAGUUAACUAUCCAAGUGCAAAGCUUAAAGAAAGAAAAAGAAUUAAAAUAAGACUUAGAGUUUUCAAAAGCUAUAGAACUUAUUUACUAUAGCUAUCAAGGCUAGAUUGAGCUAAAGAAAAUUAUCGAGUUGGAAAGUUUUAGGCAAAACACUAGAUAUGGAGUUUUAUAAUAUAAUACUAGCUGGAAAAUAUUUUUGAUUAAUUUUUUAUCGCAGCUACUCGAGUUCGCAAGAUCGAUACAACUUCCACAGCUCCGAUUCCGUUUCGAAAUCAUAUUAUGGAUCAAAAUAUGGCAAAAAUUCACAUAGCAAAUUACUAGGGCUUCGUCAAUCAUUAGCCCUAGAUUUCAACAAGUGCAUCUCUGAAUAAAAUAAAAUGAUCAACCAAGGUUUCAUCAAUCAUUAGCACUUGGUCUCAGCAAGCCCAUCAUGAGCAAAUAAAAAUAAAGGUAAAGCCUCCAAGACAUUCCAGCAAUUAACUUUCAUCACCCUGUAGUACUUAUAAAAUUAUUCAAAUGGCCAAGGGCUUCGUCAAUCAUUAGCCCCUAGCACCCAUCCAGUAAUUCUUGUAGCAACAAGGCUAACAAUUCAAAUGUUUAAAUUUACUAACAGGUAUUUAAAGUCAAGAACCAAAUUUUCAACGACUUCAUACUCAAGAAAUUGUUCCACAGCCACACUUCACUAUCUCCGAUUUAUUCUCCCAAGAUAGCGAGAGUUUCACAUCCAUAUAUCUUAUAAACUUUAAAACAACUUGUUCCAGAUAUUGCAACCAUUAUGAUUUCAAAGAAUAAUUUCACUUUCAAGCUGGAAAUUCUUACUCAAGCUUUGGCAACUACAAGGAAAAUUUCCAGCAUUCGUAUACCCACGUUUUUGGUUAAAUCAUUCGCGAUAUCAAAUGUUUCAUUGCUAAACAACAUGUAUAUCUUAAAAUACACCCUUUUUCUGUGUUUCGAAACCAUUUUAUGCCAAGGAAAAUAUUCAAACAUCAACUAGUGAAAUUCGGAAACAAUUCAAUAUUUUCUGCUCAAACGUUUGGUUAGCUAAAUUUUCCAGCAACCAUUUAUCUUGUAUAAAAUUCUUCCUUGGCUUAUUCAGGGAUUUAAAUACUCAAAUUCAACAUACAACUACUUAACUAACUGACUAACAUUUUUGGUUCAAGAAUUAAAUUCGAACAACAACAAGAGUCUUCAAAUUAAAUUCCAGCUAGCCUCGGUUGAAAUCUGCACAGAAACUGAUUGCAUUUUUCUUUUUGUUUUCUGUUCUAACUCAACCAAUUAACUACAUGCGUAGCUUAAUCAUCUUGUCAUUUACUAGUUAGUCAUGGUUAGAGGCUUAAAACAGCAAGAUUAUUCCACAUGAAACUAUAUUAUUCAAAACAACUCUCGGCAGAAAUUUUCUACAUCAAAACAGAAUUUUUCCUUGUACAUUAAAACCACAUUAAAACCUUGUAUUUUGCCCUUAAUUCUCACAUGCAUAAUUACUAAGUUAAUUAACUAUCAUUCCAGACCAGAAAUCAGUUCGGCAACAGCAAUAUACAUUCAUAACUCCAGAAUUUUGUGCAACUUCUACUCGGUGAGCUUGCAUGUGAAGAAUUCUGUUUCAUAUCUUAUUUUCCAGAGUAAUCCAGGCUAAUUAAUUUCAUGCAUGACUUUAUCAUCUUGUUUUCAGGUGAUUAAACACAAUUCCACCUCUGAUCAUCCCACAAUUUACGAAUUACAGCUACAACAUUCAAGCUCAAGCUCACGGCAGUCCCAUUCUUUUUCCCAACCAAUUUCUGGUAGCUUAUCAUCAAAUUAACACAUAGCUAGAUACAUCAUCCGAGCUUAAAGACCUCACAUGCAAGUCCAAAGCUUGCUUAUACUACCUCUGAUUAACCAUUUUACAGUCCAGAAAUUUACCUCACUGGAUGCUCACUCACUCGACAAGAUGCUGAAGUCUGACCCUCUCUCUCGGCUCUUGUCCUCACGCACAGGUAGGUUGGUUCUGGUUGGGUUGUAGGGGUUGCAGCUGGUGAUGGUGGAAGCUGGUUAGCAACCGGCUGAGCUUGGAGAAUGCAGAGGAAAGUUUGCUCACAGUUUCUCCUCCUCUCCUCCCUCUUCGAUACUUGCGGACAGAACCAGAAAUGGAAAUGCAGCUCUCAGCUUCCUCCCUCACUCUCGGCUAUAUGGUGCAGCUCACCUUCCUUCACUCUCGGUCGAUGAUAACAAUGUGGAGGUGGAGUGUUUGUGAGGUUUAAGUGUGCAGGUGGUAAAGAUGAGCAUUGGCCGGAUGGAGAGGUGCAAGAUCAUUGUGUUCGAGGGAGUGUUUGGCGUUGCGUGGAAUGGUUAUGGCCGUGGGGUGUUUUUGUGAAAUUGCGAGGGUAGUUUAGUCUUUUCACUUCUCCUCCUAUUAUCCACUUAAGUCCUUAGCUCUAACUUAACUCCAAAAAUUAUCCCCAAGUGUGAUUUGAACGCCUAAUGAUUCGCUAAUCUUGCAAGGCUUUGAUUAUCGGAAUUUUUUUUUACGACUUAAGUAUGGUUAGAAUACUUGUAUUGUUUUUAUCUAGAAUUUAUCGGUUGCAAAAUAAUAUUAAGGUUUCUAUCUGCACUUAACCUUAUUCGAAAAUAAAAUUAGCUAUUGAAAAUUAAAGAAUUAUUUUUAAGGAGUAAACUUAAUAUAACUCAAGAAUUAUUAACUUAGUGAAGCAAAGCUAAGUGCUUUAAUAGCUAACACCGUUAUAAUAUUUUGCACAUAAAAGUUAUUUUUAAUUUACUUAUUUAAAACAAAUGAAAUAAUGUUAUAGAUUAGAAUAAGAACUACGGAUGAAAUAUGCACUAGUAUAUAAAAGCGAGUGAAAGUAAUACUAGAAAAGAUUAAGAAAUACGAAUGCUAAAUAAAAGUGAAAUUGAAGUAUGCAUUGAUAUUUAUCUGCAAAAUUCAAGGUUCUCACAAUUUUGGGUAUCACAAUUAAUGUGAUUCGCACCAAUUAAACUUUGAAGAGAUAUUUCGACCCUCCUGAUAUCCAUUUGGUCUAGAUUUGCAUCCAUAUAGUAACAUCCAAAUGUGAUAAGUUUUAUAGGUUAAAUUAAGAAAAUUUUUGACUAAAUCAUGCAACUAGCCUUGCCUAGGUUGAAAGGGUGUCUUGGAUUUUAUCCUUACUUUCCCUUUCUUCAACCGUGACUCCCAAACUCCUUUCUCUUGUUUUUCGAAAACUUGGAGUCGUUUAAAAAGGGUUUUCCCUACUUUUUAUUUAAAAUUCAUUUUGGGUGACUUGGUACACCUUAACUCAAUACCAAGUGGCGACUCCUAUUUUUUUCUUAAAAACCUUUUUUAAACUAUUAUUUUGGGUUAAAAUCGUCGCACUUUUAAAUCCCAUUUUAGGCCCUUUUUCUUUAUUCUCUAAAAUAAAAAACUCAUUUUUUAAUCAAAAUUAAUCAAAAAUUCAUUUUUUAUAAACCUGUAAUCUUAUUUUUCAAAAAUGGGGCGUGACAUAGAUAUGAGCACUACUUAAAGACACACCUAUUCCAUACCUUUAUUUUCAUUUCAGCAGUUUCCUUUAGUGGGACACACUAUGUUAACUGAAAUGAAAAUAAAUGCCAAAUAGUAUAAGUAGUUUCUUUUAACAAAAAAUUCAGACUAUAACUCUAUCUGGAUAUGGAUAUAAACUAAAGGACAAUCUUUUAAAUUUAUCAAAAUUUCCUUCAAGUGGAAAGAUGAUCAGCAGUCUAAUUUUGCAUAAUCCCUUCAAAAAUUAGUUAAAAUUUUGAAACCUCUGAUAGCUCCUCUUCACAAGUAAUCCCGAUAAACAAUUGGGAUAACCCCACUUCAAUCUCUUUAGUAGGAUCUUCCUUCUCUGAUUUUAAUAUGAUCACCUCUGAUGGAUGAGAAAAAAGUGUAAUAUAGCGAUGGGACCUAUAAGACAAUUUGCUUACCCUCCUUUUCAGUUUGCUUUCGAACUUGCAUUUCUUUCCUAUCUUUAGCAAUUGGAUGACAUCCUAGUCCAAAUGUAUUUUUUUGCAUUGGAAUCUCUAUUGGUUCCAAAAUUUCUUGCAGUUCUCGACCAAGACCUUUUUCUAUUUUAUAUUCGGUUCGAAUCAUCUCCUUAGUCAUCAUGACACUAGUCUCUGGUAAAUCUGACUUAGUAAGUGACUUACUCUCGGAUACCUAUCCCACAGAAAUAAUAUCAACAAUAUGAUGAGAAAAUUGUAGUCCUUUACUGCCUUCACCUUUGGACUUUACAUUAACGAUCAUAGCACAGUCAUCCUCAACAAACACAGUAAUGAAUUGAUCAUUCACGAUAAUCUCAACAUUUGAUGCAGAGAAGAUGGUAUCGAAUUAGAAGUAUGUAUCCAAAGUCUUCCAAGAAAUAUUAUAAAUGUUGGAGAAGUCUAAAACUUGGCAAGUAACUUGGAACUGAGUAGGUCCUAUUUCCAAUACCAGGUUGGCUUCACCAAUAGAUUCUCUCUUUGAACCAUCGAAUCCUCUAACCACGGUUGCAAACAGACCAACUUUGAUUUCAAGAAAUCCAAAUUUGGUCAAAGUGUUUCAUGAAUAGAUAUUUAACAUUGAUCCAUUGUUCACUAAGGCUCUUGAUAACAACUUUUCAUUACAAUGCACUAAUAUAUAUAUGGCUUUGUUGUGACCAAUUCCUUCUGGAGUUGGAUCGUCAUCGGAGAAGAUGAUAUGAUUGGCAGCAAAUACGUUUCCCAUAAUGUUAGAAAAUUUGUCCACAGGGAUAUCUUUAGGCACUUAGACCUCAUUCAAGAUUUUGAGCAAUAAUACUCUAUACAACUCUGAAGUUAGAAGCAAGUUCAGAAGAGAGAUUUGAGCUGGCAUUCUAUCAAAUUGCUCUACUAUCUUGUAUUCACUCUUUUUUAAUAUCUUUAGAAAACUCACAGCUUCUCUUUCAAACACAGGAGUUUUGGGUGAUAGGAAACACUUCUUGAUUCUCGAUUGGACUUGGGUUUCAGGAUUUUUCAUGAUUCUUCGAGAUUUGGUGAUAGUAGACACCUCUUUCUGCUCAAUAGAAUGGGUUCCUCAUAAUUCCAUGGCACCUCUUGCAAAUUAUUAAUAGCCAUUUGCUCUAGAAAUUCAAGAACAACAGAUUUUGAUAUAUCCCAUUUGAAAAAUGAUAAAUCUAAAAUAAAAGGGACUUUAGAACUAAUAGCUUGAGAAGAUCCUUCUUCUAAAACAAAUGACUCAUCUUUUUUGAAGUCGAAUGGCACUAACUUUCCCUCAAAGAUAUCAUUUAUAUUCUUGACAAUGAACUCUUUGACAUAUAACAUCUUUCUCGUUCUCGCAUGAUUAGCCUCCAUUAUGCCAAAUACCUCAAUUUCAUCUAUAAUGUAUUGAGCAAGAUCAACUAAUUCUUCAUUAGUGGUGACUGCUCCCAUAGUGCCUUCAUGUUGAGGUAAGGAUUUUUACUAAUAUUUGGUCCUUGUUCUCCCUUUCUUCUAAGAACAAUGUCUUUAUCGUCAAUCAUGUCCUAAAUCUUGUAUUUUAGAACCCAAUAAUUGGUAGUAGUAUGACUUGAACUUCCAGAAUGACAAGCACAAACUGCUUGUGGAUUAUAACCGAUAAGAGGAACUCUGGAAUAGAGUUUGGGAGGAACAAUACGAAUCUUUCCGAUUGUUUUUAAUUGCUCAUACAAUUGAUCAAUGGGUCGACCCAAAUUAGUGAAGGUUCAAAAUUACUUAUGAGUUUGAACUCCACUAGCUUGAAAAAUAUUUUGAGUGGAAUUGUUGUUUUGUGGGACUAGCCUAGAAUGAUAGAUAGGAUGAGGGUGGUUCUGAAAGGUAAGUUAUGAGGUUGAGAGUAAUGGUAGGGCAGUCAAAUGAUUGGGUCGGGAGUAAAGAGUUUGGGUAAUGGUAUGGUAAACUGGUUGAGGGUUAGGAUGGUAUGGGUAAGGGAUAGAAUAGGUAGAAUGAUUUUGAAUUGUUGGUCUGAAGGACGGGCCUUGAUCCCAUACAAAAGUCGUUUCUCUUUCUUUCUUCUUGAAUGGGGGUUUCUUUCCAUUGUUAUUCUGAUUCUGUAGAGCCUCCAACUGUAAUUUCAAUACAUAUAUAUUAACAAUAUUUUCUAUCUUAAUAAAUUCAUCAUAUUCUCCAACUUAUUAAUGAUAGCAGCAAAUAAACUCUCAAUCAUGCAAAAAAUCUCUUCAAAGUAUUGCGGGUCGUGAGCCUUAAUGAAAGAACGAAUAAUUUUCUCCUUAGUCAUAGGGGGCUCCUCCUUGGUGGCUAAUUUCCUCCAACACUUUGCAUAGGUUUUGUGAUUCUCCGAAGGUUUCUUCUUAGUUCCUUCUAACGUGGUUCAUGUCGGUGCUAACUGGCAAUUAAACUCAUAUUGCUUAACAAACGUAGUUAACAAAUUCAACCAAGUUUUGAUCUCUCCCGGUUUCAAGUCCAAGUACUAAUCUAAGGCAUCACCCCUCUAGACUUUCUGGGACGAGACACAUGGGUAAGUUCUCAUAAUCUACUAGUUUAUCCAAUUUGUUGGCAAACAUUUUGAGAUACAUUUUAGGAUUCCUAGUUCUAUCAUAUUUACUGAAUUUGGGAGUCUUGAAACCCAAUGAUAGUUGAAUGUCUGGAAAAAGACAAAGCUCAUUAUAGUCUUACCUACCAUGCUUGCUUAAUCUUUGGUUCUUCUUCAUAAACUCAUCAAAUCGAUCUAACCUUCUCAACAGAUCCUUGUCAAUAGGUGCAGAUUGUUCAUCCAUCGCCGGUUUCCCUUGAAAAGCAGUAUCCAAAACAAAAGACUCCAUAAUGUGGUGGUGAGGUCCCUGAGGGUUGAAUGGAAUGUUCAGAUUAGUUCGUGGGUGGGUUUGAGGGAUUUGACUGUUGGUUGGAUUUAUCAAGACAUAUUUCGAAUGUAUAUACAAAAAGUCUGGAUUCAGUUGGGUAAAGGCAAUUUCAAGGGGACUAGUAAAGGAUGGAAGAAAAGUUGUUUGGAUAUUGGAUAUGUGGAGCGGUUGAUUGUCUUGUACAAGCGGGUGAUUAUUAACAGAUUCUUGGUCAUUUGGGACACUACCACCACUGCUAUUUGUAACCAAUUAAUCAAUGACACGCUUUUGUGCAGUCAUCUUAGUACUCAACUCAUUAAACUUGUCUAGUACUAUACAGUCAAAUCUGGUGACAUAACUAUUGUAUAUCUCUUUGAAACUUCUGACACUGAACUCAUGUUUACAGGUUGUCUCAAGACUCUACUUCGAGACUUGGUGAUGAUGGGGUUUCUUUGUAAAACUAUGUUUAAGACCACCUGAGAGUUUAGAAAAGAAAUUGAUUUAGAAAUUCGCUCCGGGAUAUGAUUGCCAUGUUUUAUUCAAAAGAAAAAGAGAAGAAAAAAGAAAAAAAAGGAGUCAGUAAAUGCUUAAAUAAUUUGGAUUCAUGUAUUAUAGGCGAGCUCCCUUUUUUUUUUGCUAAGGGUUGGUCUAGUAUGAUGUAUCAUCUUUGAAGUGAGAUCUGUUCACCAAACUUGUGUUUCAGAAAUAACUUUGCAAAAGAUAAAGAUCACUUCAUUGAUAAAUUUUGAAAUCUCAAAUACAUUAUCUACAUCAUUUCUUGAAGGUGAUUUCAUACAAGAUUGUUGAAUUUCCUCAAUCUAUCACAGCAUCUUUUGCCUCUUUGGAAUAGGAGUUCUUCAUAUGUUCAACUUGAUCAUACAAUUUGCCACACUUACUUUUUAACUCCUGAUAUUUUUUCUGCAUUUCUUCAUAGAAUCUUUUGUUCUUCUCUGCCAAACCCUUGUUCAUUUCCAUGGAUUGUCUCAAUUGCAUAUUUUCUCUGUUUUUUCUCCUCAAUUAUAGCCAUCAAUCUCCUGACUUCCUCAGACUGUUCCAUUGAUGAUUGCUAAGCAUUAAAGUCUCUGAGUCACUCCUUAUAUUGAGGGGUAACUAAAGCCAUCUGCUUAAAUUGUGGGACAUAAAUGAUAUUCUUAUCUCUAAACUUCAAUGAUUUGUAUCUUCAUUGGAAUUUCAUUCGAACAGAUUCUUUUGUCAAAAUUGAUGGUGAAAUUGGUCAAAUCAGGUGUGAGUGGGGAUCUUUGAAUACGUUCUAACUGUCUGAAAAAUCUUUUUAAAAUGUAGGUCAUGAUGUCUUGAGUUUUCAAUAGUGGUAUAAAAUCUAAUGAUUUAAUGCGAAGAACAGGUUCGAAACAGUCAGUCUAGUCUAAUACCAUCUAAUCUUCUAUCUAGUAAUACUUUCAGAAAGUCCAACCAUUCUGAUGCAUUCCUUGGCAAAUUACUUUUGUCAAUUCUUUUAUGAUGAGUAACUAUCUAAUUAUACCCAAUCAGCAAUAGACCAUCAAGAGCAGGUAAUUGCCUCUUAAAAUGUUUGAUCUUAUGUUCGAUCACACAUGUAGAAUUUAGUUUGAUCUAUGGAAGAAUUUUGACCCUUUUUGAUAAUUGGUAUAUGUGAUAAAAAUGUUAGCCAACACUGUCGAUACUAUAGAGUUUUAUCGAUUUUUAAUUCCAAAAAAUAGAUCGAACAUAAGAUUUGUAAUUUUGAAACUUAUUUUUUUAUCUCUUCUUGGGAAUAAAUAAAUCCUUGUCAUGACAAGUCCAUAUACUAAUGGUCUCUUAUGCUCCCAUGUUGCCUUAGAUGUAAAUGAGGAAUCCUCCAAAUGCUUGUCAAAUCCAUCUUUUACUGCGAAUCUAUCAAAUAAAAAUUUUACAUCUAUGCUCUAAUCUGAUCCUUGCAUUACAGAUUCUUUUAAUCCGGUGAAAUGAUAAAAUUUGAUCUUGCUAGAAGCGAUUGAAAAUAUCACGGCUGUACCCUCCACUAACAAAUUAUGAAGACCGACUACCUCUUUAAUCAACAGAGUUAUCUUCUUGUUUCCUAUUCUAAUUGUUGAACAGUUAGAAUUCCACAGUUGAAUGAAAGUCUCUACCAAGUAAUCAACUGAUUCAAUAGCUUUAAAGUCCUCAAUCGGUUCGAGAUAGGAGGCUACUUGAUUGAUUUCACUAGAUGAGCGAAAUCCUAGCCAUUUUUGAACCUCCACUGGAACAACCAAUAGUUGCUUGACUCGUUGAGAUCUGUCCAUCUGAAGCAUGUAAUUUGGAUCAAAUACCUUACCUACAGGUCUCACUUCUCCAGUUUUAUAAAAUUUAAACAUAAACAUCCCAUAAAGGAUUAGAUACCUAGGGAAAGACAAAGUUGGCAUAUUCCUAAAGGGGAUUCCCUAUGUGGAAUUCCUUCUAGAGUUGAUGCAUGAUGCCAAUUUAUUAAAUCAAAUAAAUAUGCAACACAUUAAUUGAAAUAUGACCUAAAUGUUCCGUAUUUAGAUACUGGGAUAAGCCUAAAUGUGACAUGCAAUAUAUACAUAGUAUUAAUAUGCUAAACUAAAAUUUAAAAGUGUAACAAUCUUGUUAUAAAAGGCGGUCUACCCAAAAUGAGUACCAUACUAGAACUCUUAUUUCUAAAACUUAUGAAUGAGAGAAAAGAAAAAAAAUAAAGUUUAUUCAAUUAAUAAAUAAAACAUAACACAUUGGAACAACAAAAUGAUACAGAAAUAUAAGGUAAAGAGGGGUGAAAUCCUUCCCCUCGUGUCUAGUACUCCUAAUAGGGUAAGGUAGAAUCUAUCCUAAGUGAUUUCUAAAUAGAUGUAUCAGGUUGGGAUUUACUAAUGCAUAUAAACUCUAUAAGGUUUCAGGCCCCCAAAUUUUUAGACAAAAAAUUAAAGGGUCAUCAAUUUCAAGACCUCCAGUCGAUGGUUCAAGUGAUCUUCCAGGCACUGCUAUGUGCACGUCGUGCAACGACCACAUGUCUAGGUGGAUCAAUUCUAGUCCUAAUGGGAAAGAGUGAUUUGACAACUACUAAAAGAGAAAAAAAAUGAAGGGUUUAAAAGGAGUAGUGUAUGCACGUAUGAAGUGCUCCUUUGAGAGAAGAAACUAAAUACCCUUAAAAAUGCAUGAAAGUUCAAGGGUAACAUCGCUCCCCACUUCCAAAUGCAAUGCACGAUACGAGUAAGUAAAUAUAAAUAAAUAAAUGAAAAUAAACAAAUCAUUCAUCACAUAUACAAAGAAUGAGGAACGAAUACGAGUGUGAAAUGCAAAAGAUUCGAAAGAGGAAAAUGCAAUCUAAAAUAUCUAAAUAUAAUAUGCGAAAAGGUUAGAAAAAGAAAAGACGACUAAACCAAAUUUCGGACUCACUAGUAAUUCCCAAUGGAGUCACCAAACUAUCCCACCUCAUUUUUUGCAAUGAAAAGAUAUUUACAAAAAUGUGUUUUUCAUUUAAAAAGAAUGAAUGAAAAAAGGCCUAAAAUAGGACUAAAAAAUGCGACUAAAAAAAUGCAAAAAUUUGGACCCAAAAUUUAGUCUAAAGGGUUCUUGAAAAAAGAAAUCACCACUUGAUAUCGAGUUUAGGUGUACCAAAUCAUCCCAAAAUAUUUUUGAUAAAAAUUAAAAUAAAACAAAAGUAAAAAUAAAAUAAAUUUCUUUUCGACAACUCCAAAUCUUUGAAAACGAGAGAUGAUGAAUUUGGAAAUCACAGUUGAAAAAAGGGAAGGCAAAGGUUCAAUUGAGUCAAAUUUAAGACACCCUUUCAACCUAAUCUAAAAUCGUUUCGAUAUUUAGUCAAAAUUUUCCUAAUCCAAACCUUAAAUUUAUUACAUUUGAAUGUUUCUAUAUGGAUGCAAAUCUAAAUCUAAAGGGAAUAUCGAGAUGGACAAAAUGUCUAUUCAAGAUCUAAUUGAUAUCAAUCGCAUUAAUUUCAAAGGCCAAAAUGAUUUUUUGAACGGGUCACGAAUAUGCAAAGGUAAUAUUGGAAAAAAAGAAAAUUAAACUUUAUAUAUAGGCAUAAGUGGCCAAAGAAAAGGGAAUAUAACAUAAUGGGUAUGAGAAACAAAAACUUAUGACAUAAUUUUCUUUCUUAUAAAGAGGUUAAUGGGAUAUUUAAACUAAAGAACUAUAAUCAUCCAUUUCUCAUAUUCGAAAAGUGACUCUUCUAAUAUAAACGGCAAAUGAACUAACUUAUUUUUCUAAUUUUCUAAAUGAAAUGCAAAUAUAAAUGCUAUGACUUGUGUUUAUAGGGAUAAAGGAAUAAUAUAAGAGAAAUAUCAUGUAAAUGAGAAAAGUUGCCUAAAAUAGGAAAAAUAUAUGAAAAUGCAAUUCCACGACUGGCGCGCGGGGAAUUUCAUUUAGAUAGAGCAGGUUUACCUUUGGUCAGGAGGAGGAGAGUAGGAUAGCCUAGGAAGGCGGUCUAGCAUCUAUCCGCCAGAUUAGAUACAUGCUGUGAGGGAGUUGUUCUCCUAGUCUAUAGCUUUUGUAACCUUUUCCCUUAUCUAAUAAGACCUCUUAUUUAAAAAAAAAAAAAAGAAUGACACACAAAAGAUGAAUCUAAUGCAUAGGUUGUGAGGAUCUAAAUUUUUACUUACUUUAAUUCUAUUUCACUGUCUUAUUUUAAUAUUUAUUCACCCAUUUUCUCCGAAAAAUUUAUUUCAACCAUUUUAAAUCCAUUUACACGAAACAAUGUCUCAUUUAUAUUUUUAAAAUGUCCUGUUAGCAAAUUUAAUUUUUCUACGGCUCGUUUAGCGAGAAAUAGCGAAUACACAUUUUUCGAGAUAAUAUUCGAUUCGAGAGUGCAAUGGUCUUGGAGAUUUGAGAACUCAUGUUUUAUUCUUAAAAUAGUUAUUUUUAUAAUUAUUUACCCUAGAGUUAGUUAAUUAUAUUAUCGUUACAAGAAUUUCUUUUAAGUUUCGCUUUAUCGCACGCGAAUUGGAGGUUCGCGUAAAUCGAGCCGGAGCGGCUAAAUGGAGAUUUAAGAAAUUAAUAUUAGACUACUAAGAGUGAAUAAUUAUAGUGUUAAAGGAAUUACAAUGGAGGUUUAGUGCGCAAGUGUAAUAAACCCGAGAGAAAACGGAUACGAAACACGCGCACGCGAACACUAUUUAUGGUUGACUUUUGUACAAAUUGUAACCACAAAACCCUUAAGCUUCCAAAGGAAGCUUCAUUCAUCAGCCACACUCUCUCUCUCCUCUCAUCUUGGCUGGCCAAAACCCUCAAGGAAAGAAGAAGAGAAAACUCUUCAUCAUUCUUGCUCCAUUCUUGCACCAAUCUUCCUCCAUUUCAUCUCAAACUUUGCAUCCAACUCACAAACCACUUGGGAAUUCAUUUAAACUAGAAGAAAGACUUCAUCUUGGCAGUUUUCUUGGAGCUUUUGGUGCCAAAAAUUUCUGGUUUCUCUCAAAGCUAGGAGGUAACCAUCCAACACCAUCCAAUCUUUCAUUCUUGGCUUUAAUGGGUUUUAUCCUUGACUUUGAAGCUUGUAGCUUCAUUAUUGUUAUUAUUACUUGGAUUGGAUUGGUUGAAGUGGGCUCUAUGAAUUCCCACCUUGGUUAUAUGGGCUGAUAUGAUGAUAUAAUGCUUGGUUGAGUUGUUUAAGUGUUGUUUAAGAUGAUUAUGGAUAGAGAAUCGAAGGAAAGAUUGAAGGAAAUUGCGCAGGAAUGCCGGCCGAAAUCUGUUCUGUUUUGCCUUGUUUAUAUUUCAAAUUUGUGGCACUCAAAUGACUGUGAAACUGAUGUAUAUAUGUUGCAUAUGGUGUGUAGAAAGUUUCUACCAAAAAUCAAAUUGGUUGAGCAAAACAUGAAAUUUCGAAAUUUAAUCAAAUCUGGAAACUGUGUUCGGACAGCUUGAACAGUGUCCCUUUGAUCGAACAUAUCUUUUUGUACAGACGUCAAAAUCGAGUGCCGUUUAUGGCAUUUGAAACUAGACAUUUGUAGAUUUCCAACGGUAUAAAAUGCACUAUCUAGUUCGAAUUGAGUGAUCCGUAGUGAUUCACCAAAGUUUCCUAUUCUGUUCUGCUCUUCUAUUCGAAUGACAGUGGUAAGCUGCAUCUUGUCGCUUGAAUUCGAACCACCUAUGAACUGAUUUUCAAAAUAACUUGUUCUGAUGAAAUGUAGCCUUAUGAUUCUAGUUUUUAACGCCACAGACCAUUCUCAAUUCCAAGUUGUAUUGAGUGAGAUAUGGUACAAUUUGUAAACUGCAGCAGAGCUGGAAAACCCUACUUUUUGCUGGCCAACUGAUUUGGUUGUUUGUUAGAUGCUUUGCUUUGAAAAUUUUGAUGUCAACCAACUAUAAAUUGUUUUUGAAAUAUUUUUCGGACUUUGGUUUCACAAAUGAACCAAAAUGGGACUGAUUUCAUGGUGCAAAGUGUUUGAAAAGGAAAAGAAAGCAAGAAGACAGAUUUGUCUUGGAAAUUUCUUGAAUUUUGGUAGUUUUGUUAAAUUUCUUCCCGUAUAAAUUUUUACGUGAAAUUUGAUAAAGGAGCAGUCCUCAUAUGGAAGAUGGUGUGUACUAAAUUUGGUGUCAUUCUAAGACCAUUUCAAUACCCAAUUGAAAUCCCAAAGUUUACUUUCAAAUCUGGAAAAUUCGCUGUUUAGUAGUGAAAAUUUAUCAACUUUGAGCUUCUAUAUCUUGACGCUCAAAACCCCGAAUUUAGUUCCACUUAUUAUGUUUGAAACUUUGUUUAGAACUCUUAUUGUAUUACGAAUUUUAGAGGAUAGUUCGCUUUCUGUGAAUUUUGCCGAAUUUCCAAAAUUUGCCGAAAAACAUGAUCGAAACUGUCUUGUAUGCUUAUAUCAGCCACUUUGAACUGAAAUUUGAAUGUAUUUCGUUUAGAAUUUUGGAAAAGUAUCUUCUAAAAACUUUUAGUUCUUUGAACGAAGUUUCCAACGGUACUAAGUUUUUCAAUUUUGGACCUACUGAGUGCAAGAUCUGAUUUUUUUAAAUUUGACGCGCAAAGCUUAAAUUUGCCGAUUUCUUAGAAAAUGAAAAUUUGGGAACUUGAUUUCUUAUCUUGAUAUUGGUAUAUUGUUUUGAACCCGAUUUCAUGGGGAAUACAAGUUUUUUCAGUAACUUUAAAAUUCUCACUUUUGAAUCUUGAUUUUCGAUAAAGUGAAGCUCUUAUAAGGACAUUGAAUUGAAUUUUAAAGAUUUUGUGUAUUCUUCCUUAUUUAACAAGGAAUUUGUGAAAAUGUGUGAGGGUGAUUGUUGGUCAUUUUCUUCAGGUGAUCAAGAAGGUCUCGAAGAGAAUCCCGAAGCGGAUCAUUAAAGAUCUUUUGCACUUACUCCCUUAUUGUGAUUUGGUGAGUGUCAAGUGCAUGAAUUGUUGAUAAAUGCUUUAAAUUGUUAAUUGAGUAUUAUGAAAUUGUUGAGACAAGUGUGUACUUUAUCGCACUCGUUCUCCCUUGAGUGAUGCUACAAUUGAAUUGUGCUAUGUGAAUUGAUAUUCGAAUUGUGUCAAGUGAAUUACUAUGUGAAUUAAGUGAAGUGUUGCCAUUGCAAAUUACAUUUGUGUUGACUCGACGUCAAUCAAAGUAAAUCUUAUCGACAAAUCAUAUUUUACUCGUGGGGACGCCCUUGUCCUCUCACUCUUUGAACUACGUGGUACUUAAGACCUGAAUACAUAUGAUUGGUAAUUGUACAUGAACACUUAUAACUCGUGAGCUCUGAGCGGAAGCAUGUACCACACCGAUUCGGGUGGAAGGUGCCUCUCACACCGUUUCAGUGCUAAAAUCGGUUCCCUGAGCGAUAGCAUGUACCACACCGAUUCGGGUGGGAGGUACCUCUCAUGUCGACUCAGAACCAUAAACAAUGAUUGGUAAUUGUACAUGAAUAUGUUUGACUCGUGAGCUCUGAGCGGAUAGCAUGUACCACACCAAUUUGGGUGGGAGGUACCUCUCAUACCGUCUCAGUAUUAUAAUUGGUUCUCGAAGUGAUAGCAUGUACCACACCGAUUCAGGUGGGAGGUAUCUCUCAUGUCGACUCAAAAUUCUAAACAAAUAAUCGGUUCUCUGAGCUAUAACAAGUACCACACCGAUUCGGGUGGGAGUUACCUCUUAUAUCGACUCAGGAUGAUAAACAAAGUAUAAGUCGAUUGGAGCGAUGUCUUAUCGACCACUGAGCGAUAGUAUGUACCACACCGAUUCGGGUGGGAGGUACCUCUCAUGUCGACUCAGAACCAUAAACGUCUAAUCGAUUCCCUGAGCGAUAGCAUGUACCACACUGAUUCGGGUGGGAGGUACCUCUCAUAUCAACUCAGAACCAUAAAUAGAGUAAGUGAAGUUCUACGGACUUAAUUAGCUACCCGAGUGACGGAGUGUCUUCAUGAGGUAUUGGAUUGUACUUUGGCAAAGCCAGUGGAAAUUAGCUCUUGAGAGCUCCUGUAUCCUCAUUGAAUGUGUUGAAUUCAAAAAUUGUGAAUUACUUGAAUGUUACAGUUUUUUUUCUCGCUUAAAUGAUAUUGUUAUUUGAACUACGUGUUUUGCAUGUUUUCUUGGUUUCACGACAUUCGCUCACCCCGUUAGAUUUAUUUUCCUUAACAGGAGUUGAGAUGGAAGGAAUUAUGAGAAAGCCUACUUGAUGGCUCUUUUGCUUAGAAUUUUGGUUGUACUGAUUAGACGACUUUUGGAAGUUGUACAUUUUGGAAAAAUUGAUGUAUUUUGAAAACUUGUGAUGUAAGAUUGAACACUUGUGUAUGGAAGCAACUUUGUUUUUCAGUUCGAUUUUUUUAUUAUUUGGUUAUUUACCUUAAGUUUGGAUUGGAAUGGUAUCGAAUCCUGGCGAGAGUUGGGCAGGCGUCCCGCCGAUACCCUUGGGUUCGCCUUUGGGAGAAGUGGGAGCGUCACAUAGAUGACCUAAGAAUUAAGCGUUGGACUAACCCAUUUCUAGAAAUCCUCACUAGCGUUGGACUAACAAGGAAGUGAGUAAGGGGCACAACUAGUGUUGGAUUAGCAAGGAAGUGAGCAAGGACCACAACUAGCAUUGGACUGAUGUGGUGAUGUUAUGCAUUCAUUUAUAAUACAUAAUAAAAUAAAUAAAACAUGAAUUAAAACAAAUAAACAUAGAAUAGCACAUAGAAUACAUAACACAUAAGUAUAAUAUUUAAAUACAAAAUACUAAGAAAGUAGGUAAACCACAUAAGCACGUAAGACACAAAAAUAUAAUCUAUCUAUUACAAUGGGAGACCUAAUUACAAUAUAAAAUGGAAAAAUAAAAUAAAAUAAAUCUAUCUAUCCUAUUUAUUACAUUUAGCGACCUAACUACAAUCUAAAAUGGAGAAAUAUAAUAAAUCUAUCUAUCCUAUUUGAUUACAUUGGUCUAUCUAUUACAAUUUUUGCAAAAAUGUUUCCUCUUUAUUAAAUCUUGAGAUAUUUAACUACUUUCCAAAUAAUUACAAAAUUUAGAUUAAACAUACAUAAAAAUUGAAUGGAAAUUUAAAAUAAAUAAAUAAAUAAACAUAUAAAUACAUAUAAGCACAUAGGAGCACAUAAGAUCUCGUAAUUAAAGUCCAAAGGAUAAUAGGGGUAUCUCCCUUUUGAAGUGGUGACUAAAUGAGGUAAGGUUGCCCUAGGUAUAUUCAAAAUAGACAAAAGGAUCACGAUACCAAUUUAAUUGAAAAAAUAAAAAGAAAAUGGUCAGAACAUACAAACUUUGUUACUCAGCAUAUCUCAGGUCCACCCAUUCGUCCAAGUGACGCAGGACGACGGGGAGUUGUUGCAAUCGGGAUUAUUGUUUAACAUGACACGGAGGAGGCGGAAGCUCCCACGCUGGGUCACAUGGAUCAUGCCACCAAGUGGGUAUGUAAAGUUAAAUAUUGAUGGCUCAUCCUUAGGAAAUCCCAGACACUCAGGAGCUGGAGGGGUGCUUCGCAACUCAGAUGGUAACAUCCUAAGUGGUUUUUCAUUGUUUUUGGGGUCAAUGACAAAUAUGGAAGCGGAGGCCUUGGCGUUACUGGAGGGUAUGCAAAUUUCAGCUGGUUUCCACUAUUUGCACGUUGAAAUGAAUUCUCAAGUAUUGCUGAACAUGGUGAUUGGCAACGGAAGAGUGUCUUGGAAGCUAUGGAAGACUGUCUCGCACAUCAAAACUUUAGUACUUGGUUGCCAGGUUACCUUUACUCACACCUAUAGAGAAGCAAACACAGUUGCAGAUGCCCUUGCAAAUCUAGCAAGCUCCACGCAGGUUUGCAAAAGAUUUUCUACUUCUCAAUUUCCAGAGCAUAUAAAGGGGUUAGCCCACCUAGAUAGGAUACAGAUGCCUUAUGUACGCUUGACUUAGGUUUGCGUAGAGGUCAUUAUGUUACUGGCGGAAUGUUAGCCUCAUCCGACGUACGCUGAUGGAAUUUUGAAUAAAAUUUGGAGUGGCACCCAUCCCCGUAUACGGGGUUAGCCAUAAAAAAAUGUUAAAAAAUAUAAAUAAACUCAAAAUACUAAAAAAUUACAAUUUAAAUACGUGCAAGAAAAGCAUAAUUAACAAUUAAAGGAAGGGAAUAAUUACAAUUGAGAAAUCAAAACACUAUUAGGGACUAAAUUGUAGAAAUUAGAAAAUUUUUUAGGCCAAAAAUAUAUUUUUUAAAAAUUAAGGGUCAAAAUUGAAUAAAGAUAAAGCUCAAGGGCUAAAAUGAACUUAAAUUAAGGGUUGAAAUGAAAGAAAUAUAAAGAUUUUGGGCCACAAUAAAAUUACUCAAAAGAGUAGGAGCUAAAUUACAACUGAUUUGAGAAAAAUACAAACAAAAUGAAUUUGGGAUAUUUUAAACAUUUGGGCCGCACCACUUUGGUCCAAAGAAAAGGAGUAGAUUAUCUUAUUGAAAAUGCACAGACAAGCCCAAUUAAUUAAACAAAUUCAAAUUUAAUAAAGAUAUUGGGUUUUCUCUCAAAAAAAAUGAAGAUAUUGGGUUUAAAUUCUAAAACCCAAUCACGAGCCCAAGCAAAAAUAAAUUCCAACCCAAUUUCUUAUUUUUCUUUCCUUUUUCUUUCUUUCUUUUUUUUCUUCCUUCUUCUUCCUCCUCACCUCUAGCUGGCUAAAGCUUCUCCUCGUCGGCGACCAUGACAAAUGCCGACAGCGAUUUUUGCAGAUGCUGGUUGCACCAAAAUACAACUUCCUACUCGAUUUUUUGCGUAGAAUCUAUUUCCAGACAUAGUUUUUGCAAAAAAAUGAAAGAAAUGUGAUCAAAUAUAUGAUUUACAGCCGGGUAUCAUUUUUACAACCUAUCCAAAAAAAUAUUAACAAAAUCCAUAAAAUCAUACCCAAAAGAACGGUUCUUGAUUCCACAAUCCAACCAUAAUUCAUGUUUGCAAAAGAAAGUGCAAAUACAAAAGCUUUAAAUCCAAACAGUAGCAAAACUCACACUUACUUUUGUUUCGGGCAUUUUAUCAAACAAGAACAAGGCAUAAUGAAACCAAGUUUUAGUCCAUCAAGUUUGCUUAUUCUUGACCCAAAAUUUUCAUCAAUAACCACAAGCAUCAGUACAAGAAAUAAAUCAAACAUGAUAGGAAGCUUAAACAGGCAAUGAAUCUUGAAAACAUCCAAAAAAACAUGAUUUUAAGAUGAGCAAACAAAAAGACAAAAAACAAAAAAAAUAGAAAUGAACCAGCAAUCAUAUAUUCCACAGAGUAUUAGCUACAAAUAUGUAAAAUCAAGACCAAGAAUAAAAGAAGAAACUUUACCAUGCUUUCUUGAUGUUGUGGAACUUGAUGGUGGCAGUGGUGAUUGCUAGCAGUAGCAGCUUCCUUGUUACUUUGCCCCCUCAUUUUUUUUUGAAAAAGGAAGAGACUUGAGAAAGAGAGUUGUGUGUGUGUGAUUAUUGUGUAUUAUUACGAAAUUGAGAGGAGGGAUUGAGAGAGAGUCGAGAGAGGGGAGUUGGGGAUGUUGUUGUGUAUUAGUGUAUAAGAGUGAAAUUGAGGAAUCGGGAGGGAGAGGGAGUGAUUUUUUUUUUUUUGUAUUUUUAAUCCUUGUGAAUUUUAGAAAAAGAGAGAGCGAUAUAGGGGAGCCAAGAGUUGGACAAAAAAUUGGUGAGGUGGGUGUAUGUGAUGAUGAAUUUUGUACAAGAAAAAGAAAAAGAAGGAUAUAAGGCAUAGUGUUGUUUGGGUUAAUAGUGUAUUGGUUGAAAAAGAAAUGAUUAGGGUGUGUCAGUUUUGUUUGGAUUUUUCUUUUCUUUCUUUUUCAAAUUUCUCAAAAAUAAAAAAAAAAAAAAAGAAAACUCACAUUAGCAUAUAUGAAAAUGAAUAAUAAAUAAGCAAAUAAAUAUCUUAGGAAAAAAUUAAGGAGCAACAACAAAAUUAAAAAUUUGGUGUCUACACUAUAUUUUUGGAGCAAUGGAAUGCAUGCUCUUCUUAUUUCUGGUGCAACUAAUUGGUUCACUUUAUAUUGUUUCUUCACUUAUAAUCAUGCCAUUGUCAUCUUCAUCAUAUUUCCAUACAAGCCUGAUCCUAGUCAACUUUUUACAACACAUUUAAGUAAAACUUUUAUUCCAUAUUAUAUUGUAAGUUCAUAUUCAAGAAAAAAAUCACAAUACCAGAGAGGACUUAUGGAUGACAAGUGCAUUCCAAAUUCCAUUCUCAUAUUGUACAAUCAAUAGGGCCACUAAUCGUAACCCAACCUAAAUACAGCAAUAAGGGGCACCCAGUUCAUCACCGCACCAACAAAUAGCAGUUACAACUCAAUCUUUCCAUAACAAUUUCUACAUUAUGAAUGCAAAGGCCACAAACAGCAACAAUUUCAUCAUUUUCUUCAUGCGGCAUGUUUCUUCCACCUUUGCCUCCAACUCUCUUAUUCUCUUCGUCAAUCUUCUUGUGUGCCUGACUAAUUUAUCCCACCUCUCACAAUUGCUUGUAUCAUACCACUUGAAAUAGCCACAGUUGUUGCCACAAUUAUGCUGUUGAAGCUCAACCAUUACCUCUUCAAAUUUCACAUUUUCUAAAAUAAAAAAAGAAUAGAAUUCAGGUAGACACUUACUGUAGACAUAGAACCUGUUUCUUUGGUUUUCAACUGUCCAUGACGUCUUCACUCUCACUAGUACACUGCAUUUACAAGUUGGUGGUUAUGCCAUGAAAAUGAAGGUUAGAGUUAGGGUUUGCGUGAGAUGAAGGAGAGAAGGAGAAUUUUAGGGGAUCGUUUGUCCCUUAUAUUUGGUCAAUAGAUAAGUGAUUUGCUUUUUUUACCUUUAAAUGUUGGGCAAUAUAUUGUGAUGUGCGCAUGACAUAUUCCAGCUAAAAAUCGCUCAGAAAAGUGCAAAGGGACUUAAAUUGAUCCUUUUUUGUUUGUUAAGGACUAAAAGUGAUCAUUUUCAUUCUAAGGGAUGAAAUUUUCACAUUUGCAAUAUGUGAGGGAAUAUUUGUGCAGCUCUCUCUUGUAAAUAUUUAUAGUUACAUACUUGUAUGCCUAUUUUGUAGCUAUUUUGUUUUUUGAUUUGUUCUUAUAUGAUAUACAACUGUGUCUCUCCAAGUGGUAUGUUCACAAAUGAUCACAUCUAAUGGUGAUUCUACUACUAGUCCCAUAGAUACCAACAUUAGAGAGUGAAGGCAAUGGAGGUGAAUUCUAUUGGAAGUGAAGAAAGUAUAAGUGAAGGCAAUGGAGGUAAAGAUGACCAUUUAGAAGGCAAUAGGGAAAGAACUAAUCAAACUACAGAUAAAUAAUGGUUUAGAAGCUUUUAGAAAAAAGAAGAGAACUAGAAAAUCAAAAGCACGGGAUGAUUUCAAGGAGGGAGAAGUCAGGUCUAAAAAAACUCGUAUGGCAGAGUGUAUACAUUGCCAUACUCAAUUCAAGAGGGGCAAAAGUGGUACAAGUUCAAGUAUGUUGAGACAUAUUAAAUCUUGUGUACGUCAAAUGUUGGCACAGAAGAAGUUGUAUCAAAAGAAAAUUAACUUCACAGUAGUUGAUUCUAGCAUUCCUGGUCACUCAUUUCUUCAUGAUGGGAAGUUUGAUGUGGAAAAGAUGAGAGAUGUUGCAGCUAAUUAGAUACUUAUGCAUGAGCAUCUGUUUUCAAUUGUUGAAGAAGAAGGAUUCAACAUCGUGUAAAAACUAGGGAUGCUCGAAUGGCAAAAAAUAAGCCAAACUACAAACAAUAAUGAUUGCAUAGUUCUGUAUGAAAGGGAGAAGUGCAAAUUGAAAAAUCUGAGUACAAAUUUAUGGAAGGCACAAAAUUAAAAGAUUGAGUAUAUGGAGAUUACUAGGAAUUGGAUUGAUAAGCAUUGGAAGUUGUAGAAAUGGUGUUGAACUUUAAGCACAUUCCUCCUCCACGAUGCGGCAUCCAAAUUACAAAUUGUAUUUUCAAAUGUUUGAAGGAAUGGGGCAUUGAAAGUUUACAAAAUUUACAAUGUUUGAAGGAAUGUGGCGCCCACAAUCCAAAGUUUACAUAGUCUCCGUGGAUAAUGCCUUAAAUAAUGAUUCAGCAAUAAGAUGUUUGAAGGAUAUAUUUUUGAGAAACAAAUGUCUGCUAGCAAAAGGAAAAUUGUUUUGUGUGAGAUGUUGUGCUCACAUAUUGAAUUUGUUGGUUCAAGAUGGACUCAAUAAAAUCAAGGAUAUAAUUUAGAGUGUAAGAGGUAGUUUGGAUUACAUAAAUAGAUUAGAAGCAGGAGCUUUACAAUUUGCUGAAAUUGUGCACCAGUUGCAAUUGCUUGGAAGAAUUUUAAUCUAUGAUUGCAAAACUAGGUGGAACUCCACUUACGAGAUGCUAGAUUGUGAUCUCAAAUUUUGAGAGGUUUUUCCAAGGUUUAGAGAUAGAAACCAACACUAUGGUUGCUGUCCAACCACAAAAAAUUGGAUGUUUCUAUGCCUUGAAUUUUGCUUGUGGCCCGUGGUUGAACUAAAAGUUGUUUUAUGGUUGGGCAUCUAAGAUAGUUUGGUCAUUUUCAUUAUGGUUGUAUAAUUAUCAUUUGAAUGACAACUUUGUUUGAUGCUUUAAAUUCGAAGACCAAAAAUGAGCUCGAUUUUGAGGUGAACUCGAGCUGGUUUAUCGAGCUCACACAAAUUGAGCUUUAGUGAGUUGAGCUCAAGUAUGAAAUUUCUUUACCGAGUCAGGCUCGAGCCUUAUUUUUCUUGGCUCAUCGAGUUUUGAACUCGAGCUAACACAAAAACAUGUCAAACUUAGCUCGAUUAACAGAAUGUUCGACUCGACUCAGAUUGUUUGCACCCUAAUUGGACCUAAUGUAAUAUCACAAGGAUGGAAUUCAUGUAAUUGAACAAUAGAGGGGGCAAAGUGAGAAAAAGAUAUUUUUGAGGGAAUUUUUUGAAAUUAAUCCUUUAAAUAAUCAAGAGCCAAAUUUGGUCUAAAAUCUGAAAUUUUAAAAUUGUACACUAUGAUAAUAGAUUGCACAUCAAUGUACGUUAAUGAGUUCAAUCUUACAAAACACUACAUAAAAAAAAUCUUACAAAAACACAAUUAGACCCUGCAUGCUUUUCAUGAGCCUACCCAGCCCAGACUUAUGGUCUUAGUACGUAGUGCUGUUAAACGAAACAAGUAGCUCGAAAAUUGAAUGGAUUCGACUAAAAAAUGCUCGAACUCGACUUUUCAAUUUCAGUAAACGAGUCGAGUUCGAACUAGAAAUAUACUCGUUUAAUUAACGAGUCGAGUAAGCUCAGUUCAUUUGUUAUUUGAGUAGCUCAUUUGGGCUCGAUAAGGAAGGGUAUAUACAUCAUUUCAUAAUUUAGAGGAAUAGAAACACGAAUUAGGGUUAUGUUUCAUUGUUCUUCUACUUCAAUAUUUCACUCCGUCUUUGCAUCUCUGCCACAACACAUAGCCACCAACAAUCCACACCACUACUAAACCAUUGGCCACAGCCACCUCUAGCCAUCACCGCAAGCUUGGAUGUCCAGCUAUCUUUCCUCUCCACCAAAAAAAACUGCAAAGAACCAAGGAUUCGAGCCAUUUGUCACGGUCAACCACCACUACCAAGCUGCUCCAUUUUUCAUGGCCAAGACUAGUCACUACAACCUUGGACCUCCAGCCACCUCUGCUUUCUAGUCUUCAUCAAAAACCACCACAAGGAACAAGAAAGUUUUCCAUUUCUCAUAGUCAAGUGCCACCAUUAGCAGCUCCUCCAUUUUUCAUAGCCAAGACUAGUGGACCAGCUAUCGUUCCACCCAUUGUAGCAACCAUUGACUAGUGACCAGUCCAAUUUGGUUGGUUUUGCAAAACCAUAGUGAUUUCUAGUAAAUAGAAAUUUUCUUACUUAUGCAAGAUUUCUGAUAAUUACAAUUUUUGGUUACAAUGGUGCUUUGAGUGUUAUGUUUAAAGCCUGUAAUUUUGGGCCACUUGUGUCAAACGGUUUAUCAAUGCUAAUAUCUAGCUAUUGGAGUCAGUCUAGCCUUCAAAUAUUUCAGGCAUUUUGGAUUUAGAAUGUGCUCCAAUAUAAAUAUGUAAUAUCCUUAGGGUGUCUAUUUCUUGUAUACUUGUUUGGUUGUUUGUUUUGGACACCUGAAGCGUAAGUUUAAGACAACAAUUGAUCAGCACUCUGACCAUGAACCAAGAAGUUGAGCUCAUUUGUAUUUUGUAUAGGAUUUUGCUAUUCAUAUACUCUUUCCACUCAUUUUGUGGAAUUUCAUAAAUGUUCCUCUGUUUUGAAGAUGCUAGCUAUGCAAACUUUUUUAGGCUAUUCAUUUUGUGCCCAUUUACUUUACAGCUGUUUUGUCUACUAUAGAAAGUCUAAUUCAGUUAUGCAAUACAUAGAAAGUCCAAUUUAGAGAUUUAUAGGUUUAAGAUUUGACUAUUUUAACUCUUAAUACUAACUAUUAUCAUAGUCCAAUGUUAUGAUUUUAUUCUAAUAUUGGAAUAGAACUUUUACUGCUUGAUAAUACACAGCUACUUUCCUUUCUUUUUGGGAUCAUGCUAAUAGCAAAUUGAUUGAUUUUUUUCUUUAAAAAAUAAGUAUGUAUAGUCCUCCAUUUCAUUCACGCCAAGGAUCAUCAUCAAGUCCUGUUAUGGAGGUUGGAAAUGAAGUUGUAGAUCAAGGACUUGAGGUGGAGGAAAAUGCUAAUGAGAUGAGUGAAGAAAAGUUGGAUUUAGAUAUCUUAGAAGGGCCGAAUGAAGAAACAGAAAUGGGCCAAAAAGGUCCUGAUGAAGGAGCAAGACUAAUUGAAAAAAAAAAAAAGCAAAGGAAAAAGAAGUCAACAAUAUGGGAGGAUAUGACACUGGUAAAGCAAGCUGAUGGAACAUUGAAAGUGCAGUGCAAUCACUCUAAGGAGCUGUUUGCCAAAAGUGCAUCUAGAGCCACUUCUCAGCACAAGCGUCACUUGAAAAAUUGUCUACAAAAGAAGCUGGCUCUUGGGGAGAAAAACCGAAAGAGGCAAGAGGUCUUAUCUUUCAUCGAAAUAUAUGUGCAUUAGGAGUAAUGUCCCACCUUCUCUCAUAGGAAUAAUUAUUACCGAUGCUUUAAGUAAGUGGUUUCUUGAGUGGGGGAUUAAGAAUAAGGUUUCUAUUAUAAAUGUAGACAAUGCUUCUUAUAAUGAUGUAUGCAUUAGGAGACUUAAAAAGGAUUUUUCUCUAAGAAAAAUGUUAAGCAUUGGAGGAAAAUUUUUUCAUGUUAGGUGUUGUGCACAUAUACUUAAUUUGCUUGUUCCAGAUGGGCUUAAUCAAAUUGUUGAUGUGAUUGAUGUUGUUCGAGAGGGGAUCAACUAUUUGAAAAAUUCAGAGUCUCGCCUCAAUGACUUUGCCAAAAUUUUUUUAAAAAAAAAAAACAGCUUCAAUUGCCUUCUAAAAAGCUCAUUUUGGACUACUCAACUAGGUGGAAUAGCAUCUAUUUGAUGUUGGCUUCAGCUCUAGAGUUUAGGGGUGUAUUUCAAAGAUAUGGGGACAUUGAUCCUGGGUUUCACUAUGUCCCAUGUGAGUAUGAGUGGAUGACAAUUGAAGAAGUACGUAAAUUUCUGGGUAUUUUUUUAUGAGAUCACCAAUAUCAUUUUUGGAUCCGAUUACCAACUGCUAACCUUUUCCUGUAGCGCUGUAUAGGAUUAAGGAGUUGUUAAAUGAAAAGCUCUCAGCUUUUUUGAUCAUAUUACGUCUAUGGCUGAAAGUAUGGCACAAAAAUAUGACAAGUAUUGGGAGGAAAGCAACACCUUGAUGUCUUUGCGUGCCAUUCUUGAUCCGACAUAUAAAAUGGUUCUUGUUAAUCAUAUUUUUCCAGUUAUUUAUGGCAACGAUGCAGCUCCUAAGUAUAUUGAUGAGAUUAGAUGCAUUCUUUAUGAACUCUAUAAUGAAUAGGUGGAUGCAUCUCAUCUCAUGGUGAGUAACCAGAAAGGGAAUUUAUGAAACAAAAACAUGCAGAAAUUACAAGUCUACCCAAGGGGCUGCCAAAAAGCAUGGAGUUAAUGUUCUAAUUGGGAAAGAAAAAUUUCAAAUGAUUGUUAGUGAAAUUGACAAGGCUCCCCCUGAAAAAUCAGAUUUAGAUGUCUAUUUGGAAGAGGGGCAAGUAUGUUUGCAAUGAAAAUGCAAAUCUUAAUGUCUUGGGUUGGUGGAAAGGGGAAAGGUGGAGGUUUCCUAUAUUGUCAAGGAUGUCAAGUGAUGUACUCGCUAUUCUAGUUACAAUUGUGGCCUCCGAAUCUACUUUCAAUGCCGAUGGUAGAAUAAUCGCUGAUCGGCAUGUUUCUAUGUCGGUUGAAACGGUGCAAAUGUUACUUUGUAGCAAUGAUUGGAUAUGCAAUCAUCAUGGGUUAAAAACAAGUCUCGUGUAAGUAAAAUAUAUCUUCUGCUAUUAGUUUAUUUUGGUACCUCAUUUUACCAUAUUAGGAGUUGUAACUUUCUUGUUUUCCUUUUGUAGGAACCACUCAAUGUUGUUGAACCAUCUACAAUUGAAGAAAUUGAUCUUCCUAACAUUUGAAGGCUAUGAAGCUGGACCUUUCUUGUAAUUUGGGAAGUUGGACUUGGUCAAAUUUUAGUUAUCUAGCAUUGUUUUAUAUAGUCAUUUGGCUGGAGUUUGUGUAUUUGUUGAAUUGAAAAGAAUUUGAUCAAAUCCUAUUUGGUUGGAGUUUGUGUAUUUGUUGACUUGAAAAGAAUUUUAUCAAAUCCUAUUAUGGCUGGCUGGCUUGUUCCUUCUCAAUUCAUUCCUAACAAAUUAAUUUGUGAUUGUGAAUGGCAACUUGGCAAGUUUUGUUGACUUUUGGACAAGGUGUGGAGUUUGUUUCCUAAAACUUGUAUGAUUGAAUCGUGGCUUUUGUAUGAAUAUCACCAAAAUGGACAUUAAAACUGUUUGACAGAUAUUUCAAACUCAAGUUCGUGCGAGCUCGGCUCGUAUGUGCUAAAGGAAGCAAGCACGAGCUCGAGUUAGAGUCACAAGUCUCAUUUGGUGAGCUAAUUUUGAGCAUACUUCAAGAUUCGCCCACUUUGUCGCAUGAGCUCGAGCCUGGCUCGAUAGAAGCACGAGUCAAGUUCGACAAUUAAAUACUCGACUCGACUCGACCGGCUCGAUUAACAGCAUUAACUGCGGCAUUAUUUUUUCCUAUCCAUGCCUAAACCCGAACUCCGCCUGGACCUAACAAACCCUCACACAUACGAACACAGAUGAUCAAUUAAUAGAUCUAGUGUAACUACAUCUUAAUUUUGUUUCCUAAAAUAAAUAUUUUUUUCUAAAGUAGUUCAAAAUUACAAACAUUUUUAAAAUUUUCAUAAAUGACUUUCAAUACUUAAAUUUCAUUAGGAAUAUUUAAAUACAUAAUGAUAUUUACCUACUUUUAUAGUAAAAUGAGAAAAAAUAGAAGAGAUUCAAACACAUACAAGUUUGGAUGUUGGGUGUAGUGUGGAUAAUUUUUCUGAAGGAAUUAGAAUUGGAUGACAUAACUUUAUGCUUUCGAUUCUUAAUUCUUACAAGCAUAAUUUUCAAUCUUAAAUUUAUUAUUUGAAAAUUGUAUCUGUAUUAGAUUUACAUAAUUUUUUCAAUUCCAUUCUUUCUUCUUUUUCAAUUCCCCUCCUUUCGUGAUAGGAGAGUUGAUAAAUGACAAAUUUCUAAAUGUUUAGCUGAGCCACACCUCCAGCACCUGCAGAAUUCCCUGCAUGCAUUUGUGGAUUCGCUUUCGCCAACAAAAAGAAUUGGCAUAAUUUCAUAUGGACGAACAGUCUCAUUAUACGACACCGUUUUUUCUGUUGAUUCCACGGUCAACAUCGAUGGCUUCAGGGGAGUGAACUGUGCGUCUAGGUACUCCGCACUUGUUGACAACUUGACAUUGCACGCACCUCUUGAAUGAAGUCAUUUAUUCAAACAAGGUGGCAUUUGGAGGUUUCGAAAUAGUAGAGAUUCUGCUCAUGCCCAUGAAUGAAGCUCUUUUUUUUUUUUAUUAAGUUUUUAAAAAGCUCAGAACCUUGAGGAAAGUUUAAUUCUUAGUUCAAGUCAAAACAUGCAGAAGGAUGCACUUUCCAAAUCCAAUGCUGCUUAUAAACUACCUCCAAUCCACUUGAAUCAUGAUGACGUUAAGGACUAAAUACAUCAAACUUGUGAAGUUAGCAAGUUGUUUAAAAGCAGCAGGGAUGAGGAUAUCUUGUGGCAAUGCAAUGAACAAAUUGAUGUUUUAGCAAAGUUUGCCAGUUUGAGUUUCAGCAGCCUAUGAAGCUGAAUUUUGUGCUUCUUAGCAACAACAGUAGAAAAAUUUUACAUUGAAUAUUUGGUGGCACUUCCACAUUUGACAAGUGAUCACAUGAAAAAGCACAUAUCUAUGACUUGUGGAACGAACACAAUAUUGCAGAUAUAAUACAGAGAGCAACAUAAUACUUGCACAAGUAUACAAGUAGAAAGAAUAAUAUGUUAAUAACAGGCCUUUCAAUUGAUAAUCUGAAACUGAGAUUUUUUUUUUUUUGUUGCAGAGUCAGAACUCAACAUAUCUGAGCAACUUCUGUACUACUAUAACUGGUUAUCUGAGCAGCAUCAAAAAAUCAUUAUUUCACAAGAAUCAGGCAUUUCAAUUGAUCAUCUGACCUGUGAAGCUUAUCUCCACAUAGUUAUAAGUUAUAACUAACAUCGCAGAACAACAUUCAUUCCAGUACAGGUUAUUAAAGCAGCAUCAAAUCAUUGUCAUUUCACAGGGAAGGUGAUUGUCUUACAUUAAGUUAGAACAAAGAGAGCUGAAGAGGACUGUUAAUUUUUCAAGGACUAGCUGCAGUUUUCAUACAAGGCAAACUAAAAGAUACAAAUAUCUUUUCAAUCUAGCCUGUUACCAUAACCAGGAAGGAAGAGUGAAAAAAAGCAUCAGAGGUAGCUAAAAUCAGGGUGAGGAGCUUAAGUAUAGGACAUCUCUUCAGGUGAAAUAGCCAUCAAACCAUGUAUCAAAAGAAGGCUCUGCUACCAUAAAAUACUUUUGGACUUGGUUCACUACUUUUUGAUGCAUUUGCCUUCUCACUAGAGCCAGAGGUCCCCGAAGUACUACUAUCCACAUUAUCAGCGCCUGAACUAUCACCAAUGUCCAUGGGAAGCUUCAUCUUUGCAAGAGCCUCUGUAAACUGCUGCAUGCUUUUCAUGUAUAUCUCAACUAUCUCUUGUUGAACCACCUUUUGUUCAGGUUCUAUAGUCACAUUCACAACAGACUGG
RNAcentral lists this long non-coding RNA (365595 nucleotides) under Coffea arabica (coffee). Its description in RNAcentral is "long non-coding RNA (CARA_LNC003429)". Lineage: Eukaryota; Viridiplantae; Streptophyta; Magnoliopsida; Gentianales; Rubiaceae. The record is from RNAcentral.